This 400731-nucleotide long non-coding RNA is filed under the name Triticum aestivum (bread wheat). The record is from RNAcentral. Lineage: Eukaryota; Viridiplantae; Streptophyta; Magnoliopsida; Poales; Poaceae.
AGCCCGUGAGAUUGGUGCGGGUGAGAUUGAGGACAGAGAGAAAAGAGAGGUUACCAACAUGAGGUGCCAAAGAGCCAACGAGAGGCAUGCCGUUGAACGAUAGAGCAGUGACACGUUGCCUUCGCCGACUGCAUGAAACACCAAUCCAAUGGCAGAAAGACGUGCCGGUGGUCCAGUUGGUGGCAAGGAUGCGGAGAGGAUCGGCGAGCUGGGCUUUAAAAGCCAGCAGCGCGGCAAGGUCGGUGUCGCUCCCGUUGCUGUUGGUGGUCGGACUGGAAGAAGAAGCCGAGACGGCUGAGAGUAGUAUGAGUGUGAAGAUAGGGAUACGUGCGGACAUGGAUUGAGCGGCCAUUGAGCUAGGUGGCUGGGUUGUUUGUGAAGCCGUGUGUGUGCAUUGAACAGCUGGAGUAGUGGUGAAUUUAUAUAGGGUUUCUGUAGACUUCAUUGAGAUACGUCAAAAGAAAUAACCAAUACGUCAACUUCGCAACAAGACUUGUGGAUCAAUAAAUUAAAGAUGCAGGGAAGAAAGCGUAAACGACUCCCAUACCCUCGAAGUUUUCUUUCUUUUCCUGGGUUUCUUCGUUAUGUUUCGUGGACUGCAUUGAGUUUUCCUUGCUUUUCAACGCAACUCAUUCUCUAAAUCAGUAUACAUUUAAAAAAAAAGAAAACUUCCGAUCUAUACAUUUUCAAUAAUGGCAAUACAAAGAACACUAGAAAUAAUAAAAAUUACAUCCAAAUCCGUAGACCAUCUAGCGACGAUUACAAGCACUGAAGCAGUAUACAUCUAACUCGUAAUUAAUUCACCUACAGGCUACGAGUGAAAAUAAUGCACACCGUUGAGUUGAGCUAGUCCAUCAAGAAUAAGGGCAACUCCAACGCUAUACAUCAAAAUAUCCACGGGCAUGUUCAAACGUGUCCGUGGAUAAUUUUAGGGGAGCCCGUUAUUCAACCCGGUACACUAAGUAAAAGUGAAAACGACAUUUUCAUUAAUAUUUAGGUUGUUUUUAACAUAGCAAGAGUAACUGACCCUGAUCUCUUGUCGGAGUCCCCCUCCUGGCUGUCGACGGCGCCGAUGGAGGUGAGUCGACCAUCGAACCGGACGGUCCGGACACGUAGUCGGUGCGGCCCAACAUGAAUGACGCAGAGCUACUGACGUUGUCAACGUUCCCGUCCGCCACCACCUACGCCACCUCCGUGUCCGCCUCCAGCACAAUCUCCGUGAAUAGACGGCCACGCGCUGCCUCGUUGACACGCUGUGGCAACCGCUUGCAGCGGAUUGUACGGGCGCUGCAAACAGAAUCGUACAACGCCCUCUCAUCAUCGACGAAGCCCAGUUUCUCUGCGAUCAUGGCCAUGACACUGGUAGGAAAACCCCUAUUACUGACGCGGGGUAAAAGGCUAGUAGUAGCGCGGGUAGCCGCGCUACGACUAACUUUAUAGUAGUAGCACUGGCGUGAUUUUUGAGAUUUUCUCUUUUUUGACCAUGUAGAUUAGAUGCAGCGCAAAAAGGCGGAUGAACAUAAAAUCGAGCCGACUCAUGCAAUACAUCUCGAAGAUGUGAUCAAACCGCGGGAAGAGCAUGUCCGUGGGGGAUUUGUCGAUGAAUUCUAAGCUCUUCGGCACAUUAACCACAUAAAAUGUGUAUCCUGGAUCAUUCGAUCGGAGAAGACUCUUCUCUGUCGCCAUCACAUGGUCAUACAAGCGCCUCGAUCAUUAAAUGCAGGAAAGAUGCAUGUUUCCUUUGGUGGGAAAGCAUGUGAAUUCAAUCCCCUGCCAGCUUAAAUUUCGUUAUAUUUCGGGACUUGACAUCUUGCUGCAUUGAAAUUUCCUUACUUUUCCACGCAAAUCGUUUUCUAAAGCAGUAUACAUCUAGCUCCUAAUUAAUUCACGUACAGCCACUCAUCACCAGCUACCGCGUAGCCCGCGAGGAAAAAUCUGAGAGUUGAGCCAGUCCACCAAAGCUGACCUGCAACUAAGAGCAACUUAAGUGGCUCCCUCAUCCCACUGCCGUAGGGGGUCGGUCCUCCUCUGCUCCUCCUGCUAUACAACAGUCGAUAAGAGUUGUUCUUGGAGGAAGAAAAUCGACUUUUGAUGAUGGUGGUCGAUCUGGGCCAUUUCGUCCUGUGAUAUACCUUUGUCACGCACGAUGGACUGGCCCAGCUCGACCAUCAUCAAAAGUCGAAAUACCCGUGAGAGAGUGUCCACCAUAUAUAUACCACCACCAGAGAGAAUGUCCACCAUAUAUACGUGAGAGAGUGUCAAUGAGAGUUGUUCUUGGAGGAAGAAAAUUGACUUUUGAAGAUGGCGAUCGAUCUGGGCUAGUUCGUCGUCCUGUGAUAUACCUUUGUCACGCACGAUGGACUAGCCCAGCUCGACCAUCACCGAAAGUCAAAAUAUCCGUCAGCGUGUCGCCAUGAUUAAUUUGCUUAGAAGUAAUCUUUGAUGUUCGAUUCUUAUGUUAUUUUUCAUUGUGUGAUGAAAGGUGUUAGCACCGAUCAAUUUCGUGGCUAUGGCUUCCUCCGACGAUGCAGCUUCCAUUAGGGUCAACUCCGCAGUCAAGGAGAAGCGCGCCGAGGACCGCUUGGCGGCACUCAUUGAGAAGAACCCGCAGCUGAUCCUAAUAAAGUAUUUUGAGGAUCUGGCCAAGAAGAAUCCGCCAGCUAAGGACGGCAAGGCCCCACCACGUAAGGAGAGGGACAACCCGGUGCCAUUGAGUCCACCAACCAUCAUUCCCGACUACAACUCGGAGUAGUCACCUAGAUAGUUUGACGUUGAUUUAGUGAUAUAGCUGUGUAGCUGCUAAUAUGGACUUGGAUGGCCACUUGUGAUGAUUUUGAUUGUAUGAGUGAUGAAUGCUUACGUGGAUUAUGUAUGAUGUGCUCUUUAACCUUGCAUUAUUUCUCUGCCUCUUUUUCUCUUUCUUUGUAAAUGAAAUGGUAUGCGGUGUACACAGGUAGGUGUCCAGGAGUCUACGAUUCAUGGUCUGAAUGCAAUGAACAAGUGCUUCGUUACGAAGGCAGCUCCCAUGACUCGUUCAAUAGCAGAGAGAAGACAGAGUAUCAUUACAAUCAAUAUGUGCUUUACCAGAAGAGAAAAACUGAAUUAGGUAAUGGUGCAAGCCAGAAACGGCUUAUCAGGUUCAGUGGAUUGAAGAACUUGAUAAUUCUCGUUUAGUUUGUUAUAAUUGUGGUGUUGCUUUUAUCAUGUGGUCGCAUGUAGACAUGAAUUGACCACUUUGUUGUUUAGUAAGUAGGCACUUGUACUAAAGAGCUACUUUGUGAUUUCAAAUGAAGCUUGUGUGAACUAUUUCUAUAAUGCUUAUGUGAGUUUGUUGUUAACCUUUGUGACUUCAAAUGCAAGUUUGUGUAUUGUAUAUUUGUUUUUGCUGCAGCGAUCCGAGUGAAAAGCUGAUGAAUCAGAACUGGGAAGGAAACAUUACCGAGAGCCGCUCUCGGCAAAGGGUCAUGCGCUGGGAGGUUCUGGACCUUGGCUGUGGCAGUUACGCCGAGAGUGGCUCUCGGCAAAGAGCUGACAGAACCAGCGGCCGUGAAGUUAUUUUAUUUUGCCGAGAGGGGCUAUUUGGCUCUCGGCAAAAUGUUUGCUGAGUGUCCGACGGAUGGCUCUCGGAAAAUUCCUAUUUGACUGAGAGGUGUACGCCGGGUGGCCUUUGCCGAGUGCACCUGCGUCUGUGAUGAUUCCAGUAGUGUUGAGUGCUUGGGAUUGAUGUCACCUACAUCCAGAUUAGAAGAUGAAAAUUAUAAGAUCAAACAGGGCUAGCCCCGAAAGAGUGCUUCGGUUUAGUACUUGCUACGUGCAUGGUGUGUUUGGUCAUUCCCAUUGGGUACUUUUUGAUGAUUGAGACUCAAGCUCUAUUUGCGUUUGGUCAUUCCCAUUGGGUACUUUUUGAUGAUUGAGACUCAAGCUCUAUUUGCAUUCAGGAUCGUGGUAUUUCUGUUUUUUCAGAAAAAGGUUCAUCUCUGUUGAGCAAUGGUAUUGCAUGUAUUCCGGUAAUGUAAUUUUGGUAAUUAAGACCUAAUAUUCAGUUACAGUUAUGGGAUUAAUUAUGCCAAAUAUACUCGAUGAUGGAAACGUAAUGUUGGCACACUCGGUUGAACGUUUCUCCUUGUUCUGAGAAAGAUAUAUUCCGAAUGAUCCUACUUUGAUGGAAGUACUAGUUGUGGUGAAAGCUGAAUGCUGAAAGAGCUCAGUGACAAAAUCAUGCUGCUUGGAUGCUGCUGUGCCAUAUACACGCUGCUCUGUGGCCAGCAUAUAUGCUUAAAUAUUCUUCUUCGAUUUAUGAUCAUCUACCCCUUAACUGCCAUGACCCUAAAUCUUAAAUCUCUCUCCAAAUACCUGAACAAGACUGCUCCUACUAUUCAGAGCGUGGGGUUCAGUUUAAGGACACAUUACAAGGGUUUUCUGUUUUUGGAUUCUUAAUAGGGCCUUGAAAUUUGUUAGCACUUCUUGCCUUUUCACUGGCUGUAAUUUAUUAGCCACUGCGAUUCGAAUACUCGUUGCUGAUUUGCUGAAUCAAAUAGGAUGGGUCCUAUAUAUGGUGACAUGACAGACGCAAACACCAAGUGUUGGAUCACCAUGGUCAAUCGACGAGAUCUCCAGCUACGACAUGGCACAGCACCCCCUGUAGGCCUAUAAAUCGACAUCUAUACAUACACAAUUCUGCAUGCCAACAAAUGGUGACCUGGAAUUUACAUUUGCUUCUCAAUUUCCUUACACUGAUUAGGACACCAUCUUCAAAAAUGAAACUUAUAUAGGAAUCAAGUACGCAGGGUCAUUUGGAGGAUUAGCACGACCAUCGAUUGAGUACACUCGUGACACGAUAUUUGUUCAUAUUUAAUUCGCUUGAGACUCGCAGCACCAAUUGCCUCCUUUUGCACAUGCCGUCCAUCGAUCGUUACAGAUUUACAGGUUAGGUGAGCCUUGCAAUACUCAGCAGGCAACACACAGUUUCGUGGCUCAUUCCGGCCGGCCGGCUCCAUAAAAACAAACAACGCAGGCGUAAGAGAUAGGAUCAAAGCUCUCAGGUAAGUUGUUUCCUGGUGACGCACCACCCAGUUGUUUCGUGGCUCUUUCCGGCCGGCCGGCCGGCUCCAUAAACAAACACAGGCGUAAGAGAUAGGAUCGCUCACCGUGUCUCACUUUGCUUAAUGGACAUGCUAACUACUCCCUCCGUUCCAAAUUACUCGUCGUGGUUGUAGUUCAAGUUUGAACUACAACCACGACGAGUAAUUUGGAACGGAGCGAGUAACUACUAGUACUCGCAAAAUAUCAUCAUCGACCCAUCGUGAUUAAUUAAGUGAGCCAACAAAACCUCACAGCUAGCUAGCUUACAAUGCCCACCUAAUGUGUAUUAUUAAGUACUCCUACUACACUGCAUACCGAGGCUCUCUUCAUGUCACAGGGACAAAAGCACUGGCUAGGUAGCUAUUCGUUAGCUCAGCCAAAGGAAUCUCUUGCCUGCUUUAGUCCUCUUCAUUUGCAUGGGAUUGUUCUUAUUUAAUUCGCUUAAGACUCGCAGCACCAAUUGCCUCCUUCUGCACAUGCCGUCCAUCGAUGUUUACUGGUUGUCCUUAGCACGCACGUACGCACCACCCAGUUGUUUCCUGGCUCUUCCCGGCCGGCCGGCUCCAUAAACAAACACAGGCGUAAGAGAUAGAUCAAAGCCUUAGACAAAUUGUUCUUGAUUUUUUCGCGUAACCGCGCCUCCCUUUGCUCUAUGGACAUGCUAACUAACUACUACUUUUUUUUUAGAAAAGGAGGAUGUACCCGGCCUCUGCAUCUGGACGAUGCAUGCAAUCAUAUUAUUAAUUAUCCACAGAAACAAUACAAGGUGAUACAUCAAUAAGCCUAAAAUCACCAUCUUGGCAACACCGUUGCUACUCCUAUCCCCUUGAUGAAGGCGUGCCGAAUGUCCGGGCCUAAUACCAAACAGACAUCGCACCAAAGCCUGACAUCUAAAGCCGGGUGUCCCGUCCAAGCCACUACCUGGAUUGGGUCCCACACCGGUCUGGCACACUCCCAAUGAGGACCGCACGCUGCAAGGGCCGUCACCUCCAUCAUCCCUCGGUCCAUCUUCAGAGCAUAGUUGAUGCAUCAACCUUGCCAGGCCUCUCUGCCAUCAACGCCACCAUGACGCCAGACAGCUUCCUCCUCCUGCGCGAGUCCAUCUCCGCGCAUCAGACACCGAGUCUCCACAGCGCCACACCGUCGAGAACCGCCACCAUCAAUGUGGAAGAUGAAGCACCGCUCCACCAAAGACGCCGUCCUCCGGUCCCACGAGCCCGUGUGCAUCUCCAAGAAUGAUGCCCCCAAGGGGGAAACGACACCAUAGAGCCGUCGUCAUCCGAUCUACUGAUCUAGGGUUCCCCCGGAGAUAGUAGAGAGUGGCCUUGAACUUCUCCACGGCGAUGCCUUCAGAAAGGAAACGACGCAGACAGCGUCGCCGUCGCCGGCCUUGGCCAUAGCCAAAAGCAGGUUUUCACCCAGAUCUGAUCGAAGACCUCCAUCUCUCGUGCACGGGCCGCCGCCAUCCCUGCUGGGAUCUCAACGAAGACUCCAAGGAGUGGAUCGGCGCCGCGGCGUCGUCAUCGUUGUGGCCGCCGUCACCGGCCAAGGGUCUCCCCCGAUCCCAAGAGCCCCACCAUCCAGUCACUGCCCACCACCCGGAUCCGGCGAGCAAGGCCACACCGAAGCCCAGAUCAAGCGGGAUAAGGUGAAGGAAAUGAAGCUAGCGCAGGUCGAUCCAGAUCUGGCAACCGGCCGACGGAUCACGGCCGCCAUGAGAUCCCACCACCAGGUCCUCGCCUCCCACGCGCCGGCAAGACGAGCAGCUCCAGGAGUGGUUGUCGAUCAGAGGCGCCGUGACCGCUGCACCGGCCACCGCCACGGAGGCCGCACGUCCAUUACCAAGGCCGCGAGAGGAAGAUCCCGCCGCCGCCGGCCGCCGGCAGGCUUUGCCCGGCGACGUAAGCCAGCGGCGGCGAGGGGAGACGCCAAGAAGGAAGCGCCGGCGGCGGAGAUUAGUUUCCGCCCGUGCCGCCCGUGAGGAGCGACGCGGGCGUUUUCUAACUAACUAACUACUACUUGCAAAAUAUAAUCAUGGACCCAUUGACGCCAUCGUGAUUAGGUGAGUCAACAAAACCCAGGCUACAGGGACCAAGCACAGGCUUAGCUAGCUGUUCAUUAGCUCAGCCAAAGGAAUCUCUUGCCUGCUUUAGUCCUCUUCAUUUUCCUUCACUCGUCCCAGCUAUUCACUCGUCCCAGCUAUUCUCUGAGUGAUUGACAAAGAACUACUGCUUUAGGGGUUUGCAUUCCACUGAACUAUCACUUUCUAAAAAGUGACCGAAAACUAUCAUUUUUUUAAAUUUUGUGACUAUAAACAACCAGUUUCAGAUAAUGACUAGUUUAGACGAUUUAAACGUGUUUAUGACAUACGGGGCCCAUCUGUCAGUGCUGAUGUGGCAGGAAAGUCAACUCCUUUAGACUAGCGCAGGUGCUUGGAGGCUCGUCGACCGGCGCCUGGCAGGGGCGGCUGCGUCAGGAAGGACUCGAGGUCGGGCGGGAGUUCCCCCAUGUCGGCAUCCGACAGGGGCGGCGCGAGGAAGCCGGGCACGAGCGGCGGGGCCAGCUGCUGCUGCGAGGGGCGCCACGCCGGGCUCUCCCUACUGAGCUCGGCGACGGAGCGACCCUACACGAUGCGCUGGAGCCGGGCACGAGCGGCAGGGCCGGCUGCUGCUGCUGCGCGGGGCGCGACGCCAGGCCCUCGCUGCUGAGCUCGGCCCCGCACUACGCGCCGGAGCUGUGCACGGAUGACGCAUGCGGACGCCCAGGCCGCCGGAUCGGCGCGCAGGCGGACACUGGGGGCGAGGCACCCGACGCCAACGCCCGUCGUGGCCAUGGGGGUGGGCGCAUGAAAUAGAGGAGGCGGAGGAGGUGCGGACGGACGCCCCGCUUGGUGCGGGCCGGUGACGCCUCGCCUCGCCUCAUCGGACAGGCGGAUGUAGAUUUUCCACAGGCGAGCACCAGCGGUGGAGGGCGGCGGAGGUGGCACGAAGGUGCACACCAGAUGUUCGAGGAAAUGCCACCGAGAGAGGAGGAGGAAGAAGGUUGAUGCUGGCGUGUGGGUCCCGCCUGUCAUAAACAUGUUUAAAUUGUCUAAACUGGCUGCUAUCCAAAAUUGAUAGUUUUUAGUCACAAAAUUAGAAAUUUUUGAUACUUUUCAAUCACUUUUUAAAAAGUGAUAGUUCUAUGGGACGGUAACCCUAAAGUGAUAGAGUUUUUUGUCCAUCCCUCCUAUUCUCUCCACUACCCCCAAACACUCAAACAACACCCACGGCAGGGAGAAGCCGUGCAGAGAGGAAUAGCUACACACCAUCAAUGGCACCGGUCGUGAGCGCCGCACUUGGCGUGUUGGGUCCCCUGCUGGUGAAGCUCGCCGCCUUGCUCGCCGGCAAGUUCGGCCGUGUGAGAGGUGUCCGGCGCGAGAUCCUCUCUCUCCUGUCCGAGCUGACCAUCAUGCACGCCGCACUCCAAGAGUACAAAAUGCUGGAAGACCCGGGCGUCCAGGUGAAGGCAUGGAUAUCGUUGCUGAGGGAGCUGGCCUAUGAUACCGAGGAUUGUAUCGACAAGUUCAUUCAUCGCCUCGGCAAACGUGGGCGGCGCAGUGGCUUCAAAGGCUGUUCCACAACACCACUCGCUUCCUCAAGGCGCUCAAUUCGCGCUGCGGGAUUGCUGGCCAGAAGGCUCUCAUCAAGCAUGUGAAAAAGCUCAGAGAUAGUUACAAGCUGAGUGAGACUGCCUGUAGCAAGACCGGGCAUGCGUCUGUGGAUCCUCGGUUGUGUGCUCUCUUUGCUCAGGGCCGGCUCUAUGAUUUUGAAGGCCCCGGUGCGAACCCGACCAGUGGGCCCAAUAGAGAGAAAAAUCCAAUUUGAUACAUGAAAAUAUAAAAUUGCUAUAAAAUCAUAAAACUAUUUUUUUUACUAGAAUCAAGCAUAUGUUAUUUUCCCUGUCUUUGUUCCAUACCAAGUAUCAAGGAAGUUACAACGCAGAAAAACCAUAUAGAAAUAGCAUGCUGACCUCCAGUGGUCAUGUGAAACGAAACGAGACUUUCGUGCAUUUUUUGACGCAAAAUCAUCAAUGAGAGUGUCAAGAUCAAUACCAUCCAGCAUAUUCUUCUCAAUGUAGCACAUGGCCAAUCCAUUCAAUCUUUCUUGAGACAUUGUUGACCUCAAAUAAUUUUUCAAGAGUUUCAAUUUUGAGAAACUCCUUUCAACUGAUGCAACAGUCACAGGUAUGGUCAAAAGGAUACGAUAAGCAAUUGAGACAUUUAGAUAACAAUCCGCAUCUCUAACAAACUCAAAUAUCUGAUCCGCUGACAUGAAUGUGUUUGGCAAUGUCAUCUGCAGUACUUUUAGUUCAGAAACGAAAUCAUCUAGAUCGACAUCUGCUGACUGGAAGACCCGGGCCGUCGCACCUCUCGCACUGGUCCAAAGCCGACCCUGAUUAGCUGUAUUGAAUGGGACUGGCUAACUGUAAUUCGCCUGAAAACAUGAAUUGGGUCAGUCAAUUUUCCAGGAUCAACUUCAACCAUUGGAUAACAAACGAAUGGGUCUGCUCAUGUCUUCUUCCUCCUGGGAAAAUAGAUCACGCUCGAUUCCUUCCUCUCGCCGCCUGCUACCACUGGCCAGGCCGCUUGCCACCGCCGCCCGUGGCUGGCGGCGCUCCUGUGCUAGCCUUGCCGCCCCACCUUCCUCUCAACUUCUCCCCACCGCCAUGCUGGCGCUGCCCCCGGCCAUCCCUCUAAUAACUCUUGCAAACCUCUAGAUUUUCAGACGAACCACUAGUAGUAAACAGGGCUUUGGUCACAACCCAAUAUUCACAUUAGUCCCGGUUGCAUCACGAACCGGGACUAAUGUGAUCAUUAGUCCCGGUUUGAGCGGCUAAGGCGUCGGGAAGGCAUUAGUCCCGGUUCAAAUGGGACCUUUAGUCCCGGUUUGAGACACGAACCGGGACUAUUUUAGUCCCGGUUCGUGUCUCAAACCGGGCCGGGUCUCAAACCGGGACUAAAGGUUCAAACUCUUGUAAAAAACAAAAGAAAAUGAUAAAACUUCAAAAAUUAAAAUCCUUCGAGAUGUAGUUAUGUCACUACAUCUACUAGUUAGGAAAAUUAAAAAACUCAAAUUUGGACAUGUUUUGCAAAAACGUGUUAUGAAAAAGUAAAAAACGCCAUAUCUUUUGCAUACGAUGUCGAAAAGAAACACAUAAUAUAUCAAAAAAUCAGCACGAAAAUCCGCAUCCGAUUUUGACGGCCUACGGCCUAUUUGCAAAUUUUUAGAAUCCUCAAAUUCUGAAAGGAAAAAAAGAUAUGCUCAAAUUACAUUUUUUGACUUUUUGUUAAAUCUGGUCAAACUGUGGUCGAACUUUGGUCAAACUACUUAUUCAAAAAAGAGUUGUGUUAAUAAAUAAUUAUUUUUAGUUUUUUGACUUUUGGUCAAAAUGUGGUCAAAUUAUGGUCAAAUCUGGUCGAAAUAUGGUCAAAAUAUGGUCAAACUGCGGUCAAAUCUGGUCAAACUAUGGUCAAACUAUGGUCAAACUACUUAUUCAAGAAAUAUUAAUGUUAAUAAAAAUUAUUGUUAGUUUUUUUGACUUUUGGUCAAACUAUGGUCAAAUCUGGUCAAAUUGUGGUCAAACUAUGGUCAAACUACUUAUUCAAAAAAUAUUAGUGUUAAUAAAUAAUUUUUUUAGAAUAAUAGUUUUGAACUAAAACUUUACUUAAUGCUCAAGUUCAACUCCUAAGGGUUAAUAGGAUUGACAACUUUUUAUUGUCAGGAAAACAACAAGUGCAGACUUGAAAACUAGGGGAAAUACAACUCGAAAGUUAAGCGUGCUCAGACUGGAGUAGUGAGAGGAUGGAUGACCGGCCGGGAAGACGAUUUGAAAUGAGUAGUUCAUAAUUGAGCAGUGAUGAGGGGUGACUAGAGUGGGUGGUUAGAGAUUCAAUUGUCAAAUAAUUCAGAAAUUUGAAAAUAAAAAAAAUAUCAUUGUUAAAAAAAAUCGUAAAAAUUCAGAAAAACAAAUUUUCAAAAAAAUCCUGUCCCGGUAGGUGUUACCAACCGGGACUAAAGGUGGAGCUCCAGAGAGCGAUCACGUGGAGGGCCUUUAGUCCGGUUCGUAACACAACCAAGACUUAAAGGGAGGGCCUUUAGUACCGACCCUUAACCAGGACAAAUGGUUUUUUUUUCUACUAGUGAGCCCGCACCCCCUAACACCCUUAAGAUAGAUAUAGUCUUAUGCCGUACCAAUAUGCACUAAUUUGUAAUGGAGCUAAUUUGUUCCAAUUUCUGCAAGACGGGAAAAGGGUAACCUUGCUGCUGAAUUAAUCACAUUGGAUCAAUGACUGAUGGUUGUACAUGACAGUCAGAGAGAUACCAAACUAUUCCUAAAGCAAAUUAAGCCCGCAGUAGAUAGUGUAUAUAUAGUUAAAUAUUGUUGUUGACUAGUACUAGUUCGCUUGACGGCGCGCACAUGCCGACCAUCAAUCAAUCGCUCCUUGCACGAAACUACUCAGCACGCACCACCCCAGUUGUUUCCUGGCUCUUUCUGGCCGACAAGGAAUAAAGUCUUGGCCAUAAUUCGUUUAACACUGUUUGAUGAACAUGCUAAUCAACCACUACUCCCCUAAGAUAACACGUACUCCCUCCGUUCCAUAAUGUAGUGCCUAUAGAUUUUUUCAAAAGUCAAACAUUACAAACUUUGACCAUAUUUAUAGAGAAAAGUAGGUACAUCUAGAAUACCAAAUGCACAUAAUCGGAUACAUUACAAGUUAUAUUUUCAGAAUGUACAUGUUUGGUAUUGUAGGUCUAGAGAGUUUUCUCUAUACACUUGGUCAAAGUUGACAAAGUUUGACUUUCAGAAAAAUCUAUAGGCACUACAUUAUGGAAUGGAGGGAGUAUUGAAUAUUACGCAUAACUAUUCCUUACAUAAUUUGAAGCAACAUUACCACCUAUGCAAGAAACAGUUCCACAGAUGCUUUAUUUCUAUAACCUAGCUGUCGGAUGCUUAGUAUAGGAAAUGUUUGUCCUGCUCUGCUCUUUCUAUCAAUGUUUUAAAUAAUGGACUAUGCUGUAACACCCCCUGUGUCACGCUACAGUAACCCUUUAUGAUUAAGCUAAUAUUUUUCCAAACAGUGCUUAAUCACCUUUAUUCAAUAUCCCAUUUGAAAUUCUAGUCAAAUUCAAAUUCAAAUUGUAAGUGGAUUUCAAAAUUGCUCAAACAUGAAAACUAAAAUGUUCAUCAUGUGCCAAAUAAUCCUUUGUUAAUAUUGAUGGUGAACCAACAUUCUUUUGCAAAUGUCUAAAUGCCCUAAACCACUUUAAAACAAUGGCUAAAGCAAAUAAAUUAAAUGCUUGUUAAGUUUUAAAAAUAGGAGCAUCCUCACCGGUCAACCCGAUCACGCUGAGAUCGACAUGGCUUCGCCAAAGAGGUUGUACACUUGUUGCAUCUCUUUUUUACUCUACAUGUUAUAUAUAUUGUCCACUGAGCACACGUAGUAACGUGAAAUACAAUUAUUUUAUCCUACUAUAUGACAAGCAGUGAGGUACCAGGCAACUUAGCUAUCCGUAAUGGACUCUCUUGAACGCCAUCAUUAUUUAUAUAUGCGCGUUUGAGCUGUGCAUUUGUCGAUGGGCUUGGGAGUUGAGCUAGUAAGGCAAUGGUCUAGGUCCAAAGUAAUAGAAGUAGCACAAAAACAUUUGUUUAGUGUAGGAUUUUCCUUGCUCAAGCCUGCCUACUAGAAUCGCCAGUGCUUGAAAGGAAAAGUGAAUGAAAAACAUAGGAAUUGGAAAGUUUUCUAUGGUACUACUUUCCAUGAAUUUGGUGCAAAGGAAUAGAGCAAAGGAAAAGUGUAGGAUUUGUUCCUUUAGUGACUCCUUGAAAGAAAAACCGUAGGAAUUCUAAUUCCACUUGUCCCUUUUCAUAUUCCUAUUCAUGAAGCACAAGACUAAGAGAUAGUAGCAUAAUAGCAUUAUAACCAUACAUUUUCUUGUGGUUUGACUUAAUCUCACCAUGCUUCUUUGCAUCCUGUGAUCUUCCAAUUCUUGUGAAUCAAACACCCAGAUUGGCAGAAAUCCUGUGUUUUUAAAUUCUCUGUUUUUAAAUCCUAUUCCUGUCUAUUUUCUAUCCCUGCAUUGUUAGAAUUCUCAAAUUCAAACAAGCCCUUACACAAUUACUUCUGUUACAGAUAUGUGUCAAAGAAAACCUUGUGUGAUUUGUCCUGCUCCUGCGGCGCUGUGUUCCACCCCAGCUCAGCUGCUCCAACGACGGAAGGGUUCACCACAGCAGGGAUCCACUCUCCAGACUGUCUUUCGCUGCCUCAGAUCUUCUUCCCUGCCGCCGGCAGCCACGACAACUGCAUACCAUCAUCAACUGAACAGAUGACCUUGAGGACUACACAGGUCCGCAAGAGAGGUCGCACUCUUCCGUGUCUGCUUACGUUAUGCAUCACUUAAUAUGAUGACAUGCUACAUUAUCGUCGUGUUCAUCUAUUAGACUCCGAGUCAGGUCCAAACUAAUGCUGAAACUUGAGUUUUUAAAUGGUUGUGGGAUACAUAUUGGGGCAGCAAUCAGUACUAUCUGUCUACUAUCUUCUUAAUCUCGGGUGUCUACUAUGAGUUUCAUGUUGGGUGCAAACAAACAUUAAAGGAGCCAUUAUCUGUAUUUUUAACUAAAGCUAUUAUCUGCCUGCUAUCAUUGGUUUUGGGUCUAUCCAUAGUUUGCUACCAUCACUCUGGAUUUGUGCAUGCACUCCUUACAUAAUCUCACUAUGUUUUAUUCCUAUGCAUGCCAGUUAUUGUACAUAAUGGAACUGAUCAUGUAGAGCAAAAGAGACGAGCCUCGCGUGGCAAUAAAAUUUCAUGCAGACCUCGCUCCAUGGUGGGCGCAAAGGCAGCCCCCCUCGACCCAUUUCAGAUCGUAAUCAAGAGGAAGAUAACUGUUCUGAGGGGGAUUUACAAGGAGAAGACCACUCCUAUUUACUUCAUGAGGUCUUCUCUCUAACUUGGCAUGCUGAUGUUGGUAAUAUCAUGCAUAUGGUGCCUUGCAUUGCUUACUGUAUACAUCAAAGAUGUCAUCUGCUUAGUUUAGACAUGCUUUGUGGCAAUGCCAUCUGAUUAGUUUCUUUAUUGUAUAUGUGAAUCAUGCAAUGCCAUCUUGUUUAGCCAGGCAUCAUAUAUGUGAAUUUUGCAAUGCCACCCUGGUUAGCCAGGCAUCAUAUAUGUGAAUUUUGCAAUGCCACCCUGGUUAGCCAGGCAUCUUAUAUGUGAAUUAUAUCAUCCCAUCAUUUUUUAUUACGUAUUAAAUUUGUCAACAAUUUUAGAACAUUCAAUUACUCUUCCUGUGCAUCAGCCAUUCGGCACGGUCAUGGAAAAAUCUGGAGUGGAAACAAGGUCUUCAGAGCAGACAAUGCUAUCUGACGAAGCGCAUGUCUUGCUGGUUAAAGAUAGCUCCUCAGAGGAGGAUUCAGAGACAGAUGACCAGUCCAAUCCCCCCCCCCAGGUGCAUGCUCUAACUUGGCAGGGUUAUGUUGCUCAUAUCAUGCGUAUGGUAUCUUGCAUUUCUAUGUCAUUUGCUUAGUUUAGACAUUCUUUGUGUGAAUGCCACCUGUUUAGUGUCUAAUUACCAUAUAUGUGACUUAUGCAAUGCCAUCUUGUUGCAAGACAUUAUAUAUAUGAAUUAUGCAAUGUUAUCUUGUUGCAAGGCAUUAUAUAUGUGAAUUAUGCAAUGCCAUGCUGUUUAGCCAAGCGUCAUAUAUGUGAAUUAUAUCAUGCCGUCUUUUUUUUGCAUUUCUCAUUGUUUUUGUCGACAAUGUUUGUAUAUUCAAAUGCUCUUCUUCUGCAUCAGCCAUUUGAAUUGGUGAUGGAGAAAUCUGGAGUGAAAACAAGGUCUUCAGAGUAGGCAAUACUACCUGCUGAAGCAGAUAUCUUGCUGGUUACAGAUAGCUCUUCAGAGGAUGAUUCAGAUGUAGAUGACCAGUCCUAUUAUCCCCCCGAGGUGUAUGCUCAAACUUGGCAGGGUUAUAUUACUCAUAUCAUGCAUAUGUUGUAUUGCAAUGCUUAGUUUUUACAUCAUAUACACAAUAUUGAAUGUCAUCUCCUUAGUUGACACAUCAUAUAUGCGAUUGCCCUGUGCUCACUUCCUUAGUAUAUAAAUCAUAUAUUUGAAUUAUAUUAUGCCAUUAUGUUUACAUAGACAUCAUGUAUCUGAAUUAUGGCAUGCCUACCCAUUUCCUAAAGACAUAAUAUAUUUAUAUCAUCUCAUCCUGUUUACAUAGUCAUCAUAUUUUAAAUUAUGGCAUUCUAUCCGUGAAUUAUAUCAUGCCAUCAUGUUUCCAUCGACGGCAUGUUUAUGAUUUAUGGCAUGCCAACCACUUUAAUAGACACAUCGUAUAGUUAUAUCAUGUAAUCCUAUUUACAUAGUCAUCAUAUUUUGAAGUAUGUCAUUCUAUCCUGUUUAGUUAGCCAUAAUACAUGUGAAAUUGUGUCAUGCUAUCUUGUUUAAUUAGCCAUCAUAUAUGUGAAAUUAUGUCCUGCUAUUCUGUUUGGUUAGACAACAUAAAUGUGAAUUAUUUCAUGCCCUGUUUUCUUCCCUACUAUCCAUUGCACCUGUCUAUCUUACAAUGUCUGUACAUUCAAUUAAUUUUCUUGUUUAUCAGCCAUUUCAAUUGGAGGGGGUAAUGGUAGUAUCUGUGGGAGUAAAAACACGGUCUUCAGAAAAGAUCGUGCUACCUGUCGAUGCAGAUAGAACCACGGUUGUACUUGCCCAAGAACCAGCCCCACCACACAUAACCCAAACUCACGCAGAUUGUACCCCUACCUAGUUGGACAGAGAACCAGCUACACCCCUUCUAACCCCAACCCUAGCAGAUAGUAACCCAGUUCCUGUUGACACAGCACCGUCUCCACCACAGAGCACCCAAACACGAGCAGUUAGUAAGGCAACUGCAGCGCCCAAAGUACGAGGACAACCACGUCGAACCCCAAGUCAACGCUUAAAGCGAAGAAGAAUUGUUCUCAGGUCAGGUUCCGUAGCUAUGGUUCAUACUACUUUGCUCUUGCAUAACUGUAUUUACUCAUACCAACUAAUUUCAAAUUUGAAGGAUGCAAUUGAAACUCCAAUGGCGCAACAAGUAUGUUUUAAACCCGUUUCUUUAACGUGUUUGCUGUUGUAACUUGCUCCAUGUUGAUUUCAGUUUCAAUUGAAUAAACAGUUAUGUUCUCAUGCCCUGCACAUUACAAGUGUUGUUAUUGCUGUGUAGUUUCCCACACUUAUAUUCUGUGUAUGCUACUUUGUCUUAAAUAGAUAUGAUUCAAACUGUAUCUAUCUUGAUUUGGCAACAUAAACUAGAAUGAUAUAGACCAUACAGUGACCAUACUACAUAGAUAUAUGUUUGUUUCAUGAUGGUGUCCUGUCCACCUUACUACUGAACUGGUUUACCAAAAUGAGUUUCAUAUACUACAUUGUAAACCUGUGAUGUGUUUGUUUGUUUCCCUUUUAGAACGCGGAUAAAAUAUUGGAGAAGAGUACCCCGUAGAAAUGGUAAAGGAAGUAAUGCAGAUAAGGUUCAAGAUAGUGAGACAUCCCUGUUGGUCUCCAAGAAAGCUGAUAAAAACUAUAUUGAAGACUCUGAGACAACCCCAAAGUCCUGUCUUGAUGUAGUGUUCGAGUUACUGGCUACUACUGCUGGCACCAGCUCUUCGAACUUGUUGCUUGAAUCAGUUCGGCUUCUUAAGUCUCAACUUCAAGUUGAAAGACAUGGAUCAGAUGUUAUGCAGCAGGAAGCCGAAGGACUGAGGAAGUCCCUGCAGAAUUCAGAUGCAUACUUUCUGGUGCAACAACAAGUGCUGGAGGAUUUAAGCGUCAAACAAGAGAAAGUUAAUAAGCUUGCUAAGCAUCUUUCCAGCAUUAUGGGUACCCAGGAUAUUGUUUCUUGAGCUCUUCUGAAGUGGUUUCAGUUUUGUACUUGUUCUGCUGCAGCGUUUAUAUGCUGAUGUGUUCCCUAUAUUUUCACUGGUGGCGAACUUUGAUGCCCAGUGGAUGUAAUAUGUGUAAUACCCGUGAUAGCCUAGCGUAAGUUUCUUGCUUAUUUAUUUCCUUAUUUUCUUGUUUAUUUCUUUUCUUAUAGUCAGUGCAGUUCUUUUUCCGCGGUUAGCUAGUGGUCGCAAUAACCUAUUUUUUUUAAACUAGGCCACAAUAACCAUGGGCUACAUAUUUAAUGUAGUUACCAUUUCCCUCCUACGGGUCGUAGAAACAAUGGGCCUUCUACGGGUCAUAGAAACAAUGGGCCUUAUACGGGUCGUAGACACAAUGAGCCUUCUACGGGUCGUAUCAUCAAUGGGCCUUCUACGGGCCGUAUGAUCGGUUAGCCAAACAUGGGCCAAUAACAGACGGCAUUAUGGUCGUAAACGGGCUAGAGUUGGAAUCGUCCGUUCAUGGGCCGACCAUAACGGGUCGUCGCUAAUCGGCCGUAUUUGAUGACGCUAUGAAAACGGCCCAACAUAUUAACGGGCCACAAAAACGGGCCGACUGUAACCACGGGCUGAAUUUGGCCCACAAGCAGAAAAUGACAGUAACGGGCCGUAAGUAAACGAAUACUGGAAAUGAGCUCAAGAAUAAAUGGGCCCUGAGAAGGCCGAAAGAUAACAUUGGCUGGAAACGGCCCAACGGAAUAACGGGCCGUUAAUGGGUACAAAGUGAUACACUGUUCAUUACGGGCCAGUUUCACCAUGGGCCGUUAAUGGGUAUAAAGUGAUACACUGUUCAUUACGGGCCAGUUUCACCAUGGGCCGUUAAUGGGUGUAAAGUGAUACACUGUUCAUUACGAGCCAGUUUCACCACGGGCAGUUAAUGGGUAUAAAGUGAUACACUGUUCAUUACAGGCCAGUUUCACCACGGGCCGUUAAUGGGCCAAGAGUUACAAAGGGCCUCAUAUGGGUCGAAAGACGUCAUGGGCCAUACAUGGGCCAGAAGUUAAAACAGGCUGGAAUCAUAUUGGACGGCCCAGAUGACGCUACUGGGCCUAAUUUGGAUAGGUCGUAACGGGCCCUGGGUUAGCAGGCUGUAAAUGGGCUAUAUGCGAACAUGCCAUUAACAAGCUUUCCAUGGGCCCGCCCGCCACCUUUUGACCAAGCCAAACAGGCCGGCCUUUUCACAGGAAUGGACCUCUGUUGGGCCGUGCCAUGUGUCAACGUAUCAUAGGCGCCUUAUGUCCAAUGAGUGGAUGACAUCUGUCCCGACGGUGAGCCGACACGUGUUUCCUCCAGCCAAUGAUGAUUUUACACGUGGAAAAUCCCCAUUGGUCGGGGCUGUUAACGGGUUAUCGGAUCCAAAACCGGACCCGAUAGCUUAACGGUGUUCCGUUAUGGUGGAUGCGACGUGUCUGUCACCCUUGACAAAAGCACUUCUAUGACGCGCGAUUUAUCAUCAUGGAAGUGGACACUUCCGUGAUGAUAAUUUUGUUAAUUUCAUGGAACACUUCUACGAUAGCACAGGUACGACUAUCUUGAUUCUGUCAUAAAAUCGUCAUGGAUGUACAUGCAUGACAAAAAACGCGACCUAUUGUGACAAACACGUAUCAUCACAGAAGUGUAUUUUUUUGUAGUGGGAGUUGAACUAAGGAGUUUGUAAGGGCAAGGAGAUCGCCUACUUCGUGAAGAUCUACCCUAGUGAGGAAAGUCCUUCAUGGGCAAUGGCCAUGGUGGGAUAGACAAUGUUGCUUCUUCGUCGACCCUUCAUGGGUGGAGCCCUCCGUGGACUCACGCAGUCGUUACCCUUCGUGGGUUGAAGUCUCCAUCAACGUGGAUGUACGAUAGCACCACCUAUCGGAACCACGCCAAAAAUCUUCGUGUCAACAUUGCGUUUGCUCCCUCCAAACUCCUCCCAUUUACCUUCUUGCAAGUUGCAUGCUUUACUUUCCGCUGGUCAUAUACUCUUUGCAUGCUUGCUUGAAUUGUGUUAAGAUUGCUUGACUUGUGUAAAGUUGCUAAUAUCUGCCAAGACUUAAAAUUGGGAAAAAGGCGAGAUUUUUAUGUGGUCAAGUAGUCUAAUCACCCCCCUCUAGACAUACUUUCGAUCCUACAAGUGGUAUCAGAGCUACGUUCUCCAUUUGCCUUGAUUUCCAUAGCUUUUGGUGAUCAUAGCCUUUGUUUCACAACCUAGGAGAGUAUGGCGUCUAGUGAGGGAAAUACCACCGUAGAGGUCCUUACUUUGAUGGUACUAAUUUUCCGAGUUGGAAGCAUAAGAUGAAAAUGCAUAUUCUUGGACAUAACCACACCGUUUGGGCUAUUGUGUGUAUUGGCUUGCAAGGUGAAUUCUUCGACGGGAGAGAACCGAACCGUGAAGCUACUGCGGAAGAGUUGAAGAUGCUGCAAUACAACGUUCAAGCUUGUGAUAUCCUCUUCAACGGAUUGUGCCCCGAAGAAUUCAACAAAAUCAGCCGUCUUAAGAAUGCAAAGGAAAUUUGGGAUACUUUGAUUGAUAUUCACGAAGGUACCGACUCCGUCAAGGAAUCCAAAUUGGAUGUGCUUCAAAGUCAACUUGACAAGUUCAAAAUGAAGGAUGGUGAAGGUGUCGCCUAAAUGUACUCUAGGCAUUCUCUCAUCACAAGUGAGAUUGCCGGCUUAGGAAGUGAAGAGAUGACCGAUAGAUUCAUAAUCAAGAAGAUCCUAAGAGCCUUGGAUGGAAAAUAUGAUACCGUGUGCACAUUGAUCCAAAUGAUGCCCAAUUACAAAGAUCUCAAGCCAACGGAAGUCAUUGGAAGAAUUGUUGCUCAUGAGAUGUCACUCAAGGAUAAAGAAGAGCUUCACAACAAGUCAAGUGGUGCUUAUAAAGCCUCAUGUGAUGCCCCUACAUCAUCAAGUGAGAAACAAACCUUCGAUGAAGAAUUGAGCCUAAUGGUGAAAAACUUCAAAAAGUUCUACAAGAGUAGAAGCAAGGAAAGAAGUUCCAAGUCAAGGUCCUACAAUGACAAAAGAUCUUCGAGUCGUGAACGUAAUUGCUACAAUUGUGGAAGACCCGGACACUACUCCAAUGAGUGUACGGCUCCCUACAAAAGAAGAGAAGAUUCACCUAAAAGAAAAAGUAGAAGAGAAGAAUCAACACCAAGAGAGAGAAGGAGUAGACAUGAUCGUUAUGAACGAAGAACCUCCCGGAGAAGCUAGGAUUCGAAAAGGAAGGACAAAUCAUCAAGGAGCUACAGAAAACGAAGACAUCAAGCUCAUGUUGGUGAAUGGGUAUCCGGCUCCGACUCCGACCACCACUCCGAGAGAAGUUAUCACUCUAACUCCGAAUAUACUCAAGAUGAAGGUGUUGUCGGUCUAGCACUUGUGUCAACCAACUCCUACGACAUAUUUGACUCACCAAAUGAAGGAAUUGGAAGAUGCUUCAUGUUUAAAGGACCAAAGGUAUCACACCCCGAGUAUGUUGGUUUCAAUAGUGAUGAAGAUGACUUGCUAGGUGAUGAUGAUUUACUUGUUGACAACUCUUGUGAUGAAUACUAUGAUGAGAUGUCAAUUAAUCAUGCUAAAACUAAUGACAAUGAUAAGGAGAAGAUUGAGCUUCUAACUAGAGAACUAACCACUCUUAAGUUAGCUCAUGAAACUACUUUAGAAGAUCAUCGAGAACUUUUAAAAACUCAUGAGAAGUUACGCUUUGAAAAGCUCAAUCUUGAGAAAGAGCAUGAGUUCUUAAAGGCCAUCAAUGAUGAUCUUCGAAAGAAAAGUUCUUCUUACAUUGCCAAGCGUUUACUCUUGUCUACUUACAUGCCACAAGUAAAAUCUAGCAACAAGAACAAGAAAGAUUCUUCUUCUAGUAGUAACCAUAAUCACGCUAAAUCCAAUAUUGUUGCUUCUAUUAGUUCUCUCUAUUCCACUAAUGAUUCUCUUAGCCAAGUUACACUUGAGCAAGAAAAUAGCUUAUUGAAGGGAAUUAUAGAGAAAGGUUUUUACAAGAGCCUUGCCAGAAGUAAGCAAUUUGAGGAAAUUGUACGCAAGCAAGGAAGGCACUGGAAGAAUCAAGGUGUUGGUUUGAACGAAAGUUCAAUACUAAUGGAGUUGAGUGGGAAGAAGAUCAAUACCCCAAGAAGAAGUUUGUUCCUCAACAAGAGAAGUAUGAUCCAACUUCUUUCCAAGGAACACAAGCUCAAGAUGAUCUUCCACCACAAGACCACAAGCUAAAAGGCAAGGACAAGCUUCAAGAAGAGAUUGAUGCAUUUGAAGAUGCUCCGAAGGCCUUGGUCAAGUGGGUUCCCAAGACUACAUCAAGUUCUACUUCAUCAAGUUCUUCCUCCUUUGUUCAUCCGUUCUCGCAUCCUCGAGCUCCAGCGCCCAAGUUCUCACCUUCUUCGUAGGACCGCAGCAUGUCCGGAGCGGGAGGCAAGUGGAUGGCCUCCUCUGUCACAGAGGAGAACAUUACCAAGCUUCGGGAGGUCGAAUACCUGGCCGAGAGCAUCGCGCACAGGCUUCCGGCGGAGGGACAGAUCACCCCCACCCCAAAGUCUCGGGAGAGAGUAGUAUUUCUCCCUCAUUUCAUCCGCGGACUAGGAUUUCCAAUCCACCCAUUCGUCCGCGGGCUCAUGUACUACUACGGGCUAGAUUUCCACGACCUAGCCCCGAAUUUCGUCCUCAACAUCUCAGCGUUCAUCGUCGUGUGCGAGGCCUUCCUCCGCAUCAAGCCCCACUUCGGCCUGUGGCUGAAAACCUUCUGCGUGAAGCCAAAGAUCGUGAGCGGCCAACAGGCGGAGUGCGGAGGUGCCAUGCUGGGCAAGAUGCCCAACAUCACAUGGCUUGAUGGCUCCUUCGUGGAGACCAUAAAAGGAUGGCAAUCAGGGUGGUUCUACAUCACCGAGCCCCGCGACGCCAACUGGGCGGCGGCCCCCAAAUUCAGAUCCGGAAUCCCCAUGCGGCUCAUUUCUUGGGAAAAGAAUGGCCUGGCCUGGGGCGAACCCACGGAGCUGACCAGACUCGAGGUCUGCAUCAAAAGCAUGAGGGACAAGAAGAUCAAGCUUGACAACAUGGUCCAGGUCAUGCUCAUUUGCCGGAUUCUCCCGUGUCAAAGACGGGCAUUUGAUAUGUGGGAGUUCGACCUGGCCGAACACCAGAUGUUGUUGGAGCUCUUUGACACGACGCACAAAGAAAUCUGGAAGGUGAUGUUCAAGACCGGCGAAGUUCCUCCCCCCCUUUCUGAGGACCAUGGGCUCAGCACAACGCGCCUUGCCAAUCCGGUAAGUCCUCCGAUUAUCACAAGAUGCUCCAUUCCCAGUAUAUUUGUGGGAGGGUUUUUGAGUCUCCAUGUUGACCAAACAGGAUUGGGUGGAGACGGCGGAGCGGAUUGACUGUCCGGCUCCACUACCCAAGGACCCCGUAGGCGCGCUACUAGCAGAGAGGCUAGUUCCGACGCCUUACAAGGUGCCGGAGAAGAAGGCCGAAAAGAAGGCCACGGGGACCCAGAAGGGUCUUCGGCACGAGGCCGCACCCGACGCCUCGCCGAAGGAGGCUGAGGCGCACUCCUCCCACAAAGGGGAGGAGAGAAGGAGGAAGGCCGCCUCAACUGAGGGGGCCGAAGGGUCCAAGAAGGCGGCCGCGGGGACUAGAAAAAGUCUCUGGCGCAGGGCCGUGAUAGAGUCAUCAUCCUAGGAUGACGAGGAAGAUUCCUCCCCCGAAGACGGGGGGAAACCUGAAGAAAUGCCCCCUCCCCGUACUGGGGAGGAGAAGAAACGGAAGGACGCCCCAUCGGGCGAGGCCGGGAUGCCGAAGGAGGGGAAGGCGUCCCUCCCAGAUCAAUCCACUACCGCCGCUUACAGUGACGAGGAGUGGCUGCCCAGGGGCAAGCCCCGAGCGAGGUCGUAAGUAUCCACAUUCCGUAAUACUUUUUCAUGCGACUCUGACCUCACGGUUUGUAAUGACGCCGAAUACGUAUAUGCAGUCCGGCCGGGUCCAAUCUCGGGGCGCCCUCUUCGGAGGAGUCUCUGGCCACCUCCCCAUGACCUGCGGAUGACACCGAGGUGUUGUCCCGGAGGAUGCCGGAGCAGGAGGCGAUGGUUCCGGAGACGCCCCAAGGCAAAAUCCCGGGAGCCGGACACGUGGGGGAUAAGACCCCCAUGGAUUAUGCUGACGGGAGCCACAACAAGUCUGGCUCCCAGCCGGUUACUGCGCCGGAGCCUACAAAGGUUCCGGAUUCCAGUAAGCAGACCCUCACGAAGAAGGGCGAGCCAGCCGUGCCGAUGACCUCAGCCCAGCCGGAGGCAUCGGACAAUUUGUUGGAAGUUCUUCGAGGCGCUUCCAUCGAUGAUGAACACCGUACUCAUAGUACGGUGAUUGAGAAGGUUCGGUUCACCAAGAGCGGAUUGACCGAAGCCUGCACCAGCCUACUAACAGGCUUUGAGGUAAGCUAAUGAAAAAUUGUGAGUAAAUAUCACCCGAUAGACAGUAGCCCCUGAUACUCCGGUUGGUGUUCGGAAAGAAAAGACAAACAGAGGGUCAACUAAAAAACCGCAGGAAGCUAAUAGUAAUUGUCCGUGUUUGACAAGUAGGCAUUGUUGCUGACCGCCGCUGCGCAUACGGCUGAAGUUGCCGGACUGAAGAGCGAACUAGGGCAGGCCGAAGAAGAGCUCGGCCUCGUGAAGAAGCAGCUCGAGGAGAACAAAGGUAAGUGAAACCCCGUCCGUGUGUUGUAAAGGAGAAAAAUUGGCGAUGCUAACAAAGAGCAUCGUUAUUUUUAACAGGGGCCGCGACCGAAGUAGCGACCCUGAAGAAAGCGUUGUCCGAGGCCAAAGCUAAUGCGGCCAGAGAGCGCACCGAGCGUGAAAAUGAAGAUGCUCGGGUGGGAGAGGUGCAGCAAGAGCUCCAGGAGCUCAGCAAGAAGUGCGAGUCCUUGGAGCAUGACUUCAAGACGCAGGAGUCUGAGCUUGCGAAAGCCCUCCAGAGCAUUGCAGAUGCCAAGGCCGAAGCUCAAAAGGCCCUCUAGGCAAUCCAGGCGGCCAAGAAGAUAGCGGAGGGUAAGGCAUUCUUUAUGCAAAGCAAGCAUGUGAAGGAGUCAUUGCUUUUACUUACACGAAUCCGGAGCUCUCCAGGGGCAUUCGCAGAUUUGCCAUGCAGCAUUUCGGAUGCCGCGGAGUUCUAUCGCGCUAAAGAGGGGAGCUCUACGGAGAAGCUGUUCUGGUCCCAAUAUACUGGGUCCGAACACCCGAUGCCUCUAAGUGACCAACUGAAGCAGCUGGUCGAACUCCACAACGCGGCCGAACAGGCCAUGAAGGACCUCAUAGUCCGGAUGUGGCCUGGCGAGCCCCUGCCCGGCAGCUACUUUAGCCUGGUGAAGCGGAUGGUGCAGGCCUGUCCACGACUCAAAGUCAUCAAGCAGUCAGUAUGUAUUGAAGGUGCCCGGCGGGCCUUUGCCCGCGCGAAAAUGCAUUGGGCCAAACUGGAUGUUGAGAAGCUCGUGAAGGACGGACCCCUAGAGGGCAAGGAGCAUCGCUAUCCCCAAAAAUAUUAUGCUGGCGUUAUGAAAGGCGCUCGGCUUGUGGCAAAUGAAUGUCCUAAGAACAUAAUUUUCGAGUGAAUGUACUCAGGUCAUCCGUGUAAUAUGAGAACUAGUUUGAUUGCGCUAUACAACGCUUUGGUUGAUUUAAAAUAUUACCUUCUCUGUGGCCGUUUAUCAAAAUCUGAAAGUAGGCCAGUCGUCGGCUUCCGCCCCCUUGUAACUAGUACUGGGGUGUUCGUGGAAAACCCAAACACUCUUUAUCCAAAUUCUUGGUCCUUUAAGGAGGUGUUUAGCGCAGCGAACAAGACAAUCGGACUAUUCGGCUUUAUAACUCUCACUUGGCCAUAGAAGUCUAAAAUUUGAAAUUUCGGCGAAGCCCCUAGUAUUCGGAAGGCCGAACUGGGGCGUUAUACACGCCUAAAUCGGGCAAGGCCGAUUCCUCGCCUUAAGCGGAAGAAAUCUUUAAGGAUUUAGUACCUCGCGAAUAGCGACUAGCUCUAGCCGCAUCAUGAUGGUCAGUUUUCGGCUUUCUCUACUGAGGUGCUCGUCCGGGAGAACCGGGACACAAUCGCAGUAGUUCUCCCUGCGCUACCUUAGCCGAUAUAACGGAAUGGAAGGUACAAAAACAAGGGAGCCGGGCUAACCCAACUAUUGACCCAAGACAUGAUUCACAACUGAUGCAUAUAAUGCUAUAAGUUCGGGGCGCCGCGCUGUCGAAAGUGUUCGGACUUUUCUUGCCAUAUUAUGGAGCUUCGAUGAGAAGCCCUUGGCAAACUGAGCAUACCAAAAUGUAUGGAUGCAAUAUUGAAUUAAUAUUUAAAGGAAAAUAUGAAGAUAGUAAUAAGAAGCUGACAAUGUGUACUACUUCCCAUUUGUUUGGACAAUACGGCAAGGCGUAUGUGUACAAUUAAUGCAUUAAGCAGAAAGAAAUAGGACUAUUUAACAUGUCCUAUCCAAGGGCAGGCUACAUGCGGGUAUGUAAAAACAGGUAUAACGAUCAUUGAAGAAGACCACCUUGGUAUUCCUUUGUGUGCAAAGCCUCUUGCCUCCUUGGUGUUCCCUCCUAUAAUGAGUCCGGUUAUCCGAUCUCUCUGAAGGGGUUGCCCGAAAGUAGGGUCCUGAAAAAAGAAAAAAUGAUACGUGGGCCUAAUGGCGGCCGAACCGCACUCUGGCCGCAUUGUCGUCUCGCCUCCACCUAUGCCCAUGGUAUUUUAAGCGCGUAUUUGUGUACGCGUGGCACGACCGCCGCCUGAAUGGGACAGGGGUGGAGGCCGGAUUGCUAGUCAAGCUCCUAGCGUCCCUGACGGUCCUGUUGCGGGGUGCUCCGGACUCGCUUGAUGGUGUUCGGGGUUGUCGUUGCCGAAUUGGCUGUUUGUCGAAGGAGGCUGCUUUGUUCUUCUGCCGCGAGGGCCGCAGUGUGCUCCUCCGUACGGAGGGAGCGGUCUGUAUUUCCAUUGACUGUUAUGACCCCGCGAGGUCCUGGCAUUUUGAGCUUGAGGUAUGCAUAGUGUGGUACCGCAUUGAAUCGAGCGAACGCGGUUCGUCCAAGUAGUGCAUGAUAGCCACUACAGAAAGGGACGAUGUCGAAGAUUAGCUCCUCACUUCGGAAGUUAUCCGGGGAUCCGAAGACCACUUCCAGUGUUAUUGAGCCCGUGCAGUGGGCCUCUACCCCUGGAAUUACACCUUUGAAGGUGGUUUUGGUGGGUUUGAUCGGUGAUGGAUCGAUGCCCAUUUUGCGCACUGUAUCCUGAUAAAGCAGGUUCAGGCUGCUGCCACCGUCCAUGAGGACUCGCGUGAGGUGGAAUCCGUCAAUAAUUGGGUCAAGGACCAAUGCAGUUGAGCCGCCGUGACGGAUGCUGGUGGGAUGGUCCCUAUGAGCAAAGGUGAUCGGGCAGGAUAACCAUGGGUUGAAUUUUGGGGCGACGGGCUCCAUCGCAUAGACGUCCCUGAGUGCAUGCUUUCGCUCCCGUUUGGGGAUGUGAGUGGCAUAGAUCAUGUUCACUGUUUUCACCUGGGAAGGAAAUUUCUUCUGUCCUCUAGUAUUCGGACGCCGGGGCUCCUCGUCAUCAUCGCCGUGCAGCCCCGUGUCCUUGUUAUCGGCAUUUAUCUUGCUGGCCUAUUUGAACACCCAGCAAUCUCUAUUAGUGUGAUUGGCUGGGUUAUCGGGGGUGCCGUGUAUCUGGCACGAGCGGUCGAGUAUGUGGUCCAGACUGGACGAUCCCUGAUUGUGUCUUUUGAACGGCUUCUUUCGCUGACCGGAUUUGGAGUUGCUGAAUCCGGCAUUUACUGUCGUAUCCCCAGCAUUGUCGCCAUUGUUUCGACGCUUGUGUCUAUUGCGCCGUGGCUUUCCAUUACUAUCACGGAUAUCUGAAGUGCCAGGGUUUCCUGGCACGGUAUUACUGCGAGCCAGCCAGCUUUCCUCACCCGCGCAAAUGCGGCUCAUUAGUUUUCGUAAGGGACGCUGUCGGUGUCAAAACCGGCGGAUCUCGGGUAGGGGGUCCCGAACUGUGCAUCUAGACGGAUGGUAACAGGAGACAAGGGACACGAUGUUUUUACCUAGGUUCGGGCCCUCUCGAUGGAGGUAAUACCCUACUCCUUCUUGAUUAAUAUUGAUGAUAUGGGUAGUACAAGAGUAGAUCUACCACGAGAUCAGAGAGGCUAAACCCUGGAAGCUAGCCUAUGGUAUGAUUGUUGUUCGACCUACGGACUAAAACCCUCCGGUUUAUAUAGACACCGGAUAGGGUUAGGGUUACACAGAGUCGGUUACAAUGGUAGGAGAUCUACAUAUCCGCAUUGCCAAGCUUGCCUUCCACGCCAAGGAAAGUCCCAUCCGGACACGGGACGAAGUCUUCAAUCUUGUAUCUUCAUAGUCUAGGAGUCCGGCCAACGGUGAUAGUUUGGCUAUCCGGACACCCCCUAAUCCAGGGAUCCCUCAGUAGCCCCCGAACCAGGCUUCAAAUGGCGACGAGUCCGGCGCGUAGAUUGUCUUCGGCAUUGCAAGGCGGGUUCUUCUCCAAAUUCCAUAUACUUGUCGAAUAGUGUCCGGCUUCUGAUAAAUGCCGCGCUCCUUGGCUUCCAUGCCCAAUAACGGUCAUCUUCCACAUGUUUGAAUGAAUGCGAAAAGCCAGGGUAUUUUUACACUUAUCCCCCUAGCUGCGCAAAUGAGUUGUCUAUAAAAGGGACGAGGAUCUAGAUCUGAGUCACACCAUCCCCCCUCCGCGAGCUUUCAUCAGAGCGCCUUCGACAAAGAUCCAUUCCACCAUGGACAGUCGACACAGCUCCUCCUCUCGCGCUCCCAGCCCUCAGCCGGGAAAUUGGGAGAGAUGCUCAGUCCCGCAUAGCGAACUAGUGAUUUCUUCCCCUUGCCUUCAUGGUUCCGGUUCGAGCCGGACUUGCCACCUACAAGGGUGGGAAGCAAGCGGAGAGUGUCCCCGAUCCCUCUAAAGGAGAGCGGGUAUGCUUUAUCUCUUAUCUAGUAAGAGGACUCGGAUUUCCAAUUCAUCCGUUUCUCCGGGGGCUCUUGGAGUUCUACGGCCUCCAGUUGCACCACCUUACGCCUGCCUCCAUUUUGCACAUCGCGGGCUUCGUGGCCCUUUGCGAACUGUUCUUGGGCAUCGAGGCUCAUUUUGCGUUGUGGAAGAGAUUAUUCUGCCUUCUACCCCGUUCUCAUGAGGGGUCAAUAUAUCAAGUGGGCGGAGCCGAACUAUGGCGCAUCGCCGGGACCGGAUAUUUAUCUGGAACCCCGAAGAAGGCGUCCGAAGACUAGCCUUCGGAAUGGUUUUACAUGGAAGACGUCCCGCUGUCGGAUCCUGUUCGGAGUUUAGCAACGCUCCUCUGAAGAAGCGCCUAAGCUGGCGCCCGCGGAGCCCCCAGAGGGAAAAUGACCGGGACGUCCUUUACUUGAUGAGCCGAAUAAGAUUACUGGCUCAUGCCGGACUGACCAUGACUGGAGUCAUGGCAAUCUGCAUUAUGAGGGGAGUGCAGCCGCUUCAAUAUAGGGGCCACCCCAUGUGGGACUUCAACGGGGAGGACGAUGCCACCCGCCAUGGCCGCAAAGGGCUGGGAUCGGUCACCGAACUGGUGAAGACCUUGUCCGCCAUGUACAAAGGGGAAGAGGAGGAUUUUCUCCGCGUCAAUCCACUGGACGGGUUUUCUUCGAAUAAUCCUCGUAGUUGGGUAAGCAACUACCUUAGUGGCCUGUCCGAUCCAUGUUCUCGUGGUUAAAUAUCUCAUUUCAUGGUUUCUACGCAGGAACUGCGCCGGGCCGUGGAGAAGAUACACAGCCCGCCCCCACAACCCGAGGAUCCGGAACGGUCCCUCGAUCCGGCCUCUGAAGAGGAUCUAGAUAUAAAGGUGGAGUUGAUCGACGGGGUGUUCCACCAACUUAGCCUCGACAAUGCUUUGGUUGCCAUUACGGUCGAUUACCCCGGAAUACUUCCAGCCUCACAGGUAACUGAGACCGAGGUCCCAAUACCCUGAUAAUGACCCGUCCGUGCUUAUUUUUUGAUCACCGUAUACCAAUGGUGUUUCGCAGGGGGUGCCUUCGAGGCAGGAGGCCGAGCCUGCGGCGGCUGGCCAACAAGGGGCAGUACAGCCCUCCAGGUUAAAAAGAAGUGCGGUCCGGAUCAAAACUCCGCCGCAACGGUAUGGCGCGUCACCAUAUUCCCAGGAUUGAUUCCUGGAAGGUGUACUAACGCUGGUCCUUUUUUCAGGAAAAAGAGCGCUCGCCGGACUGAGUCCGGAGAGGUUGCCAAUCGAGCCUCCGCCGGCCAGGCUCCAAAGCCAGGUCCAGAAGUGGAGGCGAGCACGAGGCGUGAGUCGGAUGCUCCUCCGACAGAGGAUGCCGACAAUUUGUCCUCCACCAACUCCGAGGUGGAGAGCGCCAUGAAUCACAGGCGCCGCCGGACAGUUCUUCAAGACGCAUGUUUCUCCCAAGAGGCCUUGAAUGCCUUCAAUUCGGGAGAUGCGCACCUCCGUGCCGCUCAAGAUGGUCUAGCCAGAGCCACGGAGCAGUAUGUAAAGGACAUACAGGUGAGGAAAUUUGACAGUUAUAUAUGCCAGUAGCCCCCGAGACUUAAAAUAGUUAGAAUAACUGAUUUAAGGAUCAUUUGUUAUGCAAGAUCUUACAAAAAAGAAUACCCGACUGUCCCAGGAGCUUGAAGAAUGCAAGGCCCAACUUGAGGCCGCACUAGCCGCUACAGGGGGAGCCACAGAGACCCCCUCUGGUAAUAUAUGCCUCAAAAGAAAAAUAGUUUAUGAAGUACGGCGUGUGUGUAAAUCUGACAAUAAUAUUGCAGAUGGUGCCGGACUAGAUCCAGACAAGCAACAGCUCUUGCGCCGGUUGAAGGCCGGCGAGAGCGUGCUUACGAGGGUGCGGCAGGAGAAAAAUAACCUCCAAGAUGCCAACACCCAGCUGGGUGAGGAACUAAAGGAUGUUCGAGCCCAGUUGUCUGACUCCGUAAAGGAGAAUCGACGGCUUUGUCGCGGCAUUUUUAGUAAGUGCUUGAACGAACUUUAAAGAGUUCGGCGAGGAAGGUGACUAACAUAAACAUGUAUGUAGGUUUGCUCACAGGUCGUCCUGAGGAGGAGAUGCCCAGUUCUUCGGGUGAUCUUCUUCUCGAACUGCGUCAGCUGCACGAACGAGUUCGGCAGGUGAUGAAAGGCAUAGCCCAGGCCUUGUGGCCAUCUAUCUCCCUGCCUGAAGGCAUUGGGGAGCUGGCAGAGUGGCUUCAAGGAGCACGGCGGCGCUUCCGACUAUGGAAGAUAUCGGCCUGCCGUCAAGGCGCCAGGGAGGCCUGUGCCAUGGUAAAGACGCGGUACACUAAGGCUGACCCAAACCACAUGGCCGAGGUCGGACCUGUGGGGCCUGAUGGGAAGGAGAUCCCUGUGAGCUUAGUGUACGGCCAAGUAGAAUUGGCCGCCAAGUAUUCCCAGCAAGAUUGUAAAUUAGAUAGCCUAUUAGAUGGCAUUGAGGAGGAAUACAAUGAGUCGAGUUGACUAUGUAAUUGAAUAUGACAUGAAAAAUGUCUUCUAGCCGGAUUGUAGAUCGUUUGUCAUAGCGGACUUUUUCGCUUCGACCUCGGGACCCAAUAGUCCGGAGUGUGUCCGAAUACCCUCACGGUUAUAUAAGAACAGGGGCAUGCAUGGAGACAAGGCGUUGGGGUCAUUAUUGUUGUAUCAGACAAGUGCCCAACUAGUUAUGUUAUAUUACAUGGAUAGUAAGAAACAUCUUCCAGGGAGAAUAGUUCCGUUAAGGGUUCCUUUCGCUGGGAGGCAUGCCCUAAAGUGCAUGUCAAAGCUGCUAAGAAAGCAGAAAAUCAUCUGGGGGCAGAUGGAUAAAUAGUUAAAAAUCAUCUUUCAGUUCACCGACCGAAUAUUCCCUUAAGAACGCUAGCUUUCGGCUUCACCCAGUCUGAGGUACACAUCCGGCUGACCCGGCAGUAACAAUCGCAGAGGUGCUCCCUUUACCACCUAGCUGAACAAUCGGGAACGUAGGGGUAAGCACAGGAGCCAGGCAACCCAGCUUGGCCAAAACUUAAGUCAUAUCGAUGCAUAUAAUGGUGAAUAAAAGGUACAUGCGGAAGUUUGACACAUGUGUUGGGGAACGUAGCAGAAAUUCAAAAUUUUCCUACGUGUCACCAAGAUCUAUCUAUGGAGAAACCUGCAACGAGGGGAAGGAGAGUGCAUCUACAUACCCUUGUAGAUCGCUAAGCGGAAGCGUUCAAGUGAACGGGGUUGAUGGAGUCGUACUCGUCGUGAUUCAGAUCACCGAUGAUCAAGUGCCGAACGCACGGCACCUCCGCGUUCAACACACGUACAGCCCGGUGACGUCUCCCAUGCCUUGAUCCAGCAAGGAGAGAGGGAGAGGUUGAGGAAGACUCCAUCCAGCAGCAGCACAACGGCGUGGUGGUGAUGGAGGAGCGUGGUAAUCUUGCAGGGCUUCGCCAAGCAUCACAAGAUAUGAGGAGGAGGAAGAAGAGACGCAGGGCUGCACCCACGAGAGAUAGAAUUGCGUGCAUUGGGCAGCCCCUUGGCCUCAUAUAUAUAGGGGAAGGGGAGGAGGGUGCGCCCCCUCUAGGGUUCCCACCCCUAGAGGGGCGGCAGCCCUAGAUGGGAUCAAGGGGAGGCGGCCAAGAGGGGAGGGAGAGGGAGGCGCCCACUAGAUGGGCCUUAGGGCCCAUCUGCCCUAGGGUUUGCCCCCUCCCACUCACCCUUGCGCCUUGGGCCUCUUGUGGGGGGCGCACCAGCCCCCUUGGGGCUGGUUCCCUCCCACACUUGGCCCACGCAACCUUCUGGGGUUGGUGGCCCCACUUGGUGGACCCCCGGGACCCUCCCGGUGGUCCCGGUACAUUACCGAAAUCGCCCGAAACUUUUCCGGUGACCAAAACAGGACUUCCCAUAUAUAAAUCUUUACCUCCGGACCAUUCCGGAACUCCUCGUGACGUCCGGGAUCUCAUCCGGGACUCCGAACAACAUUCGGUAACCACAUACAAACUUCCUUUAUAACCCUAGCGUCACCGAACCUUAAGUGUGUAGACCCUACGGGUUCGGGAGACAUGCAGACAUGACCGAGACGUUCUCCGGUCAAUAACCAACAGCGGGAUCUGGAUACCCAUGUUGGCUCCCACAUGUUCCACGAUGAUCUCAUCGGAUGAACCACGAUGUCAAGGACUCAAUCGAUCCCGUAUACAAUUCCCUUUGUCUAGCGGUAUUGUACUUGCCUGAGAUUCGAUCGUCGGUAUACCGAUACCUUGUUCAAUCUCGUUGCCGGCAAGUCUCUUUACUCGUUCCGUAACACAUCAUCCCGUGAUCAACCCCUUGGUCACAUUGUGCACAUUAUGAUGAUGUCCUACCGAGUGGGCCCAGAGAUACCUCUCCGUUUACACGGAGUGACAAAUCCCAGUCUCGAUUCGUGCCAACCCAACAGACACUUUCGGAGAUACCUGUAAUGCACCUUUAUAGCCACCCAGUUACGUUGUGACGUUUGGUACACCCAAAGCAUUCCUACGGUAUCCGGGAGUUGCACAAUCUCAUGGUCUAAGGAAAAGAUACUUGACAUUAGAAAAGCUUUAGCAUACGAACUACACGAUCUUUGUGCUAGGCUUAGGAUUGGGUCUUGUCCAUCACAUCAUUCUCCUAAUGAUGUGAUCCCGUUAUCAAUGACAUCCAAUGUCCAUGGUCAGGAAACCGUAACCAUCUAUUGAUCAACGAGCUAGUCAACUAGAGGCUUACUAGGGACAUGGUGUUGUCUAUGUAUCCACACAUGUAUUGCUGUUUCCGGUCAAUACAAUUAUAGCAUGAAUAAUAAACGAUUAUCAUGAACAAGGAAAUAUAAUAAUAACUAAUUUAUUAUUGCCUCUAGGGCAUAUUUCCAACAGUUUUGGGCAUGAAGCCCGUAUAAAUAAGCUUCUGUUAAAGAAGCCCCCAGGUAUAAUGAGCGCGGACAGCGUGUCAAAUAUGUGCGAACAAAGCGCAAACGAGCCUCUAAAGGCUUCAAGAAGAAGGAGGAGGAAGGAGAGAAAUAAAAGACAGCAAAAAUAGAAAAUGUGGACGAAGGAAGGAGACGAACUUGGAGUCCGGCGCUUAGGUGUAGAAUCUUCGUAGACGGGCUGCGUUCCAUGGGUUCGGCUCGAGUCGGUUAUCCAAUGCGUUUCGCAGACGGUAUGCUCCGCCGGUCAGGACCUGGUCGAUGAUGAAGGGACCUUCCCAUUUGGGCUUGAGUUUGUCCUUUUUCUUGUCCGGCAGGCGUAGAACUAGUUCGCCAACGUUAUAAGCUUUGGCCCGUACUUCCCUGCUUUGAUAUCUUCGAGCCUGCUGUUGAUAAAAUGCGGAACGAGCUUUUGCCACGUCGCGCUCCUCCUCCAAUGCGUCCAAACUGUCCUGCCGAUCGAGCUCGGCUUCUCUUUCUUCAUACAUGCACACGCGAGGUGAGUCAUGUAUUAUGUCGCAGGGCAAGACUGCCUCUGCACCGUACACCAUAAAAAAUGGUGUGAAUCCGGUAGUACGAUUCGGCGUGAUCCGCAGCCCCCAGAGUACGGAGUCGAGCUCCUCAACCCAGUGCAUGUUAGAUUCUUUGAGGGACCGCACUAGUCUGGGUUUAAUGCCGCUCAUGAUUAGACCGUUUGCUCGCUCGACUUGACCGUUGGUUUGAGGGUGAUAGACUGAGGCGUAAUCGAGCUUGAUGCCUAUGCUUUUGCACCAUAAUUUGACCUCAUCGGCCGUGAAGUUGGUGCCGUUAUCUAUGAUGAUACUGUGGGGGACGCCGUAACGGUGCACUACCCCUGAUUAGGGAUCAAAACGGCGCAGAAACGGAUGGAACUGGGUGCUACCAUAUUUGUUUUCAUAUUUUUUUGCAGAAGCGGAAACGAAUACAGAAACCCCGAAAACGAAUACGGAAGAAAAUACUACCGGAAACAGACAUGGAGCGAAUACAGAGUGGACACGGAAACAAAACGGUUUGUUGACCAGAACUUAAAACCUCCUUGAAUUGUAGAGAAAUAUAAACAAAAAACAAAUAAAUUUAUGGAAUUGUUAACAUGACUACAAAAUAAUAUGGUUAUAUUAGGAACAUAGGAUAGUAUUGUAGUAGUCAUGACAAUCCCGUAUAGGGUCUAGUUGAGUACGUGUGUGGUAGUAAAAGUUGGUCCUCAAGUGAUCAAUUCUUCUCAUUCUACCCAUUGUGUUACUGUGUGUUAUUUGGUAGUUGGGCUACCUAUAGUAGAAACGGAAAUUCCAUAUUUACGGAAACGGAAAGUUCUGUUUCCACGUCUGUUCCACCGGAAAACACCAUUCUGUUUUUGUUUCCGUUUCCGUUUCCGCAUAAAAAAUUCCAUUUCCAUUUCUGUUUUGUAAAUUUCCAUUUUCGUUUUCAUAUUUCCUCUCUGUUUCCAUUUUUGGUCCGGAAAAGCGGAAACUUUCCACUCCAUUUUCAUCCCUACCCCUGAUAUGAAGUCUAUCACCGGCCCGGAUUCGGCCGUUUUAACAGGCUUGGCCUCUAUCCAUUUGGUGAAUUUAUCCACCAUGACCAAUAGGUAUUUUUGCUUGUGGGUUCCUCCCUUAAGGGGUCCAACCAUGUCAAGCCCCCAGACCGCGAACGACCAGGUGAUGGGUUUAGUUUUGAGGGCGGUGGGUGGCAUGUGGCUUUGGUUAGCAAAAAGCUGGCAGCCGACGCAUCGUUGGACUAAAUCUUGCGCAUCUGCCCAGGCCGUCGGCCAAUAAAAUCCUGUAUGGAAGGCCUUGCCUACAAGGGCCCGGGCUGCAGCGUGAUGCCCACCCAGUCCGGCAUGAAUUUCAGCCAGGAGGUUUCGCCCUUCCUCUUCGGAGAUACACCUUUGAAGGACUCCUGUUGUGCUUUUCUUAUACAGCUCUCCCUCAUGGACUUUAUAGGCUUUGGAUCGCCGUACUAUGCAGCGAGCCUCAUUUUGGUCUUCGGGGAGUUCCUGCCUAGUUAGGUAGGCUAUGAAUGGUUCCGUCCACGGGGCGAUAACCGCCAUUAUUUCGUGAGCGGAGGGUGUUAUCUCGGUGGCAGAGCCUCCGAUUGUGUCAGAGUGUUCGGUGUCAGGCAGUGCGGUUGGGUCCGGAUUGUUAUUUCCAGACCCCCCUUCCCAUAGUACGGAUGGCUUGAACAGCCGUUCCAGGAAGAUGUUGGGCGGGACGGCAUCGCGUUUUGCACCAAUGCGUGCCAAUACGUCCGCCGCCUGGUUGUUAUCCCGGGCUAGCUAUAUGAUGAAAUUCGAGCCCUUCGAACCGUGCUGACAUUUUUAGGACCGCAUUGCGGUACGCUGCCAUUUUUGGAUCUUUGUGUGACACCCCAAAAAUUUUAACUUUUGUUUUGUUAAUUAAAAUCUUGCCAGGAAAUUUAACUUUCCUUUUUCUUGGUUUUUCUUGAUUCAAAACCAUUCUUUUCUUGGUUAUCUUGGAGUUGUUCCCUAAGAUGGAAAAUCUUUUACUUAUAAUAUUGGACUUGUUUACCCUCUCAAGAAAAUCUUUUCUUUUAUCAGAAGAAUUAAUUAUAUAAUAUUCUUCUUGAUCUUUCUUUUCUUGAAAAAUGGAUUCCCAUAGUUUAUUUGUCUCAUUUGUACUACAACCCUUUUAUAUAUUUAUUCAAAAAUCCCACCAUAAUUUGGAGAUGUCAUAUGGAGUUUUUGAACCACUUUUGUGCAAAAAUAUCUUCUGCCCAUUGAAUAUUUUGAGCUCUACACCAUGUUUUCAAAUCUGGUCCAGAGAGCAUUUUUCCACUACAACAUAUUCAUAUAUUUCUUUAAAACUUUUACCAAAAUUAUGGGAUAUCAGUAGGAGCAUAUUAUUCAACUUUAUGCAAUAACCUAAUGUUGUUCUUUGGAAAAUUUGAGUGAACCAUCUUCUUUUCCAUUCUGGUCCAACUUGAGGUUUUGUACAGCAACCACCUUUUUAGUUGCUCCUUGAUCCUUGAUUCUUUUCCCUACUUGUAGUCCUCCUUGCGAAACCCUUAAGUCCAGGAGGGUGGACCCAUUGGAUGAUUCUAAGUGCAUGCAACCAUGCCCUGUUCUUUCUGUCCAGAAUUGAAGUUUUGCAAAACUUGCACUAGCAAGUUUGAGCUUUGGGCAAACUAACCUUACCACCCUUUCUUCCAUCUAAAGAGACCCUGAUCUGGAAGAUUUGGCCACCCCAAGUAUUGCCUAGAUGCCCUUGGCAUUUUGACAAACACCCUGAGUGCAUAGCCAGAUUUGGCAUGAUUUCAAGUUUUCAUUAUGAACUUGGCCACCUGACCUAACCACCAUGCCCAUUUACCUCCUGACUAACCCUACCCUAGCCCUGUCUCUUGCCAGCCUCACCAGCGACCUCUAGCAGGCAGUGGCAUUUCAUCGAACACGUCCCGGGCGUGCUCUGGGCGCGCCCAGAGCGUGCGUUUGGCACGCACGUGCGCCCGAGCCGCCGCGUCUCGCCCCGCACCCGUCCCGGCCCUUGGCCAACAGCUGCUAGCACACCACGUAUCCCCUGCACCGCCACGCCACCCCGACCACCUCUGGCACUCCACAGCGCUACCGUCCGGACGGCCAUGGCGGCUAGCCGACGGCCGCAUGCAGGCUCCGACCGUGUCAGCGCCGCCUGAGCCACUCCCGCUCGCCAGCUCGCCCUGGAGCAGUACUCCGCUCGUCCGCUAGCUCCUGCCGCCAUCCUCAUCCCCGCCACGUCCCCCUGCCGCUACAGAACGUCGGUCGCCGGCGACCUUAUCCCCACCGCCGCGGAACCGCCUUGGCGUGCCUAUUUAAGAAGCUCCGAGCCCAUACGACCACUCGGACAGCAUCACAACAUCCUCCUAGUGCCCCCGUUGCCGUCAAUUGAGGGGGAAGAGGCCAUCUUCGCCAACUCCGGCUAGUUCGGCCACCGCCGCCUCCCAGCUCCGUUCGGCACAACCAGCGCCUCCCCGGCCCUCCCAACGCCACCAGACGACUCCACUCCUUCUUGCGGUGCCACCCAGACCCCCAGCUGCGACGGAGAGCCACCAUAACCACAAACUCACUUCGCUCCCGAAACCACCGGCCGCCGCGAAGCUCGUCGACGGCGAAUCCCUCCACCUCCGACAACCCUGCAACCACCGGAAGGAUCGCCCUAGAUCCGCGGAUCCAUCCCCUCCCUCAGCACCCCACAAGGACCCGCCGUUCACCGGCGACGGUCGCCGGAGUCCCGCCUCCGCUUGGGACAGAGGGAGAAGAGGGGAGGUCGACCAGUCAAACCUGACCAGUGGGCCAGGCGGGCCCACUGUCAGUGACUCGCGUGCCGUCCACGCUGGAGUAAGUGGAAGCGUAAACCUAAAAUACGCUUUCGACGUUUACGUGUUUUAUUGAAACGUUUUCUUUUCUGUUUCUUUUUAAAUAAUAGUUUUGACUAAACUUUGACUGGCUGUAACUUUUUAAAUAAAACUCCGAAUGAGUUGAUUCUUUUUCCUACCACUCAAAAAUAUUGUCUAGUUUAUUUUAAGAUUUAUUUCAAAAAAAUUAGACAACCUUUUUGUGCUGUUUUGAAAAAUGUGUGUUAAUUCAAAUUUAUUUCAAUUAGGGUUUUGAAGAGAGGGGAGAAAACUUUCAAAAGUUUUGGAGAGCACCUCACCCCUCCACAACUUGAAGGCAAGCAUUCUGUACCCCGGCAUAAGAAUUUUGGUGUGUUAUCCGACACAUUUAUAACACCACCCCAUUUGGAAGAGCUCGUUAUUUCAUGUGAUAUGAUCAUUUGCAUGGAUGCAUUUUUUUUGUGAUCUACUUGUUGUUGGAAAUGAUUAUACUUGUGAUGGUGACCAUUCUCAUGUGCCUUGCAUGCAUGCCGGAAAGGAAUCCGGGAAAGCCUCUGCCUUGGGUAGGCGUGAGCUUGUCGCCGGUCCCCGCCGGGAUGGUUAUGCCCGGUAUGGCAUGGUAAGGUAUAGUGAGUGGUGACUCUGUUGGUUGAAAUAUAUUUUGUUAUAUAUGUCAUGCGAGGAAUUUAUAAACCUCCUGAGUCAACCUAUAUCAAGUCUCGUUCCAGUAAGCCCUUACUUGCUUCGUACUAUCACUUGUCCCUACAACAAGUAGGGUGCGGUUCAGUCAGUCGUCAACCCCUUUCAAGCACACACCGUACAGAGAGGCCAUGGUGGAAGAUAUCGGUUGAAGCCGGUAGGCAUGCCACCUGGCCCGGGGGCAUGGGUGUUUCCGGUUGAGACCGAGAGGGGAGGCCACCCCUUAGAGCGCGCAUUAUAAAUUUGAUCCCAUGCUACGCGAGGUUGCAGCCUCCCCACUUAAAGUUUUGCUUGACAGGUGUCAUGGGUGAUUCCAGACACGGGUAAGUUAAGCUGGUGUGUGCAAGUCAGGUGUGUUUUCAAUGGACGGAAUUAGUUCCGAUGGACUAAAGGAAUCCGUUACUCGUGGGUAAAAGUACACCCUCUGCAGAUAUUAAACCUAUUCGAAUAGCAGUGUCCCUAGUUCAGGACUACAGUCUGUUAUGGGUCAAGUGUCGGUCUUAGUGUCAGUCUCCGGAGGAGAACUACUAAACCAGAACUUGGUUUAUGAUUCGUGACUUGUGAUGAUGAUGAUUAUUAUUAUGGAUUAACCCCUUUAUAUUAUUUGAAUCAUUGAGUAUCCCUGGGACGGUUCUACCUCCUGGAUAUUCACUGCAUUCAUUUUUAUAAGCCCUUUAUGUGGUGUCGCUCAGACGCCCGACUGUGGCAUUGCUUCUGUUUAUUUAUAAGCCCUUUAUGUGGUGUCGCUCAGACGCCCGACUGUGGCAUUGCUUCUGUUUAUUUAUAAGCCCUUUAUGUGGGGUCGCUCAGACGCCCGACUGUGGCAUUGCUUCUGUUUAUUUAUAAGCCCUUUAUGUGGUGUCGCUCAGACGNNNNNNNNNNNNNNNNNNNNNNNNNNNNNNNNNNNNNNNNNNNNNNNNNNNNNNNNNNNNNNNNNNNNNNNNNNNNNNNNNNNNNNNNNNNNNNNNNNNNNNNNNNNNNNNNNNNNNNNNNNNNNNNNNNNNNNNNNNNNNNNNNNNNNNNNNNNNNNNNNNNNNNNNNNNNNNNNNNNNNNNNNNNNNNNNNNNNNNNNNNNNNNNNNNNNNNNNNNNNNNNNNNNNNNNNNNNNNNNNNNNNNNNNNNNNNNNNNNNNNNNNNNNNNNNNNCUUCUGUUUAUUUAUAAGCUCUUUAUGUGGUGUCGCUCAGACGCCCGACUGUGGCAUUGCUUCUGUUUAUUUAUAAGCCCUUUAUGUGGUGUCGCUCAGACGCCCGACUGUGGCAUUGCUUCUGUUUAUUUAUAAGCCCUUUAUGUGGUGUCGCUAAGACGCCCGACUGUGGCAUUUAUUGCUGCUCCGUCAUUACAUAUUUGUGGUCACUUAUUAAUAAUCCACAUGUAUGCACCAAGGAUUUCAUUUCUUUAUGACUGACGUUGUGAUCAAAAAAUAUCCUUCAAGGCAUGAUUUUUUAUUGUUAUAUUGUACAUGUGUUCAUAAUGUUUGCGAGUACAUUCAAAGUACUCACUGGCUUGUCCCUGGAUAUUGUCUUGGCCAGAUUUCUCGCGUGGGAAGGAGCGUUGUGACGACAACCCCGGAACCUAUGCAACAGUGAUAGCAGCCUCGCGAAGAUAGGAGUUAACCUGGUCAGCUGUUCCCGUGGGGAAUGGAGUUCCACUGAUGAUCCACAAACCGCUUCCGCCAUCAACCACUAGAAACCAUUUGUUGUACUCGCAGGCCAGAAUGGUCUUGUACCACAUAUUUUGUACUUUGCUUGGAAUUUCUGUAUCAAGUUGAUGCCUCAUCAGCUAACAGUAAUCCUGGGGCUGGUGAGCACGACAGCCAUUUUUCUGGAAUUUAUUACCCGAAAAAACCGGUCGUGACACUUUGGCAUCAAAGUCUCCGUUUAUUUGAGAUAUCGCGAGGUUCGAAUCCCUGCGCACCUCUAGGCGUUUAAUGCCCAUGGAGACUGCCAUCCGGAGGCCGUGUAGAAGGGCCUCGUAUUCGGCUGCGUUAUGGGAGUCCGUAUACAUUAUCUGAAGGACGUAUUGGACUGUGUCCCUGGUUGGGGACGUCAGGACGACGCCAGCCCCCAGGCCGGCCAACAUUUUGGAGCCGUCAAAGUGCAUGAUCCAAUUGGAGUAUGCGCCGUACUCUUUAGGGAGUUCGGCUUCGGUCCAUUCGGCCAUGAAGUCGGCCAAAACCUGCGACUUAAUAGCUCGUAGUGGCUUAUAGGUUAUGUCGAACGGAAGGAGCUCUAUGGCCCAUUUAGCAAUCCGGCCAUCGCGUCGCGGUUGUUUAUAAUGUCGUUAAGAGGUACUUCGGAGGCUACCGUUAUCGAACACUCUUGAAACUAGUGUCGCAGCUUCCGGGAUGCCAUGAACACCGCGUAUGCUAUAUUUUGAUAAUGCGGGUAUCGGGACUUGCAUGGAGUUAGGACAGUGGACACAUAGUAGACCGGUUUUUGAAGAGGGAACCGGUGUCCGUCCGUUUUUCGUUCGACGGCGAGCACCGCGCUGACAACAUGAUGUGUUGCGGCGAUAUAUAAUAGCAUUGGUUCGCCCACGUUGGGCGUGGCCAGGACCGGAUUUGUUGCCCAUAUGGCUUUUAUUUCCUCGAGUCCGGCCGUGGCGGCAUCCGUCCACUCGAAGUGUUCGGUGCGCCGGAGGAGGCGGUAAAGGGGUAACGCAUUUUCUCCCGAACGGGAAAUAAAGCGGCUUAGAUCCGCUACGCAUCCAGUCAAUUUUUGUAUUUGUUUGAGGUCUUUUGGAAUAUCCAAUUGUGACAGAGCUCGGAUCUUGGCUGGGUUUGCUUCAAUCCCUCUACCGGACACAAUGAAGCCCAAGAGCUUUCUGGCUGGAACGCCGAAGACGCAUUUUUCCGGAUUGACCUUAAUGUCGUAUUUUCGGAGAUUGUCGAAUGUGAGCCUCAAGUCGUCUACUAGAGUUUCGACAUGCUUGGAUUUGACGACCACGUCAUCUACAUAUGCUUCCACUGUCUUGCCGAUCUGGUUUGCCAGACAUGUCUGAAUCAUGCGCUCAUAUGUUGCGCCGGCGUUUUUGACCCGAAGGGCAUUGUGUUGAAGCAGAAUGGGCCGUAUGGAGUGAUGAAUGUUGUUGCAGCUUGGUCUGGCUCCGCCAUCUUGAUUUGGUGGUAGCUGGAGUACGCGUCGAGGAAGCACAAUGAGUCGUGUCCUGCUGUAGCGUCGAUAAUUUGAUCAAUGCAGGGGAGGGGGAAGGGAUCCUUUGGGCAAGCCUUAUUAAGGUCUUUGAAAUCAACACAUAGGCGCCAGGAUUUAUCCUUCUUUGGUACCAUCACCAGAUUUGCUAGCCAGUCCGGAUGUUUUAUAUCUCUGAUGAAUCCGGCUUCUAGAAGUUUGGCUAGCUCUUCUCCCAUGGCCUGUCUCUUGGGUUAGGAAAAGCGCCGAAGAGCCUGUUUGACUGGCUUGAAUCCUUUUAGGAUAUUUAGGCUGUGCUCGGCCAGCCGACAUGGGAUUCCCGGCAUGUCUGAAGGGUGCCAGGCAAAAAUGUCCCAGUUUUCUCAUAGAAAUUCUUGUAGUGCGGCGUCUACAUCAGGGUUUAUUGUGCCCCAAUGGAGGCCGUCUUUGCAGGGUCUGUUGGGUGGACUUGGAAUUUGACAAUUUCAUCAGCUGGUUUAAAAGAGGUGGACUUGGAUCUUUUAUCAAGUAUCACAUCGUCCCUAUUCACCAUGGACCGCAUCGCAGUGAGUUCCUCGGCCGCUAGGGCUCCGGAUAGUGCCUCGAGGGCUAGUGCGGCUGUCUUGUUUUUGGCGCGGAGUGCUAUGUUCGGAUCACUAGCGAGAGUGAUAAUUCCGUUAGGUCCGGGCAUUUUAAGCUUCAUGUACCCAUAAUGGGGUAUAGCUUGAAAAAUUGUGAAUGCCUCUCGCCCUAAUAAAGCGUGAUAUCCACUGCUGAACGGGGCGACUUGAAAUGUGACCUCCUCGGACCUGUAAUUGUCCGGCAAGCCGAACACUACGUCCAGUGUGAUUUUUCCUGUGCAGCAUGCUUCCCGGCUAGGGAUUAUUCCUCUAAAGGUUGUGCUUCUUCGCUCAAUGCGGUUCCAGUCUAUUUUCAUUUUUCGGAGGGUUUCCUCGUAGAUGAGGUUUAGUCCGCUGCCGAGUACCUUAGUAAGGCGAAAGCCGUCCACUAUUGGACUGAGGACCAAUGCCGAUGGUGCUCGGGCUGUUCGGAAUUUAGGUUCGUCACUGGCAUUAAAGGUAAUAGCCGUGUCACUCCAUGGAUUUAUUGUUGCUACUUGGUAGACUUCGGCAAGGUUGCGGAGUGUUCGUUUCCGCAUGUUAUUUGAUGCGAAAGUCUCGAAGACUGUUAACACCAUACUGGUGUUGCUGGGCUGGGAUUUUGAGGCUAGAAGCUCUUCACCACUUUUCGCCACCUGCCAUAGUAUCCAACAUGCUCGAAGGCUAUGAGUUGGAGUGGCGCCCUCUGUGCUAUGGAUUUUGCAGGGUCCGUUUAGCCAACCCUCCAGUACGGUUCCAUGCCCUUUAGGGGUUUUUUGUUUUUUGGUGUAUAACCCAGGUGCUUGGUGAUGAUGCACCCUUUUAUUUCGGACUAGGGCUGUAUUCGGGGCCGGAUUAUCCCAAAAUUUACUUUCGGUUUUCCAAGCACUCUCCAUCGCAUAGUACUUUUGUACUAUGGUCACCAAGUCAGCAAAGCGUGUAAUUUUGCGACAACUUAUGGCGUUUAGGAUUCCCUUGUCUGUGCAAUUAUUGCAGAAAAGUGAUAUUGCGUCCUCCUCUCGGCAGUCCUUUAUCCUAUCCAUAACCAGGAGGAAUCUGGCCCAGUAAUGAUGUACUGUUUCAGCGGGCUCUUGCCGAAUUCGGGAUAGAUCGCUAAUGUUUGGCUGGGCGGGUGGAACUAGAUCCGGAACCCCAUCCAAUUUAAGACUCAGGGGCCGAGAAGUUUCCGAACUCGGAAGUUUGGAUUUUAGAAUGCUAUCCAAUGAAUCCAACCCGCCGCCUGACUUUAAGUUCAGGGCUUGAUCGACAUCUGUCCCUCUGCGGGAGUCCGGCAUGGAGGGAUCGGGAAUAACCAACUUUUUGACCAAACAUGGCCAACAACGAUGAGGCCGGGGGGUUCGGGCAGCAAGGUAUUCUGGGAGCUGUCCCAGGAGAUGGAGGAACAACCUCACUUGUAUGAGGACGCCGCCUUCCCCACCGAUCCUGAGACCACUGAUGGUACCGCCGAGGAUGACCCCACUGAUGCCAUCACUGAUGGUGCCGCCGAGGAUGCCACCACUGAUGAUGGCGGCGCACGCACAGAUGGCAGCCAACCGAAAAGGCAACGGAAGGACCGGCACCCGACCGUGCUCCGCACCCUCAAGGAGGAAGUUACUGGAGUGGACUCCGACGGGAAUCCAACGGCGCCCGAACGAAUAGUCAAGGGGUACUCGCUUCAGCUCGGGUGCAUUCUCCGGAGCACCGUCUCGAUCAACACCGAGAACCUGAGGCAUCCUGACCGAGGGAAUUUGCGCAACCUCCUCUUCACGAAGCUGCACGAACGAUACAAGUUCCCCGCUGAUUUUGAAAACACAAGCCUCAAAGGGAAUAAAGUGAACAAUGCUUCCCUCGCGAAGAUGAGCAAGGCCCUGUCUACAUGGAAAAGCAAUGUGAAGAGAAUGAUCGAGAAAGGUGAGAGUUAUGAGAAGAUCAAGGAGAAAAAUCCUUCGAUCACCGAAGAUGACUACAACGACUUCAAGAUCAAUUGCUCGAGCACCGCAAACUCCCAAUCAAGUCAGUGGGGGAAAGAAAUGCGGGAGCUGAACUUAGGGGAACACAAACUCGGUCCCGGCGGUUACAGAGUGGCGGAGCCUAUAUGGGACAAGGAGGACGCGGAGCGUGCCGAGCAAGGCCUACCACCCCGCUUCGAGAAAUACAGCGGUAACAAGCAGACCAGGAACUAUGUCAGGGCCCGGUACAAGGAGGACCCGAUAACAAAGGAGCUUACCACGGAUCCGAAGACCAGGGCGCUUGAGCUUGUUCUGGUAAGGAAUACCACCCCCGCGUAAUUAGCUCCAUAUGGUUGCAUUCUAAUUAAUGAAGCCAAAUUUCUAAAUGGUUGACAUUCCUUCCGCAGGCGACUGAAAGCAGUAGCGCGGGGUCGACUAAGAGCAACCCUUGGGACACCACUCUAAAUAGGGCGUUGAAUGUAAUGAAGAACAAGGAUAAGCUCAGUAAGCCGACGUCACCUGGUCGUGUGGCCGGCAAAGGCUUGUCCACAAAAUGGGGGUCAUACUAUACCGCUGGUGUGCGGAAGGAGAAAAAGACCAGCUCGGAAAGCCAGGCGCGCGAGGUUCAAGAACUCAAGGCACAGGUGGCGCGGAUUCCGGAGAUUGUCCAAGAGCAAGUGCAACAACAACUCGGAGCGACGAUCACCGCCAUUGUGCCUACCUUGAUCCAGGGGUUGAGUGUGUGGAUUGCGGGCGGCCAAUAGGGGCCGCCCCCGAUUCCUAGCUUCACGGCCAACAACUCGCAGAAUGCGAUGGCGGGGCCAUUGGUGUCUCCGGCGGAGGCGCCAUUGGUGUCUCCGACGCCGGCACGGGAGCUUAAUGCACCCGGGUGUACGCCGGCCGGCACCUCUGCAGCAAGCGGCCCCUCCGUCAACUGCACACCCGCCGUUGGCGGUGCCUCGACAUUAGCCGAGCUCGGCGCCAUCAUCACGGUAACUAAUUAAGCCUCUCUCGGUCGAGGACUUCAUCUCCUUGCCUUUGACUGGGCAUCCCUGACGCCCUACAUGUUUUCGCAGGGCGCCGCCAACGUUCCGUGCACUCUCCUGCACUUCGUGCACAACGAGCUGGUCGAUGUCGCCAAGGGCAAAAUCGUUCAACCGGGCAACCCCUUGUUCCACGGUACCCAGAUGCCACCCAACUUGUUUAGGGUUGAACUGGUUCGGGUGCUGCCAGGCUGCGACGAGUUGUUACCUCCGAUUCGACCCGUCGGGGCCGACGAUGAUGACGUGAUGACCCUCAGCCCCUGCCUGAGCUGGCCCCUGCUUUGGCCGAAGAGCCAGAUUCGUUUGGGGGCGGGGGACACCACCCCAAAGACAACACCGCCAGUCGUGCCGGCGCCAAGUCGGCCCCAUGGCAAGACCGCCGCAACGGUGCCGGACAUCCCUAUGCCACUGGAUCCAAACAUGCAUAUGGCACAGGAUCAGAACGACGACGACGACGAUACAUUUGGCAACAUCGAUCAGUACUUUGCCGAACAUGGGUACGAUGGCGACUUCAUGGGGCCUCCUUCUCAAGAACCCAACCCAACAAAAGACGUGCGCGAUCUAGCUGGUACCACGGAGAAGCCAAGUUGCAACAGGCGUCAUCUGCCGUUCAGCUCUCAGGAGACGCCUCCAGCUGCCGACUUCACCGAGCCUCAGAUAGGCGAGGUGCGAAAUAUUAUCAGCCCAAACACACUCAAGAAGGCGGUCUGUGAGCAGAACUCGGUCCCAUUACAGGAGAAGAAGAAGGCACGCAAAAGAAAGACUAACAAGGGUGCGAGCCAGCCGGCACCGAGUACGAUCCAUGCUCAGGACGGGCCACCUUCACCUGAGGAUAUCUCGAGGAGGGUGCAUGUGGCGGGUAGGGCGAUGCUACCGACAAAUAUGCUCAAUGCUGCAACCGGUGCUAUGCGGAGUCUGCAUGACAGUGUUCUUUCUUUGGAGAAGCGGCGUCUCAGAGAGAAGGAUGUGGCAUACCCGGUUUUCGCGGCCAAGGUGCCAGAGGGCAAGGGCUUUGUGGAUAACUCCAUCGGGCGUACGAUUGUCCUGCGGUUAGAUGACAUCCACGCUAUGAUGAACCUUCAUCCGCUGCACUACACCUUCGUUCGGCUAUUUUCGCUGAGUAUGGAGAUGCGGAUCAUUCGCGACAAGACCCCGGACGUCGUGAUAGUCGACCCCUUCUACAUGCGUGCCAAGAUCUUGGGCAGCGCUGGGGACCGGCAAGUCGCGAGUUCUUACCUCGAAGUUGUCAUUCUGGCAAACCAAGAUAAGGAUAACUUCCUCGUGCCUUACUUUCCUGAGUAAGUCCUCCCCUCAACCGGCCCAUAACAUAUGAAUUCUUAGAUUUCAAUCGUUUUUCUUUUAACAUUCCGUGUUUUCUGCAGUGACACACAUUGCACGCUCAUCCUCCUAAGCCCCAAAUAUUCCAUGGCCACGUAUUUCGACCCGGACCGUCAGUCGAACGUAGACUACGCAAAUGUCAAGAAGGUUCUUGAUGAUGUUCUCCCCGGCUACGCCAAAUCUGGAGGCACCUUCACCAGGCCUAUUCGUAAGUACGGCAAGCACGUGUUCUCCCACAAUACGACGUUCUGCUGCGUCACGCAGCCGCCUGGCGGUCAGAAGGGUGCCUACUACGCCAUCCAUGACAUGCGGGCGAUCGUACGGGACCAUCAUCAACUUCUGCUACUGAGUAAACUCAAAGAUUGGGCCGCGAGCGUGUCGGCAAUCCAGGACGCGGACAUCAGACAAGAAUUCUUUCGCAUCCAGUCGGAGUUUGCGGAAAUCAUCCAUCAAGAUGUCCUUCGUACCUCGGGGCAGUUCUACCUCAGAAAUCAACCGUCCAACAGUGACAUCGACACAAUGCUACAAAUGCAGGCUGACAACGCCCGUUCUUUCAUGACUCCCACGAUAGACGGCGGCUUCAUCCACGCUCCGGUCCCUUGAGUCGAGUCGAAAGCAGUGAUGCUGUGUCUAGUUCUAAAACAUCGAUUGGCUCAUGUUGUAAUUAAACUUUAAUGAACUUGUAGUAUGUCUCUUUGGUUUCGAGAGUCGUUCAACUUAGAUGUAAUCGAUGCUAUUAAUGUCUUGCUUUUCUCUUCCGAUCGUUCUGUUGCAUACUUAUAUAUUGCUUAUGUAUUGUCUGUGAAUUGGUACUAACGUUUCGUUUGGCUAGUGCAUAGCGAUGCCGUCGUAUGUCGUGUACAAGGGUAAGGUUCCCGGAGUCUAUGACGACUGGGAGGAGUGUCGGAGACAGGUUCACCGAUUCAGCGGUAACAGUUACAAAGGGUACACCACUAGGGCCGAGGCCGAAUCUAGAUACGCCCGCUAUCUAGCGGGAGAGGGGAGGGAGCGUUGGAGGAACCGGAUGAAGACGAGUUUCAUCGUGAUGAUGCUCAUCGUGAUGACCGCAGCUCUCUUCUAUGUGAUGGUAGUUUAGAUGAUCGAUAUCGACUUGUAAUGUGAAGACAAACUCGCUACUCGCGGUCUGGAGACUUGUAAUAUAAUGUUCUAUCUUUGUUCGGUCUUUUCAAUUCGGAGACUAAUAUGAUGAAUUGUAUUCAGAGACUAAUAUGAUGAAUUGUAUUCAGAGACUAAUCUUCUAUUGUAUUCGAUGAAUCUGUUGUUGAUGUGUGCUGUCUAUAUUUUGUCCAAUUAUACAUUUUGUAACCUGUGCAAAAAACAGAAAAUAAAAAAAAUAAAAAAAACAUAAUAUUCAUACUAAUGGCGCAUCAUUAAACAGUGCGUCAUUAGUAUGCCGAAGUUACUAAUGGCGCAUCUUGCUGUUGUGCGCCAUUAGUAUGCCAAAGCACCUGGGUAUACAUGGCCCCCUGGGAGGCAUACUAAUGGCGCACUGUUGUAUAUACUAAUGGCGCAUCCAGUGGUGCGCCAUUAGUAAAAUAUUCUAAUGGCGUGGCACUAAUGGCGCACCACUAAUGCGCCAUUAAUGGCCAAAUUAGGUGCGCCAUUAGUAGGCCUUUUCCUAGUAGUGAGGCUAAACCCUAGAAGCUAGCCUAUGGUAUGAUUGUUGUUGAGUUGUUGAGUCCUACGGACUAAACCCUCCGGUUUAUAUAGACACCCGAGAGGGCUAGGGUUACAUAGAUUCGGUUUACAGAGAAGGAGAUCUACAUCCGAAUCGCCAAGCUUGCCUUCCACGCCAAGGAGAGUCCCAUCCGGACACGGGACGAAGUCUUCAAUCUUGUAUCUUCAUAGUCCAACAGUCCGGCCAAAGUAUAUAGUUCGGCUGUUCGGAUAUCCCCUUAUCCAGGUCUCCCUCAGCUAUGUAUACCCCUCCACCCUUUCUUCAUUCAUGGAGAAAGCCAUCAGAACGUGCCUACACUUCCAGCAUUCAUUUUCUGAUAGAGAACCACGUACUCAUGUGUUGAGGUCAAGAUAUUCUAUUCCAACCACAUAAAUCUUGAUCUCUAGCCUUCCCCAAGUUGCUUUCCACUCAAAUCAUCUUUCCACCAAAUCCAAUCCUAUUCGAGAGAGUUCAGUGUUGGGGAGACUAUCAUUUGAAGCACAAGAGCAAGGAGUUCAUCAUCAACACACCAUUUAUUAUCUUUUGGAGAGUGGUGUCUCCUAGAUUGGUUAGGUGUCACUUGGGAGCCUCCGUCAGGAUUGUGGAGUUGAACCAACGAGUUUGUAAGGGCAAGGAGAUCGCCUACUUCGUGAAGAUCUACCCUAGUGAGGCAAGUCCUUUGUGGGCAGUGGCCAUGGUGGGAUAGACAAGGUUGCUUCUUCGUGGACCCUUCGUGGGUGGAGCCCUCUAUGGACUCGCGCAGUCGUUACCCUUCGUGGGUUGAAGUCUCCAACAACGUGGAUGUACGAUAGCACCACCUAUCGGAACCACGCCAAAAAUCUCCGUGUCAACAUUGCGUUUGCUCCCUCCAAACUCCUCCCAUUUACAUUCUUGCAAGUUGCCUGCUUUACUUUCCGUUGCUCAUAUACUCUUUGCAUGCUUGCUUGAAUUGUGUUAAGAUUGCUUUACUUGUGUAAAGUUGCUAAAAUCUGCGAAGACUUAAAAUUGGGAAAAGGCUAUAUUUUUAUUUGGUCAAGUAGUCUAAUCACCCCACCUCUAGACAUACUUUCGAUCGUACACCAUGCAAUGUGUGCACCACCGUCACAUUCCUAUCUGCAUCUAGUUCGGUUCUUUUGCCCAUUUUGUGCCAUGUCAUCUGUCUGGCCGUCUCUUUGAUCAUGAAAAGACGUUGAAGUCUUGGCACGAUUGGCAUAUACCGAAGAACAUUAACGGGUAUUUUGGUCUGGGUCUUCUCACCCAUACCGUUGUCUACCACAACAUACCUGGAAGACAAGCAAAUGGGACAAUAGUUCAUGUCCUCAUACUAACGCCUAAAUAAGACACAUCCUUUCUCACAGGCAUGUAUCUUCUCAUAGGGCAUAAAGAGCAUGGAGGAUUUUGUCUGACUCGUACAGGUUUGCAGGUAGCACACAGCCUUUGGGUAGAAAUCAUCCAAAUACUAUCAUCAUCGCGUGGUAGCAUUCUCUCCCAAGUUGAAUUGAGCCUUCAAAGCCAUUAUUUGUGAGAUGGCAUCCAGCUGGCAAAGCUCAGUGUGCUCGUGGAGAGGACGUUUUGAGGACUCCAACAUUUCAGUGAAGGCCUUUGCAGAUUCCUCCAUCUCCUCGUCCGAGUCCCGAGCAUCGUCAAAGUCUUGCACCAUGUCUUCCCUCCCGGUACCAUCCUCUUCGGUGCGACGAAGAACCACCUUGGCUCUGGCACGUUGGGCAGACUCACCAUGUAAUGUCCAGACCGUGUAACCAGGCGUAAAACCAAACUUCUGCAGGUGUUUACUCAUUUCAAGCUCGUCCCUCUUAUUAUAGUUGUCGCACCGGACACAGGGGCACCAGCUUAAUUUCUGGCCAUUUGUAAAUGCGUCUCUAACAAACCCCUUGGUUUUUUUUAACCAUUCCUCGGUCCAAACUUUCUGACUAGUGUAACUGGUGUACAUCAAUGCACUAUCACUCAUAUUGACUUCCUACUGGACACACAAGAAAUAUAUACAUAAUUAAGAAAACCAUAUCCAUCAGUUAAUGGAGUUUGUCAGUUUUAUUACGUCCAUGCAACCUACACGCUAAUAGGUAAAGGUAGGUCAUAAUCCCACACGAGUAUGUGUAGAUUGGGUUCGUUUUCCCAUCUCUGCUCCAGAUCCGACGCAAAAUUUCGGCAACACCUCCCCGCUGUUCUCCUGAUAUACGUCUCGGGAAUAAGCAGAGAGGAUGUGUACCCGGAGAACAACAGGGAGGCACUGACAAAAUUCUGCAUCGGAUCCGAAGCAGAGCAUAUGGGAAAACUGACCCAAUCUACACAUACUCGGGCUGUCCAUGGAUAAUGUUGGACAAUUCGAAAGAAUCACGAUUAUAAAUAUGCAAAUGCAUGCAUAUUUGUAGAUGUAACCCUUUCGAACGGGAGACGCAUACUGGUUACGCAUACUGAUGAUUGACACCUAUAGCUAGCAAGUUUCAUCGGCACGAAGACCGGAAUAGAGCAAAUGAAGGGGGGAUGAGGAGAUGUCAUUUGUUCUCACCAACAAACGCAGGCGCGGAGCUCGUCGAAUGCACGGGGAGGUCGUCAAACACCACACCCUCGCAGCGACGAAACAACUGCACAUUUUAAUCCACCCGAUCAACACAAANNNNNNNNNNNNNNNNNNNNNNNNNNNNNNNNNNNNNNNNNNNNNNNNNNNNNNNNNNNNNNNNNNNNNNNNNNNNNNNNNNNNNNNNNNNNNNNNNNNNNNNNNNNNNNNNNNNNNNNNNNNNNNNNNNNNNNNNNNNNNNNNNNNNNNNNNNNNNNNNNNNNNNNNNNNNNNNNNNNNNNNNNNNNNNNNNNNNNNNNNNNNNNNNNNNNNNNNNNNNNNNNNNNNNNNNNNNNNNNNNNNNNNNNNNNNNNNNNNNNNNNNNNNNNNNNNNNNNNNNNNNNNNNNNNNNNNNNNNNNNNNNNNNNNNNNNNNNNNNNNNNNNNNNNNNNNNNNNNNNNNNNNNNNNNNNNNNNNNNNNNNNNNNNNNNNNNNNNNNNNNNNNNNNNNNNNNNNNNNNNNNNNNNNNNNNNNNNNNNNNNNNNNNNNNNNNNNNNNNNNNNNNNNNNNNNNNNNNNNNNNNNNNNNNNNNNNNNNNNNNNNNNNNNNNNNNNNNNNNNNNNNNNNNNNNNNNNNNNNNNNNNNNNNNNNNNNNNNNNNNNNNNNNNNNNNNNNNNNNNNNNNNNNNNNNNNNNNNNNNNNNNNNNNNNNNNNNNNNNNNNNNNNNNNNNNNNNNNNNNNNNNNNNNNNNNNNNNNNNNNNNNNNNNNNNNNNNNNNNNNNNNNNNNNNNNNNNNNNNNNNNNNNNNNNNNNNNNNNNNNNNNNNNNNNNNNNNNNNNNNNNNNNNNNNNNNNNNNNNNNNNNNNNNNNNNNNNNNNNNNNNNNNNNNNNNNNNNNNNNNNNNNNNNNNNNNNNNNNNNNNNNNNNNNNNNNNNNNNNNNNNNNNNNNNNNNNNNNNNNNNNNNNNNNNNNNNNNNNNNNNNNNNNNNNNNNNNNNNNNNNNNNNNNNNNNNNNNNNNNNNNNNNNNNNNNNNNNNNNNNNNNNNNNNNNNNNNNNNNNNNNNNNNNNNNNNNNNNNNNNNNNNNNNNNNNNNNNNNNNNNNNNNNNNNNNNNNNNNNNNNNNNNNNNNNNNNNNNNNNNNNNNNNNNNNNNNNNNNNNNNNNNNNNNNNNNNNNNNNNNNNNNNNNNNNNNNNNNNNNNNNNNNNNNNNNNNNNNNNNNNNNNNNNNNNNNNNNNNNNNNNNNNNNNNNNNNNNNNNNNNNNNNNNNNNNNNNNNNNNNNNNNNNNNNNNNNNNNNNNNNNNNNNNNNNNNNNNNNNNNNNNNNNNNNNNNNNNNNNNNNNNNNNNNNNNNNNNNGGCGGCGGGGCUGGCCGGCGACGCGACUGUGGCGGCGGCAACAAGAGGAGAGAGGCGGGCGCGCGGGAGGAAGAAAGAAAGAGAGAGAGAGGGAGGGAGACGGCGCCACCCGUUAAGUGGGCCUUCUUUGUCGUCUGCUAGCAGACGGCAAAGAGGGCGACCGUCAGGGCUGGUGCACGUCUCCUCUUUGUCGUCCGCCGUCCGCUAGCGGAUGGCAUAGGAGGAACAUUGUCGUCGGCUAGCAGUCGGCAAAGUAAUCACCUCUUUGUCGUCCGCUAGCAGUCGGCAAAGAAGCUGGACUAACGUCUAUGCUCAAAAUUCGUCUGCGACCUCGUCGCUGGAGCUUCUCGCCUGAGCCGCGGCCCAGCAGCUCGCGCGUUGCUGGUUCCUCGCUCUCUGUUGUCGUUGUUUUUUCCGGUCGAUUUUGUUCCCGCUGCUACAGGUCUUUGUCUCGGGGGAAAAUAGGUUGGCUUUCUUUGUUAAUUUCAAAAGAUUUGAAGAAAUCAAAAAAUGUUCAUGAACUUUAAAAACAGUUCAUGAACUCGAAACAUGCUAGUGAAUUCAACAAACUUUAUGAAUUAAAAAAAUGUUAGUAAAUUUCAAAGGAUGUCAGUGAAUUAAAAAUAUCUUUCAAUUUGAUAAAAGUUAAAUAAUUUUAGAAAUUCUUUAAAAUUUGAAAAAUAUUCACAGAUAACCACUUUACAAAUUUAUAAAAUAUUUGUGAAUUUGAAAAUUUCCAUUUUCUAGAGAAAUCCAAAAUUUUAAAAUAUGUUCAAGGAUUAGUAAAUAAAAUAUUAAUUAUGAAAAUAAAAUAUAUAAAAUAAGAGAAGAGUGGAAAAAACGGAGCGCAACCUGGUUCGUUGGGUCUAUUCCUUAUCGCUCGCUCAAAAAAAAUGUCCUGCUUCCUUGGCUCGGUUCCCGAUCGCUUGUUAAAAAGAGGGUCCUACUUUGCUUGAUUUUUUCCUGGUUUACUUGGUUUGGUUAGUUCUCAGUUGACCUACAGCUAUUGGUCGUUCACCAAGGCCAAUGUUGAUCAUCAACCAAGCCCUCUCAAUUGACCUACAGCUAUUGGUCGUUCACCAAGGCCAGUGUUGAUCAUCAACCAAGCCCCACGUUGACCGUUGACAAGUUCACGAAAAUUAUAAAACCAAGAAAAACAAAAAAUUCCACGAAUUUGAAAAACUCCAUGCAAUAAAAGUAUUCACAAAAAAGUUCAUAAUCUCAAUAUUUGAACAAAAGUUCGUGGAUUUGAAAGAAGUUCGUGAAAUAAAAAGGUGUGUGAAUCUGACAAGCUUGCUAAUUUUUUAAAAAGUUCACAAAUACUUUAAAAAGUUCAUCAAUUUUGAAAAAAAGGUUCACGAAUUUUAAAAAAGUCCUCGAAAACUUUGAAAGUGUUCUUGAAAUUUGGGAAAUGUUAAUCAAAUUUAAAAAAAGGUUCAAAAAUUUGAAAAAUAGUUCACAGAUUUAAAAAAAAUCAUGGAUUUGGAAAACAAUCAUGUAUUUGGGAGAACAAUGUUCAGAAAUUUAAAGAAACAUAUUUCACAAAACAAUCACGAAUUUGACAAAGAAAGUUCUUGAAUAUGAAGAGAAGGUUCAAAAUUGAAAUGAGUUCACAUAUUCUAAAAAUAAAAAUAAUAAAGAGGAAAAAAGAAAAAAAAGAAUAAUGAAAGAAUUGAAAAAAACACUGAAAUCCAAGAAAAGUAUAAAAUAAAAUGAAAAACCGACCGGAAGCUUCCAAAUACGAGCCUAGGAAUCUUCUGGAAGCUUUCCAAAACCUACCUAUGAAGCUUCCCAAAACCAGCCUAGGAAUCUUCUUAAAGCUUCCCAAAACCUACCUAUGAAACUUCCCAAAACCAGGAGCUCUCCAUUCACGCCUAAAUGGUGGGCCAGCCUAUUCUACAGGAAUCGAAGGAUAGGUGGUGUGCUGUUUUUACAGAAAUGGUUGUAACGGGCCUAUUUUCCGCACACGUGUGUCUCGCCUCCAUGCAAUGUGGUAGUAGGCCAGCCAAUUAAAUGUUCGUUAAGUUUUUUAAUUUUUUUUAAUUUUUUCUUUUUAUUAAUUUUGUUUUCAUUCCGAAAAUAAAUAUACAAAUUUCAAAAUUACUUUACUUAUUUUUUUAGAAAGUGUUGAUUGCACUAAAAAUGUUCAAGUAGUGAAAAAAUAAUGUUUGUACAACAUUUAUAAAAUGGUCAUAGUACUCAAAAGAACGUUCAUGGCAUUUAAAAAAGUCCAUGUGUUCAAAAUAUGUUCGUGACAUUUUAAAAGUUCAUGCAUUCAAAAUAUGUUCGUGACAGUUUACCAAAAACCACAAAAAAUCCAUGCAACAGCACCAACAGAAUGUCUUUUAACUUUCAAUAGUUCAGCUCAUGGUUUAAAGGACAUGAAUACUUACCUAUUUAGUAUUAUUAUGCUACUCCUGAUGACAUGGUAUUGUGCUUGAUGGUUUUGCUUUAAGACUCGCAGCACAAGUUGCUAUCGAUCGUUAGGUGAGCCGGAGAAAAGCUUACAAGUAACUACUCAGCACGCACCACCCUGCAGUUUCCUGGCUCUUUCCGGCCGGCUCCAAAAAGCACAGAGCACAGACGUACAAGAUAUCAUUAUGAUCAAACGCUGAGACAAUUUUUCCUAAAUAUAUUCGUUUAAUUUACACCGUGUAUCACUUUGCUUAAUCGACAUGCUAACUACUACCACUACCGCUCAUAAAAUAUCAUUAUGGACCCUAUUUAUACAUCGUGGUUAGGUGUAUCACCAAAAUCUCACAAUUACUUACCAGCUGAGUGCUCACCAAACGUGAAUUAGGUCAGUCAACUUAAUUCGUUCACGCCAAGCAUUGGCUUGCCUCCUUCGGUAUGGAUGCACAUAGUUAGCUGAGCCAAAGAAAUCAUUUCCUUUGUUGCUCCUCUACAAUUUCCUGCUAGUGCACUUGUCCGAGCUAUUCUCCCCACCCCUCCAAACACACCAAGACACCCACAAGACAUACGGGGAGGAUAGGAAUAACUGGAGGCCAUCAAUGGCACCUGUCGUGAGCGCUUCACUCGGCGCGUUAGCUCCCCUGCUGGUGAAGCUCACCACCUUGCUCGCCAACGAGUGCGGUCGUCUGAAAGGGGUCCGCCGUGAGAUCCGCUCUCUCAAAUCGGAGCUCACCAGCAUGCAUGGUGCGCUGACAGAGUACACCAAGCUAGAAGAUCCAAAUGAUCAAGUGAAGGCGUGGAUAUUGCUGGUUAGGGAGUUGGCUUACGACACCGAAGAUGUCUUUGACAAGUUCAUCCACCAGCUUGGCAACGGGAGCCACCAGGGCGGUUUUAAGGAGUUCUUCCGCAAGGCCGCCCGUAGUCUGAAGACUCUUGGUUCUCGCCGCAAAAUUGCCAACCAAAUUACUGAGUUGAAGGUUCGCAUCAAGCAAGUGAAAGAGCUCAAGGAUAGUUACAAGUUGAAUGAUACUUCUUCUAGCACCGCCGGUCAAGUUGCUGUGGAUCCCCGGCUCCAGGCACUUUUUGCUGAGGAGACACACCUUGUGGGCGUGGAUGGUCCAAGAGAUGAUCUUGUCAAGUGGAUGGUGAAAGAAGGAAACAACCCAUCCAAUGAUUUGAUGGUGGAAGAAAGCAAGCCUAAACCUUGCAAGGUGUUGUCUAUUGUUGGGUUUGGUGGAUUGGGUAAGACAACACUCGCAAAUGAGGUCUAUCGCAAUGUUCAAGGGUAUUUUCAUUGCAAGGCUUUUGUAUCAGUGUCACAAAAACCAGAUAUUAAAAAAAUUAUGAAGGAUGUGAUUUCUCAGGUGUCUUGCAAAGAUGGGUCCACAAAAGAUACUGACUAUUGGGAUGAAAAGAAGUAUAUCGCCAAGUUAAGAGAAAUGUUGCAAGAUAAAAGGUAAUAUCAACCUUUGUUUUUUUUCUUAAAACAUUUGUUGCGCACAGUUCCUAGCGCUUUACUUACUUUUAUUGAAUUUACUAUUGUUGUUUUGACGCAAAUGAAAAUAGUUUGGGAGUUAGGCUUGCAAAAUUGCAAGCAUCCUUACCACCCAUACUAAAAAAAUAAUAUGUACCCAACCAAAGGAUCCUUAGCACAAUGAAAUACCAGUUAUUAUGAAAAUGUUCAUAGACAUUCCUCCGACCCCUUUUGAUUUUCUUGAUUCCUUCAUGCUUAAUGAAAUAUAACACUCAAAAUUUUCUCUCUAUCAUUACGGAACAUAUAAACAUGCGUCUGCUGAAGUGUGACUAUAUUCUACACUUUACAUUAUCUUCUUAGGACACAUUUUGUGUGAACUAGUCCGUAGAUGCAAUCCCAGCAACAUAUGGGUUCAAAACCAUCCCACCUCUCGUUCACCAGAAAGUGAGUAUAUAUGAGUGUGUGUAUUUUCCAUGCUUGGGUAACUCUUUGGUGUGGAUGCAACGCAACUACAACGAUAAAAUUACCAUUAUGCUCUUAUUUUCAUAUGUACUCAAAUAAGCAUUUGCAAUAUUAUACUAAUUGUAAAGACCACCACACAGUAAUUCCAACUUUGGCAAUUGAGUAAAUAGAUAUGAGUUCUAGUAGUUAAAACUUCAACGAAAUUGUGUAUACAUAUUUAAUUGCUUUUUUUCAUGUGCAUAGACUCAAAUAAGUAUGAUAGAAGUGUUUCCAUGUCAUAAAGAAAAUGAACAAUUAAAUAUGUUUUGCACGAUCGAGUAACUAGCUUAUUUCGACAAAGGGUCGAUGUUAUUAACUAAAAAAAUGAAGCAUCAAUUGAAUACAAACACAAUGAGCACACACCCCGGCCUUGGUGUAGUUAGGAUGCACAUAGCCAAUACCAACGCACACACAAAAAAACCCACCGGAAAAUAGUAAAGUCAUAUAAGACCAAACCUAUGCAUAAUAGAGAUAAAAAACAAACCUCGAGUAACUAGCUAGAGGACAGUUCCAAUCAUAGUAAAAAGUUCAUGAAUUCCACAUGCUACAGGUGUAUUAUAAAAUGUAUAUGGGAGCAUAUCUUCUACAUCUAAAUAGAUAGCCAUCACUAACUUAUUUUGGAGCGCAUGCAACUGUGUCCCCUAAUCAUGAUUGUCAUAUCACCAAUUAGCUUUAUGAUUAAUUGCAUACAUGCAUUUGUUCUUGUUUCCCAAUUUCCUUCACCUUUUUUAUAACUUCCUUUAACUACUAACUAAGGGCACAUAAGAUGUGAUCGAAGAUAUGCAAUAUAUUAUUAAUCCAAAUAUUCAUCUUCAUAAAAUCAAAGUUCAUUAAAGGUAUUAUUUAGUAUAACAAAUAAGCAUGGUAGACUAACUGAGAACAUGAACAUAUGCAAUGUUGGAGUUCAUGGAAAUCUAUGAGUUUUCAAGCUAAAUUUAUAAUCAGAAUUGGUUGACAUCGUCUUCCCAUUUUAUAGGUAUCUCAUCAUCAUUGAUGAUGUAUGGUCUACACAAGUCUGGAAUACUAUCAAGUGUGCUUUUCCAGAAAAUAAUUGUUCUAGCAGAAUUAUAGCUACGACACGCAUCAUCGAUGUGGCAAAGUCUUGUUGUUUGAGUGAAGAUGACCGCAUGUAUGAAAUGGAACCUCUAAGUGAUCUUCAGUCUAAACUAUUGUUUUUCAGAAGAAUAUUUGGCUCUAAUAAGGAUUGUCCUCAUACUUUGAACAAAGUUUCAAAUGAUAUCCUGAAGAAGUGUGGAGGCUUACCACUGGCGAUUAUAAGUAUAUCUAGUUUGUUGGCGAACAGACCAGAAACGAAAGAUGAAUGGGAGAAGGUUAAAAGGUCAAUUGGUUCUACACUAGAAAAUAACCAGAGUCUAGAGGGAAUGACUAGCAUACUAUCACUAAGUUAUAAUGAUCUUCCACCUAAUCUGAAGACAUGCUUUUUGUAUUUAAGUGUAUUCCCUGAGGAUUAUGUGAUUGAGAGAAAUAGAUUAGUGAUGCGAUGGAUCGCCGAAGGCUUUAUAUCUGAAGAACGUGGACAGAGCCAGCAAGAGGUCGCUGAGAACUACUUUUAUGAGCUUAUCAACAAAAGCAUGGUGCAGCCAGUGGGUAUUGGCUAUGAUGGUAAGGUUCAAGCCUGUAGAGUGCAUGACAUGAUGCUGGAAAUUAUUAUAUCAAAAUCAGCUGAAGAUAAUUUUACCACUAUAGUGGGUGGAGGACAGACGAGUUUGGUAAAUCGUCAGGGCAUUAUUCGACGGCUAUCAAUCCAACACAUUGACCAGGAACUUGCAUUUGCAUUGGCCAAUGAAGAUCUAAGCCAUGUUCGAUCUCUAACAGUAACGUCAUUAGGUUGCAUGAAAAAUAUUCCUCAACUCGCUGAAUUUGAAGCUUUACGUGUAUUGGACUUUGAAGGGUGUCAGGGUUUGGAAGAAUAUGAAAUGAAAAAUAUUGAUAGAUUUUUCCAACUAAAGUAUCUCAGCCUCAGGGACACAGAUAUAUCAGAGCUACCUUCAGGGAUUGUGAUGCUACAUGAUCUAGAGACCCUAGAUGUCAGGAGUUUGAAAAUAGAAGAGCUGCCAUCUGCAAUUGUGUUGCUCACUAAACUGCAAUAUCUAUUCACGGAAAAAUCUUGUAAGCUUCCUAACAGGAUUGGAAAUAUGAAGAAUUUACGAGGGAUCCAUUGUUUCGAUAUUACAGAGAGUUCAACUGCUGCCAUGGAGGAUCUCGGAAACCUGACUAGAUUGAACACACUCAGUUUACGGUGGGAUAAUGAAGAUAAUCACAAGAGGGAUGAAGAGAUUAUACUCAGCUCACUGUGCAAGCUUAGCAGCUGUAAACUGCACUCUCUACAUAUAGUGGGUCUUGGUUGCAUGGACUUCAUAGAUUCUUGGUCCCCUCCGUUAUCUUGCCUUCGCAUAUUUGAGGCGGAUGGCGAUACAUAUUUUUGGAAUGUUCCAAAGUGGAUUUCCCCAGGACUUACAAGCCUUACUCAUUUGAGCAUCAAUUUAGCUGAAUUUAUGGAGGAGGAUCUGCACACUCUUGGUAAUCUCCCAUCCUUAGUUAUCCUAAACUUGCGCUUGGAUGUGGGACCCGACACAAGGCUUACCGUAAUUGGAUUCCCAUGUCUGAAGAAGUUUGAACUCCAUAGACAGUAUGGGGCAUAUGUAACGUUCCAGAAAGGGGCUAUGCCCAAACUUGAGAUGCUUGAGGUGUCAUUUGAUGUGUCUGUGGCUGAAACUCAUGGCUUCUAUUUAGGCAUAGAACAUCUUCCAUGUCUCAAAGUAAUAAAGCUGGACUUGAAGCAAGGUGACAACCUUUUGAGAUAUCUGGCUGCAGCGGUUGUGAUCAAUGAAGUACGUGCUCAUUCCAACCGUCCUAAAUUUGCUUACAGGGUGGGUCCAGGUGAAUAUGUCAACUUUGGCACUAACAGUGACGAGGAAAAGAGCCAACUGCCAUGGAGGAGGGGAAGUGUUGAGAGUCUUGAGACCGAUGGUGGCGAGAAAAACCAACUGCAAAUGAAAAGCAAAUAUAAAGCUCCCAUCAUUCUGGAUGAAGUGGUCCUGACCUGCGCGAGGUACCCAAAGCAUCACCCCAUUGUUUUGUCUUUCAAAUUAACAAUAUCUCGUUUGUCCAUAAUUGUGGAAUCGCNNNNNNNNNNNNNNNNNNNNNNNNNNNNNNNNNNNNNNNNNNNNNNNNNNNNNNNNNNNNNNNNNNNNNNNNNNNNNNNNNNNNNNNNNNNNNNNNNNNNNNNNNNNNNNNNNNNNNNNNNNNNNNNNNNNNNNNNNNNNNNNNNNNNNNNNNNNNNNNNNNNNNNNNNNNNNNNNNNNNNNNNNNNNNNNNNNNNNNNNNNNNNNNNNNNNNNNNNNNNNNNNNNNNNNNNNNNNNNNNNNNNNNNNNNNNNNNNNNNNNNNNNNNNNNNNNNNNNNNNNNNNNNNNNNNNNNNNNNNNNNNNNNNNNNNNNNNNNNNUGUUUUACCUACCCAGGAUGGUUUGCAGCUGGUUAGAUGACUAGCUGGGAAUCGCUGUCAUACUGGAAGAGGCCUGAAGCUAUCUCUAGCACUUCAAGACUAGAAGAUGGAAAACGGAAGCUGAAACAGGGUCACCGCCAAAAAGAGUGUGGCCUCAGUUGCUACCAUCUACAUGCAUUGCGUUUGAUUGUAUUUCUUGUUUUAUUACUCGAGAGUCAAGACUUUCACUUCAGCGGACUGUAUUUUCAUUGAAAAGCUUGAAUCUUGUUUCAGGUUGUUCACCCUUGUAAUCUCUAUUUGAAUUCUGAAUUAUUUCUGCUGAAUACUAUCUGAUGUUGGAAAUGUAAUGUUGAUCCUCGCUUGCUCGUUACCUGUGUGUCUGAGCAAGUUGGAUGGCUGUGAUUGCUUCUGCUUUAUAUCUAUGCCGGGAACGAUCAGGUUUACAUGUCCUAAAGUAUGCUUCCUGCUGCAUCAUACAGUCAUACUGUAGAUGAGACUGAAGAUGAAUUACCAUUUGGUUGGCAGGCUUCAAAACACAAGCUGCAUGCACCGGCACGGUGAAAUUAAUAGCUGCCGCAUGGCCUCUGCUGCUCGCUGAAGGCAAGCACUCAGUAUCUCUCCCUUUGCCAUCAUCCCCGGUGCUGAUACUCUGGCAGCUGCACGGCGGCAUCUCAGGGUUUUAGGCCGAUCCGGCUCUCGCCUGUCAGGACUCAGCAUGUACUAGUAGGUGUACUGGAGUAAAAUUAAGGAAAGCUGCACGCAUGCACGAUGGGGUAGCAAUAAUCGAUGCGUGGGUGCAGGAGGGUAACACCGAUCAAUCGCUAUUGUCCAGCUACAACGUCAAACUUUUUCUGUACAUCAACUAGGUAUGAAAUCUGUGUGGAAGGGUUUGUACAUUGCAUUCCUCCAUCUUAAAAGGAACUGGCCGAUUACUUCCCUAAAAUUAGUCUCAUAAGUCUGGGCUUACAUGUGAUGGCUUAAUGUUGUUGUAGUUGUUGUUUUUUUUUUUUUGCGGGGAAAUGUUGUUGUAGUUGAGUGUGAAGGGUACACACUAUUUGUGUGCUGAAGCGAGUACAGACUAGUACAAGGUAGCCUCGUUGCAGUGUGCUUGAAACCGCUGCCAAGCUGUGUACCCUGAUCAAAUUUAGUGACCACAAUUCACUCAGUAGUCGGCUGCAGAGUCGGCUAACUACCCCAUGUAUUAUUUUUUGAACAUCAGUACAGACACAAGCAGUUAAAUGAAAAGGUUAAACGGAAAGAGAAAAGAGCCCGAGAUAUGCUUGUGUCUCUCCUCUGCUUUACUACUCUGUUUCCUCUGCUCUGCUCUUACGGCGCGGGGCUGUUCAGUCCGGGUUCUGUCUCGUGUGCGCGCGCAGCCGCAGGUCCAGGCUUCACACACACACACAUAGCUUGGGGCUUUACUACUCUGUUUCCUCUGCUAUGCUUUAACAGUUUUGAAUCACCGACACUAAUUUGUGGCGUGUACCCUCUAAGAGUUGCGCACCUACGUGGUCAUCCUCAUGUCUGAAUUGACUAUGUCAAUUGUCAUAUAUUCCGUAAAUCUAUCUUGUUUCACAUAUAUCUAGGCUCACGGAAAUGCAAACCCCACCGUAUCUAGGGCGUCCAGCAUGCCCAUUCUUCUUGCCUUCACCAACAGAAGGGCACCUUUGCUCUUGCAAAAGAUGGCAAUAUCUUCCCCUCGUGGCGGCCUUGGUGCUGCCGGAUGUGGAGGGGAGCGGCUCGCCGGAUGCCCAUUUUUUUUUCUUUUUUUUUGAAAAGAGGAGCUCCCCGGCUUGUGCAUCAGAAUGAUGCAUACAGCCAACUUAAUUAAUAAGCAAAUAGGGUCAUAAUAGCUCCAAAUGGAGCGUGGUAGCAGCAUUUACAAUAUGACAUGAAGAUUUGCGAAAUACAUACGGAUCUGAAUGUUGCAGACCCGUUGACUAAAACCUCUCUCACAAGCAAAACAUGAUCAAACCGCAGAACUCAUUGAGUCUUAAUCACAUGGUGAUGUGAACUAGUUUAGUGACACUAGUGAACUCUUUGGAUGUUGGUCACAUGGCGAUGUGACCUAUCAGUGUUAAUCACAUGGCGAUGUGAACUAGAUUAUUGACUCUAGUGCAAGUGGGAGACUGUUGGAAAUAUGCCCUAGAGGCAAUAAUAAAUUAGUUAUUAUUAUUAUAUUUCCUUGUUCAUGAUAAUCAUUUAUUAUCCAUGCUAUAAUUGUAUUGAAAGGAAACUCAGAUACAUGUGUGGAUACAUAGACAACAUCAUGUCCCUAGUAAGCCUCUAGUUGACUAGCUCGUUGAUCAAUAGAUGGUUACGGUUUCCUGACCAUGGACAUUGGAUGUCGUUGAUAACGGGAUCACAUCAUUAGGAGAAUGAUGUGAUGGACAAGACCCAAUCCUAAGCCUAGCACAAAAAUCGUGUAGUUCGUAUGCUAAUUGCUAAAGCUCAUGAGAUUGUGCAACUCCCGGAUACCGUAGGAAAGCUUUGGGUGUACCAAACUUCACAACGUAACUGGGUGGCUAUAAAGGUGCACUACGGGUAUCUUCGAAAGUGUCUGUUGGGUUGGCAUGAAUCGAGACUGGGAUUUGUCACUCCGGUUGACGGAGAGGUAUCUCUGGGCCCACUCGGUAGGACAUCAUCAUAAUGUGCACAAUGUGACCAAGGGGUUGAUCACGGGAUGAUGCGUUACGGAAUGAGUAAAGAGACUUGCCGGUAACGAGAUUGAACAUGGUAUCGACAUACCGACGAUCGAAUCUAGGGCAAGUACAAUACCGCUAGACAAAGGGAAUUGUAUACGGGAUUGAUUGAAUCCUCGACAUCGUGGUUCAUCCGAUGAGAUCAUCGUGGAACAUGUGGGAGCCAACAUGGGUAUCCAGAUCCCGCUGUUGGUUAUUGACCGGAGAACCUCUCGGUCAUGUCUGCAUGGUUCCCGAACCCGUAGGGUCUACACACUUAAGGUUCGAUGACCCUAGGGUUAUAGGGAAUAGAUAUACGUGGUUACCGAAUGUUGUUCGGAGUCCCGGAUGAGAUCUCGGACGUCACGACGAGUUCCGGAAUGGUCCGGAGGUAAAGAUUUAUAUAUGGGAAGUCCUGUUUUGGUCACCGGAAAAGUUUCGGGUGUUAUCGGUAAUGUACCAGGACCACUGGGAGGGUCCCGGGGGUCCACCAAGUGGGGCCACCGGCCCAGAGGGCUGCAUGGGCCAAGUGUGGGAGGGGACCAGCCCCAGGUGGGCUGGUGCGCCCCCUCCCCCCACAAGGGCCCAAGGCGCCUAGGGUUUUGGGGAAACCCUAAAGGGGGGCGCCCCCUUGCCUUGGGGGACAAGGCAACCCUCCUGGCCGCCGCCCCCUCCUCAGAUUGGAUCUGAGGGGGUCGGCCCCCCUCUCCCUUGUCCCUAUAUAUAUGUGGAGGGUGGGAGGGCAGCCGCACCCCAAGUUCUGGUGCAGCCCUCCCCCUCUCCCAAGUCCUCCUCCUCUCCCGCGGUGCUUGGCGAAGCACUUGAGGAUUGCCACGCUCCUCCACCACCACCACGCUGUUGUGCUGCUGCUGGACGGAGUCUUCCCCAACCUCUCCCUCUAUCCUUGCUGGAUCAAGGCAUGGGAGACGUCACCGGGCUGCACGUGUGUUGAACGCGGAGGUGCCGUCCGUUCGGCACUAGGAUCUCCGGUGAUUUGGAUCACGACGAGUACGACUCCUUCAACCCCGUUCUCUUGAACGCUUCCGCUUAGCGAUCUACAAGGGUAUGUAGAUGCACUCCCCUUCCCCUCGUUGCUAGAUUACUCCAUAGAUUGAUCUUGGUGAUGCGUAGAAAAUUUUGAAUUUCUGCUACAUUCCCCAACAGUGGCAUCAUGAGCUAGGUCUAUUGCGUAGGUUCUAUGCACGAGUAGAACACAAAAUAGUUGUGGGCGUUGAUUUUGUUCAAUAUGCUUACCGUUACUAGUCCAAUCUUGUUUCGACGGUAUUGUGGGAUGAAGCGGCCCGAACCGACCUUACACGUACUCUUACGUGAGACAGGUUCCACCGACUGACAUGCACUUGUUGCAUAAGGUGUCUAGCGGGUGCCAGUUUCUCCCACUUUAGUCGGAUCGGAUUCGAUGAAAAGGGUCCUUAUGAAGGAUAAAUAGCAAUUGGCAUAUCACGUUGUGGUUUUUGCGUAGGUAAGAAAUGUUCUUGCUAGAAACCCAUAGCAGCCAUGUAAAACAUGCAAACAACAAUUAGAGGACUUCUAACUUGUUUUUGCAGGGUAUGCUAUGUGAUGUGAUAUGGCCAAAAAGAAUGUGAUGAAUGAUAUGUGAUGUAUGACAUUGAUCAUGUUCUUGUAAUAGGAAUCACGACUUGCAUGUCGAUGAGUAUGACAACCGGCAGGAGCCAUAGGAGUUGUCUUAAUUUAUUGUAUGACCCGCGUGUCAUUGAACAACGCCAUGUAAUUACUUUACUUUAUUGCUAACCGGUAGCCAUAGUAGUAGAAGUAAUAAAUUGGCGAGACAACUUCAUGAAGACACGAUGAUGGAGAUCAUGGUGUCAUGCCGGUGACGAUGAUGAUCAUGGAGCCCCGAAGAUGGAGAUCAAAAGGAGCAAAAUGAUAUUGUCCAUAUCAUGUCACUAUUUGAUUGCAUGUGAUGUUUAUCAUGUUUAUGCAUCUUAUUUGCUUAGAACGACGGUAGUAAAUAAGAUGAUCCCUCAUUAAAAUUUCAAGAAAGUGUUCCCUCUAACUGUGCACCGUUGCGAAAGUUCGUCGUUUCGAAGCACCACGUGAUGAUCGGGUGUGAUAGAUUCUAACGUUCACAUACAACGGGUGUAAGCCAGAUUUACACACGCGAAACACUUAGGUUAACUUGACGUGCCUAGCAUGUACAGACAUGGCCUCGGAACACAAGAGACCGAAAGGUCGAGCAUGAGUCGUAUGGUGGAUACGAUCAACAUGAAGAUGUUCACCGAUGAUGACUAGUCCGUCUCACAUGAUGAUCGGACACGGCCUAGUUGACUUGGAUCAUGUAAUCACUUAGAUGACUAGAGGGAUGUCUAUCUGAGUGGGAGUUCAUUAGAUGAACUUAAUUAUCCUGAACAUAGUCAAAAGCCCUUUGCAAAUUAUGUCAUAGCUCGCGCUUUAGUUCUACUGUUUUAGAUAUAUUCCUAGAGAAAAUAUAGUUGAAAGUUGACAGUAGCAAUUAUGCGGACAGUAGAAGGCUUAUGUCCUUAAUGCACCACUCAAUGUGCUGAACCCCGAACGUCGUCUGUGGAUGUUGCGAACAUCGGACAUACACGUUUUGAUAACUACGUGAUAGUUCAGUUAAACGGUUUAGAGUUGAGGCACCAAAGACGUUUUCGAAACGUCGUGGAACGUAUGAGAUGUUUCGAGGGCUGAAAUUGGGAUUUCAGGCUCGUUCCCACGUCAAGAGGUAUAAGACCUCCGAUGAUUUUCAAACUAAGGGAGAAAAGCUCAAUCGUUGAGCUUGUGCUCAGAUCGUCUGAGUACAACAAUCACUUGAAUCGAGUGGGAGUUGAUCUUCCAGAUGAGAUAGUGAUGUUUCUCCAAAGUCAUUGCCACCAAGAUGCGAGAGCUUCGUGAUGAACUAUAACAUAUCAGGGAUAGAUAUGAUGAUCCUUGAAAUAUUCGCAAUGUUUGACACCGCGAAAGUAGAAAUCAAGAAGGAGCAUCAAUUGUUGAUGGUUAGUAAAACCACUAGUUUCAAGAAGGGCAAGGGCAAGAAGGGAUACUUCAUGAAACGGCAAAACAGUUGCUGCUCUAGUGAAAACCCAAGGUUGAACCCAAACCCGAGACUAAGUGCUUCUGUAAUAAGAGGAACGGACACUGAAGCAGAACCACCCUAGAUACUUGGUAGAUAAGAAGGCAGGCAAGGUCGAUAGAAGUAUAUUGGAUAUACAUUAUGUUAAUGUGUACUUUACUAGUACUCGUAGGAGCGCUAGGGUGUUAGAUACCGGUUCGGUUGCUAAGUGUUAGUAACUCGAAAUAAAAGCUACAGAAUAAACGGAGACUAGCUAAAGGUGAGCUGAGGAUAUGUGUUGGAAGUGUUUCCAAGGUUGAUGUGAUCAAGAAUCGCACGCUCCUCUACCAUCGAGAUUGGUGCUAAACCUAAAUAAUUGUUAUUUGGUGUUUGCGUUGAGCAUAGACAUGAUUGGAUUAUGUCUAUCGAAAUACGGUUAUUCAUUUAAGAAGAAUAAUGGUUACUCUGUUUAUUUGAAUAAUACCUUCAAUGGCCCUGCACCUAAAAGAUUUGUUUAUUGAAUCUCGAUCGUAGUGAUGCACAUUUUCAUGCCAAAAGAUAUAAGAUAGUAAUGAUAGUACCACUUACUUGUGGCACUGCCAUGUAAGUCAUAUUGGUAUAAAACGCAUGUAGAAGCUCCAUGCUGAUGGAUCUUUGGACUCACUCGUUUUUGAAAAGUUUGAGACAUGCGAACCAUGUCUAUUGGUGUAUACGCAUGAAGAAACUCCAUGCAGAUGGAUCGUUUGGACUCACUUGAUUUUGAAUCACUUGAGAUAUGCAAAUCAUACCACAUGGGCAAGAUGACUGAAAAGCCUCGUUUUCAGUAAGAUGGAACAAGAUAGCAACUUGUUGGAAGUAACACAUUUUGAUGUGUGCAGUCCAAUGAGUGUUGAGGCAUGCAGCGAAUAUCGUUAUGUUCUUACUUCACAGAUGAUUUGAGUAGAUGUUGAGUGUAUUUACUUGAUGAAACACAAGUCUGAAUUAUUGAAUGGUUCAAGUAAUUUCAGAGUGAAGUUGAAGAUCAUCAUGACAAGAGGAUAAAAUGUCUAUGAUAUGAUCAUACAGAUGACUAUCUGAGUUACGAGCUUUGGCACGCAAUUAAGACAUUGUGGAAAUUGUUUCACAAUUAAUACCGCCUGGAACACCAUAGUGUGAUGGUGUGUCCGAACAUCAUAGUUGCACCCUAUUGGAUAUGGUGCGUACCAUGAUGUAUCUUAUCAAAUUACCACUAUCGUUCAUGGGUUAGGCAUUAGAGACAACCACACUCACUUUAAUAGGGCACCACGUAAUUCCGUUAAGACGACACCGUUUGAACUAUGGUUUGGAGAAACCUAAGUUGUCGUUUCUUGAAAGUUUGGGGCUGCGACGCUUAUGUGAAAAAAGUUUCAUCGUGAUAAGCUCGAACCCAAAACGGAUAAAUGCAUCUUCAUAGAAUACCCAAAAUGGUUGGGUAUACCUCCUAUUUCAGAUCCGGAAGAAAAAGUAAUUGUUUCUAGAAAUGGGUCCUUUCUCGAGGAAAAGUUUCUCUCGAAAGAAUUGAGUGGGAGGAUGGUGGAGACUUGAUGAGGUUGUCGAACCAUCACUUCAACUAGUGUGUAACCGGGCACAGGAAGUUGUUCCUGUGGCACCUACACCAAUUGAAGUAGAAGCUUAUGAUAGUGAUCUUGAAACUUCGGAUCAAGUCACUACCAAACCUCGUAGGUCGACAAGGACGCGUACUACUUCAGAGUGGUACGCAAUCCUGUCUUGGAGGUCAUGUUGCUAGGAAACAAUGAACCUAUGAGCUAUGGAGAAGCGAUGGUGGGCCCGGAUUCCGACAAAUGGCUAAGAGGCCAUAAAAUCCGAGAGAGGAUCCAUGUAUGAGAACAAAGUGUGGACUUUGGAAGAACUACUUGAUGGUCGUAAGGCUGUUGGGUACAGAUGGAUUUUAAAAGGAAGACAGACGAUGAUGGUAAGUAUCACCAUUAAGAAAGCUCGACUUGUCGUUAAGUUUUCCGACAAGUUCAAGGAGUUGACUACGAUGAGACUUUCUCACUCAUAGCGAUGCUAAGAGUCAGUGGAAUUAUAUUAGCAAUUACUGCAUGAUUUAUGAAAUCUUGCAGAUAGAAUGUCAAAACAUUGUUUCCUCAACGAUAUCCUUGAGGAAAGGUUAUAUGUGAUACAACCAGAAGGUUUUGUCAAUCCUGAAAGACGCUAAUAAGUAUGCAAAGCUCCAGUAAUCCUUCUUAGGACUGGAGUAUGCAUCUCGGAGUUGGAAUGUACGCUUUGAUGAGAUGAUCAAAGAUUUUGGGUUUCUACAAAGUUUAUGAGAAACUUGUAUUUCCAAAGAAGUGAGUGGGAGCACUAUAGAAUUUCUGAUAAGUAUAUGUGAAUGACAUAUUUUUGAUCCGAAAUGAUGUAGAAUUUCUGGAAAGCAUAUAGGGUUUUUUGAAAAGUGUUUUUCAAUAGAAAACCUGGAUUAAGCUGCUUGAACAUUGAGCAUCAAGAUCUAUGAGGAUAGAUCAAAAACGCUAAAUGGUACUUUCAAAUGAGCAAUACCUUGACAUGAUCUUGAAGGUGUUCAAGAUGGAUCAGUCAAAGAAGGAGUUCUUGCCUGAGUUGUAAGGUAUGAAGUUAAGAGUUAAAAGCUCAACCACGGCAGAAGAGAGAGAAAGGACGAAGGGAGUCCCCUAUGCUUCAGACGUAGGCUCUAUAGUAUGCUAUGCUGUGUACCGCACUGGAAGUGUGCCUUGCCAUGAGUCAGUCAAGGGGUACAAGAAUGAUCCAGGAAUGGAUCAUUGGACAAUGGUCAAAAUUGUCCUUGGAGUAAAUAAGGACAUGUUUCUCGGUUAUGGAGGUAUAAAGAGUUCGACGUAAAGAGUUGCGUCGAUGCAAGCUUUAACACCUAUCCGAAUGACUCUGAGUAGCAAACCGGAUACGUAUAGUGGAGCAACCAUUUGGAAUAGCUCCAAAUGGAGCGUGGUAGCAGCAUUUACAAUAUGACCUGGAGAUUUGCGAAAUACAUACGGAUCUGAAUGUUGCAGACCCGUUGACUAAAACCUCUCUCACAAGCAAAACAUGAUCAAACCCCAGAACUCAUUGAGUCUUAAUCACAUGGUGAUGUGAACUAGUUUAGUGACACUAGUGAACUCUUUGGAUGUUGGUCACAUGGCGAUGUGACCUAUCAGUGUUAAUCACAUGGCGAUGUGAACUAGAUUAUUGACUCUAGUGCAAGUGGGAGACUGUUGGAAAUAUGCCCUAGAGGCAAUAAUAAAUUAGUUAUUAUUAUUAUAUUUCCUUGUUCAUGAUAAUCAUUUAUUAUCCAUGCUAUAAUUGUAUUGAAAGGAAACUCAGAUACAUGUGUGGAUACAUAGACAACACCAUGUCCCUAGUAAGCCUCUAGUUGACUAGCUCGUUGAUCAAUAGAUGGUUACGCUUUCCUGACCAUGGACAUUGGAUGUCGUUUAUAACGGGAUCACAUCAUUAGGAGAAUGAUGUGAUGGACAAGACCCAAUCCUAAGCCUCGCACAAAGAUCGUGUAGUUCGUAUGCUAAAGCUUUUAAAAUGUCAAGUAUCAUUUCCUUAGACCAUGAGAUUGUGCAACUCCCGGAUACCGUAGGAAUGCUUUGGGUGUACCAAACUUCACAACGUAACUGGGUGGCUAUAAAGGUGCACUACGGGUAUCUCCGAAAGUGUCUGUUGGGUUGGCACGAAUCGAGACUGGGAUUUGUCACUCCGGUUGACGGAGAGGUAUCUCUGGGCCCACUCGGUAGGACAUCAUCAUAAUGUGCACAAUGUAACCAAGGGGUUGAUCACGGGAUGAUGUGUUACGGAACGAGUAAAGAGACUUGCCGGUAACGAGAUUGAACAAGGUAUCGACAUACCGACGAUCGAAUCUCGGGCAAGUACAAUACCACUAGACAAACGGAAUUGUAUACGGGAUUGAUCGAAUCCUCGACAUCGUGGUUCAUCCGAUGAGAUCAUCGUGGAACAUGUGGGAGCCAACAUGGGUAUCCAGAUCCCGCUGUUGGUUAUUGACCGGAGAACCUCUCGGUCAUGUCUGCAUGGUUCCCGAACCCGUAGGGUCUACACACUUAAGGUUCGAUGACGCUAGGGUUAUAGGGAAUAGAUAUAUGUGGUUAACGAAUGUUGUUCGGAGUCCCGGAUGAUAUCUUGGACGUCAUGAUGAGUUCCGGAAUGGUCCGGAGGUAAAGAUUUAUAUAUGGGAAGUCCUGUUUUGGUCACCGGAAAAGUUUCAGGUGUUAUCGGUAAUGUACCGGGACCACCGGGAGGGUCCCGGGGGUCCACCAAGUGGGGCCACCGGCCCAGAGGGCUGCAUGGGCCAAGUGUGGGAGGGGACCAGCCCUAGGUGGGCUGGUGCGCCCCCCCACAAGGGCCCAAGGCGCCUAGGGUUUGGGGGAAACCCUAAAGGGGGGCGCCCCCUUGCCUUGGGGGGCAAGGCAACCCUCCUGGCCGCUGGCCCCUCCUCAGAUUGGAUCUGAGGGGGCCGGCCCCCCUCUCCCUUGCCCCUAUAUAUACGUGGGGGGUGGGAGGGCAGCCGCACCCCAAGUUCUGGCGCAGCCCUCCCCCUCUCCCAAGUCCUCCUCCUCUCCCGCGGUGCUUGGCGAAGCCGUGCAGGAUUGCCACGCUCCUCCACCACCACCACGCCGUUGUGCUGCUGCUGGACGGAGUCUUCCCCAAUGAGGGAGUCCCGGACUAGGGGGUGUCUGGAUAGACGAACUAUCAUCAUUGGCCGGACUCCAAGACUAUGAAGAUACAAGAUUGAAGACUUCGUCCCGUGUCCGGAUGGGACUUUCCUUGGCGUGGAAGGCAAGCUUGGCGAUACGGAUAUGUAGAUCUCCUACCAUUGUAACCGACUCUGUGUAACCGUAGCCCUCUCCGGUGUCUAUAUAAACCGGAUGGUCUUAGUCCAUAGGACGAACAACAAUCAUACCAUAGGCUAGCUUCUAGGGUUUAGCCUCCUUGAUCUCGUGGUAGAUCUACUCUUGUAAUACACCCAUCAUCAAUAUCAAUCAAGCAGGACGUAGGGUUUUACCUCCAUUAAGAGGGCCCGAACCUGGGUAAAACAUCGUGUCCCUUGUCUCCUGUUACCAUCUGCCUAGACGCACAGUUCGGGACCCCUACCCGAGAUCCGCCGGUUUUGACACCGACAUUGGUGCUUUCAUUGAGAGUUCCUCUGUGUCGUCACCGAUAGGCUCGAUGGCUUCUUCGAUCAUCAACAACGACGCAGUCCAGGGUGAGACUUUUCUCCCGGACAGAUCUUCGUAUUCGGCGGCUUUGCACUGCGGGCCAAUUCGCUUGGCCAUCUGGAGCACAUCGAAAGCUACGCCCCUGGCCGUCAGGUCAGAUUUGGAAGUUUGAAGUUCACGGCUGACAUCCGCGGAGACUUGAUCUUCGAUGGAUUUGAGCCACAGCCGAGCGUGCCGCACUGUCACGAUGAGCAUGAUUUAGCUCUGCAGCCGGACAGUGCCCUGGAGGCCGCACACGAGUCCGCUCCGACCCUUGAUUCGGAGCCGGCUGCGCAGAUCGAGGACGGGUGGCUAGACACCGCCUCGGGGGCUGCAACCUCUACGGCGGUGGAGCCGAAUAUUGACCUUGUCCCUCAUGAAGCUUGUGACUCCGAGGUGCCGGACUCCUCGCCAGACUCCGAACCUCCCGCGCCCCCUCCAAUCGGAUCCGAUUGGGCGCCGAUCAUGGAGUUCACCGCUGCGGACAUCUUUCAACACUCACCUUUCGGCGACAUCUUGAGUUUGCUAAAGUAUCUCUCGUUAUCAGGAGAGCCCUGGCCGGACUGCGGCCAGGACGGUUGGGAUGCGGACGACAAAGAAAUUCAAAGCCCACCAACCACCCAAUUAGUAGCCACUGUCGACGAUCUAACCAACAUGCUAGACUUCGACUCCGAGGACAUCGACGGUAUGGACGACAAUGCCGGAGACGACCAAGAACCAGCACCUACUGGGCACUGGAAAGCCACCUCAUCAUAUGACAUAUACAUGGUGGAUAUCCCAAAGGAUGGGAAUGGCGAAGGAGCAGCGGAGGAUGACCCCUCCAAGAAACAGCCCAAGCGUCGGCGUCAGCGGCGCCGCUCUAAAUCCCGCCACAGCAAGAAUGGAGAUUCCGGCACCGGAGAUAAUAAUACCCCAGACAGUGCCGAAGACAACCCCCUCCAGCAAGAUUCAAUACAGGAAGACGGAGACGCCAGCCCUCAUGAGAGAGCGGCAGACAAAGAGGUAGAGGAUUACAUGCCUCCCUCCGGAGACGAGGCAAGCCUCGACGACGACGAAUUUGUCGUGCCUGGGAUCCCGUCGAACAAGAGCGUUUUAAACGCAGGCUUAUGGCCACGGCAAACAGCCUCAAGAAAAAGCAGCAACAGCUUAGAGCUGAUCAAGAUCUGCUAGCUGACAGAUGGACUGAAGUCCUUGCGGCCGAAGAGCAUGAGCUCGAACGCCCCUCCAAAAGCUACCCCAAACGCAAGCUGCUCCCCCGAUUAGAGUAGGAGGUAUAUGAACCCGCAUCACCAGCGCACGAUACGGCUGACCGACCACCCCGUGGCCGCGACAGAGAGGCCUCUAGGCCCUCCACUAGAACCGUACCCCGGCAUAGCUCGAAAAGCACAAGGCCACAGGGGAACGCCUUGGAAUUGCGAGAUAUAUUGGAGGAUAAGGCAAGGCAAUCAAGAUCGAUCUACGGAUUGCGUGGGCGCCCCAUGAUACGUGACGACAACCGUCGCGCCGGACACAGCAAGUCCGACCGGGCCGAACACAGUAGACAAAACUCUCUUGAGCUUCGUAGUGAUAUAGCCCAAUACAGAGGCGCCGCACACCCACUAUGCUUCACAGAUGAAGUAAUGGAUCAUCAAAUCCCCAAAGGGUUUAAACCCGUGAAUAUUGAAUCUUAUGAUGGCACAACAGACCCCGCGGUUUGGAUCGAAGACUAUCUCCUUCAUAUCCACAUGGCCCGCGGUGAUGAUCUUCAUGCCAUCAAAUACCUCCCACUCAAGCUUAAAGGACCAGCUCGGCAUUGGCUCAACAGCUUGCCAGCAGAAUCAAUUGGGAGUUGGGAGGACCUGGAAGCCGCAUUCCUUGAUAACUUACAGGGCAUGUAUGUGCGACCACCAGACGCUGACGACCUAAGCCAUACAAUUCAGCAGCCAAACGAAUCGGCCAGACAAUUCUGGACACGGUUCUUAACUAAAAAAAUCAAAUCGUCGACUGUCCGGAUGCGGAGGCCCUCGCGGGCUUCAAACAUAACAUCCGCGACGAGUGGCUUGCCCGGCACCUGGGACAGGAAAAGCCGAAAUCCAUGGCAGCCCUCACAUCACUCAUGACCCGCUUCUGCGCGGGAGAGGACAGCUGGCUAGCCCGCAGCAACAACCUCAGCAAAAAUUCUGGCAGUCCGGAUAUCAAGGACCGCAAUGGCAGGUCGCGUCGCAACAAGAACAAACACCGCAUUAACGGCGACAAUAAUGAGGAUACGGCAGUCAAUGCCGGAUUCAGAGGGUCUAAACCCAGUCAGCGGAAAAAGCCAUUUAAAAGAACUACUCCGGGUCCGUUCAAUUUGGACCGAAUACUCGAUCGCUCGUGCCAGAUACACGGCACCCCUGAAAAGCCGGCUAACCACACCAACAGGGACUGUUGGGUAUUCAAGCAGGCAGGCAAUUUAAUUGCCGAAAACAACGACAAGGGGCUGCAUAGCGAUGACGAGGAAGAGACCCGACCGCCGAACAAUAGAGGGCAGAAGGGCUUCCCCCCACAAGUGCGGAUGGUUAACAUGAUAUACGCAACCGACAUACCCAAAAGGGAGCGGAAGCGUGCACUCAUGGAUGUAUACGCGAUGGAGCCAGUCGCCCCGAAGUUCAACCCAUGGUCCUCCUGUCCGAUCACUUUUGAUCGAAGGGAUCACCCCACCAGCAUCCGCCACUGCGGAUUCGCCGCAUUGGUUUUAGACCCAAUCGUCGAUGGAUUUCACCUCACCAGAGUCCUGAUGGACGGCGGCAGCAGCCUGAACCUGCUUUAUCAGGAUACGAUGCGCAAAAUGGGCAUAGACCCCUCAAGGAUUAAACCCACAAAGACGACCUUUAAAGGCGUCAUACCAGGCGUAGAGGCCAACUGUACAGGCUCAGUUACACUGGAAGUGGUCUUCGGAUCCCCGGAUAACUUCCGAAGUGAGGAGUUAAUCUUCGACAUAGUUCUGUUCCGCAGUUGCUAUGAUGCUCUGCUCGGACGUACCGCGUUUGCAAAGUUCAACGCGGUGCCGCACUACGCAUACCUCCAGCUCAAGAUGCCAGGCCCUAGAGGCGUCAUCACGGUCAAUGGAAACACUGAACGCUCCCUCCGAAUGGUGGAACAUACAGCGGCUCUCGCGGCAGAAGUACAGUGCAGCCUCUUAAGGCAAUUCUUGAGUCCGGCCGUUAAGCGACCGGACAUAGCCAAAUGCGCCCGGAGUAACCUACAACAAGACCACCCGGCACGUUCCGAGCACGCGUAGCAACGCGGCCCCAACGCCAGCCCCCGCAAAAUUACAAGACUGGUCCUUCGCGUACAUCAUUACGCUCUGGAGAUACCUUGGGCAUAGGGGGAGGGGCACGACCACGAUAGGCCCAGAAUGCGGCUUAACCACACCAGGGGCUCUCAAGUGUGUCGUUCCUUUUUUUUUCUCCUUUUUCUUUUUUUUAACCACAGGACCCCGUUCAUCAGAGGCCCUGUCCGGCAGUAGACCCGCCGAACUCACGAUGCAACAGCCAGGGAAGGAGAAAGUGUAACACCCCAAAAAUUUAACCAAGUUUUAAACAUUUAAAUUUUGCCAGGAAAUUAAAAAAAGUUUAUUUUCUCGGCUCCCUUUUGAUUUUUGGACCAUUUUUUUUCUCUCUUGUUAUUAUGGAGUUUUCCCCAAAAGAAAACCUUUCAAAUAUGUUAUUGGACUUGUUUAACCUCUCAAGAAAAACUUUUCUUUUAUUAGUAUAACUAAUUACUUACUUAAUUUGCUUGAUCUUUAUUUUCUUGAAAAAUGGUUUUUCAAGAUUAUAUGGCCAUAUUUGAACUACAACCAUUUGAUAAAUUCACUUAAAAUUCCAACCAAAAAUUUGAGAUGUCAGGUGAUGUUUUUAAAUCACUUUUAUGAAUAAUAUAUUGUAUUCAUGAAAUAUUUUGAGCUCUAAGAAAAGCCUAGGUGCUUGUGGCAUUUUGUCAAACACCUGGAGUGCAUGGACAGAUUUGACAUGAGUUUUGGUUUGCAUUGUGGACCUGAUCCUCUGACCCAACAGCCAUGUCCACUAGCAUCCCAGCUACCACUAGACUAAACCUGCUAAUCCCCAGCUCCAACCAAGCCACCUAGCAGGCCAUGGCAUUUCGUCGAGCAGAUGGUGGGCGUGCACUGGACGCGCCCAGAGCGCGCCAACUGCAGCCACACAUCCGAAACCGCCGCGUCGCGCCCCUGGUUUUGCCACUCACUGUAGAGCUACGCCACGCACUUCCCUCCUGCACCGCCACGCCACCCCGACCACCCUGGCACCCUACAACGCCGCCGUCAGGGCACUCUUGGCGGCAUGCCGGCGUCCGUAGUGCGCCUCUGCCACGGUCGGCGCCGCCCGAGCCACCCCGGCUCGCCACCUACCCCUGGGAGCCGCGCAAGCUUAUCCCCUCGCUCGUCGGCUAGCUCUCGUCGCCUCCACGUCGCCCUGCCAUACAGAAUGGCGGUUCGCCGUCGUCCUUAUCGCCGGCCGCCUCGGGACCGACCUCCACCGCCUAUAUAAGGGCCCCGGAGCUCAACCGAGUCCUCAAGCAACCUCAAAUGAUCCCCCUAGAGCUACCAUGGCCAGCAGUCGAGGAGGAGAAGGCCAUCUUCCCCGAGUCCGGCCGGUUCGGUCGCCGCCAAGUUCCGGCCGAUUCCAUCGCAACCAAGGCACCUCCCGGCAAUCUAGCGCCACCACCCAACUCCACGUGAUCGUGCGGAGCCGCCCAUCGCCUCAGCUCGGACCGAGAGCCACCAUAGCCCAGGACCCCAAAUCCACCCGAAGCCUCCUCCGCCGCGAAGCUCGCCGCCGGCAGCUCACUCCGCUCCCGCCGACCCAACGACCACCGGAAGGACCGCUCUUGAUCUGUGGAUCCAUCCCCGCUAUCAGCUCCCCACAAGGACCCGCCGUUCGCCAGCGACGAUCGCCGGAGUCCCGCACCCCUGCUCGGGCAGAGGAAGGGGAGGGAGGGCGACUGGUCAAACCUGACCAGUGGGCCAGGCAGGCCCACUGUCAGUGACCCAGCCCCGCCCCCACGUGUAGUAAGUGAAGGCGCAUUCUCAAAGUACGUCUUCGACGUAUGCUUUUCUUUUUCUGUUUAUUUUAAAAACAGUUUUUGACCAAAACUUUGACCGAGCUUAACUUUUUAACUACAACUCCAAAUGAAAUGAUUAUUUUUCCCACCUCUCUCAAAUUUGAUCUAGUUUAUUUUAAGAUUUAUUUGAAAAAAUUUCAAAACAACUUUUUGUGCUGUUUUGAACUUGUGUGUUAAUUCAAAUUUAUUUAAAAUAGGACUUUGAAGAGAGAGACGAAAACUUUCAAAAGUUUUGGAGUGCACCCUGCCUUACCACACAUUGAAGGCAAGCAUUCUGAACCCCGGCAUAAUAUUUUUGUGUGUUCGUUGACACGUCUAUAACACCACUCAUUUCGGAGAACUUGUUAUUUCAUGUGACAUGAUCAUUUGCAUGAAUGCAUAUUAGUGAUUUCCAUGCUGUUGGAAACGAACACACUUGUGAUGAUAAUCAUCCUCAUGUGCCUUGCAUGCAUACCGGAAGGAAUCCGGGAAAACCUCUGCCUGGGGUAGGCAUGAGUUUGUCACCGGUCUCCGUCGGGACGGUUAUGUCCGGUAUGGCAUAGUAAGGUAUAAUGAGCGGUGAUUCUGUUGGUUGGAAUAUUUUUUGUUAUACACGUCAUGCAGGGAACCUUAUAAACCUCCUGAGUCGACCCUAGAUCGAGUCUUGUUCCAGUAACCCCCAUACUUGUUUCGUACUACCACUAGUCUCUACAACAAGUAAAGUACGGUUCAGUAAUUUGUCAACCCCUUUCUAGCACACACCGUAUAGAGGGGCCGGGAUGAGGGUACCACGGCCAUGGAUUAAAGCCAGUCAUCCGGUCAGGGGGCAUGGGUGUUUCGGUUGUAGCCGAGGGGGUAGCUUCCCAGUUUUGCGCGCAGUAUAAAUUUUGUGAUCCCAUGCUAAUCGAAGUUGUAGCCUCCCCACUUAGAGUUUUGCUUAACGGGUGUCGUGGGUGAUUCCAGACACCGGUGAGUUAAGAUGGCGUGUGCAAGUCAGGUGCGUUUUCAUUUAAAAUACCGUAGACGAAAUUAGUCCGAUGGACUAAGGGAAUCCGUUACUCGUGGGUAAAGAGUACACCCUCUGCAGAGAUUAAGACCUAUUCGAAUAGCCGUGUCCAUGGUUAAGGAUUACAGUCUGGGAUGGGUCAAGUGUCGGUCUUAGUGUCGUUCUUCGGAGGUGAAACUGCUAAAUCAGAAAUGGUAUUACGACUUGUGACAUGUGAUAAUUAUGAUUAUUAUUUUUGUUGUGGGCUAACCCGUGAUAUCAUUGGUAUUAUCGAAUAUCCCUAGGACGGUUCUACCUCCUGGAUAUUCACUGUGAUUCUUUUAAAGCCCUUUAUAUGGUGUCGGUAAGACGCUCGACUAUGGCAUUUCUUUUAUAAGCCCUUUAUGUGGUGUCGCUGAGACGCCUGACUGUGGCAUUUCUUUUAUAAUCCCUUUAUGUGGUGUCGCUGAGACACCCGACUGUGGCAUUUCUUUUAAAGCCCUUUAUGUGGUGUCACUAAGACGCCCGACUGUGGCAUUUCUUUUAUAAGCCCUUUAUGUGGUGUCGCUGAGACGCCCGACUGUGGCAUUUCUUUUAAAGCCNNNNNNNNNNNNNNNNNNNNNNNNNNNNNNNNNNNNNNNNNNNNNNNNNNNNNNNNNNNNNNNNNNNNNNNNNNNNNNNNNNNNNNNNNNNNNNNNNNNNNNNNNNNNNNNNNNNNNNNNNNNNNNNNNNNNNUAUGUGGUGUCGCUAAGACGCCCGACUGUGGCAUUUCCUUUAUAAGCCCUUUAUGUGGUGUCGCUGAGACGCCCGACUGUGGCAUUUCUUUUAUAAGCCCUUUAUGUGGUAUCGCUGAGACGCCUGACUGUGGCAUUUCUUUUAAAGCCCUUUAUGUGGUGUCGCUAAGACGCCCGACUGUGGCAUGCUUGUUAUUUAUUUCAUAAUUUUAAUACUACUAUGUAUGGCAUAUUCAUAAAUAACAUGCUUGCGAGCAUCAGAAUUUUUAUUAUCUUUUGUGACUGACGUCAUGAGCAUAAAAUAUUUUCAGCACAUCAUUGUUAUAUUAUUCAUGUGUUCAUAAUGUUUGCGAGUACAUUCAAAGUACUCACAGGCUUGUCCCUCGCUAUUGUCUUGGCCAGAUUUCUCGCACGGAGAGGAGCGACCGUGUUGGCAGCCCCGAAACCUAAGCAAUGGUGAUAGCCGUCUCGCGAAGAUAGGAGUUAACCUGGUCAGCUGUUCCUGUGGGAAAUGGAGUCCCAGAGACGAUGAUGAUCCACAGACCGCUUCCGCCACCAACCACUAGAAACCAUAUUGUUGUACACAUAGGCCAGAAUGGUCUUGUACUACAUAUUUGUACCUUUGCUUGGAAUUUCUGUAUCAAGUUGGUGCCUCAUCAACUAACAGUUAUCCUGGGGCUGGUGAGCACAAGGGUCAUUUUUCUGGAAAUUAAUACCCGGAGAAUCGGUCACGACAAACUUGGUAUCAGAGCCAGGCUGACCAUUGGCUAAUCCUAUCCUAGCCAAGUCGAUAAACCUGGUAAACCAACCCACCAGACCCUAACCAAAACCCUAGCCAAGCUUCCCGUGCAAGAUAGCCACACAGUGACCCCGACACUUUUGGCAGUCGGUGCCCAACCUAUCAGCCUAGUCUGUCUAUCACACGCCAGUGAUCGAUGGCUAAAAUGUCUCAUUCGCAAGCGCGCGAAGGGAGACUCCGUCCCCUUUUCUAUAAAAAGGGCACGCUAGCCUCAACCCAGCACAGCACAGCCUCUUCCCUAACCUAGCCACAAUGCCUGGUCCCAUAGUGCACAAUGAGACCAUAGAAACCAACCUUGGAGGUUUCGUGACCAUACUCGCAAACCUCACCCGCCGUGCCUACGCGUUAGAAGAACCCCCAGAAUAUGUGGUGUACCAAGGGACCAUGAGCGGUGAGAGCCGUCAAUUCUGGGCCACUAUGCACAUCUACGGUAGGGGUCUGUCACCAGAACGCCCCUACAGGUUCACCGGAAGAACAACUUCCUUCGAGCCACAAGCCAUCCAGCUAGCUGCUCGAGAGGCUAUAGUUCAACUCCGGCAGUUGUCGCCCAGGGCUAACUGUCGCUCGUUCUACUACUACCCCAGGCGUGAAGGGUAUGGUAGACCACCCCAAGUUGCCAACGGAGAUCAUGAGACGGAUCCCGCAUUGUUGCACCUAGUGCGCUAUGUAAGUGCACUAGAGGCAUUGUUCGAUCAAAUCACUAUUGAUCUGAUCGCAGCUCGAGGAGAGCUGGUUCGCCGAGCCCCGAUAAGCAGGGAAACCGAGCCCGACGCCGACAACCCAGUCGUGCUGUUCGGACACCCGAUUGACACCCUGAGGUCAGGCCCAGCCAUCAUCCAAGAUACGGUGAUGACCCCAGAAGUACUUCGUCGCCUUUUGGGAACACACUCCAACGGGAUUGUGGCUAACAAUCCCCGCGAUGGUCAUCAUCGCUACCCCGACCCUGCAGUUCCUCCACCAUCUCCGACAAAUCCCGACAGUGAGACACGUGGAGAAGCCUCGACAUCCACCAGGCACGCCCGUUUAGACAUAAACGAGGUAGACUAAGACGUACAAGUAGUACCGAGUCUCAGUGUAUCCUCGCUUUGUAAUCGUGUGACCUUGUAAAUAAACGCAGCCUGUUGUUGUGCCUCUGUUUUAAAUAGUAGCCUUGCAUAUUUUUGUCAGCACGCAGUUGCAUAUUUUCCGGGCACAGCUACCAAAACCGACCCCGACGACACUCACAGUAACACGUCUCUUUAUGAGAUAUGUGUAUCUCCGACACUGACACCGAUCCUUGGAGGUGAUCUGGCAUAUUAUUUACCUUUCACCACGGUAAAUGAGUCAGCCCAGAUGCUAUAUAAAAAGGCCACCUUGUGACCUUACACAACACCCCUCACCUCGUGCACCACUCUCACAACCAUUUCUUGCCAUGCCGAGCCCUAGUAUAUAUCUGAGAACCCCAGAUGCAACCCCGAGUAGCUUUGUCAAAAUAUUGUGUGACUUUACCUGCAGUACCAUGGGUUCUACCCAGCCACCCCAGUACGAGCUGUUCAAAUCGAGAAUCACCCCUUCCACCUCGGAGUAUUGGGCAGCAGUACACAUCCUUCCCGUAGACCCCAACCAAGAUCCAACGUAGGUUUCCUUCGUGGGGAAAUCUAUGCCAACCCCACGCCUGGCCAUAGAAGCUGCUGUGAAAGAAGCGAUUGCUCGUCUUCGAUCCGCAGUACCCUAUGCCCGCGAGCGAGGAUAUUAUUACUUUUCGAGCCGGACAGCACCCGGAGGAGUAACAUCUUUUCCCGGUGGGCGGAUUGAGAGAGACCCAGUGCUAGCCAACCUUAUCCAGUACAUCAUCGCUCAGGAACAUUUGAACCAGCAAGUAAUGGGCUAUCUCCAGAGUCUCGCUGAUUUAAACCCACAGAUUGCCAUCAGCAGACCACUGAGGCCCGACCCGAAGAGACGCAUACAUCGACUGGUCAAUCCACUUCCUCCGAUAGAAGAGGAGUGUAUUCCAUUGCCAGAGACAUUUUCUCGAGACCCCGUCCAGUUACCAUUCUCAUUUUAGACGUCACUGCUGUGUUUGUUAGUUCAGCAUUUAAUAUCACGUUGUAACUUAUGCUUGGUACCUCAAAUUUGUGCGACGAGUCGAGUAUUUAGUUCCUGCUUAUAUGAGUAGUUUUCCUUAUGAUUAACAUGUGUAACCGCAAAAAGAAUCCUGGAGUGAGUUUUCUUUUCCCUGAGUUUCUACAUCGUAUAUCUUCUCACGCCGUGGAUUACUUUAUUUCACACGGCACCACGGCAGCAGACUCACCUCCGCUCGAACUCAUACCAUGCUUGCAAAGACACGUAACCGUGGGGUAUUUGUUUUUCAAAACCGCUCUUAACAAAUCUCGAGGACGAGAUUUUUCUUAAGGGGGGUAGUAUUGUAACACCCCAAAAAUUUAACCAAGUUUUGAACAUUUAAAAUCUUGCCAGGAAAUUAAAAAAAGUUUAUUUUCUGGGCUCCCUUUUGAUUUUUGGACCAUUUUUUCUUCUCUCUUGUUAUUAUGGAGUUUUCCCCAAAAGAAAACCUUUCAAAUAUGUUAUUGGACUUGUUUAACCUCUCAAGAAAAACUUUUAUUUUAUUAGUAGAACUAAUUACUUACUUAAUUUGCUUGAUCUUUAUUUUCUUGAAAAAUGGUUUUUCAAGAUUAUAUGGCCAUAUUUGAACUACAACCAUUUGAUAAAUUCACUUAAAAUUCCAACCAAAAAUUUGAGAUGUCAGGUGAUGUUUUUAAAUCACUUUUAUGCAAUAAUAUAUUGUAUUCAUGAAAUAUUUUGAGCUCUACACCCAUUUUUCCUCUCUGGACCAGUGGGCAAUUUUGCACUGCAACUCAUUUAAAUACUUCCUCCUAGCCUCCACCAAAAUUAUGGGAUGUCAGUAGGAGCUUAUUAUUCCUUUAUAUGCAAAAUCCAGGGAUGUUCUUUGAAAAUUUUGAGUGAAUCAACCUCUUUUUCAUUCUGGACCAGACUUGUGUUUUCUACUGCAACCCUACUCAUUCUUGCUCUAGUGACCUUGUACUUCCUCCUGCUUGUAAUCAACCCUGCAAAACCCCUAAGUCCCGGAGCAUGCAACCAUUGGAAUACUUUUGGUUCAUGAGAUGAUGCCAUUUACGUUCUGUCCAGAAUUGGAGUUCUGCAAAACUUGCACUAGCAAGUUUGUGCUUUUCACAAACUAACCUCACCACCCUCUUGUGCAUCCAAAGAGACUUCAAUCUGGAAGAAUUGGCCACUCCAAGAAAAGCCUAGGUGCCUGUGGCAUUUUGUCAAACACCUGGAGUGCAUGGACAGAUUUGGCAUGAGUUUUGGUUUGCAUUGUGGACCUAAUCCUCUGACCCAACAGGCAUGUCCACUAGCAUCCCAGCUACCCCUAGACUAAACCUGCUAAUCCCAAGCUCAAACCAAGCCACCUAGCAAGCCAUUGCAUUUCGUCGAGCAGAUGGUGGGCGUGCACUAGACGCGCCCAGAGCGCGCCAACUGCAGCCACACAUCCGAAACCGCCGCGUCACACCCCUUGUUUUGCCACUCACUGUAGAGCCACGCCACACACUUCCCUCCUGCACCGCCACGCCACCCCAACCACCCUGGCACCCUACAGCGCCGCCGUCAGGGCACUCUUGGCAGCAAGCCGGCGUCCGCAGUGCGCCUCUGCCACGGUCGGCGUCGCCCGAGCCACCCCGGCUCGCCACCUGCCCCUGGGAGCCGCGCAAGCUUAUCCCCUCACUCGUCGGCUAGCUCUCGUCACCUCCACGUCGCCCUGCCGCACAGAAUGGCGGUUCGCCGUCGUCCUUAUCGCCGGCCACCUCGGGACCGACCUCCACCGCCUAUAUAAGGGCCCCGGAGCUCAACCGAGUCCGCAAGCAACCUCAAAUGAUCCCCCUAGAGCUACCAUGGCCAGCAGUCGAGGAGGAGAAGGCCAUCUUCCCCGAGUUCGGCCGGUUCGGUCGCCGCCAAGUUCCGGCCGAUUCCGUCGCAACCAAGGCACCUCCCGGCAAUCUAGCGCCACCACCCAACUCCACGUGAUCGUGCGGAGCCGCCCAUUGCCUCAGCCCCGACCGAGAGCCACCAUAGCCCAGGACCCCAAAUCCACCCGAAGCCUCCUCCGCCACGAAGCUCGCCGCCGGCAGCUCACUCCACCCCCGCCGACCCAACGACCACCGGAAGGACCGCUCUUGAUCUGCGGAUCCAUCUCCGCUUUCAGCUCCCCGCAAGGACCCGCCGUUCGCCGGCGACGAUCGCCGGAGUCCCGCACCCCUGCUCGGGCAGAGGAAGGGGAGGGAGGGCGACUGGUCAAACCUGACCAGUGGGCCAGGCAGGCCCACUGUCAGUGACCCAGCCCCGCCCCCACGUGUAGUAAGUGAAGGCGCAUUCUCAAAGUACGUCUUCGACGUAUGCUUAUUUUGAAACGUUUUUCUUUUUCUGUUUAUUUUAAAAACAAUUUUUGACCAAAACUUUGACUGAGCUUAACUUUUUAAAUACAACUCCAAAUGAAAUGAUUUUUUUCCCACCUCUCUCAAAUUUGAUCUAGUUUAUUAUAAGAUUUAUUUGAAAAAAAAUUCAAAACAACUUUUUGUGCUAUUUUGAACUUGUGUAUUAAUUCAAAUUUAUUUAAAAUAGGACUUUGAAGAGAGAGAAGAAAACUUUCAAAAGUUUUGGAGUGCACCCUGCCUUACCACACAUUGAAGGCAAGCAUUCUGAACCCCGGCAUAAUAUUUUUGUGUGUUCGUUGACACGUCUAUAACACCACUCAUUUCGGAGAACUUGUUAUUUCAUGUGACAUGAUCAUUUGCAUGAAUGCAUAUUAGUGAUUUCCAUGCUGUUGGAAACGGACACACUUGUGAUGAUAAUCAUCCUCAUGUGCCUUGCAUGCAUACCAGAAGGAAUCCGAGAAAACCUCUGCCUGGGGUAGGCAUGAGUUUGUCGCCGGUCUCCGUCGGGAUGGUUAUGUCCGGUAUGGCAUAGUAAGGUAUAAUGAGCGGUGAUUCUGUUGGUUGGAAUAUUUUUUGUUAUACACGUCAUGCAGGGAACAUUAUAAACCUCCUGAGUCGACCCUAGAUCGAGUCUUGUUCCAGUAACCCCCAUACUUGUUUCGUACUACCACUAGUCUCUACAACAAGUAGAGUACGGUUCAGUAAUUUGUCAACCCCUUUCUAGCACACACCGUACAGAGGGGCCGGGAUGAGGGUACCACGGCCAUGGAUUAAAGCCAGUCAUCCGGUCAGGGGGCAUUGGUAUUUCGGUUGUAGCCGAGGGGGUAGCUUCCCAGUUUUGCGUGCGGUAUAAAUUUUGUGAUCCCAUGCUAAUCGAGGUUGUAGCCUCCCGACUUAGAGUUUGUCUUAACGGGUGUCGUGGGUGAUUCCAGACACCGGUGAGUUAAGCUGGUGUGUGCAAGUCAGGUGUGUUUUCAUUUAAAAGACCGUAGACGGAAUUAGUCCGAUGGACUAAGGGAAUCCGUUACUCGUGGGUAAAGAGUACACCCUCUGCAGAGAUUAAGACCUAUUCGAAUAGCCGUGUCCAUGGUUAAGGAUUACAGUCUGGGAUGGGUGAAGUGUCGGUCUUAGUGUCGUUCUUCGGAGGUGAAACUGCUAAAUCAGAAAUGGUAUUACGACUUGUGACAUGUGAUAAUUAUGAUUAUUAUUUUUGUUGUGGGCUAACCCGUGAUAUCAUUGGUAUUAUCGAAUAUCCCUGGGACGGAUCUACCUCCUGGAUAUUCACUGUGAUUCUUUUAAAGCCCUUUAUGUGGUGUCGCUAAGACGCCCGACUGUGGCAUUUCUUUUAUAAGCCCUUUAUGUGGUGUCGCUGAGACGCCCGACUGUGGCAUUUCUUUUAUAAGCCCUUUAUGUGGUGUCGCUGAGACGCCCGACUGUGGCAUUUCUUUUAAAUCCCUUUAUGUGGUGUUGCUAAGACGCGCGACUGUGGCAUUNNNNNNNNNNNNNNNNNNNNNNNNNNNNNNNNNNNNNNNNNNNNNNNNNNNNNNNNNNNNNNNNNNNNNNNNNNNNNNNNNNNNNNNNNNNNNNNNNNNNNNNNNNNNNNNNNNNNNNNNNNNNNNNNNNNNNNNNNNNNNNNNNNNNNNNNNNNNNNNNNNNNNNNNNNNNNNNNNNNNNNNNNNNNNNNNNNNNNNNNNNNNNNNNNNNNNCUUUAUGUGGUGUCGCUAAGACGCGCGACUGUGGCUUUUCUUUUAUAAGCCCUUUAUGUGGUGUCGCUGAGACGCCCGACUAUGGCAUUUCUUUUAUAAGCCCUUUAUGUGGUGUCGCUGAGACGCCCGACUAUGGCAUUUCUUUUAAAGCCCUUUAUGUGGUGUCGCUAAGAUGCCCGACUGUGGCAUGCUUGUUAUUUAUUUCAUAAUUUUAAUACUACUAUGUUAUGGCAUAUUCAUAAAUAACAUGCUUGCGUGCAUCAGAAUUUUUAUUAUCUUUUGUGUCUGACAUCAUGAGCAUAAAAUAUUUUCAGCACAUCAUUGUUAUAUUAUCCCUGUGUUCAUAAUGUUUGCGAGUACAUUCAAAGUACUCACAGGCUUGUCCCUGGCUAUUGUCUUGGGCAGAUUUCUUGCGCGGAGAGGAUUGACCGUGUUGACAGCCCCGGAACCUAAGCAACGGUGGUAGCCGUCUCGCGAAGAUAGGAGUUAACCUGGUCAGUUGUUCCUGUGGGAAAUGGAGUCCCAUAGACGAUGAUGAUCCACAGACCGCUUCUGCCACCAACCACUACAAACCAUAUUGUUGUACACAUAGGCCAGAAUGGUCUUGUACUACAUAUUUGUACCUUUGCUUGGAAUUUCUGUAUCAAGUUGGUGCCUCAUCAGCUAACAGUUAUCCUGGGGCUGGUGAGCACAAGGGCCAUUUUUCUGGAAAUUAAUACCCGGAGAAUCGGUCGCGACAGAAAGGCUACGACGAAUAUCCAGGUGGUCUCCAUUACGAGCAUUAAAUCUGUUUUAUACACCAUUCCGCAGCCUACCCCUGGAGGGGGACAUGUUUAAUAGUCCCAUCCCUUGCUUAUCGCACUAUUUGUAUCAUUCUGCAUUCAUAGCAGUAUUUCUUGAAUAAACAAUGCAGCACCUUUUUGCUUAUAAUUGCAUUUCUUUCUUAUACAUAUGUUCAUUUAUGACAUGUUUCAUCCGUACACUUUGGUAUGGCUAAAUACACCAGGGGCUUAUGUUUCCCGCAUCAUGGUCUGAUAAGUCCGAACAGUUUCACAAGUGCGGCACCCCGAACUUAUAGCAUUAUCUGCAUCGGCUCCGAAUCAUGUCUUGGGUCAAUAGUUGGGUUUGCCCGGCUCCCAUGUUUUGGUACCUUACGUCCUGUUGUAUCGGCUAAGGUAGCACUAGGAGAACCACUGCGAUUGCGCCCCAGUUGAGCUGGGCGAGCGCCUCAGUGGAGAAAGCUAAAACUGACCGUCAUGAUGAGGCGAGAGCCGGUCGGUGUUCGAGAGGUCUUUUCGAGUCCCUAAAGACUUAUGCCGCGUAGAGCGAGGAACCAGCUUUGUCCGGCCCAGGCGUGGAUAGCGCCCCAAAUUCGGCCUUCCGAACACUAGGGGCUUCGCCGAAAUAUAAGAUUAUAGAAUUCUAUGGCUAAGUGAGAGUGUUCAAGCAUUAUAAGUCCGGUUUCCUUGUUCGUUGUGUUGAGCGCCUCCCUAGAUGGACCCAAAAAUGGGAACAAGAGUGCUCCAAUUUAUCCCGAACACCCCAGCACUCGUGGCAUGGGGGCCGAAGCCGACGACUUGCCAUCUCUUAGAUUUGAUAAAUGGCCGCACAGAAGGUAAUAUUUUAAAUUAACAAGCGUUGCUUAGCGCAUAUGAACAAAGUUUUCAGCACACAGGAUAACAAAAUGCGAGUCUACAUUACAUCUUUGGAGCACUCACCCGCAAUCAUGUGGGCACCCUUCAGGACACUCUUAUAAUACAUCUCGGGCAUGCGAUACUCCUUGCCCGGCGGUGGCGCGUCCGUCACAAGCUUCUCAGCAUCCAUCUUGCCCCAUUGCACCUUUGCGCGGGCAAGGGCCCGACGGGCACCUUCAAUACAGGCGGAGUGCUUGAUGACUUCAACCCACGGACACGCAUCCACCAGCCGCCGCACCAGGCCGAAGUAGCUCCCAGGCAUGGCCUCCUUGGACCACAACCGAACUAUGUGGCCCCUCAUGGCCUGUUCGGCCACCUUGUGGAGCUCGACCAGCUGCUUCAGCUGGUCGCUCAGGGGCACCGGAUGUCCGGCCUCAGCAUACUGAGACCAGAAGACCUUCUCCGUCGAGCUCCCCUCCUCGGCCCUAUAGAAAGCGGCAACAUCGGACACGCUGCGGGGAAGAUCUGCGAACGCUCCUGGAGAGCUCUGAAUUCGGGUAAGUAAUAGGUAAUUCACACUCACAUGCUUACUUUGCAUGAAAAAUGCCUUACCCGCCGCUAUUUUCUUCAAUGCCUCGAUUUCCUGGAGGGCCUUGUAGGCUUCGGCCUUAGUGGCUUUGGCACUCUCAAGAGCCGAUGCAAGCUCGCACUCUCGAGUCUUUGAGUCGCGCUCCAAACUCUCAUGCUUUUCCACGAGAGCCUGGAGCUCUUGCUGUACCUCCGCCACCCGCGCCUCCUGCUUCUCUCGCUCGGUGCGCUCCGCAGCCGCAUUGCGUUCGGCCGCGGACACCGCCUCAUUCAGGGUCGCCACCUCGUUUGUGGCACCUGCAAUAAUCACGUUAUCCUUGUCAUUCCUCUUGCAACCAAAUCCUUUUCUGUAAGGUACAAUUUUAAUAAGGUGUUACUCACCUUCCUUGUCCUCGAGCUGCUUCUUGGCACGACACUACUAGGAAAAGGGCUAUAGAUAGGACUGAUUCUAAUGGCGCACCAGGUAAGUAGUGCGCCAGUACUAUAUACUAAUGGCGCACCGGUUGCUCGUGCGCCAUUAGUGUGGAAGAUACUAAUGGCGCACCGUGCUCACGGUGCGCCACUACUACUGAUUUUUUCCCCAUUUUUCCAUACAAACUAAUGGCGCAUGGAUGGCAAAGUGCGCCAUUACUAGUUAGAACUAGUAAUGGCGCACGACCAAGACAGUGCGCCAUUAGUAUAUAAUUUUUUUUUUUACUUUUUUGCAAACCUACUAAUGGCGCACUAUGCCAAAGCCCAGUCGUGUUUAUACCCGAAGCCAAAUCCAAGACCGCGGGCGCAAACGUCACCGCGAAAAAUGAGCCAUGGGUACUGGCUUCCCAAGUGGACCAAUGCUUCUUCAUUACCGACCCGCCAAAGCCCAGUCGUGUUGUCGUGAGGAGAGGCAAAAGGAAGAUCAUCGGAAUGGAUUGUGAACAGAUAGCUAGCUAAGAUCGAUUGUAUUUAAAUCGUAGUCUUCAUUUCUCGAUUGUAUUUCAUGGGCACUUUUUGAUAUCAUGAAUAUUUUUAAAUUUCAUGGGCACUUUUUGAAUUCAUGAGGACAUUUGAUCUCGAUCCCCCUCCAUCUCGAUUUCGAUUCCCCCUCCAUCUCGAUCUCGAUCCCCGCACCCUCCCCCGCUCCACCGCCGCCGCCGAUGAUAUUUUCAAGUAAGAAAUUUGAACAUAUUUUUUAAAAAAUUAUUACUGUUUUUAUAAAAAAAAUAUUACUGUUAUGAUUUAAACAAGUUUGAACAUAUUUAAACACAAAUAAAUAUAAAAAACAGCAUUUAAAAUGCAUAAAAAUAAUAUUGGGGAGCCUGGGAAUCGAACCCAGGACCUCCUGGGUUGUGUGCUGCGUGCUGACCAGUCGGGCUAGUGGGUGGGUUCUAUUGUAGAUAGGGUUAGGUUGUAGAUAUGGUUAGUGGGCUAGAUUAAAACAAAAUUCUAAUGGCGCACCGAUGGUUGGUGCGCCAUUAGAAUAGUCAUACUUAUGGCGCACGACUGGACGGUGCGCCGUUAGAACCCUCCCCCUAGCUAUCCUCCCUCCCUUCGACCCUCUCUCCCUCGCCACCAGAUCCACCCGCGCGCCGCCCCGACCCACGCCGCCGCCGCCCCCGCGCCUCCGUCUCCGUCGCCGCCCCCAGUCAGCCCCUGCCCUGCCCCCCAUCACCGUCCGCUCCCAAUCCACCCCCUCCCUCGCCUUCACCGGACCCACCCACCCCCUCCCUCGCCUUCCCAGCCCUCGAGCUCCACCGUGCGAGGCGACAAGCAAGGCGGCGGGCAGAAUCUGCUUCAACACCGGGGCGGCGAGCCGCGGAACUAGGGCGCGACGGCGCUCGACCCCUCCACCCCCCUCCACCUCUUCUUCCUCGGGUCGCCGCUGUCUUCCUCAACUUCGGCCACCUCUGUUGCUACUAAGCUGUCGCUUGGCCUCCUUGCGCCUCCCCGGUGAGCUCCGCCUCCUCUCCCCUCUUCCUUCUCGCAAACACUCUGUUUGUCCAGCAAAUCAGCGAUAAUCCUGUUGAUUCCGGCUGUAGUAUUUCAAUCCAACAGUAGCGCCGAACGGCAGUGGCAUCAUUCUGGGGUAUAGUUAGGGCCAUGAUGGCACAAGCAUUUAAACAACUGAUACAAUAUUACAAAAAACAAUGCACAAUGAUUUUGCUAGUAGUUAAGCAAAGAGCAACUUUUCCCCAAGAAAACGAAGAGAAUUAGUUUGUAAAUACCACUGACAAAUGGAACACGCCGAUCAGCUAUCACUGCAAAUUUCCAACAUAUAUAUGACAUUUGAUGUUUGAGUUGUUAGUUUUUCCCAUUUCUCGUUCAGUCAAUUCAGCCAAAUGCUAAACCUUUAUACAGAGAGAUGGAAACAGAUGCUUCCUGUGUAGUAUAAUUUUUUUACUAGGUUGCCAGAAGAGGGGGGCUUACAGGUAAAACUACCGGGAAUUGUUAUGCACAAAUUGCUAGUGGUUGCUUGGCCACUCACUAAAACUAAUUUCACAUAACUAAAAUGAUAAAAAAGGAGAUGGUGGCAACCAGUUUAGAAAACAUUGUACUAGUGAGUGGUAACUAGUUUGAAGAAAAUUGUAAAUAAGAUUCUAAUUGUGAUAAUCCUGCUCACAUCCCCACUUGCAGCAGAGGCAGGCAAUGCCUCUAUAUGCUCUGUUUUACUGCCUAGCUAGAGCACAAACCUAGCCCCAGUUGUGUAUUCCCAAUUGCUAGUGGUCUAACUGAUGUUUCCCUAGUUGGGUGAGACUGACUUGGCUCUUUCUUUGAGGAGACAGAUCAAACAAGUGUUGUCAGUUUUUGUUUGAACUUCAAAGAGUGUUGUGACUAGGCUCUUAAUCAAAAGACUGCUGUCAUUUUUUGUUUGAACUUUGUUUGACUGGAGGAAAUUACUCUUAAAUGCUAGUCCUAUUCUGGUGGAGAUUUUUCUUGUCCUAAGUUACACUGAAGAUAUUUUUCUGAUAAUAUUAUAAAAACUGCCUAGUGUGUGUUCAACUUGUAUCUUCUAGCUUAAGUUUAACUUGUCCUGAGUUACACUCAAGUUAUAAUGUGUUUAACUAGUAAAAUUCAGUUAACAACAACAUCAGUAAAAUUCAGUUAAUUAACUGAAGAAGAGAAGAGAGAAAGUAGAGAGCAAGAGGAGAAUGUGUAACUACAAGGAUGAUUAUAGCAAUUAUUUGCAUAGCAAUUAUUUUCUUCACUUAGUCAUUGAUGGCCAUUCAGUAUGAAAUUACAACCUGCAGGUAUUUGUUGGAAUGUGUAACUACAAUUUACAGGGGAAAUGUUUGCAGUUAAGUUAUGUGGUUGGAAAGAUCAUGUGUCAUUAGAAACUUGGAAGCUAAAAACAUUGCGAUCCUCACCAUAAGGAUGAUUAUAUCUUCCAUGCCUAAAUAGCUCUGCCUAAAUAAUAAACAGAUAAAGGUAAAACUAAACCAUGCUCAGCGAUGAGAUGAUGUCAACUGACAACCAAAGCAAACUUGUUCAUCAUUACAAAAGCAAACUUGUUCAACAUAACAAAAGCAAAGUUGUUCAACAUAACAAAAGCAAACUUGUUCAACCACAUAACUACAAACUGAGACACAGUAGUAGGGGUCAUCCCAAUACCACAAACAACUCAAUAUCCCCAGUAGUAGGGGUCAUCCCAAUGAUCCUCCGCCUCUUGCCAGAGCUCGAAACCUUCUUUGGUGAUUUCGAUUUUCUUCCAUGCCUCGUAGGUGACGUACGCAUCUUUCGCGGCAUACUCGAUGAGCUUGUUUGGCAGUGGGCUGUCCCCCCAUAGUAGGUGGUCCGAAUUCCUGUCGAUCUUCUGCUUCAUUUUUGAGUAGGAUGGGUGGAUGAGGCUGGCUGCAAACUCAGCCAAAGACUGCCACUUCUUUCCAUUGUUUGGAACUCUCCAUUUGCGCUGCAAGUCGACGUACUUGUCGGGGUUGAUCUCCAAACCAGACAACUUCAGCUUCUCCUUGUCACCUCCAAUGCAGAAGCCCACAAAGGUGUACAGCUUCUUCUCCUGCAGGAGCGGGCGGAGUUCCUUGGGCCUGCAUCAAAAUAAUCUUUAGCAUUCAAAUUCAUCUACUUCAAAAACUUCAGAAACUACAGAAUUAAAAUGGGUUCAUUUGAAGCAAAAUUCAGUUAAAAUAGGAUCUUCAGUUCUGACCAAAAUUCAGUUAAAACGGUAUGAUCACAACAACUACUAAAUGAUCACAACAACUACAAGACAACAUUCUGUAUGAUCAAAACAGCAAGCAUAACAUCUCAAUGAUGUAUUUUUUUUUGCAAUCUUUUGCAUUACAAGACAACAUUCAAAAUAAUCUUUAGCAUUCAAAUUCAUCUACUUCAAAAACUUCAGAAACUACAGAAUUAAAAUGGGUUCAGUUGAAGCAAAAUUCAGUUAAAAUAGCAUCUUCAGUUCUGACCAAAAUUCAGUUAAAACAGUAUGAUCACAACAACUACUAAAUGAUCACAACAACUACAAGACAACAUUCUGUAUGAUCAAAACAGCAAGCAUAACAUCUCAAUGAUGUUUUUUUUGCAAUCUUUUGCAUUACAAGACAACAUGCAUAACAGCUACUAAAUGAUCACAAAAACUUGUAGACAACAUUCUGUAUGAUCACCAAAAAACUACUUCAGAACUGGAUGUUUUUACCAUUUGGUUUCCGCGGUGAUGUGGUAUACCAGGACGAGAUCCUCCAUGCAUAACUGCAGAACUGCAGCAAUUUGCGGAGGUUUGUCUUCCCUGGUAUACUCGACAUCAACGCUGAUAUUCCGAGAAAGCAUGCCGCCGAGCCUCCUCCUCAUCUUGCGGAUCAUCUUGUCGGCUUCGUCUGGAUUGCUGGUGCAUACGACAUCCAGCGGCUCCUUCAGGUGGAUAUCAACCUUGAGCGGCACGGUGUAGUCCCGCUUCUGCCCGGGGACCGGAACAUCGUCGUCGACCACUAGCGGCUCCUUGCCAGAUGCCUCACCACGGUGAUGCUUGGCAGACGAAGGGGAGUUGCUCCAUGAUGCCUCCGCCAUUCUCUUGGCAGACGGAGGGGAGUUGCUCCAUGAUUCCUCCGCCAUUGCCCUCCUGGCCAGCGAUGGUGGAGGCAGAGGGGAGUUGCUUGAUGCUGGAGGCAGAGGGAGGUAGAGGGAGGAAGAUGGAGCGGCAAUGGAAUGAGGAGGGAGGCAGAGGGAGGAAGAUGGAGCGGCAAUGGAAUAGGAGGGUAGUUACCUUGACGUGGGAAGAAAACCCCCUCUGCGUCGUGGGGAGUUGCCAGUGGAGGGGAGACGUGGGGAGUUGCCUCGAAAACUCAAACGUCUUGCCCUUUGGAGGGGAGACGUGGGCCCUUGAAAACUCUGGAGGGGAGACGUGGGGAGUUGCCUCGAAAACUCAAAUGUCCUGCCCUUUGUCCUGCGUUCAACUUCGCAGCUUUUCUGCUCUCUAUUUCUCUUCUUGUUCAGCGAUUACACAGCUAAUAGAAAACGAGAAACUAGGCCACUUCCGGGUCGUGAGCACUGCCAUCCCAGCGCUCCCCGCGCGUCACCCGCGAUGCCGCCAUGACCGUCUAGUUCGUGCCAUCCCAUGGUCGGGUCAGGGCCGCGGAGAAACCUAGUUCGUGCCAUCCCAUGGUCGGAUUAUUUGAAACUGAAAGCAAACUUCUCUGAUGAAACUGACAGAGACUGAAAACUACACCUAUAUCUGACGAAACUGAAGGUGUUCUUCAGCAGCUGAUUAAAAUUCAGUUAACAACAACAUCAGUAAAAUUCAGUUAAUUAACUGAAGAAGAGAAGAGAGAAAGUAGAGAGAAAGAGGAGUACUUGCAUUAACUGAAACGUUUUACUUUAAACUUGCAUGCAUUCUUUGCUUGUUUAUAUUCAUUCUUGUAAACUGAACAUGCUCAUCUAUCUAUCUAUCUAUCUAUCUACCUGCUUAAGUAUGUAUGUAUGCAUUGUAUUUUUAUUUCCUUUGGCAAGUAAAGUUUAUUUCCUGGCUGGCUGGCAUGAUGGCUCAUGGAUCCCUCAGCUGCAGCUAUAGUUGGAGCUCAAUCUGAUCUCAUCUGAAAUGAAUCUAUAAAUACAGAGUGUAGUUAGUUACAGAGUAGCAGAAAUAGUUGCUGGAUGCAGUUACUUGCAUGGGCCUGGCUGAUGAAGAAAAACUUUAUAUAUAUUCAUACUGAUGUUGACUCUAUAAGUCAUACUUAUUGGACAUGUUUUAUGUGUUGAUCCAUCAAUUGAUCACAUUGAGAAAGACCAUCGUGUCUCCGACCAUUUUGCAAAGGUCAUGUCUCCGACCAUCAUGUCGUGAUGCAUUUGCAGGUACCCCGAGAGGCCCUUGAGUUUGUCGGAAUGUUGAUUAACUUCCGUUCCGGCAAAUUCGGGUACUCCAUAUGUCCUAUUUUCAGCAAAGGUCAUGCUGAAAUUUUCCGUGAAUUUUAGCACGACUUUGCUAAAAAUAGGACAUAUGGGGUACUUGCGACUAAUGCAUGGGCCGGGGUAUCUUAGUACUUAGUUAAGUAGGAUCAACUGCCCCGCCAUUCUUGCUGCAUUAAACCAUAGGUGGCAAUAGAGGCAAGUGAUUAGGCCCAACUUAGAAUUCUCCUUAGCAUCGAUAAACCCUAGAUGAUAAACCCAACAUAGGUGGCAAUAGAGCCAAGUGAUUAGUGCCAAGUGAUUAGGCCCAACCUAGGGUGCCUCGGCAUCGAUAAACCCUAAAUGAUGAAAACUUAACUUGGCUGCCCCGGAUGCCUCGGUGUCGAUGAGAACCUAAAUGAUGUACGCUUAGGCUUUUAGGGUGCCUCGGCGUCGACAAACCCUAAACGAUGAAAGCUUAGGCUUUUAGGGUGCCUCGGUGUCGACAAACCCUAAAUGAUGAGACCAUGAUCUUGUUCCUUGACAAUAACCAACUUUUUGACCAAACUUUUUUCCUAUUUAGAGCGAAACAUGGCCCACAACGAUGAGGCCGGUGGUUCGGGCGGCAAGCAAUUCUGGGAGCUGUCCCAGGAGAUGGAGGAACAACCUCACCGCUAUGAGGACGCCGCGGAAGACACCGAUCCUGAUUACACAACCCCUAGUGGCGUCGGGGAUGACACCACUGAUGGUGCCGCCGAGGAUGCCACCACUGAUGAUGGCGGCGCACACACUGAUGAUGGUAGUUUAGAUGAUCGAUAUCGACUUGUAAUGUGAAGACAAACUCGAUACUCGCGGUCUUGAGACUUGUAAUCUUUUAUCUUUGUUCGGUCUUUUGAAUUCGGAGACUAAUAUGAUGAAUUGUAUUCGGAGACUAAUCUUCUAUUGUAUUCGAUGAACUGAUGUUGCUGUGUGCUGCUGUCUAUAUUCUGUCCAAUAAUAUAUUUUGUAACCUGUGCACAAAUCAAAAAAGCAAAAAAAAACAAAUAUUCAUACUAAUGGCGCAUCAAGGCAGAGUGCGCCAUUAGUAUGCCAAAGGAUACUAAUGGAGCAUCAAGGAAGAGUGCGCCAUUAGUGUGACAAAGCACAUGGUUACAUAUGGCCCCCCCGGGAGGCAUACUAAUGGUGCAUGGAGUUACAUACUAAUGGCGCACUGCCAGGUGCGCCAUUAGUAUACCAGAUGCUAAUGGCGCACCAGUGGUGCGCCAUUAGUAAAAAAUUCUAAUGGCGUGCUACUAAUGGCGCACCGGUAGUGCGCCAUUAGUAGGCAAAACCGAUGCGCCAUUAGUAGGCCUUUUCCUAGUAGUGCGGCCGAGCUCGUUCUCGGACCGCUCGAGGCUUCGCUUCAAAGUAUUGACCUUCGUAGUCAGUGCGGCAGAGGACAGCAGCACAGCCUGCAAUCCCAUAUUGACAUAUUUUUUAUGACUCCUGCGUAUAUCUUUUUAGAUCCUCAGUCCGGCUUUUCUUUCCGAACACCGAACCGAGCAUCAGGGGCUACUGUCUAUGCGGUACUAUUUUACAUAUAUCAAAAUUCUUACCUCAAAGCCUGUUAGAAGGCUGCUGCAGGCUUCGGUCAGCCCGCUCUUGGCGAGCUGAACAUUCUGAAUCACCGCACUCAUAACGAUGCGGUGUUCCUCUCUGAUGGAAGCGCCGUUGAGCGCCUCCAUCAAGCUAUCCGGCGCCUCCGGUUGGACGGAGGCCGCCGGUGUCACAGUCUUGCCCUUCUUACGAAGGGGUCGCCCGCCGGACUCCGGAGCCACUACAGGUUCCGGUAAAGAGUCCGGUGCAAAGUCCGGGAGGUUGCGCUGCGGCACCUCCGGGGCCUCCUCCUCCUGGCGGGUCCCUUCCCGGGAUCCCACCUCGGCAUCGUCCGUAUCACGGGGGGUGGAGGCGGUCGGAAGGGAAUCCAUAUCCGACGCACCCAAGGACCCGCUCGACGAAGCGGGAAGAUCAUCCUUGGGCGGACUGCAGGGUUGUAUGUGGCAUUAGAAAGACACCAUGUGGCAAAAAGAAAAAUCAUGAAGUUAUUCGGUAGUCCGGAUACUUACGAUCUCGCCAGGGGCUUGGCCCUAGGAGGCCAAUCCUCGUCGUCGUCGCCGGCGUUGGCAGAACAGUCCGGGGGAAGAGUCCUUCCCUUCUUGGACCCUUCGGCCUCCCUCGUUGGGGAGGCCUUCCUUUUCUUCCCUCCCCCCACUGGGGGAGAGGCCUCUUUCUUCUCCUCCUCACCUUCGUGGGAGGAGUCCGCCUCGGAGUUAUCGUCCGAUGACACCUGAAAACGGGAACUCUUUCGAGUACCCGUGGCCUUCUUCUUGGCCUUCUUCUCCGGCACCACAUGGGGUGCCGGAACCAGCAGCCCCGUUAAACGGGCGUCCGCUGGGUCUUCUGGCAAAGGGGCCAGACAGUUAGUCUGCUCGGCCUUCUUGAGCCAGUCUUGUCAAAGGAGAGGGAGUUUAGAUCCCGCAUAGAAUCAGAUAUGGAAAACAAGUGUCCCGUAAAGGGUAAAAUCGCUUACCUCGCUAGCCGGACGCUGCGAGCUGAAUCCGCGAUCUUCGGUAGCGGAUGCAGGAGCCUCGGCGCCCUUAAACAGCACCCUCCAGGCCUCUUCGUACGUAGUGUCGAAGAGCCCGCUCAAAGUCUGGUGCUGUGCCGGAUCGAACUCCCACAUAUUGAAGUCCCGUUGUUGGCACGGGAGAAUCCGGCGGAUGAGAAUGACCUGGACUACGUUGACAAGCUUGAGCUUCUUGUUCACUAGCUUUUGUAUGCAGGCUUGAAGUCCGGUCAGCUCCUCCAAAUCACCCCAUGUCCGGCCACUCUCUUUCCAGGAGGUGAGCUGUAUGGGGAUGCCAGAUCUGAAUUUGGGGGCCGCUGCCUAUUCAGGGACACGCGGCUCGGUGAUGUAGAACCACCCCGAUUGCCACCCCUUAAUGGUUUCCACGAAGGUGCCCUCGAGCCAGGUAGCAUUGGGCAUCUUGCCCACCAUGGCGCCUCCGCACUCCGCUUGGCUGCCCUUCACAACCUUCGGCUUAAAACUGAAGGUCUUGAGCCACAAGCCGAAGUGGGGCGGGAUGCAGAGGAAGGCCUCACACACGACGAUAAACGCCGAGAUGUUGAGGAUAAAAUUCGGGGCCAGAUCAUGGAAAUCCAGGCCGUAGUAGAACAUGAGCCCCCGGACAAAGGGAUGGAGUGGGAAGCCCAGUCCGCAGAGGAAGUGGGAAAGGAAUACUACCCUCUCAUGGGGCCUGGGGGUGGGGAUGAGCUCCCCCUCGUCGGGGAGCUGGUGCGCGAUGUCGCUGGACAGAUAUCCGGCGCUGCGCAGCUUCUGGAUGUGCCCCUCCGUGACGGAGGAGGCCAUCCACUUGCCUCCCGGUCCGGAAAUGGUUGGAGAAGGUUGAGGUGAGAUGUGCGGACUUGGGCGCUGGAGCUCGAGUUCGCGGAGAUGGAUAAGCAAAGGAGGAAGAAGGCGCAGGUAAAAGGGUAGAUCUUUAUCCCCUUAUAUGGGCGGACGAAACCAUGCGUCCCCACCGGCCUGAUAAAACUCGCUUAUCUCCCAAACGCCGCAAUCAAGGGUGCGGUUGGGUUACCCACGUCCGUAUUGAUGGGAAUCCCGGAAUAAGGGGAACACGAUCUCUGCUUCGACAAGACGUGCCAAGAAAACCGCCUCGCUAAAUGCGCAGAGGUGGUAUAAUAAAAACGAUUCGAGUAAAGGCUUGGUUACGGUGUGAUGUCAUGCCACGAAGUACGUCAGCAGAUUGAACUUGUGUAAAUAUUAUUCUCUCUACGGUGGUAUGUGGAAUUUAUUUUGCAGAGCCGGACACUAUCCUGGUGUUCACAAUCUUCUAUAAAUUAUUCGGAGGGGGAACCUGCCUUGCAAUGCCGAAGACAAUAUGCGCGCCGGACUCGUCGUCAUUGAAGCCUGGUUCAGGGGCUACUGAGGGAGUCCCGGACUAGGGGGUGUCCGGAUAGCCGAACUAUCAUCAUCGGCCGGACUCCAAGACUAUGAAGAUACAAGAUUGAAGACUUUGUCUCGUGUCCGGAUGGGACUUUCCUUGGCGUGGAAGGCAAGCUUGGCCAUACGGAUAUGUAGAUCUCCUACCAUUGUAACCGACUCUGUGUAACCCUAGCCCUCUCCGGUGUCUAUAUAAACCGGAUGGUCUUAGUCCAUAGGACGAACAACAAUCAUACCAUAGGCUAGCUUCUAGGGUUUAGCCUCCUUGAUCUCGUGGUAGAUCUACUCUUAUAAUACACCCAUCAUCAAUAUCAAUCAAGCAGGACGUAGGGUUUUACCUCCAUUAAGAGGGCCCGAACCUGGGUAAAACAUCGUGUCCCUUGUCUCCUGUUACCAUCCGCCUAGACGCACAGUUCGGGACCCCCUACCCGAGAUCCGUCGGUUUUGACACCGACACCCAACCUCUCCCUCUAUCCUUGCUAGAUAAAGGCAUGGGAGACGUCACCGGGCUGCACGUGUGUUGAACGCGGAGGUGCCGUCCGUUCGGCACUAGGAUCUCCGGUGAUUUGGAUCACGACGAGUACGACUCCUUCAACCCCGUUCUCUUGAAUGCUUCCGCUUAGCAAUCUACAAAGGUAUGUAGAUGCACUCCCCUUCCCCUCGUUGCUAGAUUACUCCAUAGAUUGAUCUUGGUGAUGCGUAGAAAAUUUUGAAUUUCUGCUACGUUCCCCAACAGGAACAUCGGUAUCAAAUCCCCUUUAAUAAUAUGCCAGCACCUUAUAUAGAACUACGCCGGAGAUCCAUCCGGCCCUGGAGCUUUGUUAUUCUUCAUCUGUGCAAUAGCAUCAAACACCUCUUUCUCCGAAAAUGGGGCAGUCAAAAUAUCAUUCUCGUCCGCAGCAAGUUGAGGAACAUCCUCAAUUCUCGACUCAACCAAGGAUACGAAACUAUCCUCCAGAGGCCCCAACAGCUGCUUGUAGUACUCGAUUAUGUAUAAUUUUAGGUUUUCCUGUCCUAAAAUCGUUCCUUCUUCUUGCUCAAGCUGAAAGAUUCUUUUGUUUAUGUGCUUGCCAUUGGCGAUCAUGUGAAAGAAUUGAGUGUUAGCAUUCCCCUAGACAACUUUGUGAACCUUAGCUCGCAAUGCCCACUUCAAUUCCUCCUCUUGCAGGAGUUCUUUCAAUCUCAUCUCCAUGUCUACUUUAGCAUGAAACUCCAUGGUCUCUAGAAUUGUGGACUCGAAUUUUAAAUCUAGGGAUUGAAUAAGUGUAAGGAGACUUUCCUUUUCAACCUUAUAAAUCCCACUAAGAUACUUAGCCCACCCACGUAAGAAACUUCUCAAGUGCCUUAUCUUAUUCUGCCAUCUUUCAACAGAAGUCCUACCUCCUGCAUCUUUAGCUCAUUCCCUGGCUAUCAGAUACAAGAAGCCUUCUCUUUCAAACCACGCCAAUUCGAAAGAGAAGGUAUUUUUAUUCCCCACAUGUGUUGCCGCACCAGAGUCAACGAGCAAAGGGGUGUGGUCAGAGAUUCCGCGCGAUAGCGCUUGGACUGUUACCAGGGGAAUUUCUGCUCCAAUUCGACACUCGCGAGGACUCGGUCCAGCUUCUCAAACGUCGGGUUUAGCAAAGUAUUAGCGCAUGUAAAUUUUCUACCCGAAAUCUCUAUCUCUCUCAGAUCCAAAAUUUCAAUAAUGGUAUUAAACAUAAACGACCACCUGUUUUCAAAGUUAUCAUUGUUCUUUUCCUCUCCCCUUCUAAUAAUGUUAAAGUCGCCCCCAACCAAGAUUGGAAGCUACUCAGAACCGCAAAUUCGGACAAGAUCUGCCAAAAAAUCUGGUUUGAGUUCUGGCUGUGCGGCACCAUUUACCGCCACCAGUGCCCAAUUGAACCCAUCGUCCUUCGAUCUAACCCGAAACUUAACUGCGAAAUCUCCCAUCACCACGCUUCUGACUUCCAGCAACUCGCAUCUAACCCCAAGUAAGAUCCCUCCUGAUCUUCCUCUCGGAGGUAGGCAGUGCCAAUCAAAAUCGACACCUCCCGAUAAAGUACUUAGAAACUGAGGAGAGAAAUUGUCUCUACCAGUUUCCGAGAGGGUGAUAAAGUCCAACCUAAGCUCGAUGGAAGCAUCCGCUAGUAAGUUCUUUUAGCCAAGUCUGUCAGACCUCUGCUAUUCCAAAAGAUUCUGUAUCUGUGUACAGCUAGCUAGGUUGUUUAGGUAUCGAGGUGGGCUCCUCGGCGUCUCUUUGGACGCCUCAUCGAUCUCGGUGGCUUCCUUGGACAGCAUUGCUGUGGCGAUGGCGCUGAUGCUAUGGUGGGUUCUUUUCCUCCGGCUUGUCCUUCGUCUUGAUGGUGCUUCCUUCAGCGCCAUCGUCAAGCUUGUAAGGGUAUCUCCAACGUUGGCCCUCAAAUCACUCGUAAUAAUUUGGACCAUGCGGGUCCGUACAUGUUUUGCCAUCCAACGUGGUUAUGUGUCGAUCCACUGAGCGGUUCGGACAUGCUUUCCUCCCGUAAACCGAAGACGAAGUGGAGGGGGGUGGCUUUGCGGGCGUCUGGAUCGCUGUCAGGUCUACUCAUGACUAACCUAGCCUACCCAAAACCAUCCACCCGUCGCCAGUUGUCCGCGUUCAUGUUGUUGUAGAGCGGCCACUAUGCGUUGACGUCGGCCCAGAGCGGACGCGACAUCUCACCGCCGGUAUUGAAUCGGCACGCCGGCCGAGAGGGCGUUGCGCACGACGCGUCACCGGUGUUUGCGUUGUUCAAUGCUGGAGUGGAGUUUACUGGACGGCAUGGGAUGGAUAUCUACCACACCCAUUCAAAGCCUGCCUGCCCGUAUGCCGCCAUUAAGCAGGCUCACCGACCGAGGAACCAACUCCUAUGCCGGCGCUCCAGCAAGCGCAGGAGUAGCAGCGGUAUAUCCUUUUGUUCUUCGAGCAGCACCGGCUGGCUGAGGGCCAAAUCUACGGCGAGCGCGCAAGCGAGGAGGCCGUGGCUGCCAUGGUAGCGGCGAAUCAGAACUUCAUUGCAGAGCAGCGGGCGGCCUACAAGGCCCCGCGUGCUCAAUGCGCCACUCGUAAUGAAGUGGCGACGCAUCUAGACGCGGAAGCGACAACACACACAGGUGCUGGCAGCGCUGGUGGCUGAGGACGAGAACACCGCUGUCUAACUUUUGGAGCCGCAUGUGGCAGGUGGAUAGUGACGGCCCGUCCAUGUCCAUCAUCAACCUCACAUCCACCAGCACCGGUAACGGGCAGGCCACGGACUGCUCCGAGGAUGAGUAAGGCAUGGGAGGCGGCAGGGCCUGGUGUCCCAUGUGGACUGGUCCGUCUCCCAUGUCCUACUUUUUUCCUUGCCGGAGACUGCACCUUCACUUCAUUGGUCUUCAACCCCACUGAUGCUCAUGGAGAUGGCAGAUGGAGGACGUGGUCACCGAUGCAGAAUACAAAGGAAGAGGAAGUUGGGCCCCGCCGUAGGAUAGGUUUAGGUUCGAGCUCUUUUUAAUGAAAAAUGUCCGAAUUGUAGUGAAUGUGCUCUGAUCUAUAUGAAAAUUAGCUCGUUUGCAUAAAUUAUGUCCUGUGUGUCUAAACCAAUGUUUGAAUUGUAUGCGGGCAUCGUUGGAUGGCCGGCUCCCACAUCCAUGUCCGUGAACUGGUCCCUCCUGUCCAUGGAUGGAUGCGGCAGCAAAUUUGUGUGUCAACGUUGAAGAUGCCCUAAGGUGGUUUAGGUUUGGUGGCUCUGGAACUUUUAUCCCUUAGCUCGUCUGCAAGGGACAGGAGGUCUGGUGUGCGACUUCUCACUGGUGUGCUGAUCCUUCAAGAUCUAAGCUUUGAAGACUUCCCGUGUCCAGAUCAAUAGUCAGGUCGGCUCCUGAGGAAGCGGCGGUGACAACGGGGGUCAAAUUCACUGUUUUGAACUUUUUUUGUUAGUUUAGCACGAUCUGACCCUAUGUGCAAAAAAAUCCACAUCUGACCCUUUUCCUACCGUCAUCGUCUAUGGCGGUAGGGUAACACACCCUACCGCCAAGGUCUUUGGCGGUUGGACUUACCUGCAUCGUUACCUUCAUUUUAUACAAAAAGGACCCUACCGCCACAGUCUAUGGCGGUAGGAUGUGUUACCCUACCGCCAUAGACUAUGGCGGUUGGGUCCUUUUUGUAAAAAAUGAAUCUUUUAUUUGCAUGCAUGCCCUUUUUAUAAUUACGUGCAUGCCCCUACCGCCAAAUACCGUGGCGGUAGGGUCCUUUUCACACCGAACAGACGUGACGGCGUAAGUAAGUCCUACCGCCAAAGGCCUUGGCGGUAGGGUGUGUUACCCUACUGCCAUAGACAAUGGCGGUAGGAAAAGGGUCAGAUCCGGAAAACUUUCGCACAUAGGGUCAGAUCCAGAAAACUUUCACACAUGGGGUCAGAUCAUGCUUAAGUUAAGAAAAAGGGUCAAAACAGUGAAUUUGGCCGCGGGCAGUGCACAUUCAUGUCACAGUGAUGUAUGGUUGGUUGGAUCCCUAAGGACUUGGUUGUAAUUUAUUUAUUUUGUGUGGUUCUUUGUAACACUGCUUGUCUUUAAUAUAAUCUAGGUCACUUUCGUAAAAAAAAUGGCAAUAUUUCUUGGUCUAAAAGGGGGUAGAAUAUAUCUCUACUCCUAUAUGUAACAUCCCAAAAUUCUAAAUUUUGGAAUGUUAUAUUAAAUAAAUAACUAUGCUUGUUGUUUGAUUGUUUGUUGGAUUGAUUGAGUGAAAUUGAGUGAAAUUUGAAACUUUUUGAAAGUUGAAUGAGAGGGAAUGGAAUGACUUUCCCAAACUUCCCUUUGCCCCUUUUUGGAUCUCAAUGAAUUCAAUUUCAUUCCAACACAAAACCCUAGAGUGAAGAUGACAUGACUUCUUCCAUUUGAAAUGAAAAGGGUUUUGAAGAGAUUUGAAUUUCAUUUGAAAAUAUUACAAAUUCAGAGCUUUAUACAACUCAAUGAUUCUCAUGAGAGAAGAUAAAAUGACUUCUUCAAUUAUAUGAAAUAUGAGUUGGAAGUUAUAAAGAAUCAAAUUGAAAGUCAUUUGAAAGUAUUUUGAAACUCCCUUUCAAAUUUGGAAUUAUUUGGAUUUUAUUCAAAUUAUUUUUCUCCUAAAAAUGAAUAAAUGGAAAUUAGGGUAAAAUGAUUCCCUUCAAUGGAAAAUUAGGAGAAAAUAAAUUUGAAAUAAUUUUGGUAUUUUAAAAAUGAUUUUUGUUGGGUUUUAUUGCAACAGCAACACUAUUUGAGUUUUGUAAAUUUUUGAGAAUUUUAUUUGAACUUGAAAAAUAGUUCAUGUUGUAGGAAAUCUUUCUUUGAAAAUUUUCAUAUAUAUAUAUGUCCUAUAUAAAAAAUAUAUAUUUAAUACAUUUACUCUCUCUCUCUCUAAUUCAAAAAAAAAACAGGAAAAGAAACCUCAGGCGCCAGCCAGGCCAACCGGCCCAGCCAGCGCCGAGGCGGCCCAGCCAGCGGGCCAGGCCAACCGACCCAGCCGCGCCNNNNNNNNNNNNNNNNNNNNNNNNNNNNNNNNNNNNNNNNNNNNNNNNNNNNNNNNNNNNNNNNNNNNNNNNNNNNNNNNNNNNNNNNNNNNNNNNNNNNNNNNNNNNNNNNNNNNNNNNNNNNNNNNNNNNNNNNNNNNNNNNNNNNNNNNNNNNNNNNNNNNNNNNNNNNNNNNCGCCGCACCAUUGCCCCUGUUCCGGUCGCCCGGAACCCCCCCGAGCUCCACCGACCCCACCCCCGAGCUCCCCUUGCUCCGCCGCACCCGCCGGAGGUCUCCGCCGUCGUCCCCGACCACCGGAGCCACCGCACCGUCGCCGCCCGAGCCGCCGUCGCCGUCGACCACCGCGGUGAGUCACCGGAGAUCCCCGCUACCGUCCGAUCUAGGAUCUACGCGUUAGAUUAGAAGUAGCGAAGGGGUAUGUUUUUUUAAUAAACCUGGUUUAGUUACGGUUUUUAUUUAGGUUUAGUUAGACCGGCCCGACUCGGUUUAUUUCCCUGGUGCGUUUUAGUUAUUUAACGCCCGAGCGUUAGAUAGGCCCAUUAGCGCCAGUUUUCUUUUUAAUUACAUUUUCGUUUCUGUUUUUUUUACAGAAUAGUUUCAGUUUUGUAAAAUCCAUAUCUUUUAAUCUACUUAAUAUUUUUAGUUGAUUCUUUUUUUGUUAGUUUGCAAAUUUGUUGUAGUUUCUGUAGAAAAUAUGUUUAGUCAUGUUAAAAUUAUUAGAAAUUGUUUUAUUUUAGUUUCAGACAGAUUAGUAAUUCUGCUAUAAAAUGAGUUAGGAUUAUUUUAUUUUAGUGAUUCUUUUUGUCACUAUUUUAUUUUGACCUUGCCUAACCGUAGGAAUUUAUUUGGGUAUUUUAGAUUUAAUAAAAAAAUAGUUUUAAUCAAAAUCAUGUGGUUCUUAUUUAUUUAACUAGCUACUGUUUUCCUAUUGUUUUAUUUAGUAAAUAAUUUUAUUUUUCCUAGGUUAUAGUUUAUUUUAGAUUAGUUUCUGUAGUUAUAGAGAGUGAACUUUUAGUUACAGAAAAAUAAAAUGUUUUCUUUCUUUUUCUUACUAGUUUUGUUUUAAGCAUAAUUAGAGCUUUAAUUUAGCUUUUAUGGAUUUUCUUUUGCUAGUAAAACUUUAUGAAAAAUACUUUCUGUUAACUUAGUUGAUUUAAAUUUUACUUUCUUCUAAAAUUAUUAGUUUAGUAUUUUCUUUGUUAAGUUUUACUUAGGAUAAAACUAUUUUUUUUGUUAUGUCCUAGAGUUUUCUUUAGUAGCUUCAUCGUGUAGUUUUCCUUUGUUUUAUUUGGUGUCCCUUGUUAUUUUGCAUUUUAUUUGUUGGUUUUAUUAUGAGUGUUAGGAUUGCUUGCUAGUGUGAUUGCUUAUAUGAAUGCUAUGUUGGACUAUAUAGAUUUUCAACGGAGUGACGAAUAGUUCUACCAAGCUAUUUUCGAGAGCAUUAUUAUCUUCAUCAACUUACCAGGCAAGUUCACUUUGACCAUGUUUUCAUACCUAUGCGUUUUAUUGCAUCUAGUGUCAUCUUCGCAACAAUCCCUCCAGUAGUGACAUUGAAUCCUUGUAGUUGAGUAGUAUGCAUGAGGUAGGAACCCAUCACCCUGUUACCAAGCCCGGGACAUUAUUUAUUUUAAUGCUACGCUACAGUAGACGGGGUUGGUAUGAGUGCUCGGGAGUGGUGUGAGAAUGGAGGAUCUACGUCAAUGACGACAACUCCAUGAUGGAAUCUGCAAGGACUGCAUCUUCAAGGCCUCAAGACUUCAAGACUCGAGACAAGAAUUCAAUACACACUACUGGGUGAAGGACGGUUGACGGGCACCCUGGAGAAUCCAGUGGUUGGCCGGGAUGCAUGGAGAAGCGCCAUGACAUCUUGCGGAAAGCUUCACCCAGACUCAAAGAGACGGAAGAAUACUUCAUGCCCGGAAGCUUACCUGUGCAACCGCAAGUCAAUAUGGGCUCUGGCUUGGUUGACCUUAGUUGUGACUCUGGCUGGGACGGUGCUAGCAGAUGUAGAACUACGGUAGGAUUGGAUGAGCACCGGACAGUGGUCAGAGGAACUCUUCGGAAGACCAUGUUUCGAUCAUCUUGUUCUCAAACACUCUGAAGUGCGAGAACGUAAAAAGAGGGAUCGAAUCUUGCGGGUAAAGUGUACAAACCUCUGCAGAGGGUUAAAACCUAAUCGAUUAGCCGUGUCCCCGGUUACGGACAAUUUGAGCAUCUGGACUUGGAUCUAUCUCGGAACUCUCAACACCGGAUUGAUAACUUAAUUGUGGGCAACUUAUGAUGAUUUUGGGCUAUGAGACAUCGGUUGGCGGAACCAUGUCAUGAUAGAAAACUCCAUAGUAAAGACUUCAUUUAUUCCUUUGAUGUAGGGAAAAAUAAAACCAGCUUUUACGCAAACAAAACUCAGACACAGAGCCACAAAGCCAUAUUGCGUAUAGUAUAGUUUUAUCAUCUGUUUUCUCAUGUUGUGAUCUUGCCGGUACAUUCCAUGUACUGACCUACACGGCUGCAACGUAUCAUGUUGCAGAUACUUUCUUCCGACGAGUAAGAAUACGGUACAGGGUUACGGUCUACACUCAACCUGCCGAUGGCGUUGUUGGGACUCCACACCCGACUAUUUGUUUCCGCUGUGACUUAUGAGGUAUAUAUCAGUUUUACGUUAAUUAUACAUGUGAUUGCACUUUGAUAUAUACAUUGAUGUACUGUGUGUGCCAGCAUACUGAUCCAGGGAUGGCACAGAAACACAGAGGCUUGACCGUCUGAGGUCGAGUCGCUACAGAAAUGGUAUCAGAGCACAUGUUGACUGUAGGACGUGACCCUAGGAAAUGACUUAGUAAUAUGAAGACCCCAACCGGAACGACCUUUGUUUUUGUUACUACUCUCGUAACACCUGAUUCCUUUUACUGAACCUUCCUUAUUUCAAACUAUAGAUGGAGAGCUACAUUCUGAACAAAAGAGAACACUACGAGAAGGUUCAUGGAGGCCCCUUCCUUGUGGAGCUAGUCAGGCUGCUGAGGUUACCGAUACCUGAGAUCAAGGCAACUAAGAGGACGUCUAGAUCAUGGGGAGUCAAGACCCAAGUUUUUGGUCGUGAAGAAGACCCCAAGACUGCAGACAUCAGCUUCGGAACUAUAAAUGGUGACUGUGAUAUGGGCAUCAACACUGCCGUCCAUGAUGCUAUUGCACGUUUAUGCUAUCGUCAUCGUGCUGCACUAAACCCACACUUCUUUGAAAGGAUUGGAUGGCAGAAGUUUGAUGGAGCAACUAUUGCCUUGACGGAAGCGCAAAAGAUGAAGUUCUCCCCACUUUUAGUGUACAAUCAGGAUCUGGAACAAUACGUCAAGAAUCUUCAGAUGGACCUCCUGGAAGCCCUGUUUGACAAUGAAGCACUACGAGAAGAGGUCAAGACUCAGAGACUGAAGGUAAACAAGCUGGAGGAGGAGAACCUCGAGAUCUCGAGAAUGCGUCAGGAACUGAAAAGCAGCAGCACCAUGUCUCAUGCCAAGGACGUUGAGAUCCAGAAGCUCAAGGAACAACUCCAGGACAUACAGGGUCAUCACAAGAAACUCCGCGUCGACAGGGAAAAUCUAGCAGAAAAAUUGGAGGAGAUCAAGUCCACACAGAAGAAGCCCCAGUGGGGACAAUGAUCAAGUUCCCGGUAAAUUAGCUUAGUAGUAGCCCACCAUGAGAGAAAUAAAGAUGAACGCUUUCUCGAUUUAAGUAUCUGACCAUACCAACUUAUGUGGGUGGCGAUACUAUAGAAUUGAUUGAAUAAAUGAAUGCUUGGUUGCUAUUAUUUUAUGUGUUUAUUGAAUGGUUGGAUAGAUGCGAUAUUCGUAGGCUUGUUAUGUCAACCUUGAGAGACGUAAGUUACGGAAGAAUGGUAGAAGGCCUUCAUAUGGGAAAAGCAUCAGGAAUUGGAAACUCCCGAGCAUUGAAGACCUGAAGAAAUGAGGACUUAGAAACGAAACCAUAGUAGAACGGCCCAUUACAAACGGUACUUUUGAGCUAGGAUUCUUUUGUUGAUGGGUGGGGAUUUGCUUUCUCUUUCUAUCUCAACCAAACCCUGAAAUCUUGAACCCAUGGGCAACUGAACACCAAACUUUUCUGGAGACAAUUGCAAUUUCCCCAUGGAGAUACAUUCCUUGUUCUGAGCUCCCCUCUUAUCCUACACAUGCAGAUGACAACCCUGUAUGAGUCUUUCCUUAAGGGUCCGGAAACGAUCAUGACCCUGACAAGUGAUCAUGAUUACCCGAAGAUCCUGAAGGACAUGAUGAAGCAUAUUCACCUUGAAGGAGAUGCAGUCUACAAAGGCUACCCCUUCAUGCAAAAGGGAGUGGAACUUUGGUAUGUGGAGGUACACCCCCACCGUAUGAAAGGAGUUUGCCCAAAGACGAUGGGGCAGUACUUUUUCAUCUCACGUGUACCACAAGCAACUUUCUUCGACGUUGUUCGUGAAGCAGCCAUUGAAGCCAUACGCCAGAUCGGAGAAAUACUCGAAGCAAGACUUCGUUAUACUCAGGAAUACCUAAGAGAAGUGCAUGCAGAGAUGAUGGAGAUGAAGCUCAAGGCCACCACGAUGAAACAGAAGAUUGAAGAUUUCAAGGCGCAUGUCGCACAAUUCCAGUGGGACUGAAGAAUCCUCAAGGAGGAAAAAUGAAUAAAGUUGGGAGUAAUGUCUGACCAUACCGAACCAUGUGGGUGGCAGCAUUUGUAAUAAACUUUUUGUAAUUUGGAUUUACGAAAAAUGGUUAAGGAUAUAAUAAAAGAUUGAUAUGAAAAUAAUGGGAUUUAUGGAUAAACCAGUGCAUUUUGGUGUGGUAGUACUCCGUAAAGCCACAGGAUCAAUGAAGAAAGAAAUGUGUUAUUCAUGACGGUCCAUAGAAGGAAGCUGGACAAAAUAAGUUGGAGUUUUGUAUGACCGUCACCACAAGGGUAUGAAGGAAGAAGUACUAUUGGAUUUACAGGAGGUGUAAUGUUGGAAAAUGGAGCAAUUGUAACUCCAAGGAUGAGUGAAAGUGGUACAGGUGUUGAAGUGGGCUCAUAACCCACGGGCCCAGGAAUUAAUAAGGGUCAAGUUCCCGCUAGAAGAAGAAACUUUGGGAAGACUGCAAUUUGAUCAGCAGAUGUUUCGUAGGAGGUUACGCAAAAACCCGAGAGUUGUGAAGAAACGAUAGAUGUUUUGUUUGGCUUGCAGAAACCAUGGAUUUAUUCGAACUCAGUUCUUCGACAAGGGAAAUUCUGCAAUGCUUGUGAGUAUGACCAAGUGUUAGAGUACGUGAUUCAAUGUCUGCAUAGUUAGUAAUGGUUCAAGUACGGGAUGGAUUGGCCCCCAUACCGGAGACUUCUAUCAUGAACUAUCAUAUGUAGAUGGAAAAUCAGAGAGCCUUGAAAACCUUAGAAGAGUGUCGACACGUCAAGCCAUAAAACCAUAGAAUGGUAGGACGAUGGAACCCUUGUACAAGGCAGCUUUUGCCAACCGUAGGUUAUACGGUGAGGUUCAACCCAGACCCGUUUUCUGCAGGAGAAACCAUAAAUUGUUGACCACCAUGAGAUAUCGAUAGUUGUUUAUAAUUGGCACCAGACCCGUCAGCUAUGAAGACCCAGUCUCGGAAUAACCUUACCAAGAGGAAUGGACAAAGGAAUUGAGGAAAAGGUUUUGCCACUAUCGGAAGAGCCCAGAGAAGGAAUUAUCUUACAAUCUGAGAAGACCGACACUGUCAACGAUAAGGAUGGAGUAUAUGAGUUUUGAUGGAACCGUAACAAUGCUUCUAAGGGUGGUAGCACCCCAGACCCCUUGUGAUGAUUGAUGGAAUUUGAAGACCCCAAACCCUAACCUAUUUCUUUCUAGCCUCUCCGAAUCUCGAGGGCGAGAUUCAUUUUAAGUGUGGUAGAUUUGUAACAUCCCAAAAUUCUAAAUUUUGGAAUGUUAUAUUAAAUAAAUAACUAUGCUUGUUGUUUGAUUGUUUGUUGGAUUGAUUGAGUGAAAUUGAGUGAAAUUUGAAACUUUUUGAAAGUUGAAUGAGAGGGAAUGAAAUGACUUUCCCAAACUUCCCUUUGCCCCUUUUUGGAUCUCAAUGAAUUCAGUUUCAUUCCAACACAAAACCCUAGAGUGAAGAUGACAUGACUUCUUCCAUUUGAAAUGAAAAGGGUUUUGAAGAGAUUUGAAUUUUAUUUGAAAAUAUUUCAAAUUCAGAGCUUUAUGCAACUCAAUGAUUCUCAUGAGAGAAGAUAAAAUGACUUCUUCAAUUAUAUGAAAUAUGAGUUGGAAGUUAUAAAGAAUCAAAUUGAAAGUCAUUUGAAAGUAUUUUGAAACUCCCUUUCAAAUUUGGAAUUAUUUGGAUAUUAUUCAAAUUAUUUUUCUCCUAAAAAUGAAUAAAUGGAAAUUAGGAUAAAAUGAUUCCCUUCAAUGGAAAAUUAGGAGAAAAGAAAUUUGAAAUAAUUUUGGUAUUUUAAAAAUGAUUUUUGUUGGGUUUUAUUGCAACAGCAACACUAUUUGAGUUUUGUAAAUUUUUGAGAAUUUUAUUUGAACUUGAAAAAUAGUUCAUGUUGUAGGAAAUCUUUUUCUGAAAAUUUUGAUAUAUAUAUAUAUAUAUAUGUCCUAUAUAAAAUAUAUAUAUUUAAUAUAUUUACUCUCUCUCUCUAAUUCAAAAAAAAAUAGGAAAAGAAACCUCAGGCGCCAGCCAGGCCAACUGGCCCAGCCAGCGCCGAGGCGGCCCAGCCAGCGGGCCAGGCCAACCGACCGAGCCGCGCCCGAGCCGAAAUGCCUCCCCCUCGGUCGCCCGACCCGACCCCCUCCUCUCUCUCCCGCUGACGCCCCGGACCCACCUCUCCCUUUCCCCUCGCCCACGCCAACCCGCAACGCCACCGCGCCGCCGCCGCCGGAAUCCCGAACUUCUCGGGAUCGCUUCCNNNNNNNNNNNNNNNNNNNNNNNNNNNNNNNNNNNNNNNNNNNNNNNNNNNNNNNNNNNNNNNNNNNNNNNNNNNNNNNNNNNNNNNNNNNNNNNNNNNNNNNNNNNNNNNNNNNNNNNNNNNNNNNNNNNNNNNNNNNNNNNNNNNNNNNNNNNNNNNNNNNNNCCCGCCGAGCUCCACCGACCCCACCCCCGAGCUCCCCUUGCUCCGCCGCACCCGCCGGAGGUCUCCGCCGUCGUCCCCGACCACCGGAGCCAUCGCACCGUCGCCGCCCGAGCCGCCGUCGCUGUCGACCACCGCGGUGAGUCACCGGAGAUCCCCGCCACCGUCCGAUCUAAGAUCUACGCGUUAGAUUAGAAGUAGCGAAGGGGUAUGUUUUUUUUAAUAAACCCGGUUUAGUUACGGUUUUUAUUUAGGUUUAGUUAGACCGGCCCGACUCGGUUUAUUUCCCUGGUGCGUUUUAGUUAUUUAACGCCCAAGCGUUAGAUAGGCCCAUUAGCGCCAGUUUUUCUUUUUAAUUACAUUUUCGUUUCUGUUUUUUUACAGAAUAGUUUCAGUUUUGUAAAAUCCAUAUCUUUUAAUCUACUUAAUAUUUUUAGUUGAUUCUUUUUUUGUUAGUUUGCAAAAUUGUUGUAGUUUCUGUAGAAAAUAUGUUUAGUCAUGUUAAAAUUAUUAGAAAUUGUUUUAUUUUAGUUUUAGACAGAUUAGUAAUUCUGCUAUAAAAUGAGUUAGGAUUAUUUUAUUUUAGUGAUUCUUUUUGUCACUAUUUUAUUUUGACCUUGCCUAACCGUAGGAAUUUAUUUGGGUAUUUUAGAUUUAAUAAAAAAAAUAGUUUUAAUCAAAAUCAUGUGGUUCUUAUUUAUUUAACUAGCUACUGUUUUCCUAUUGUUUUAUUUAGUAAAUAAUUUUAUUUUUCCUAGAUUAUAGUUUAUUUUAGAUUAGUUUCUGUAGUUAUAGAGAGUGAACUUUUAGUUACAGAAAAAUAAAAUGUUUUCUUUCUUUUUCUUACUAGUUUUGUUUUAAGCAUAAUUAGAGCUUUAAUUGAGCUUUUAUGGAUUUUCUUUUGCUUGUAAAACUUUAUGAAAAAUACUUUCUGUUAACUUAGUUGAUUUAAAUUUUACUUUCUUCUAAAAUUAUUAGUUUAGUAUUUCCUUUGUUAAGUUUUACUUAGGAUAAAACUAUUUUUUUUGUUAUGUCCUAGAGUUUUCUUUAGUAGCUUCAUCGUGUAGUUUUCCUUUGUUUUAUUUGGUGUCCCUUGUUAUUUUGCAUUUUAUUUGUUGGUUUUAUUAUGAGUGUUAGGAUUGCUUGCUAGUGUGAUUGCUUAUAUGAAUGCUAUGUUGGACUAUAUAGAUUUUCAACGGAGUGACGAAUAGUUCUACCAAGCUAUUUUCGACAGCGUUAUAAUCUUCAUCAACUUACCAGGCAAGUUCACUUUGACCAUGUUUUCAUACCUAUGUGUUUUAUUGCAUCUAGUGUCAUCUUCGCAACAAUCCCUCCAGUAGUGACAUUGAAUCCUUGUAGUUGAGUAGUAUGCAUGAGGUAGGAACCCAUCACCCUGUUACCAAGCCCGGGACGUUAUUUAUUUUAAUGCUACGCUAUAGUAGACGGGGUUGGUAUGAGUGCUCGGGAGUGGUGUGAGAAUGGAGGAUCUACGUCAAUGACGACAACUCCAUGAUGGAAUCUGCAAGGAAUGCAUCUUCAAGGCCUCAAGACUUCAAGACUCGAGACAAGAAUUCAAUACACACUACUGGGUGAAGGACGGUUGACGGGCACCCUGGAGAAUCCAGUGGUUGGCCGGGAUGCAUGGAGAAGCGCCAUGACAUCUUGCGGAAAGCUUCACCCAGACUCAAAGAGACGGAAGAAUACUUCAUGCCCGGAAGCUUACCUGUGCAACCGCAAGUCAAUAUGGGCUCUGGCUUGGUUGACCUUAGUUGUGACUCUGGCUGGGACGGUGCUAGCAGAUGUAGAACUACGGUAGGAUUGGAUGAGCACCGGACAGUGGUCAGAGGAACUCUUCGGAAGACCAUGUUUCGGUCAUCUUGUUCUCAAACACUCUGAAGUGCGAGAACGUAAAAAGAGGGAUCGAAUCUUGCGGGUAAAGUGUACAAACCUCUGCAGAGGGUUAAAACCUAAUCGAUUAGCCGUGUCCCCGGUUACGGACAAUUUGAGCAUCUGGACUUGGAUCUAUCUCGGAACUCUCAACACCGGAUUGAUAACUUAAUUGUGGGCAACUUAUGAUGAUUUUGGGCUAUGAGACAUCGGUUGGCGGAACCAUGUCAUGAUAGAAAACUCCAUAGUAAAGACUUCAUUUAUUCCUUUGAUGUAGGGAAAAAUAAAACCAGCUUUUACGCAAACAAAACUCAGACACAGAGCCACAAAGCCAUAUUGCGUAUAGUAUAGUUUUAUCAUAUGUUUUCUCAUGUUGUGAUCUUGCCGGUACAUUCCAUGUACUGACCUACACGGCUGCAACGUAUCAUGUUGCAGAUACUUUCUUCCGACGAGUAAGAAUACGGUACAGGGUUACGGUCUACACUCAACCUGCCGAUGGCGUUGUUUGGACUCCACACCCGACUAUUUGUUUCCGCUGUGACUUAUGAGGUAUAUAUCAGUUUUACGUUAAUUAUACAUGUGAUUGCACUUUGAUAUAUACAUUGAUGUACUGUGUGUGCCAGCAUACUGAUCCAGGGAUGGCACAGAAACACAGAGGCUUGACCGUCUGAGGUCGAGUCGCUACAGAAAUGGUAUCAGAGCACAUGUUGACUGUAGGACGUGACCCUAGGAAAUGACUUAGUAAUAUGAAGACCCCAACCGGAACGACCUUUGUUUUUGUUACUACUCUCGUAACACCUGAUUCCUUUUACUGAACCUUCCUUAUUUCAAACUAUAGAUGGAGAGCUACAUUCUGAACAAAAGAGAACACUACGAGAAGGUUCUUGGAGGCCCCUUCCUUGUGGAGCUAGUCAGGCUGCUGAGGUUACCGAUACCUGAGAUCAAGGCAACUAAGAGGACGUCUAGAUCAUGGGGAGUCAAGACCCAAGUUUUUGGUCGUGAAGAAGACCCCAAGACUGCAGACAUCAGCUUCGGAACUAUAAAUGGUGACUGUGAUAUGGGCAUCAACACUGCCGUCCAUGAUGCUAUUGCACGUUUAUGCUAUCGUCAUCGUGCUGCACUAAACCCACACUUCUUUGAAAGGAUUGGAUGGCAGAAGUUUGAUGGAGCAACUAUUGCCUUGACGGAAGCGCAAAAGAUGAAGUUCUCGCCACUUUUAGUGUACAAUCAGGAUCUGGAACAAUACGUCAAGAAUCUUCAGAUGGACCUCCUGGAAGCCCUGUUUGACAAUGAAGCACUACGAGAAGAGGUCAAGACUCAGAGACUGAAGGUAAACAAGCUGGAGGAGGAGAACCUCGAGAUCUUGAGAAUGCGUCAGGAACUGAAAAGCAGCAGCACCAUGUCUCAUGCCAAGGACGUUGAGAUCCAGAAGCUCAAGGAACAACUCCAGGACAUACAGGGUCGUCACAAGAAACUCCGCGUCGACAGGGAAAAUCUAGCAGAAAAAUUGGAGGAGAUCAAGUCCACACAGAAGAAGCCCCAGUGGGGACAAUGAUCAAGUUCCCGGUAAAUUAGCUUAGUAGUAGCCCACCAUGAGAGAAAUAAAGAUGAACGCUUUCUCGAUUUAAGUAUCUGAACAUACCAACUUAUGUGGGUGGCGAUACUAUAGAAUUGAUUGAAUAAAUGAAUGCUUGGUUGCUAUUAUUUUAUGUGUUUAUUGAAUGGUUGGAUAGAUGCGAUAUUCGUAGGCUUGUUAUGUCAACCUUGAGAGACGUAAGUUACGGAAGAAUGGUAGAAGGCCUUCAUAUGGGAAAAGCAUCAGGAAUUGGAAACUCCCGAGCAUUGAAGACCUGAAGAAAUGAGGACUUAGAAACGAAACCAUAGUAGAACGGCCCAUUACAAACGGUACUUUUGAGCUAGGAUUCUUUUGUUGAUGGGUGGGGAUUUGCUUUCUCUUUCUAUCUCAACCAAACCCUGAAAUCUUGAACCCAUGGGCAACUGAACACCAAACUUUUCUGGAGACAAUUGCAAUUUCCCCAUGGAGAUACAUUCCUUGUUCUGAGCUCCCCUCUUAUCCUACACAUGCAGAUGACAACCCUGUAUGAGUCUUUCCUUAAGGGUCCGGAAACGAUCAUGACCCUGACAAGUGAUCAUGAUUACCCGAAGAUCCUGAAGGACAUGAUGAAGCAUAUUCACCUUGAAGGAGAUGCAGUCUACAAAGGCUACCCCUUCAUGCAAAAGGGAGUGGAACUUUGGUAUGUGGAGGUACACCCCCACCGUAUGAAAGGAGUUUGCCCAAAGACGAUGGGGCAGUACUUUUUCAUCUCACGUGUACCACAAGCAACUUUCUUCGACGCUGUUCGUGAAGCAGCCAUUGAAGCCAUACGCCAGAUCGGAGAAAUACUCGAAGCAAGACUUCGUUAUACUCAGGAAUACCUAAGAGAAGUGCAUGUAGAGAUUAUGGAGAUGAAGCUCAAGGCCACCACGAUGAAACAGAAGAUUGAAGAUUUCAAGGCGCAUGUCGCACAAUUCCAGUGGGACUGAAGAAUCCUCAAGGAGGAAAAAUGAAUAAAGUUGGGAGUAAUGUCUGACCAUACCGAACCAUGUGGGUGGCAGCAUUUGUAAUAAACUUUUUGUAAUUUGGAUUUACGAAAAAUGGUUAAGGAUGUAAUAAAAGAUUGAUAUGAAAAUAAUGGGAUUUAUGGAUAAACCAGUGCAUUUUGGUGUGGUAGUACUCCGUAAAGCCACAGGAUCAAUGAAGAAAGAAAUGUGUUAUUCAUGACGGUCCAUAGAAGGAAGCUGGACAAAAUAAGUUGGAGUUUUGUAUGACCGUCACCACAAGGGUAUGAAGGAAGAAGUACUAUUGGAUUUACAGGAGGUGUAAUGUUGGAAAAUGGAGCAAUUGUAACUCCAAGGAUGAGUGAAAGUGGUACAGGUGUUGAAGUGGGCUCAUAACCCACGGGCCCAGGAAUUAAUAAGGGUCAAGUUCCCGCUGGAAGAAGAAACUUUGGGAAGACUGCAAUUUGAUCAGCAGAUGUUUCGUAGGAGGUUACGCAAAAACCCGAGAGUUGUGAAGAAACGAUAGAUGUUUUGUUUGGCUUGCAGAAACCAUGGAUUUAUUCGAACUCAGUUCUUCGACAAGGGAAAUUCUGCAAUGCUUGUGAGUAUGACCAAGUGUUAGAGUACGUGAUUCAAUGUCUGCAUAGUUAGUAAUGGUUCAAGUACGGGAUGGAUUGGCCCCCAUACCGGAGACUUCUAUCAUGAACUAUCAUAUGUAGAUGGAAAAUCAGAGAGCCUUGAAAACCUUAGAAGAGUGUCGACACGUCAAGCCAUAAAACCAUAGAAUGGUAGGACGAUGGAACCCUUGUACAAGGCAGCUUUUGCCAACCGUAGGUUAUACGGUGAGGUUCAACCCAGACCCGUUUUCUGCAGGAGAAACCAUAAAUUGUUGACCACCAUGAGAUAUCGAUAGUUGUUUAUAAUUGGCACCAGACCCGUCAGCUAUGAAGACCCAGUCUCGGAAUAACCUUACCAAGAGGAAUGGACAAAGGAAUUGAGGAAAAGGUUUUGCCACUAUCGGAAGAGCCCAGAGAAGGAAUUAUCUUACAAUCUGAGAAGACCGACACUGUCAACGAUAAGGAUGGAGUAUAUGAGUUUUGAUGGAACCGUAACAAUGCUUCUAAGGGUGGUAGCACCCCAGACCCCUUGUGAUGAUNNNNNNNNNNNNNNNNNNNNNNNNNNNNNNNNNNNNNNNNNNNNNNNNNNNNNNNNNNNNNNNNNNNNNNNNNNNNNNNNNNNNNNNNNNNNNNNNNNNNNNNNNNNNNNNNNNNNNNNNNNNNNNNNNNNNNNNNNNNNNNNNNNNNNNNNNNNNNNNNNNNNNNNNNNNNNNNNNNNNNNNNNNNNNNNNNNNNNNNNNNNNNNNNNNNNNNNNNNNNNNNNNNNNNNNNNNNNNNNNNNNNNNNNNNNNNNNNNNNNNNNNNNNNNNNNNNNNNNNNNNNNNNNNNNNNNNNNNNNNNNNNNNNNNNNNNNNNNNNNNNNNNNNNNNNNNNNNNNNNNNNNNNNNNNNNNNNNNNNNNNNNNNNNNNNNNNNNNNNNNNNNNNNNNNNNNNNNNNNNNNNNNNNNNNNNNNNNNNNNNNNNNNNNNNNNNNNNNNNNNNNNNNNNNNNNNNNNNNNNNNNNNNNNNNNNNNNNNNNNNNNNNNNNNNNNNNNNNNNNNNNNNNNNNNNNNNNNNNNNNNNNNNNNNNNNNNNNNNNNNNNNNNNNNNNNNNNNNNNNNNNNNNNNNNNNNNNNNNNNNNNNNNNNNNNNNNNNNNNNNNNNNNNNNNNNNNNNNNNNNNNNNNNNNNNNNNNNNNNNNNNNNNNNNNNNNNNNNNNNNNNNNNNNNNNNNNNNNNNNNNNNNNNNNNNNNNNNNNNNNNNNNNNNNNNNNNNNNNNNNNNNNNNNNNNNNNNNNNNNNNNNNNNNNNNNNNNNNNNNNNNNNNNNNNNNNNNNNNNNNNNNNNNNNNNNNNNNNNNNNNNNNNNNNNNNNNNNNNNNNNNNNNNNNNNNNNNNNNNNNNNNNNNNNNNNNNNNNNNNNNNNNNNNNNNNNNNNNNNNNNNNNNNNNNNNNNNNNNNNNNNNNNNNNNNNNNNNNNNNNNNNNNNNNNNNNNNNNNNNNNNNNNNNNNNNNNNNNNNNNNNNNNNNNNNNNNNNNNNNNNNNNNNNNNNNNNNNNNNNNNNNNNNNNNNNNNNNNNNNNNNNNNNNNNNNNNNNNNNNNNNNNNNNNNNNNNNNNNNNNNNNNNNNNNNNNNNNNNNNNNNNNNNNNNNNNNNNNNNNNNNNNNNNNNNNNNNNNNNNNNNNNNNNNNNNNNNNNNNNNNNNNNNNNNNNNNNNNNNNNNNNNNNNNNNNNNNNNNNNNNNNNNNNNNNNNNNNNNNNNNNNNNNNNNNNNNNNNNNNNNNNNNNNNNNNNNNNNNNNNNNNNNNNNNNNNNNNNNNNNNNNNNNNNNNNNNNNNNNNNAGCGUUAGAUAGGCCCAUUAGCGCCAGUUUUUCUUUUUAAUUACAUUUUCGUUUCUGUUUUUUUACAGAAUAGUUUCAGUUUUGUAAAAUCCAUAUCUUUUAAUCUACUUAAUAUUUUUAGUUGAUUCUUUUUUUGUUAGUUUGCAAAAUUGUUGUAGUUUCUGUAGAAAAUAUGUUUAGUCAUGUUAAAAUUAUUAGAAAUUGUUUUAUUUUAGUUUUAGACAGAUUAGUAAUUCUGCUAUAAAAUGAGUUAGGAUUAUUUUAUUUUAGUGAUUCUUUUUGUCACUAUUUUAUUUUGACCUUGCCUAACCGUAGGAAUUUAUUUGGGUAUUUUAGAUUUAAUAAAAAAAAUAGUUUUAAUCAAAAUCAUGUGGUUCUUAUUUAUUUAACUAGCUACUGUUUUCCUAUUGUUUUAUUUAGUAAAUAAUUUUAUUUUUCCUAGGUUAUAGUUUAUUUUAGAUUAGUUUCUGUAGUUAUAGAGAGUGAACUUUUAGUUACAUAAAAAUAAAAUGUUUUCUUUCUUUUUCUUACUAGUUUUGUUUUAAGCAUAAUUAGAGCUUUAAUUGAGCUUUUAUGGAUUUUCUUUUGCUAGUAAAACUUUAUGAAAAAUACUUUAUGUUAACUUAGUUGAUUUAAAUUUUACUUUCUUCUAAAAUUAUUAGUUUAGUAUUUCCUUUGUUAAGUUUUACUUAGGAUAAAACUAUUUUUUUUGUUAUGUCCUAGAGUUUUCUUUAGUAGCUUCAUCGUGUAGUUUUCCUUUGUUUUAUUUGGUGUCCCUUGUUAUUUUGCAUUUUAUUUGUUGGUUUUAUUAUGAGUGUUAGGAUUGCUUGCUAGUGUGAUUGCUUAUAUGAAUGCUAUGUUGGACUAUAUAGAUUUUCAACGGAGUGAUGAAUAGUUCUACCAAGCUAUUUUCGACAGCGUUAUAAUCUUCAUCAACUUACCAGGCAAGUUCACUUUGACCAUGUUUUCAUACCUAUGUGUUUUAUUGCAUCUAGUGUCAUCUUCGCAACAAUCCCUCCAGUAGUGACAUUGAAUCCUUGUAGUUGAGUAGUAUGCAUGAGGUAGGAACCCAUCACCCUGUUACCAAGCCCGGGACGUUAUUUAUUUUAAUGCUACGCUAUAGUAGACGGGGUUGGUAUGAGUGCUCGGGAGUGGUGUGAGAAUGGAGGAUCUACGUCAAUGACGACAACUCCAUGAUGGAAUCUGCAAGGAAUGCAUCUUCAAGGCCUCAAGACUUCAAGACUCGAGACAAGAAUUCAAUACACACUACUGGGUGAAGGACGGUUGACGGGCACCCUGGAGAAUCCAGUGGUUGGCCGGGAUGCAUGGAGAAGCGCCAUGACAUCUUGCGGAAAGCUUCACCCAGACUCAAAGAGACGGAAGAAUACUUCAUGCCCGGAAGCUUACCUGUGCAACCGCAAGUCAAUAUGGGCUCUGGCUUGGUUGACCUUAGUUGUGACUCUGGCUGGGACGGUGCUAGCAGAUGUAGAACUACGGUAGGAUUGGAUGAGCACCGGACAGUGGUCAGAGGAACUCUUCGGAAGACCAUGUUUCGGUCAUCUUGUUCUCAAACACUCUGAAGUGCGAGAACGUAAAAAGAGGGAUCGAAUCUUGCGGGUAAAGUGUACAAACCUCUGCAGAGGGUUAAAACCUAAUCGAUUAGCCGUGUCCCCGGUUACGGACAAUUUGAGCAUCUGGACUUGGAUCUAUCUCGGAACUCUCAACACCGGAUUGAUAACUUAAUUGUGGGCAACUUAUGAUGAUUUUGGGCUAUGAGACAUCGGUUGGCGGAACCAUGUCAUGAUAGAAAACUCCAUAGUAAAGACUUCAUUUAUUCCUUUGAUGUAGGGAAAAAUAAAAUCAGCUUUUACGCAAACAAAACUCAGACACAGAGCCACAAAGCCAUAUUGCGUAUAGUAUAGUUUUAUCAUCUGUUUUCUCAUGUUGUGAUCUUGCCGGUACAUUCCAUGUACUGACCUACACGGCUGCAACGUAUCAUGUUGCAGAUACUUUCUUCCGACGAGUAAGAAUACGGUACAGGUUUACGGUCUACACUCAACCUGCCGAUGGCGUUGUUGGGACUCCACACCCGACUAUUUGUUUCCGCUGUGACUUAUGAGGUAUAUAUCAGUUUUACGUUAAUUAUACAUGUGAUUGCACUUUGAUAUAUACAUUGAUGUACUGUGUGUGCCAGCAUACUGAUCCAGGGAUGGCACAGAAACACAGAGGCUUGACCGACUGAGGUCGGGUCGCUACACUAUAUAAGACUCAGUUGGUGAUGAUGGUGUGUCUACCAUCUGUCAUUUCUAACUAUCAGAUCUGCAUCUAACGACUAUGAUGUAAGUUAUGAUAUUUUUGCAAUAAGACCCCGCUUCUCUGCUCCAAUUUGCAGAAACCACUUAGUAUCUUGAAACCAACCACAUCCAUCCCCCGCCUCAUCAAAACAUCCACGAGGAAUAUGUAUUGAGUGAAACCUAAUAUGAGUAUAUUUUUAGUGAUAUAUACCAAAAUUGGAGCGUUUUUCUUUCAAGUUUGUGAACAUGUAUUAUUCUACUUUGAAUCCGUUGCAACGCACGGGAACAUUGCUAGUAUUUUUUAGACCGGGUAGUAUCAUUCUACUCAUUUUUUAGGAGAUUUUUUAUUUUUAUCUGAUAAAGAAGCGGUUCUCCUCCGAUUUCAUUUAAUUGAAACCAUCGAUCUUUUAGGAGAUCUUAUACUUAGUUAAAUGACAUCGAAACCAUAGGUAUUAGGUUGUAGAUGGCAAACUCCACAUUGUCAGGAAGGCGUCUUGCAUAUGUGUAUUCACACAAAUCCUAUAUGCCUAAAAGACUGAUUACCAUUACUUUUAAUUAUCUUAACAUGCAUGCUUCCAUGUCAUUGAAAUUGUUGUAGCCGUUAGAUUUACUAGCUAGAACCACUAGCACAUGUCCGAUCUACGACUCCUCUACCAUGCGACGUGCAUUAGUGGACUCUAAAUGGGUUUUAAAUCACAUUAGAUUAAAUUCUCACACAACACACUACAUAUUGUUCCUAGCCAUGCUACAUCAGCAUGCCAUGCAUGUAAGUUAGAAGUUGCAUUUUUUUUUACACUAGCAUAUCCAUGCAACAUUGCCACAUCAUCAGUUCAUGCAUGCAUAUAAGUAAUUAGUUAAAAAUUUUGCUUACAUUUUGUGCUCUAAUAGACACGGUAUAUGUGUUGGCCACUUGUAGCAUACCAAUAUAGUUUAUCCUUCACUUUAUUAGAAACAACACUCUUUUUCUUUAUUGCUAAAUCUUAACAACCCACUACCUAUUUUUCUAGCCAUACAACCAUAUCACAUCAACAAGCCAUGCAUGUCAAUUAUACGUUAUAUUGUAUAUUCAUGCAACACUAUCAUGCUACUUUGCCACCGAGAUAACCUGUAAGGGCGAGCAGAAGUGGCUCGGCACUUUCGACAUGCUGGAGCUCACUGCGCAUGCGUACGCGUUUGCAUGAAGGUAUGGCCGGCCCCGUUCUGAACUCAACUCUCUAGAUGUUGAGUCGGCCGAGGAAACACAUAUUGUCUCAAUUAACCGUCAACUCUCAUCUAUAUAUGACGUGGCUGGAUUUCCCGCAAGGACUCAAAUCCCUUUCAAAACAUCAAGUUCUAACCUAAUUCGGAGGACGGCUCGGAGGCUCCAGGCUGCAACAUGUAUAGAAUAGCUCUCUUGCACCAGCUGUGCAAAUUGCAUAUGAUGUCAGAUCUAGAAUUUUAGACGACUCUUACAGCAAACUUGUUUCUUCGACGAGCCGAACAACUUUUAUGUUCAAUGCAAUUCCAUCUGAAGCCGAACAACUAUUAUGUUUAAUACAAUUCCAUCUGAAGUCAUCUUAGGGUGCAUUUGUCUGAGCAAAUGAGUAUUUUUUUGUUUGCAGGGUUACUUAAAUAUAUAUUGUCCUUGAUUGAUUCGCUCUUCUUUUACCAUGUCCCUGUUUGAUCCAAGGAUGUUUUACUCCUAUUUGGUCACUGUCGGUUCAAUAUCCGGCGUAUCUCGUAGUAGGGGUCCUAAGCUAGGCGUCUUGAAGCGAUGGUAACAUGGACACGGGAUUUUACCCAAGUUCGGACCCUCUUGAUGGAGGUAAAACCCUACGUCCUGCUUUUGAUUGUAUUCAUAUGGGGUGUAGUACAGAGUAUAUGUAUCUACCAUGAGAUGAUAGUAAUGAAUAUGAGAUUAUCUAUUGACUAGCCUGGCCUCGGUUUAUAUAAGACACCGGAGGCCUAGGGUUUAGGAGAGUCCUUGUCUUGGGCGCCAAGUCUUGUGGAGUCUUCCUUGUAUGCGGCAGGGGUUGUCCGAACUAGCCCAUGAGGAUACGGCCAUGGGGGUCCUCGGCCCAGUCCAACUGACCGGGAGAUGACGUGGUGAGUACCCCCUAGUCCAGGACACCGUCAGUAGCCCCCUGAACCGGUCUUCAAGUUGGGGACGCUCCUCGAUUCUUCGGAACUAUUCUUCAUCUUCGGUCGUCGGUCUUGAAAACUGGUUCAACAAAUCUUCUCAUCUUCAAUCUUGAGGAUCGCCGAAGUGCAUCCGAAGAGUUUACACGUCGGGUAUCCGAGGAGCCCCUUUAAGUUUUCUGCCUUUAUCAAUGCCUUGUUAUUUUUAUGCCACAUCUCGGGUUUGGAGUUGUUCCCGGGCGGCAGUGUCCUCUUGCAUCCGAGCUCCAACGCCGGACUGCAUUCGAGGUAUCUUUUGCAGCCGAGCACCAACGCCGGACCGCUUCCGAGCUCCAACGCCGGAAUGUAUCCGAGCUGCACCGCCGGCAUGUAUCUGAGCUCUACCGCCGGACUAUGUCCAAGCUCCAACGCCGGACUAUAUCCAAGGUGUCAUAGAUCACCUUGGUUCAAAAAAGUUGAAGGAUUUUAGCCGAGCUUAAUGCCGGAAAUACCCUCUACGGAGCCAGCCACUAGCGUCCGAGCUUCAUGCCGGACUGCUUCCGGGGUGUCUAUUGUAGUCGAGCACCAACGCCGGACUGUAUCCGAGGUGGUGCACCACCUCGUCCAUGGGUUGAUUUUUAUGAAUUUAAUUCCGAAUUAUGCAAUGUAAUCUCUACCGAGAUGUAUAGCCAGUAGCCCUCAAGGUGCAUGUUGGCCUAAUAUCCGGGAUGCACCUGAAGGAAAAAAUCAAACCGCUGACCCUAGUAGCCCCUGAGACCCAGGCUGAUUCAUAAAAUCAGCCUGAGGAUCAAUUCCCAGCUCGGCAGCAUACUUAGGAAUAGAAACGCGGUGUGCAAAGUCCUCGAGACUCAGGUUGGGUAUGGCCGACCAACCUGAGGAUAAUAAUCUCCUCGAAAACUAUAUUACACUUUAAAUUUUCUGCAUUGGAUUGUCAAUGCAGUAGCCCCUGAGACACUGGUCGGGUGGCAACACCAGAUCGGGGGAUCGAUGUACCCCUUUAAUAUUUAUAAAUGAUAAGCACGAAGCCCAGUAGCCCCCGAGCCUUAAUGUGGGCACGGGUGGUCGAAUUAAGGAUCGAUGUUCGAAGUAAAAUUUUAAAUUAUGUGUAAUGAUUCUACGUACCCAAGUACUCUAAAUUAUUAAUACUCAAAUCCGCAUUGUACAAAACUUUGUUGACCGACCAUCGGCUUCAACUUCCUCGGCCAGUAGCCGCGGAGUGUUUGUCUCGCUUUAUAAAGCCUUGACAAGGGCAAAGAUUUACGACAAACAAGACAAUCCGGACAUACAGUUUUAUAAACAAAGGUACGUGGAGAGAUAUGUUAUAUUACUUUAUAAUGUAAGAAACAUCUUUCAAAGAAAAUAAUCCCGCUAUCGGUUUCUUUCUUUGGGUUGUCAUGUCAACCAUGAUCUUGAAACCACGCCUCAAAUCAAUGCAGGAGAAAAUAUUGAGGAUUUAGUUCGGGGAAAGUUCCCAAACUCUAUGGUAUUAAUGAACCAAAAUUUUCACUUCCGUCAUCGCCGACCAAUGCGAUACUUUAAGAUUGCUAGCUUUCGGCUUCACCCAGUCCGAGGUACUAACUCGAAUGACCCGGCAGUAACAGGCACAGAGGUGCUCCCUUUACGACCUAGCCGAACAAUCGGGAACGUAGGAGUAAGCACAGGAGCCAGGGAACCCAGCUUGGCCAAAAUCUUAAGUCAAAUUGAUGCAUAUUUAUGGCUUUAUAACAAUGAUUACGGAAGGCAGCCCUUAUAUAUAUAUAUAUUAAAUAAUGACACUUAUUAUAAAACAUCUCAUAUAAAUUUAAGAGCCCCCAAGUGACUUGGGUACAAGAAUUUUAUGUCUAAUGAUUGUAUAUACCGAAGUACUUGUAUCAUAUCUUUGUUCACCCGUCCUAACCGACCGUCGGCUUCUCCCUCUUCGCUCAAGGGCCGAAAAGUGUUAUGUACUCCACUUGUCGAGAAUAUCGACGGUGCUUCCGAUAACCAGGCAUUCAGGCCAUAAGGCUGUAACAGACAAAGCGUGCUCAGGGAACUUAUGCUAUAUUACUGACGAAGUGUAAGAAGCAUCUUCGAAGAAAAUAGUACCCCCACCGAUACCUUUCUUCGAUUGCUCAUUAUUACUGUGAGACUUGUGCAGUAGAUUUUUUGUACUCAUGAGUUCCGUGUGCCGACCAUUAUUGAAAACAGUAAGAGCGCUAUCUUUCGGAUUCACCCAGUCUAAGGUCCGGCUCGGAUGACCCGAUCAUGACAAUCGCAGAGGUGCUCCCUUUACUCCCUAGCCGAACAAUCGGGAAUGUAGGGGUAAACACAGGAACAAGGCAACUCAUCUUGCAAAUCGCUUAAGUCAACAUGGUGCAUAUUGUGGCAUAAUACACGAACAAGGAAUGAAGUCGUACAAGUAUAAUUAUAUGCAAGAGGAAAGGCUCCAUAAAGGAAGCCCCCGGUUAAACGGGGUAUUUGAAUUUGUGUGUCACAAACAAGGUUUUGACAAGGAAGUUUUUCACAAGCAACUUUUUGCCAAAAAAGUAUAAUGCUUGGUCGAACCGAACAAAAUUUAAAACUGAAAGUUUUUGAGCAUGAGAGCGACUUACCUAGUUAAUGUGUUCGGCAUUAAUGAAGCGGUCCGAGCUUGAUGCGCGAUAAGGUUCCAGCAUGCCCACCUGCGCCGCACUGCGUGGGCAGUACGGGCUGCACGCUCGCCUCUGCCGGGUCGUCGUCGCCUGUAGCAAGUCUGAUAACUGUGCCACCACUAGGAUCUUUAUGGCACACAUGGUAGUUCAGAAUCCGGCGAUCCACCAGGCGGCGGAUACGGUCGCGGCCACUAAAAGAAUUCUCGAUCCGGUCUGACUGCAGACAAAUAGCACGACACGCUAGCGACGACUUUGCAAGAGAGAAAAUUUACAUGCAAAAGAUCCGACUGGAAUAAUAUCACCUAAUCGUUGAUCUAGAAUCCCAUCGCGCCAUGAUGAUCACCUAACAGGCUCUCAAUGAAAGCACCAAUGUCGGUUCAAUAUCCGGCGUAUCUCAUAGUAGGGGUCCUAAGCUAGGCGUCUUGAAGCGAUGGUAACAUGGACACGGGAUUUUACCCAGGUUCGGGCCCUCUUGAUGGAGGUAAAACCCUAUGUCCUGAUUUUGAUUGUAUUCGUAUGGGGUGUAGUACAGAGUACAUGUAUCUACUACGAGAUGAUAGUAAUGAAUAUGAGAUUAUCUAUUGACUAGCCUGGCCUCGGUUUAUAUAAGACACCGGAGGCCUAGGGUUUAGGAGAGUCCUUGUCUUGGGCGCCAAGUCUUGUGGAGUCUUCCUUGUAUGCGGAAGGGGUUAUCCGAACUGGCCCAUGAGUAUACGGCCAUGGAGGUCCUCGGCCCAAUCCAACUGAUCGGAAGAUGAUGUGGUGAGUACCCCCUAGUCCAGAACACCGUCGGUCACCAUUUAAGCCUUAAGAUGGCCGGCAAAAAGCUUUGGCUUCUUAUUAACCUGAAUAACUUGUGAUGGAUGUGGAGCAGGGACAACAGAGAACUGACCAGAUCCGAGUCUUAAGAGGACUAUAACUGUAGUAGAUACUUUCAUAAUAUAAGAGUGGCGGUGUCUGGCGCUAUGGUGGUGUCGACAGCUGACCUAGCAAGGUCUUUGCGUCAAUACCUGCUUUGAAGAUGGUUAGGUGGAUGACGAUGGCGGUAGCCUCGGUGAGUGUGCCGGACCGGUAUGUGACCCGUUCCCGGCAUGUGGCUGGGAUUGAGCAUCCGGCAUUAGAUGUUAGGCUUUGGUGCGAUGUGUUUGGUAUUAGCCUCGGACAUUCGGCACACAUGCAUCAAGGGGAUAGGAGAAGCGACAGGGGUCGCCUAGAUGGUGACUUCACACUUACUGAUGUAAUGAUUUGUAAGGUCUCUAAAAAUAAUUAAUAAAAUGACUGCAUACAUCGUUCAGAUGCAGAGGCGGGGUAAAUCCUCCUUUUAAAAAAAAGGGUGUUUUGACACUAUGUCACGGUAGUAACGUAAAAACACGGAGUACAUACAAAGUGGCCGGCAAUAAUAAAAGAUGCUCUCGGUUUGAGAGCUAAGGUUCUCCCUGUCGGGACUGAACAGUGAACACAGACGCGUUCUUUACUUUAUUUGCUUUUACACCCUGUGCCAUGUUUAACUACUAGCUUUAUGCACAUGCUAAUCCACUACCCCUCGCAAAAUUACAUUUUUGAGCCAUCGCAUCAUUAGGGCCUACGACCAGUCUUCCCUCUCGGUCCUCCCCUUCCGAUCCCCAUCUCCCUCCGCCGCCACUUCUCUUUCUCGCUCUCACUUCCUCCGCCUUCUCCUCCCAAAUGCUUGCGAUUUGUCCGCGAAAGCUUGCAGCUUGUCCCACCCAGCUCACCAAUUUCUGGGUCCUCUACGCCGCUUCCCCGAACCACUCUCCAGUCUCCACUCCUCCCACCCAGCACACGCAGACGCAGUCACAAGCUAAGCUAGAGAUCCAUGGCGCGUGCUGUGGUGAGCGCUGUAGUAGGCCCACUGGGUCCCCUACUGGAGAAGCUCAACGCUCUCCACGCCGGCGAGUAUGGCCGCAUGAGGGGGGUCCGCACUCUCAUCGGCUCCCUCAGAUCUGAGCUCACCAGCAUGCAUGCUACCGUAAAAGAUUACGAUCCCGAGAUGCUAGAAGAACAAGCCGUCGAAGUGAAGACAUGGAUAGCAUUGCUCAGGGAGUUGGCCUAUGACACCGAGUAUUGCAUCGACAAGUUCAUUCACCAGCUCGGCAGUGACGGCCGUCAUGGCGGCUUCAAGGAGUUUUUCCGCAAGGCCGCCCGUAAUCUGAAGACGCUUUUGUCUCUGCGUGGAAUCGCCGGUCAAAUCGACCAACUCAAGGUUCGUAUCAAUGAAGUGAAAGACUUAAAAAAUAGUUCCAAGCUAGAUGAUACCCUUUGUAGCACCCAUAAAGCCGUGGAUCCCCGUCUGGUUGACCUUUUAGCUAAGGAUGUGCACCUUGUGGGUUUGGAUGGUCCAAGAGACGAUAUUGCCAAAUGGAUGCUAGAAGGAAACAGCUCAUCUAAUAAUUGCAAGGUGUUGUCUAUUAUUGGGUUUGGUGGGUUGGGAAAAACUGCCCUAGCGAGCGAAAUCUACCGCAAGAUUGAAACUCAUUUUCAUUUUAGGGCUUUUGUAUCAGUUUCGCAAAAACCAAGUAUUAAGAGUAUUAUCAAGGAUGUGAUCUACAAAGUGCCUUGUCCAGAUGGAUUUAUAAAAGAUAUCGAUGUUUGGGAUGAAAUGACAUCUAUUGCAAAGUUGAGAGAGCUACUACAAGAUAAGAGGUAUUUUUUUUGCUGAAACGUAUUCUAUGGCUACUUAUUACUUUAUUUUGUUUCAUGGGGCUUAUUAUUUUAGUAGUGUAAUUCUUGCUGCGUGUGUUAUUAAUUUUUCACUUGCUAACAAAUAACAUUAAUCCCAUCAUGGAGGUUUGCAUGAUUCUAGGCGUUCUUACCAUGUAUGCUAAAAGCAUGUCACACAAUGUAAUCAAAUAUACGCACACCUUUGUAUAUCUGGUUAAUAAACCAGGGUGAAGCCUUACAGAUGGGUAGAAGUCCAUUUUGCUCUACCCAAGAAUCCGAUUUCGAACCAUGAAGUGUAUGAUGUAUUCUUGGAGUGUUAUGACAUUUUUAUGUUUCCUAGUUGAAUCCCUUAUCAUAAAUGGUUUACAUCAUCUGCUAAUAUUUACCAGGUAUCUCGUCAUAGUUGAUGACAUAUGGUCUAGACAAGCAUGGAACACCAUCAAGUGUGCUUUUCCAGAGAAUAAUUGUUCGAGCAGAAUUAUCACUACCACACGCAUUGUUGAGGUAGCAUUGGCAUGUUGUGUUGGCCGUGAGGACCGCGUGUAUGAAAUGAAAGCCCUGAGUGAUGUUCACUCUAAAAGUUUGUUUUUCAAAAGAAUAUUUGGCUCUGAAGACUGCCCUGAUUCCCUGAAAGAAGUUUCAAAUAAAAUCCUUAAAAAAUGUGGAGGCCUACCAUUGGCAAUUGUAAGUAUAUCUGGUCUUCUAGCAAACAAACCAGCUGUCAAAGAGGACUGGGAGCAGGUCAAAAGGUCAAUUGGGUCUGCAAUGGAAAAAACCCGGUCUCUGGAGGGAAUGCGUAGCAUACUAUCCCUUUCGUACAAUGAUCUUUCACUUCCUCUCAGGGCAUGCUUAUUGUACCUAAGUAUAUUUCCUGAGGACUAUGUGAUUGAAAGAGAGAGACUAGUGAGACUAUGGAUAGCAGAAGGACUUAUCUCUGAAGAGAAUGGACGGAGCAGACAAGAGGUUGCCGAGAACUACUUUUACAUGCUUAUCAAUAAAAGCAUGAUCUUACCAGUGGAUAUUGGCUAUGAUGGUAAGGCUCGUGCUUGUCGAGUUCAUGACAUGAUUCUUGAACUUAUUAUUUCAAAAUCCACUGAAGAUAAUUUUACCACAUUGGUAAGCACUGGGCUACAUGGUUUGGUAAAUCGACAAGGUUUUAUUCGACGGCUAUCUGUCCAGCACAUUGACCAGGAGCUUGCAUCUGCACUAGCAAAUGAAGAUCUAAGCCACGUACGAUCUCUAAUAGUGACAGCAUCUGCAGGUUGCAUCAAACUCUUGCCUAGUCUUGUUAAAUUUGGAGGUUUACAUGUAUUGGAUGUUGAAGAUUGCGUUGGUUUGGAGGAUUAUAUUAUGAAUGACAUUGACAAAUUAUUUCGACUGAAGUACCUGUGUCUUAGUGGAAAGUCCAUAUCAGAGUUACCAUCAGGGACCGUGGAGCUAGGCAAUUUAGAGACCCUAGAUCUGCGGAACACAUCCGUGCAGGAGUUGCCAGAUGGAACUUUUAAGUUCACUAAACUAGAGCACCUGCAUGGUGCAGGGCAAACAAAGAUACCAAACGGCCUUGGGGGUAUGAGGAACUUACGGGUGAUCUCAAGCUUUAAUGUUUCACGGAGUGAAACAGAUGCGGUGGAGGAGCUCGCGAACAUGAUAAAUUUGGAUGAACUCAAAGUAUACCUCGAUAGUGGAAGAUCUGACAAGUGCAAGAAGCAUGAAGAGCUGUUAUUCUCCUUGUUAUGCAAGCUAGGCACCUGCAAACUCCGAUCUCUAUGGAUACAUAAGCCUGGUGGUUCCCUUGAGUUGUUAGAUUCUUGGUCCCUUCUACCAUCUUCCCUUCAAAUAUUUCGUAUCUCCGGUGACUAUUGUUUCAUGAAUAUUCCAAAGUGGACUGCACCGGCACUCACCAGUCUUGCUUACCUGGAGAUCAGCUUAACUGAAUUAAAGGAGGAGGAUCUGCACACUCUUGGUGAACUUGCAAGCUUACUUUAUCUGAAACUGUCCUUCGUAGCCGACCCAGUUGAACUGAUCGAAGUCCAAGCAAGUACCGGAUUUCAGUGCCUCAUUAAGUUUGUCAUCUACAGUGUGGCUGGGGCGCACGUUAAGUUCAUGGAAGGAGCUAUGCCGAAGCUUGAGAAGCUUAAUUUGCGACUGCAUGUGUCACUGGCAAGACAUUCUGGCUUCGAAUUAGGUUUUCAGCAUCUUUCAUCUCUCAGAGAAGCAGUAUUAAGUUUUUACAGAGUGGAUGUAACACCUUCCGAAAUCAAGGCUGCCGCUGCUGCCAUCAGGAAAGAAGCAUGCAUCCACCCGAACCGUCCCGCAAUUGAUAUUUCAGAGGAAUUCUAUGGAAAGUAUAACGAGAUCGGCAGUGACGAGGAGGACUUGAGGUAGCCGAAUAUGGUGACACCUCAUCCUAUGAAAUGCAAGAGGUAUGUGAAGACAGAUUCUAUUCGUUCACUCUUUUCCAUUUACAAACAUUGCCUUAAGUAUUGUUUUCUCCAUACACAUCGAUUUUGUACAAAGCGAGAUGCUGAAGGAUUCCAAAUUCACAUGUUAUAACUAUGAUUUCUUUUUUCCGGUCCAGGACACGAGGUGCGGUUGGCUAGCCUUUUGCUUGGAAAGGUCAUACUGAAGGACUAACCGAAGCUAGUACUAUUCAGUGUACUUCCAGAUGAGAGCAUUGAUAUGGAAGCUGAAGCACAAUUACCUUCAGAAAGUGUGCUCUCAGUCGCUACUCACUACCUGUGUUGUGUUUGCUUCUUAUUGUUUCCUUUAUUAUUACUUUUGGUAGCUGAGACUUAAUCUCCAGGUGCAUCUUGGAUCAUGUUUUUUCUUUUAUUUCCAAUAAUUUGUGCUGAAACAGUUGGUGUGCAGUAUUGACUGUAUUGUGUAUCAUGCAGUAUUUUACGACAGUACAAUAAUUUGUGCUGGAACAGUUGGUGUGCAGCAGCUACCUAUUACAAGUUCUCUCUUUAUUUUAUUUUAUUCUGAGUUGUAGUGUUAUCAGAUUGAUUACUGUUGGAGUACCAGUUUAUCCACUGUUGUUCUUAGAAACAACAUCCAUUUGUAUCGACAAUUCAAUGGUUAAUAUAAAGUGGAAAUGCCGUGGCGCGGUUUGCUUGGCUACACUUUGGCCCUGUGGAAGCUCUGCUAUUGCACCCGCAAAAAAGAAAAAAAAAAGCUCUGCUACUGCCCACUGGUGGCGUGGUUUGCUCGGUGACGUGUCUGCCAUCGCUGCGCCGUGUCAUACACUCGCUGCUGCUGUGGCUAGUUUGUUCGGCGACGUGUCAGACGUCCACUAGGCCGAGUACUGCCGUGGCGCGGAUUGCUUGGCCGUACAUCGGUUUACUGUAGCCGCAUUUACGCUGUUUUGAUACUGUUGUACACCAGCUACAGUUCUUUCCCCCUUAAAAAUAACUAGCUACGUUUUUCUCUCUCGGGUGAACACUAUAGCUACGCUGUUGGUUUUAACCUGGCUAGACCACACCCUCUCUUUCGGAUGAGUACCACAUGUGAUGAGUAGUUGAAUACAUAUCAGGCAUACUCCGCACCCUCUCUUUUGAGUGAAUGACCCCACGAUCGAACUACUAGAUUUGGUGAAAUGCUACUCCCUCUACUCCUUCAAUGCAUUUUAUUUUAGACCUGAUAGUUGCUGUGUGUUGCAAUAUUCUACUCCCUCGGUUUCAAAUUUGAACUAAAUGAUGACACUUUUUGGAAUAGAGGGAGUAGUAGGUUUGCUCGUGAUUUACCUGCCCAUAUUAAGCAAAUUAAAGAAAGGGAUACGAAAACAACAAAAACUAUUUACACGGGAAAGCUCCCAAGAAGCAAAAAAAAAAAGAAAAGGGAAAUAUUUCUGGGUUUUCUUUUAAUGCUACAACUAAAUUAAGCUAGAAAGAAAACCGAAAAGAAGCAGGAAAUAUUUUUGGAUUUUCCCAAAGUUUUUCAAAUACACAAGAAGAAAGCAAGAAAAUAAAACUAGCAUGGAUGAUACAAUGAAAAUGUGUGAACACCAAAAACUGGAAUGAAGUCUGUGAACAUGAAUGUAAUGUCGGUGGAAUUACGUACUCCCCCAAGCUUAGUCUUUUGACCUAGCUUGGUGAUCACCAUCCGUAGUAGUCAUCCGGUCCCAUGUUAUAGUGGCGGCGACACCUGAGCAUCCCACUCCUGGGGCUUGAUACGUCUCCAACGUAUCUAUAAUUUUUUAUUAUUCCAUGCUAUUAUAUUAUUUGUUUUGGAUGUUUUAUAUGCAUUAAUAUGCUAUUUUAUAUUAUUUUUGGGACUAACCUAUUAACCUAGAGCCCAGUGUCAGUUUCUUUUUUUUCCUGUUUUUGAGUUCUACAGAAAAGGAAUAUCAAACGGAGUCCAAACGGAAUAGAACUUUCACGAUGAUUUUUCUUGGACUAGAAGACAUCAACGGAACUUGGAGACGAAGUCAGAAUAGUCCCGAGGGCACCAGAAGCCCUCAGGAUGCACCCUAGGAGGGCGUCCUUCUGGCUUGUGGCCUCCUCGAGAGUCCACCGACCUCCCUCUCAGCUCUAUAAAUCCCAAAGUAUUCCCAAAUGAACAGACAGAGCCACAAAAAUUCUUUUCCUCCACCAUAACCUUCUGUUCCCGUAAGAUCUCAUCUUGGGGCCUUUUCCGGCAAUCUGCCAGAGGGGGAUUCGAUCACGGAGGGCAUCUACAUCAACUCUAUUGCCCUUCCGAUGAAGUGUGAGUAGUUUACCAUAGACCUACGGGUCCAUAUCUAGUAGCUAGAUGGCUUAUUCUCUCUCUUUGAUCUUCAAGACAAUGUUCUCCUCGAUGUUCUUAAAGUUCUAUCCAAUGUAAUAUUAUUUUGCAGUGUGUUUGUCGAGAUCCGAUGAAUUGUGGAUUUAUGUUCUGAUUAUCUAUGAAUAUUAUUUGAAUCUCCUACGAAUUCUUAUAUGCAUAAUUUGAUAUAUUUGUAUUUCCCUUCGAACUAUCGAUUUGGUUUGGCCAACUAGAUUGGUUUUUCUUGCAAUGGGAGAGGUGCUUGGUUUUGGGUUCAAUCUUGCGGUAUCCUCACCCAGUGACAUAGUAGGGUUAGAGAGGCACGUAUUGCAUUGUUGCCAUCAAGGAUAAAAAGAUGGGGUUUAUGUCAUAUUGUUGAGUUUAUCCCUCUACAUCAUGUCAUCUUACUUAAGGUGUUACUCCGUUCUUAUAAACUUAAUACUCUAAAUGCAUUCUAGAUAGCGGCCGCCGUGUGGAGUAAUAGUAGUAGAUGCAGGCAGGAGUCAGUCUACUUAUCACGGACGUGAUGCAUAUAUUCAUAAUCAUUGCCUUGAUAUCGUUAUAACUUUGUGUUUUUCUAUCAAUUGCUCGACAGUUAUUUUUUCACCUACCGUAUCCUUUCUUUCAAGAGAGAAGCCUCUAGUGAAAUCUAUGGCCCCGGGUAUAUUUUGCAUCAUAUAUUUUCAGAUCUAUAAACCAAAAAACCCCAAAAUACCUUGCUGUAAUUUAUUUGUUUUUACUUUGUUUUACGUUUUAGCAAUCUUUUAUAUCUAUCUCUAUCAGAUCUGUUUCUUGCAAGUGACUGUGAAGGGAUUGACAACCCCCACUAAAAAAUGACACAUCCAUGACAUUUUGGGCCGAACGGAUUUUUUUUCUGUCAUGCUUAUGAAACUUCUAUGACGAUAAUUGUGACAAAUCCGAUAUCAUCAUAGAUGUGGUGGGCUCCUACUUCCAUGACAAAAAAUCAUGACAGAAAAUGGGCUUUUCGUCCUAGGCGGGCCGGAGACGCAGCUGCAUGACAUUCUUUGGGCCGUGCAUGACGGAGAAAACCGAGGUAGAAGCGAGGGCGAGGAAAAUAUCGGGGGAGUUCCCGGUUACGAUGGGUGGUCGGGGACCGAGCGAUGCGCGUUUCUCUCAUACGUAUGUGCAUGUGUGCGAGGCGUUGCGCUCUAACUGAACCCGAGCGACUGCACUGCAGGCUACGUGUUACUGAACCCAAGCGAUCGAUCAAUCCCUUGCUGUUAACUGAACCUGAGUGAUUCCUUUGCUACUGCUGCUAACGGAAGCUGAUCGAACACUGCUGCCUCCUUCCCUUGAUGAACAAUGAGCGUUGUUGGGGGGCGGGGGGGGGGUGGUUGGAUGAACAGUUCCCGGUGGGGGGUUGGAUGAACAAGACCCCGUGGUAGUAGAGGCCGUUGCCGCUGGAUGAACAUGACCCCAAUCAAUCCAGCCGGUGGAUGAACAGGACCCCGUGGAGGGCUGGAUAAACAGGACCCCGUGGACGGCUGGUUGAACAGUAGCCGGUGGAGGGCUGGUUGAGCAGUAGCCGGUGGAGUUCUGGAUGAACAGUAGCCCGUGGAGGGGUGGUUGAACAGGACCCCGUGAAGAGGGUUGGUUGAACAGUAGCCGGUGGAGGAGCGUUGGAGGCUGGAUGAAGAGGAGCCCGUGGAUGAACAGUCGCAGGUGGAGGCUGGAGGAGGUCGACGUUGGAUGAACAGGAUGUCACGCCCAAUAUGCGAUACUAUCCUAAAGAGACUCGAAGGUCCCACCAAGGAUAGAACCGCAUAUUGAAACGCUUUUGCAAGGUGGAUAUCAUUACAUCAACAUUACAUAAUAGAUGGGGAUACAUACAAGAGGCAUACAAAGCCACACGAAUAAACAUCAUCUUACAUAAGAGCACCAUCCGACUACAGAUGAAACACAAACAGAGACUCAAACGACAUCCACCCUACUAGCCCAGGCUGCCGACCUGGAACCUAUCCCCUGAUCGAAGAAGAAGCAGAAGAAGAACUCCAAACAAGCAAGCAACGCUCUCGCGUCAUGAUCAUCGCAUAACCUGUACCUGCAACUGUUGUUGUAGUAAUCUGUGAGCCACGAGGACUCAGCGAUCCCAUUACCAUGGGUAUCAACACUAGCAAAGCUUAAAGGGAAAGGAAGGGGUAAAGUGGUGAGGUUGCAGCAGCGACUAAGCAUAUAUGGUGGCUAACAUACGCAAAUAAGAGCGAGAAGAGAAGCAAAGGAACGGUCGUGAAGCUAGCAAUGAUCAAGAAGUGAUCCUGAACUCCUACUUACGUCAAACAUAACCCAGAAACCGUGUUCACUUCCCGGACUCCGCCGAAAAGAGACCAUCAUGGCUACACAUACGGUUGAUGCAUUUUAAUUUGGAUCUGGUGUCAAAUUAUCUACAACCAGACAUUAACAAAUUCCCAUCUUCCCAUAACCGCGGGCACGGCUUUCGAAAGUUUAUACCCUGCAGGGGUGUCCCAACUUAGCCCAUCACAAGCUCUCGCGAUCAACGAAGGAUAUACCUUCUCCCAGGAAGACCCGAUCAGACUCGGAAUCCUGGUUUACAAGACAUUUCGACAAUGGUAAAACAAGACCAGCAAAGCCGCCCCAUGUGCCGACAAAUCCCGAUAGGAGCUGCACAUAUCUCGUUCUCAGGGCACACCGGACAAGCGAAGCGUACAGGAACCGACGAAUCCAAGUUGCCAAGGAAUGGUCCCGCACGGUGCUCUAGUUUGGACCAACACUCGGAGGAGCACUGGCCCCCGGGGGGGGGGGUAAAUAAAGAUGACCCUCGGGCUCCGGAAACCCAAGGAAAAAAGGGCUAGGUGAGGGAAAUGGUAAAACCAAGGUUGGGCCUUGCUGGAGGAGUUUUAUUCAAAGCGAACUGUCAAGGGGGUCCCAUAAAUCACCCAACCGCGUAAGGAACGCAAAAUCCGGGAACAUAACACCGGUAUGACGGAAACUAGGGCGGCAAAAGUGGAACAAAACACCAGGCAUAAGGCCGAGCCUUCCACCCUUUACCAAGUAUAUAGAUGCAUUAAUUAAAUAAGAGAUAUUGUGAUAUCCCAACAUAAUCCUGUCCACCAUGGAGCAAUCUUCAACUUCACCUGCAACUAACAACGCUAUAAGAGGGGCUGAGCAAAGCGGUAACAUAGCCAAGCAACGGUUUUGCUAGGAAGGGUGUCAAAGGUUAGAGGUUCAUGGCAAUUUGGGAGGCUUGAAGAACAAGUGAUAGGUAGUGCAGCAUAGCGAUAGAACGAAGCAACUAGCAUAGCAAAGAUAGUAGUGAGAUCCAGGGUGACGGUCAUCUUGCCUGAAAUCCCGCUAGGAAGAAGAACGAGUCCAUGAAGAAGACGAACGGGAGUAGUAGAACGAAUCCUCACAAUCGCAACAUUACCGGAACUAAGAAGCAACACCGGAAAGAAACAAACAACAUAGUAAAUGCACAAGCAUAAACAUGGCAUGAUGCACAAACAAGUAUGAUGCAUGUCCGGUUUAAAGAGGCAUGGCAUGGCAAGGUGCAACAAACAAUACUACAAAUUAAGUGGACCUCAAUAUGCAACGAGUUGCAUAUUGACGAAACACCACAUGACUUAUUUAGUUCUCUCUCGGUUAUGUACACAUCAAUAUUAAAUGUUGGUUAACAUGGCAAGAGGUGAAGCAUAAUAAAACUAACUAUUUAGGCAAGUUUAAAUGAGGCCGGAAACAUCAAACAACAAUUCCGGUAAAUCCUCAUGUGCAUAUUUUAGAUCUGGUACUGUUCUGCCCUAAACACAAUUUUAAUGUUGUUAAACAGCAAAAUAAAAUGCACCAUGUUAAACUAGGCAUUUUUCCACCCCAUUUACAUAUAAAUUUUAUUAAAUUUGGAGCUACAAUUAUUUAGUUAUGAAAUAAAUCAUUUUAACAUGGCAUUUAAGCAAAUUUAAUCAAACAGCAAUUUAAACAUUUUAAACAUGGAUGAAAGUAGAAAAUUAUUAAUCUACACAAAAUUCUAAGCAUUUUACAUAUAUAAAUCAUUUUAAUCUGAUGCACGGUUGUGGAGUUAUUAAAUGCAUGAAGUCUAGGGGUUUUUCUGUAAAACAGUAAAUCACUGGAUAAAUGACAAAAUCGCGACAUGAAAAAAAAACAUGCACUGGGCUGAAACUGGUGCACUGCUGGGCUGAACAGAGAGGAGGGGCCGUGGGGAGCUCACCCAUGGGCUCGGCCCAGUCGGUGGUGAGGCAGGCUGGCUGGGCGAGGGGAGCGGCUUGGGCCGGAUCUGGAGAGGAGGUUGCGGUCAACAUUCGGGACAAACGGGCUCCUGCUGCUCGAACGACUCGAAGGAGAGGCGCCGUCCUCCUCUGCUAGACAGGAAGCAGAGCAGCGGCGGCGUGGAAUUUGGCGACGGCGGGGCAACUCCGGCAAGGUGAAGACGGGGCGACAGCAGAUCCGGGCAUGGGGAGGAAGGCAUGGGCGCGCGGCGCCGGGGUGCUGCUGGCGAGGACCGGCGUCGGGGAGCUCGAGGACGACGUCGUCCGGGCGCGGGAGGCGAGGAUGGCCGGCGCAAACUCCUCGGGGCUCCCUGUUGCACGAACAGAGGGAGCAGGUGAGAGAGGGAGGAGAGAAGGAAGAGGAAGGGAGAGGCAGGGGCGCAGGGUCCUGCUGAAGGUGGUCGCCGGCAACGUCGAGGCAGAGGCGAGGAAGAUGGUGGAGGCCGAGCUCGUUGGAGGAGUGGAUCUCGGGCACGGGGACGAGGUGGAUCGAGGGAGGCAAGGGGCCUGCUGGAUGAGCUCCGUCUCGAGGAGCUCCUGCUCGGGCACGAGCGUGGAGACGCGGGGUUGCGGCCAGAGGAGGUUGGUCGGGCACGGAAAUGGAGGCGGUGGUUCGAUUGGGUGGAGAUGGAUCCCGAGGUGGGGGAAGGUUGUGGGAUCGAGGGAGGGGGAUCCCGAGAGGAUUUUUGUGGAGUGGCGGCGGGAUGGGACAUCUCCCUAGAAGUUAGGGUUUGCCCAUAUUUGGACUAGGGGUCUUAAUAUAGGGAAAAGAAGAGGUUUUUUUGGAUCAUCCGAUUAAAAUCGAACGGUCGAGAUAAAUGGCUUAGGGGAGUCCAACAAAUAAACGCAGAUAUUUUAUAGAUGUUAGGGGAUUAUCCGGAUCCAACGGUGACGACUACUCGGGUCGGGUUCGGGGGAGUUUCGGACGCGCGCGCGAGGGGGCUGCGAGCUGGCAAGAGAGGUUAGGUGGCCACGGUCAAGAGGGAAGCGAAACCCUGAUUGGUCUGGAACGGCCAACAAAAGCAAGGGGGGACACGACAACUACGAGCGGAUGCAAGUUUUAUGAAAACGAUGCCGAUGCAAUGCAAAUGAUGACAUGAGACGAGAUGCAUAACAAGAACAAAAUGCAAAACAACAGACAAAAACCCAACCACGGAGGCAAUAAUAAAUCACAUAGUCGGAAAUGGCAAGGGUCGGAGUUACGAAUAUGGAAAGUUGUAUCCGGAGCGUUACAACACUCCACCACUACAAGAGGAUCUCGUCCCGAGAUCUAGGAUGGCACCGGAGAGAAGCGGAAGAGAAAGAGGAGAGGUAAAACUAAGUUGCUUCUUCGACCAAUGAGUGAAACCACGAACCUUGAGAGGUUGAGCAAUAUGAAAGAAAGAAAACAACGAAGAUGAACAUAGUUGAAAACACUCCGUUAGAAAAGAGGAACAAGGGAUACGACGAGUACCAAGAGGUUUAGUGAUAAGAUAGAUAUUGAAACCACUCCGUUUAAAACUAGAUAGAGAAGGAAUAAGAAUAAGGAAUUCGGGCAGCACUCCGGUUGAAAAGAGAUGCAAGACUUGAUAAGAUGAAAAGAACUUGAAGAGAUAACAUAGAUUGCCGGUUAAAUGGAUAAGCACGAAAAGAACACUAUCCUCACAAUUCGAGAUGAUGAGCGAAGAGAGCAACAUCACAUUGCCUCCGAAAGAAGGAAUAGAAGAUAGAUCAUUGGAAUAACAGAAUGGAGAAGAAAAUGCCAACUUCUGCCACAAAAGAACUUGGAAAGCAUCCUUCCAAGAAGGUUACAACGGGGUUGUUGGAAAACCAACAACGAAAUGAAUAAGCUUGUAGUGGGCUUAUGGAAAGCUUCUCAAAAUUGAGCCAAAAUUCUGCCACUACGGAAACAAAUAAUAUAAUUGAUAACACUAAUGAGAUGAAAAAACUUCUUCCACCAAGAUAAUAGAGAGAUAACUUGGACCAUUGAUAAUCACCACAAUAGCAACAACCCUUAAGGAAAGGCUUUAGGUGAAAUCUGACACAAGAUAACUCCAACGAAGAGAUUAAUAUGGGUUGAAACAAUACAUGAUCGAAGAGAAAAUGAUGGUUUCACAAUAUCUCAUUCCCGACAACUUGUGAAUCAUGAAACACAAACUCAAAUUGUCAAGAAUGACAUAACACCACCUCAAAUGAUAAGGUAGAACGAAUUGCACCUCGAAAUGCAAGAUGAUGAAUACUUGAACUCCUCAGAAACAAAACAUGUGUUUAGCACCAUGUUUAUUUUAGAGUGUAUCUUGGCGGAUCAUAACUUCGAGAGAAAUCUUGAAGAACAAAAUGAGAAUGAAAGGAAUCCUUGAUGAACCAUCAUGUAGAGCCUCCAUGAAGAACUCCGGUAAUGAAAGGAUGAUAGAAAGAAAGAGAAGUUGGAAACACAAGGUGAAGCCUUGCAAUGAUUUAGAUGGAGCUUUGCGAUGAUAUAGCCGAGAGAACUUGGAACUCCGGAAAGAAAAGAUGAAUACUAGAACCGAGAAUUACUUCAUCAUGAACAAUCUCCGGAAGAAAAAAAAUUGAAUCACCUCGAGGAAAUAAGAAUAAGAUUUAUUGUAUGCUUAUCCUUCAUCAAAUUAAAUUGAUGAAAAGAAAUGGAUUUGGCAUACUGCUUAUUCCCGUAGAAAGGAUUAAGAGAGAUAUAGCGCAAACUUGAGAAGGUAUAGAUGGAACCACCGGUGGGAUUCGAAACAACGAAUGAAAUGAUACGGUAGCAAAGGAAGAGGAAUCUUGAACGAACCACCGUAAGAAUUGAAAAUGAAAGUAGCAAAGGCACAAUUCACCGAGAAGAAUGAAGAUACUUGAGGGGAUUUAGAUACAAGUGAACGAAGAGAUCAUGAGCUUAUUAGAGAAUAGUUGAAUGAUCCACCGGUAAGAUUUGGAGAACGAUUGCUACACGCUGAGAAUGAAGAAUUAUGACCUGAUGGCCUUCGGAGGAAAGAAAUGGAAACAACUCAUGAAAUGCUCCGGAUGGGUGAAAAGAAUAUCCACAAUCAAAAACAAUUAUGAGGAUGGCAUGAAGCUAGAACAAUGAAUCUUCAAGAGAAUGGACCAAGAUUUAGAGGAAAACUCUUCUUCGGUCUUCACAUGUUGAGAAUGAUGAUGAGAACCACCAUGACAAUUGUUGAGAUACUCCGGAACAAAGAAGAAUAGAAAUGAUGAACCAACAAUGAAAAUAUUCUGAAAGCGAUCUUGGAGAAGGAAUAUGACUGAUGAAAAUUCAUUCUUACGUCAAACUUCGAAAGGAAUUUGGGAAUAACUCCGGAAUAAUUAGAAGAGUCAGGUAAGAUCCUGGGAAAAGACCUGUGGGUUAGGGCCCACUCAAAAUAUACACCGUUGAACAAUUGAUUGAAAGGGGGGAUUGCACCGGUUGAAUUAAAUGGCUUUAAUGAGAUAACAACCUCAAAAUAACUUGAACAGAUAGAGAAUGGAAGCACGAAUCUUCCGAGAUAUCUUCAGCACUCCGGAUAUGAGCUGGGAGAGGUGAAUAAAUAAUAGAGCCUUGGAUAAGAAAUUCACAUGGGAAGAUAUGUGAAACAACAGGAAGAGAUAUGAUAACACCGAGACUUGAAAUUAAUCCACCGGAGAAGAAAAGAGACGAAGAAUAAUGAACUUGAAGCUCCGUUAGUAUCUUCGUGAGAAUCACCGGAUAAGAACAUUGACGGAAAAGAAUGGAGAAACUUCACAUCCAUAAGAUGGAUACUUGAUUAAGAUAUCUGAGUCUUUGAAGAAAAGGGUGGGAGGACGGGAAAACAAAGGCAACUUUGGGGCAGACGGAAUGGAUACCGUUGAGAAAACUUAGAAUUGAUCUUGCGGAUGUUGAGAUGAUCGGAUCCACUUGAAGAGAAGCACACCGGUUGGAAAAGAGUUGACAUGACAACCUCAGUGAUCAAGAAGGAUUAGCACUCCCAUAGAAAUAUGAGAACACCGCUUGAAAGGUAUGGAAUCAACACUUGACAUUGAAGCAACUCGAAUACCACAACUCAAAACAAAACAAUGGAUUGGCUUGCAGAAAUAAGCCGGAACAAAUACAUAUGAUAGAGAUUUACCCAAUCCCAUAUCAUGCAUCUGUCGGAAAGAUAUUCUAGGAGCUACUUGAAUUCCCACCUAUAAACUCCCGAAACUUUCUGGUUAUGCAAUCUGGUGUUGGGGAUACAGGGGAAGCAAUAUAUCUCACCCAAACUAACAAUCCCUACAUCCAGUUGUAUCCAUCCGUCAACACAUAACCAAGAAAACUCCAGAAAUCGUGUACCUCAACCUUCGAAAAGCAUUCGUUAUACGAGCUAUGGCAAUACUCCCGAACUCCCCAGUACUGGGUGACGUCGAGGUUAUCUCACCAACAACUGCAUAAAAGAGAUUUUCGAUGUCGGCAAAACUCAGGUAUUCCAGAACUGCAACGAUAAAAUUGUGACGACAACACCUCGGAGCUCAACUCCCCGGGUCACUGCCACAUAAAAGACAGGAGGCACCAAGAACAAUGUUCUCGUCACAAAACCAUCGGAACGAUUCCAAGAUACCCACGUGAUCCUAAUUUUUUUAGUGAAAUUUGAGGAGAGGAAAGGCAAAACAUCUACGUCAGGAGACCUCACCAGAGCGACGAAGGGGCUGAGGAGUAAAAAGAAUCCUACUCUUCGAUAUAUAUAAUCCUAAGACUCAAAAUAGUUUUCUUCUAGACUCAACAACGGCCAACAAUCAAGGGGGGCUCCUAGGGUCGGUCGAGGCUCUGAUACCAACUUGUCACGCCCAAUAUGUGAUACUAUCCUAAAGAGACUCGAAGGUCCCACCAAGGAUAGAACCGCAUAUUGAAACGCUUUUGCAAGGUGGAUAUCAUUACAUCAACAUUACAUAAUAGAUGGGGAUACAUACAAGAGUCAUACAAAGCCACACGAAUACAACAUCAUCUUACAUAAGAGCACCAUCCGACUAUGGAUGAAACACAAACAGAAACUCAAACGACAUCCACCCUGCUAGCCCAGGCUGCCGACCUGGAACCUAUCCCCUGAUCGAAGAAGAAGCAGAAGAAGAACUCCAAACAAGCAAGCAUCGCUCUCGCGUCAUGAUCAUCACAUAACCCGUACCUGCAACUGUUGUUGUAGUAAUCUGUGAGCCACGAGGACUCAGCAAUCCCAUUACCAUGGGUAUCAAGACUAGAAAAGCUUAAAGAGAAAGGAAGGGGUAAAGUGGUGAGGUUGCAGCAGCGACUAAGCAUAUAUGGUGGCUAACAUAUGCAAAUAAGAGCGAGAAGACAAGCAAAGGAACGGCCGUGAAGCUAGCAAUGAUCAAGAAGUGAUCCUGAACUCCUACUUACGUCAAAUAUAACCCAGAAACCGUGUUCACUUCCCGGACUCCGCCGAAAAGAGACCAUCACGGCUACACACACGGUUGAUGCAUUUUAAUUUGGAUCUGGUGUCAAAUUAUCUACAACCAGACAUUAACAAAUUCUCAUCUGCCCAUAACCGCGGGCACGACUUUUGAAAGUUUAUACCCUGCAGGGGUGUCCCAACAUAGCCCAUCACAAGAUCUCGCGAUCAACGAAGGAUAUACCUUCUCCCAGGAAGACCCGAUCAGACUCGGAAUCCCGGUCUACAAGACAUUUCGACAAUGGUAAAACAAGACCAGCAAAGCCGCCCGAUGUGCCGACAAAUCCCGAUAGGAGCUGCACAUAUCUCGUUCUCAGGGCACACCGGAUAAGCGAAGCGUAUAGGAACCGACGAAUCCAAGUUGCCAAGGAAUGGUCCCGCACGGUGCUCUAGUUUGGACCAACACUCGGAGGAGCACUGACCCGGGGGGGGGGGUAAAUAAAGAUGACCCUCGGGCUCCGGAAAUCCAAGGGAAAAAGGGCUAGGUGAGGCAAAUGGUAAAACCAAGGUUGGGCCUUGCUGGAGGAGUUUUAUUCAAAGCGAGCUGUCAAGGGGGUCCCAUAAAUCACCCAACCGCAUAAGGAACGCAAAAUCUGGGAACAUAACACCGGUAUGACGGAAACUAGGGCGGCAAAAGUGGAACAAAACACCAGGCAUAAGGCCGAGCCUUCCACCCUUUACCAAGUAUAUAGAUGCAUUAAUUAAAUAAGAGAUAUUGUGAUAUCCCAACAUAAUCCUGUCCACCAUGGAGCAAUCUUCAACUUCACCUGCAACUAACAAUGCUAUAAGAGGGGCUGAGCAAAGCGGUAACAUAGCCAUGCAACAGUUUGCUAGGAAGGGUGUCAAAGGUUAGAGGUUCAUGGCAAUUUGGGAGGCUUGAAGAACAAGUGAUAGGUAGCACAGCAUAGCGAUAGAACGAAGCAACUAGCAUAGCAAAGAUAGUAGUGAGAUCCAGGGUGACGAUCAUCUUGCCUGAAAUCCCGCUAGGAAGAAGAACGAGUCCAUGAAGAAGACGAACGGGAGUAGUAGAACGAAUCCUCACAAUCGUAACAUUACCGGAACUAAGAAGCAACAUCAGAAAGAAACAAACAACAUGGUAAAUGCACAAGCAUAAACAUGGCAUGAUGCACAAACAAGUAUGAUGCAUGUCCGGUUUAAAGAGGCAUGGCAUGGCAAAGUGCAACAAACAAUACUACAAAUUAAGUGGAGCUCAAUAUGCAACGAGUUGCAUAUUGACGAAACACCACAUGACUUAUUUAGUUCUCUCUCGGUUAUGUACACAUCAAUACUAAAUGUUGGUUAACAUGGCAAGAGGUGAAGCAUAAUAAACUAACUAUUUAGGCAAGUUUAAAUGAGGCCGGAAACAUCAAACAACAAUUCUGGUAAAUCCUCAUGUGCAUAUUUUAGAUCUGGUACUGUUCUGCCCUAAACACAAUUUUAAUGUUGUUAAACAGAAAAAUAAAAUGCACCAUGUUAAACUAGGCAUUCCCCCCCCCCAUUUACAUAUAAAGUUUAUUAAAUUUGGAGCUACGGUUAUUUAGUUAUGAAAUAAAUCAUUUUAACAUGGCAUUUAAGCAAAUUUAAUCAAACAACAAUUUAAACAUUUUAAACAUGGAUGAAAGAAGCAAAUUAUUAAUCUACACAAAAUUCUAAGCAUUUUACAUAUAUAAAUCAUUUUAAUCCGAUGCACGGUUGUGGAGUUAUUAAAUGCAUGAAGUCUAGGGGUUUUUCUGUAAAACAGUAAAUCACUGGAUAAAUGACAAGAUAGCGACAUGAAAAAAACAUGCACUGGGCUGAAACUGGUGCACUGCUGGGCUGAACAGAGAGGAGGGGCCGUGGGGAGCUCACCCAUGGGCUCGGCCCAGUCGGUGGUGAGGCAGGCUGGCUGGGCGAGGGGAGCGGCUUGGGCCGGAUCUGGAGAGGAGGUUUCAGUCAACGCUCGGGACAAACGGGCUCCUACUGCUCGAACGACUCGAAGGAGAGGCGCCGUCCUCCUCUGCUAGACAGGAAGCAGAGCAGCGGCGGCAUGGAAUUUGGCGACGGCGGGGCAACUCCGGCAAGGUGAAGACGGGGCGGCAGCAGAUCCGGGCGUGGGGAGGAAGGCAUGGGCGCGCGGCGCCGGGGUGCUGCUGGCGAGGACCUGCGUCGGGGAGCUCGAGGACGACGUCGUCCGGGCGCGGGAGGCGAGGAUGGCCGGCACAAACUCCUCGGGGCUCCCUGUUGCACGAACAGAGGGAGCAGGUGAUAGAGGGAGGAGAGAAGGAAGAUGAAGGGAGAGGCAGGGGCGCAGGGUCCUGCUGAAGGUGGUCGCCGGUGACAUCGAGGCAGAGGCGAGGAAGAUGGUGGAGGCCGAGCGCGUUGGAGGAGUGGUUCUCGGGCACGGGGACGAGGUGGAUCGAGGGAGGCAAGGGGCCUGCUGGAUGAGCUCCGUCUCGAGGAGCUCCUGCUCGGGCACGAGCGUGGAGACGCGGGGCUGCGGCCAGAGGAGGUUGGUCGGGCACGGAAAUGGAGGCGGUGGUUCGAUUGGGUGGAGAUGGAUCCCGAGGUGGGGGGAGUUUGUGGGAUCGAGGGAGGGGGAUCCUGAGAGGAUUUUUGUUGAGUGGCGGCGGGAUGGGACAUCUCCCUAGAAGUUAGGGUGUGCCCAUAUUUGGACUAGGGGUCUUAAUAUAGGGAAAAUAAGAGGUUUUUUUGGAUCGUCUGAUUAAAGUCGAACGGUCGAGAUAAAUGGCUUGGGGGAGUCCAACAAAUAAACGCAGAUAUUUUAUAGAUGUUAGGGGAUGAUCCGGAUCCAACGAUGACGACUACUCAGGUCGGGUUCGGGGGAGUUUCGGACGCGCGCGCGAGGGGGCUGCGAGCUGGCAAGAGAGGUUAGGUGGCCACGGUCAAGAGGGAAGCGAAACCCUGAUUGGUCUGGAACGGCCAACAAAAGCAAGGGGGGACACGGAAACUACGAGCGGAUGCAAGUUUUAUGAAAACGAUGCCGAUGCAAUGCGAAUGAUGACAUGAGACGAGAUGCAUAACAAGAACAAAAUGCAAAACAACAGGCAAAAACCCAACCACGGAGGCAAUAAUAAAUCACAUAGCCGGAAAUGGCAAGGGUCGGAGUUACGAAUAUGGAAAGCUGUAUCCGGGGCGUUACACAGGAGCCCGUGGAUGCAGUCGAUAGUGGAGAUGAACAGUAUCCCGUGGAGUCCCGUUUUGCGGUAUGCCACACCCCUCCCGAUGAACAGAACCCCCUUUUCGACCGUAGCGCUCCAACACAAGUCCGUUUCCUCCAUUUUGCGGUACGUCACACCCCUCCCGAUCAACAGGAUCCCGUUUCGACCGUAGGAGGUCCGUUUCUUCCGUUUUGCGGUAUGCCAGACCCCUCCCGAUGAACAAGAUCCAGUUUCGAUCGUGGCCGGUCGAACACAAGGCCAUUUCCUCCGUUCUGCGGUACGUCAGGCCUCAUUUCCAUCGGCUGUUCCGUCCAAGCCGGCUGGCUCCUGAUGAACACGACGUAUUCCGUUGCCUUCCCAUGAACACGAGCAUUCCGUUGCCUCCCGAUGAACACGACGACGACGUAGCUUCUCCGUUCUGACCCAGCCAUGUACACGAGCCCUGGCCGUACGUAUGUGCGAGUAGGCAUUCGAGACCCCGCCCGUAUGUACGUACUUGGCUGUGUUUACUUUCUUGCACCCUGGCCGAUGUACGUACGUGUACAUUCUAUGUGUGUGCCUCUACUACGACACGUGCACGCCUCUACUACCACACGUGCCCUUCCUUACACGGCCAUGAUUCAUCGCUGCAGCCUACAGAAAGACCGAUCGUAUGUACGUACAAGUUCGCGACCAGAAUGACAACGCUACAUAUGCUUCGACCGGGUAGGUCCCGACUGUCAGGCACUUCCUUGCGUGCGAAGAUGUAGCUAGUGGGUCCCAGCAGUCAGGGGGAAACAUUUUUUUUGUGAAAUACGGUGGCCCGUCCGGUGGGUCCCUACUGUCAGGUGGAGGAAUCAUUAUUUUUCGCGUAAUAAGGAGGCUCUUCCUUGCUGCGGCCGUGGACCGAGCUGUCAGCCUCUCCACGCACAGUACUCUUCCGAUGGAAUUCGUUCCUUGACCACGUUGACCACUGAUACGUCCAUUUUGCAUCAUGCUUUUAUAUCGAUAUUUAUUGCAUUAUGGGCUGUUUAUUACUCAUUAUGUCACAAUACUUAUGCCUUUUCUCUCUUAUUUUACAAGGUUUACAUAAAGAGGGAGAAUGCCGGCAGCUAGAAUUCUAGGCUGGAAAAGGAGCAAAUAUUAGAGACCUAUUCUGCACAACUCCAAAAGUCCUGAAACUCCAUGAAAGUUAUUUUUGGAAUUAAUAAAAAAUACUGAGCGAAGAUAAUACCAGAUGGGGGCCACCCACCGUCCACGAGGGUGGGGGGGGGGGCAAGCCCUACCACCCUGGGCGCGCCCCCUGCCUCGUGGGCUCCCUGGCAGGCCUCCGAUGCCCAUCUUCUGCUAUAUGAAGUCUUUUACCCUGGAAAAAAAAUCAUAAGCAAGAUUUCGGGACGAUACACCGCCGCCACGAGGUGGAACCUUGGCGGAACCAAUCUAGGGCUCCGGCGGAGCUGUUCUGCCGGGGAAACAUCCCUCCGGGAGGGGGAAAUCAUCACUAUCGUUAUCACCAUCAAUCCUCUCAUCGGUACGGGGUCAAUCUCCAUCAACAUCUUCACCAGCACCAUCUCCUCUCAAAGCCUAGUUCAUCUCUUGAAUCCAAUCUUUGUCCCAAAACCUCAGAUUGGUACCUGUGGGUUGCUAGUAGUGUUGAUUACUCCUUGUAGUUGAUGCUAGUUGGUUUAUUCGGUGGAAGAUCAUAUGUUCAUAUCCUAUAUGCAUAUUAAUACUCCUCUGAUUAUGAACAUGAAUAUGAUUUGUGAGUAGUUACGUUUGUUCCUGAGGACAUGGGGGAAGUCUUGCUAUAAGUAGUCAUGUGAAUUUGGUAUCCGUUCGAUAUUUUGAUGAGAUGUAUGUUGUCUCUCCUCUAGUGGAGUUAUGUGAACGUCGACUACAUGACACUUCACCAUUGUUUGGGCCUAGUGGAAGGCAUUGGAAAGUAAUAAGUGGAUGAUGGGUUGCUAGAGUGACAGAAGCUUGAACCCAAGUUUAUGAGUUGCUUCGUAAGGGUUUAUUUGGAUCCACACGUUUCCUGCUAUGGUUAGGUUUACCUUAAUACUUCUUUUGUAGUUGCGGAUGCUUGCAAUAGGGAUUAAUCAUAAGUGGCAUGCUUGUCCAAGAAAGGGCAGGACCCAAGCACCGGUCCACCCACAUACCAAAUUAUCAAAGUAACGAACGCGAAUCAUAUGAGCGUGAUGAAAACUAGCUUGACGAUAAUUCCCAUGUGUCCUCGCGAGCGUUUUCCUUCAUAUAAGGAUUUGUCCAGGCUUGUCCUUUGCUACAAAAAGGAUUGGGCCACCUUUCUGUACCUUAUUUACUUUUGUUACUAGUUACCCGUUACGAAUUACCUUAUCACAGAACUAUCUGUUACCGAUAAUUUCAGUGCUUGCAGAGAAUACCUUACUAAAAACCGCUUGUCAUUUCCUUCUGCUCCUCAUUGGGUUCGACACUCAUACUUACCGAAAGGACUACGAUAGAUCCCCUACACUUGUGGGUCAUCAAGACUCUUUUCUAGCGCCGUUACCGGGGACUGAAGCGCCUUUUGUAAGUGGAACUUGGUAAGGAAAAAUUUAUAUAGUGUGCUGAAAUUUACUGUCACUUGUUACUAUGGAACAUAAUCCUUUGAGGGGCUUGUUCGUGGUAUCUUCACCCUGAACAGUAGAGAAAAGAGUUGCUCCUCAACCUACUGAACCUACUGAAAAUGUUUACUUUGAAAUUCCUUCGGGUAUGAUAGAGAAACUGCUAGCUAAUCCUUUUACAGGAGAUGGAACAUUGCAUCCCGAUUUGCACCUAAUCUAUGUGGAUGAAGUUUGUGGAUUAUUUAAGCUUACAGGUAUGCCCGAGGAUGUUAUCAAGAAGAAGGUCUUCCCUUUAUCUUUGAAGGGAAAGGCAUUGACAUGGUUUAGGCUAUGUGAUGAUAUGGGAUCAUGGAACUACAACCGAUUGAAAUGGGAAUUUCAUCAGAAGUUUUAUCCUAUGCAUCUUGUUCAUGGUGAUCGUAAUUAUAUAUAUAAUGUUUGGCCUCGCGAAGGAGAAAGCAUUGCUAAAGCUUGGGGGAGGCUUAAGUCAAUGUUAUAUUCAUGCCCCAAUCAUGAUCUCUGAAGAUAAAUUAUUAUUCAAAAAAUUUAUGCUCGGCUUUCUCUCAACAAUCGCUCCAUGCUCGAUGCUUCUUGUACUGACUCUUUCAUGAUGAAGAAUAUUGAAUUAAAAUGGGUUUUAUUGGAAAGAAUUAAACGCAACUCGGAACAUUGGGAUGUCGACGAAGGUAAGGAGUCAGGUUUAACACCUAAGUUCGAUUGUGUUAAAUCUUUUAUGGAUACCGAUGCUUUUCGUGAAUUUAGCACUAAAUAUGGACUUGACUCUGAGACAGUAGCUUCUUUCUGUGAAUCAUUUGCUACUCAUGUUGACCUCCCUAAGGAGAAGUGGUUUAAAUAUAAUCGUCCCAUUGAAGUAAAAGUAGUUGCACCUAUUAAAGUCAAAGAAAAGACUAUCACUUAUAAUGAUCCUAUUGUUCCUACUACCUAUAUUGAGAAACCACCUUUCCCUAUUAGGAUAAAAGAUCAUGCUAAAGCUUCAACUGUCGUUUGUAAGAGUAAUACUAGAACACCUACACCACCUGAGAAAAUUAAGUUGAACCUAGUAUUGCUAUGGUUAAUGAUCUCUUGGCUGAUAAUGUUGAUGGGCAUGUUAUUUACUUCUGUGAUGAAGCUGCUAGAAUUGCUAGACCGGAUACUAAGAAUAAACAUAGACCUGUUGUAGGCAUGCCUGUUGUCGGUGUCAAAACCGGCGGAUCUCGGGUAGGGGGUCCCGAACUGUGUGUCUAGGCGGAUGGUAACAGGAGACAAGGGACACGAUGUUUUACCCAGGUUCGGGCCCUCUUGAUGGAGGUAAAACCCUACGUCCUGCUUGAUUGAUAUUGAUAUUGUGGAUGUUUACAAGAGUGGAUCUACCACGAGAUCAAGGAGGCUAAACCCUAGAAGCUAGCCUAUGGUAUGAUUGUAAGGGUUGUUGUUCUGUCCUAUGGACUAGAGCCAUCCGGUUUAUAUAGACACCGGAGAGGGCUAGGGUUGCAUAGAGUCGGUUACAAUGGUAGGAGAUCUACAUAUCCGUAUCGCCAAGCUUGCCUUCCACGCCAAGGAAAGUCCCAUCCGGACACGGGGAGAAGUCUUCAAUCUUGUAUCUUCAUAGUCUUGGAGUCCGGUCGAUGAUGAUAGUCCGGCCAAUGAUAGUUCGGCUGAUGAUGGUAGUCCGGCUAUCCGGACACCCCCUAAUCCAGGACUCCCUCAGUAGCCCCUGAACCAGGCUUGAAUGACGAUAAGUCCGGCGCGUAUAUUGCUUGGCAUUGCAAGGCGAGUUCCUCCUCCGAAUGAUAGAAGAUUGUGAACACCAGGAUAGUGUCCGGCUCUGCAAAAUAAAUUCCACAUUCCACCGUAGAGAGAAUAAUAUAUACACAAGUUCAAUCUGCUGACGUUUUCUGUAGCAUGACGUCACACCACUACCAAGCCAUUAUUUAAAUCGUUUUUUACUUUACCACCUCAGCGCAUUUAGCGAAGCGGUUUCCUUGGCACGUCUUGUCGAAGCAGAGAUCGUGUUUCCCCUUAAUCCGGGAUUCUCAUCAAUACGGACGUGGGUAACCCAACCACGCCAUUGAUGGUGACGCUUGGGAGAUAAGCGAGUUUUACCAGGCCGGUGGGGGACGCGUAGACUUCGUCCGCCUAUAUAAGGGAUAAGGAUUCACCUUUUCACCUACGCCUUCUUCCUCUUUUGCUUAUCCAUCUCCACGCACUCGAGCUCCAGCGCCCAAGUUCGCGCAUUUCGUCUCAACCUUCUCCGACCAUGUCCGGAGCGGGAGGUAAAUGGUUGGCCUCCACCGUUAAGGGGGAGCACAUCGCCAAACUGCGCGGCGCCGGAUACCUCUCCGGCGACAUCGCGCACCGGCUGCCCGACGAGGGGCAGCUCAUCCCCACCCCCAGGCCCCAUGAGAGGGUCGUUUUCCUUCCCCACUUCCUCCGCAGACUGGGCUUUCCACUUCACCCCUUUGUCCGGGGUCUCAUGUUCUACUACGGCCUGGAUUUCCAUGAUCUGGCGCCGAACUUCAUCCUCAACAUCUCGGCAUUUAUCAUCGUGUGCGAGGGCUUCCUCUGCAUCCAGCCCCACUUCGGCUUGUGGCUCAAGACCUUCAAUGUCAAGCCGAAGGUAGUGAAGGGCACUCAAGCGGAGUGCGGAGGCGCCAUGUUGGGCAAGAUGCCCAACGUCCUUUGGUUCGAAGGGGCCUUCGUGGAAUCCGUCAAGGGGUGGAAAUCGGGGUGGUUCUAUAUCACCGAGCCGCGUGACCCUACAUGGGCGGCGGCCCCCAAGUUCAGAUCUGGUAUCCCCACGCAGCUCACCUCCUGGAAAGAGAAGGGCUUGUUGUGGGGUAGUUCGGAGGAGCUGACGGGACUCCAAGCCUGUAUCCAGAAACUGGUGAAGAAGCUCAGGCUGGUUAACGUGGUCCAAGUCAUGCUCGUCCGCCGGAUUCUCCCAUGCCAAGAGCGGGCAUUUCAUCUGUGGGAGUUCAAUCCGGAACAGCACCAGGCGCUGAGCGGACUCUUCGACAUGACGUACGAAGGCGCCUGGAGGGUGCUAUUCAAGGGCACCGAAGCCCCUGCAUCCGCGACUGAAGAUCGCGGAUUUCGCUUGCAGCGCCAAGCCAACGAGGUAAGUGAUUCUACCCCUUUACGGGACACUUGCUUUUCAUAGUUUGACUCUAUGCGGGUUUUAAUUUCCCCUUUUCCUUUGACAGGACUGGAUGAGGAAGGCGGAGCAGAUUAUCUGCCCGGCUCCUAUGCCAGAAAAUCCCGUAGACGCCCGUCUAGCGGGGCUGCUGGUUCCGGCACCGCACGUGGUGCCGGAGAAGAAGGCCAAGAAGGAGGCCACGGGUGCUCGAAAGAGUUCCCGUUUUCAGGUGUCCGACGACUCCGGGGCGGACUCCUCCCCCGAAAACGAGGAGGAGAAAGAGGACUCUCUCCCAGAGGAGGGAGAGAGGAAGAGGAAGGCUUCCCCAAUAGGGGAGGCCGAAGGGUCCAAGAGGGGAAGGACUUUCCCCCGGACAGCUCCGCCAACAUCAACGUUGGCGAGGAAGAAUGGCCUUCAAGGGCCAGGCCUCCGGCGAGAUCGUAAGUAUCCGGAUUACUGAAUGAUUUAUAAUUUCUUUUUCUGCGUGACAUAGUGUCAUUCUGAUGCCGCAUGCUGCCUGUAGUCCGGCCAGUGAUAUUCUCCCCGCUUCAUCGAGCGGGUCGUUGGCUCCGUCGGAUGUAGACUCCAUCCCGACCGCCUCCACCCCUCGCGACAUCGAGGACGCCGAGGUGGGAUCCCAAGAAGGGACCCAUCAGGGGGAGGCUCCGGAGGCGCCACAAGGCGGCCUCCCGGACUUUGCGCCGGACUCCAAAUCAGAACCCGCAGUGGUUCCGGGGUCCGGCCGGCGGCCCCUUCGAAUGAAGGGAAAGACCGUGACGCCGGCGGCUUCCGUCUAACCGGAGGCGCCGGGCAAUUUGUUGGAGGCGCUGCAGAGCGCUUCCAUCGAGGAAGAACACUGCACUAUUAUGAGUGCGGUGAUUCAGAAGGUGCAGCUUGCUAAGAGCGGGCUGACCGAAGCCUGCAGUAGCCUUCUAUCAGGCUUUGAGGUAAGAAGUUAAAAAUAUGCAAUGUAAUACCGCAUAGACAGUAGCCCGUGAUGCUCGGUUCGGUGUUCGGGAAGAAAAGCCGGACUGAGGAUCUAAAAAAAAGGAAGAUAUACGCAGGGUUGCUAAAAAAAUUAUGUCAAUAUGGGUUGUAGGCUGCGCUGCUGACCUCUGCCGCACUGACUGCGGAGGUCGGUGCUUUGAAGCAGGAGCUCGAGCGGUCUGAGCAAGAGCUCGGCCGCGCCAGGAAGCAGCUCCAGGACAAAGAAGGUGAGUAACACCACUUUGAACGUGUACCUUACAGAAAAGGAUUUAGGUUGCAACAAAAAAUAACAAGGAUAACAUGGGUACUGCAGGGGCCACGAACGAGGUGGCAACCCUGAAGGAGGCCGUGUCCGCGGCCGAACACAAUGCGGCCACGGAACGGUCAGAGCGAGAAAAACAGGAGGCGCGGGUGGCGGUGGUUCAGCAAGAGCUCCAGGCUCUCAUGGAAAAGUAUGAGAGUUUGGAGCGUGACUCAAAGACUCGAGAGUCCGAGCUUGCCUCGGCUCUCGAAAGUGCCAAAACUGCCAAGGCCGAUGCCCAUAAGUCCCUUCAGGAGAUUGAGUUGAUGAGGAAGAUAGCGGCGGGUAAGGCGUUUUCAUGCAAAGCAAGCAUGUGAAUGUAAAUUACGUGUUACUUACCCGAAUUCAGAGCUUUCCAGGGGCGUUUGCAGAUCUGCCUCGCAGCGUGUCUGAUGCCGCCGCAUUCUACCGAGCCGAGGAGGGGAGCUCAACGGAGAAGGUCUUCUGGUCUCAGUAUGCUGAGGCCGGCCAUCCGGUGCCCCCUAGCGACCAGCUGAAGCAGCUGGUCGACCUUCACAAGGUGGCCGAGCAGGCCAUGAAGGGCCUCAUACUACGGCUGUGGCCUGGAGAGGCCAUGCCUGGGAGCUACUUCGGCCUCGUGCGACGGCUGGUGGAUGCGUGCCCCUGGGUGGAGGUUAUCAAGCGCUCCGCCUGUAUCGAAGGAGCUCGUCGGGCCCUUGCUCGCGCAAAGGUGCAUUGGGGCAAGCUGGAUGCGGAGAAGCUAAUCACUGACGCGCCGCCAGCGGGCAAGGAAUAUCGUACGCCCGAGAUGUACUAUAAGACUUGUUGUCGUUGUUGUUGUUGUUGUUUUUGUUGUUGCUGUUGUUGUUGUUGUUGUUGUUGUUGUUGUUGUUGCUGUUGUUGAUGUUGCUGUUGUUGCUGCUGCNNNNNNNNNNNNNNNNNNNNNNNNNNNNNNNNNNNNNNNNNNNNNNNNNNNNNNNNNNNNNNNNNNNNNNNNNNNNNNNNNNNNNNNNNNNNNNNNNNNNNNNNNNNNNNNNNNNNNNNNNNNNNNNNNNNNNNNNNNNNNNNNNNNNNNNNNNNNNNNNNNNNNNNNNNNNNNNNNNNNNNNNNNNNNNNNNNNNNNNNNNNNNNNNNNNNNNNNNNNNNNNNNNNNNNNNNNNNNNNNNNNNNNNNNNNNNNNNNNNNNNNNNNNNNNNNNNNNNNNNNNNNNNNNNNNNNNNNNNNNNNNNNNNNNNNNNNNNNNNNNNNNNNNNNNNNNNNNNNNNNNNNNNNNNNNNNNNNNNNNNNNNNNNNNNNNNNNNNNNNNNNNNNNNNNNNNNNNNNNNNNNNNNNNNNNNNNNNNNNNNNNNNNNNNNNNNNNNNNNNNNNNNNNNNNNNNNNNNNNNNNNNNNNNNNNNNNNNNNNNNNNNNNNNNNNNNNNNNNNNNNNNNNNNNNNNNNNNNNNNNNNNNNNNNNNNNNNNNNNNNNNNNNNNNNNNNNNNNNNNNNNNNNNNNNNNNNNNNNNNNNNNNNNNNNNNNNNNNNNNNNNNNNNNNNNNNNNNNNNNNNNNNNNNNNNNNNNNNNNNNNNNNNNNNNNNNNNNNNNNNNNNNNNNNNNNNNNNNNNNNNNNNNNNNNNNNNNNNNNNNNNNNNNNNNNNNNNNNNNNNNNNNNNNNNNNNNNNNNNNNNNNNNNNNNNNNNNNNNNNNNNNNNNNNNNNNNNNNNNNNNNNNNNNNNNNNNNNNNNNNNNNNNNNNNNNNNNNNNNNNNNNNNNNNNNNNNNNNNNNNNNNNNNNNNNNNNNNNNNNNNNNNNNNNNNNNNNNNNNNNNNNNNNNNNNNNNNNNNNNNNNNNNNNNNNNNNNNNNNNNNNNNNNNNNNNNNNNNNNNNNNNNNNNNNNNNNNNNNNNNNNNNNNNNNNNNNNNNNNNNNNNNNNNNNNNNNNNNNNNNNNNNNNNNNNNNNNNNNNNNNNNNNNNNNNNNNNNNNNNNNNNNNNNNNNNNNNNNNNNNNNNNNNNNNNNNNNNNNNNNNNNNNNNNNNNNNNNNNNNNNNNNNNNNNNNNNNNNNNNNNNNNNNNNNNNNNNNNNNNNNNNNNNNNNNNNNNNNNNNNNNNNNNNNNNNNNNNNNNNNNNNNNNNNNNNNNNNNNNNNNNNNNNNNNNNNNNNNNNNNNNNNNNNNNNNNNNNNNNNNNNNNNNNNNNNNNNNNNNNNNNNNNNNNNNNNNNNNNNNNNNNNNNNNNNNNNNNNNNNNNNNNNNNNNNNNNNNNNNNNNNNNNNNNNNNNNNNNNNNNNNNNNNNNNNNNNNNNNNNNNNNNNNNNNNNNNNNNNNNNNNNNNNNNNNNNNNNNNNNNNNNNNNNNNNNNNNNNNNNNNNNNNNNNNNNNNNNNNNNNNNNNNNNNNNNNNNNNNNNNNNNNNNNNNNNNNNNNNNNNNNNNNNNNNNNNNNNNNNNNNNNNNNNNNNNNNNNNNNNNNNNNNNNNNNNNNNNNNNNNNNNNNNNNNNNNNNNNNNNNNNNNNNNNNNNNNNNNNNNNNNNNNNNNNNNNNNNNNNNNNNNNNNNNNNNNNNNNNNNNNNNNNNNNNNNNNNNNNNNNNNNNNNNNNNNNNNNNNNNNNNNNNNNNNNNNNNNNNNNNNNNNNNNNNNNNNNNNNNNNNNNNNNNNNNNNNNNNNNNNNNNNNNNNNNNNNNNNNNNNNNNNNNNNNNNNNNNNNNNNNNNNNNNNNNNNNNNNNNNNNNNNNNNNNNNNNNNNNNNNNNNNNNNNNNNNNNNNNNNNNNNNNNNNNNNNNNNNNNNNNNNNNNNNNNNNNNNNNNNNNNNNNNNNNNNNNNNNNNNNNNNNNNNNNNNNNNNNNNNNNNNNNNNNNNNNNNNNNNNNNNNNNNNNNNNNNNNNNNNNNNNNNNNNNNNNNNNNNNNNNNNNNNNNNNNNNNNNNNNNNNNNNNNNNNNNNNNNNNNNNNNNNNNNNNNNNNNNNNNNNNNNNNNNNNNNNNNNNNNNNNNNNNNNNNNNNNNNNNNNNNNNNNNNNNNNNNNNNNNNNNNNNNNNNNNNNNNNNNNNNNNNNNNNNNNNNNNNNNNNNNNNNNNNNNNNNNNNNNNNNNNNNNNNNNNNNNNNNNNNNNNNNNNNNNNNNNNNNNNNNNNNNNNNNNNNNNNNNNNNNNNNNNNNNNNNNNNNNNNNNNNNNNNNNNNNNNNNNNNNNNNNNNNNNNNNNNNNNNNNNNNNNNNNNNNNNNNNNNNNNNNNNNNNNNNNNNNNNNNNNNNNNNNNNNNNNNNNNNNNNNNNNNNNNNNNNNNNNNNNNNNNNNNNNNNNNNNNNNNNNNNNNNNNNNNNNNNNNNNNNNNNNNNNNNNNNNNNNNNNNNNNNNNNNNNNNNNNNNNNNNNNNNNNNNNNNNNNNNNNNNNNNNNNNNNNNNNNNNNNNNNNNNNNNNNNNNNNNNNNNNNNNNNNNNNNNNNNNNNNNNNNNNNNNNNNNNNNNNNNNNNNNNNNNNNNNNNNNNNNNNNNNNNNNNNNNNNNNNNNNNNNNNNNNNNNNNNNNNNNNNNNNNNNNNNNNNNNNNNNNNNNNNNNNNNNNNNNNNNNNNNNNNNNNNNNNNNNNNNNNNNNNNNNNNNNNNNNNNNNNNNNNNNNNNNNNNNNNNNNNNNNNNNNNNNNNNNNNNNNNNNNNNNNNNNNNNNNNNNNNNNNNNNNNNNNNNNNNNNNNNNNNNNNNNNNAAAAUAAAUAAAUCAAAUGACCCUCUUUUCAAUUCGAGAAAACUCUCAAAUAUGAAAAUAACGAAAUCUCCAACUCUCUCCAAGGGUCCUUGAGUUGCGUGAAAUUUCUAGGAUCGACCAAAAUGCAAGAAAAUAAAAUAUGCAUGAUGAUCUAUUCCAAAUUAAAAAUAAAUUCAAAGGGGCUUUGAAUUUAAUUCUUUGAAACUCCCAACUCAUAUUUCAUAUAAUUUGAAGAAGUCAUUUUAUCUUCUCUCGUGAAAAUCAUUGAGUCGCAUAAAGUUUCAGAAGUGGAAUAUUUCCAAAUGAAAUUCAAUUAUUUUUCAAACACCCUUUUCAUUUUUAAAUGGAAGAAGUCAUGUCAUCUUCUCUCUAAGGUUUUGUGUUUGAAAAGCAUUUGAAUUCAUGGAGAUCAGAAAGCAAAUAUGAAAGUUUGGGAAAGUCCUUUUAUUCCCUCUCAUUUAGCUUUCAAAAGGUUUUGAAUUCACUCACUUUCAGUCAAUCAACCAAGCAAUCAAUCAAAUCUAUCUAUUUGUUUAUAACAUUCCAAAAUUUAGAAUUUUGGGAUGUUACAGGUUUUUGUUGUUGUUGUUGUUGGUGGUGGUGGUGUUGUUGUUGUUGUUGUUGUUGUUGUUGUUGUUGUUGUUGUUGUUGUUGUUGUUGUUGUUGUUGUUGUUGUUGUUGCUGUUGUUGUUGCUGUUGUUGUUGCUGUUGUUNNNNNNNNNNNNNNNNNNNNNNNNNNNNNNNNNNNNNNNNNNNNNNNNNNNNNNNNNNNNNNNNNNNNNNNNNNNNNNNNNNNNNNNNNNNNNNNNNNNNNNNNNNNNNNNNNNNNNNNNNNNNNNNNNNNNNNNNNNNNNNNNNNNNNNNNNNNNNNNNNNNNNNNNNNNNNNNNNNNNNNNNNNNNNNNNNNNNNNNNNNNNNNNNNNNNNNNNNNNNNNNNNNNNNNNNNNNNNNNNNNNNNNNNNNNNNNNNNNNNNNNNNNNNNNNNNNNNNNNNNNNNNNNNNNNNNNNNNNNNNNNNNNNNNNNNNNNNNNNNNNNNNNNNNNNNNNNNNNNNNNNNNNNNNNNNNNNNNNNNNNNNNNNNNNNNNNNNNNNNNNNNNNNNNNNNNNNNNNNNNNNNNNNNNNNNNNNNNNNNNNNNNNNNNNNNNNNNNNNNNNNNNNNNNNNNNNNNNNNNNNNNNNNNNNNNNNNNNNNNNNNNNNNNNNNNNNNNNNNNNNNNNNNNNNNNNNNNNNNNNNNNNNNNNNNNNNNNNNNNNNNNNNNNNNNNNNNNNNNNNNNNNNNNNNNNNNNNNNNNNNNNNNNNNNNNNNNNNNNNNNNNNNNNNNNNNNNNNNNNNNNNNNNNNNNNNNNNNNNNNNNNNNNNNNNNNNNNNNNNNNNNNNNNNNNNNNNNNNNNNNNNNNNNNNNNNNNNNNNNNNNNNNNNNNNNNNNNNNNNNNNNNNNNNNNNNNNNNNNNNNNNNNNNNNNNNNNNNNNNNNNNNNNNNNNNNNNNNNNNNNNNNNNNNNNNNNNNNNNNNNNNNNNNNNNNNNNNNNNNNNNNNNNNNNNNNNNNNNNNNNNNNNNNNNNNNNNNNNNNNNNNNNNNNNNNNNNNNNNNNNNNNNNNNNNNNNNNNNNNNNNNNNNNNNNNNNNNNNNNNNNNNNNNNNNNNNNNNNNNNNNNNNNNNNNNNNNNNNNNNNNNNNNNNNNNNNNNNNNNNNNNNNNNNNNNNNNNNNNNNNNNNNNNNNNNNNNNNNNNNNNNNNNNNNNNNNNNNNNNNNNNNNNNNNNNNNNNNNNNNNNNNNNNNNNNNNNNNNNNNNNNNNNNNNNNNNNNNNNNNNNNNNNNNNNNNNNNNNNNNNNNNNNNNNNNNNNNNNNNNNNNNNNNNNNNNNNNNNNNNNNNNNNNNNNNNNNNNNNNNNNNNNNNNNNNNNNNNNNNNNNNNNNNNNNNNNNNNNNNNNNNNNNNNNNNNNNNNNNNNNNNNNNNNNNNNNNNNNNNNNNNNNNNNNNNNNNNNNNNNNNNNNNNNNNNNNNNNNNNNNNNNNNNNNNNNNNNNNNNNNNNNNNNNNNNNNNNNNNNNNNNNNNNNNNNNNNNNNNNNNNNNNNNNNNNNNNNNNNNNNNNNNNNNNNNNNNNNNNNNNNNNNNNNNNNNNNNNNNNNNNNNNNNNNNNNNNNNNNNNNNNNNNNNNNNNNNNNNNNNNNNNNNNNNNNNNNNNNNNNNNNNNNNNNNNNNNNNNNNNNNNNNNNNNNNNNNNNNNNNNNNNNNNNNNNNNNNNNNNNNNNNNNNNNNNNNNNNNNNNNNNNNNNNNNNNNNNNNNNNNNNNNNNNNNNNNNNNNNNNNNNNNNNNNNNNNNNNNNNNNNNNNNNNNNNNNNNNNNNNNNNNNNNNNNNNNNNNNNNNNNNNNNNNNNNNNNNNNNNNNNNNNNNNNNNNNNNNNNNNNNNNNNNNNNNNNNNNNNNNNNNNNNNNNNNNNNNNNNNNNNNNNNNNNNNNNNNNNNNNNNNNNNNNNNNNNNNNNNNNNNNNNNNNNNNNNNNNNNNNNNNNNNNNNNNNNNNNNNNNNNNNNNNNNNNNNNNNNNNNNNNNNNNNNNNNNNNNNNNNNNNNNNNNNNNNNNNNNNNNNNNNNNNNNNNNNNNNNNNNNNNNNNNNNNNNNNNNNNNNNNNNNNNNNNNNNNNNNNNNNNNNNNNNNNNNNNNNNNNNNNNNNNNNNNNNNNNNNNNNNNNNNNNNNNNNNNNNNNNNNNNNNNNNNNNNNNNNNNNNNNNNNNNNNNNNNNNNNNNNNNNNNNNNNNNNNNNNNNNNNNNNNNNNNNNNNNNNNNNNNNNNNNNNNNNNNNNNNNNNNNNNNNNNNNNNNNNNNNNNNNNNNNNNNNNNNNNNNNNNNNNNNNNNNNNNNNNNNNNNNNNNNNNNNNNNNNNNNNNNNNNNNNNNNNNNNNNNNNNNNNNNNNNNNNNNNNNNNNNNNNNNNNNNNNNNNNNNNNNNNNNNNNNNNNNNNNNNNNNNNNNNNNNNNNNNNNNNNNNNNNNNNNNNNNNNNNNNNNNNNNNNNNNNNNNNNNNNNNNNNNNNNNNNNNNNNNNNNNNNNNNNNNNNNNNNNNNNNNNNNNNNNNNNNNNNNNNNNNNNNNNNNNNNNNNNNNNNNNNNNNNNNNNNNNNNNNNNNNNNNNNNNNNNNNNNNNNNNNNNNNNNNNNNNNNNNNNNNNNNNNNNNNNNNNNNNNNNNNNNNNNNNNNNNNNNNNNNNNNNNNNNNNNNNNNNNNNNNNNNNNNNNNNNNNNNNNNNNNNNNNNNNNNNNNNNNNNNNNNNNNNNNNNNNNNNNNNNNNNNNNNNNNNNNNNNNNNNNNNNNNNNNNNNNNNNNNNNNNNNNNNNNNNNNNNNNNNNNNNNNNNNNNNNNNNNNNNNNNNNNNNNNNNNNNNNNNNNNNNNNNNNNNNNNNNNNNNNNNNNNNNNNNNNNNNNNNNNNNNNNNNNNNNNNNNNNNNNNNNNNNNNNNNNNNNNNNNNNNNNNNNNNNNNNNNNNNNNNNNNNNNNNNNNNNNNNNNNNNNNNNNNNNNNNNNNNNNNNNNNNNNNNNNNNNNNNNNNNNNNNNNNNNNNNNNNNNNNNNNNNNNNNNNNNNNNNNNNNNNNNNNNNNNNNNNNNNNNNNNNNNNNNNNNNNNNNNNNNNNNNNNNNNNNNNNNNNNNNNNNNNNNNNNNNNNNNNNNNNNNNNNNNNNNNNNNNNNNNNNNNNNNNNNNNNNNNNNNNNNNNNNNNNNNNNNNNNNNNNNNNNNNNNNNNNNNNNNNNNNNNNNNNNNNNNNNNNNNNNNNNNNNNNNNNNNNNNNNNNNNNNNNNNNNNNNNNNNNNNNNNNNNNNNNNNNNNNNNNNNNNNNNNNNNNNNNNNNNNNNNNNNNNNNNNNNNNNNNNNNNNNNNNNNNNNNNNNNNNNNNNNNNNNNNNNNNNNNNNNNNNNNNNNNNNNNNNNNNNNNNNNNNNNNNNNNNNNNNNNNNNNNNNNNNNNNNNNNNNNNNNNNNNNNNNNNNNNNNNNNNNNNNNNNNNNNNNNNNNNNNNNNNNNNNNNNNNNNNNNNNNNNNNNNNNNNNNNNNNNNNNNNNNNNNNNNNNNNNNNNNNNNNNNNNNNNNNNNNNNNNNNNNNNNNNNNNNNNNNNNNNNNNNNNNNNNNNNNNNNNNNNNNNNNNNNNNNNNNNNNNNNNNNNNNNNNNNNNNNNNNNNNNNNNNNNNNNNNNNNNNNNNNNNNNNNNNNNNNNNNNNNNNNNNNNNNNNNNNNNNNNNNNNNNNNNNNNUGCUGGUGCUGUUGUUGUUGUUGUUGUUGCUGUUGCUGUUGCUCCUGCUGUUGUUGUUGCUGCUGCUGCUGUUGCUGUUGCUGUUGUUGCUGUUUUUGUCGUCAUCGUCGUCGUCGUCGUCGUUGUGUUGUUGUUGUUGUUGUUGUUGUUGUUGUUGUUGUUGUUGUUGUUGUUGUUGUUGUUGUUGUCGUUGUUGGUUUUGUUGCUGCUGUUGUUGUGAUAAUUGUCUAUUCAUCCCCUCUAGUUAACCAUAUCGAUCUUUUCACAAGGCCUGUGGAUUUCAGGAGGAUAUGCAAAUAACCUUUGAUAUUCGUCCUGAAAAUGAUCUUGAAGAUAAUAUCGACAUUUGGGUGAAUGUGGAUAUGCUUCCAGUUCUACCUCUAUGUGAGUUUGUCAAAUAAAUUAUUGUAGUAAUUUAUACCGUUUAUUUCAAAAUAGUUGACAAUUUACUUUCAAUGACAACUUAUUUCCAUUCUUCAAGAAAUGUACGGAAGGUAGUAGACAAUACCUACUAUAGUUAUGGCUCUGAACUAACUUGAAAGAAGAAAAAUCAUCUUGUCUCAUUUAUUAAUCAUAUUGAGACUUUCAAGAACAAUUAUGAAAUUAGCCCACAUUAUGAUCAAUACGUGCUACUAUUUUUACGUAUUGAACUGCUGUAAUAUCCAUGGAAAUAGCAUGGUAAGAUUUUUAACUAUUAUGUCACCGGUGCAUCUUUGCAUAUAAUAUUCUUAAGCUAAACUACAUUGCUAACUAUAUUAUUAUUUUGUUCUUCAACAGAAAUUCCUGAAGGAUUGUGUGCCUCAUCUGAUGCAUAUGCAAGGUGACCUGAAUUUUAUUAGCUUACGACCAAGUCUGCCAUGGUUCACCGCUGUGCAUACUCGAUUUCUCGAAGAGAUGAAGACAUCACAAUCAAAGGAUGGAGAAAAGUUAUGAAUGAUCACAGGGAGCUACUUGGAGGCAACUGUUGGGGAACGUAGCAGAAAUUCAAAAUUUUCCUACGUGUCACCAAGAUCUAUCUAUGGAGAAACUAGCAACGAGGGGAAGGAGAGUGCAUCUACAUACCCUUGUAGAUCGCUAAGCGGAAGCGUUCAACACAACGGGUUGAAGGAGUCGUACUCGUCAUGAUCCAAAUCACCGGAGAUCCUAGUGCCGAACGGACGGCACCUCCGCGUUCAACACACGUACAGCCCGGUGACGUCUCCCACGUCUUGAUCCAGCAAAGAGAGAGGGAGAGGUUGAGGAAGACUCCGUCCAGCAGCAGCACAACGGCGUGGUGGUGGUGGAGGAGCGUGGCAAUCCUGCAGGGCUUCGCCAAGCACCGCGGGAGAGGAGAAGGGAGAGAGGUAGGGCUGCGCCAAGAGGGAGAAGUUCUCAUAUGUUGGGCAGCCCCAAAACCCCCACUAUUUAUAGGAGGAGGGGAGGUGGCUGCGCCCCCAUCUAGGGUUCCCACCCAAGGGGUGCGGCAGCCCUAGAUGGGACUUGGGGGGGCGGCCAAGAGAGGGAGAGAGGGGGCGCCCCCAAGGGUGGGCCUUUAGGCCCAUCUGCGCCUAGGGUUUCCCCUCUCCCCACCUAGCUGCGCCUUGGGCCAUGUGGGGGGGCGCACCAGCCCACCUGGGGCUGGUCCCCUCCCACACUUAGCCCAUGCAGCCCUCCGGGGAUGGUGGCCCCACUUGGUGGACCCCCGGGACCCUCCCGGUGGUCCCGGUACGUUACUGAAAAAACCCGAAACUUUUCCGGUGACCAAAACCUCACUUCCUAUAUAUUAUUCUUUACCUCCGGACCAUUCCGGAACUCCUCGUGACGUCCGGGAUCUCAUCCAGGACUCCGAACAACAUUCGGUAACCACAUACAAACUUCCUUUAUAACCCUAGCGUCAUCGAACCUUAAGUGUGUAGACCCUACGGGUUCGGGAACCAUGCAGACAUGACCGAGACGUUCUCUGGUCAAUAACCAACAGCGGGAUCUGGAUACCCAUGUUGGCUCCCACAUAUUCCACGAUGAUCUCAUCGGAUGAACCACGAUGUCAAGGACUCAAUCGAUCCCGUAUACAAUUCCCUUUGUCUAGCGGUAUUUAUACUUGCCCGAGAUUCAAUCGUCGGUAUACCGAUACCUUGUUCAAUCUCGUUACCGGUAAGUCUCUUUACUCGUUCCGUAACACAUCAUCCCGUGAUCAACCCCUUGGUCACAUUGUGCACAUUAUGAUGAUGUCCUACCGAGUGGGCCCAGGGAUACCUCUCCGUUUACACGGAGUGACAAAUCCCAGUCUCGAUUCGUGCCAACCCAACAGACACUUUCGGAGAUACCUGUAGUGCACCUUUAUAGCCACCCAGUUACGUUGUGACGUUUGGUACACCCAAAGCAUUCCUACGGUAUCCGGGAGUUGCACAAUCUCAUGGUCUAAGGAAAUGAUACUUGACAUUAGAAAAGCUUUAGCAUACGAACUACGAUCUUUGUGCUAGGCUUAGGAUUGGGUCUUGUCCAUCACAUCAUUCUACUAAUGAUGUGAUCCCGUUAUCAAUGACAUCCAAUGUCCAUGGUUAGGAAACCGUAACCAUCUGUUGAUCAACGAGCUAGUCAAUAGAGGCUUACUAGGGACAUGGUGUUGUCUAUGUACCCACACAUGUAUCUGAGUUUCCUAUCAAUACAAUUAUAGCAUGGAUAAUAAACGAUUAUCGUGAACAAGGAAAUAUAAUAAUAACUAAUUUAUUAUUGCCUCUAGGGCAUAUUUCCAACAGCAACAUGGUGCGAAGCUAACAAAUUGGAGACAGAUGGAUCUCCAUUCUCCAUAAUGGAGAGUCAGGGGCUAUCCUGUUUUAUACUAUUUUACCUUAGAGAGAGUAGCAAGUCCUAGCUAGUACUCGUCAUGUGCUAAGAACAAUAAACUAGCGUUGGUUCUGACUAUCAUGAUGACGAGAAGUUGUUGUUAUUACGAUGAUGAUGAUGAUGAUUAGUUAUGUGCUAGAAUGUUGAGUUGUUAUAUGACUACGAUGAUGAUGAGUAGGACUUAUUAUUAUUAUUAUUAUUAUUAUUAUUAUUAUUAUUAUUAUUAUUAUUAUUAUUAUUAUUAUGAUGAUGAUGAUGAUGAUGAUGAUGAUGAUGAUGAUGAUGAUGAUGAUGAGUUGUUAUUAUGAUCAUGAUGAGUUAUUAUAUUAGUGGGUGAAAGAAACGUGAACUAGAUUCAACUGAUGGAUCCAAAGUGACUAUGUUUGGAUUAGUAUAAUAACUCAUCAUGAUCAUAAUGAUAUAACAAUCUCUAAAAUGCUAUUGUAUCAAAAUUUAUAUAAUGUUGUAUAAAUACAGUAUAAUAUAAAAGAGAAAUGGAAUAUUGAUGAAUAGUAGUAGCGCGGGGUAGGGCACACACUGCUAGUAAAUAGCAGUAGCGCGGGUGGGAACACACGCAGGAGCAUGGGUCAGACCCGCGCUACUGCUAGGGUUUUUCAUAGUAGUGGAGGGUGGAGGCGGCGGCAUGUGACGAAGCGGUGAAGUUUCAUGCGGUUUUUUAACCGCCAAAAAUUUACGGGAAAGACAAUCUCCUCGUAUACUUGCAGGAUGGAGGACGUGUCCGUAAAAACAGUUGGGUUUACUGAAGUUGUUGGAGAGCUUUUUUUGCCCCAACUUCUCGUAAAGAGUAGUUAUUUGAGAUUUACGGGAGUUGUUGGAGUUGCUCUUGAGACCUUAUGUUAGGAUUUCUUGUUUUUUGAUAUCUCGUUGGCACCUAUGAUGACUUCGUAUCUUAAGAUGUUUUGUUAGCUCAAAAGUUUGAAGAUGUUCAUAUGGGUAGAAUUAAUGUGUGUGCGUCUGUGUUAUUUAUAAAAAAAAGUUCAAACAUGUCUUUUACAAAAUAGUCUCCACCGUAAUUUGGUAAGGUCUUGCCGAAUGUCACCGUGAGUGGGAGUGACUGCUGUCUGCUGGCUCCCCGUCCUAGUGCCGCUGCCUCCGCUCCAUGGGAUGGUAGUGAAACCAAAUUUUCUGGAUCUAAGCUAGACACCAACCCUAGAACACGGAAGCCCCCCAUCCGCUUGCGCCGCCGCUGUCUUCUCGGUCUUCACCGGCGGCCGCCUUGACCGGUGGCGCUCACCUCCGUGGCCAGCUUUAGGAUCCCCUUCAGUGGUUCCACAGGUCCCUCCUCCUCCCUCUCCUCUGCCCCAUCUCUGCUCCUUCUUUCGUUUUGUCAUCUGAUAUCCAUGGCAACCUACAGUUACUCACCGUUGCGGAGUAGCCGACGAAAUGGACUCCACGCCGUUGCGAGCAACUUAAGGCCUUGUUCGGUUCCAGAGGGAUUGACAGGUAUUGGCAGGGAUUAAAUCCCAUCUAGUUCAAAUUCCCCCCAAAUCCCCUCCAUUCCACUCCAAUCCACUUGGGGAGUGGCUUAACCGAACAAGGCCUAAGUAUGCAUCUAUCCUGCUUAUUCUCGGUCUUCACCGGCGGCCGCAGUGACCAGUGGCGCUCUCCUCAGUGGCCAGCCUUAGGAUCCCGUUCAUUUUUUUUUUUUAGUGCCUGCUCCUUUUUUUUUAGAAAAGGAGGUCAUCCCCCGGCCUCUCCUCCCUCUCCUCUUCCCCAUCUUUCGUUUGGUUGUCUGAUAACCACGGUAGCCUGCAGUGACUCACUGUUGUGGAGUAGCUGACGAAAUGGACUCCAUGCCUUUGCGAGUUGCGACCACCUUAAGUAUGCAUCUACCCUGCUUAUUCUUGACUUUAUUUUGUACUAUUCCUGAAGAAAAUGUGUAAUCUGGAAAAUAUCAUUGGAUGGACUCUAUUGAAGUGGAUCUGCAUAUGCUGUCCGCAUUUCGUAGUGUUGAACAAUAAUUUCAUAACUAUGCAAGGAGGUGUUAAGCAUGGACGGAGGAUGCAAGGAGGGUUGUCUUUUGUUGAUUUUCGUUUCAAUUCAACGGCGAAUUAAUUGGAUCCGACAGUCGUGUGGCUACGCAAUUCAGCUAGUCGUAAUAUUGGGUCUACUAUCCAUCAGCUGUAAAGUUUCAGCCGAGGGAUAAUAUCGAUGACAGCAUUUCUCUAAGUUUUUGUUUGGGGAUGAAUUAAUACUUGGAAGAAUGAUUUGGUUUUCUGAUUGCAUGUGUUUAACCAUUUUCCUACUUUAUCAAUUUCUGGCCACUAGUAGGCCUCUCCUGAUCUUUACAGUUUCUUUUCCUUGUGUUUUGUAGUUUGACAAAUGGGAACUGCUGAUUAGGGAAUGGGGUGAACUGUCUGUCAGCGGCUCUGUUGAUCUGACUUUCUGCGACUGACUCAAAACGUUGCUGCACUUGAAACAUCAGGAGAUAUCACAUUAUUACAGUGAAGAGCACAUAGAACAAAAAGAUGGAGUUUGUGGUGGGUGCUUCGGAAGCCACAAUGAGAUCUCUGCUAGGCAAGCUGGGUGGCCUCCUUGCCCAGGAGUACACUCUGAUCCGAGGAGUACGGGGAGACAUCCAGUACAUCAAUGAUGAGCUCACCACCAUGCAGGCCUUCCUUGGUGAUGUUAGCUCUGUCCCGGACAGUCAUGAUCGCCGGCUGAAGGACUGGAUGAAGCAGAUCCGUGACAUGGCAUAUGACACAGAGGACUGCAUCGAUGACUUUGCUCACCGCCUCCCUCGUGACUCCCUCGGCGAUGUCCGAUGCUCCUUCAUAGUGACGAUAGUCUAUGAACUAUGGACGUUGGGGCCUCGCCGUGACAUUGCCUCCAAGAUUGCUGAACUCAAGAUCCGGGCACAACAGAUUGCUGAAAGGCGCGGCAGAUACGGAGUGGACAACCCAGGCAACAGUAACAGCAGCAGCUCUGUAGCCGGAGCCCCCCGCAUCACUAGGCAUGACAUUGCUGAGCAUCUGAUGGGUAGCCGUCAGCUCAUCCGUACGGAGAGGCCCGUGGGUGUGGCAGAAGACAUGGAAAAGCUUGGAGAUUGGUUAAAGAAAUGUGAUAAUUCUUCUGGAAAGCAUCGAGCUGUUCUGUCCAUAGUCGGUUUCGGUGGCAUGGGAAAGACCACCAUUGCAACGGCAUUGUACCGAGACUUCAGGAAUGAAUUUGACUGCCGGGCCUCAGUCACUGUUUCCCAGAAUUACGAUGAGGAUGAAGUGCUCAGGGAUAUUCUGAGUCAAAUCAAGCCACAGGACAGCGAACACGACCAACAAGGAAGUAGCAAAGGAGGUUUGGAGGAAAGAAGCCUAGCUACAGAUAUUAAAAGCUCAGUGAAGAGAGUUCUCCCACUGAUCUUUGGCCAAAGGCAGCAGGGCAAUGAUGGCAGCUCUAAAUGGACGCAGAACAAGAUAGAAACGAUGAACCGUGAUCAACUUGUCGAAGAAUUGGAAGGGCGACUGAAUGGAAAGAGGUACGUCUCAACCAUCAUUUUGGAUUUUGUUAAAUACUACAUCUACGCAUUUUUACUUGUCCUAUCAAACUUUUACAAUUUAGCUUCUACUGGAUUUAAGGCUAUCUAGAUUCUAAAAUAGCUAUGUAAAUAUCAUUAUAUUUUGGUUUUUGAUGAAAAAAGAUCAUUAUAUAAUCAGGAAAUAAAACCUGAAUGCAUAAAUAGGUAAGCUAUAAAAAUUAAGCACCCACCAUUGCAUGUAUAUUUCCAUUUCCAAAUAUAUAUACCUAGCUAGGUAAAUAAUGACACAUUUUUUUUCACUAUAUGGUUAUCGCAAAACACAAACUUGAAUAAGCAGACAUUUCUUUUUCUCAUAUGUAUUUAAUUAUCCUAUAAUCUUGGCAGGUAUCUCCUCUUGAUUGAUGACAUAUGGUCUGCAGAAACAUGGGAUAAGAUCAGAAGUUGGUUGCCACGUGAGAAUACAAAAGAUAGUAGAGUAAUAGUGACUACAAGAUUUCAAGCUGUGGGUGCGGCUUGCUCCGAAGGAAAUGUAACUGAUCAUCUGCAUACAGUUGAUGCCCUUAGUGGUACCGACUCCAGAAAUUUGUUUUAUCACAGUGUUUAUGAAUCCAAAAAUAGCAAGAAAGUACAGGUGCAUGAGGACAUAUGGAAAUAUUGUGGGGGGCUGCCUUUGGCGAUAGUUAGCAUGGCCGGUCUUGUCGCAUGCAACCCCAAAAAACAAAAUGAUCACUGGAGUACAGUUUGCAAGUCAUUAUUUCCAGAGCAGGUGGCUCCACUUACCCUGGAUGGUGUCACAACAAUACUCGAUUAUUGCUACAAUGAUUUGCCUGCAGACCUCAAGACCUGUUUAUUGUACUUGAGCAUAUUUCCAAAGGGUUGGAAAAUUAGCAGGAAGCGUUUGACAAGGCGUUGGAUAUCUGAAUGCUUUGUCAGUGGGAAGCAAGGGCUGACCGCGGAUGAAGUUGCAGAGACAUACUUUAAUCAGCUCAUAAGAAGGAAGAUAAUACACCCUUUGGAGCACAGCAGCAAUGGGAAGGUAAAAUCGUUCAAAGUUCAUGACAUGAUCCUUGAAUACAUCGUGUCCAAGUCAAGUGAAGAGAAUUUCAUUACUGUUGUUGGUGGCCACUGGCUGAUGCCAGCACCUGGCAAUAAAGUCCGUCGACUCUCGAUGCAGAGCAGUGGUUCCAAGCAUGGGAAUUCGACAAAAGGCAUGAACUUGUCUCAAGUGCGAUCACUGACUGUAUUUGGAAGCAUGAACAAGCUGCCUUUCCAUUCAUUCAAUAAUGGGAUAAUUCAAGUGUUGGAUCUCGAGGGUUGGAAGGGUUUGACACAUAACCAUCUGAAUGACAUAUGUCGAAUGCUUGUACUGAAGUAUUUGAGCCUCCGAAGAACAGAGGUUGCGAAGAUUCCCUCCAAGAUUGAGAAGCUUCAGUAUCUAGAAACUCUUGAUGUAAGGGAGACAAAUGUUGGCGUCCUGCCCAAAGCUUUCGGCCAGCUCCAACGGCUCCGCAGCAUGUUCGGAGGGAGUAAAAACCCACGGAAGGCGUUAAAAUUGCCUCAAGAGAAAAAUAAGGUGCAAAUGAAAGCACUUCGUAUACUGUCAGGGAUUGAGAUCACCGAGCGCUCAACAGGUGUAGCAAGCCUCCAUCAGCUCACCGGGCUAAAGAAACUUGCCAUUUACAAGCUGAACAUAGAGAAGGAUGGACCGACCUCCACACAAUUGCGCUCCUCUAUUGGGUAUCUCUGCAGCUGCGGCCUGCAGACUCUAGCAAUCAAUGAUGAGAGUUCUGGUUUUAUCAACACACUGGAUUCCAUGCCCGCUCCUCCAAGAUACCUCAUCGCCCUCGAGCUGUCGGGAAAAUUGGAAAGAGCUCCAAAGUGGACUGAGAAUCUCAAAACUCUAUACAAGCUAACCCUUUCCGUGACAGUUCUCCGUGCUGAUACUUUGGAGCUCCUCUGCGACCUACCUAAGCUGUUCUGUCUCACCUUCUCACUCAAUGCAGCGAAGCAGCACGAGGAGGACGUAGAGGACAUGCUUCAGGAAAAUAAACGCCUCGGUGGUGGGGAGAUCGUUGUUCCACCUGGAGGUUUCAAGAGCCUGAAGCUGCUUCGCUUCUUUGCAACUGUCGUGCCUAGGGUGACAUUUGCAGCGGAGGCAAUGCCAGCAGUUGAGAGGAUCGAUAUGCGGUUCCAAGCCUUUGAAGGGGUUUACGGCAUCGACAGACUUAAAAGUAUCCAGGAGGUGCAUCUCAGCGUUGACAAUCAAGCAGAUGAAGCAACCAAAUACUUGGUUGGAUAUCUGAAGAAAAACACACACAAGCCAAAAAUAAUCACUGAUUGAAGGACUUAUAUUGUCACUCGGAGGCUCGGAGCGCGCUCCAGCUGUACUGGUCCUCCCUUUGCGACAGAGGAUAUGACAUGUGGUUCAUCAUCGAAGUCAGGUUCUCUACGACAUGGAUUUGAGUGUGACUGUUUUCUUCCAAAUAAAAAUUACGUUGAUCUUAUUGCGUCCUAUUCAAAUUUGUAGUAUUGUGUACUAUCGUUUCCAGACCUUUUGCUUUUAUUAAGUGGAGACUGUUCCAUAAACUCUGGAUUGUACUGUGGCCGGCUGUAAAAAAGCUGAGACUGCAUCCUACCAUCUCGAUACUGCUUGCAUUAUGGAUUCUUUCUGUAGUGUCUGACUGAAUUUGCAAUAUGUAUGCCAUGUUGUACUUUUGCUUCCAUUAGCGACUGCCUUUAUUUCAUACUUAUAUUGUGUUUUACCGGGAUCUUUGUUUUCACAUCCAUCACUGAAAAAUCGUUACUCCAUUUGAAAGCUUAUCAUAUACUAAGAAUUAACCUCCAUUUGCAGAUCAUAAAGUAUGAUCCAUGUGCUGAUCUUUAUGUUCAUUGAUUGCAUAAACUAGGCAAACCACAUUUGGAGUAUGUAUGAAGUAUUUUUCUACACCUGGUCUUUCUGUGCUUACUUGUUGAUCCUCGUAGCAGUGAUAAUAACGUCAGAUCCAAGUUAAUUCUGUCUGUUUAGUUAUAAAGAGAACUUGAAAGUAUAUUUCACCUACUUUAAUUCUGAACUUUGUCCCUUGCAUACAUGUUGUUAAUUAAUGAUCGAUGCUAGUGUACUGUUAACCUCAUGGUCUUUGAUUACUGUCAAAUGUAAAACUGUGUCUCAUGGUCUUUGCUGACUGAAAUAUCGUAGAGUUCAUCCUGUGUAUUGUUCAAGAUGGUCGAUGCUUAGAAUAUUGGUACAGAAGCCACAAAAGCAGAAAGCGGGCAUAUGCAGACUCCUGUGGGCUGCCACAUUAUUCCGCAAGAAUUGUGCUGAAAUGUAUAUCCCCUUCUCCUGGCCCGUGCACUACUGAUUACCAACGAUCGAUCAUUAGAAAGACAGACCAAAAUGGCAGAGUGAGCACACAGGUAAUGGCUUUAAUCAGUCUCAUAAAUCUGGGCCUGCGAGUGAUCCACCAGUUGUGUCAGCUUAAAUUUGCUGUAGGUGAGAGCUAACGGCGCACAUUACCUGUGUGCUGGAGUAGGAAUGUGUUUUGUGCUGGAGCAAGUGCAGAGUAGGGUUGCAGUUUUCUUGCAACUGUUGCCAAGCUGAGCUAUGUAAGCUCACGAAAUUCAGUGGUCCUUGUGUGUCUCCUCUGCUUUGCUACUCUGUUUCCUCUCUGCUCUGCUCUUGCUAACCGCUUUACUACUCUGUUUCCUCUACUCUGCCUGCUCUUGCUAAUUUCUUUCAGUUCAGGCCCUAGGGCUACUCUGCUUCCUCUGUGCGCGCGCGUCCACAGUCCACACACAGGCCGAGCGAGGUGGUGUGUCAGAUGCUCGCAACUAUACUCAGCAUGCAACGUACAACUGUUGUGCCGUCGACUGUCCAAAGAAGGCACGCGUUAUAGUCGUUUGUUGUAUAUUCGAAUGACAUUGAUUCACAUAAUAUUUCUUAGAUUGGCAUUUCAAAAUUACUGAAGAUUACCUGCUAGCAUCCAUUCCUCUAUCGAAGAAGAGAAGAGCACAUACAAAAAAAAAAAAUUGGCACGGUAAUGCACAUACUGUGCCAGACAUGCUCGAGCAACGACCAAAGUACACGGCCGAACGAUACAAAAUGGAGAGGUAGCCCUCUAACAAAGCAAAUCCUGGGAUCUCUGUACCAUCCAGAGACUACGCUAUCAUAGAAGAACAAAGGGAGGCCUGAGUACAACGCCAUGCCAUGUCCUAGCAGACCUAGGCUCCAUGACGCCCUCAGGAGGGAGAACAGGCGCAGAGCGUCGCCGCUACCGAGUCCAGAAUAGACAAGGGUCUUGACCCGAAGCCCGGACAUGGAGAGGAGAACCACAACAAUGUCUUGUGGAAGAUAGAAGCUUCCGCGAGCGUCGCCUCAUCGGAGCCAUAGCGCGGAGCUUUCGCACAACACCUUACCCAUGUCAUUGAAGGAAAUAUGCCCUAGAGGCAAUAAUAAAGUUGUUAUUUAUAUUUCCUUAUAUCAUGAUAAAUGUUUAUUAUUCAUGCUAGAAUUGUAUUAACCAAAAACUUAGUACAUGUGUGAAUACAUAGACAAAACAAAGUGUCCCUAGUAUGCCUCUACUUGACUAGCUCGUUAAUCAAAGAUGGUUAUGUUUCCUGACUAUAGACAUGUGUUGUCAUUUGAUGAACGGGAUCACAUCAUUAGAAAAUAAUGUGAUUGACAAGACCCAUCUGUUAGCUUAGCAUAAUGAUCGAUAAGUUUUAUUGCUACCGCUCUCUUCAUGACUUAUACAUGUUCCUCUGACAAUGAGAUUAUGCAACUCCCGAAUACCGAGGAACACCUUGUGUGCUAUCAAACUUCACAACGUAACUGGGUGCUCUACAGGUGUCUCCAAAGAUGUUUGUUGGGUUGGCAUAGAUCGAGAUUAGGAUUUGUCACUCCGUGUAUUGGAGAGGUAUCUCUGGGCCCUCUCGGUAAUGCUCAUCACUAUAAGCCUUGCAAGCAAUGUGAUUAAUGAGUUAGUUAUGGGAUGAAACAUUACGGAACGAGUAAACAGACUUUUUGGUAAUGAGAUUGAACUAGUUAUGAAGACACCGACGAUCGAAUCUCGGGCAAGUAACAUACCGAUGACAAAGGGAACAACGUAUGUUGUUGUGCGGUUUGAUCGGCGAAGGUAGAAAUCAAGAAAAGAGCAUCAAGUGUUGAUGGUUAACAAUAUCACUAGUUUCAAGAAAAAGGCAAAGGGAAAAGAAGGGGAACUUCAAGAAGAACGGCAAGCAAGUUGCUGCUCAAGUGAAGAAACCCAAGUCUGGUCCUAAGCCUGAGACUAAGUGCUUCUACUGCAAAGAGACUGGUCACUGGAAGCGGUACUACCCCAAGUGAUUGGCGGAUAAGAAGGAUGGCAAAGUGAACAUAAGUAUAUUUGAUAUACAUGUUAUUGAUGUGUACUUUACUAGUGUUUAUAGCAACCCCUCAGUAUUUGAUACUAGUUCAGUUGCUAAGAUUAGUAACUCGAAACGGGAGUUGCAGAAUAAACAGAGACUAGUUAAGGGUGAAGUGACGAUCUGUGUUGGAAAUAGUUCCAAGAUUGAUAUGAUCAUCAUCGCACACUCCCUAUACUUUCAGGAUUAGUGUUAAACCUAAAUAAUUGUUAUUUGGCGUUUACGUUGAGCAUGAAUAUGAUUUGAUCAUGUUUAUUGCAAUACGGUUAUUCAUCUAAGUUAGAGAACAAUUGUUGUUUUGUUUACAUGAAUAAAAACCUUCUAUGGUCAUACACACCAACGAAAAUGGUUUGUUGUAUCUCGAUCGUAGUGAUACACAUAUUCAUAAUAUUGAAGCCAAAAGAUGCAAAGUUAAUAAUGAUAGUGCAACUUAUUUGUGGCACUACCGUUUGGGUCAUAUCGGUGUAAAGCGCAUGAAGAAACUCCAUAAAGAUGGAUUUUCGGAAUCACUUGGUUAUGAAUCAUUUGAUGCUUGCGAACCGUGCCUUUUGGGCAAGAUGACUAAAACCCCGUUCUCCGGAACAAUGGAGAGAGCAACAGAUUUGUUGGAAAUCAUACAUAUUGAUGUAUGUGGUCCGAUGAAUAUUAAGGCUCACGACAAGUAUCAUUAUUUUCUGACCUUCACAGAUGAUUUGAGCAGAUAUGGGUAUAUCUACUUGAUGAAACAUAAGUCUGAAAUAGUUGAAAUGUUCAAAGAAUUUCAGAGUGAAGUGGAAAAAUCAUCGUAACAAGAAAAUAAAAUUUCUGCGAUCUGAUCACGGAGACGAAUAUUUGAGUUACGAGUUUGGUCUUCAAUUAAAACAAUGUGGAAUAGUUUCACAGCUCACGCCACCUGGAACACCACAACGUUAUGGUGUGUCCGGACAUCGUAACCGCACUUUAUUGAUAUGGUGCGAUCUAUGAUGUCUCUUACUGAUUUACCACUAUUGUUUUGGGGUUAUGCAUUAGAGACAACUGCAUUCACGUUAAAAGGGCACCAUCUAAAUCCGUUGAUACGACACCAUAUGAACUGUGGUUUAGCAAGAAACCCAAGUUGUUGUUUCUUAAAGUUUGGGGUUGCGAUGCUUAUGUGAAAAAGUUUCAUCCUGAUAAGCUCAAACCCAAAUCGGAGAAGUGUGUCUUCAUAGAAUACCCAAAGGAAACUGUUGGGUACACCUUCUAUCACAGAUCCGAAGGCAAGAUAUUCGUUGCUAAAAAUGGAUCCUUUCUAGAGAGAGUUUCUCUCGAAAGAAGUGAGUGGGAGGAAAGUAGAGCUUGAUAAGGUAAUUUGUACCUUCUCCCGAAUUGGAAAGUAGUUCAUCACAGAAAUCAGUUCCAAUGAUUCCUACACCAAUUAGUGAGGAAGCUAAUGAUGAUGAUCAUAAAGCUUCAGAUCAAGUUACUACCAAACUUUGUAGAUCUUCCAGAUUAAGAUCCGCACCAGAGUGGUACGGUAAUCCUAUUCUGGAAGUCAUGUUAAUAGACCAUGAUGAACCUACGAACUACGAGGAAGCGAUGAUGAGCCCAGAUUCCGCGAAAUGGCUUGAGGCCAUGAAAUCUGAGAUGGGAUCCAUGUAUGAGAACAAAGUAUGGACUUUGAUUGACUUACUCGAUGAUCAGCAAGCCAUGUUAAAUAAAUGGAUCUUCAAGAGGAAGACGGACACUGAUAGUAGUGUUACUAUCUACUAAGCUUGACUUGUUGCGAAAGGUUUUCGACAAGUUCAAGGUGUUGAAUACGAUGAGAUUUUCUCACUCGUAUCGAUGCAUAAGUCUGUCCGAAUCAUGAUAGCAAUUGCCACAUUUUAUGAAAUCUGGCAAAUGGAUGUCAAAACUGCAUUCCUCAAUGGAUUCUUUAAAGAAGAGUUGUAUAUGAUGCAACCAGAAAGUUUUGUCAAUCCUAAAGGUGCUAACAAAAUGUGCAAGCUCCAGCGAUCCAUCAAUGGACUGGUGCAAGCAUCUCGGAGUUGGAAUAUACGCUUUGAUGAGUUGAUCAAAGCAUAUGGUUUUAUACAGACUUUUGGAAAGGCCUGUAUUUUCAAGAAAGUGAGUGGGAGCUAUGUAGCAUUUCUGAUAUUACAUGUGCAAGACAUAUUGUUGAUUGGAAAUGAUAUAGAACUUCUGGAUAGCAUAAAAGGAUACUUGAAUAAAAGUUUUUCAAUGAAAGACCCCGGUGAAGCUGCUUACACAUUGAGCAUCAAGAUCUAUAAGAUAGAUCAAGACGCUUGAUAAGAUUUUUCAAUGAGUACAUACCUUGACAAGAUUUUGAGGCAGUUCAAUAUGGAACAGUCAAAGAAAGAGUUCUUGCCUGUGUUGCAAAGGUGUGAAAUUGAGUAAGACUCAAAUCCCGACCACGGCAGAAAAUAGAAAAGAGAAUAAAAGUCAUUCCCUAUGCCUCAGUCGUAGGUUCUAUAAAGUAUGCUAUGCUAUGUACCAGACCUAUUGUAUACCUUGCUCUAAAUUUGACAAGGGAGUACAAUAGUGAUCUAGGAGUAGAUCACUGGACAUUGGUCAAGAAUAUCCUUAGUGAGGACUAAGGAGAUGUUUCUCGAUUAUGGAGAUGAUAAUAGAGCCCGUCGUAAAAGUUACAACGAUGCAAGCUUUUACACCAAUCCAGAUGACUCUAAGUCUCAAUCUGGAUACAUAUUGAAAGUGGGAGCAAUUAGCUAGAGUAGCUCCGUGCAGAGCAUUGUGGACAUAGAAUAUUUGCAAAAUACAUACGGCUCUGAAUAUGACAGACCCGUUGACUAAACUUCUCUCACAAGCAAAACAUGAUCAUACCUUAGUACUCUUUGGGUGUUAAUCACAUAGCGAUGUGAACAAACCCUUUGCGUGUUGAUCACAUGAUGAUGUGAACUAUGGGUAUUAAUCACAUACAGAUGUGAAUAUUGGUGUUAAAUCACAUGGCGAUGUGAACUAGAUUAUUGACUCUAGUGCAAGUGGGAGACUGAAGGAAAUAUGCCCUAGAGGCAAUAAUAAAGUUAUUAUUUAUUUCCUUAUUUCAUGAUAAAUGUUUAUUAUUCAUGCUAGAAUUGUAUUAACCGGAAACAUGAUACAUGUGUGAAUACAUAGACAAACAUAUAGUCACUAGUAUGCCUCUACUUGACUAGCUCAUUAAUCAAAGAUGGUUAUGUUUCCUAACCAUAGACAUGUGUUGUCAUUUGAUUAGUGGGAUCACAUCAUUAGAAGAAUGAUGUGAUUGACAUGACCCAUUCCGUUAGCCUAGCACUUGAUCGUUUAGUAUGUUGCUAUUGCUUUCUUCAUGACUUAUACAUGUUCCUAUAACUAUGAGAUUAUGCAACUCCCGUUUACCGGAGGAACACUUUGGGUACUACCAAACAUCACAACGUAACUGGGUGAUUAUAAAGGAGUACUACAGGUGUCUCCGAAGGUACAUGUUGAGUUGGCGUAUUUCGAGAUUAGGUUUUGUCACUCCGAUUGUCGGAGAGGUAUCUCUGGGCCCUCUCGGUAAUGCACAUCACUAUAAGCCUUGCAAGCAAUGUAACCAAUGAGUUGGUUACGGGAUGAUGCAUUACAUAACGAGUAAAGAGACUUGUCGGUAACGAGAUUGAACUAGGUAUUGGAUACCGACGAUCAAAUCUCGGGCAAGUAACAUACCGAUGACAAAGGGAACAACGUAUGUUGUUAUGCGGUUUGACCGAUAAAGAUCUUCAUAGAAUAUGUAGGAACCAAUAUGGGCAUCCAGGUCCCGCUAUUGGUUAUUGACCGAGAAUAGUUCUAGGUCAUGUCUACAUAGUUCUCGAACCCGUAGGGUCCGCACGCUUAACGUUUCGUUGACGAUAUAGUAUUAUAUGAGUUAUGCAUGUUGGUAACCGAAUGUUGUUCGGAGUCCCGGAUGAGACCAUGGACAUGACAAGGAACUCCGGAAUGGUCCGGAGAUAAAGUUUGAUAUAUGGGAUAAUAGUGUUUGAUCUCCGGAAGGGUUCCGGAAUUCACUGGAAGGGGUUCCGGAUGUUUCCCGAAAUGUUUGGGUACGAGAACACGUUAUUUGGCCCAAAGGGGAAAGCCCACAAGGUUUUUGGAAAGCGCAAAAGGAAGUUUUGCAGAGUCCAGGGGCCAGACGCCAGGGUCCCUGGCGUCUGGGUCCAGACGUCGGGAACCCUGGCGUCUGGCCCUGGAGUCCGAGAAGGACUCUUGCCUUUCGGGUGAAACCGACUUUGUGGAGGCUUUUACUCCAAGUUUCGACCCCAAGGCUCAACAUAUAAAUAGAGGGGCAGGGCUAGCACCAAAGACACAUCAAGAAACACCAAGCCGUGUGCCGGCAACCCCGUCCCCUCUAGUUUAUCCUCCGUCAUAGUUUCCGUAGUGCUUAGGCGAAGCCCUGCGGAGAUUGUUCUUCACCAACACCGUCACCACGCCGUCGUGCUGCCGGAACUCAUCUACUACUUCGCCCGUCUUGCUGGAUCGAGAAGGCGAGGACGUCAUCGAGCUGAACGUGUGCAGAACUCGGAGGUGCCGUGCGUUCGGUACUUGGAUCGGUCGGAUCGUGAAGACGUACGACUACAUCAACGGCGUUGAUAAACGCUUCCGCUUAGCGAUCUUCAAGGGUAUGAAGAUACACUCCCCCUCUCGUUGCUAUACCAUCACCAUGAUCUUGCGUGUGCGUAGGAAUUUUUUUGAAAUUACUAUGUUCCCCAACACCCUGGUGGCCGGCCUCCUCCUCCCACCUUUAUAUAUGGGGGCAGGGGGCACACCAAAUGGGACAACAUUGUCUUACCCAUGUGCGGUGCCCCCCUCCACCGUUGACUCCUCCGAUAGUAUCAUUGUAGUGCUUGUUGGGGAACGUUGCAGAAAAUAAAUUUUUUCUAUGCUUCACCAAGAUCAAUCUAUGGAGUCAUCUAGCAACGAGAGAGAGGAGUGCAUCUACAUACCCUUGUAGAUCACGUGCGGAAGCGUUCAAGAGAACGGGGUUGAGGGAGUCGUACUCGUCGUGAUCCAAAUCACCAGAGAUCCUAGCGCCGAACGGACGGCACCUCCGCGUUCAACACACGUACGGUUGGGGAAGACGUCUCCUCCUUCUUGAUACAGCAAGGGGAAGGGAGAGGUUGAUGGAGAUCCAGCAGCACAACGGUGUGGUGGUGGAAGUAGCGGUGAUCUCGGCAGGGCUUCGCCAAGCUCAGCGAGAAGGAGAGGUGGUACGGAGGGAGAGGAAGGCGCCAGGAGCAGGGGUGCGAAGCCCUCCCUUCCCCCUCUUUAUAUAGGGGCCCUGGGGUGCGCCGGCCCCCUAGAGAUUGGAUCUCAAGGGGGGGGGGGGCGGCCAAGGGGGUGGCUUGCCCCCCAAGCCAAGUGGGGCGCCCUCCACCCCUAGGGUUUCCAACCCUAGGCGCAGGGGGAGGCCCAAGGGGGGCCCUAGGGUUUCCAACACCAGGGGCUGGUUCCCCUCCCCACUUCAGCCCAUGGGGCCCUCCGGGAUAGGUGGCCCCACCCGGUGGACCCCAGGACCCUUCCGGUGGUCCCGGUACAAUACCGGUGACCCCCGAAACUUUCUCGAUGGCCGAAACUGGACUUCCUAUAUAUAAUUCUUCACCUCCGGACCAUUUCAGAACUCCUCGUGAUGUCCGGCAUCUCAUCCGGGACUCCGAACAACUUUCGGGUUGCCGCAUACUAGUAUCUCUACAAUCCUAGCGUCACCGAACCUUAAGUGUGUAGACCCUACGGGUUCGGGAGACAUGCAAACAUGACCGAGACGACUCUCCGGCCAAUAACCAACAACAGGAUCUGGAUACCCAUGUUGGCUCCCACAUGUUCCACGAUGAUCUCAUCGAAUGAACCACGAUGUCGAGGAUUCAAGUAAUCCCGUAUACAAUUCCCUUUGUCAAUCGGUACGUUACUUGCCCGAGAUUCGAUCGUUGGUAUCCCAAUACCUCGUUCAAUCUCGUUACCGGCAAGUCACUUUACUUGUACCAUAAUGCAUGAUCCCGUGACCAACCACUUAGUCACUUUGAGCUCACUAUGAUGAUGUAUUACCGAGUGGGCCUAGAGAUACCUCUCCGUCAUACGGAGUGACAAACCCCAGUCUCGAUCCGUGUCAACCCAACAGACACUUUUGGAGAUACCUGUAGUAUACCUUUAUAGUCACCCAGUUGCGUUGUGACGUUUGGUACACCCAAAGCACUCCUACGGCAUCCGGGAGUUACACGAUCUCAUGGUCUAAGGAAAUGAUACUUGACAUCGGAAAAGCUGUAGCAAACGAACUACAUGAUCUUGUGCUACGCUUAGGAUUGGGUCUUGUCCAUCACAUCAUUCUCCCAAUGAUGUGAUCCCGUUAUCAAUGACAUCCAAUGUCCAUGGUCAGGAAACCGUGACCAUCUAUUGAUAAACAAGCUAGUCAACUAGAGGCUCACUAGGGACAUGUUGUGGUCUAUGUAUUCACACAUGUAUUACGAUUUCCGGAUAACACAAUUAUAGCAUGAAUAAUAGACAAUUAUCAUGAACGAGGAAAUAUAAUAAUAACCAUUUUAUUAUUGCCUCUAGGGCAUAUUACCAAAAGUCUCCCACUUGCACUAGAGUCAAUAAUCUAGUUACAUUGUGAUGAAUCGAACACCCAUAGAGUUCUGGUGUUGAUCAUGUUUUGCUCGCGGAAGAGGUUUAGUCAACGGAUCUGCGACAUUCAGAUCCGUAUGCACUUUGCAAAUAUCUAUGUCUCCAUCUUGAACAUUUUCACGAAUGGAGUUGAAGCGACGCUUGAUGUGCCUGGUCUUCUUGUGAAACCUGGGCUCCUUGGCAAGGGCAAUAGCUCCAGUGUUGUCACAGAAGAGGGUGAUUGGCCCCGACGCAUUGGGUAUGACUCCUAGGUCGGUGAUGAACUCCUUCAUCCAGAUUGCUUCAUGCGCUGCUUCCGAGGCUGCCAUGUACUCCGCUUCACAUGUAGAUCCCGCCACGAUGCUUUGCUUGCAACUACACCAGCUUACUGCCCCACCAUUCAAAAUAUACACGUAUCUGGUUUGUGACUUAGAGUAAUCCAGAUCUGUGUCGAAGCUAGCGUCGACGUAACCCUUUACGAUGAGCUCUUUGUCACCUCCAUAUACGAGAAACAUAUCCUUAGUCCUUUUCAGGUACUUCAGGAUAUUCUUGACCGCUGUCCAGUGUUCCAUGCCGGGAUUACUUUGGUACCUUCCUACCAAACUUAUGGCAAGGUUUACAUCAGGUCUGGUACACAGCAUGGCAUACAUGAUAGACCCUAUGGCUGAGGCAUAGGGGACGACACUCAUCUUUUCUCUAUCUUCUGCCGUGGUCGGACAUUGAGCCGAGCUCAAUUUCACACCUCUCAACACAGGCAAGAACCCCUUCUUGGACUGAUCCAUAUUGAACUUCUUCAAUAUCUUAUCAAGGUAUGUGCUUUGUGAAAGACCUAUGAGGCGUCUCGAUCUAUCUCUAUAGAUCUUGAUGCCUAAUAUGUAAGCAGCUUCUCCAAGGUCCUUCAUUGAAAAAUUCUUAUUCAAGUAGGCCUUAAUGCUGUCCAAAAGUUAUAUAUCAUUUCCCAUCAAAAGUAUGUCAUCCACAUAUAAUAUGAGAAAUGCUACAGAGCUCCCACUCACUUUCUUGUAAACGCAGGCUUCUCCAUAAGUCUGCAUAAAUGCUUUGAUCAUUUCAUUAAAGCGAAUGUUCCAACUCUGAGAUGCUUGCACCAGCCCAUAGAUGGAGCGCUGGAGCUUGCAUACCUUGUUAGCAUUCUUAGGAUCGACAAAACCUUCGGCUGCAUCAUAUACAGUUCUUCCUUAAGAUGGCCGUUAAGGAAUGCCGUUUUGAUGUCCAUUUGCCAUAUCUCAUAAUCAUAGUAUGUGGCAAUUGCUAACAUGAUUCAGACGGACUUCAGCUUUGCUACGGAAGAGAAAGUCUCAUCGUAGUCAACCCCUUGAACUUGUCGAUAACCCUUAGCGACAAGUCGAGCUUUAUAGAUGGUAACAUUACCAUCCGCGUUCGUCUUCUUCUUAAAGAUCCAUUUGUUUUCUAUCGCUCGCCGAUCAUCGGGCAAGUCUGUCAAAGUCCACACUUUGUUUUCAUACAUGGAUCCUAUCUUGGAUUGCAUGGCUUCAAGCCAUUGGUUGGAAUCUGGGCCCGCCAUUGCUUCUUCAUAGUUCGAAGGUUCACCGUUGUCUAACAACAUGAUUUCUAGGACAGGGUUGCCAUACCACUCUGGUGUGGAAUGUGUCCUCGUGGACCUACGAAGUUCAGUAGUAACUUGAUUUGAAGUACCUUGAUCAUCAUCAUUAGCUUCCUCUCUAGUCAGUGCACGCACGACAGGAACAGCUUCCUGAGCUGCGCUACUUUUUGGUUCAAGAGGUAGUACUUCAUCAAGUUCCACUUUCCUCCCACUUACUUCUUUCGAGAGAAACUAUUUCUCCAGAAAGGACCUAUUCUUGGCAGCAAAGAUCUUGCCUUCGGAUCUGAGGCAGAAGGUAUACCCAAUGGUUUCCUUAGGGUAUCCUAUGAAGACGCAUUUUUUCGACUUGGGUUCGAGCUUUUCAGGUUGAAGUUUCUUGACAUAAGCAUCGCAUCCCCAAACUUUUAGAAACGACAGCUUAGGUUUCUUCCCAAACCAUAAUUCAUACGGUGUCGUCUCAACGGAUUUAGACGGUGCCCUAUUUAAAGUGAAUGUAGCUGUCUCUAGAGCGUAUCCCCAAAAUGAUAGCGGUAAAUCGGUGAGUGACAUCAUAGAUCGCACCAUAUCCAAUAGAGUGCGAUUACGAUGUUCGGACACACCGUUACGCUGAGGUGUUCCAGGCGGCAUGAGUUGUGAAACGAUUCCACAUUUCCUUAAGCGAGUACCAAAUUCGUGACUUAAAUAUUCUCCCAAAUGAUCUGAUCGUAAGAACUUUAUCUUUCGGUCACUUUGAUUCUCUACCUCAUUCUGAAAUUCCUUGAACUUUUCAAAGGUCUCAGACUUGUGUUUCAUCAAGUAGACAUACCCAUAUCUACUCAAGUCAUCAGUGAGAGUGAGAACAUAAUGAUAUCCUCCAGGAGCCUCAACGCUCAUUGGACCGCACACAUCAGUAUGUAUGAUUUCCAAUAAGUUGGUUGCUCGCUCCAUUGUUUCGGAGAACGGAGUCUUGGUCAUUUUGCCCAUAAGGCAUGGUUCACACGUGUCAAAUGAUUCAUAAUCAAGAGACUCCAAAAGUCCAUCAGCAUGGAGCUUCUUCAUGCGUUUGACACCAAUGUGACCAAGGCGGCAGUGCCACAAGUAUGUGGGACUAUCGUUAUCAACUUUACAUAUUUUGGUAUUCACUCUAUGAAUAUGUGUAACAUCACGUUCGAGAUUCAUUAAGAAUAAACCAUUGACCAGCGGGGCAUGACCAUAAAACAUAUCUGUCAUAUAAAUAGAACAACCAUUAUUCUCGGAUUUAAAUGAGUAGCCAUCUCGUAUUAAACGAGAUCCAGAUACAAUGUUCAUGCUCAAAGCUGGCACUAAAUAACAAUUAUUGAGGUUUAAAACAAAUCCCAUAGGUAAAUGUAGAGGUAGCGUGCCGACGGCGAUCACAUCGACCUUGGAACCAUUCCCGACGCGCAUCGUCACCUCGUCCUUCGCCAGUCUCCGCUUAUUCCGUAGCUCCUGCUUUGAGUUACAAAUAUGAGCAACCGCACCGGUAUCAAAUACCCAGGAGCUACUACGAGUACUGGUAAGGUACACAUCAAUUACAUGUAUAUCACAUAUACCUUUAGUGUUGCCGGCCUUCUUGUCCGCUAAGUAUUUGGGACAGUUCCGCUUCCAGUGUCCCUUUCCCUUGCAAUAAAAGCACUCGGUCUCAGGCUUGGGUCCAUUCUUGUGCUUCUUCCGGGAAACUGGCUUACCGGGCAUGGCAACUCCCUUGCCGUCCUUCUUGAAGUUCUUCUUAGCCUUGCCUUUCUUAAAACUAUCGGUUUUAUUGACCAUCAACACUUGAUGCUCCUUUUUGAUUUCCACCUCUGCUGAUUUCAGCAUUGAAAAUACUUCAGGAAUAGUUUUCACCAUCCCCUGCAUAUUGUAGUUCAUCACAAAGCUCUUGUAACUAGGUGGGAGCGACUGAAGGAUUCUGUCAAUGACCGCCUUGUCCGGGAGGUUAAUGUCCAGCUGCGACAAGCGGUUGUGCAACCCAAACAUUUUGAGUAUGUGCUCACUGACAGAACUAUUUUCUUCCAUCUUACAACUAUAGAACUUGUCGGAGACUUCAUAUCUCUCGACCCGGGCAUGAGCUUGGAAAACCAUUUUCAGCUCUUCGAACAUCUCAUAUGCUCCGUGUUGCUCAAAACGCUUUUGGAGCCCCGGUUCUAAGCUGUAAAGCAUGCCACACUGAACGAGGGAGUAAUCAUCAGCACGUGACUGCCAAGCGUUCAUAACGUCUUGGUUCUCUGGGAUGGGUGCUUCACCUAGCGGUCCUUCUAGGACAUAUGCUUUCUUGGCAGCUAUGAGGAUGAUCCUCAGGUUCCGGACCCAGUCCGAAUAGUUGCUGCCAUCAUCUUUCAGCUUGGUUUUCUCUAGGAACGCGUUGAAGUUGAGGUUGACAUGAGCGUUGGCCAUUUGAUCUACAAGACAUUUUGCAAAGGUAUUUAGACUAAGUUCAUGAUAAUUAAGUUCAUCUAAUCAAAUUAUUUAAUGAACUCCCACUUAGAUUAGACAUCCCUCUAGUCAUCUAAGUGAUACAUGAUCAGACUCAACUAGACCGUGUCCGAUCAUCACGUGAGACGGACUAGUCAUCAUCGGUGAACAUCUCCAUGUUGAUCAUAUCUUCCAUACGACUCAUGUUCGACCUUUCGGUCUCUUGUGUUCUGAGGCCAUGUCUGUACAUGCUAGGCUCGUCAAGUCAACCUAAGUGUUUUACAUGUGUAAAUCUGUCUUACACCCGUUGUAUGUGAACGUUAGAAUCUAUCACACCUGAUCAUCACGUGGUGCUUCGAAACAACGAACUUUCGCAACGGCGCACAGUUAGGGGGAACACUUUCUUGAAAUUAUUAUAAGGGAUCAUCUUAUUUACUACCGUCGUACUAAGCAAAUAAGAAGCAAAACAUGAUAAACAUCACAUGAAAUCAAAUAGUGACAUGAUAUGGCCAAUAUUUUGUAUCAUAUUGCUCCUUUGAUCUCCUUCUUCGGGGCGCCAUGAUCAUCUUCGUCACCGGCAUGACACCAUGAUCUCCAUCAUCGUGUCUUCAUGAAGUUGUCACGCCAACGAUUACUUCUACUUCUAUGGCUAACGUGUUUAGUAAUAAAGUAAAGUAAUUUACAUGGCGUUAUUCAAUGACACGCAGGUCAUACAAAAAAUAAAGACAACUCCUAUGGCUCCUGCCGGUUGUCAUACUCAUCGACAUGCAACUCGUGAUUCCUGUUACAAGAACAUGAUCAAUCUCAUACAUCACAUAUAUUUCAUUCAUCACAUCCUUUUGGCCAUAUCACAUCACAAGGCAUAUGCUGCAAAAACAAGUUAGACGUCCUCUAAUUGUUGUUGCAUGUUUUUAUGUGGCUUCUAUAGGUUUCUAGCAAGAACGUUUCUUACCUACGUAAUACCACAACGUGAUAUGCCAAUUUGUAUUUACCCUUCAUAAGGACCCUUUUCAUCGAAUCUGAUCCGACUAAAGUGGGAGAGACAGACACCCGCUAGCCACCUUAUGCAACUAGUGCAUGUCAGUCGGUGGAACCUGUCUCACGUAAGAGUACGUGUAAGGUUGGUCCGGGCCGCUUCAUCCCACGAUGCUGUCGAAACAAGAUAAUACUAGUAGUGGCAAGAAAAUUGACAAGAUCUACGCCCACAACAAGUUUGUGUUCUACUCGUGCAUAGAAACUACGCAUAGACCUAGCUCAUGAUGCCACUGUUGGGGAACGUUGCAGAAAAUAAAAAAUUUCUACGCUUCACCAAGAUCAAUCUAUGGAGUCAUCUAGCAACGAGAGAGAGGAGUGCAUCUACAUACCCUUGUAGAUCACGUGCGGAAGCGUUCAAGAGAACGGGGUUGAGGGAGUCGUACUCGUCGUGAUCCAAAUCACCGGAGAUCCUAGCACCGAACGGACGGCACCUCCGCGUUCAACACACGUAUGGUUGGGGAAGAUGUCUCCUCCUUCUUGAUCCAGCAAGGGGAAGGGAGAGGUUGAUGGAGAUCCAGCAUCACAACGGCGUGGUGGUGGAAGUAGCGGUGAUCUCGGUAGGGCUUCGCCAAGCUCAGCGAGAAGGAGAGGUGGUAUGGAGGGAGAGGGAGGCGCCAGGAGCAGGGGUGCGCAGCCCUCCCUCCCCCCUCUUUAUAUAGGAGCCCUCGGGGGGGGGGCCUAGAGAUUGGAUCUCAAGGGGGGGGGGGCGGCCAAGGGGGUGGCUUGCCCCCCAAGCCAAGUGGGGCGCCCCCCACCCCUAGGGUUUUCAACCCUAGGCGCAGGGGGAGGCCCAAGGGGGCCGCACCAGCCCACCAGGGGCUGGUUCCCCUCCCCACUUCAGCCCACGGGGCCCUCCGGGAUAGGUGGACCCUCCCGGUGGACCCCCGGGACCCUUCCUGUGGUCCCGGUACAAUACCGGUGACCCCCGAAACUUUCCCGAUGGCCGAAACUGGACUUCCUAUAUAUAAUUCUUCACCUCCCGACCAUUCCGGAACUCCUCGUGACGUCCGAGAUCUCAUCCGGGACUCCGAACAACUUUCGGGUUACCGCAUACUAGUAUCUCUACAACCCUUGCAUCACCGAACCUUAAGUGUGUAGACCCUACGGGUUCGGGAGACAUGCAGACAUGACCGAGAUGACUCUCCGGCCAAUAACCAACAGCAGGAUCUGGAUACCCAUGUUGGCUCCCACAUGUUCCACGAUGAUCUCAUCGAAUGAACCACGAUGUCGAGGAUUCAAGUAAUCCCGUAUACAAUUCCCUUUGUCAAUCGGUACGUUACUUGCCCGAGAUUCGAUCGUCGGUAUCCCAAUACCUCGUUCAAUCUCGUUACCAGCAAGUCACUUUACUCGUACCGUAAUGCAUGAUCCCGUGACCAACCACUUAGUCACUUUGAUCUCAUUAUGAUGAUGCAUUACCGAGUGGGCCCAGAGAUAUCUCUCCGUCAUACGGAGUGACAAAUCCCAGUCUCGAUCCGUGUCAACCCAACAGACACUUUCGGAGAUACCUGUAGUAUACCUUUAUAGUCACCCAGUUACGUUGUGACGUUUGGUACACCCAAAGCACUCCUACGGCAUCCGGGAGUUACACGAUCUCAUGGUCUAAGGAAAUGAUACUUGACAUUGGAAAAGCUCUAGCAAACGAACUACAUGAUCUUGUGCUACGCUUAGGAUUGGGUCUUGUCCAUCACAUCAUUCUCCUAAUGAUGUGAUCCCAUUAUCAAUGACAUCCAAUGUCCAUGGUCAGGAAAACAUGGACAUCUAUUGAUAAACAAGCUAGUCAACUAGAGGCUCACUAGGGACAUGUUGUGGUCUAUGUAUUCACACAUGUAUUACGAUUUCCGGAUAACACAAUUAUAGCAUGAAUAAUAGACAAUUAUCAUGAACGAGGAAAUAUAAUGAUAACCAUUUUAUUAUUGCCUCUAGGGCAUAUUUCCAACAGUGCUUAGGCGAAGCCCUGCAGGGAUCACAUCAUCAACACCGUCAUCACGCCAUCGUGCUGACGAUACUCACCCUCGACCCUCUGCUUGAUCAAGAGUUCGAGGGAUGUCAUCAAGCUAAACGUGUGCUUAACACGGAGGUGCCGUACAUUCGGCACUUGGAUCGUGAAGAUGUUCGACUACAUCAAUUGCGUUAACCAAUGCUUCCGCUUUUGGUCUACGAGGGUACGUGGACACACUCUCCCCCUCUCGUUGCUAUGCAUCUCCUAGAUAGAUCUUGCGUGAUCGUAGGAAAAAAUUACAUGAAUAAAACCUUCUAUGGUCAUACACCCAAUGUUGAUGGUUUAUUGAAUCUUGAUCGUAGUGAUACACAUAUUCAUAAUAUUGAUGCCAAAAGAUGCGAAGUAGAUAAUGAUAGUGCAACAUACUUGUGGCACUGCCGUUUAGGUCAUAUUGGUGUAAAGCACAUGAAGAAACUCCAUGCUGAUGGGCUUUUGGAAUUACUUGAUUAUGAAUCAUUUGACACUUGCGAACUCUGUCAAUCACUAUCUUAUCUGGAAGAUUAACUCCCACUUGGUUCAAGCGAUUGUAGUACCCAGACAUUCUGAGCACAUGCUCACUAGCUGAGCUAUUCUCCUCCAUCUUUUUAGGCGAAGUACUUGUCAGAGGUCUCAUACCUCUCGAUACGGGCAUGAGUCUGAAAUAACUAUUUCAGCUCUUGGAACAUCUCAUAUUCUCUGUGGAAUUUCAAAAUGUUUUGAAGUCUCGGUUCUAAGCCAUAAAGCAUGGUGCACUAAACUAUCAAGUAGUCAUCAUAUUGAGCUAGCCAAACGUUCAUAACAUCUCCAUCUGCUCCUGCAAUAGGUCUGUCACCUAGAGGUGCAUCAAGGACAUAAUUCUUCUGUGCAGCAAUGAGGAUAAACCUCAGAUCACGGACCCAGUCUGCAUCAUUGCUACUAUCAUCUUUCAACUUAGUUUUCUCUAGGAACAUAUCAAAAAACUUAGGGAAGCUACAACGCAAGCUAUUGAUCUACAACAUAAUUUGCAAAUACUAUCAGGACUAAGUUCAUGAUAAAUUAAAGUUUAAUUAAUCAUAUUACUUAAGAACUCGCACUUAGAUAGACAUCCCUCAUGUCACCUAAAUGAUCAUGUGAUCCAUAUCAACUAAACCAUGUCCGAUCAUCACGUGAGAUGGAGUAGUUUUCAAUGGUAAACAUCUCUAUGUUGAUCAUAUCUACUAUAUGAUUCACGUUCGAUAUUUCAGUCUCAGUGUACAAGGGCCAUAUCUGCAUAUGCUAGGCUCGUCAAGUUUAACCCGAGUAUUCUUCACGUGCAAAACUGGCUUGCACUAAAACUCCGUUCUCCGGAACAAUGGAACGAGUUAAUGACUUAUUGGAAAUAAUACAUAUCGAUGUAUGCGGUCCGAUGAGUGUUGAGGCUCGUGGUAGGUAUCAUUAUUUUCUGACCUUCACAAAUGAUUUGAGCAGAUAUGCGUAUAUCUACUUAAUGAAAACACAAGUCUGAAACAUUUGAAAAGUUCAAAGAAUUUCAGAGUGAAGUGGAUAAUCAUUGUAACAAGAAAAUAAAGUUUCUAUGAUCUCAUCAUGGAGGUGAAUAUUUGAGUUACGUGUUUGGCCUUCAUUUAAACAAUGUGGAAUAGUUUCACAGCUCACGCCACCAGGAACACCAUAGCGUAAUGGUGUGUCUGAACGUUGUAACCGCACUUUAUUAGAUAUGGUGCGAUCUAUGAUGUCUCUUACUGAUUUACCAUGAUCAUUUUGGGAUUAUGCAUUAGAGACAUCUGCAUUCGCAUUAAAGGGCACCGGCAAAAUCCGUUGAGAAGACACCAUAUGAAAUGUGGUUUGGCAACAAACCUAAGCUGUCAUUUCUUAAAGUUUGGGGCCGCGAUGCUUAUGUGAAAAAGCUUCAACCUGAUAAGCUCGAACCCAAAUCGGAGAAAUGUGUCUUCAUAUAUACCCAAAGGAAACUGUUGGGUAUACCUUCUAUCACAUAUUCGAAGGCAAGAUAUUCAUUGCUAAGAAUGGUUCCUUUCUAGAGAAGGAGUUUCUCUCGAAAGAAGUGAGUGGGAAAAAAGUAGAACUUGAUGAGGUAAUUGUACCUUCUCCCGAAUUGGAAAGUAGUUCAUCACAGAAAUCAGUUCCAGUGAUUCCUACACCAAAUAGUGAAGAAGCUAAUGAUAACAAUCAUAAAACUUCAGAUCAAGUUACUACCGAACCUCUUAGGUCAACCAGAGUACCGUACGCACCAGAGUGGUACGGUAAUGCUAUUCUGAAAGUCAUGUUAUUAGACCAUGAUGAACCUACGAACUAUGAGGAAGCGAUGAUGAGCCCAGAUUCCGCGAAAUGGCUUGAGGCCAUGAAAUCUGAGAUGGGAUCCAUGUAUGAGAACAAAGUGUGGACUUUGGUGGACUUGCCCGAUGAUCGGCAAGCCAUAUAAAAUAAAUGGAUCUUCAAGAGGAAGAUGGACGCUGAUAGUAGUGUUACUAUCUAAAAAGCUCGACUUGUCGCAAAAGGUUUUCAACAAGUUCAAGGUGUUGACUACAAUGAGAUUUUCUCAACUGUAGUGAUGCUUAAAUCCGUCUGAAUCAUGUUAGCAAUUGCCAUAUUUUAUGAAAUCUGACAAAUGGAUGUCAAAACUUCAUUUCUUAAAUGGAUAUUUCUUAAAUAAGAGUUAUAUAUGAUGCAACCAGAAGGUUUUGUCGAUCCUAAAGGUACGGACAAGGUGUGCAAGCUCCAGCGAUCCAUCUAUGGACUGGUGCAAGCAUCUCGAAGUUGGAAUAUACGCUUUGAUGAGUUGAUCAAAGCAUAUGGUUUUAUACAGACUUGCGGCGAAGCCUGUAUUUACAAGAAAGUGAUUCGAAGCACUACAACUUUUCUGAUAAGUAUAUGUUAAUGACAUAUUGUUGAUCGGAAAUGAUGUAGAAUUUUCUGGAAAGCAUAAAGGAGAAUUUGAAAGGAGAUUUUCAAAGAAAGACCUUGGUGAAGCUGCUUACAUAUUGGGCAUCAAGAUCUAUAGAGAUAGAUUAAGAUGCUUGAUAAGAUUUUUCAAUGAGUACAUACCUUGACAAAAUUUUGAAAGAGUUCAAAAUGGAUCAGUCAAAGAAGGAGUUCUUGCCUGUAUUACAAGUUGUAAAGCUGAGUAAGACUCAAAGCCCGACCAGGGCAUAAGAUAGAAACAGAAUGAAAGUCAUUUCCUAUGCCUCAGUCAUAGGUUCUAUAAAGUAUGCCAUGCUAUGUACUAGACCAGUUGUGUGCCUUGCUAUGAGUUUGGCAAGGGGGUACGAUAGUGAUCCAGGAGUGGAUCACUGUAUAGCGGUCAAAGUUAUCCUUAGUUACCUAAGAGGACCAAGGAAGUAUUUCUCGGUUAUGAAGGUGGUAAAGAGUUCGUCGUAAAGAGUUAUCUCGAUGUAAGCUUUACACCAAUCCAGAUGACUCUGAGUCUCAAUCUGGAUACAUAUUGAAAGUGGGAUCAAUUAGCUAGAGUAGCUCCAUGCAGAGCCUUGUAGACAUAGAAAAUUUGCAAAAUACAUACGGCUCCGAAUUUAGCAGAUCCGUUGACUAAACUUCUCUCACAAGCAAAACAUGAUCACACCUUAGUACACUUUGGGUGUUAAUCACAUAGCGAUGUGAACUAGAUUAUUGACUCUAGUAAACCCUUUGGUUGUUGGUCACAUAGCGAUGUGAACUAUGGUGUUAAUCACAUACAUAUGUGAACUAUUGGUGUUAAAUCAGAUGGCAACGUGAACUAGAUUAUUGACUCUAUUGCAAGUGGGAGACUGAAGGAAAUAUGCCCUAGAGGCAAUAAUAAAGUUGUUAUUUAUAUUUUCAUAUAUCAUGAUAAAUGUUUAUUAUUCAUGCUAGAAUUGUAUGAACCGGAAACUUAGUACAUGUGUGAAUACAUAGACAAAACAAAGUGUCCCUAGUAUGCCUCUACUUGACUAGCUCAUUAAUCAAAGAUGGUUAUGCUUCCUGACCAUGGACAUGUGUUGUAAUUUGAUGAAUGGGAUCACAUCAUUAGAGAAUGAUGUGAUGGACAAGACCCAUCCGUUAGCUUAGCAUAAUGAUCGAUAAGUUUUAUUGCUACUGCUCUCUUCAUGACUUAUACAUGUUCCUCUGACUAUGAGAUUAUGCAACUCCUGAAUACCGGAGGAACACCUUGUGUGCUAUCAAACGUCACAAUGUAACUGGGUGAUUAUAAAGAUGCUCUACAGGUGUCCCCGAAGGUAUUUGUUGGGUUGGCAUAGAUCGAUAUUAGGAUUUGUCACUCCGUGUAUCGGAGAGGAUCUCUAGGCCCUCUCGGUAAUGCUCAUCACUAUAAGCCUUGCAAGCAAUGUGACUAAGGAGUUAGUUACAGGAUGAAGCAUUACGGAAUGAGUAAAGGGACUUGCCGGUAACGAGAUUGAACUAGGUAUGAAUAUACCGACGAUCGAAUCUCGGGCAAGUAACAUACCAAUGACGAAGGGAACAACGUAUGUUGUUGUGCGGUUUGACCGAUAAAGAUCUUCGUAGAAUAUGUAGGGUCCAAUAUGAGCAUCCAGGUUCCUCUGUUGGUUAUUUAUUAGAGAUAUGUCUCGAUCAUGUCUACAUAGUUCUCGAACUCGUAGGGUCCGCACGCUUAACGUUCGAUGAUGAUUUGUAUUAUGAGUUAUGUGUUUUUGAUGACCAAAGUUUGUUCGGAGUCCCAUAUGAGAUCACAGACAUGACGAGGAGUCUCGAAAUGGUCGAGAGGUAAAGAUUGAUAUAUUGUAAGGUGGUAUUCGGACACCGGAAGGGUUCCGGAGUGUAUCGGGUACAAACCAGAGUACCGAAGGGUUACCGGAACCCCCCGAUGGAAAAUAUGUGCCAUAUGGGCCAUGGGAGGGAGGCUAACCAGCCCACAAGGGGCUGAUGCACCCACCACAAGGGAGGGGGCUGGAUUGGACUAGGGAAAGGGGGCGCCACCUGAUACGUCUCCAACGUAUCUAUAAUUUUUGAUUGCUCCAUGCUAUAUUAUCUACUGUUUUGGGCAAUAUUGGGCUUUAUUUUCCACUUUUAUAUUACUUUUGGGACUAACCUAUUAACCAGAGGCCCAGCCCAGAUUUGCUGUUUUAUGCCUAUUUCAGUAUUUCGAGGAAAAGGAAUAUCAGACGGAGUCAAAACGGAACGAAAUCAACUGGAGAAGUUAUUUUUGGAAGGAAACCCACCUGAUGGACUUGGACCCCACGUCAGAAGAUAUGGGAGGUGCUCACGAGGGUGGCGGGCGCGCCCACACCCCCGGGCGCGCCCCCCUGCCUCGUGGGGCCCCCGUAGCUGCACCGACGUACUCCUUUCACCCAUAUAUACCUACAUACCCUAAAACUUCCAGAACAGAAGAUAGAUCGGGAGUUCCGCCGCCGCAAGCCUCUGUAGCCACCAAAAACCUCUCGGGAGCCCGUUCCGACACCCUGCCGGAGGGGGAACCGAUCACCGGUGGCCAUCUUCAUCAUCCCGGCGCUCUCCAUGACGAGGAGGGAGUAGUUCAUCCUCGGGGCUGAGGGUAUGUACCAGUAGCUAUGUGUUUGAUCUCUCUCUCUCUCUCUCGUGUUCUUGAUUUGGCACGAUCUUGAUGUAUCGCGAGCUUUGCUAUUAUAGUUGGAUUCUAUGUUUCUUCUCCCCCUCUACUCUCUUGUGAUGAAUUGAGUUUCCCCUUUGAAGUUAUCUUAUCGGAUUGAGUCUUUUAUGAGAACACUUGAUGUAUGUCUUGCCGUGAUUAUCUGUGGUGACAAUGGGAUAUCAUGUGCCACUUGAUGUAUGUUUUGGUGACCAACUUGCGGCUUCCGCUCAUAAACCUAUGCAUAGGGGUUGGCACAUGUUCUUGAUUCUCCGGUAGAAACUUUGGGGCACUCUUUGAAGUACUUUUAUGUUGGUUGGAUAAAUAUGAGAUUGUGUGAUGCAUAUCGUAUAAUCAUGCCCACUGAUACUUGAGGUGACAUUAGGGUUUUGGUUGAUUUGUAUCUUAAGGUGUUAUUCUAGUACGAACUCUAGGGCUGUUUGUGACACUUAUAGGAAUAACCCAACGGAUUGAUUGGAAAGAAUAACUUUGAGGUGGUUUCGUACCCUACCAUAAUCUCUACGUUUGUUCUCCGCUAUUAGUGGCUUUGGAGUGACUCUUUGUUGCAUGUUGAGGGCUUGUUAUAUGAUCUAUCUAUGUUAUUAUUGUUGAGAGAACUUGCACUAGUGAAAGUAUGAACCCUAGGCCUUGUUUACUAUCAUUGCAAUAUCGUUUACGCUCACUUUUACCACUUGUUACCUUGCUGUUUUUAUUAUUGCAGAUUACAAAAACCUAUAUCUACCAUCCAUAUUGCACUUGUAUCACCAUCUCUUCGCCGAACUAGUGCACCUAUACAAUUUACCAUUGUAUUGGGUGUGUUGGGGACACAAGAGACUCUUUGUUAUUUGGUUGCAGGGUUGCUUGAGAGAGACCAUCUUCAUCCUACGCCUCCCACGGAUUGAUAAACCUUAGAUCAUCCACUUGAGGGAAAUUUCUACUGUCCUACACACCUGUGCACUUGCAGGCCCAACAACGUCUACAAGAAGAAGGUUGCAUAGUAGACAUCAAGCUCUUUUCUGGCGCCGUUGCCGGGGAGGCUAGGUAAGUGAAGGUAUAUCUUUAGAUCUUGCAAUCGAAAUUUAGUUUCUUGUUUUAGCACUAGUUAGUCUAUAAAAGAAAAUUACAAAAAAAUGGAAUUGAGUUUGUCUCAUAUGCUUCACCUUUUUAAUAUCUUUCGUGAGAAUGAUGGAAAGGAAAAUUGUGCCAAAGUGCUAGAAGAAGAAUUACAUAGAAUGUUUGGCAUGAAAUAUGUGAAUGAUGAGCAUGAUUGCAAUGUUGUAAGUAUGAAUUCCUUGAAUAUCCAUGAUGCUAAUGAUAUGAAAAGCCACAAGCUUGGGGAAGCUAUGUUUGAUGAAGACGAUAUUUUUUGUCCCCCAAGCUUUGAUGAGCAAAUUUACAAUGAUGAAAGCAUGCCUCCUAUCUAUGAUAAUUAUUGUGAUGACACGUAUGCUAUAAAGAAUAAUAAUAACCAUGAAGCUUGUCAUCUUGAUCUUAAUUUUCAAUCACAUGAUAGUUAUUUUGUUGAGUUUGCUCCCACUAUUAUUGAUGAGAUAAUUUUGCUUAUGUGGAGAGUAGUAAAAUUUCUAUGCAAGUAGAUCAUGAAAAGAAUGCUUUAGGUGCUGGUUAUAUUGUUGAAUUCAUUCAUUAUGCUACUGAAAAUUAUUAUGAGGGAGGAAUAUAUGCUUGUAGGAAUUGCAAUAAUAUCAAGUUUCCUCUCUAUGUGCUUAAAGUUUUGAAGUUAUGCUUGUUUUACCUUCCUAUGCAAGUUGAUUAUUGUUCCCAUAAGUUGUUUUCUCACAAUAUCCCUAUGCAUAGGAAGUGGGUUAGACUUUGCUAGUCAUAUUCUUCAUGAUGCUCUCUUUAUGUUUCAAUUCUUAUCUUUUAUGUGAGCAUCAUUGAAAUCAUAAUGCCUAGCUAGGGGCGUUAAACGAUAGCGCUUGUUGGGAGGCAACCCAAUUUUAUUUUAGUUUCUUGCUUUUUGGUUCUGUUUAGUAAUAAAUAAUCCAUCUAGCUUCUGGUUAGAUGUGUUUUUGUGUUUUAAUUAGUGUUUGUGCCAAGUAGAACCUUUGGGAAGACAUGGGUGAAGUCUUUAUGAUCAUGCUGUAAAAAACAGAAACUUUAGCGCUCACGAGAUUAGCUAGAAUUUUUUACUGGAAAGUGAUAUUUAGUUGAUUAUUUUUGCAGAUGAUUACUAGACAAAUUCCUCAGGUCCACCAAUUUAUUUUAUAAUUUUUGGAGUUCCAGAAGUUUGGGUUAGUUACAGAUUACUCCAGACUGUUCUGUUUUUGACAGAUUCUGUUUUCAUUGUGUUGUUUGCUUAUUUUCAUGACUCUAUGGCUAGUAAAAUAGUUUAUAAACCAUAGAGAAGUUGGAAUACAGUAGGUUUAACACCAAUAUAAAUAAAUAAUGAGUUCAUUACAGUACCAUGAAGUGGUGUUUGGUUUUCUUUCGCUAACGGAGCUCACGAGUUUUCUGUUAAGUUUUGUGUUGUGAAGUUUUCAAGUUUUGGGUAAAGAUUCGAUGGACUAUGGAAUAAGGAGUGGAAAUAGCCUAAGCUUGGGGAUGCCCAAGGCACCCCAAGGUAAUAUUCAAGGACAACAAAGAGCCUAAGCUUGGGGAUGCCCCGGAAGGCAUCCCCUCUUUCGUCCUCAUCCAUCGGUAACUUUACUUGGAGCUAUAUUUUUAUUCACCACAUGAUAUGUGUUUUGCUUGGAGCAUCAUUUUAUUUUCUUUAGCUUUGCUUUCUGUUAGUUAGAAUAAUGUUUUGCAUCUUUAGUUUCAAUAAAAAAGUCAAGGAUAGCCUUUGCCAUCCUUAUUUUGCAAGUAUACAUGUUGUUGUUUGAAAACAGAAAGUUUACCGCUGUUGCAAAAAUUCCUUAGAAAAGUCAGAGAGUGGUAUAAUGUUGAAUAUUUUUGCAUAUUGAGCUCUGAUAAAUUUAUUACAGUGGGAAUUUUAUUUCAUAAUUUUUGUAGUUAGGGAAGUAUUGAUACUCUUGCAUUCUUUACAGAUUGUACUGUUUUGGCAGAUUGCUGUUAUGUUUGCAUUGUUUGCAUAUGUUUGCUUGUUUAAUGAUUCUAUUUAAGGAUAGGAGUAUUAAAUAUGCAGAGGCAUUUAGUAUGAAAUGUUGAAUAAUAAUGUUAGUGAUUUGUUACAGUAGGAAAUGAUAAGGUUUUGCAUUGGUUUAUACUAACCUAUCUCACAAGUUCUUGUUGAGUUUGUUGUGAAUGAAGCUUUUGAUAAAAAGAGAAACCAUGAUAUGAGAGGAAUUAAGGAGACACAAAAGCUCAAGCUUGGGGAUGCCCAAGGCACCCCAAGAUAUUAUUUAAAGAAGUCUCAAGCAUCUAAGCUUGGGGAUGCCCCCGUUGGCAUCCCACCUUUCUCCUUCAACAACUAUCGGUUAGUAUCGGUUGAACCUAAGUUUUUGCUUCUUCACUUGAGUUGUGCUAUCCUUGCAAUGUAGUUUUAUUUUGUUUUGCUUGCUGUUUGGGUACAAUACCAAGAUCUGAAAUUCCUUAAUGUGAGAGAGUCUUCACAUAGUUGCAUAAUUAUCCGACUACUCAUUGAUCUUCACUUAUAUCUUUUGGAGUAGUUUGUUGUUUGCUCUAGUGCUUCACUUAUAUCUUUUAGAGCAUGGUGGUAGUUUUAUUUUAAAGAAAUAGAUGAACUCUCAUGCUUCACUUAUAUUAUUUUGAGAGUCUUAAAUAUCAUGGUAAUUUGCUUAAAAUAAUCCUAAUAUGCUAAGCAUACAAGAUUUGUAAGAAUUCUUAUGAGUGUGUUGAAUACUAAGAGAAGUUUGAUGCUUGAUGAUUGUUUUGAGAUAUGAAGAUGGUGAUAUUAGAGUCAUGCUAGUUGAGUAGUUGUGAAUUUGAGAAAUACUUGUGUUAAAGUUUGUGAUUCCCGUAGCAUGCACGUAUAGUGAACUGUUAUGUGAUGAAGUCGAAGCAUGAUUUAUUUAUUGAUUGUCUUAAUUAUGAGUGGCGGUCGGGGACGAGCGAUGGUAUUUUCCUACCAAUCUAUCCCCCUAGGAGCACGCGCGUAAUACUUUGCUUUGAUAACUUGUAGAUUUUUGCAAUAAGUAUAUGAGUUCUUCAUGACUAAUGUUGAGUCCAUGGAUUAUACGCACUCUCACCCUUCCACCAUUGCUAGCCUCUCUAAUACCGCGCACCUUUCGCCGGCAUCAUACACCCACCAUAUACCUUCCUUAAAACAGCCACCAUACCUACCUAUCAUGGCAUUUUCAUAGCCAUUCCAAGAUAUAUUUCCAUGCAACUUUCCACUAUUCCGUUUAUUAUGACACGCUCCAUCAUUGUCAUAUUUCUUAGCAUGAUCAUGUAGUUGACAUCGUAUUUGUGGCAAAGCCACCGUUCAUAAUUCUUUCAUACAUGUCACUCAUGAGUCAUUGCAUAUCCCGGUACACCGCCGGAGGCAUUCAUAUAGAGUCAUAUCUUGUUCUAAGUAUUGAGUUGUAAGUAAAUAAAAGUGUGAUGAUCAUCAUUAUUAGAGCAUUGUCCCAGUGAGGAAAGGAUGAUGGAGACUAUGAUUCCCACACAAGUCGGGAUGAGACCCCGGACGAAAAAAAUUAAAAAAAAGAGGCCAUAAAAAAGAGAAAAGGCCCAAAAAAAUGAGAGAAAAAGAGAGAAGGGACAAUAUUACUAUCCUUUUACCACACUUGUGCUUCAAAGUAGCACCAUGAUCUUCAUGAUAGAGAGUCUCUCAUUUUGUCACUUUCAUAUACUAGUGGGAAUUUUUCAUUAUAGAACUUGGCUUGUAUAUUCCAAUGAUGGGCUUCCUCAAAAUGCCCUAGGUCUUCAUGAGCAAGCGAGUUGGAUGCACACCCACUUAGUUUCUUUUGUUGAGCUUUCACAUACUUAUAGCUCUAGUGCAUCCGUUGCAUGGCAAUCCCUACUCACUCACAUUGAUAUCUAUUGAUGGGCAUCUCCAUAGCCCAUUGAUACGCCUAGUUGAUGUGAGACUAUCUUCCCCUCUUUUUGUCUUCUCCACAACCACCAUUCUAUUCCACAUAUAGUGCUAUAUCCAUGGCACACGCUCAUGUAUUGCGUGAAGAUCGAAAAAGUUUUGAAAAUGUUAAAGUAUGAAACAAUUGCUUGGCUUGUCAUCAGGGUUGUGCAUGAUUUAAAUACUUUGUGUGGUGAAGAUAGAGCAUAGCCAGACUAUAUGAUAUUGUAGGGAUAACUUUCUUUGGCCAUGUUAUUUUGAGAAGACAUAAUUGCUUUGUUAGUAUGCUUGAAGUAUUAUUAUUUUUAUGUCAAUAUGAACUUUUGUCUUGAAUCUUUCAGAUCUGAAUAUUCAUAUCACAAUUAAGAAGAAUUACAUUGAAAUUAUGCCAAGUAGCAUUCCACAUCAAAAAUUAUCCUUUUUAUCAUUUACCUACUCGAGGACGAGCAGGAAUUAAGCUUGGGGAUGCUUGAUACGUCUCCAACGUAUCUAUAAUUUUUGAUUGCUCCAUGCUAUAUUAUCUACUGUUUUGGAUAAUAUUGGGCUUUAUUUUCCACUUUUAUAUUACUUUUGGGACUAACCUAUUAACCGGAGGCCCAGCCCAGAUUUGCUGUUUUAUGCCUAUUUCAGUAUUUCGAGGAAAAGGAAUAUCAGACGGAGUCAAAACGGAACGAAAUCAACUGGAGAAGUUAUCUUUGGAAGGAAACCACCUGAUGGACUUGGACCCCACGUCAGAAGAUAUAGGAGGUGCUCACGAGGGUGGGGGGCGCGCCCACCCCCCCCCCCUCGGGCGCGCCCCCUGCCUCGUGGGGCCCUUGUAGCUUCACCGACGUACUCCUUUCACCCAUAUAUACCUACGUACCCUAAAACUUCCAGAACAGAAGAUAGAUUGGGAGUUCCGCCGCCGCAAGCCUCUGUAGCCACCAGAAACCUCUCGGGAGCCCGUUCCGGCACCCUGCCGGAGGGGGAACCCAUCACCGGUGGCCAUCUUCAUCAUCCCGGCACUCUCCAUGACGAGGAGGGAGUAGUUCAUCCUCGGGGCUCAGGGUAUGUACCAGUAGCUAUGUGUUUGAUCUCUCUCUCUCUCGUGUUCUUGAUUUGGCACGAUCUUGAUGUAUCGCGAGCUUUGCUAUUAUAGUUGGAUCCUAUGUUUCUUCUCCCCCUCUACUCUCUUGUGAUGAAUCGAGUUUACCCUUUGAAGUUAUCUUAUCGGAUUGAGUCUUUUAUGAGAACACUUGAUGUAUGUCUUGCCGUGAUUAUCUAUGGUGACAAUGGGAUAUCAUGUGCCACUUGAUGUAUGUUUUGGUGACCAACUUGCGGGUUCCGCCCAUGAACCUAUGCAUAGGGGUUGGCACACGUUCUUGAUUCUCCGGUAGAAACUUUGGAGCACUCUUUGAAGUGCUUUUAUGUUGGUUGGAUAAAUCUGAGAUUGUGUGAUGCAUAUCGUAUAAUCAUGCCCACGGAUACUUGAGGUGACAAUGGAGUAUCUAGGUGACAUUACGGCUUUGGUUGAUUUGUAUCUUAAGGUGUUAGUCUAGUACGAACUCUAGGGCUGUUUGUGACACUUAUAGGCCCAACGGAUUGAUUGGAAAGAAUAACUUUGAGGUGGUUUCGUACCCUACCAUAAUCUCUACGUUUGUUCUCUGCUAUUAGUGGCUUUGGAGUGACUCUUUGUUGCAUGUUGAGGGCUUGUUAUAUGAUCUAUCUAUGUUAUUAUUGUUGAGAGAACUUUCACUAGUGAAAGUAUGAACCCUAGGCCUUGUUUACUAUCAUUACAAUACCGUUUACGCUCACUUUUACCACUUGUUACCUUGCUGUUUUUAUUAUUUCAGAUUACAAAAACCUAUAUCUACCAUCCAUAUUGCACUUGUAUCACCAUCUCUUCGCCGACUAGUGCACCUAUACAAUUUACCAUUGUAUUGGGUGUGUUGGGGACACAAGAGACUCUUAUUUGGUUGCAGGGUUGCUUGAGAGAGACCAUCUUCAUCCUACGCCUCCCACGGAUUGAUAAACCUUAGGUCAUCCACUUGAGGGAAAUUUGCUAUUGUCCUACAAACCUGUGCACUUGCAGGCCCAACAACGUCUACAAGAAGAAGGUUGCGUAGUAGACAUCACCACCCCCCUUUCCUUCUCCUACUCCCUCUCAUUUCCCCUUUCCACCUCCGUAAGAAGGAAAAAAGAGGGGGGCCGAAUCCUCCGUAACACGGAGGUGCCGUACGUUCGGUACUUGGAUCGGUUGGAUCGUGAAGACGUUCGACUACAUCAACCGCGUUAACCAACCGCUUCCACUUUCGGUCUACGAGGGUACGUGUACACACUCUCCCCCUCUCGUUGCUAUGCAUCUCCUAGAUAGAUCUUGCGUGAUCAUAGGAAAUUUUUUGAAAUUGCAUGCUACAUUCCCCAACAGUCACAUGGUAUACCCAGGACAUACGCGACGAGCUCCAACUCACAGAUUCGGAUCUGGGCACCUUCGACACGGGCGUGCUUGAGCCACCUACCGCUAGACCACUCGCCGCCCACACGACCAAGAGGAUAAGCCACCACCGCCGCCAUGAGGCCCAUUGGAGAGCCAAUCCUGGGGACCGCCGCCGAGGCCACUGCCUCGGCCACCCAUCCACCACAUGUUACACCAACCCCGGCAGGUAGGGUAAAAGGUCAUCCUUCCACACCUAGCCCGACAUCAGUCCCCGGAUCUGGGUUCACACCUCCAUCGUAGGUGGUGUCGACGCCUGCAUCUCCAACCAGUCGGGACAUGACCCUAGGACUGCCGGUGCCACCAAGCCGAGCUUGCAUGACACCAAAUCCGAGAUCACUGGUGCCGCACGGCACGACGGGGAAGAAAUGUCAGGACCACCACCACAACUCUCCGCACCCGCGAGGACAAUGCACAUGGGUACAUCCCAAGCAUAGCCCAAGCCUCACCUACCGAGAGAAACCACCUGAUGCACCUCGGGCCCAAAUCCAGCCUGCCAGUGAACAAACCCUAGGUCAGGGGAGCCGCCUCGUGUGUGCAACCGACCAGCCCCGCAUGCCACCGGCUCCAAUCUGGAAGAAGGUAGACCACAACGCUGCCGCCUCGAGUCACCAGCCAAACAAUCGCCGACCAUCGCACUGCCGAAGUCCACACCGCCGUCCUAGCCCACUGCGGCCACAAGGAUGACCACCCGCGAGCAGGAACCGCCGCCGACACUAGCCGGCAGGGCGACGCCUCCAACCCACGCGGCUGCAGCCCAAGCACCCCCCCGCGUCCGUCGAUGUCCACCACGUAGCUCGCACCAACGCGCCACCGUCAUGCCCGCCUGAUGCCACGUCGUCGCGCCCCCCGCCGACCCAUGCUCCAGCCCAGGGGAGCGCGCCCGUGAUGCCACCGUCGUGCGGGAGGACGUCGGGGCCCCGCCGCCAACACCAGUCAAGCUUUGCCCGACUGUUCCCACUGGAAGCGGUGAAUCAGGGGAAAUGAGGAAGGGGGUGCGGGUGGCGAGAUCUAGGUCGCCCUCCCGUUGCCUUGCGGGGGUGACGCGGGAGGGUUCGAGGGCGGAGUCCGGGAUCAUCAGGCUGAUACAUAUAAAUCCUAUAGGUGCUUCGUCGGUAAUAAAGUUCAUGCGUUGCAAAACAUGUUUAAUUUAUCUUAUCUUUUCGUUUUUGAUUCCUAUUUUUUUUCUUUUUCUUUUGGUCCUUUUUUUUGCACUUAUUUAAUUUUUGGCCUUUCUGGUUAAUAUUUUUCCAUCAUGCCUGUACAAAGAAGUUCAUAUUGUAUUUCUAAUAUAUCCAUGGUGUAAUUGAAAAAUGUUGAUCAUCCAUGAGAAAGGAUCACCGGGGAAGCUGGACUGAACCGGCCCGUUGGCAACAUUGUUACUGUAGGAUGUAAGCUACGGUUCAAAUAAAAAUGGGAACUCUUCUAAAAAAUGGGAACACAUUCUCAAAAAAUGAACACUUCCUUAAAACUUUAAAAUAUUUCAAUUUCAUGAAUAUUUUUGUAAAAGGUGAGCAAAUUUUGAAAUUUUUAAACAUUUUCUCAAAAUUUAUGAACAAUUUUUGAACUACAAUUUGUUUUUCGAUUCUUAAAGUAUUUAUUUAAAAAAAUCUCGAAAAUCUGGAUGAUUUCUAGAAACACGUAUGAAUUGGGAAACAUUUAAAAUAUUUUUAAAAUGACGAAAAUUUUAGAAAAUGUAAAAGAAAUUUGAAAUCUGAACAAUAUUUGAAGAUUUUAAUAUUUUUUGAAAAAUUGAUUUUUUAAAUUUGGAACUUUCUUUCAAAAUGCGAACUUUUAUUGAAAAAGAUGAAAAAGAUUUUGAAUUUUUGAGCACCUAAUGGAAAUGCAAACAAUUUUUGAAAAUUUUGUUUUUAUUUAUGAUUAUAUGAAAAAAAAAUAAAACGGAAACAGGAAAUACUAAAGGAAAGGAAAAAAUGAACAAUAAAAAACCGAAAGUAAACCAGAAAACUAGUAAAGAAAAUGGCAGAAAAUACAGGCUCAGGCACCUUCUCGAAGUUCUCCAUAACCGGUAGAAAAAAUCAUUAUACCUGCUAGCUAAAAUAGGCUGGAAUCAACAAAUUUUUUUGAAAUUCAUGUUUUUUUAAUUAUGAAUUGACGAACAUUUUUAAUUUUUUAACCUUUUGAAAUUUUGGAAAAAAUUGAAAUUGAAGAAUAGUUUAUCAAAUCAAGAACAAUUUUAAAAUUCUAGAACAUUUUUAAAUUUGUGAAUAGUUUUUCAAAUACACAAACAAUUUUUCAAACUCGUGAACAUAUUUUAAAUUCGAAUUUUUUUCAAAUCCCUGAAUAUUUUUGAAAAUCCAGGAAAUUUGCAAACCGUGAAUAUUUAUUGAAACUCGGGCUAUAUUUUUUCAUAUUCAUGAACAUUUUUGCAAAUCUAGGAAUGUUCUAAAAUCCCUGGAAUAUUUGAAAUACAUGAACAUUUUUUCAAGUUCAAGAAAAUUUUUUAAAACAGAGGAACAAUUUUGAAAUUAUGUACAUUUUUGAAUUCAUGAACUUUUUUUGCAAUUCAAAAUAUUUUUUGAAAGUUCAAAGUUUUUUAAAACAAAAGGAGAAAAAACAAAAAUCGAAAGGCAAAAUAAAGAUCUCCUUGUCCCCCAAUGGACCGGCCGAAACCAUGUUAGUGAUGAUCUAGGCUGAGUACUCUGCUGCUCCUGCAUGUAUGGCCUUCGGGUCCACCUCUGUACUUAAAACUGAUGCUCAAAAAAAAAUCUGCACUUAAAACUUGUUUCUCUCUGCAAAUAGAAUGGGCAGCGCUCCUGUCUUCCAUUAAAAAAAUGUACUAAUAUCUACAAGGGCACGGGAUGAUAACUCACUGUCUGAAUCAAUCUUGGUUUCUUGAUUCAGUACACGUCUGCAGCUAGAAACAGAGAAGCCUUGUGCCUCUCUUUGGUCUUGUUCAGAUUUGAGAAAGGGUGCGGCUGUUAGUAAAUGGAAAGGGAACAAGAAUGCUGAGUACUCUCACCGUCGGAGAGACGAAAAACAUGAUUAAAUGGGUAUAAAAGCCAGAUAUAAUCUAGAUUGACCGUUGAGGGCAUUAUCAAUUUAAUACUUGGCGAAAGCCUUCUUUCUUAAAUAGGAUGUAUAAUGGUACAUCCCAAUACAAUUUUAAUUCGGUCAUACACAUUAACACAUCCGGGGAGUUAUGUGGCUAUUCUAAGUGCAGAAGAAAAAUGUAUACAUCUAGGCUAUACAUAGAUAUAGAUGAGACGUAAGAAAGGAUAUACGAUCGAUCAUUGUGUUGCACUACGUGGCAUAGUAGUAGCUAUCAGUUUGGUGUACUCGACUUUGAUCUUCUUCAGCAUCACUACCACAUCAUGCAUCGUCAUCCUCUGGUCAGGCAAGUCACUAGAGCAGAUCAAUCCCAACUCGAAGACCGACGCAAGAAAACCACCAUCCUGUUUGCAGCUAGAAAGAGAGGAACCCUGUAGAAGCUGGACAUCGACAACUUGGACAAGCUCUGCAGGAAAUGCCUGAUGAACCCACUGCCUAAGAGUUAGUUGUGCGCCAAACAUAGCAUCGGUGGGUCUCCUUCCGGUGAAGACUUCAAGGAGCAUGAUUCCAUAACUAAACAUAUCGCUCUUUCGCGAUGCUUUUCCAAGAGAUCCGUACUCUGCUCAAUAGAAACAUAAAUAUAAAUUGAAGCACAAUUGUUCAACCUUAUUGCUUCAGGUAGGGACUCAGUUUAUAAAUGGUUUAACAAGUAUUCAACUGAACAAGAUAACGAGAGAUAGCUAACUGCGUACCAGGUGCCAUGUACCCAACUGUUCCAGGCAUGCUCACACAUGUCAUGCUAUUGUCAUCUAGAAUCAACCUUGCAAUGCCAAAGUCCGCCACAUGCGUCGUCAUCUCCUCAUCGAACAACACGUUGCUAGGCUUCAAGUCACAGUGCAAGAUCAAAUUGUAGUACUCAUGGUGUAGAUAAUCCAUUGCCAUCGACACGUCUAGCAUGAUGCAUAAUCUCUCAAGGAAUCCCAAGCGCACUGUACUCUUGGUCUGAUGUAGGAGCAUCUCCAAGCUGCCAUUUGGCAUGUACUGAAGCACUAGCGCUUUGAAAUCAAGAUUGGAACAUGUGUUGAGUAUCUUUAUGAGGUUGCGGUGUCGCACCAUACGAAGCACUUGACACUCGGCAUCAAAACUUCGAAUGGCCUGCUCUAGCUGCACGUCGAUAACUUUUAUAGCGACUACCAAACCAGUGCUUAGUUGGCCUUUGAAUACUUUUCCAAAGCUUCCGCAUCCCAAGAUGUUAUCUUCACUGAAACUAUUGGUCGCACGAAUGAGCUCAUGAUAGGAGACUAUCUGAUGGCCUAUGACAUCAUUUGCAUUGACAAAAUGUUUGUCCUCUCCCCCCUUAGGUUUCUUUCCGAACAAUAGGUAUAUGCAAAUGGCAAUGGCGCCAAAAGCUAGUGUGAGUGUUGGGAGUAGAAUUUGUAGCACAUGUUUGUUUCUUGAGUGAGGUAUGUCAAGGCAUGGCAAAAGAUCUAGGCGAGGAGCGCCACACAACCCAACAUUUCCAAUUAAAGAUUGCAAUGUGAGAUUUGAGAAAACACCUCCCUCGGGUAUUUGGCCUUCUAGACUAUUGAAUGAGAGGUUCAAGGUAGUCAAGUAUGUAAAGUUGGCAAGGAACGUGGGAAUGCUACCAGAGAGAUUGUUAAAUGAUAGGUCUAAUGAUGCUAAGCUGCUUAACUUUUCGAGUGGGCCUGGAAUUGAUCUUUUGAAGGAGUUAUGCGAUAGAUUUAGGUAGAUUAGCAUACUAUAAGUUGUCCCAAUGAGUCUGGGAUGCUUCCUAUCAAGAAGUUGGAAGAAAUGUCCAUUUGGUAUAUUUGUCUUAGACCUGAAACAUCGACUGGUAGUGCACCAACAAAGUAAUUGUGAGAAAUAUCUAGUGUGAUAAGUUUAUCUAGGUGGAAAAGGCUUGCAGGUAUCAUUGAACUUAACUGGUUUCUAGACAAGUCGAUGUUUUCUAACAAACUAAGAUUUCCAAAGCUACUUGGUAUAGAUCCUGAUAAUUUGUUUGCAUGGAAAGAAAGCCGCUCUAGACUUCCAAGCAAACCCAUUUGUGCUGGGAUAGGGCCUAACAUGUCAUUACCUGACAGAUCAAGCCAUCCAAGAUUUUCCAACAUAGCUAUGGAUUCUGGGAUUGGCCCGGUUAAUAGGUUGUCAUCUAGAGCUAGUCGUUCAAGGCUGCUUAUGUUCGAGAUUUCUACGGGAAGCCCACCUAUUAACUUGUUUCCACCUGCAUCAAAAAUCAUUAAUCGUGAACUGAGGUUUCCCACAUGGCUGGAGAUGACACCUGUGAAAGAAUUACCAUUUAUCACAAGGAAUUGGAGUUGUCUGCACUUGGACAACGCUGAUAAGAAGUCUAGAUUCCCCUCUAAGUGGUUUUUUCUCAAAUCGAGAAGGGUCAAAGCUGCAUUUUUUCCAAGUGCAGUUGGUACUUGGCCGGACAAUUGAUUCAUUUCCAAAGCUAGGUAAGAUAAUUUGGAUAAGUUGCCGAGGGAAGCUGGAAUUUUACCUGUCAACUGAUUGGUUCCAAGAUGCAAACGUGAGAGUUCCUGUAUAAGACCUAAUUCGGGCGGAAUCUCCCCUGUGAGGUUGUUGUAGGGCAUGUCUAUUGUAGAAAGACUGGUGAGAUUGCUUAGACCAGUUGGGAUUGAGCCAAUAAGCUGAUUAGAACCCAACUCAAGCACUUCAAGGCGUGUCAAUUUGGCUAACCAUGUUGGUACAACAUCCACAAAAGAAUUUGCAGAAAAAUCAAGUACUUGUAGGUAUUGACAUGAUGCAAGCCCUGAUGGAAACCGACCGGUAAAUUUGUUACUUGAUAAUGAAAUAAAUUGCAACAUUGGGAGGUUGAAACUUUGAUUGUUCGGGAAAAUUCCAGUUAGGUUUGUUAGAAUAUGUAUAGGACUACUACUAGGACUUGGAGUCCAUGAUGUACACGGCCUUGAUUGCCUUGACGGAAUCAAUCCGUUCUGUAAACGAGCCCUGAUCUUAUAGUAAUAUAAAUAUACGGCAAGGGUGACCAGGAGGUUAUCACGCCACAAUCAAUCGAUCUAUUCUUUCUUACAUGGUAACAGAGCCUUCUCUUCUUUAUCGCAUCUAGACUAGAUGUCGCUCGUUCCCUUCGGCGGUUCCUCAGGAGCGUCUUCCUCAACAGCCCAGCCCAUGGCAACCCUCGGCGACAACUCCCGCGAUAAGCUUGGCCGUGAUAAUUUUCUUCUUUGGAAGGCGACGGUCCUUCCCCCAAUCCGUGGUGCCCAGCUAGAUGGCUAUCUCGAUGGAACGCUUGAAGCUCCGGCCAAGACUCUUGAAGUCCAGAAGGCCGACAAAUCUGGCACCGAGACAGUGCCCAACCCCGACUACGCUCGCUGGAUUGCCCAGGACCAGCAGGUUCUUGGCUCGCUGCUGACCUCUCUCUCGCGCGAAGUACUGACUCAAGUCGUCUCCAUGAAGACAUCCGCGCAGGUCUGGUCAGCCCUUGAGGAGAUGUACUCCUCUGUCUCUCGGUCACGAGUUAUCCAACUUCGGACCCUGUUCGCCGGCAUCGGAAAAACGAGAUGACCGCCACCGCGUACUUCACAAAGAUGCGGGGCAUUGCAGACGAACUCACAGCAGCAGGGAAGAAGAUAGAAGACGAUGAUCUGAUCUCUCAAAUCCUUGCUGGAUUGGAUGCAGAAUACAAUCCCUUUGUCUCAUCCAUUGCUGCCAGAACUGACGCCUACUCUUUGAGCGAAAUUUAUGCUCAGUUCCUUGCCUUUGAAGCGCGCCUGGAGUCACAAAAUUCUGGGUCGCAGCAAUAUAACUCCUCGGUGAAUCUUGCUGCACGAGGAGGACGUGGCAAAGGAAAUCGUGGCGGCAAAAGCAAUGGUGGUGGCAACCGCGGUGGCUACAGCAACAACAAUCGCGGAGGCUACAACAACUAUGGCAACAACUAUAGCCACAGUAAUAACAACUACUCCAAUAAUAAUCGCGGCGGAGGACGACCAGGACAAGGAAGUGGAGCGAAUCUUCCCCGCGGUGAAAGGCCUACUUGCCAAAUUUGUGGUAAGGUUGGGCAUCCAGCUCAUAAGUGCUGGUAUCGAUUUGACCCAGAUUAUGUCACCGAAGAGAGAUAUGGAGGAGCAGCUACUACCUCAUAUGGAGUUGACUCCAAUUGGUACUUUGAUACUGGAGCAACUGACCACAUUACAGGGGAGCUCGACAAGCUGACAACUCGUGCUCGCUACAAUGGUCCUGAACAAGUUCAUGCAGCUAAUGGUGCAGGUAUGGCUAUUAGUCACAUCGGUCAUGCAGUCGUUAAUUCUGUUGAUCAUACUCGAAAUUUCCAUCUUAAUGACGUACUUCAUGUUCCUCAAGCCACUAAAAGCCUAGUUUCUGCUAGUCGUUUUGCUUUUGAUAACAACACUAUCGUUGAAAUUCACCCUCAUGCUUUUUUCGUUAAGGACCCGGCAACGAAGGAAAUUCUUUUGCACGGCCCAUGUGAGCAUGGCCUCUACCCAUUGAAAUUGUCUCCAUUCUCCGGUAGACAAGUUCUUGGUGCUUCAAGGCCAUCACUGACAAGGUGGCACGAUCGUCUUGGUCAUCCAGCCUCUCCAAUAGUCAAGCAAGUUCUUAGGAAGUAUAAUUUACCAUAUUCCGUUCAGUCCACUAGUGAGCAUGUGUGUGAUUCUUGUCAAAAGGCUAAAAGUCAUCAGCUUCCGUAUCCUAGGUCUUCGAGUAUAUCUAGUGCUCCUUUAGAGCUAGUCUUCUCUGAUGUUUGGGGUCAAGCACCCGAGUCUGUUGGUCGGAAUAAAUAUUAUGUAAGCUUCGUCGAUGAUUAUAGUAAAUUUACUUGGAUAUACCUUUUACGAAACAAAUCUGAUGUGUUUCAAUGCUUCCAUGAUUUCCAACAUUUAGUUGAGCGCCUAUUUAACACCAAAAUCAUAGCCAUGCAAACUGAUUGGGGUGGUGAGUAUCACAAACUCAACUCUUUUUUCCAGCGUAUUGGCAUUACUCAUCAUGUUUCGUGUCCACAUGCGCAUCAACAAAAUGGUUCUGCUGAGAGAAAGCAUCGUCAUAUCGUUGAGGUCGGACUUGCAUUGCUUGCUCAUGCCUCUAUGCCUCUUAAGUUCUGGGAUGAAGCGUUUCUUUCUGCUGUAUAUCUUAUUAAUCGUGUUCCUAGUCGAGUCAUCAAUAUGCUUUCUCCGCUUGAACGACUCUUCGAUGAAAAACCCGACUAUUCAUCUCUUCGCGUUUUUGGUUGUGCAUGUUGGCCCAAUCUUCGACCAUAUAACACUCGAAAAUUAGCUUUCCGCUCUACUCGGUGCGCUUUCCUAGGCUACAGUAACAAACACAAGGGAUACAAGUGUCUUGAUAUUUCCUCCGGUCGUAUAUAUAUCUCUCGUGAUGUUAUUUUUGAUGAAUCCGUGUUUCCUUUUUCGCAACUUCAUCCGAAUUCCGGAGCCCGUCUUAGAGCUGAAAUCCUUCUUUUGCCUCCAAACCUUCAGAAUCCUACGAGUACUGAUCAAGGGGGUGAUGAUUUGCAUGAUCAUGUGACUAAUCCUACUAAUGCAUCUAAUGCUUGUGUUGACAGUACCCAGGAACAGGAAAAACAGGGGCAAAAGAGCUACGGUGGCCUUGAUUUUAUGUGUGCAGCUGGUGGUAGCAGGCCCGAGUUGGACUCUAGCGGAUUGCAUGCUUGUCCAGAAUCUACGGCAGCACCAGGAUUCGCUCCUUCCAUAGGUCAGCAUGGCGACCAGAUGCCAACGCCCAGUCCUCAUCAGCCGCGUGGUGCACAGUGGCGGAGCCAGGAAUAUUUUUUAGGUGUGGCAGAGUUUGUGAGGGAAAAAAACAAUGUAGUAACAUAUAACUAUGUGACGUUCCUGCUUGCUGCCUCUCUUGACGGUGAUCGCUGCCAUGCCCACCACGCUGACUAAAGAUCGCGUGGUUGCUCUGUAAUCGCUGCCUCUGUUGCAUGCCUUACAGGUUAGCCGACUAGGGGUGGGUCGGUCGGUCGGCAGUAGGGACAAAUAUCACAACAAGACAUACAUUGUCAUGAGUUUGGAGGAGUAGCCGUUGCUCCUAGUUGUAUAUUGUAAUACCUCAGACGAUUUGAGUCCGAUUAGAUCUAGUUUCUUCACCGGAGAGACGGAAAGCGGUGAGGCUCUGGGUUUCGCGGAGUUGGCACUGCUCAUCACACAGCUAGAGACAAGCUUGAGGGGCGGCUGCAAGGCGAUUCCUGAUCAACCGUGCUUGAACGAAACAGCUCGUGUAUCUCCAAUCAAUUAGUACAUUUUUUUAGCAUGUCCAAUCAACUGGAGUACAUGUGAAUUGAUUUGCAAUUGACUGCCAAUUGUGUCCUCGUUUAGAACAUGGGCUUGUGGGUCAUGGGCUUAUGUGAUGCAAGUCACCUAUUGCUUAAUUCUCUCCUUCAGCGGCAGUUAGGCCUCUAAUGAGGCAGAAACACGUAGGUAACAACACAACUACCUAACUACCUGGCGAAAUACAUUUGAGGCCAUGAGUUGCCUGCCCCCUGCGAGUAUUCAUCCUCCAAAUUGACGAAACUGACCAAAAAUCCAUUGACUCAGCUCAAAGCUUCAUACAUACAGUAUAUAUAUGUAUACUUUUGCCAAAUUUUAGGUAUGGCGGCUGCCAAACCUCGCCAUAUAGCUGGAUCCGCCCCUGGUGGUGCAUGCAGAGCCCCUUCGGCACGCACCGAGCCAAGCACGCCCACGCAUGGGAACCGCGGGGCCCGUACCGAACCAGCCGCAACUGCGCCCCGGUCUCCUGCACCGAGUGGCCCUACCGAAGCGGGCGCACAUCCAGCGCGAAGCCAACAAACGUCCUCGUCUGCAUCUUUUUCAGGAUCUCCAGCCAAUGAAGAAACGUCUUGGACGGGUGUCGACAACGAUGUAUCUUCUGUGGCUUCACCAGUUCAGCAAAUAAUGCAGCCGCCCUCUGUUCCUGAUCGCGUCGUGACCCGCUCACGUAAUAAUAUUUUCAAACCCAAGAUUAUCACAGAUGGGCGAGUUCGAUGGUGCAAUUUGUGCACGACUGGUGAACCAAAUAAUCUUACAGAAGCUCUUCAGGAUAAAAACUGGAAAGAAGCUAUGGACGAGGAAUAUUCUGCAUUGAUAAAAAAUAAUACAUGGCAUCUUGUGCCAGCUUUGAAAGAGAGCAGUGCGGCGAGAUCGAUGUCACUACGAUUGCCAUUGGUGGGAGUGGGAGAAGAAGCCGAGAUGGACGAGAAUAGGACAAGCAAGAAGAUGGGAAUACGGGCAGACAUGCAUCGAGAGGCCAUUGAGCUGGGUUGUUUGCCUAUGUGCGGUGAAGAGCUUGUGGGAGUAGUGAUCAAUUUAUAAGGAGUUUCCGUGGAAUCUCAUGCAUCAUUCUCGAGGCCACAAGCAGCGCGGCGAUCUUUCCAUGGAAGUGGUCGCACCUUGCGCUAGCUUGCCGCUCUUGCCGGCGGUCACACGGCGCUGCAAGCACAUAUAGAGACACGCGCACAGCUGUCGAUCGUACUACGAUGAUGGAAUCCCAGGAAGCUCACCGUGGCGGCAAGCAAGACGACACGGCGCUGAGCUAUCGAUCCAACCUUGAGUCGCCCAAGCAGACACGCCCAGCUUUGCAAUGCACACCAGACUUGUCAAUUCCGUAUACUAGUCAAUAUUUGGUGUUGUCACUACGUACUAUAAAUUUAAAAGUAAGACUAGAUAGCCUCCGGGUUCCGGUUCGUAAGAUGGUGUCGUUUUGUUGACCGCCGAGCUGACUCUCUGCACGUGCCAACGUAGCUCUGAACUUUAUUUUGUGGUACUGGGGUGUGGCACUUACUUCUUUUUUACCGAAAAAUUAAUCAAACACCAUGGCAGUACAAAGAACAUCAUAAGUAACAAAAUUUACAUAUAUUCAUUGACCAUCUAGCGACGACUACAUGCGCUGGAGUGAGCCCAAGGCGCGCCGCCUCCUGUACUUCUUAUAUGGGCUAGCCCACUGCCUUCCUGAUUUUCUCGUUGUGCUUGUCUGCCUCGGCGUGGAGCUAGCUUGCAUUUCUUCUUCCUUUUUUUUUCCUUUUUCUUAGUUUUAUAUAUGUUACAAAAAUUUCUAAAUAUAUACGUAGUUUACUUUACUUAGAUUUUUUGCUUGGAAAAACGAAUUUGCUAGCUAGUUUUUUUAACGAAUUUGCAUGCUAAUUUUUUUAAUGUUCACCAUACACUGAAUACUAUUGUAUAAUAUACGAUGAACAAUUUUGUUAUAUACAUUGCAUUUUUUUUAUAAAUAUGCACUGAAUACUAUUGUAUAAUAUAUGAUAAAAAAAGGUGUUCAUGUAUUAUAGUUCAGUAUAGAAAGGUGUUCAUAUUUUAAAAAUGUUCAUCUAAAACUAAAAAAUGGUGUUCAUAAUACUAUUGUAUAAAUACACAUUGAAUACUAUUGUAUAAUAUACGAUGAAAAUUUUUGUUAUAUACAUUGCAUUUUUUAAUAUACAAUAUCUGAAAAAAUGCCGCAUAGUAAAAAUUUCGGUGUAAAUUUUAAAAAUGUCGAAAGUAUUGAAAUAGUGUACACCAUUUAUUAAAACCUAUAUACAAAAGAGAUGUGCAAAAGUUUAAAAAGGGAAAACCGGAAGAAGGCCAGGACGUGUCUUAAAAGAUAUAAGAAAUAGUACGAAACAAAAAAACGCAAUAAAAACAACGAAACAAUUGUCCAGCAACAAAAUUCGUUUCUACAGUGUAUGGUAUAAAAAGGUUUAAGCAUCAACUGUAUCGACUGCAUUGGCGUAGUGUAGUGCUCAGAGCCCCUUUCCCUUGGUAGUGCGUCGUGGGUUCGAAACCCCACAGGCGCGCGUAAUAUUUUAUUUGGUUUUCAGUUUUUUCCGCAAACGAGGUCCUUCGUAGGUGAUUAAAUAUAAAACGAGGGGUUUUUUUGCGAAAGAAGAUGCCACCUCAACCCCUGACAGGCGGGCCCCGCUGUCAGUUUCUCCGUCAAUACGUGUUUAUACGUCGUUUAGUCCGUUCUGCAACGGCUCGCCCUAAAGUUGGUACUGACACGUAAAAGUUAUCAAACUUAGUAUCAAUCUGCUUUCAAUACUCUAAUUGUGAUACUUAUGUACAAUUAACUCUCAUCCCAGGAAUGCAACUGUUGCAGUCCUUGUGACCUGCAGCUGCAGUGCAACACACGAUGGUGGUGGGGACGAGCAGUAAUUUCUCUUGUCGUCCGUCCAGACCAGAGCAAUAAUUCAUUCUCAUCUCAUCUCACAAUGAGUGUGUGUGUUCUCUAUAUAAGUAUGACCUAUCCUUCACCUAUAUAAGUAUUGCUAGUACAUUAUACUAUUAUUUUGGUCUACUGGUUAGUCCUACGUACAUGCUAAGUUUGUACUACUCUCUCUGUCAAAAAAACUUAUCCCAAAUUUGUCUGUCAAAUGUAUGUACUUGAGGGACAAAUUUUUUCAGACGCAGUGAGGACUAGGCAGCCCAGUUUCUCCUCUUAGAUCGUCUACAAUCAGACAUAUAAAAUAUGAUCCCUUAAACGCCCGUGGACACGACUGGUUAGUGUCCGUUUUGAGCCCUUAUUUAUCCGUCCGCGCAGCCACACUCAUUAUUUUUCUUCUUAUAUGUCGGUUCACUUGCACGUGAUUGGUGAAGACGAAGAGAGAGAAAUAAAAGAAUGAAUAAAGAAAAAGAAAAGGUGGUCCGGGGUGGGGCCGCGUCCUACGUGCUGGACUGCCCGGACGCGUCCGCGAGCCCUCAUAUCCUCCCCAUAUUUGAGAUGGAUAUGAGGGUUCGCGGACAGCCCGGGCAUAUAGGGAUGAUAUGAGGGGUCCGGUUAGGUCAUGCAUGGUUAUGAGGGAUGAUUUGAGGCGUCCGGCUGUAGAUGCUCUUAGACCUACUUAAAAACAGAGUUGUUCUCAUCUAGUAUACAAUUAUUAUUAGAAGGAUUUCUCAUCUGAAUAAAAAUAAAAAAAACUCUCCUCUGUGCCUUGAGGCUUAUACAGCAACCUCACGGGCCAGUUGGUCCAGAUGUCUUCUACAGUCGUGGUGACAUGUUAGUUUGAACGUUGGACAUCAUUUGAAAACUCCUCACUCCAAUUCUGAAAUAUAUGCAUGGCUUAGUUAACCUGGAUUCCCCUGCCCCUCACUGCAGUCCUUAUCUAAAACAGUGGAUGUAUAUCAUUCUUGGACACGCAGGACCCAUUUGCCAGCCAUCGUCAGAAAGCUUGUUAUGCGCAGCACCCAAUUAUUGCUUGCUGCUUUCCUCUUCCUCCAUCCGGCCACUUCUCCCUCUCCACUCUCCCAGCAGCAGCAGCAGCAGAUCUGACAAACACCAACGAGCGAGACCAGAAAGAGCUAGCAGAGGGCAUCGACCGAUCCAUCGAUGUCGGUGGUGAGCGCCGCGCAUGGCGUGCUGGGUCCGCUGCUGGGGAAGCUCGCCGACCUGCUCGCCGGCAAGUUCGGCCGCGUGCGAGGCGUCCGCAAGGACAUCCUCUCUCUCCAGGCCGAGCUGACCAGCAUGCACGCCGCGCUCCAGGAGUACACCAUGCUCGAAGAUCCAGGCGUCCAGGUGAAGGCCUGGAUAUCGCUGCUCAGGGAGCUGGCCUAUGAUACCGAGGAUUGCAUCGACAAGUUCAUCCGCCACCUCGGCAAACACGGGCGUCGCGGCGGCUUCAAGGAAAUCUUCCGCGACACCACUCGCUUCCUCAGGACGCUCGAUUCUCGCUGUGGAAUUGCCGACCAGAUCGAGGAACUCAAGGCCCGCAUCAAGCAUGUCAAAGAGCUCAAGGAUAGUUACAAGCUGAGUGAGACUUCUUGCACCAAAACCGAGCAUGCGGCCGUGGAUCCUCGGUUGUGCGCUCUGUUUGCCGAGGAGGCACACCUUGUGGGCGUGAAGGGUCCAAGAGAUGAUCUUGUCAAGUGGAUGUUGACAGAAGAAACAAACAGCUCCACCAAGGAUCGUAAGGUGUUGUCAAUUGUUGGAUUUGGUGGAUUGGGAAAGACAACACUGGCAAAUGAGGUCUAUCGCAAGAUUGAAAGGCAUUUCGAUUGUCAGGCUUUUGUAUCGGUCUCACAAAAGCCAGUUAUAAAGAAAAUUAUCAAGGAUUUGAUAUACAAAGUGCCUUGCCCUGAUGAAUUCAGAAAAGAUAUUGAAAUUUGGGACGAAGCGACAUCCAUUGCAAAGCUAAGAGAACUGCUAAAGGAUAAAAGGUAACUUUAACUUCUGUUGUUAUUUUUUAGAACAUUCCUUGCAAAUGUUUUCACAAAUUUGGUACUUACUGGUUACUGUUUCAUGUACAGUUAUAUUUUUCACGUGAUGAAAAACAUAGCACAAUUUUGACUCGUGCAAUUCAUCCUUGUCACUUGUAUUAGACUAUAUUCCAUAUAUAGUACUCAAAUAAGCAUUGAGAAACAAUGUUUGUAGAUAAAAAUAUAUCAAAUAAACAUUGUUUUUGUGAUUGAGUACAAGACUUGUGUUCCACUUAAAUUGUAUUGAGGUGGUGUAUGAUAAAAUAUAGAUGGAAACAUAACUAAGAACCAAGAAGUAUGUUCCACUUGUUAACCACUCCAGUACAUGAAGCAUCUGCGUCAUUGGAGUUUAACUGCAUGUUUAUUUUUCUAGUUGAAUUCCAUUUCAAAAUCAGCUAACAUCAUCCGCUACUAUUUAUUAGGUAUCUUGUCAUAGUGGAUGAUAUAUGGUCUACCCAAGCAUGGAGCAAUAUCAAGUGUGCUUUUCCAGACAAUAAUUGUUCUAGCAGAAUUAUAACUACUACACGAAUUAUUGAUGUGGCAAGAUCAUGUUGUCCUGGUAGUGAUGACCGUGUGUAUGAAAUGGCAGCCCUAAGUGAUCUUCACUCCAAAAGAUUGUUUCUCAAAAGAAUUUUUGGUUCUGAGGACCACUGCCCUGAUAUGCUGAAAGAAAGUUCAAAUGAAAUCCUGAAAAAAUGUGGAGGCCUACCAUUGGCAAUUGUCAGUAUAUCUAGUUUGUUAGCAAAUAGACCAGCAGUCAAGGAGGAGUGGGAGAAGAUUAGAAGAUCAAUUGGUUCUGCUCUGGAAAAUAACCAGAGUUUGGAGGGAAUGAGUAAGAUACUAUUACUUAGCUACAAUGAUCUUCCACCUAAUCUCAAGACAUGUUUAUUGUAUUUGAGUGUAUUCCCCGAGGAUUAUGUGAUUGAUCGAAAAAGGUUAGUGAGGCGGUGGAUAGCGGAAGGGUUUAUCUCUGAAGAGCGUGGACAAAGUCGGCAAGAAGUCGCCGAGAGAUAUUUCUAUGAGCUUGUCAACAAAAGCAUGGUACAGCUUGUGGACGUCGGCUAUGAUGGCAAGGCUCGUGCUUGCCGAGUCCAUGACAUGAUGCUAGAACUUAUUAUUUCAAAAUCAAAUGAAGAUAAUUUCAUCGUGGUAGUAGGUGGUGGCCAAACGACUUUGGGAAAUCGUCAAGGUUUUAUUCGGCGACUAUCGAUCCAGCACAUUGAUCAUGAGAUUGCACAUUUACUCGCACAAAAAGAUCUAAGCCAUGUUCGAUCUCUGACAGUAACAUCGUCAGCUUGCAUCAAACACUUACCUAGUCUUGGUAAAUUUGAAGCUCUACGUGUAUUGGAUUUUGAAGGUUGUUCUGGUUUAGAAGAGUAUGAUAUGAAAAGUAUUGGCAAAUUGCUCCAACUAAAGUACCUAAACUUUAGAGACACAGGAAUAUCAAAGCUACCUUCAGGGAUCGUGAUGCUAUGUGACCUAGAGACCCUAGAUUUUGGAUAUACAGGAGUGAAAGAGUUGCCAACUGGAUUCGUUCAGCUGACCAAACUACAACACGUAAUUGCUGGAAGUCGGACAACUAUACCAAACAGGAUUGGGAAUAUGAGGAACUUACAGGAGAUAUCAGGCUUUAGUAUUACCCAGAGUCCAGCAGAUGCCGUGGAGGAUCUUGGAAACCUACCAGGUUUGGAGGAAAUCGAUGUAGAUCUCGAUGGUGGAGAAUCAGACGAGUUCAGGAGGCAUGAAGAAAUGUUACUUUCCUCACUGUGCAAGCUUGGCAGCUGCAAGCUCCGGUUUUUACAGAUUACUAGGCACUGUGGUGGUUCCCUCGAGUUCUUAGAAUCUUGGACCCAACCGCCAGUUUCCCUUCAAGUAUUAUAUAUGUAUAGCAGCAACUACUAUUUCACGAAACUUCCAAAGUGGAUUGCUCCAGCACUCACCAGCCUUUCUUUCCUAGAGAUCAAUUUAGCUGAAUUAACAGAGGAGGGUCUGGUCACUCUUGGGGAGCUCCCAGCUUUACUUCGCCUUGAUCUGUGGUUCAAAAAAAGGCCUGAUGAUAGGGUUACAGUUCGAGGAUUCCCAAGUCUGAGGCAGUUUACCCUGUAUAGUAAUUAUGUGUCACCAUACGUUACAUUUGUCAAAGGGUCCAUGCCCAAGCUUAAGAAUCUUGAUUUUCUUAUCAAUGUGUCAGUGGCAAAAACAUAUGGCUUCUAUUUAGGCAUUGAGCAUCUCACAUGUCUUCAACAAGCAACGGCGAGGCUUGACAAUAGGGGCGUUACACCUUCUGAGAGAAAGGCUGCAGAGGCUGCGGUCAGGGCUGAAGCAGUUGCCCAUCCAAACCAUCCCACAAUUACUAUUUGUUGUACUGAAAAGGAAAAUGAAGAGACUGGUGGCGAGAAAAAAGAGAGCAGGGAAGAUGUUGACACUGAUGAGAAUUAAGAUGCACAUCUUCUGAUUGAGGUAUUAAUACAGAUCGUUAUCAUUCAUUGCUUGUCAACUAAAAUGCAUCUUUUGUCCAAAAUUUCUUUUGGAUUCUAAAUUCGCGUGCUGCUGGCUGCGUUACUUGGAGUGCAAUACUGAAGGAAGGCCUGAAAAUAAGAAGCUGCAGCAGGGUGAUGGUCACAUUCAGAAAGACGGCGAUAGUGGUCUCAGUUGCUAAUUGCUAGUGCAAUGAAUUCCCAUUGUUUACUUUUGAUAAUUAUUAAGACAUGAUUUCUCUGUUUGGGCAUCCGGGAGUGUGGAUUAUCUCUGCUGAAUACUCUUUCUUCUAGAUAGCUAGAGAUGUAAUAUUGAUUCUGGCUUUGCUCGCUCGAGAUUUGGCUAUGUUUGCAUUUGGAACCGCGGUGGCAAAAUGAUGGCUGGGAGAAAAUUUGCUGCAAACAGACCGUUUUUUUCUUUUUGAAAAGGGGGAAACCCCGGCCUCUGCAUCAGUAUGAUGCAUACGGCCCUCUUAUUAACAAAAUAAAGUAGUGCCAACAUGGUUCAAAAGGUCCUCAUAAGUCAAAAAAAGCAGAACAAGCUCACACAGAGCCCGAAGAAGGUAGAUACAUCAACUAGCCACAUCAAGAUGCCACAACCGGCUAGGUAAACUAGGUAGGAAUACUAAAUGCCUAUCCUAUUACAUAACCGCCAUCCAAACCGGUUGAAGAUAUCCCGAGCUACCAUCUCCCAUCGGAUAGACCCAGUAACCAAAUGCUCCCUGGGCUCCGUCUGGGUGAGUAGCGACCACGAACGGAUCAGAGCCGUAGUCCGGAAUAAAACCUGCAAAAAAUGUAUACAUGAUAUUCUGUUAAAGACCAAAUCGUUUCUGCAAUUCCAGAUAGUCCACAGCAAAGCACAAACCCCAACCCGAAUAUGUCUCGCUAAGUUAGGCUCAAUCCCAUUAAGCCAUGUCCCAAAUAAAGCAUUAACAGAAUUCGGUGGUUUGAUAUUGAAAGCAAUGUGGACCGUCUGCCAGAGUACCUUGGCCAGCGGGCAAUCAAAAAAGAGGUGUUUAAUAGUCUCAUCCCGAUCGCAGAAACUACACCUAGUAGGUCCUGUCCAAUUACGCUUCAUCAAGUUAUCCUUCGUUAAAAUUACUUGUUUAUGGACAAACCACAUAAACACUUUUAUUUCAAAGGAACUUUGACAUCCCAAAUAUGUUUUGACGUAGGAAUGGAGUUCGAAUUAAUAACAUCAAUAUACAUUGAUUUAACCGUGAAUACUCCAGACUUAGUCAACUUCCAGCGUAAUUCAUCGGGUUGUUGAGAAAGCUGGAUGUCCAUCAGUCUCCUAACUAGAUGGAGCCAUUCUUCCCAACGAUUGCCCGCUAGCACUCGUCUGAACUGAAUAUUAAGGGGGGUAGAUUGGAAGACCGAAGUGUUGGGUAACGUAGUAAUUUCAAAAUUUUCCAACGCACACGCAAGAUCAUGGUGAUGAUACAGCAACGAAGGGAGAGUGUUGUCUACGUACCCUCGUAGACCGAAGCGGAAGCGUUGACGCAACGUAGAGGAAGUAGUCGUACGUCCUCCCGGUCCAACCGAUCCAAGCACCGUUACUCCGGCACCUCCGAGUUCUUGACACGCGUACAGCUCGAUGAUGCACCCUCGAUCUCUAACCCAGUAGAGGCUCCGAGGGGGAGUUCCGUCAGCACGACGGCGUGGUGACGAUCUUGAUGUUCUCCUGUCGCAGGGCUUCGCCUAAGCACCGCUACAAUAUGACCGAGGUGUAAUAUCAUGGAGGGGGGCACCGCACACGGCUAAGGAACGAUCUCAAUGAUCAACUUGUGUGUACUAGAGUGCCCCCCUACCCCCGUAUAUAAAGGAGGGAGGGAGGAGGUGGCCGGCCACAAGGGGGGCGCGCCAUGGGGAGGGGGAAACUUACUCCAAGUAGGUUUCCCGCCCCCCCCUUUUCCUUAUCUUAUUUGGAGGGGGAAGGAAAUAGUACUAGUAUUAGGAAGUAGUACUAGUAGUAGUAAUAGGAAGAGGGGGAAGGAGAAAGGAAAGGGGGGGCCGGCCCCCUUCCCCAAUUCGGAUUGGGCUGGGGGGCGCGCCCCCUUCCCUUGUUCCUUCUCCUUUCCUCCUAUAUGGGCCCAAUAAGGCCCAUAUACCUCCUGGGGGUUUCCGGUAACCUCCCGGAGCUCCAAACUUCUCCGGAACCUUUCCGGUGUCCAAAUAUAUCCGUCCAAUAUAUCAAUCUUUAUGUCUCGACCAUUUCGAGACUCCUCGUCAUGUCCGUGAUCAUAUUCGGGACUCCGAACAACCUUCGGUACAUCAAAAUACAUAAACUCAUAAUAUAACCGUCAUCGAAACCUUAAGCGUGCGGACCCUACGGUUCGAGAACAAUGUAGACAUGACCGAGACAUGUCUCAGGUCAAUAACCAAUAGCGGGACCUGGAUGCCCAUAUUGGUUCCUACAUAUUCUACAAAGAUCUUUAUCGGUCAGACCGCAUAACAACAUACGUUGUUCCCUUUGUCAUCGGUAUGUUACUUGCCCGAGAUUCGAUCGUCGGUAUCCAAUACCUAGUUCAAUCUCGUUACCGACAAGUCUCUUUACUCGUUCCAUAAUACAUCAUCUCACAACUAACUCAUUAGUUGAAGUGCUUGCAAGGCUUAAGUGAUGUGUAUUACCGAGAGGGCCCAGAGAUACCUCUCCGACAUUCGGAGUGACAAAUCCUAAUCUCGAAAUACGCCAACUCAACAAGUACCUUCGGAGACACCUGUAGAGCACCUUUAUAAUCACCUAGUUACGUUGUGACAUUUGGUAGCACACAAAGUGUUCUUCCGGUAAACGGGAGUUGCAUAAUCUCAUAGUCAUAGGAACAUGUAUAAGUCAUGAAGGAAGCAAUAGCAACAUACUAAACGAUCGUGUGCUAAGCUAACGGAAUGGGUCAUGUCAAUCAGAUCAUUCAACCAAUGAUGUGACCUUGUUAAUCAAAUAACAACUCCUUGUUCAUGGUUAGGAAACAUAACCAUCUUUGAUUAACAAGCUAGUCAAGUAGAGGCAUACUAGUGACACUCUGUUUGUCUAUAUAUCCACACAUGUAUUAUGUUUCCGGUUAAUACAAUUCUAGCAUGAAUAAUAAAUAUUUAUCAUGAUAUGAGGAAAUAAAUAAUAACUUUAUUAUUGCCUCUAGGGCAUAUUUCCUUCAGUCUCCCACUUGCACUAGAGUCAAUAAUCUAGAUUACACAGUAAUGAUUCUAACACCCAUGGAGUCUUGGUGUUGAUCAUGUUUUGCUCGUGGAAGAGGCUUAGUCAACGGGUCUGCAACAUUCAGAUCCGUAUGUAUCUUGCAAAUCUCUAUGUCUCCCACCUGGACUAGAUCCCGGAUGGAAUUGAAGCGUCUCUUGAUGUGCUUGGUUCUCUUGUGAAAUCUGGAUUCCUUCGCUAAGGCAAUCGCUCCAGUAUUGUCACAAAAGAUUUUCAUUGGUCCCGAUGCACUAGGUAUGACACCUAGAUCGGAUAUGAACUCCUUCAUCCAGACUCCUUCAUUGGGUGCUUCCGAAGCAGCUAUGUAUUCCGCUUCACAUGUAGAUCCCGCCACGACGCUUUGUUUUGAACUGCACCAACUGACAGCUCCACCGUUUAAUGUAAACACGUAUCUGGUUUGCGAUUUAGAAUCGUCCGGACCAGUGUCAAAGCUUGCAUCAACGUAACCAUUUACGAUGACCUCUUUGUCACCUCCAUAUACGAGAAACAUAUCCUUAGUCCUUUUCAGGUAUUUCAGGAUGUUCUUGACCGCUGUCCAGUGAUCCACUCCUGGAUUACUUUGCUACCUCCCUGCUAGACUUAUAGCAAGGCACACAUCAGGUCUGGUACACAGCAUUGCAUACAUGAUAGAGCCUAUGGCUGAAGCAUAGGGAACACUUUUCAUUUUCUCUCUAUCUUCUGCAGUGGUCGGGCUUUGAGUCUUACUCAACUUCACACCUUGCAAUACAGGCAAGAACCCUUUCUUCGCUUGAUCCAUUUUGAACUUCUUCAAAAACUUUUUCAAGGUAUGUGCUUUGUGAAAGUCCAAUUAAGCGUCUUGAUCUAUCUCUAUAGAUCUUAAUGCCCAAUAUGUAAGCAGCUUCACCGAGGUCUUUCAUUGAAAAACUUUUAUUCAAGUAUCCCUUUAUGCUAUCCAGAAAUUCUAUAUCAUUUCCAAUCAAUAAUAUGUCAUCCACAUAUAAUAUUAGAAAUGCUACAGAGCUCCCACUCACUUUCUUGUAAAUACAGGCUUCUCCAAAAGUCUGUAUAAAACCAAAUGCUUUGAUCACACUAUCAAAACAUUUAUUCCAACUCCGAGAGGCUUGCACCAGUCCAUAAAUGGAACGUUGGAGCUUGCACACUUUGUUAGCUCCCUUUGGAUCGAUAAAACCUUCUGGUUGCAUCAUAUACAACUCUUCUUGCAGAAAUCCAUUCAGGAAUGCAAUUUUUACAUCCAUUUGCCAAAUUUCAUAGUCAUAAAAUGCGGCAAUUGCUAACAUGAUUCGGACAGACUUAAGCAUCGCUACGGGUGAGAAGGUCUCAUCGUAGUCAACCCCUUGAACUUGUCGAAAACCUUUUGCAACAAGUCGAGCUUUGUAGACAGUAACAUUACCGUCAGCGUCAGUCUUGUUCUUGAAGAUCCAUUUAUUCUCUAUUGCUUGCCGACCAUCGGGCAAGUCAACCAAAGUCCAUACUUUGUUAUCAUACAUGGAUCCCAUCUCAGAUUUCAUGGCUUCAAGCCAUUUUGCGGAAUCUGGGCUCACCAUCGCUUCUUCAUAGUUCGUAGGUUCAUCAUGAUCUAGUAACAUGACUUCCAGAAUAGGAUUACCGUACCACUCUGGUGCGGAUCUUACUCUGUUCGACCUCCGUGGUUUUGUAUUAACUUGAUCUGAAGUUCUAUGAUCAUCAUCAUCAACUUCCUCACUAGUUGGUUUUGACGUCACAGAAACCGGUUCCUGUGAUGUAUUAUUUUCCAACAAGGGGGUAGGUACAGUUACCUCAUCAAGUUCUACUUUCCUCCCACUCACUUCUUUCGAGAGAAACUCCUUCUCUAGAAAGGAUCCAUUCUUAGCAACAAAUGUCUUGCCUUCGGAUCUGUGAUAGAAGGUGUACCCAACUGUCUCCUUUGGGUAUCCUAUGAAGACACAUUUCUCCGAUUUGGGUUCGAGCUUACCAGGUUGAAGCUUUUUCACAUAAGCAUCGCAACCCCAAACUUUAAGAAACGACAACUUUGGUUUCUUGCCAAACCAUAGUUCAUAAGGUGUCGUCUCAACGGAUUUCGACGGUGCCCUAUUUAACGUGAAUGUGGCUGUCUCUAGAGCAUAACCCCAAAAUGAUAGCGGUAAAUCUGUAAGAGACAUCAUAGAUCGUACCAUAUCAAGUAAAGUACGAUUACGACAUUCGGACACACCAUUGCGCUGUGGUGUUCCGGGUGGCGUGAGUUGUGAAACUAUUCCACAUUGUUUUAAGUGUAGACCAAACUCGUAACUCAAAUAUUCUCCUCCACGAUCAGAUCGUAGAAACUUUAUUUUCUUGUUACGAUGAUUUUCAACUUCACUCUAAAAUUCUUUGAACUUUUCAAAUGUUUCAGACUUAUGUUUCAUUAAGUAGAUAUACCCAUAUCUGCUUAAAUCAUCUGUGAAGGUGAGAAAAUAACGAUAUCCGCCACGAGCCUCAACAUUCAUUGGACCACAUACAUCUGUAUGUAUGAUUUCUAACAAAUCUGUUGCUCUCUCCAUAGUACCGGAGAACGGUGUUUUGGUCAUCUUGCCCAUGAGGCACGGUUCGCAAGUACCAAGUGAUUCAUAAUCAAGUGGUUCCAAAAGUCCAUCAGUAUGGAGUUUCUUCAUGCGCUUUAUACUGAUAUGACCCAAACGGCAGUGCCACAAAUAAGUUGCACUAUCAUUAUCAACUCUGCAUCUUUUGGCUUCAACACUAUGAAUAUGUGUAUCACUACUAUCGAGAUUCAUCAAAAAUAGACCACUCUUCAAGGGUGCAUGACCAUAAAAGAUAUUACUCAUAUAAAUAGAACAACCAUUAUUCUCUGAUUUAAAUGAAUAACCGUCUCGCAUCAAACAAGAUCCAGAUAUAAUGUUCAUGCUCAACGCUGGCACCAAAUAACAAUUAUUUAGGUCUAAUACUAAUCCCGAAGGUAGAUGUAGAGGUAGCGUGCCGACCGCGAUCACAUCGACUUUGGAACCGUUUCCCACGCGCAUCGUCACCUCGUCCUUUGCUAGUGUUCGCUUAAUACGUAGUCCCUGUUUCGAGUUGCAAAUAUUAGCAACAGAACCAGUAUCAAAUACCCAGGUGCUACUGCGAGCUCUAGUAAGGUACACAUCAAUAACAUGUAUAUCACAUAUACCUUUGUUCACUUUUCCAUCCUUCUUAUCCGCCAAAUACUUGGGGCAGUUCCGCUUCCAGUGACCAGUCUGCUUGCAGUAGAAGCACUCAGUUUCAGGCUUAGGUCCAGACUUGGGUUUCUUCUCUUGAGCAGCAACUUGUUUGUUGUUCUUCUUGAAGUUCCCCUUCUUCUUCCCUUUGCCCUUUUUCUUGAAACUAGUGGUCUUGUUAACCAUCAACACUUGAUGCUCCUUCUUGAUUUCUACCUCCGCAGCCUUUAGCAUUGCGAAGAGCUCGGGAAUCGUCUUAUCCAUCCCUUGCAUAUUAUAGUUCAUCACGAAGCUCUUGUAGCUUGGUGGAAGUGAUUGGAGAAUUCUGUCAAUGACGCUAUCAUCCGGAAGAGUAACUCCCAGUUGAAUCAAGUGAUUACAAUACCCAGACAUCUUGAGUAUGUGCUCACUGACAGAACUAUUCUCCUCCAUCUUGCAGCUAUAGAACUUAUUGGAGACUUCAUAUCUCUCAAUCCGGGCAUUCUUCUGGAAUAUCAACUUCAACUCCUGAAACAUCUCAUAUGUUCCAUGACGUUCAAAACGUCGUUGAAGUCCCGGUUCUAAGCCGUAAAGCAUGGCACAUUGAACUAUCGAGUAGUCAUCAGCUUUGCUCUGCCAGACGUUCUUAACGUCGUCAGUUGCAUCAGCAGCAGGCCUGGCACCCAGCGGUGCUUCCAGGACGUAAUUUUUCUGUGCAGCAAUGAGGAUAAUCCUCAAGUUACGGACCCAGUCCGCAUAGUUGCUACCAUCAUCUUUCAACUUAGCUUUCUCAAGGAACGCAUUAAAAUUCAACGGAACAACAGCAAGGGCCAUCUAUCUACAAACAACAUAGACAAGCAAGAUACUAUCAGGUACUAAGUUCAUGAUAAAUUUUUAGUUCAAUUAAUCAUAUUACUUAAGAACUCCCACUUAGACAGACAUCUCUCUAGUCAUCUAAGUGAUCACGUGAUCCAAAUCAACUAAACCAUAACCGAUCAUCACGUGAGAUGGAGUAGUUUUCAAUGGUGAACAUCUUAUGUUGAUCAUAUCUACUAUAUGAUUCACGCUCGACCUUUCGGUCUCCGUGUUCGAGGCCAUAUCUGCAUAUGCUAGGCUCGUCAAGUAUAACCUGAGUAUUCUGCGUGUGCAAAACUGGCUUGCACCCGUUGUAGAUGGACGUAGAGCUUAUCACACCCGAUCAUCACGUGGUGUCUGGGCACGACGAACUUUGGCAACGGUGCAUACUCAGGGAGAACACUACUUGAUAAUUUUUAGUGAGAGAUCAUCUUAAAAUGCUACCGUCAAUCAAAGCAAGAUAAGAUGCAUAAAGGAUAAACAUCACAUGCAAUCAAUAUAAGUGAUAUGAUAUGACCAUCAUCUUCUUGUGCUUGUGAUCUCCAUCUCCGAAGCACUAUCAUGAUCACCAUCGUCACCGGCGCGACACCUUGAUCUCCAUCGUAGCAUCGUUGUCGUUUACGCCAUCUAUUGCUUCUACGACUAUCGCUACCGCUUAGUGAUAAAGUAAAGCAAUUACAGGGCGUUUGCAUUUCAUACAAUAAAGCGACAACCAUAUGGCUCCUGCCAGUUGCCGAUAACUUCGGUUACAAAACAUGAUCAUCUCAUACAAUAAAAUAUAGCAUCAUGUCUUGGCCAUAUCACAUCACAACAUGCCCUGCAAAAACAAGUUAAACGUCCUCUACUUUGUUGUUGCAAGUUUUACGUGGCUGCUACGGGCUUAAGCAAGAACCAAUCUCACCUACGCAUCAAAACCACAACGAUAGUUUGUCAAGUUGAUGCUGUUUUAACCUUCGCAAGGACCGGGCGUAGCCACACUCGGUUCAACUAAAGUUGGAGAAACUGACACCCGCUAGUCACCUGUGUGCAAAGCACGGCGGUAAAACCAGUCUCGCGUAAGCGUACGCGUAAUGUCGGUCCGGGCCGCUUCAUCCAACAAUACCGCCGAACCAAAAUAUGACAUGCUGGUAAGCAGUAUGACUUAUAUCGCCCACAACUCACUUGUGUUCUACUCGUGCAUAUAACAUCAAACCAUAAAAACCUAGGCUCGGAUGCCACUGUUGGGUAACGUAGUAAUUUCAAAAUUUUCCUACGCACACGCAAGAUCAUGGUGAUGAUACAGCAACGAGGGGAGAGUGUUGUCUACGUACCCUCGUAGACCGAAGCGGAAGCGUUGACGCAACGUAGAGGAAGUAGUCGUACGUCCUCCCGGUCCAACCGAUCCAAGCACCGUUACUCCGGCACCUCCGAGUUCUUGACAUGCGUACAGCUCGAUGAUGCACCCUCGAUCUCUAAUCCAGUAGAGGCUCCGAGGGGGAGUUCCGUCAGCACGAUGGCGUGGUGACGAUCUUGAUGUUCUCCUGUCGCAGGGCUUCGCCUAAGCACCGCUACAAUAUGACCGAGGUGUAAUAUCAUGGAGGGGGGCACCGCACACGGCUAAGGAACGAUCUCAAUGAUCAACUUGUGUGUACUAGGGUGCCCCCCUACCCCCGUAUAUAAAGGAGGGAGGGAGGAGGUGGCCGGCCACAAGGGGGGCGCGCCAUGGGGAGGGGGAAACUUACUCCAAGUAGGUUUACCCCCCCUUUUCCUUAUCUUAUUUGGAGGGGGAAGGAAAGAGUACUAGUAUUAGGAAGUAGUACUAGUAGUAGUAAUAGGAAGAGGGGGAAGGAGAAAGGAAAGGGGGGGCCGGCCCCCUUCCCCAAUUCGGAUUGGGCUGGGGGGGCGCGCCCCCUUCCCUUGUUACUUCUCCCUUCCUCCUAUAUGGGCCCAAUAAGGCCCAUAUACCUCCCGGGGGUUUUCGGUAACCUCCCGGAGCUCCAAACUUCUCCGGAACCUUUUCGGUGUCCAAAUAUAUCCGUCCAAUAUAUCAAUCUUUAUGUCUCGACCAUUUCGAGACUCCUCGUCAUGUCCGUGAUCAUAUCCGGGACUCCGAACAACCUUCGGUACAUCAAAAUACAUAAACUCAUAAUAUAACCGUCAUCGAAACCUUAAGCGUGCGGACCCUACGGUUCGAGAACAAUGUAGACAUGACCGAGACAUGUCUCCGGUCAAUAACCAAUAGCGGGACCUGGAUGCCCAUAUUGGUUCCUACAUAUUCUACGAAGAUCUUUAUCGGUCAGUCCGCAUAACAACAUACGUUGUUCCCUUUGUCAUCGGUAUGUUACUUGCCCGAGAUUCGAUCGUCGGUAUCCAAUACCUAGUUCAAUCUCGUUACCGGCAAGUCUCUUUACUCGUUCCGUAAUACAUCAUCUCACAACUAACUCAUUAGUUGAAGUGCUUGCAAGGCUUAAGUGAUGUGUAUUACCGAGAGGGCCCAGAGAUACCUCUCCGACAUUCGGAGUGACAAAUCCUAAUCUCGAAAUACGCCAACUCAACAAGUACCUUCGGAGACACCUGUAGAGCACCUUUAUAAUCACCCAGUUACGUUGUGACGUUUGGUAGCACACAAAGUGUUCUUCCGAUAAACGGGAGUUGCAUAAUCUCAUAGUCAUAGGAACAUGUAUAAGUCAUGAAGGAAGCAAUAGCAACAUACUAAACGAUCGUGUGCUAAGCUAACGGAAUGGGUCAUGUCAAUCAGAUCAUUCAACCAAUGAUGUGACCUUGUUAAUCAAAUAACAACUCCUUGUUCAUGGUUAGGAAACAUAACCAUCUUUGAUUAACAAGCUAGUCAAGUAGAGGCAUACUAGUGACACUCUGUUUGUCUAUAUAUCCACACAUGUAUUAUGUUUCCGGUUAAUACAAUUCUAGCAUGAAUAAUAAACAUUUAUCAUGAUAUGAGGAAAUAAAUAAUAACUUUAUUAUUGCCUCUAGGGCAUAUUUCCUUCACGAAGCAACUACCACGUCCUUUCGUUGAACAAUGCGAUACAAAGAGGGAUAUUGGAUGGCCAAGGGUGCGUCACCGAGCCAAGUAUCCCCCCAGAAACGUAUACUCGUGCCGCUUCCAACAACAAACUUUGUCCUAUUAAACAAUGCCUGCUUGACCUUGAUGAGACCCUUCCAGAAAGGCGAGUCGGUCGGCCUUACAGAGACCUGUGACAAAGUUUUUGACUGGAGGUACUUGCCGCGAAGGAUCUGUGUCCACAUAGCAUCAGUCUCCGACGAAAGCUUCCACAGCCACUUGCUAAGAAGGCAUUUAUUCUUAAUUUCGAGGUUCUCAAUAUCUAGACCCCCUUGGUCUUUCGGUCUACAAAUGAUAUCCCACUUAGCAAGCCUAUAUUUUCUUUUAAGCUCAUCACCCUGCCAGAAGAACCGCGAUCUAUAGAAGUCCAGUCUCUUCCUAACACCAACUGGUACCUCAAAGAACGAAAGAAGAAACAUCGGCAUACUCGUGAGUACCGAAUUAAUUAGGAUUAACCGGCCUCCAUAUGACAUGAGCUUGCCCUUCCAGCAGCUCAGUUUCUUCUCAAAUCGGUCCUCAAUGCACUUCCAUUCUCUGUUUGUUAGCCUACGAUGGUGGAUAGGAAUCCCCAAGUAUGAGAAAGGUAGCUGUCCCAACUCACAUUCAAACAAUUGCCUAUAAGCAUCCUGUUCAUCUUUGGCCCUACCAAAACAGAACAGCUCGCUCUUAUGAAAGUUUAUCUUUAACCCGGUCAAUUGUUCAAAUAGGCAUAAAACCAGCUUCAUAUUUCUUGCCUUAACCAAGUCAUGCUCCAUAAAGAUGAUUGUAUCAUCAGCGUAUUGUAGGAUAGAGAUACCUCCAUCAACAAGAUGAGGCACCAAUCCACCUACUUGACCAUUUUCCUUAGCCCUUCCUAUCAAAACUGCCAACAUAUCUACCACAAUGUUAAACAAGAUAGGGGACAUCGGGUCUCCUUGUCGUAGGCCUUUAUGUGUCUGGAAAUAGUGACCUAUGUCAUCAUUAACUCUAAUUCCCACACUACCUUUUUGCGUAAAUGAUUGUACCUGUUACGCAAAGAUUGUUGGAGAAAUGGCCACUUUACCUUAUCAUACGCUUUCUCGAAAUCCACUUUAAAAAUCACUUCAUCUAAUUUUUUGGAGUGGAUUUCAUGGAGCGUUUCAUGCAGGACUACCACCCCUUCUAGGAUGUUUUUGUCUGGCAUGAACGCGGUUUGGGACUGUUGCACCACAGAAUGCGCAAUCUGUGUGAGCCUGUUGGUCCCGACCUUGGUGAAGAUUUUGAAACUAACAUUAAGGAGACAGAUCGGCCUGAAUUGCUCAAUUCUGACCGCAUCCGUCUUCUUAGGCAAUAGUGUGAUAGUCCCAAAAUUCAAGUGGAAUAAUUGAAGCUGUCCAGAGAAUAGAUCAUGAAACAUAGGUAGUAAAUCCUCCUUAAUAAUGUGCCAGCACUUCUUAUAGAACUCUGCCAGGAAACCAUCCGGUCCGGGAGCCUUAUUAUUUUUCAUUUGUGCAAUAGCAUCAUAAACCUCCUUCUCCGAGAACGGGGCAAUUAGAAGCUCAUUAUCAGCAGCCGAAAGCUGAGGUACAUCCUCAGUUCUGGACUCAUCGAGGGACACCGUAUUAUCCUCCGGUGGACCAAAUAAAUGCUUAUAAUAGUCGGUGAUGUACGUUUUUAGGUUAUCCUGACCUACAAUCAUACCCUCGUCCUGCUCAAGCUGAAAGAUUCGCUUCUUUCUGUGUUUGCCAUUAGCAAUUAAAUGAAAGAACUGAGUAUUCGCGCCCCCCUGGACCACUCUACGUACUUUAGCACGUAAAGCCCACUUCAGUUCUUCUUCACGGAGUAGUUCUUCUUCGCUGCAAACAGACCGUAUGGACAAAUUAUUCGCUGAACACGCAUGGUUAAUUUUCUGAACACGUCUACUAGCUAGAUUACCCGGUCCUAGUGUGAGCCCAUUAUCUGAGGCAGUCAUGUAGUAUUAUUUUUGUGGAUUUGAUUUCGACACACAGCGCAUCUAUUAGUGCACGUGCGUGCUGCUAGCAUGCUUGCUUGCUUGGAAUGCCAUGGUGAUUGGUGAAGGAGAUCUGGAGCUACUACCUCUUGUGCUUUCAGAUGGAGACAGGAAAAACCUAAGCUGAAACAGGGGACACCUCCAAAAAGGAGCCAUCUCUCAACUCACGUUACGUUGCUGCUUGCUUGCUAGUACUGCGUACAUAUGUAUGAAAAAUGGUGCUGGGUUCCUCUUAUUCCAAAUACAAUUAUACAAAUCUCUGAAUGAUCCGGUAACUGAAGAUGAAUUGCCAUUUGGUUGGCGGGCACCAAAACGAACCCUGCAGGCUGUAGCAGGCGCCGCCGAUAACUGGUGGUAAAAGAAUAUGUUGUGUGGUGGGGCAACUGCAGAGUAGAGCUGCAGCUUGCUUGCAACUGUUGCAAAGCCAAUGUGUGUACUUGACCAAAGCAGAGUGAGCGUGAUUUAUAAACCGUGUAAUAAGCACAAGGUAUGUGCCUAAGCGGUUAAUCGAGAAUAAGGCACAUACGCCGUUUUACUACUCUGUUUAUUCUCCUCUGCUUUGCUACUCUGUUUCCUCUGCUCUGCUCUUAGGGCGUGGAGCUGUCAUGUCUCCUGUGUCAGUACAAACACAGUCUUGCUGACUACUUACAAGCAUCUGCAGCUAGAAACAGAGAAGCCUUAUGCGGUUGUGCCUCUCUUUCGUCAUGUUCAGAUUUCAGAAAGUGUGUAACUGUCAGAGCAAUAGCAAGGGAGCCGCAAUGCUGCUCUCACACAUAUUCAGAGUGCAUGCCAAAUGUGAACUCGUAUUCUCUUCGGUCUUGUUCAGUUUUGUUCAUGACUGAAAGGGAACGAGAAUGUUACUCGCACAGUCGGAGAGAACAAAACAGUGUUUAAUGUAUAGUGCACCUCAGUACAACUUAUUUCAGUCCUGCCCAUACCUGAAGUUACGUGCGCUAGUUCUACAUGCAGAUGUAAAAUAUAUGUACACAAGACAUAAUUAAGCAAGCACAUGAGAUCGGUUCACUGUGUUGCACUAGUUGACAUAGCUGCUACCAGUUUUGUGUACUCGGCUUUGAUCUUCUUCAGCGUCACGACCACGUCGUGCAUUGUCAUCCUCUGGUCAGGAGAGUCACUGGAACAGUGCAAACCCACCUCAAAGACUGACGCUAAGAAGCCAUAGUCCAAUCUGCAGCCUGAAAUUGAGGAGUCAUGUAGAAGUUGGCCGUCAACGACCUGGACAAGAUCCGUAGGAAAUGCCCGAUGAGCCCACUGCCUAAGAGUUAGUUGUGCGCCAAACAUGACAUCAGUGGGUCUUUUUCCGGUGAAGACUUCAAGGAGCAUGAUUCCGUAGCUGAACACGUCACUUUUCCUUGAGGCUUUUCCAAGUGAUCCGUACUCUAUUCAACAGGAACAUAAAUGAAAAUUUGAUAGAUAGUUGCUCUACUAUAUUGUUUUAGGUGGAGACACAAUCAUUAAUGGUUUAAUAAGUAUAUGGAUGAAAACAUAACAAGCACCAAAACAAUGGUACAUGAAGUUUGAAACUGUCAUGGGGGAGCAAGGCUACAAGAAGUUUAGCUCAGACCAUUGUGUGUUUAUUCAGAGGUUCUCAGGUGAUGAUUUCAUCAUAUUAUUGCUCUAUGUUGAUGAUAUCCUGAUUGUUGGCAAGAAUGUCUCUAGGAUUGCUAAGUUGAAGAAGGAGUUGAGCAAAUGUUUUGCUAUGAAAGACUUAGGUCCAGCAAAGAACAUUUUCGGAAUGAGAAUUGAGCGAGACAGAAAUUGCAACAAGUUGUACUUGUCCCUAGAGAAGUAUAUUGAGAAGGUACUUCAGAAGUUCAGGAUGGAAAAUGCUAAAGUUGUAAGUUGUCCACUAGCAGCCCAUUUCAAGUUGAGCAGAAAGCAAUGUCCUACCACUGAUGAGCAGAAAAAGGAAAUGCAUCAUGUUCCUUAUGCUUCAGCGGUUGGGAGUUUGAUGUAUGCUACGGUGUGUACAAGGCCUGACAUUGCUCACGCGGUUAGUACUGUGAGCAGAUUUAUGUCCAAUCCAGGAGGACCUCAUUGGGAAGCCACAAAGUGGAUUUUGAGAUAUCUUCAGGGCAGCACAAAUCUGAAACUUUGCUUCGGUGACGGUGAGGCAAAGCUGAUUGCUUUUUCAGAUUCUGACAUGGCUGGAGAUGUUGAUAGAAGGAAGUCUACUUCAGGUUACUUGGUUACCUAUGCAGGGGGAGCGGUGUCAUGGCAAAGCAGGCUGCAGAAGUGUGUGGCAUUGAAUACAACUGAAGCUGAAUUCAUUGCUGUAACAGAGGCGAGCAAAGAGCUAUUGUGGCUGAAACGGUUGGCUUGUGAGCUUGGUUUUAAGCAAGACAAGUAUAUGUUGUUUUGUGACAACCAAAGUGCUAUCCACUUGAGUAAGAAUGCAAGCUUUCAUUCAAGGUCUAAGCAUAUAGAAGUCCGUUAGCAUUGGGUUCGAGAUGUGCUGUAUUCCAAGAAAAUGCAACUUGAGAAGGUUCACACCGAUGACAAUGGGGCUGAUAUGUUGACUAAAGUAGUGACAAGGAAGAAGCUCGAAGUAUGCCGCCGGCUCGCUGGCAUGGCUGCCGGAAGGCAGUGAGACCCUCCAUGAUGUUGGGAGGGGGAGUUUGUUGGGCUAAGUCCCUCCACAUGGAGGUGUGUUGGCAGCCCAACAUCAGCCCAUAAGUCCAACACAUGUCAGCCGUUGAUCUUCGCUGCAUCCAACGGUUGAGAGCGCUUCCAAGGGAAGUGAAGCAAGAAGAAAACCCUAGCCACUCCACCCCUUGCUGGUGGUGGCUGCCAUUCGUGAGAGUGAGAGUGAGAGCAUACAAGAGAAAACACAACCUGGGAGAGAGGAAGAAGAAGAAGCAGAGGUUCUGUCCAGAUUUGCUGCAUCUGACUAGACAGUGUUCAAGCUGGUGAUUGGAGGCUCAAACGUGCUUGGAUCGACCCCAAACUUGGUGAGCUCGUUCCUUACUUUGAGUACUUCGAUUUGGUUAGCUGGUUUGAGGAUUGGGUCAUUGGAGCAUCAGAUUUGAGAGUGGUUUUGUCAGCUCUCACUGCUGCAGUUUCAGAACAUAGUAGUUUUGGGAGACGAACAGUUUGGGUAGGCAAACGAUGUCCGAUUGAGCUGAAUUUUGGAGGGGAUCUCAGGAAUUCGUGUGUCUACUUGUAUGCCAAAUUUGGUGCUGUUUGGUUCAGCGGUUUAAGAGCAGUUUGCAAAACACUGGAGGGUACAGAAACUGUGUAAACUCUGCUUUGCUGAAAUCUUAUUUCUUGUGGUUGUUAUUGCUGUUGCCGGUUGGCAACGUGGAGAGUGUGUUGUAAAUCUCUCUAGAGGUUCUAGAGAAGACUUUGUACUCAUCAUUCUCAUAGUGAAGUUGCGUGGACCGGUCGGUCCACAGCCGUGGUUUUUACUCCUCAAGUUGAGGAGGUUUUUCCACGUUAAAUCCUGUGUCACUUGUGCAUGCUGUUUGUGUUAUUCGCUGCUUACUUGUUGGUUGAAACUGUCCUCAAAGUUCAUCACAAGUAGAGGGGGCUGUGUAGUGUGCAUAUUUGCCGUGCCGAUGAAUUUGUGCAGCACAUUGUUGCUGUCCAGCCCCAACACAAAGAACAUGGGAAUGGUACCUGAGAUAUUGUUAGAUGAGAGGUCUAGCGAAUCUAAGCUUGUUAAAUUUUCCAAUUGGUCAGGAAUUGAGUCUCUAAAGGAGUUAUGUGAUAGAUUGAGGUAUGUCAGCAUAAUAAGUUCUCCAAAUGAUUUUGGGAUGCUCCCUAUCAAUAAGUUGGAAGAAAAGUCUAAUUGAUAAGUUUGACUUAGACCAGAAACAUCGACUGGUAGUGCACCCGCAAAGGAAUUGCGAGAAAUAUCUAGUUGGAUAAGCUUAUCUAGCUGGAAAAGGCUUGAUGGUAUCUCUGAAGUUACCUGGUUACUAGACAAGUCGAUGCGUUCUAACGAACUGAGAUUACCAAAGCUGCUUGGUAUAGAGCCUGAUAAUUUGUUUGAUUGGAGAAACAACCGUUCUAGACUCUGAAGCAUACCCAUUUGUGUUGGCAUAGGACCUAACAUUUCAUUGUUGGGGAGACUAAGCCACACAAGAUUUUCUAACAUAGCGAUGGAUUCUGGGAUGGGCCCGGUGAAUUGGUUGCUAGAAAGAUCUAUUGAUUCGAGACUGCUUAUGUUUGAAAUUUCUACGGGAAGGCCGCCUGUUAACUUGUUGUAACCUGCAGCUAAAGUUUGUAAUUGUGAGCUGAGGUUUCCCACAUGGCCAGAGAGGACGCCCGUGAAAUAAUUGUCGUUUAUACCAAGACUUUGGAGUUGUUGGCACUUGGAAAGAGCUGACAAGAAGUCUAGAUUCCCCUCUAAAUUGUUUUGCGACAAAUCAAGAUAGUUCAAAGCUGCACCAUUUCCAAGUGUUGUUGGUACUUGGCCGGACAGUUGAUUGUAAUUCAAAGCUAGGAAUGACAAUUUGGAUAAAUUACCAAGGGAAGUUGGGAUUUUACCUGUCAACUGAUUGAGUCCAAGAUACAAAUAUGAGAGUUCCUGCAGUAGACCUAAUUCCGAUGGAAUCUCCCCUUUGAGGUUGCUGUAGGACAUCUCUAGUGAAGUAAGACCAGUAAGAUUGCUUAGACCAGUUGGGAUUGAGCCAGUAAGAUUGUUAAAACCCAAGGAAAGUUCUUUGAGGUGUGGCAAUCUGGCUAACCAUGUUGGUACAACAUCCACAAAAUAAUUUCUCGACAAAGUAAGUAUUUGUAGGUGCUUGCAAGAUGCAAGCCCGGAUGGAAUCCGACCAGUAAAUUUGUUAUUGUAUAGAUUAAGAAACUUCAACUUUGGGAGAAUAAAACUUUGAUUGCUGGGAAUAGUUCCAUAUAGAUUACUGUUGCUCAAUAGUGAAAACGCUUGCAACCUAGACAUGUUGUACAUGGCUUGCGGCACUAGGCCUGAGAGUUGAUUUAACUCUAGAUUCAAGACCCAAAGAAUGGAUAGAGAUGCAAUGGUUUGUGGUAUAGGACCUGACAGGUUGUUAUUUCCAAAGUUGAUGAACGUCAUGGAAGGCGUGUUGUUGAACAAAGACGGUGGUAUUUCGCCACUCAAGUAAUUUCCGAACAGAUGAAUUUCCCCAAGGCUUUGCAUGUGAAGCAGCAUCUCGGGAGGGAUCUGGCCCGAGAGUUGGUUGUAACCUAGACGAAGGGACACGAGCCUUGUGAGGUUUCCAAGGGUAGCAGGUAUGGCGUCUGAUAGGCUAUUUCUUCUAAGAUCGAGAUACUUAAGACGAUGUAGCCUACCAAGUUCGGCUGGAAUGGAGCCUGUAAGAUUAGUGCGGGUGAGGUUAAGGAUGGAGAGGAAAGAGAGGUUACCAACUUGAGGUGCCACAGAUCCAACGAGAGGUGUAUCCCCCAAUGCUAGAGCAGUGACACGUUGUCUACGCCGGCUACACGAGACGCCAAUCCAGUGGCAGAAAGAGGUGUUGAUGGUCCAGUUGCGGGCAAGGAUGUUGUGAGGGUCAGUGAGCUGGGCUUUGAAAGCGAGCAGCGCGGCGAGAUCGGUGUCACUACCAUUGCCAUUGGUCGAACUAGGAGAAGAAGCGGAUACGGCCGUGAGUAUAACUAACAGGAAGAUGGGAAUACGGACAGACAUGGAUAGAGCGGCCAUUGAGCUGGGGUGUUUACCUAUGUGCGGUGAACAGCUAGCGAGAGUUGUGGUGAUCUCGUCCUUCUCUGAGCCACAAGCGCAUCGAUCAUGCCAUGGAAGUCAUGACCUUGCUCUUGUCGGCAGUCACACCGUGGGGCAAGCAUAGCGACACGGCGCAGAGCUGUCGAUCGUACUAUAUAUGAGUAUUGAGUCCUUAGUCUUUGCCCAAGCAACACGAUCACUCCAUGGAAGUCAUCACCUUCCAUGGAAGUCCUUGCGGACGGGCACACGGCCCGUUAAGAAAAGGCAAGGCGACACGGUGCGGAGCUGUCGAUCGAGCCUUGAGUCCUUACGGCCACGAAAAUAACCUUCGCCAGACACUAGACUCGUAAAUAUCAUGAUCACUGCAGAGACUGCGUAUACUUGUCAACGAUACUCUUGGGUCACGUCUCUACCGACUAAAUUUAAACGUAACUACACCACUAUGGCCUCAGGCUGCGGUUCAUAAGAUGGUUUCGUUUUGUUGACCGUCGAUAUGACUCUCUGCACGUCAGUCUACAAGUCUUGCGCGUAUGCCUAGGUUGUCAAUUUUAUCACCUAAUAUAAACUAUAAACACAAAAAUUAUAUCUUUUGAAAGUAGAAACUCCCAAGUUUAUGUUGGUAUAUUUUUUGUAAUAUAUGACUUGUAUUAGGUUGAUCAAAUUAAUGAUCUAGGGGUACGCGCACGCCCUGUAAACUGAAAGAGAGGUAGUACCUACGUAGCUUCGGCCCAACUUUAAUUUGUAUCGGGGUGUGGAACCUACUUGAAUUAGGGAAAUGUUUCUAAUCAUCCGACUGAUCGCACGCAAGCAUCCGCCGCCUCUUUCGAGUGACGCGUGUCCUGGGCUCACCUAGCAUUAUAUCUAGCGUUUUUGCAACCGAGUCCUUGUUGUAAUUUCCCUACCGCAACAACUCAUUUGUUGCAGGAUCCAUCCAUAGCAUCAUCUCUAGCCGCCUCCGGAGUUGCUCCCAAACUCAUCGUUGAGUUUUGCCUCCCUGCGCAGCUCCCAUGGCCGCCACUACGGCAAGCACGCCGACGCGGACCGCGUGCAGGUCACGUUCUACAUGGCGUUCUACCUCUUAAUUUCUGCAACAUCAUCCAUCACUAAUAGAAAACAUGGCUUUGGUUCGGGCCUGGCCAGCCCAUUAGUUCCGGUUCAGUCACGAACCGGGACCCAUGGGGGACAUACGUCCCGGUUCGUGCGCCCAGGGGGCCGGCCGGGCCUCGUGGGGCAUUGGUCCCGGUUCGUCUAGACCCAUUUGUCCCGGUUCCAGGCACGAACCGGGACCAAUGGUCCUCGCUCCUGGCCCACAGCCAUUGGCCCUGGUUCGUGGCUAGAACCGCGACAGGAAGGGGGCCUUUAGUCCCGGUUCCAGCCACGAACCGGGACCAAUGAGUUGCCUAUAUAUACCCCAUCGCCGCAACAGAGCACUCCACACUACUCUGCAUUUUCUAGCCGGCGAGGAGAGUGCUUUGUGGUGCUCUAGCUCACCUCCUAUGCACAUGAGGUGUUCGAUGAAAUGCCGGAGCCACACUAGUUAAGCUUUCUCCUCUCGAAGCUCGACCUCCAAGCUCCAUUUUCCCCGAGAUUUAUGUGGGUUUAGCGGUCUGUCACGUCCCGUCCCCGUCUUCACCGCCGUCGAUCGCCCGCGCCAAUCUCGUCGCCGGCACCACCGUGGUGAGCCUCUUGUUCUUAUCUUCUUUCUGAAAGAAAAAAAUUUCUUACUUUAGAUAGAUACUUGUUUAUUUUUCUUACUUUUAUUAUUGCUUGUUAUUAUAUAGUGCGAUGGUUUUGGUAUCCGCCCCCGUCGGCCCUCGUCCUGUCUAUGAUUCGGAUGUGGUAUAUAUUAUCUUUUAUAACUAUUUGGUUCAUUUAUUAUUUAUGACAAUUAUGCCGACCAAUGUGACAUAGAUUUUAUUUAUCUAGGAGGUAUGUGAACCAGAAAUUCCAACCGACCCUAUUGUCGAGAGGUUAAAUUUAGUUGAAGAAGAAAACAAUUACUUGAAGGAAAAAAUAAAAAAAAUUGAGGAGGAGAAGAUGAUAUGGGAGUUGCAUGUUGCGGAUGUCGUCAAUGAUCACAAGAUCAAGAUGGACGCAAUGCGUUUGAAGAUUAGAAAGAUUAAUAUGCCAUUCAUACCGAGGUUUGCUAUCAUUAUGAUGUUGAAUCAAUUGUUACCUUGGUUGCGAUUAUGAUUGCUUUUUUUGUUGCAUUGAAGUGUUUUACAUGGUCUCAAUGUAUGGUUUAAUUAGAUGCUCUGGAGAGCUAUAUGUUGUUCAAUGAGUACUAUGUAUGUACUUUGGUUUAACGUGAUGCUCUUGUUGCCACGAUUUUGCAGUCCAUUCCCCUUAAUAUUCAGUUUAAGAGGGCGCUUGUGGGCGACCGGUGGGAAGCAUGGCUUCAUUUGGUGAGUAGACUGAUGGAGGUUCAUCUAUCUCAUCAGCCCGAUCAGUUGUGCUGGAAGCUUACUAGGUCUCGAGAGUUCACAGUUAAGUCGAUGUAUAUCGAUGUCAUUAACUCUAGUGUUAUUCCUAGUUCCAAAAAGGUUUGGAAAGUCAAAGUUCCUUUGAAAAUUAAAGUGUUUAUGUGGUUUGUACAUAAACAAGUCAUUUUAACAAAGGAUAAUUUGGUUAAGCUCAACUGGACAGGAUCUACUAGGUGUAGUUCUUGUGAUCGGGACGAAACUAUCAAGCACCUCUUCUUUGACUCCCGUUGGCAAGGGUUUUGUGGCACACAGUGCAUAUUGCCUUUAACAUUACUCCUCCGACUUCGGUCAGUACGUUAUUUGGAACGUGGCUUGUUGGGAUAGAUUCCGAAACAGCUAGACACAUUCGUGUAGGAGUAUGUGCUUUGAUGUGGGCAAUUUGGAAUUGCAUAAAUGAUUUGGCUUUUAACAAAACAACAAAUAUUCAUUUUUUGCAGGUUUUAUUCCGAGCUACUGCGCUGAUCCGUAUGUGGUCGUUACUCACUCCGACGAAGGCCAGGGAACGUUUGGUUAUUGGAUCUGUCCGGAGGAAGAUGGUAGCGCCGGAUAUCUUCAACCGGUUUGGAUGGCUGUCAUGUAAUAGGAUAGGCAAUUAGUUUACCUAUCUUUGUUUUGCCAGCCGGUUGUGGCUUUUGGCCCUUUUGUUUUUGGCGUUGUGGAUCUUUGUGAGCUUGCCAUUAUCUUGUUUUCAGACUAUAAGACCUUGUUGAACACCUUUAUUUAUUUAUAAUUGUGGCCGUAUGCAUCGUUCUGAUGCAGAGACCGGGGAGUCCCCCCUUUUGAAAAAAAAGAUACACACAGUUUUGCUAACAAAUUAUACAUGCGAGUGCAGCGAGAAACAUAGAAGCGUUGUGCCUCUCUUUGGUCUUGUUCAGAACUGAGAAAGGGUGAGACGGUCAAAACACCCUCCGUAAACAAAUAUAAGAGUGUUUAGAUCACUAAAAUAAGAGCGUUUAGAUCACUAUUUUAGUGAUCUAAACACUCUUAUAUUUCUUUACAGAGGAAGCAGCAACACUGCUCUAGCAUGUGUUACAUGUGUAUAGUUCCCUGUGUAUAUCCCCAUUAUAUAAGGGGCUUUUCUGCACUUUACUACAUCUGUAUAUGUUAUGGCCUUUCGCCCUCAGUAAAGCUAGUUGCUCAUUCUCCAUCAUGGUAUCAGAUGCUAGGUUAGCCUCUCGCUCCCGCACGAUGCAACUCCGUGCGCCUCGUUCCUAGCUUGCUUGCCUCAGGCCUCCGGCUGCUGCCUCUCAGUCCUAGCUCCACUGCUCCUCGAGCAGGACGCCGUCUUGCUCGGCCAUUGCGUCGGGCAGCCGCUCUGGCCGGCCGCUGUUCCGUCUGGCCGCUGCUCCUGUCCAGCGGCUGCCCUGCUUGGCCGCUGCUCCGUGCCGUCUCGCCCGGCCGCCCCACCCUUGUCUGGCCAGCCCCGCCCGGCCCUUCCAUCAUCUGGCUGAGGCGGGCGCUGCCCGCCCGGUGCUACUCUUCCGGCCGCUGCGGGAGCUCUGCGGGCUCUCGAUCCCUCUUGGAUCGAUCCUCCCGCGAGCGAGCGCUCCCUCCAGCGAGUGCGUGGGGCCAUCCCACGCUCGGGCGCUUGAUCCAGAUCCAUCGACCGGGUGCUCGAUCCCCUGAUCUCGAUCGGGAUUUUCUGUUCCCAUUUGAGAAAAAAAAAGGAGCAGAAGCAGCAGAGAGACUUUCUCAUGUCUUCUUCGGGCUAUAUAGUUGUCCCCCGGUGCUCGGUGAUCUUUGAUGGCACCAACUAUGCUGAGUUUGCGGGCUUCAUGCGUAUCCAUAUGCGCGGUCUUCUGCUGUGGGGCAUUCUCUCUGGCGAGGUGCCCUGUCCGCCCCGCCCUGUUGCUCCGGUAGCUCCUAUCACGCCAAUCCAGCCGGUGCUUGCUGCUCAUGCUUCUCAGGCUGAUCGGGAUGCAGCCAAGGCUCUUGAUGAUGCUGCAGUUGACGCUUAUGAUCACCAGGUAUCUGCAUGUUCUGAUGCACUUUCUGUCUACUAGGAUGAUCAGUCUACUUACACUUAGUGGUGCAAUGAUUAUGCUCGAGCUGCUGCUGUUCUCACUGCGAGUGUCCUCCCUCAGUUUGCUUUGGAGUUCAUGGGCCUCGGCACUGUUGCAGCAAUGUGGUCCUAUAUUUGUCAGCGCUAUCAGCCCUCUGGCAAUGCUCUAUACCUCUCUGUGGUGUGUCAGGAGCAUGCUCUUCAGCAGGGUGACUCGUCUGUUGAUGAGUUCUAUUCACAGUGCUCUGCUAUCUGGCGUCAACUUGAAUCACUGCGGAUAGUUGUUUGUGGAACUUGCCCUUGCUGUCAGACUACGCUGGCUGACUUGGAGUUUUAGAGAGUUCAUGAGUUCUUAUCUCGUCUCCGCUCUGAGUUUGAGCCUCGCCGUGCCCACUUGCUUGCUCGUGGUCGUGUUCCUCUCCCGGAGGUGCUUGCCGAGCUUCGUGCUGAGGAGACCCGCCUUCUCUCUGUAGGGUUGCUAGUGGUUCCAUCUGUGUUGGCUGCUCGGGCUCCAGUGUCGUCUGCUUGGCUCACUGCUCCACUGCUUCUCCCUACACCUUCAGGGGGGGGGGUCGCUCUCCUUAUGCUGAGAAGGGCCGGUCGCGCUGUGAGACCUUCUGUGGCUACUGCUCUCAGCCAGGUCACCCAGAGUCUAAUUGCCGUGAGAAGAAGCGAGACCAGAGGCGCUCCUCUCCCAGUGGGACUCCUACAUCUUCCUCGACCCCGUCACUCACUGACCAGGACAUUGUUCGGCUUAAACGCCUUCUGGCUUCCUCUGGUUCUUCACCGAUAGGCUCUGCUGCUACUGUGACUACUUCAACCACUUCAUCAUUGCCGGCAUCUACACCGUCAGGUACAUCUUCGUGGGUUCUGGACUCUGGAGCUUCCUUUCAUAUGUCCUCUGAUUCUUCAGUGUUGUCUUCUCUUCACCCUCUUGAUUCUCCUAUUAAUGUCCUUACUGCCGAUGACACAUCUCUUCCUGUUGCUAGUCGCGGUAUUCUUUCCACUCCAUCUUUUUCUUUUCCUAGUGUUUCACAUGUUCCUCGCCUUACCAUGAAUCUUUUUUCUGCUGCCCAACUUACUGAUUCUGGUUGUCGGGUCAUCCUUGAUACCCAUUCUUGCUCCAUUCAGGAUCGUCGCACCAAGGUUUUGGUUGGUGCUGCCCCCGGCGUCGUGAGUUUGAGGAUCUUUGGGAAGUUGACUGGCUUUGUGUUCCUUCCGCUGCCACCACUUCAGUCAGCUCUCAUGCUCUUGCUGCCUCUUAGUCUGUGUCCUUCCAGCAGUAGCAUCAUCGCCUUGGUCACAUCUGUGGCUCUCGCUUGUCUUCCUUAGUGCGUCAGGGCCUAUUAGGUUCUAUAUCUGGAGAUGUUUAUUUACCUUGUAAUAGUUGUAGACUUGGAAAACAGACCGAGUUACCUUAUCCUACCAGUCAGUCGGUACCCCAGCAUCCUUUUGACUUAGUUCAUUCGGAUGUCUGGGGUCCAGCUCUCUUUGAUUCGAAAGGUGGUCAUCGCUACUAUGUUUUGUUUAUUGAUGAUUUCUCUCGCUACGCUUGCCUCUACUUCAUGAAAUCUCAUAGCGAGGUUCUCUCUAUGUACAAACGAUUUUUUGCCAUGGUUCACACUCGGUUUUCCACGCCUAUUCGUACUUUUCGCGCUGACUCCACUAGAGAGUAUAUCUCCCAGCUGUUGCAUGGUUUUCUCGCUGAACAGGGCACUCUUGCCCAGUUCUCCUGCCCUGGUGCUCAUGCUCAGAAUGGCAUUGCUGAACGUAAGCAUUGGCAUCUUCUUGAGACGGCUCAUGCACUGAUGAUUGUCGCCUCUCUUCCACCCCAUUUUUGGGCUGAGGCUGUUUCUGCAUCCACCUAUCUCAUCAACAUUCAGCCAUCGACUGCUUUGCAGGGUGGUUUCCUAUGGAGUGCCUCUCUGGUCGCUCUCCUGGCUACCCAGCUCUUCGUAUGUUUGGAUGUGUGUGCUACGUCCUUCUUGCCCCGCGCGAGCGCACCAAACUGACUGCUCAGUUGGUUGAGUGUCCGCGCAAUGUAGCCUGUUAGCUUAUCCGUGGGAUCUCUAUCCUUUGGGUAGACUGAUUCCGGAGCCGAAACCCUAGGAACUAUCCUUUCCAUCCCAUGAUCCAGAUCUCUCCUCAUGGCAUGCAAUAUCUCCCCGAUCCUUUCCUUGGCAACACCAUCAAUUGCCUGAGCUUUCCCCGCGAUCCCAGAUCGGAAGACGCCGAUCUUCUCCUUUUCCAUGUCGAACUGCCUUCUCGCUUUCCUCCUUCACAGCCAUGCCUCGCGGAUCCUCAACAGAUCCACUACCGGCUCCGGAUCUCUCUCACUCUCGAUAUCUCUAAACUCUUUUCUCCAUUCGCCGGGGUUGUCCGCCGGCGGUCCGGCCCCUCGGGUCGUCGGGCGUCGCCCUCCUGUCGCCUCGACAAGGGCUCCAUAAUUUUCGGGCGUCAUCCUCUAGAAUCGCCGAUCAGUAACACUUCUGGUCGUACGUGGUCGUGGCUACAUUCCCUUCCGCGACCUGUAUAUCUUCUGGGUUUUGUUCUGGGAAACAAUGCGUAUCAAGUAACGGUAAGAACCGUCCGACGUAGACAUAGCUCCCGUGCCGACUAGACUGAGCUAUAGCCACUUCAUAUUUUAUAUUGAUGUGCCACUGCACCCUGUGAAAAUUAUCAAUAUCUACGGUGUCAGCUAUAUACCACUAGUCAUGAACUCAUGCAGCUGCAUGGGCUAACUAUUUUCAAAAAUAAAAUAAAAUUGACACAUUGUGAGAAUGGCACCAAUUAUCAUCAUACGAGAAAUUUAGGAAUAUACUUUUGAAAAACUACUAUUGCAUAGUUAAUUUGCCUUUGUUGUCCAUUUUUUUUGCUAGUUUCAACCUCUCUUUGGUUAAACAUUUAAAUCAUUUACUAAAAUAUCUUACAACAUUUAAAGUGUUCAUGUCUUGACAUUUACUAAAAUAUCUCACAACAUUUGCACUGAAUAUCUCACAACAUUUACUAAAUUAUAUUUGUAGCUAGUUUAAAGCAUUCAUGACGAUCUAAAAAUAUCUCACAACAUUUACAUCAGUGCUCGCAACAUUUACUAAAAUGUUAUUAAAAAUGUAAAAUUGUUCGACCAAUUUCAUAAAAAUGUUCACGGCACAUAAUAAAAUGUUUGUAUCAUUUUAAAAGUGUUUGUUGCAUCUAAAAAUAUGUGGAAACAUUUUAAAAAUGUUCAUGAAAUUUUGAUCACUUUCCUAGUAUAUUAAGUACAUUCUUUGUUUUUUUAAGAUGUAAAAAUUUGCAGGGCCUUGUAAUUUAUUAGCAGGAAAAGAGCGAGUAAAUGUUUCACUUUCCUAGUAUAUUAAGUACAUUCUUUGAUUUUUAGAGUACAACGCGCUUUCAACGAGCAUCAAUCAUCAAACACCACUGGGCUAGUAUUUUUCUGAAGCCCAUGGUACACGUGAGAAAGCACACUAAAAAAAACUCAAGUAGUAUACUUGCCUCAAAAAAGAAAAAGUCCACUCAGUAUACUUUUUUUCAGAAAGCCCACACCAUCGUAUCUCUUUUUCUAAAUAUACAACAACAACAAUCACAUGUACUCCCCGGCGGAUUCUCAAAAAAAAAAUGUACUCCCCGACGAAGUGCCUCGAGCGCCUGCGGUGAAAAACUGCAGCCACCGGCCACCACCACCGGCGAUGAAACUCCGACAACACGGCGGCAUAUUCCGCCGGUGCUCCACUGUCCUCACCACCGCAGAUGCGUCCGGUGGGCCUCGCCUGGAUCCCCGAGCAUGUCACCAGAGAAUGGGUCAGAAUGCAAUUCACAUUCGACCCAACUUGCGUUAUUACUGGUUAUGUACCACCAUUUCUUCCCUUAGUUCGGUAUACAAACUAGUAAAUUUUUAGUAACAUAAAAUUCAGUAACACUGCAAACCCAAAAAAUGAUGGAGCCCAACCAAACGUUUUCAGAUGAAGUAAAUACGUUCAGAGAUGAGCUUUGCCAUGGUUAACACUACCUUAUGGCAACGACGUUUAUUCUGGUUUCUGAUCAUCCAUAUAGAACUUUAUCCAAUAUCCCAGUUUUUUUUCUGGCUCUCAUUUGUACAGCUACAAACUCCAUAUUUUUUUAAAAAUAUGCAGUCAGACUUAAUUCCUGUUUUCCCCUAAAAAUACAUAGUGAACCAGGACACAAAGUUCCAUUCUCCUUGGAAGAGAGCAAUAUGCUUAGUUGUCAACAACAAUAGGAUAUGGCAUGUGAUGUGUUUAUCUAAAAUAUAAAAACCUUUAUUAUACUAGCUAGAACUGCGUACAAUAUUUCUUGUGAAGAAUAGUUCACAAAACACUAUCACUACCAGAAACUACACUUUUCCAUAGGGUGACCCAUUUUCCUGUGAGGCCCGAAGCAUCUCACAGGAAUAAUAAUUUUCCUGGCGGGCAUACUUAAGCCCUGAGGAAAAUAGUUCAUUUUACUGUAGGUAGUAUAUAACGCACAGGAAAAUGAAUUGUUCUGUGAGGUUAGCCCACAGGAAAGUACUCAGGCCAGCCCAUUGCGCGCCAAAAUAUUCAUGCACGCGCAAAGGCCCAUGCGAAUUUCUUUUUCCCUGUGUGCAGCGGCCCACGGGAGAAAAAAUGACGCUUCGAGACAAAUGUAAACCCCACGAGAAAGUUCCCCAAUCCACAUCCCAGACCCCAGCCGCCACCCCACCCCGCCGUCGUUCUCGCUCACAGCCGCCGCCCCCACCCCGCCGUCGUUCUCGCCCACGGCGGCCGCCCCCACCCCGCCGCCGUCCUCGCCCACGGCGGCCGCACCACCCGGCCGCCGACCUCGCCCACGUCGGCCGCACCACCCCGCCGUUGACCUCACCCCCGGCCGACGCCUUCCUCCACAUCCUUCUGACCCCAAGGCUGAGGUCGUUCCCGUCUAUCUCCCCUGUGUGUGCGCGUACAUCGUCGGCAAGCGUGAGGAGGGGUUGCCGCAGUUGCUUCUUCGCCUUCUCCCAUCUCACGUCCCCAUCGCCGGACGCCUCGCCACGUCUCUCACCUUGCCCCUCUCCAUGGUAAACUUCAGUCCUCCCCUCUCCCCUGCUCUUUUAAUUUCUUUUAUCCUUAAUGUUCUUCCUUUGAUAAAUCUAAGCCGUGAAUUUGCACAAAUCUGGCUAAAUUUCGUGCUCUUAUCUCUUCCAUCUCGGUGGUUUCUUCUGUAGGUGCAUCGCGGAACUAUUUCUGGAGGCCGUCGCCACCGCAUUAGUUGCCGGAUGGUCUUCCCCUGCUCCAUUGUAAGUAAAAAAAACAUGCUUUUUCUGUGGGGCUAUAUAGGUACCUCUGGCCGGAGCUGAUAUUGGGUGUUCUGUUUACCUCAGAGACGAGUUCCCAAGAAAUGCUCUUUGUUUAUUGCCUUUUUGCAUUCUUUUGCCGUGUAUGGAUUUAUUCAUUUUACAUGUUGCAAGAAAUGGCUUUGUUCUCUAUGCUAGCUCAAAGUUUAGAUGCUGCUGCUAGGUGUGCUAUUAGCAACCACAUUGGUUAAGUCACUGAAAACUGAAAAGAUUAAUGUCACUGUAAUUUUCAUCCUUGCUAGGUGCUUUAGGAUAUGCAGUGUAUGCAUGUGAAGACGUGAAGAUGUUGACUCUUUUUCCUUGCUAGCUGCUUCAGGAUAUGCAGUGUAUGUAUGUGAAGAUGUACUCUUCUUUUUAGAUCACUGAUGCUACUUGCGCCGUACUAUUCGAUGCCCAAUUCAGAGUUACGUAACAGGCUGACUGCUUUCUCUUAGAGAGAGAAAAAAUGCUAUCAUUGGCUGCGGCGAUCACCACGCACAACGGCGGCUGGCGUUCCUUUUUCUCUUGCCCCGCUCUUCGCUGGAUCCAACUCUCAAAGCAACAUGCUAAUUAAUGGCUAUUGCCGUUGGUCAUGAUUUUUUCUGCUGAUUUUUUCAUCUUCCUAUGGAUUUGUUUCUUCCUAUAAAUACUUCCCAUCCCAGUGCCAGUGCUGGUAGAUGCAGAUUUACAUCAAUUUGCAAUUAGCCAAAGCAAAAUCUAGGCUGAUGGUUCAAGGUCUCAAAAAAUUCAUGUAACUUUCAAAUCCUUUCCUCUUUGGCCCUUGUACUGUGGUCUAUUCUUGGUUUUCCAGUGAAUCACUCUUCUUUUUUUACAUGUACGAUGUGUGCUUGUGCAGGCGCUGCUUUUAGGAGACAAUGAUUCCGGAACAGAUGAGUGAGGAUCAUAACUGGAUGGUUUCAUAGUUGGAUUUCUACCUGUCCAACAGAUUCAUGUCAUCUGGCUAUUUUUCUGUAAGUAUAUUUCCUAAUAAGCAUCUCUGAAUUGUCAAGUUGUGAAGAAAAAAAGGAUAUCACGUUGCUCGAGGCAUGAAACCUAGUGCCAGAUUAUAAAGUUUCAUAUAUACUUUUCUGGUUUUAUUCAUAUAUCAUAUGGUGUGUCCACAAAUGGCACUACUGCAUGAGAUGCAUUAAUUCUGAACAUGCAAGUCUAGGACAGUGCUGCUCCAGUGACAAUAUAUGUGUCACAAUGAGCUGAGUUUCCAACAUAUCUAGUCAGCAGUUGGAUGAGUACUAUUUUCUCCUUAGUGGCUGCUGCCAGGUAGUGUGUUUCUUAUGUGGCUUUGUGCUGGCUGGCUAUAAUUAUGUAGGUGAUGCUGCUGAUCAUGAACCUAGGUAACACAGAAAUUGUGUAUUUAGUCGCCAUUUCUCUGUGCAAUGUGAUGGAUGAGAAUAAGAGUGGUGCCAUGUAUAUGUAGAACUAUUGUUGCUUUUGAGGAAAAGCCCAAGAAGCAAAUUAGGCUAUGACUCAAAUAAUCAUCACCAACUUUGUCACGCAAAGCAUUCUUCACAAUAGUCAUAGCUGGAAAACAUGUCUCAACAUUGGCAGUGGCAACUUGGAGAGUCAGUGCUAGCUUGAAAAGCCGAUAUACCAAAGGGUAGGAGAGAUGCUUCCUUGUAUCCACCAUCAGUUUAGCAAUCACCUAUUUUGUCCAAGCUAGAAAACCUUCUAUCAUGGGUUACAUUAUUUAUGUAGAUACUAAGUUCAUGUUCAAGAGUAACAUAUCUCUGUGACUAAAAUCAUCAGGAUAAAGCUUAGCUAAUUCCAGCAACUUCUUGUCAAAAAAACAAAAUAAAUCACCUUUGCUCAAAGCAGACCCAUUGGUGGCGGCAGCCCCUGGGUUGUGGUGUUGCCAUCUCUUUAUUUCCUUGUCAAAUAUUGCUUCUUCAUUAAUUUUGUACAUAAUUUUGUAGGGGAAGAUGAUUCGUCUAUGUUAUCUUCAAGGACGACGCUAUGGAUGAUCACAUCGGCAAUGGCAUCACUCGAGUUUGCAACAUGACUGAGAACAUGAUGAUAACAACUAUGCAUCCGGAGGAGGAUCUCACUAGUCCGUUUGCACUUCAACUAAUGAGCGACAAUCGUAUGGUAUUUUGUUGCAGCAACUGUUAUAUGGAAUAUGAUGGAUGAGAAAUAGUAAAAUGAUGCGUAUGUAUGUGAUGCUGCUGAUCAUGAAUCUAGGUGACUUAGAAGUGUGUGUGUGUGUGUUUUGUUUCAUUGCCCUGUGCAAUGCGAUGGAUCAGAAUCAGAGUGGUUUCAUGUAUGCGUAGAAAUGUUUUUGCUUUUGAGCAAGUCCAUGUACAAAUUCUCGUAUGUCAAUUGCUGGAUGUUGAAACAUAGUUUAAUAUAUCGGUAUGUAUGCAAACACUGAUUUUGGACGGCUUUCCUAAUAUAUGGGCUAUUGGAUGUAUGCUUAUUUAUCACUGAAUAUUUAUUGACAGGUUAUAGAACUAUCAAUUAGAUGGUGAACUUGAUUUCCUGGCGGUUAGAACAUUGACAGGAGAGCAGGUUAUUUCUAAAAGUAUAUACCCUGUCAGCUUUUUCCUGGCGGCCAUCUGCCACGAAAAGGGUUCUCAUAAACCUGACGAGACAGUUGAUUUUCCUGUGGGCUGCCGUCAGGAACAACCGACAGGAGUUAUUUCCCUGUCGGCCAAUUGUCAGGAAAAUUUUAUUUUCCCUGUCGAUUUAAUCCUGUCGGCUAUUUCCUGUCGGGUAGCCGUCAGGAAAAUAUUUCCUGACGGUAUUUUCUAAUUUCCUGUCGGUUUUUAGCCGUGGGGAAUAGUCCAGUUUCUGGUAGUGACAGUGAUCAUAACAAUAACUUUCAGCUUCAUCGGGAAGUUUGAUAAGGGACUAGAUAGCUCAAAAGUGGGAUUUGCUCCUACGACGAUCCAGAGAUGUUCUUAGACCCUCUCAGUGUGAUGCAUCCAUCAUCGUCUAGUCAGACACAUGUGACUAGGUGGCUAUGUCACAAGGAUGCCGAAACAUGUGAACGAGAAAGAAGAACAAAACUGGUAACGAGGAGAUCGGUACAGUGAGCAUAAGAAUGACUCAGGCAAAUACUGAUACAUCUCACCUCGGAUUUUGUAAAAUAAUCGUGAAGCAAUGGUAAUAGUACAUGAUAACCAGAGGUUCACUUGAAUGUCAUUCGUGUAUUCAUAGGGAUAGAUAUGGAUGUCCACGGUUACACUGUCGGUCAGAAGGGGUUUUUGUUCAUGUCUAUGUUUUACCGAACCUACAGGUCACAAGUUUAAGGGAAUAAUGACCUGUUGAGUGUUAGUGGAGCAAGAGUUGCAAUAAAAUAUUUAUUAAAUAGUUUUAUUAAUAUUAGAAAUAAUUUCGAGAGGAACAUGAAGCGUUUCGGGGUUACCGGACGGGCUUCAGGGUUCUAGUUCUCUAGUUCUAUUUCUAGUCGAUCCAAUUAGAGCUAGAUCUAAUACUCUCUAGUCCUCAUAAAUAGAAGCCCAGUAUGUUUCUAAUCACCUCCCUCUAAUUCUCGGGUGAUGAUUAGCUCUGGACGGCGAAGCGCUGUCGGAUCGUGUAGAUCGUACACCUGCAAACUGUAGAGAGGUCUUGCUUUUGGUCUUCUGUUUGAGGGAUCGUCGUGCAAGGUUUGAGGGAUAAUCAUGGAUAGUUCGAGGGACUUCAAGUACGAUCUACACCAACUCUUCUUCCACUGCAACUUGGAGUUUGUAAUGAUCUAAACCACUAAUACAUUUUCACAGUGUUCCUGGUUUGACCGUAGGAUGAAAUUUUUGUUUUCUACUAUGUUUCCCAACAUGGCCGUGUCAAGGUAAUAAGUUACUGGAGUGCCCAGUGAUUUUGAUAUAGAAGAUGCCUUGGGCCUUGUGUCGACUAGUGUGGAGUUUGGUAUGCAAUCGAACAUAGCUGCAAUGUCAAGGAGCUCUUUGACUUAGCGCUCUUGCAAAAAUAAGAAGCCGGUCUUGGUGUUAUGCGUGAAGACACUAAUAAAUAAAUGGAGAGGCCCAAGAUCCUUGAGCUUGAACUCGCAUUGCAACCGGUCGAUGGUCCUUUGAAGAAACGCUGAGGAUGAUGCAGUCAGAAUAAUGCCGUCAAUGUACAAGAGAAAAAAAGCGAUGUUUGAACCCUUGUGCAGUACAAAGAGAAACAUGUGUGGGCAAGUCGAGAUGAAGCUAACUCAACAAAAAAAAUCUCCAAUGCAAGAGUACCAAGCUCCCAGUGUCUGGCGCAGGACAUGAAGUGAUUUGGACAACAGGUAGACAUGGUCUAGAUGUGUGGCGCCCAUAAGGCUAUGGGAUGUUGGAAAUACAUGCACUUCGAGAGGACACCCUUGAGGAAGGCAUUAGCAAUGUUGAGCUAGUGAACCGGCCAAGCCCGUGAUGCACUCAGAUGAGGCACAGUCUGGAUAUUCGCUUCUCAAACGACCGGACUAAAUGUCUCGCGGAAGACGAUUACAGGACGCUGUGUGAAGCCGUGCACAACCCAGUGUGCCCUGUAGCGAUCAAUGGUGCUGUCAGCUGGAUUUAGUUUGUGAUGGAACACCUAUUUGUUGGUGACAACAUUAACAUUGCGCGAGCAUGGAACAAGUGACCAUAUACCAUUGUCCGUUAGGGCAUUAAACGCCUGUUCCAUGGCUGCAAACCAAACAGAAUCUUGGAGGGCGGCACGAGAAGACAUGGGCAAUGGCGAUGGGGUGGCGGCAUCACCGAGGUGGGCGUCCAAGUAGUGCAUAAUGAUCCGGAAGAUGACCUAUUGAGAUCGAGUCAGCAUGGCAUGCGAUGUUCAACGUUAAUCGAGCAUGGUGAGGCCAUGGUGCACCAGGAGCAUGCUCAGAGGUCGAAAAGGCAGUUGGUCGGAGUGGAAGCUUACCGGCAACACACUAUGACUUUCUGGAGUGGAGGCGUGUUUGUACUAGGAAACAACUGCCCUGGCGGGAUGAAUCGGCUGCCAUGGCAGGCGAACUGAUUGGAGAAUCUAAUAUCAUGGUAGUCAAACCGACUGAAUUUUCGGCUGCCAUGGCAGCUGUAUAGGCUGUCGUGGGCAACCGAAUUUUCUGCCAUGGCAUGAGAUUGGGGCGUCGCAAAAAAGGCAGCUGGGGACCCGAAGGAAGGAACCAUUGCCGGGGUAGGAGAGGACAGUGGUCAGGCUGGGAGGCUGAUGUAGGUGGUGCCGGGGCGCGGUAGCGCGGGGUCCACACUUGAACCGUUACGACCUCUGUUGGUAGCUCGGUGACGCGAUCGACGUAAGAUGGAGAGCCGGGGUCCCUGAAAGGAAUACAAACAUCAUCGAAAUAGAGGUGGUAUGAGAUACGUACUCAAAGUGUUAAGGGGUCGUAACAUCGAUUUCCAUGGUAAUCGACGAGGUAGUCCACGAAUACACUAGCUUUUGAGCAAGGAGCGAGCUUGUGUGUGAUGGUGCAUCAAUUGUUAGGAUAGCAAAGGAAGACAAAAAAUUGAAGAUGACCGUAUGUAGGAGGGGAACCGAACAAGAUUCCAUGUGGAGUUUGGUGUUGUUGUGGUUUGCAUGGGCAUCGGUUGAGAAGAUAUGUCGUAGUGUCGAGAGCCUCAGCUAAAAAUUGUGGAGUGCACAAACAGUGUCAAUCGAAGUAAAAUUGUAUGUAGGCGGACAAAGUGUUGAGCUAUGGAGAAUUCUCACGAUUUGUAUUUCUUGAGGUGGUGUAUAUAUAUAUAUACAUAUUGAGUAUAUGUGUUAUGUGCAUAUUGUGUAUUGGGCCCGCAUCCUAGUUCCUUGUAUAGUUGAGGUCCAUGACCCAUCUUUAUACAUCAUAUAUACGAAGAGCAAUACAUCCUGCAAUUAUAACAUCAUAUAUCGUAUCAGUUUUUUAGGUUUUGUUCCUCGCUUCCGCUCCGCCGCCGCCGCCGCGCGUCUACCGGCGCCGCCGCCGCCGCCGCCGCUCGCACCCCUGUCGCAACCCGCCGCCGCGUUUUGCCCAUCUCCACGCGCUUCCUCACGCAUCGCGUGAGCCCGUCUCCACGCGCUGUUGCUGCUUUUCCAUCGCGCCAGCUGCUCCCGCCGAAGCUGCCUCGACCCGUGGCGCUGCUGCCUCGUGCCUCCAUGGCCGGUGCCUUCCAAUCAGCUGCAGUACCGGUCGUGGCUCCUUCGUCUCCCGUCAACUAUGGAUUUGCUAGCCUGCCAAUCGCCCAAUCCAUAGAUGGAUUUGCUAGCCUGCCAAUCGCCCAAUCCAUAGAUGGAUUUGCUAGCCUGCCAAUCGCCCAAGAAGCCCGGCCGCCAGAUGGACUUCGUCCGCAGCCCUCGCACGUAUACGGCGCCCGGCAAUUAUACGGUGCCUUGCAGCCUGCUGGUGCUCCGUCCGCGGUCAACCCCUGGUGGGGGUACGCCUCUGCCGACCCGCCGCCGGCGCUCUACACCACGGCCCCGUCGCCAUACGGGACGGCCGUCACCUACGACGCGUCCGUUUCCACGUACGGGAAUCCUGCGUAUGGGGCAUACGGGACUCCGCCCGCAUCCACAUACAGGUCUCCACCUGCGUACGGGGCUCCGUCCGCGUACUGGUGGGGGUCAUCAGCGGGCCAGCACUCACCUGCCGGGCAGCAGCCAGACGGCGCCCAGCACCUGCAGCAUCUGUCAGCGGACCUGCAGUUUUUUCGGCGGGCCAUCCGGCCUACUCGGCACCGUAGUUGCAGUCGGGACUGUAUGGAGCGUACCCAUCGCCGUUGUUGAGCGGCGUCUACGGCUUCCCCAUGGCGUCUCCAUCGCCAUGGGACCCGAUGCUCCUUACCGGGCUGCAUGCCGCUCCUACGCCGAACAAUUACACUGGAGGUGGUGAUUGGUACAUGGACACCGGUGCUACGGCUCACAUGUUUGCUCAUCCUGUUAACCUUGCCUCCUUCACUCCUGUCUCCACCAACCGCCGCAUCAUUGUCGGCGACGGUUCCACACUUCCUAUCACACAUGUUGGGCAUACUUCUUUUCCUUCUACUUCUACUCCAUUAUCUUUGUCUAAUAUACUUGUGUCACCUCAUCUUAUUAAGAAUCUCAUUUUCGUUCGUUGUUUCACUUGUGAAAAUCCUGUUACCGUUGAAUUUGACGAGCUUGCUUUUUGUGUCAAAGACGCUCGAACCAGGAUGGUACUUCACCGAUGUGACAGCCCCGACGAGCUCUAUCCGGUGCACUCGCCUUCAUCCACCACCACCGCACCGGUUGCUCUCCCCGCUGGCGUCGAUCUCUGGCACGCUCGCUUGGGUCAUCCCAACCCCGUCACCCUUUGUCAUAUUCUUAGGAGUUUCAGUUUCAGUUGCAAUAAGAUCGAGGAUCACACUUGUCAUGCCUGUCGAGUUGGUAAACAUGUUCGCCUGCCGUUUAAUAAUUCCACUACCAUUGCUUCUUUUCCUUUUCAGUUGAUUCAUAGCGAUGUGUGGACUUCUCCGGUUCCCAGUAACUCGGGCUAUUUAUAUUAUCUAGUCAUUCUUGAUGAUUAUUCUCAUUAUGUGUGGACUUUUCCUUUGCGCAGAAAGUCGGAUGCACUCUCUACCUUGACGGCUUUUUACUCCUAUGUCCGCACGCAAUUUGGGCGUCCCAACCUUGCGCUUCAGACGGACAAUGGAAAAGAGUUCGACAACCUCACUUUCCGCACCUUUUUGUCGCAUCACGGCACAAUUUUUCGCCUCACAUGCUCGUACACUAUACAGCAGAACGGUCGAGCCGAACGCGUCCUUCGCACUCUGAAUGACUACGUUCGCACGCUCCUGUUUCAUGCCAACGUGCCGCCUCGUUUCUGGCCGGACGCACUCGCCACUGCAUCACUUCUCCUUAACAUUAGACCCUGCCGUCCACGGUGGAACUACGCACCUCACCAUCUUCUCUUUGGUACGCCCCCGUCUUAUGACGACUUGCGUAUUUUUGGGUGCCUUUGCUAUCCCAGCACUGCCGACACUGCUUCUCACAAACUUGCACCUCCAUAUGUCGCUUGCAUCUUCAUCGGCUACCCCUCCAACUCCAAGGGGUAUCGGUGCUACGAUCCCGUCUCGCACCGUGUGUUCAGUUCCCGGCACGUUUACUUUGAUGAGCAUGUGUUUCCGUUUCACCAGGUACCCCCGACUGUUCCUCCCGCCAUUGGUGAUGCAGGCUCCUCGACGCCUCUCCCAGGGCGCUCGCGCGUCUCUCUUGGCGUGCCCCUGGCUUUGAGGCGCGCCCCCCGCAUGCGGCGCCUCCUACAGCCGCGGCAAUGGCGCCCCCGACGUUGGCGCCCGCGGCCCCCGCGACCCUCGCGGCGCCCCGGGCGCCCCCGGUGCCCGCAGCCCCCCCGGCGCCCCUAAUGUUGGCGCACGCAGCCCUCGCGGCCCCCUCGNNNNNNNNNNNNNNNNNNNNNNNNNNNNNNNNNNNNNNNNNNNNNNNNNNNNNNNNNNNNNNNNNNNNNNNNNNNNNNNNNNNNNNNNNNNNNNNNNNNNNNNNNNNNNNNNNNNNNNNNNNNNNNNNNNNNNNNNNNNNNNNNNNNNNNNNNNNNNNNNNNNNNNNNNNNNNNNNNNNNNNNNNNNNNNNNNNNNNNNNNNNNNNNNNNNNNNNNNNNNNNNNNNNNNNNNNNNNNNNNNNNNNNNNNNNNNNNNNNNNNNNNNNNNNNNNNNNNNNNNNNNNNNNNNNNNNNNNNNNNNNNNNNNNNNNNNNNNNNNNNNNNNNNNNNNNNNNNNNNNNNNNNNNNNNNNNNNNNNNNNNNNNNNNNNNNNNNNNNNNNNNNNNNNNNNNNNNNNNNNNNNNNNNNNNNNNNNNNNNNNNNNNNNNNNNNNNNNNNNNNNNNNNNNNNNNNNNNNNNNNNNNNNNNNNNNNNNNNNNNNNNNNNNCCCACGGUCCCCCCAGCACGUGUGGCCGGUCCGGUCACCCGCGCCCGUACGGGCGUUUUUUGUCCGAGCUCGCGCUACGCCUCGGCUGACCACGUCCAUGCGGCGUCCACCUCUGAGCCGUCCUCCGUUCGAGCCGCUCUUCGUGACGUGCUCUGGAUGGCUGCGAUGCAAGAGGAGUUUGAUGCCCUGUUGUGCAACCGUACAUGGCAGCUUGUUCCCCGUCCCCGACACGCCAACAUGAUUACCGGGAAGUGGGUCUUUAAACACAAGCUCCGUCCUGAUGGUACCCUUGAUCGCUACAAAGCGCGCUGGGUCGUUCGUGGCUUCCGAGAGCGUGCUGGCAUCGACUUCACCGACACCUUCGCUCCGGUUGUCAAGCCCGGCACGAUACACACGGUUCUCCACCUUGCGGUCUCUCGUGCUUGGUCGGUGCACCAGAUGGACGUCUCCAACGCCUUCCUCCAUGGUCACCUCAAGGAGCAGGUCUUCUGCCAGCAGCCCACCGGGUUUGUUGACCCGGCGCUUCCCGACCACGUGUGCCUGCUUUCGUGGUUCUUGUACGGACUCAAGCAGGCUCCGCGCGCUUGGUACCAGCGCAUCGCGGCGUUUCUCCACCAGCUUGGGUUCCGCUCUACCCGCUCGGACGCCUCGCUCUUCGUCUAUCAUCAGGGCUCUGACACGGCCUACUUACUACUCUAUGUCGGCGACAUCAUCCUGACGGCAUGUACGACUGGUCUCCUCAGUCAGCUCACGGCUCGUCUUCGCGCUGAGUUCGCCAUCAAGGACUUGGGUCCUUUGCACUACUUCCUCAGUGUCGAGGUGGUGCGCCGUCCGGAUGGCUUCUUCCUUCAUCAGCGGAAGUACGCUCACGAGCUCCUCGAGUGUGCUGGCAUGCUUAACUGUAAGCCCGCCGCUACGCCUGUUGAUACGAAGGCCAAGCUUUCCGCCACGGAUGGUUCUCCUGCUUUGGAUGCUGCUUUCUAUCGGUCUAUCAUUGGUGCUCUCCAGUACCUCACUCUGACUAGACCGGAGAUCCAGUAUGUCGUGCAGCAGGUGUGUCUUCAUAUGCAUGCUCCUCGAGACGUUCACUGGGCUGCCGUCAAGUGAAUUCUCCGCUAUAUUUGUGGCACUAUGGAUCUUGGCGUCACGCUUCACACCUCCGCCGCCAUCGCCCUCACCGCCUACUCCGAUGCAGACUGGGCAGGCUGCCCUGACACUCGUCGCUCCACUUCGAGCUAUUGUGUCUAUCUUGGACCCUGACUCAUCUCGUGGUCGUCCAAGCGGCAGCCUAUGGUUUCUCGUUCCAGUGCUGAGGCUGAGUAUCGUGCGGUGGCCAAUGCCGUCGCCGAGUGUUCGUGGCUUCGCCAGCUGCUUCAAGAGCUCUCUUGCCCUGUUGACCGUGCCACGGUGGUCUACUGCGACAACGUCUCGGCGGUCUACCUCUCCGCUAACCCGGUGCAUCAUCGGCGGACCAAGCAUAUUGAGUUGGAUAUUCAUUUUGUUCGGGAACAGGUUGCCCUUGGCCAUAUUCGUGUUUUGCACGUACCUACUUCCCAACAAUUUGCCGAUAUCAUGGCCAAGGGCUUGCCUACGUCGUCAUUUGAGGAGUUUCGGUCCAGUCUUUGCGUCAGCCNNNNNNNNNNNNNNNNNNNNNNNNNNNNNNNNNNNNNNNNNNNNNNNNNNNNNNNNNNNNNNNNNNNNNNNNNNNNNNNNNNNNNNNNNNNNNNNNNNNNNNNNNNNNNNNNNNNNNNNNNNNNNNNNNNNNNNNNNNNNNNNNNNNNNNNNNNNNNNNNNNNNNNNNNNNNNNNNNNNNNNNNNNNNNNNNNNNNNNNNNNNNNNNNNNNNNNNNNNNNNNNNNNNNNNNNNNNNNNNNNNNNNNNNNNNNNNNNNNNNNNNNNNNNNNNNNNNNNNNNNNNNNNNNNNNNNNNNNNNNNNNNNNNNNNNNNNNNNNNNNNNNNNNNNNNNNNNNUGUGUUAUGUGCAUAUUGUGUAUUGGGCCCGCCUCCUAGUUCCUUGUAUAGUUGAGGUCCAUGACCCACCUUUGUACAUCAUAUAUACGUGCCUAUGCACGAAGAGUAAUACAUCAUGCAAUUACAACAUCAUACAAUACACACAUACAGGAGACCUAACAAAUCACUAACCCUUUGACAUAAAUGUGUAUAUAUAUACAUGUUUGAACCGGCUUAUAGAUAGGAUACGUAGGAAAUAAUUACAUCUGUUAUAAGCUUCUCUUACACUCACCUUGUAAGCACUACUGGAAUUUUCGUGUAUGCCGGAUGUAUGGGUCUUCGCCGAGAGCCAAACCACGGGCACUCGGCAAACAUGUAUAUGCCGAGCGCAACUCUCGGCAAAAGUGACAGCACGUCAAACCCCAAUGUAUGCUGAUAAGAAGCGGUAAAGCACACCCGGCAAAAGGCCGACACUCGGCAAAUCCCCACAUAUGCCGAGAGCCAGUCGGCGGCACUCGACAAACGGUUGCCACGUGGCAUGAACGGCGGUGAUUGACAUUCCUUUGACAGUCCCCCUGCCCUACCGAGCGCCCGCUGAAUGGCUCUCGGCAAAGCAAUAUUUUUACUGGAAUUUUUAUUAUCCUCUUUUUCAUCGAUCUAUAUAUUAGUGGGAGCUGAGUUUAGUCCCACCUCGCUUAACCACGACCAUUCGGUUAAUUGUCUGUUUGACUUUUUCGUGUGUAUGAGAGCUAUCGAGAGGGAACGUGUCUGGUUUGUGAAGGAAUUGCACGGGAUCUGGCACGGUGUCAGGACACGGCCAAUGCAGGGUGUGGUAAAAGUUUGGGCGCGUUUUGAAUAACCCUCCUCCAAUCAGGCCGCUUGUAAACCACACCAUCUCUGAGCUAGUCUCUGGGUACUGAGAGGGAACAUGUCCGAUUUAUGAAGGAAGUGUUGGUCAUGUUGCUUCGUUGGCCUCGAAACGUCUCGUACUCUCAAAGGAAGCCAUCACAUGACCCGUGCCAGGUCACUGCAUUUCUUGGACCCGCAUGCAAUACUUCAGACAUUUAUGGCACCUACAAGGCGACACAUGAAAUCAUGCCCAGAAGCGGCAUGGAAAAUCCUACAUGAUGUCUUUGCGACAUGCGUAGGCCACGUGUUGGUGAGGAGGGGCAUGCUCUGCAACCGGGGUGCAAAAUUACCUCGGUGGCAUGCCUGAUGCAGCCGUUAAAAUCCUCAGAAAAUCGUACGAUGGUGGAAUUGCUUGGGAUCUGGCACGGUGUCAUGACACGGCCCUUGCAGGGUGUGGUAAAAUUCUGGGUACAUUUCAAAUAAGCCUCCACUCAUGACGUGUCAUGAUUUUGUCACAACAGAUGUUCUCGUGAAAGGACUUAGUCAUGAGGCCAUAGCCAUGAGGUAGUAGCUUAAAUGGGGUUGAUCGGAAUCGAAAGACAAGGGUUUACCAAGGUUCGGCCCCACUCGACAGAGGUAAUAGCCUACUUCCUGCUUGAUUGGUAUUGAUGAUGAUCUCGAUUACAAGGGUGCGAGUUGGCUAACCUAGUACGGGAGAGCUUGUAACUUAGUCUUUCUGCCUCAGGGGCUCCCCUUUAUAUAUAGGUGAAGGCCCUGGGCUUACAAUAGAGUCUGGGUCGUACUAUGAUCCGUGACCUAGUAUAUAUGUUUCCCACUUGUCUUGUUCGCCAAUACUACCAGGGAAAACCCUAGUAGUAGCGUGGGUUUUGAUGCUAUCAGUAGUGCGGGUAGCCGUGCUACUACUACGGCUCUACAUCUAACAGUUAGUAGUAGCGGGGUCUCGAGCCGCGCUACUACUAUUGACUAUAUCAGCAGCGCUUUUCUGGUACACGCUACUAUUAAGUAGUUGUAGCGCUUUUCUAUCCCCGCACUUCUGCUGUAUCUUUCAUCAUUUUUUCUUGCUUCCUACCUCGUUUCAAUAAACUGCAAUUUCACAUAUACCAGAUAACAAUACAAUAAACUGCAAUUUCACAUAUACCAGAUAACAAUAUCGUUAACUACAAUACCAUAUAUACCGGAUAACAAUAUCAUUAACCACAAUACCAUAUAGUCAUACAGUAUCAUAAAGCAUUAUAGGUACUAGGUAGUACUAGAUAACAAUUUCAUAUAUAGUCAACAUGCAUCCUCACAUAAAUAUAGCAUAUCUGAUAAGCAGUACUAGGUACUGAUACAGCCACACACACAUAUGUAGUUCUAGAUGAUAUCGACGACGAUCGUCAUCCUCAAGCCUAGGCGGUGGGUGUUCCUGAUAGUAAUUAGGAUGGCCUGUCCAACACAAAGAUUCUUGCCAACGAGAAAUCUCUUCCACCAAACCGAGUUUAAGUGUGUGCGACCGUCCAUGUCGACACCGUAAGUACAGGUCGUGACGGAGCCCCUUGCGGUAAGGCGUAUUCCUGCUGAGCGUUCUUCAUCAGGCUCGAUACCACAACUCACAGAUAUGCUCUUUGGCAAUUUCUGAAUAAGAAAAACAUAUCAAUUAAUAAGUAGCCUCGCACACACUCUUGCAAAUAUAUUUCUACUAAGUAUAGAUUUAUACACUAUCAAAAGACACAGUACUACACAUUUCUACUAAGCAUAAAUUAUACUAAUAAGUAUAUAUGUAUUAUCUACACUAUUAAUAGUUCCUUGGAUUCUACACUAAUAAGCAUGUGAUCGGACUCUACACUAAAGCAUAUCAAUAAAGCAUAUAUAUAUCAUCAAAUUACUACAGUUAGUAUAACAUACCAUAUCAUGUCGAUCGACCAUGGUACUUGUAAGGCGGGUCACGAAUGGCACCCCGACAAAGUCAUCAUGUGGCGGAACGUGUGCAGAUCAUGCAGGUGUCGUACCUUCGGUGUUAGGAUCGGUCGGAUCAUGAAGACGUACGACAAUAUCAACCGCGUUGUCAUAACGCUUUUACAUUUGGUCUACGAGGGUACGUAGACAACACUCUCCUCUCUCGUUGCUAUGCAUCACCUAGUGAUAGAUCUUGUGUGAUCAUAGGAUUUUUUUUUGAAAUUACUGUGUUCCCCAACGAUCGACUGAGUGUGAGUGGGAGUGGAGAGAGGAGAGUGAGGGGCAGCCGUUUGCCGAAGAUAGAAUGGCUUAGCAGUAGCGCGCUAUAUGGAAAUGCGCUACCGCUGAACGACCUAGUAGUAGCGCCUUUCAGCCAAAACACAUUACUGCGAUGUGUAGACAUGUGAAAAUGUGCAUUAAAAAUACAUUGAUCAUUAAUGAUCUUUUUGUGUACAAUCUGAAUUGUCAAUAUGAGUCCUCACCUUUUAGAAACCGGAGAAGACUCAUAGUGCGGCCACAAAUUCUACACAUCGAGUUUAAUGAAAACCAAGUGGAUGUGAUACUUUGAGAAGUAACAUAUUUAAGGUGGUAAAAACCCUAUUCACGGAGCAAGGUGGGACUAAAGUUUUGUAGUAAACUUAGUAGUAGCGGGUAUUGAGAGAAGGCGCUACCGCUAUGAUCUGUAUCAGUAGCACUCUGUAUUAGCGCGCUGAUGCUAUAACUAGCUUAGCGGCGGGGUCGUGGCAAUUAUAGCAGUACCACGGCUUAUUGGGGUAGUGCUACUGCUAAGUUUGUUUCAGCAACCCGUCAUGUUGGAGCGCGCUGCUGGUAAGAUUCUUUUGUAUAGGUGAUAUGUCUCCAACGUAUCUAUAAUUUUUGAUGUAUUCAUGCCAUGUUUAUAAUAUAUCUACAUGAUUUUGGUAUGAUUUGGUUAGAACGCCAACCUCUCCUAUAAAUCCCUAAACCUUCAGAAAAUAACCUAGAUCGGGAGUUCCGCCGCCGCAAGCCUCUGUAGCCACCAAAAACCAAUCGGGACCCUGUUCUAGCACCCUGUCAGAGGGGGAUCCAUCACCGAUGGCCAUCUACAUCAUCCCGGCGCUCUCCAUGACGAGGAGGGUGUAGUUCACCCUCAGGGCUGAGGGUAUGUACCAGUAGCUAUGUGUUUGAUCUCUCUCUCUCUCGUGUUCUUGAUUUGGCACAAUCUUGAUGUACCUCGAGCUUUGCUAUUAUAGUUGGAUCUUAUGAUGCUUCUCCCCCUCUACUCUCUUGUAAUGGAUUGAGUUUUCCCUUUGAAGUUAUCUUAUCGGAUUGAGUCUUUAAGGAUUUGAGAACACUUGAUGUAUGUCUUGCAUGUGCUUAUUUGUGGUGACAAUGGGAUAUUCACGUGAUCUACUUGAUGUAUGUUUUGGUGAUCAACUUGCGGGUUCAGUGACCUUGUGAACUUAUGCAUAGGGGUUGGCACACGUUUUCAUCUUGACUCUCCGGUAGAAACUUUGGGGCACUCUUUGAAGUUCUUUGUGAUGGUUUGAAUAGAUGAAUCUGAGAUUGUGUGAUGCAUAUUGUAUAAUCAUACCUGCGGAUACUUGAGGUGACAUUGGAGUAUCUAGGUGACAUUAGGGUUUUGGUUGAUGUGUGUUUUAAGGUGUUAUUUUACUACAAACUCUAGGGCUGUUUGUGACACUUAUUGGAAUAGCACAAUGGAUUGAUCGGAAAGAAUAACUUUGAGGUGGUUUCGUACGCUACAAUAAUCUCUUCGUUUAUUCUCCACUAUUAGUGACUCUUUGUUGCAUGUUGAGGGAUAGUUAUAUGAUCCAACUAUGUUAUUAUUGUUGAGAGAACUUGCACUAGUGAAAGUAUGAACCCUAGGCCUUGUUAAGAAGCAUUGCAAUACCGUUUGUGCUCACUUUUACCACUUGCUACCUUGAUGUUUUUAUAAUUUCAUAUAACAAAAACCUUUAUCUACCAUCCAUAUUGCACUUGUAUGACCAUCUCUUCGCAGAACUAGUGCACGUAUACAAUUUACCAUUGUGUGUGUGUGUUGGGGACAUAAGAGACUCUUUGUUAUUUGGUUGCAAGGUUGUUUGAGAGAGACCAUCUUCAUCCUACGCCUCCCACGGACUGAUAAACCUUAGGUCAUCCACUUGAGGGAAAUUUGCUAUUGUCCUACAAACCUCUGCACUUGGAGGCCCAACAACGUCUACAAGAAGAAGGUUGCGUAGUAGACAUCAAUAGGCUUUUCCCUAGUAGUGCAAGGAAACUUCAGGCGGCGACUUAUGAUUCUGGGCCAUGAGCCACCGUCUUCAAGUACUGGGCCCCGAGUCGGCCCACUCUAUGAACCACCCUGCAGAUCUUGAGAUCUUUAACGUCAUGGCCCAUGUUGAGUCUUGCUCAUCGGUCGCCACUUGGAUGACCCGACCCGAUAUGGCCAUGGCUUUAUAUCCCCAACAAAACACUUGUAAACCGCAUCAUCUCUGAGUUAGUCUCUGGGUACUGAGAGGGAACGUGUCAGGUUUGUGAAGGAAGUGCCUGUUGCUCCGUUGGCCUCAAAACUUAUCGUGCUCUCGAAGGAGGCCAUCACAUGACACGUGCCAACUCCCGCACUUUCCGGACCCGCGUGCAAUAUUUGAGACAUUUAUUGCACCACUAAGGUUUCACCUUCGUAAAAUGCAGAUCUGCAAGGUGGCACAUGAAACCAUGCCUAGAAGCGGCAUGGAAAAUCCUACGUGAUGUCUUUGCGACAUGGGUAGGCCAUUCGUGGAGGGGCCCUGUCAUUUCUGAGAGCGCCUCUCGACAUUGGUGAAUAUUCCAAGCGCGACUCUCGGUAAAUGAGUAACCUAGAUCUAGGGUACGUAUUAUCCUUUACUGAGAUGGGAUCUUCGAAAAGGUAUAAACCCUAGAUCUAGGGUUUAUACCGCUACCGAGAGCAGCACCGACAGACACUCGGUAAAGCUCCGCGGGACACUUAAACUCUCCCCGCGGUGUCUUUUUGCUCAUAUUUUCUCUCUUGCCGNNNNNNNNNNNNNNNNNNNNNNNNNNNNNNNNNNNNNNNNNNNNNNNNNNNNNNNNNNNNNNNNNNNNNNNNNNNNNNNNNNNNNNNNNNNNNNNNNNNNNNNNNNNNNNNNNNNNNNNNNNNNNNNNNNNNNNNNNNNNNNNNNNNNNNNNNNNNNNNNNNNNNNNNNNNNNNNNNNNNNNNNNNNNNNNNNNNNNNNNNNNNNNNNNNNNNNNNNNNNNNNNNNNNNNNNNNNNNNNNNNNNNNNNNNNNNNNNNNNNNNNNNNNNNNNNCACCUCGUUGGGGCCACCUUCCCCGAGCUACCUCCCCCCCUCGGUGAGCUUCGUCUCCCCCUCCCCCAAGAUUGUGUGGAUGCAUGGAUGUAUGCAUGCAUGGAUUUUUGUAUGGAUGCAUGGUUUUUUGUAUGCAUGCAUGGAUGUAUGGAUGCAUGCAUGUAUGAAUGUAUGUAUUAAUGCAUGGAUUUUUCAUAGUAGUUUUUUUUUGUAAUUUUUUGUAUGAAUCUGGAGAUGGAUGUAUGAAUGCGUAGAUGGAUGCGUAGAAGCAUGGUUGAAUGCAUGGAUUUUAGUAGUUUUUUGUAGUAUUUUUUUCUUAUAUUAGUUUCUUGUAGUUUUUUGCGUCGGUGACAGAUGAGAAAUCGAAUUCUGAUGAUGACGGUCAAUCUGGGGAAGUUCGUCCUAAGAUUUACCUUUGUCAUGCACGAUGGACUCGCCUAGCUCGACCAUCACCGAAAGUCGAAAUAGCGGUGAGAGAGUGCCCACCAUAUAUACAACCACUAGAGAGUGUCCACCAUAUUUGACAUAUGAGAGAUGUUACCGAUUGACGAUAAGACUUGUUCAUGGAGGAAGAGAAAUCGAUGUCUAACGAUGGCGGCCGAUCUGUGUGAGUUCGUCCUGUUAUACCUUGAUAACGCACGAUGGGCUCGCCCAGCUCGACCAUCACCGGAAGUCGAAAUACCCGUGAGAGAGUGUCCACCAUAUACAAUCACCAUAUAGAGUAUCCAUCAUAUUUGACAGAUGAGAGUGUCCUUGGAGGAAAGAAAUCGACUCUUAUGUUAUUUUUCAUUGUGUGAUGGAAGGUGUUAGCGCCGAUCGAUUUUGCAGUUAUGGCUUCCCCCGACAAUGCAGCUUACUUUAAGGCCGACUCCAUGGUCGAGGAGAAGAGCGCCGAUGAUCUCUUGGCAGCACUCAUUGAGAAGAACCCGCAGCUGAUCCUAAUUAAUUAUUUUGAGGAUCUGAAAAAGAAGAAUCGGCCAAAGGCCAACUAAGGAGAGCAAGGCCCUACCACGUAUGGAGAGAGACGACCUGGUGCCAUUGAGUCCACGGACCAUCAUUCCAGACAACUUUUGGUCCUCCACUAUGGGGGAUGCCUCUACGUGCUCUGACUCCACGAUCACUGGUUUCACCAACUACACAUCGGAGUAGUCCACCUAGACAAUUUGACAUUGAUUUAGUGGUUUAGUUAUGUAGCUGCUGAUAUGGACUUGUAUUGCCACUUGCGAUGUUGUUGGGUGUAUGGGUGAUGGAUGCUCUCGUGGAUUAUGUAUGAUGUGCUAUUUUAACCUUGCAUUCCUUCUCUGCAUCUUUUUCUCUUUCUUUAUAGAUGAAGUGGUAUGCGGUGUACAGAGGUAGGUGUCCAGGAGUCUACGAUUCAUGGUCUAAAUGCAACGAACAAGUGUUUCGUUACGAAGGCAGUAUCCACGACUCGUUCAAGCAGAGAGAACGCAGAGUAUCAAUACAGUAUGUGCUUAACCAGAAGAGAGAAGGCAAUGGUGCAAGCUAGAAACGGCUUUUCGGGUUCAGUGGAUGGAGGAACUUGAUAAUUAUCUUUCAGUUCGUCAUAAUUGUGUCAUUGCUUUUAUCACGUGGUCGCAUGUAGACAUGCAUUGACCACUUUGUUGUUUACUAUGUAACCACUUGUACUAGCGAACUGCUUGGUGACUUCAAAUGAAGCUUAUGUGAACUAUUUAUAUAAUGCGUAUGUGAGUUUCUUAUUAAACUCUGAGAGUUAAAAAACUACUUUGUGCAUUGUAUAUCUGUUUUCCAAGCAGUGAUACGACGGAGAAGAGGCAGAAGCAAAACUGUCAGAGAACCUUUAUCGAGCGCCGCUCUCGGGAAUCACAAGUUUGCCGGUGGCUCUUGGCAAAGGUCUAUGCGCUGGGAGCUGCUGGAGCUACUAUGCCGAGAGGUGCACUCGGCAAAGACACGACGGAACCAGCCGGCCGUGAAGUCACUUUAUUUUGCCGAGUAGCAUUGUUUGGCUCUAGGCAAACACUUUGCCGAGUGCCCGAUGGAUGGCUCUCGGCAAAUUCCUGUUUGCCUGAGAGGUGUACACGGGUGGCCUUUGCGGCAUGCAACUCUUGGCAAAGCCUUUCCCGGCGGUUAUUGGCCCUUUGCCGAGCGUCCGUGGUACCCGGUGUACAACGUGAUUCCAGUAGUGAAAGUUACUAUUACCUUAUUGACGACGAGAUGAUUGUGUUAGGGCACCUAAAGUGGAGUUAUUAGGCCCUUUCUUCCAUGCCAUCUCUAAGCCCUUAGUCUGCCCUGUAGCACCAGCAACAUCAUUCUUGAAUCUUGCAUGGAAUUCCUAUAUGUUGAUAAAUUUUGGUGGACUAAGCCAGUCAGCUCUGCUCACCAAACUCGACAAGCAUCGUCAAAGUUUUGGUUGUCGAGCUCUAUGUCAUGGUGAUACUCAUCUUUGCUUGCUUUAAAUGUCUGAUUUGAUUGAGAUAUUAUCUAGUCUAGUUUGUAAUACAAUUAACUUUUCCUCUCAUAUCCAUUUUGCAGUCUUACAAAAAUUACAAGAUGAAUAGAAAAAUUGGUCUCAGUGUGACGUGCUACAUCAAAUUGAAUGCCACCAGACAAUCUCAAAAAGGUAACGUUUAAGUCAUUCAUACGCUAUCAGGAACAAAUUGACUUUGCUAGUUCUUUGUCUUAAAGACAUAAGUGCUAAACAAGUUCGAAACUGAAAGAUACUGUGAUUACACCAAUGAAUGGGCGGUUUAUCAACACAUGCUUGUACAAGUGAAAAACGGAGCUUUUCGAGAUGCUCAAUUUGAAUACAAGAGUAGUAAUCUUCAUUGAGCACUAUGUCGACGCGCAUACGCAUGGUUUGUCGUAGACAGCGUUCGUGCCUAAUUAACUCGCUGCCUUGAGCUCAUUUUGUAUGCGGCAUAGAUGCCUGAAGAUUGCUUGGUCUUCCUCAUAACUUUGCAGUAUUUUUAGUCUAAAGUUCCUUUUGAAUCCCAGGAACUUAUGAAGUUGCUCCUGUUCAAACUGCAAAAGAUGUCUUUGGAUGCAAGAAUAGUGCACGGUUCACAAAUUCAUGGAAAAAAUUACAGCUAAAAUUUGUAACCGGGAGCGAGCUGGUGUAGAAACACAUACAUGUGUUGAAAACUUUAUUGAAUUUCAUUUGUAUACAGAAAUAUGAGAAGUUUAAUUGGUACUUUGAUUUUCCGUGUACAAAACCUGUGUCUAGCUGUUCCUGCCUGUUAAUGACUAGUGAUGGUGCAUCUACAUGGGAAGACACAAAAAUGCCUAUCAAAUCUCUCUGGCUGCAGCUGGAACAUGCUGCUUCGGUUGUCUGUCUAUUAGUUUUUUUUGCGAGAAAAUUUCCGAUCUAUUCAUCUUCAAUCAUGGCAGUACAACGAAUACCAGAAAUAAUAAAAAUUACAUCCAGAUCCAUAGACCACCUAGCGACGACUACCAGCACUGAAGCGAGCCGAAGGCGCGCCGCCAUCAUCGCCCCUCCAUCGCCGGAGUCGGGCACAACUUGUUGUAGUAGACAGUCGGGAAGUCGUCGUGCUAGUAAAGUUAUAUUUUUAUUCUCGCAGAAGAAUUGUUAGUAAAGUUUGGGUUUGUUAGUUGCACAAAUCAGCGUAACAUAGUGUCUUAUAUUUAGGAGCGGAGGGAGUAUAAUAUAGUCUAUCGAAUUGUAUAGUGCCUUCAAUUUUUUUUCUUAAAUAAUAUAAGUCAUACUGGCGCAACCACACAUAUACGCUAAUUUUUUUUAAAUAAUACAUUUUUCUUAAUAAAUUUGGAAAAUAUUACGUCGUUUAGAUUUAUUUCGAAAAUAAUACGGCAUCGGCGUCGGGGAAGCCGACUGGCUCCCAGUCGGCCACCGGUUAGCCGAGUAGGCCAGUCGGCCACCAGUAAACUGAUUAGUGGCCAGUCCGCCAGGUACGCAUGCAGUCGGCCGGGUGCGCAUGCAAUCGGCCAGGGGGUAGCCGAUAAGUGGCUACAUGCCUCGAUGGAUGGACGGAUGGGUGCAACUGCUCGUGCUCCCGCUCAUGCCGCACGGCCAGCUUCAACGCGCUCGUGCUCCCGCUCAUCCGAUAAGUGCCUAUAUAUCUCAUCCGGGUGAUUACCACCUGCAGCACGUCCAGCUUCAACGUGUUCGUGCUCCCCGCUCUUGCCGCACGGCAGCCUCGAGGCGCACCUCUACCCGCACGACGGCCGAGGGGAUAGCCUACCUGCACCACUACGCGCCGGUGAGGGUCGUGCACUGCGACCUCAAGCCGAGCAAAGUUCUCCUCGACGACGGAAUGCGCGCCGUGAUCUCCGACUUCGGUAUCGCGCGGCUCGUCGCCGGCGCCGAAGCCACCAGCAGCACGAGCGACGACGACUCCGUCGCUCCGUGCAACUCCAUCGCCGCCAGAUUGUUGCAGAGUUCGGUUGGUUACAUGCACCUAGUACGUGACACACACAUAAGUUUUGUGCAUGCAUGCAUGCAUGCUCGAUGUGGCAUUGAUUAUCGGGAAGCGGGAGCGGGAGCAUGAGCGCGUUCAAGCUGGCCAUGCGGCAUGAGCGGGAGCACAAGCACUUGCACCCAUCCGUCCAUCCAUCUAGGCAUAUAGCAACUUAUUGGCUACCCCGAAGCCGAUAGGCCGCCUGUGCUACCCUCUGGCCGAUUGCAUGCGCACCUGGCUGACUGCAUGGGCACCUGGCAGACUGGCCACUAAUCGGCUUACCGGUGGCCGAUUGGGCCUACUCGGCUUACUGGUGGCUGACUGGAAGCCAGUCGGCUCCCCGGACGCCGAUGCCGUAUUAUUUUUGAAAUAAAUUUAAACGGCGUAAUAUUUCUCAAAUUUAUUAAGAAAAGUGUAUUAUUUAAAAAAAAUUAGCCACAUAUACAACAUUCUAUGGAACUAAGACCACACUCAUUGCAUGUACGGGGUUAAUUAUCACUACAACUUUUAGUCGCUAUACAUAGUCACUUGAAAUGGCACAUAUUAUCUUGGAAUGUUACACAUCCAUUGGAUUUUCAGUAAGACAUCGUCCACCUGUAAUUAAGACAUUUAAUCAAUUUCCCUGUGACAAUUAAAUACAUUUAACCAAUUUUCUUAAUUAGCGACACAUGUACUACAUAUGAAGGUUUUUCUUUCGAAUAAAGGAGCCCCCGAUUUUCAUUAAGAAACCGAUAAAACAAACAAAUAUAGCACUUUAUGCGUCACAGAUGCGCAAAACACCACAGGUAACUGCCCAAUCGGCCACCACAAGUUCCCAUCAUGCGCCGGGAGACCACUACCUUAUUACAGUGCCAACAGACACACACACACACACACACAGGCGCGAUACAUAUUUCAGGUAACAAUGCAUCAUCUACCAGACAGAAAGAGCUAACAAAUAGAACAUCUUGAUACUCAAGCAGCCUCAGAAUCCCAGCAACUGCAUCACCCAUUGUCAAUCAUGUGUGUCCUCGGCCCCCAACCUCUGCUUCUUGUGAAGAAUUCAGUUGCUACCAUAGAGAGCGAUGUUGUCGCGGCUUGUAACGCCCGUUUGUCUUCUCCUUUCUACAUACAAUCGCAAUACAUCAUCCAGUUAGAAAAUCAGGAAGACUAUUUGAUACAGAUUAUGCGGGUGCCAGGUAGACAUGAUCAAAACUAGCACCAUAUGUCUAGUGUAAAGUAAGAGUACAUACGUACCAGGUGCAUAAAAGGCGGAGUAGGGAUAAACAGAGCCGUAAAAGCGUUGAUCCGGUUCAAGCACUCGCUGAUGCUGCCCGGACUCCAAGUUGAUCAUGAAUACACCCAGUUCUGCCUGCAAGAAAAUGCAAUCCAGCUGCUCCGAGAACCCGAUGACGUGCGGUUUCACUGUGUCGUCGCCUAGUAGUUCAUCCUCGUCCUCAUCAUCGGAGUACUCAAGAACAUGCAAAAGCCCAUUGCCACCAUUCUCGUGAUCGGCAUACGCAUCCAACGGAAGGAAAUCUUCAAAUCUAACAAGGGUACGGCUAACCCAGGCGCCUUCAUCCAACGAAAACAGCAUGACUGAGUUAUCCAUGACGCCGGCCAAACGCAACCGCGCGUCCAUGGCCGGCGUGAGAAAAAAGUUGUGGCCGUGUAUGACCUCCGGUGUAUCAAUCAGUAGCAGCCUCUGCGUCUCCAACUGAAAUUCUGCCACCGUCCUAUCCACUUCAGUCAUCCAGUACACAGCAGCGCCGUUGCCGGCCACGGCGCUCGGAUUCCAGCCCAAGUGGCACUCCUCGCCCAUGGUCGCUGCCAGGCGGCCAUCCCAACUUCCUGUCUUGGAGCUGUAGACACAGGCGAAGAUGUGGAUCGCCGGCGGACCCUCCAGACCUUCCCUCCAGCUGUCAUACUCGCUGUACGCAAAAACGACGCGGAACGGCGACGAGUGGCAGUCCCCGCCGUGGGCGUGAUCGGCAUCGCAGACCAGAGCCGCGCCGCACCUCCGCCCGUGGUGGAAGCCAGGCCCAGGUGCCGGCGGGAUGAGGUUCUGCUCACCGGUUAGCGGGUUCCACACAAUUAGCUCACCGUGGUGGUUGUUGUCCCACUCCCACUCCGAGGCGCGGUAGAGAGAGGAGCACGCGGCCGUGGGUGCAGCCGGAGGCGCGGAACCAUCCAUCGUGGGCCAACGUCGGUGGCAUCAGUUCCAUCGCGUUGGUCGUGGUGGGCGUGAACUUGAAUUGGACCUCGCCGUAGUAGGCGUUGGGGAUGAGGCCGAGGAGUGGUGGGACGCUCUGGUGCGCCGCGCGAAAGGGACGGAGGAAGUUCUCCUCGUCGUGGACGAGGCGCCGCCAGUCUUUGUAGGCCAUGGAGACGAAUGCCAGGGCACUGGGAUCCGUCGGGAGGCGGUGAAAGAUGUCCCGGAGCAGGUCGUCGGGAAGCUGUUGGAGUGGCUGCGUCAGCGGGCUAGGCUGGUCGCCGUUGUCAAGAGUUUCAUUCUCCAUCUCGCCCUGCUGCCUACGGCUAGUGCUUGAGGCUGGCUAGCUAUGGAGAUGGGAAGGAGAGAGGAGAAAACCUGACUGCUAGGUGGAUGCGAUGGAGAUCUCAUUUAAGCAAGUGAUAAAAACGGGAAAGAAACACACGUCAAGUAGAAAUGGAGAAGGUGAUUAACGCGAAAGAAAUGCAUGCCUUUUUUCGUUUUGGGAAUUUAGAAAGAAACGCAUGUCAAUUAUGAAAGAGGGAAGAAUUAAAAAAAUAAACAAGCACGUGGUGUAUAGUACGUACCACACAACAAAAUUAUGUUGGUAUGUCAAUUACUUCCACUCUUUCUGUGAGGAUAUUCGAUAAUCACUAUUGUAUGUCCGAUUGGAAAAACAAAGACAUCUAUCAUUUCAGUAUUCACAUAGUGUGUAGCAUUUUCUUCCAUUUUCUAUAUAAACUAGCUUGGUGGCCUGCACACAAAUGCGUUGGCAAAAUAUUUAAACUUAUGUAUGUGUAGCAAUUGUUUGAACCUUAUAUGAAGACUAUUUCUCUAUACAAUUCUAAUUUUUUUAUUGAAUAUGUUUCAAUAGUUUCAAGAAAAAAAAUGUUAAUGCUGUUAACAGAACUAAAAAAUGUCCGUGAAUUUAUAAAAAUGUUUGCGUAUUCAAAAAUUGUUCACAGAUUUAGAAAAUUAUUAACUGGGAGCGAGCUUCUCUUUGGUUUUUUAAACGUACAGCGAGCGAGCUACCCGUUGAGCCAUGUUUUAGCACGGCACUCUAGGUUUUUAUUGAUUGAUAGUCGUCAGAAUACAAGCAUCAUGAGGUAGACCAAACCAAAUAUGUCUACCAUAGUCUAAGGAAGAUGGAAACCUAGCUAGGUUGUCGGCUUCAUAGUUUGAGCUUAUUUGUUAAUGGACAAAAUUAAAGAGUAAAACAAGAUUUCGUAGCUAAGAUUUCCCUUAAGAUAACUUCAUAUUUCCCUCCUUGUCCAGCAGCAAUAUCGUACACCACACUUCGACAAUUUCACCCCACAUGCAAUCUCUGAAGAUAAAGAUCCAUAGCCAAAGCGAGCCCCUCUCAACAUGCCAACACCUCAAGAAUAGAUGGAUCAGUUACUCCAGGUAAAGACCAUGAGCAUCCCUACAAACAGCAGCAACAACACUCACCGGACCUGACCUGGAAAGUCCUCCUUCAAGAAUAGCUUUUCGUGGAGCCGUUCAGAUUGCCCACAUAGUGACCACCAGCCAGGUAAUUAAGUUGAUCAUGUGGUAAUGAACAUUGCAAUAGGAUUUGCUUCUGUUGUCACCAUCAAGGGCUUCAUCAAGUCCUCAUCCACAAGAGCCUAGACACAACGUGCCAUGGAACACUCAAGGAGAGAGUGUCUCCAUGAGUCUUCUGUACCACACAUAGAGCGGCGCUGCUGGAACACAUGUUACGAUGGUGGAGCACAUCUUCUGAUGGGAUGGAAACCCGAGAAAGCCUCCAGAAAAUCAUGUGUAAUUUUGCCGGAACCUCCACUUUCUAUAGCUUGCGCCACCGCACCUUCUCGUCUUCAAAAUCAGACGACCUCUGGAGCUCCUCCAGCCAAUCUUCAUGAUGCCUCUUUGUUAUUAACAUGCGGUAUGUAGUCUUAAGAGAAAACUGUCCGAUCUUUCAAAGUUCCAUGACCAAAAGUUGCUCUGGUUAUUGGUGCAACACAUGGAAUAUUGAGAAUUAUGUCAGUGUCCAUUGGCAGAAAGACUUGUUGGGCAAGAUCUGUAUUCCAGCUAGCGCUCGUCUCAUCGUGGCAAUCAAGUCGUUCACCAUUUGGGGCAGCUUUUGAGCCAAAGAUAGUAAAGACCUCAUACGGUAAUCUAUAGGGAAACGUUUUGGGACGGCACGCCGGCUGAAAUUUCAGCCGGUCGCUCCGGUGGCCCACGCACCGCACUAUGUCCCUUACCUUAUCUUUUCCCGACACCACACCACAUCCAAAUCUUAUCCUCUCUCACUUUCCUACCUCGCCGCCGCCCAAUCUUCUCGGCUCUCCUCCCCGACCUCUCCCACAUCAAGCUCCACGGGCUCUCCGACGAAACGCCAUGCUCCUGAUGUGAGGUUCAGCCAUGGCCUGCAAGCUCAUAGAAUUAGGGGCAGCCAUGGCCUGCAAGCUCUCACUGCAAAAUACGGCGGGGGCGGCGAGCGAUCCCAUGGCCAGUGCUGCAAGCGAGGUGGCUUCCGGCGGAUUGGACGGCAAGGUCGUCGGUGUCGCGCUUCCCCCCACCACCCCCGGCCCCCUCCCCUCCGCGGCGCUGCCGGACGCGCGCGCUGUGAGACAACAGCUGAAGCAGCCAUGGUGGUCCUGCGAGCAUCACCAAUUACCGGCGAUGUCAACCAGCAGACGCCGGUGAGGGAGAUGGGGGCAUUCGGUGCUGCAACGGGUGAGUUUUUUGGCUGGAACGGCAAAAAGCAAACGGCAAGUGUUUUUGCUGGAAACGGUAAACAGAAAGCUAAAUCCACACAUGACCGGUGCUGGAACCGCACGACCGUCGAGUCAUUUUGCUGGCACCGGCUUGUUGUUUUGCUACAACCGGCAAAAGGUUUGCUGGAUCCGGCGAGAUUAUUUCAUUUGCAACCGUCGGCGUCGACGCAUUUUUGCUGGAACCAUGAUGAUUUUUUGCUGGAAUAGUUUUGUUUUUCGCUACCACCAGUGAAACCCCAUUUUGUUGCCGAGUUUUGCUGCUACACGGUGGUGGAAGCCGACGUCGGCGGCGAGCAAAGGCUGCGACAGGGGGGUGCUGCAACCACGACGCCUCGUGCUGGAACCAGCCCAUGAAAAACUGCAAACAGCAGAAGCUGGAUCAUGCAUUUUGAUUUUUGCUGGAACCAGCGCAUUUGUUUGAUACAACCGGCUAGUUUGUUUGCUACUUUGAACUCUCUUGAAGUUUGCUGUUGUGGUUGUUUUUGUUGGAACCUUCGUCAUUUUUGGCUGGAAACAACCAUUAUUUUUGCUUCAACUAAUCAUUGGAGAUUUUUGUCGCUCAGAUUUUUCAGUUGAAACAUGACACUGCUAGUUGACAACGGCGGCGAGCCGGAUCCGACAACGCGAUUUUUUUGUUGCGACCAUGGGACCUUGGCCUCGAAUAGGCAGGCGUUAGAGCUGCAUCUCAAUAUCUCAUGGUGACGGCACCCUGGGAUCUACUGGCAGCCAUGUUGCCAUCUCGGAGAUGCGGGCGGGACCUCACUGGUGCUCGCCGGUCACGGCCACGGCGGCGGCCACNNNNNNNNNNNNNNNNNNNNNNNNNNNNNNNNNNNNNNNNNNNNNNNNNNNNNNNNNNNNNNNNNNNNNNNNNNNNNNNNNNNNNNNNNNNNNNNNNNNNNNNNNNNNNNNNNNNNNNNNNNNNNNNNNNNCGCGAGCGAUGCGGGGAAGAAGAUGUCAUGGGAGGGAGGACCAAAUCCAACGGCGCACAAGGGGGUGAAUCGGGUGGCUGUGGUGCGACCGGCCGAAAUUUCGGCCGGCGCACCGGCGCCUAUCGCUGGCCUAUAGGGAGCCAAUUUUGGUUCCAUAUGUGUGUGCCAGAUCCUGGCCGUGCCAGAUGGCGGUGUGGGCCCACUGUGGGUCCUCCCGAUCUCCCCUGGAACUUCCUGGAUCAUUCGUUGCCCAAAACAUUCUUAUUAAAUUGGCAGGGUAUUCUUCGUAGAUAUUGAUUUUGUGUAAACAAAAAACAUGCAGAAAACAAAAACAUGCACUGGUGUAAGACAAUAAGUUUUGGGGAACCAGCACAACCCUCUAGGGGUGGCUUAUCUCAUUAUAUAUAAUGGUUGUGUUACAAUAUGUACAAUAUACGUACAUAGGUACAGAAGCUAUACAUAGUCUAACACCCUCCCUCAAUCUUAGCCACUUUCUAAAGAACUGAGAAGGGUAAGAUUGCGCCUACAAGCCUCAAACUGUGGCAGCGGUAAAGGCUUAGUGAAGAUGUCUGCAAGUUGAUCCUUAGAUGAGAUAAACUUGAUCUGGAGUUGCUUCUGUGAUACACGUUCCCGUACAAAGUGAUAGUCAACUUCAAUGUAUUUCAUUCGGGCAUGAAAUACUGGAUUUGCAGAAAGGUAUGUAGCACCGAUGUUAUCACACCAAAGAAUAGGAGGCUGUGGUUGAGACAAACCCAACUCCUGAAGCAAAGACUGCACCCAAAUAAUCUCUGCAGUAGCAUUAGCCACAGCCUUGUACUCAGCUUCAGUACUGCUACGUGACACAGUAGCCUGUUUCCGAGCACUCCAGGCGAUCAAAUUAGAGCCAAAGAAUACUGCAUAACCCCCCGUGGAUCGCCUGUCAUCUGGGCUACCAGCCCAAUCUGCAUCAGAGAAGGCCGAAAGGACCCGAGAGGAAGUCGGCCGAAUAUGCAUACCAAAUGUCAGGGUGAACUGAACAUAACGAAGAAUGCGUUUAACAGCAGCCCAAUGAGUAUCUCUGGGAGCCUGAAGAUACUGACAAACCCUGUUAACAGCAUAAGAGAUAUCUGGUCUCGUGAUCGUCAAGUACUGAAGUCCACCAACAAUGCUCCUGUACUCUGUGGCAUCCGCAGGAGACAAAAGCUCACCAUCAACAGCUGUUAUCUUGUCGGUAGACGACAUGGGUGUGGUGAUCGGUUUGCACUUCAGCAUGCCAGCUCUUUGUAACAACUCCAAGGAGUACUUCUUCUGCGUAAGGAUAAGACCAGUAGCACGAGAAGUGACCUCAACUCCAAGAAAGUAGUGAAGCUUCCCAAGAUCUUUGACCGCAAAAUCAGCACCAAGAGAGCAGACAAGAGCAUCAGCAGCAUACUGAGAAGAGCUGACAAGGAUAAUAUCAUCGACAUAUACCAAAAGAUACAUAGUGACUUCUGGCUUCUGUAGAAGAAAUAAUGAAGUGUCAGCAGUAGACGGCACAAACCCAUGAGCACGAAGGGCAGAGGCAAGGCGGGCAUGCCAGGCACGAGGAGCUUGCUUCAAACCAUAUAGUGCUUUGGAAAGACGACAGAUAUAGUCAGGACGAUCAGGAUCAGAGAAACCAGGCGGCUGUUUCAUAUAAACCUCUUCCUCCAAAAUUCCAUGUAGAAAAGCAUUCUGCACAUCAAGUUGACGAAGUGACCAACCACGAGAAACAACAAUGGAGAGAAGAAGCCGAAUAGUGGUAGGCUUGACGACAGGACUGAAGGUGUCCUCAUAGUCAAGACCAUGACGCUGCCGAAAACCGCGAGCAACAAGUCGCGCUUUGUAACGCUCAAUAGAUCCAUCCGAAUGCUUCUUCACUUUGAAUACCCAUUUUGAGUCAAUAACAUUUACCCGUGGUGGUGGAGGAACGAGAGUCCAUGUCUUGUUACGAAGAAGAGCAUGAAACUCCUGCUCCUUAGCCUCUCGCCAAUGUGGAAUGCGCAGGGCAGCCUGAUAUGAGCGAGGCUCAGAAGAUGGAUCCGCAACAGCAGCAGCCAAACAAGCAGCCAACCAAGCAACCGUACCAUCCUUACGUUCCUUAGGUUUGAAAAUGCCACUGCGACUGCGUGUAUGUGGUCGAGACACAGGAACCACCGAGGUUGACGGAGCAGCCUGCAACGGGCUGGAGGAUGGCGACGUUGACGAGUCAGCCGGUGACGAGGAGCCAGUCACGGUAGCCUCGGACUCGGUUGGCGAAGAAGACCGACCCACCGGCGAAACCGGCAGAGCAGACGAAGCAGCUGGCGACUCCGGCAUCACAGACCGGGCCGAUGGCGAGCUCGGCAUAGUGGGCCGUGGCGCGGCCGGUGUCGCGGGCCGAUCCGCUGAUGAAGGCGACGUGAGGACCCGAGCCGCGGGCGAAGACGGCGUGAUGGGCCGAGCCGCAGGCGAAGACGGCGUGACGGGCCGAGCCGCGGGCGACUCGGCGGCCGCUGGCGAAACGGACCGAGCAGUGGAGAUGCUCGGCGCGAUGGACUCGUCGGGUGACCAUGCAUGGGCACGCGAAUCGAUGCCAUGCAACAUAGGGCGAUCGACGUGCCCACCAGAAGACGACGAUGAUGAUGGUGAAUCCUCCAACAGCUCCAAACGAGCUCCACGUCCGGUUACUGCACCAUGGUUAGGUAACAGCAAAGGAGAGUAUGCAACAUCAUCAAAUUGGUCAGAAGCAACAAAGGAUGAAUGCAGGGAUGGUGGUUCGACAGUGGACACAGGAAGGUUGGCAAAGGGAAAAACAUGCUCAUCAAACACGACGUCCCGAGAUAUAUAGACACGAUUAGUGGGAACAUGAAGACAUUUGUAACCUUUAUGAAGAGAGCUAUAGCCAAGAAAAACACACUUCUUAGAACGAAACUCAAGCUUGCGCUUGUUAUAUGGACGAAGAUGCGGCCAGCAAGCACACCCAAAUACCUUGAGAAAGGUAUAAUCAGGUUGUUCAUUAAGGAGAACCUCAAUGGGAGUCUUCAUGUUUAAUACACGAGUAGGAGUACGGUUGAUGAGAAAGCAUGCAGUGGUGAAAGCAUCACUCCAAAACCGAAACGGAACAGAUGCAUGGGCCAAAAGAGUAAGACCAGCUUCAAUAAUAUGACGAUGCUUACGUUCGACUGGACCAUUCUGCUGAUGUGUAUGUGGACAUGCUAAACGAUGAGCUAUCCCAAGCGACUGAAAGAAAGAGUUGAGGUUGCGAUACUCGCCCCCCCAGUCUGACUGGACAUGAACAAUUUUGUGCUUGAGAAGACGUUCAACAUGUUUUUGAAACUGAACAAAAAUAUCAAACACAUCAAAUUUGCGUUUAAUAAGGUAAAGCCAGGUAAAGCGACUAUAAGCAUCAACGAAACUGAUAUAGUAAUUAUGACCACUGACAGAAGUCUGAGCAGGACCCCAUACAUCUGAAAACACAAGUUCUAAAGGAUGUUUCACCUCACGACUGGACUCCGAAAAAGGAAGUUGAUGACUCUUCCCCUGCUGACAAGCAUCACACACUGCUACAUCUUUAUUACUAGACAAACUAGGAAGCUCAUGACGACGCAAAAUAUGACGGACAAUAGGUGUGGCCGGGUGACCAAGACGAGCAUGCCACUGUGACNNNNNNNNNNNNNNNNNNNNNNNNNNNNNNNNNNNNNNNNNNNNNNNNNNNNNNNNNNNNNNNNNNNNNNNNNNNNNNNNNNNNNNNNNNNNNNNNNNNNNNNNNNNNNNNNNNNNNNNNNNNNNNNNNNNNNNNNNNNNNNNNNNNNNNNNNNNNNNNNNNNNNNNNNNNNNNNNNNNNNNNNNNNNNNNNNNNNNNNNNNNNNNNNNNNNNNNNNNNNNNNNNNNNNNNNNNNNNNNNNNNNNNNNNNNNNNNNNNNNNNNNNNNNNNNNNNNNNNNNNNNNNNNNNNNNNNNNNNNNNNNNNNNNNNNNNNNNNNNNNNNNNNNNNNNNNNNNNNNNNNNNNNNNNNNNNNNNNNNNNNNNNNNNNNNNNNNNNNNNNNNNNNNNNNNNNNNNNNNNNNNNNNNNNNNNNNNNNNNNNNNNNNNNNNNNNNNNNNNNNNNNNNNNNNNNNNNNNNNNNNNNNNNNNNNNNNNNNNNNNNNNNNNNNNNNNNNNNNNNNNNNNNNNNNNNNNNNNNNNNNNNNNNNNNNNNNNNNNNNNNNNNNNNNNNNNNNNNNNNNNNNNNNNNNNNNNNNNNNNNNNNNNNNNNNNNNNNNNNNNNNNNNNNNNNNNNNNNNNNNNNNNNNNNNNNNNNNNNNNNNNNNNNNNNNNNNNNNNNNNNNNNNNNNNNNNNNNNNNNNNNNNNNNNNNNNNNNNNNNNNNNNNNNNNNNNNNNNNNNNNNNNNNNNNNNNNNNNNNNNNNNNNNNNNNNNNNNNNNNNNNNNNNNNNNNNNNNNNNNNNNNNNNNNNNNNNNNNNNNNNNNNNNNNNNNNNNNNNNNNNNNNNNNNNNNNNNNNNNNNNNNNNNNNNNNNNNNNNNNNNNNNNNNNNNNNNNNNNNNNNNNNNNNNNNNNNNNNNNNNNNNNNNNNNNNNNNNNNNNNNNNNNNNNNNNNNNNNNNNNNNNNNNNNNNNNNNNNNNNNNNNNNNNNNNNNNNNNNNNNNNNNNNNNNNNNNNNNNNNNNNNNNNNNNNNNNNNNNNNNNNNNNNNNNNNNNNNNNNNNNNNNNNNNNNNNNNNNNNNNNNNNNNNCCAGUGCCCAUCGCGGCCACAAAGCUGACACACACGUGGACCGCCAGCCCCCGGUAAGGUCGCAGUAGGUGGGGGGGCCGAGGCGGGCGACGGUGGCAGCCCCAAGGGAGACCGGGGUGAUGAAGAAGAGCGGCCAUCCUUGGUGGCGGCGUUGGCCGAGAGGGAGCCAGUGCCCCUGGUGCGGCGAGUCUCGACCCGUUGCUCAGUGAGAAGGAGCCGAGAGAAAACCUCGUGUGCCAGCAUGGGUGUCGAGUUGCCCCGCUCGUUGAUGAUCUCGACUAAGGCAUCAUACUCCUCAUCAAGACCAUUGACAAUAAACGAGUUGAACUCGGAGUCGGUGAGGGGCUGUCCAAUGGAGGCCAAUGUGUCGGCGAGGCCCUUGACCUUGUUGUAGAACUCAGUGGCAGUGGAGUCAAGCUUCUGACACUCUCCAAGCUGACGACGGAGUGCAGAGACACGAGCCUGGGACUGCGCUGCAAAGGUGCGCUCAAGGAUGGUCCAGGCCUCAUGAGACGUCUUCGCGAAGACAACAAGGCCGGCAACUGCCGGCGAGAGCGACCCCUGGAUGGAGGAGAGGUUCGCCUGGUCCUGCCCCGUCCAGACGCGAUGGGCCGGAUUGUAGACCGGACCGUGCACGCUGUCUACCAGCGCGGGUGGGCAGGGAAGCGAUCCGUCGACGUAGCCUAGCAGGUAGUGACUCCCCAAGAGCGGGAGAACCUGCGCACGCCAGAAGAUGUAGUUGUCGGCGGAGAGCUUGAUGGUGAUGAGAUGACCGAAGUGAAACGGCGGCGGCGAAGACGAUCCCAUCGAGGAGGCUGCCUGGGGUGCAAACACCAUGGAGGCAGCCGGAGGCACCGAAGCCGAUGCGGGAGGAGGCGGGACCGCAGCCAGGGCGGGCGCCCCAAAGCUCGCGGCCGGUGCGGACGCCGCAAGGCCCGCGGCCGGGGCGGACGCCGCCAACCCCGCCAGCGGGGCAGUGUGAUCCGCUUGCGGCAGGAGCGGCGGGACGACGCCUGCGGAGUCCGCAGCGGACGGCGGCGCCGCGGUGUGGACCACGAGGUCACGCUCAAGCGAGGGCGCCGGCGGCGUGGAGAAGACGGAGCCGAUGCUCCUUGUCCCGAUCGAAGCCGGAACAGAGACGGCAUCGAGCGGGAGGUUGAGUAGAGCCGCAAGAGAGGCCGGGAGGAAGCCCGCAGCAGUGGAACCGGUGGUGGCGGCGCUCGACAUGGCGGCGGCGCGAUCGGUGGCGCGGCGGCGGCGGCUGCGACGGCGGUGCGGGUAUUAGAGUUUAGAAGCGGAAGCGAUCGUAACCUAGCGUGAUACCAUGUAAGACAAUAAGUUUUGGGGAACCAGCACAACCCUCUAGGGAUGGCUUAUCUCAUUAUAUAUAAUGGUUGUGUUACAAUAUGUACAAUAUACGUACAUAGGUACAGAAGCUAUACAUAGUCUAACAACUGGGCACUAGAUUAUUAAUAGAUUAAUCCCAAAAAUAAUAUAAAAUGCUACAAAACGUAUUCAAAAGUGAUAAUUUCAUAGCAGAAAACAAUCAACAAAUAUAGAUUCGUUUGAGACGUAUGAAUAUUCUACUUGCUAGCAAUACCAGAUCAGUUUCUGACAUUAGCAACAUGACGCAGGGACUACGGGAAGUUCGUAAACUAGAAAGGAAUCAGGUAGUGAUGCACAAUUGCACAUUAGGAACAGUGAAGGAGUCUCACUAAAGACGUCGGCGUCAUGUAUUUGAGUCUGCUUCAGGAUUUAUCUUAGAGUUGUACUCGAUCAGCACCCCCUUAGAGUCAAAUCUCUUGCUGAUGGGCAAAGACACCUAGCCAUCGUCAUCGGUCUCUCGUAGCAUGAUGGUGUACCCGCCGAUCCAGGUGUGCUCGACACUCCAACUGUGCUCCGUGUCGCCAGGUGAGCUUGGCUCCGUGGAUGUUGCAGGCGUACUGGGAGUCGUUGUGGUUCCCGGGGACACGAUUUAGGUGGUUGUCAGGGGCAACUCCGCAUCGGAGUACACCACCAUGAACUCCUUGGCGUGGGUGUGCUCUGCGUCACUGCCGCCCUUUCUAUAGUCCCAUCACCGUUCCUCUUCAAACCACAUGUCGUGCGUGAUAUGCAUGCACUUGCUGAUCGGCUCAUACACCCAAUAGCCCAUUGUUCCCGGCUUGUAGCCGAGAAAAGUGCCAAGGCACGAUCUUUCUUCUAGCCUGGUCAUGUCGGGACCGACGAUUUUGAAGUGUGCGACAUUACCAAAGGUGCGGAAGUAACCCACCGCCAGCUUCUUCUUACGACAUGCCUCGUAUGGAGUGAGACCCUACAGGCUUCUCAUGGGUGACAUGUUCAAGAUGUGCACAACGGUGCGCACGGCCUCGCCCCAGAACGCGCACGACACGUCCAUGGCCUUCAUGAGGCUCCAGGCCAUCUCCACCACGGACAGGUUCCAUGAUUCGAUGACUUUGUAUUGUCGAGGGGAGUACAACAUUGUCGUGUUCCUGUUGAUCCCCAACUCCUCAUAGUAGGAGAGGUGAAUUCAAUUGAGGUGAACUCGCUGCCUCUGUUGGUGCGGAGUGCUCUGAUCUUGAUGCCUCUUUCCGCGCAUUGAUCUUCUUGAAAUACUGAGGUGUCGCCGUCGUUCUUCCAGUGGCGGGAGGAUGGGGGCCGCGAUAGCCUUGUCUGGCCUGCGACAUGUGCUCGCGAAGGAGCUGGUCCGCUUUCUCUCGCGCCGUGUGGAGGGCUGCCACGGCCAAUGCAAACCCAGGUCAUGGUGCCCUGGCGGCCUUUCCAUUGCCGGUAUUGGUGGAGGUUUCACCGAGAGGCCAUUGUUCACUAGUCUUGGCGAGCUCCCCGGAAAGGUCGUGAAGGCGCCGUGCUCCCGUCUUUGCGGUGGUGACGGGCCGGUGGAGAGCUCAGGUGGCCGGCAAGUCUGGGUCAUUUCCCACCCAAGCCAGCGCCUGGUCCAACUUUUUGGACGCGGAUCAACGAGCCAUGUUGUAUCGCUCCUCUUGCGUCGCCGUGUCCUUGCCGGACAAGAUGGCCCAUGAUGAAUUAGCUCCGCCGCCGCCACCUCCACUGAGGUAAUGGAGGAUGCACCCGCAUGCCUUGGCGAUCGCGGCAGCACUUCCUCCUUGAUGAACAGGUUGUGCGCUUGCGGCGGGCCGGCAACGCCAGCCCGUCGAUCCAGGCGCACCGGCUAUGCGGCGGUGGCGACACCGGCUCCUCCUUCACGUGGCGCCCAAUUUGGACGUCGUGGUUGUCUGCCGAUGGAUGAUAGGGUUGCGUGGUGGGAUGCCGACUCCUUCAUGUGGCAGAGAGGUGACGCGGUUCCGGCUUCACGCGGUGGUGGGCGGGGAGUGCGGCUCAUCCUUGACAGCAUGCGACGGCGAGGGCCACACCACACUACGCUCCCGAAGUGACCUUGACCCAUAAUUAUACGGAAUCAAUCGUAGUCCUUUCAAUAAGAAAUAAACUUCCUUAAAAACUAGCGAACUAUGUUCUCAAUCAUAAAAGCAAUUACAAUUCAUGAUAUUUCAAGAAAAGUCUAUGUGAGAACUUUUGAUUUGGCAGAUUUCACAUACUCAACCAUCAUAUAGUCUUCUAUAAUUGUAAACACUCAGAGCAUAUUUUAGAACAAAUGUUUCCAUCUGACACAAAGGAAGAUGGGGGUUUUAUGUUUCAUCUCCCAACUUAGUUAUCAGAAGGAUAAUGUCAACAAUAAUAACUUUUGAUCACCUAUAUUCAACUGGAUAUAUGUGCCUGAAUCUUUCCUUACCACAUAAUGCUUGCCAGUGUAGAUUAACUGAGGUUGGAAGGGAGAUAAAUAAUUUGAUUCUUGCAUAAAAAUAAAGACUGAGAAGUAAAAGAUAAGUCUUUCAUAGAGGGAACCAGAGGUUGCCAGGCGCUUUUAAUUUUUAGAUGUGCAAACUCUUAAUACAAAGAAACAUUACUUUAUAUUGCUCCUUGUGAUAGCAAUAUUUAUUAUGCAGUAUAUAGAUUCUAUUUCCUUUUCAUCACAAGUGCGUAGAAAGUUUAUUUUGUCAAGUAUAAAAGAUCAUACAUAUUUAGGAGCAAUUUUUGUUGCCUUUCGCUGUCUUGGAGCUGUAGAUGCGGGCGAAGAUGUAGAUCGGCGAACCCCGGCCACUCCAGCCGUCAUACUCGUUGUACGUGAAGAUGAUGCGGAACUGCGACCAGUGGCAGUACCCAUCGUGGGCGUGAUCGCCAUCGUAGACCAGAGGAGCGCCGUACCUCUGCCCGUGUUGGAAGCCAGGCCCAGGCGCCGGCGGUAUGAGGUUGUGCUGGCAGGUUAGGGGGUCCCACACAAUUAGCUCACCGUGUUGGUUGUUCUCCGCGCUGGCACAACAAGAUUAAUACUCCCUCCGUCCGGAAAUACUUGUCAUCAAAAUGAAUAAAUGGGGAUGUAUCUAGAUGUAUUUUAGUUCUAGAUACAUCUCUUUUUGUCCAUUUUGAUGACGAGUAUUUUCGGACGGAGGGAGUAGGAAUUAAAAACGGAAAAAAAGAAAGGGUAUACUUGACAUUCCUCAACAAAAUCUAUUCCAAAAUAAAAGGAGGAUGCAUUGGAAAAAAUGGCAAGAUAUAGCUAUUCCAAAAUGCAAAGGGGGAAUGGGUUUUAGAGAUUUUGGUCUCUUUAAUCAAGCCAUGCUGGCUAAGCAAGGAUGGAGACUAGUGACUAAUCCUGACUCGCUUUGUGCUAAGGUACUCAAGGGACGAUACUUUCACGACUCAGAUUUUAUGUCUGCAGCAAAUAAGAGGAACUCCUCACACACAUGGAAAGCCAUAUUACAUGGCAGAAAGGUGUUGAAACUGGGGCUAGUUAAACGCAUCGGAGACCAAUCAAGUAUAAAAAUUUGGGAGGAUCCAUGGAUUGUUUCUAAUCAUGGCUACCGACCUAUCCUUCGGCUAGCUACCAGGCUCUACUGCUACUAUGGUGGAAGAGCUCAUCGAUCAGGAGAAUGGCACCUGUAAUAUGGAAGUACUGGAGUCAAACUUCGUGGCGCCGGAUAUUCAGACAAUAUGUGCAAUGCCGAUCGGCAACUUGGGAGAUGAUGUAUGGGCUUGGGAGAAGGAGAAACAUGGCAAUUUCAUGGUUCGUUCGCCCUAUAAAACGCUAAGAAUUUGGGCGCGACAGUCAGACACUCCAUCUACGUCAGUAGCUGCUGGAAGUUCUUUCUGGAAAAAGUUGUGGAAAAUAGCUGUACCACAUAAAGUAAAGAAUUUCUGGUGGCGAGUCAUAAAGGAAUUUGUUCCCUGUAGGUUUGCUCUGUUGAAAAGGCACAUAAAGAAAUUGCCUUUUUGUGAAUUGUGUGGGAAGGAGGAGACUAUCAUCCAUGCUCUAUUUCAGUGUACGUGGGCAAGGCUUUUCUGGAAAGAAAUGAAAGAGUUCGCGCACAUUAAAAUUCCAGACCUACACCCGCAAACUUGGGCAUCAGACUUGAUUGAAGGUAAGCUAGGCUCUGAUCAAUUCACAUGUAAUGUCCUUUGUGGUUGCUGGGCGGUUUGGUCGGAGAGAAAUGAUAGGCCCCAUGGGAAGAAGGAAAGAUCAGUGCAAGCUUCUGUUCGUUGGGCACUGGAUAAUAUGCUGUUGAUCUAACAACCAUAGGCAAAGAAGUUAAACCUCCGGCAAAGUUGGAGACAUUUCAAUGGGUACCUCCAGAUAGGGGAAUCCUUAAGAUCAAUGUUGAUGCCGCGUUCUUUGAUUAUACCGGUGGAGGUAGCACAGGUCUAGUGAUCAGAGACGUGAAUGGCAUGCUUAUAAGAGCUCAGGCUCAAUGGUAUCGUUUUGCAUCCAGUGCUCAAAUGAUGGAAUUAUUGGCGAUCCGGGAUGGAUUUCAAAUAGCAAAAGAUCUGGGUCACACCAUGAUCUGUAUAGAGAGUGAUGCUAAGGAGAUGGUGAAAAUGUGCAACUCUGCUUUUUCAGAGAGGUCGGCCUUUGCUGCCGUUUGCCAUGAGAUCAAAGAGCUAAUGGAAGGUUUUCUUAAAUGUGAGCUUACUUUUGUACAUAGGGAAGCCAAUGAAGCGGCUCACCGAUGCGCAAAACAGGCCACAGAGGAGAGAAGGAGAUGUCUAUGGAUUAAUUAUAUGCCUACUUUCCUAGCUGAUUGUAUUCAGUUUGAUGUAAUUCCCCUUUUUGAGUAAUAUAAGCUCUUGAUUCGCAAAAAAAAAAACUAGCUCUGGAGCUAACCUUUGAGCCAAACAUGUUUUCACUGCUCUAGUGCUUAGAGGUGGAGUGGAGUUUAGAAACGUGUCAUUAGUAAAGAACGAUAUUAAUAGAAAGUAAAAAAGAAAGGGUAAAAUUGACACUUCCUAACAAAAUCAAGAUCUGGAGCUAGCCUUUGAGCCAAACAUGUCUUCACUGCUGUAGAACUUAGAGGUGGAGUGGAGCUUUCCCAAACACACCUUACCGAAAAAGGCUUUCGCCCCGCUUUAUAUAUAAAGCAUCAAACCACAAGCAUCCAGUACAACCACACGCCACGCCACCGCAACACACGCACACACCCAAGACAGGAUACAUAGGCGCUGAGCGCAGCAACACCAUUUCUAGCACUAUCGCCUCGAAGAAUGAAGCUACAUAUGACGAACCAUGCGCUUCAAGGCGGCGCCUUCAGGAAGGAUAUGACGUCGGAGCGCCGCCACCGCCCGAUCCAAGGAUCAGAGUUUCCCCCGGAGCCGCAUGACGGGCAAUGAAAGCCGCGACGACGCCUUCAAGAAGGGAACGAUCUUCGCCGCCGCCGGUCCGUCCGAAGAUAGAGCAGGUUUUCACCUCGGCCAACAAUCACCGCCACCGAACGCCACACCCCGGCAACCACGCCGCCCACACGACCAUGGUGACCGGGCAGCACCAAGGCACGGGCUUUGUCCAAGAGCACCGCGCAACCACCACCACCAGGGCCGCCGCCCCAGCAUCCAAGACCUCGACACCACCUCACCCGUGACCCGUCGCACCCCAACGAAAGAGACGAGCGGAAAGGUCCCACCUUUCGCGGCCCUGGGCGACCCCCAGCGUCGAGACCCAAUAGGUCGGCCAGAACUGGCAUCCACCGACCCAUCCUGCUGCCCUAAGCGCAAGCUGAGCUCGGUCCUGCAGCAACAAGAGGGGGACGAGGUCAGUCCUGCUGCAUUGUGCACGAGACGAGCUCGGUCCUGCUGCAUCGUGCGCGAGACGAGCUCUAUCCUGUGGCAUCGGGCGCGAGACGAGCGGUGGACCGCACCUGGGAGGGGACCAGCUCUUUGAUGGGAGUAGCUCCCGGGCGACGAGGAGAUGGGGUGAAGGUCGAGACGGCCCGAACGCAGACAAACCGACGCCGGAGAAGCCGGCCGUUGCCGCGGACAGAACCAUCAAGCCACCGUGGAGCCGCCACGACAUCGGUAGGCCACUGAGAUCUACCGAUGCCGCCACCCACGGCCGGAACAGCAGCCACGCCCGGCCGCUGCCCAUCCGCGUCGCCCGGCGAGCUCCAAGUGCCGGAGCCGCCGGGCACGCACCACCGGAGCCACGUGCCUUGCCGCCCCCUCACGGAGACCACCGCCACCACCACCCGCGUCGAUCGCACGGGCGCCACCGCAGCCACCACCAGUUCUGCAGCCCCCACGCCCGUACAGCCACGCCCCGCCACGAGCGCACCAGCCGGCACGCCGCACCAUGCUGGAGGCCGGCCCAGCCUAGCUGGACACCGUCCCCAGCCCGCGCCGCCGCGGCCCGCGGCCCUUGCGCCGGGAUCUGACGAGGAAGCCCCGAAGAAGCCAGCACCUUGCCCUCCCCACGCACAAGCCCGCGCCACCAGAACCACGCAGCCGCCGCCACUCCGCCGCACGGCCGCGCCACCGGCGCGCCGCCCGGGUUGCCGCCGCGCCAUCCCGCACGAACGACGCGCUCCUCACCGUGGCCCUGCGUCCCGCGCCACCGGAUGCCAAGGAAGAAGGAAAGAAGGUCCCACCGCCGCCGCCGCCGCCAGCCGGGCUUCGCCCGGCGGCGCCCUCCGGCGGCGGCAGGGGGGGAAGGGUUGGGGGAGGGCCGCUGGCCGGCGGUGGCUAGGGUUCGCCCUGCCGCCCGCGAGAGCGGCACGGGCGAGCGAACGGGUGAUCCCUGCUAGUCAUGUUUGGCACUAUGUUCUUUCUUGUCUAAUAUUCCAAAUACACCUUAAGAAGGAUGUUCCAAUUUAUCGUCAGUUUUUUUCUUUUCUUUUGCUGAAUCCAGUUGCUCGUGAAUCAAAUAGGAUUGAGCACGGAUAUGGUGACAUGGCAAACACGGAUAAACUAUUCUAUCCCCAAAGUCAAACGACGAGUCUCCAGCCAGGACAAUGCUGGCAUAUAUAUCCACAUCCGUGCAUCGACGUUUUCCUUUUCAUUUGCAGAUAAGCAAAUAGUGGUCAGAAAUUUAUGUGUCCUUAAUUUCCUUUGCAAUUGCAGGGGUUACAACCUACGAAGACAGUAUCUACAAAACUGAAAGUACCAUGGUCAUCUCUAGAGGAUCAGUACAAGCAUGGAUCUAGCACUUGGUAUGAUGACCAGAUUUCCGGGCUUAAACGUACAAGUGGCCGGCAAGAUGCUUGGUUUUACUAACCCGAAUAUGUUAAUUACUGCUAAUAAGGUUCUCCCUGUCGGAACCCAGUGGCAUCAUGCAUGCACAUGCUAAUUCGCUGCUCCCCGUACAUAAAAUAACAUCAUUGAGCCAUGGUUCGGUGUGCUAACCAAAGCUUGCAACUAGCUACGAGCACCCAGUUACCCACCAACAGCUAGCUAGAUGUCCUCUUCCUGCCUGUGCUUGUUUGGAGCGUAACAAGCACACACACGGAGAUUAUCUUGAGUAGUUUUAGUGAUGCUAAUUAAAGUGACCGUUGAAGGCGCAUUGUUGAAGGAAUCCUUUCCUGCUUUGGUUUUGUUAACGUGUAUUCAUCUGACACGAGCUGUUCUUUACUCGCUCGCACCAAGAACUAGCUCGCCUUUUUCUAUGCAGAUGCACAUGCUAGCGCGUGGCCAUUCAUGUGCCUGCCUUUGUUAGGUGAGCCAAAGAAAUCCUGCUUUGUCCUCUUCUUUGUAGCCAGCUAGCUAGCUUCACUCGCCUGAGUUCUUCUCUUCGCUCCAAACACACAAGCACCCAAGAGAGAUACAAUGCAGUGACAGGGAAUAGCUACCGGCCGGCAAUCAAUGACGCCUGUGGUCAGCGCUGCACUCGGCGCCUUGGGUCCCCUGCUGGUGAAGCUCAGUGGUCUGCUCGCCGGCGAGUAUGGCCGCCUCAAAGGGGUCCGCCGUGAGAUUCGCUCCCUUGAAUCUGAGCUCACCACCAUGCAUGCUGCCCUCGAAGAGUACACUAAGCUGGAAGAUCCAAGUGGGCAAGUGAAGGCAUGGAUAUCUCUGGUGCGGGAGCUGGCAUAUGACACCGAGGACAUCUUCGACAAGUUCAUCCAUCACCUUGGUAAGCGUGGUCAUCGUGGUGGUUUCAAGGAGUUCUUGCGCAAGAUAACUCUCCCUCUGAAGACGCUUGGAGCUCGGUGUGAAAUUGCCGACCAAAUCGAUGACCUGAAGGAUCGCAUCAAGCAAGUGAAAGAUCUCAAGGACAGUUACAAGUUGAAUGAUGUUCCUUCUAGCACCACUGGCCAUCUGGCCCUGGAUCCCCGGCUGCAUGCUGUCUUUGCUGAGGAGGCACACCUUGUGGGCGUGGAUGGUCCAAGGGAUGAUCUUGCCAAGUGGAUGGUGGAAGAAGGAAGCAACUCAUCCAAACCUCGCAAGGUGUUGUCUAUUGUUGGUUUUGGUGGAUUGGGAAAAACAACACUGGCAAAUGAGAUCUAUCGCAAGAUUCAAGGGCAAUUUGAUUGUAAGGCUUUCGUAUCGGUCUCGCAAAAACCAGAUAUAAAGAAAAUUAUGAAGGAUGUGAUCUCUCAAGUGUCAUGCCAAGGUGGAUCCACAAAUGAUACUAGUGAUUGGGAUGAAAUUAAGUCCAUUUCAAAGCUAAGAGAACUACUGCAAAAUAAAAGGUAACGUCGAUCUUUGUUAAUUCUCUUAAUAGACGUUUCAUGCAUAGUGCCUGCUGUUUGAGCCACUUAUUAUUGACUAUACUAUUAUUAAUUCCACACAAAGAAAACAACUCAAUUGAGGUCGGCUUGAACAAUCCUUACAAUCAAUGCUAGGAAAGUAUUGUGUACCCAGCUAUAAGAUGCUUACAACAUGAAAUAUUUGUCAUCAUCAAUAUAUUUGUUCCUAAAUCCUUCAUUAACUCGAUUGUUUUGCAGUUAAUAAAGUAGUCAAACUUCUAAAAAAAAUUAUCUCCCACAUUUGACGAACAAACUACUAAAGUAUGAGUUUAUUUUAUAUAUAUCUUCUUAUCAUCUUCGUUUGACAUAGUAGAUUCAAGCAUUCUAAUAGUUUUUCAAUUCCAUAAAGCAAAAAAAUGUAAAAUAUUUUAUGGUUGCUUGUGAUCCAGUAACAAGUGAGUGAUAGUCCUUGUUAUUUUUUUAAAUGAAGCUAGCUUGCAACUGUAUAGGGAAACAUAGGCAAUGAACAUCGUAGAUCUAUAAACUACACCAAUUAUGUACUAUGCGUCUGUGAUGCAGAGAUCGGGCAUAAUAAAUAUUUCAUUUUCUUAAAAACAUGAAGUGAUAUUGGAGUUUCAUGGCACGUUUGAGUGUUAAAGCAUAAUUUCUUAUCAUAAUCGGUUGACACGAUUUGCUAAUUUAUAGGUAUCUCAUCAUCAUUGAUGAUAUAUGGUCUGCACAAGCAUGGAAAACUAUCAAGUGUGCUUUCCCAGAGAACAGUUGCUCUAGCAGAAUUAUAGUUACUACACGCAUCAUUGAUGUAGCCAAGUCAUGUUGUUUGGGAGGUGAUGACCAGAUGUAUGAACUAAAAUCCCUAAGUGAUCUCCACUCUAGAAUAUUGUUUUUCACAAGAAUAUUUGGGUCCGGGAAAAAUUGCCCUGACAUGUUGGAAGAAGUUUCAAAUAAUAUUCUAAAGAAAUGUGGAGGCCUACCAUUGGCAAUUAUAAGUAUAGCUGGUUUACUAGCAAACCGACCAGCUAUCAAGGAAGAGUGGGAGAAGGUUAAGAGGUCAAUUGGUUCUGCACUGGAGAAAACUAAGAGUCUAGAGGGCAUGAGCAGCAUACUAUCUCUGAGUUAUAAUGAUCUUGCACCUAAUCUCAAGACGUGCUUGUUGUAUCUAAGUUUAUUUCCCGAGGACCAUGUGAUUGAGAGAACAAGGCUAGUGAGGCUAUGGAUAGCAGAAGGGUUCAUCUCUGAAGAGCGUGGACAGAGCAAGCAAGAGGCUGCUGAGAAUUACUUUUAUGAGCUUAUCAACAAAAGUAUGGUCCAACCAGUGGACAUUGGCUUUGAUGGUAAGGUUCGAGCAUGUCGAGUCCAUGACAUGAUGCUUGAACUUAUUAUUUCAAAAUCAGUUGAAGGUAAUUUUACCACUGUGGUAGGUGGAGGUCAAAAUUUGGAAAAUCAGCAAGGUUAUAUUCGGCGGCUAUCGAUCCAGUACAUUGACAAGGAACUUGCAUCUGCACUGGUAAAUGUGGAUAUAAGCCAUGUUCGAACAUUGAUAGUAAUGCCAUCAUGUUGCAUCAAACAUUUGCCCGCUCUUGAUCAGUUUGAAGCUUUACGUGUUCUGGAUUUUGAAGGUUGUAAGGAUUUAAAGGACUCUGAUAUGAACGGUAUGGACAAAUUAUUCCAACUGAAGUACCUCAACUUUAGAGGCACAGAUAUAUCAAAGCUACCAUCAGGGAUAGUGAUGCUAGGUAAUCUAGAGACCCUAGUUUCUGGGUAUACAGGUGUGCAUGAGUUGCCUGCUGGAUUUGGCCGGCUAACUAAACUUCAACACCUAGAAGGACGGGGAUGGAUACUACCAGAUGGGAUUGGGGAUAUGAAGAACUUACAGUUGAUGUCAGGCUUCGUUAUUGCCUCCAGUAAAACGGAUGUGUUGGAGGAUCUCGGGAACCUAACAAGUUUGAAGGAGCUCAAGGUUGAUCUCAGGCCUGCGAACAGAAUAUUCGAUAAAGUAUCUUGCGAGGACAAGAGAUGUGAAGAGGCGUUCCUCUCCUCACUGUGCAAGCUUGGCACCUGCAAACUCCGAUCUUUGGAUAUAUCACUGAGCUGUGCUUCCCUCGACUUCUUAGAUUCUUGGUCCCCUCUGCCAUCUUCUCUUCAAAGGUUUUCCACGGAUUACAAGUAUUCGUUCACCAAGUUUCCAAAGUGGAUUACACCAGCACUCACUAACCUUGCCGACCUGUGCAUCUGCCUAACUGAAAUGACAGAAGAUGAUUUGGUUACUCUUGGGCAGGUCCCAUCCUUACUUCGCCUGUUCCUAUGGCCAUCAAAUAAGUUGGUUGCCACAGUACAACGCAAUUCUUUCCUGAAUCUGAAGGUUUUGGACUUCGGAUUUAAAACUGAACGAGCAUAUGUUACGUUUGUGAAAGGGUCUGCGCCCAAGCUUGAGGAACUUACCAUCACAUUCAGUGUGUCGGCAGCGAAAGCUAAUGGCUUCUAUUCAGGCAUUGAGCAUCUCUCAUCUCUCAAAGAAGCUAAGAUAUAUCUUGAUGAUGAAGAUGCGACACCUUCAGAAUGCAAGGCUGCAGCUGCUGAGAUCAGGAAGGAAGCGGGUGCCAAUCCCAACCAUCUUGCACUUACUUUUGAGGGGGAAUCAGAUUCAGAAGGAGAGGACAAUGAAGAGACCAGUGGUAGUGAUGAGGAGGGAGGCAGUGACACUGAUGAGGACAAUGAAGAGACCAGUGGUAGUGACGAGAAGAGCAAGGGAGAAGGUGACACUGAUGAGUCCUAAAAUGGGAUGAUCGUCAUCACCAACUGCAAGAGGUACAUUUUUUAUUUGAUUUUCUCUUGUAAGAACGUAGUCAGAUUUUAAUUUUCCCCACCCAAAUAUAUCUGUGUCCGAGCCGCUUCUGGUUUUCUCAGACUCACAUGUUUUACUGUUUCCCUUUUACCAAUCCAGGUAUGCUGCGCGGCUGGAGCAUGGAAUUUCGUACCGAAGGAGGCAUGAAGCUAAUUAAUAUUCUUUGCACCUUGCGGUGCACUUGUCGUGGAGUCUCAACUGAAGAUGAAAGAGAGACACCUCCUGGAAAAAGUGGUCUCGAGUCUCUCUCAACUGAAGUUGCUACUUUUCUACACACAGUGUUUGAUUGCCACUGUCCCUUACUUUGAUGAUUCAGAUUUAAGCUCUGUUACUCAGAAUAGUUAUGGUUCUUUAUUCGCCCAUACUCUGUCCCGAGAAGCUUUUAUGCAUUUGAUAGGACCUAAGCUCUAUUUGCAUUCAGGAAUAUUUCUUCGGAAUACUUGAUUAAUUUAUGUACGUUUCAUAAAAUUAUGAAAAAGUGGGGUUGGGUUUCCCUUUUUCCGGAAAUUCAAAUUUUGUUGAAUUACUGUACAGUGAUCAGAUCGACUCAGAUCGUGCAUGGCAUGUGUGUUAUUCAUCUUCAUCAGUUCUGUUCUGAAACGGAGGGGACUAAAGCACGCUGUCACAUACCCUUCAUGUUUUUUAGGUGAAAUUUCGUGGAACGAAUAUUGUUGUGCUAGCAUUUAUUCAGCAACAGUUGGUAGACGGGAUCUGUGUGCAUUCACGAACCAGAUAAUUUGUAACCUGUUUGUUUCCUUCGCAUUCACUGAUUAAAUGCUACUAAAUGAGUGAGUGCAUAAAUCGAUCAGUCAGUUGUGUAAGCUCUACUUGCAUUGGCGAUUAUUUCUGCUUUUAUGCAUUUGGUAGGACCUAUGCUCUAUUUGCAUUCAGGAAUAUUUCUGCUGAAUACUUGAUUUCUGCACGUUUCAUAAAAUUUGUGAAAAAAAUGGGGUUGGGUUUCCCUUGUUCCAGAAAUUUAAAGCUUUGUUGAAUUACUGUACAGUGAUCACAUCGGCUCGAUCGUGCAUGGCCUGUGUGUUACUCCCUACAUCUCAUAAUAUAAGACGUUAUUACAUCCAAUAUACUCACAUGUUCACUGAUAAAAUCCAACUAAAUGAGUGAGUGCAUAAAUCGAUCACUCAGUUGUCUAAGCUCUACUUGCAGUGCGGAUUAUUUCUGCUGAACUAAUGCACUUGCUGAUGGAAGGAAGUGUGAUGCUGAUCCUCGGUCGGGUUGCGUGGUUUGUGCCUAGGUGGCUGGAAAUUUCUGCCGAAGUAAUACCCUUAUCACUAUUAAAAUGGUUCUGCCUGUCGGAGUCUGAAUACCGAUGCUAUUGUUAAUUCGCUUGUACUCUGUCUGUAGUAGCUUUAUGAAUUCGGUGGAAUCUAAGCACCAUUUGCAUUGGGGAUUUUUUUUUGUGCUGAAUACUUGAUUUCUGUUUCUCUUGUUUCCAAUUUUUUUUGUUGGAUUACUGUGUCGUGAUGAUACCUACCAUGAAAGUCGAUCGUAUAUAUGUCAUGUGUGUUAUUAUUCGUCAGUUUUGUUCUGAAAUAGUUAGGAACAAAAGCACGCCGUGAUACUCUUCGCACUUUGAGGUGAAGUGUCAUGGAACAAAUUUUAAUGUGCCAUGAUACUCUUCGCACUUUGAGGUGAAGUGUCAUGGAACGAAUUUCGCCGUGUGUUCCAGGUUUAAGGACUCUUUCUCCAUGUGUAUGUACGCACUUGUGUUGGAUUGUUACCAUGCAUAUAUUUUGUCUCAGAAGCUAUGGGUCAGCACUUGAAGGGUAGAAGAUGGAAAACGGAAGCUGAAACAGGGGAGAUUGCAUUGCUAAUUGCAUUGCGUUUGAUUGUCUCUGUUUCUGACGUUUGGAGAUCAAGGCUCAAGAAUUGUUUUUGUUGGGACACAAUUGACUGUGUUUUCUAUGAAAAACUUGCAUGCUGCUUAGUUGGGGCGCACCUCCCAUAACAGCGCAUACAUGCGGUUUGGAUUACAAUCUUGGAGAUCAAGAAAGGAGAUAGAAAUAAGAGGUUACAUGAGAUAAACAUAAGAAUCUAACAACCUAACUAUCUCAACUAUCUCCUAUGAGAUGCGCCAGUCACAUAACGUGACAUGUUGCAUGUUUAACACUGUACUCUGACCAAAUUCAGUGACCGUGAUUUAGACGCUACACUUGAUAGUUGGUUGUGGAGUUGGCUAUUUACAACCCAUGUAGUCGCUAGUAAGCAGUUAAUAAAAAAAAGGCACAUACGCAGUUUUACUACUCCUCUGCUUUACUACUCUGUUUAUUCUCCUCUGCGGCUCUGCUUUACUACUCUGUUUCCUCUGCUCGGCCAGUGAGCCCAACCCUCGCAGCAACCGUCUGUCUGUCAAGGAAAAGAGCAAGGAGGAGGGGAAUUAAAAUGCUCCUCAACUGAAAGAGGUACUAGGAGCAUCCCCAUUAUUUUCUCCUUCUAACUAACUACAUCUCUUUUCAGUUCAAAAAUAAAUAAAUACAUCCCUUUUGUCAGUAUAUCUACUAAAUGCUUCUCCAAGUCACAUGCUCUAUCAGUUUUACCGAUCCAGGAUGAUGUGUGCCUGGCUAUCUACCUUGCCUCGAACUUACUGUCAUACUGAAAAAGAUCUGGUGCUACCAUCUCUUGUGCAUUUUUGUUUAGCUAUCAUUUUUGCAUUGGGGGCACAAUGGAUCAUAUUCCGUUGAAAAACUUGCAUUUUGUUUUGUUUAUUCCCUCUUGUAAUCUCUAUUUGAAUUCUGAAUCAUUUCUGCUGAAUACUUCCUGAUGAUGGAAAUGUAAUGUUGCUUGCUUGCUUGGUACCUUUGUGUCUGAGCAAGUUGAAUGGCUGUCGUUUAUUCUGGUUUAUAUGCAUGUAAAAUGAUGAUGGGAAUUGAUCAGGUUUACAUGUCCUGAAAGCAUGAUUGCUGCUGCAUCAUACUGUACAUGAAACUAAAUAUGAAUUACAAUUUGGUUGUGCUGCCGGAUGACCUCACCGGCAGUGGUACUGCAUCUGCACGGCGGCACCUCCCACUGAUCCGCGCUUCUUCUCCUGUUAGCACUCUAAACUGUCUAAAUACGUGAACAAGACACAGGUAGCGUUGGUUGUGUUAUCCAGCACAGGCCUGGGUUCUCUGGAGUCUCCUUCACCGCAUCUCCAUGGCCGGUAGGCCCAGCGGGCGCCAGGUACCUUCGGCCAGGCCGAGGGUCGACAGAGGUACGCGGGCGUACGAACCUGCUUGCUGGAAGAAGGCGGGCAUCAGCUUGGUGCGAGCUCCAUAUUCGGACUUGAGACUCUGCCCCAUAUUCGGAGCUCCUAUUCCACGCUGAACGCUAGGAAUCACUACGGGGCGGGAACCACCGUGUUUUUUUCUCUGUUUCAUAUAUCCUUUUCCUUUCUAAAAAUAAUUCCGGAUUUUUAAAAAGAGUUGCAAAGUGUCAAAUCUUCGGGAAUACAAAAAUUGUUCAUGAUUUGAAGAAAAAUGUUCGGGAAAUGAUAAACACUAACGGAUUCAAAAGAUGUUCACCAGAUUCAAAAAGCAGUUCUUUAAUCCAAAAAAAAAAGGUCAAGAUUUCAAAAGAACGAACAUUUUUGAAUUUUAACGAACCUUUUUUUUAUUUUGCUGAAAAAUAUUUUAUGAGGAUUUCUAAUAAUGAAAACAGUGUUUUGUAUUUGAUUAACAAAAUUUCAAUUCUAUGCACAUUUUUUAAACUUAAUGAACAAAAAUUGUAUUCAAGUAUGUUUUUUAAAUGCAUGAACAAAAUUUGAAUUUGAUGAAUAGUUUCUGAAAAUAUAUGAACAAUAUUUGGAAUUUCGUGAACAAAAUUUGAAUUUUAUUGUACAUUUUUUAAAUCUCAUGAAUAAAAGUUGAAUUUGAUGAACUUUUUUUGUAUUGUUGAAUAUUUUUCCAUUGAUGAACAUUUUUGAAUUCGGCAAAAAAUAAUGUUUGUGGAUUUCAAAAAAGCAAAAAGUAAAAAGGUACGUAAUUCAAAAAAAUCAUUAUUUCAAAAAAUUGUUCACGAUUUCAAAAAUGUUCAUGUACAUUUUUAAAAAUACGUCUAGAAAUUUAAAACGAAAAAAUAAAAAAAUGCGAAUUUUAAAGAGUUCGCAAAAUUGAAAAAUAAGAAAAAAAAAAGAGAAAAGAAAAACAGAACAAGAAAAGAAAAAACGAAAAGGAAAAUAGAAAAAGCUAGGCCUAUGCUUUAAGAAUUGUGUUAUGCAGGCCUAACAGUGUUUGUAUGUAACUUAACAGCCCGACAUCGAAAAAAGUUGCGUACAACGGGCCUAGUUGGGUUGUAUGCAGACCACUAAACACAGCCUACAUGUUGCAAGAUUUCUCUAUCUUAUUGCGUCAUAUAUACAGUGUGAAAACUUAAUUCAGCCCGGAUAUAUAGAGCUAGCUACACCUAAUUCCCUACUUCCGCCGCCUCCACUAAAAGGUUAGGCUUCCUUUGCCUUUCGUCGGCGUUGUCGUUGGUCCUCCUCAUUUCCAAUGGCCUUAGGGAUAUGGGAGCAGAGUGGAAUCUUGCCCUUGUUGAUGGGAGGUCUUCGUUUUUGGAACUUUUUUCGAGAUUUGUUAUGGUUUGUGUCCUGCUCGGGAAGACGAGAGAGCGACAGCUCCCUGAAGAUGAAAUAAGGUUUUCCCUGCCUAGGCCCUAUUCUCGUGGUACUUCUAGUGUCGUCGAUGGAUGUGUGGAGGCGUGUCUCUGGCAGAUAUGUCUUUAGUGGAUUUGCUCGGAUCUGGUCGUAAUUUGUCUACGUACGUGUGUCUUCAUGUUGGAUGCUUACGAUCUACGUCACUCUUCAUAGCCAGCGUUUGCUGUUCUACUGCGCUGUCUUUUGAGGCCUUAGCACGACAACUUUUCAACGUUUGUUACGACAGGUUUUGCCCGGCUCCAGCGAGUGAGGGGCGAUGACAGCAGCGCAUCUUCAGCUCGCUUCUGUGCUUGUAGUCGUCGCUAGGUGAUCUACAGAUUGAGAUGUAAUUUUUGUUAUUUAUGGUGUACGUUGUAUUGUUAUGAUUAAAGAUGAAUAAAUUAGAAGUUUAAAAACCAGCAAUAAUCAUCAAAUUAUUGGUGAAGUACUCUAUAUGUAGGUGAAUUAAUACUUGUUUUAGGGGGAAAUAAUAAAUAUAUUCCUAAAGGCGAGUCACAUUUUUUAUUCCCCGCAAAAGAAAAGGGGAAAAAACGGGUGGCGGACAGGGACAGACUUGCGGCGGCCUCAGAUCUGGUCGACUCGGUGCUAGGAGACGAACCGGCCGCGGCAGCGGAGAUGGGCUAAGCAGAGAGGUGGGCGACAGCUGAGGCUGGCGGUGAACUGGGCGGCCUCUGGACUGGGUUGUCGACUCGGGGCGGCAGCGGAAUGGGUGCAGAUGCGGAAGGAGGUUGCUUAGGUGCCCCGGCCGACGCGAGCCCUCAGCUUUCACUCUGUUAAAUCUUCCGUAACUCUUGCCUCUCCUGUUUCUUUCAGUUGGAGUUGCAUUGCAGGCUACAAAAUUCAUCACCUGCAGCAGGAGAUUAUUAAUUGGUUCCUUUUUAAAUGAUCUGUUCAGUCAGCCUUUAAGCAGUGAUGUCCUUCGGUGUUUAUCUUGGUUAUUAGUACAAAGAUUGGUUUGCUUUUUAAUUAUUACAGUUUCAGUCUUUCAGCUCAGGAGGGAAGAGAUAGAACUAUUGGUCAUCACAUUCUGCUGCCGGUAUUUGCAGACAGCUUUCUAAAAUUUCAACAGCCUGCUUCAUGUUGUGCGUCGAAAAUGAUGCCCUAGUCCAUGAUGUUAUGCUUUUGAAAAGUGAGGCUGGUGAGUCUUCAACUUUGGUUCCAUUAUAUUGGCUUUUCUCCAUGGGGGCAAACUUGAAAGAUAGUCAGGAACACGCCACCUCCUUUCCAAAAUGGACCAGGCCAAGCAAAGCAAAAUAAGGACAACGAUGUGGGCAGGAAGAAGCUGCCACGAAGCUUCCUUCCCUCUUCAACCUCUAUAUAUGUGUCUUGGUCAGCACUCUUGCAAUUUACAAACACGGCAAUAUUGCCCUCAGAGAGAGAGAGAGCAAUAGCUUCGCUGGGGAGCAGCCAUGAGCGGUCUGGGGGGUGUGAUUGCUGGUGCCGUGGGGAAACAAAUCGUCAGCAAGCUUGGUGAAUAUGCUGCGUCGGAGAUCACUCUGCAGUGGAGGUACAGGGAGGACGCGUUAGACUUGCAGGAGAAGAUGAAAGAUCUCGAGGCCUUGUUGCUUGAUGCCGACGACAAGUCGCGUCAAGUAGGAGAAGGUGCAAGAGUAUUUCAGCGGUGGCUUACAAAAUUUAAGCGCGUCGCCUAUGACGUCGAGGAUGUGCUUGAUGAGUUGGAUGCUAACGAGCUCAUCAAGAAGAGCCAAUCCAAGGUAUUCAUUCAGAUAUUGAUUCUUCUUUAUCUAAUCUAAAAAUAUAUUGAUUCUUUGAUUAUCCUGUUUGGAGAAAAUGUCUUUGUGUGUCUGAUUAUGCAAUAGCCCAUCUUUAUCCUUUCUUUUGUAAUUAAUGUGCAGCCUUCCUCUCCAUCUGUGCGGUGGAUGAGACAUGAGAGUCUAUAACUAAUCUGAUAAAUGAUAUGCUUGGAGACUGAAGUUGACUCCAAUUUUUAUUUUUGCAGUUCAACUUAUGGUUUUCCAGAAACAAUCAACUCCUGCAGCGAAUAAUCAUGCCCCACAAGAUGAAGAACGUGAUGAAGAAAAUAGACGAAAUUGAAAAGGAGGGGAGAACGAAGCUCAACCUUGUGCGUCAAGAAGCCCGGGGAGAAGAGAGCAGAAACAAUGAAACUUUUGUAGCCAACUAUGGUGAUGGCACGAAAACUGGAAUGGUGGGGAGGGAUAUCGAGAAGGAGAAGAUAAUCAGCCUGCUACUGACAAGUGAAGCUAACCAGGAUAUCUCCAUCAUUCCAGUUGUUGGCCUUGGUGGCAUAGGUAAGACAACAUUGGUUGAAUCAGUUUUUGCAGACAAGAGGGUCAGUAUCUUUGACGUCUCAAUCUGGUUUAAUGUGUCCAAGCAGUUUGAUUUGAACAAAAUUGGGAGUGCAAUCCUGAAAAGAAUAAUGAAUAACACUGUCAACCUUGACAACUGCGAUUUGCAGUUUUAUCUGAAAAAAGAACUUGCUACUAGAAGAUACUUUAUUGUUCUGGAUGAUCUCUGGGAGGAAGAUGGAAAUAAACUUGAAAAGUUGAAGCAGAUGUUACAGCAUGGCUGCAAGGGUAGCCGUAUUAUAGUAACUACCCGAAACCUACGAGUAGUGCAACAAUUGCGCACUGGUUUCCUUGCAAAUGAGAGCAAAAUUGUCCCAGUUCACGAGUCUGACAUAAUAAAUUUGGGUGUUUUAGAACCUGGCGACUGUUGGGAAUUAAUGAAGCAAAGGGCAUUUGGGCCUGAUGAUCACCACAGUGUCUUGGAAGAAAUUGGAAAGCAGAUUGCGGGGAAGUGUGGGGGCUUACCUCUCGUGGCGAAUGCUCUUGGGCAUGUAAUGUCAGAGCAAAGGACCGUGGGGGCAUGGGAAGAUAUAAGAGACACCAAGGUCGAUCUGGGUUUGAAAGAAGUACAUCAGAAAGAAACAUUAGAGAGGCUAUUGCUGAGCUAUACCUACAUGAAACUAGAAUUCAAAAUGUGUUUCACGUACUUGGCAGCCUUCCCCAAGGGCUUUGUCAUGGAAAUCAAUCGCUUAAUCCAGCAAUGGAAUGCUCUUGGAUACAUUAAUUCAAGGCACGAUGGUCACAGGUGCAUCAAUUACCUUCUGGGGAUGUCCUUUCUUCAGACUCCGGUGUCUGCUUUGGUUAGUACCUGUAGACACUAUUUCUCUUCCUCUUGUAUGGCUGGUUUAGUUUUACUAUUCUGUUUUUUUUACUUUACAGCUAAGGACACACAAUUAUGGAUUCUACUCUAUUAUACAUUAAUUCAUGGAUUCUACUCUAUUAUGGUUCUAGAUUAGGCCCUACAAUUUCAUUUUUAAUUUAUAUUAAUGAUUUAAUAUAUCUAUUUCUGAAUUUAAAUUUAUUGUGUUCAGUUUUGUACUCUAUUGGGUCUGUUGUUUUGACUAUGUUGGGUUUAUAUAUUCUUUUGGUUUGAGAUUCUUUCUUGUCAUUCCAUUCCUAGUUCCAUUGUCUAGAUUAUGUGGCACAAAGUUAAAUUCUAAAUUUUAAUAAAUUUAUUCAUCAUCUAUGACUCAAUCCAUGGCAUAAAGACAAUUUGUAAAAUCCAUGUUUUAUAGUGAAAAAAUCAUGUGUAGAAAAUUGAUCUGGAGGCUCCACAUAUUUUGGGGGAGAUGCAAUUUUACCAGAUCUUAGUUUCUUCUCUUAACUCCAUUUUAAUAUUUCCUAUAGUUGGUUAUUACAUUUCUCUUUGCAAUACUAUACUGAUAGUAGUUACCUUUGCAGGUUAAUCCAAGUCUGUUGCAUUUCAAUGCUCCCUCAGAACUCGUCAUGCAUGAUUUGGUGCAUGAUCUUGCAUCAAUAAUUGUUACUGAUGAAUUCAUUGAUCUAGAUGCUACCAAAAGCACCACUUGGAACAUUGCUCGUUACUGCCGACAUGCACAGUUAACCAACUUCAAGAAUGAUCUCGAGGUUCUGAAAUAUAUUCCACACAAGCUUAGAUCCCUCCACUUUAGGGAUUUGGGGGGACUGCAACUCCCGAAAAAGGCUUUUUCUCGGUCCAAGUACAUACGUGUCUUGGACCUAAGUGGACAUUCAGCUGAAGGUCAAUCUGCUCCAAGUAGCGUGUUGCUACCAUCUUCCAUUAAUCAAUUGAAGCUAAUUAGGUAUCUUGAUGCAACACGCUUGACAAUAACAUCACUUCCCAAGUAUUUUCAUGCACUUCAAAACAUGGAAACUCUUAUUCUGUCCAAUUCCAAGCUUGAAAUCUUGCCUGACCAUGUUUGUCGCCUCAGCAAACUUUGCUAUUUGGAUCUAUCUGGUAGUAGUAGCCUCAGUAAGCUACCUGCAUCACUAGGGGAGCUCUCUCAACUCUUUUUCCUCAAUCUAUCCGGGUGUUGUACACUCCAAGAGUUGCCUGAAUCAAUCUGUGAGCUUGCAUACUUACACCACCUAGACAUGUCACAUUGUUGUGCUCUUCAAAGGAUGCCUGACAAAUUUGGUAGCCUUCCUAAACUCUCAUUCUUAAACUUGUCAGGUUGCUCAAGGCUCACCAAACUACCUGACAAUGUAAGCUUUCCGUGUUUAGAGCAUCUGAACCUAUCAAGUUGCCAUGAGCUAGAAUACCUGCCAAUUGAUUUCAGCCACCUUCAGAAACUUGAGUUCAUGAACCUGUCUGGUUGCUACAAGAUUUCAAUGCUGCCAGGAUCAUUUUGCCAACUUAAUCAUUUGAAAUACCUAGAUCGUUCAGAUUGCCAUAACCUCGAACAACUCCCUGAAUGUUUUGGUCACCUCAUCGAGCUUGAAUAUUUGAACCUAACAAGCUGUCCUAAACUCCGACAAUUGCCAGAGUCACUAUGCAAGUUGUUUAAGCUGAGGUGUCUCUAUUUGUCAUAUUGUCUGAGGCUCAAGGAGCUCCCCUCCUCAUUUGGCGACCUAAAGCUUCAAAUACUUCACAUGAAUGGCCUUAUACUUAUGGAUGACUGCCCUUAUAGCAUUGGUGACAUGACUAGUCUCACCGAGUUUGUGAUUGAUUAUGCAACUUUUGAUUUUCUUGAAAAGAUUGAAGCCAUUCGAAAGCGUCUAAAUUUUGUGGGCACAGUAGGGCAUUAUGUACAUGAGAUAGAGAGUAGAGGAUGCAGCAGUAUAGUGGAUCUUGUUGGACUGACUUGUUCAGAGCUGAUACUUAAAGACCUUCAGAAUGUCAGGCAUCCAGAAGAUGCAGACAAAGUCAAACUGCGUGAUAAAUCAAAUAUUCGAGUCCUAAAACUUCACUUCAGAAAUGAAGGAGGUAAAUCUGUGCUGGACAGGCUCGUACCUCCUCGGACUCUUGAUAACUUUUGGCUAUGUGGGUAUAUGAGCAAGGAAUUCCCUAACUGGAUGCUUCACAUCUCGUCCUACAUCCCUUUUCUCAGUGAACUAACUCUGAAUGGUUUGGAAGCAUGUGAUUUUCUUCCUCCAUUAGGGGCACUACCAAAUUUAAGAAGGUUGUUUCUUCUGAACAUUCCCAACAUUAGAAAAAUUGGUAAGGAAUUCUAUGGAGAGAGCGGAUCUUGUAUGAAACUAAGAGUACUGCUAUUGGCGUCGAUGAAGAAUUUGGUGGAAUGGUGGACAACAGAGUCAUGUAAAGAAAACGAAGAGUUUUUAAUACCUAAUUUGCAUCAUUUGAAUGUAACAGACUGCCCAAAGUUGAAGUUCCUACCAUAUCCCCCAAGAAGUAUGAAGUGGUUUUUGAGCAACAGCGAGCCAGUUUUGCCAGAGCGAGGAUUUGGAAAGCUCUCAUCUUCCAUUCAUCCUUCUGAGAUGGCUCUAAAGAGUUGUAGUUACUCUCAAGACAAGUGGGAUGGACUUCAACACUUUCCUACCCUUGAGAUAUUUCAGGUAAAAUCUAUCAUUGGCUUGAAGACUUUGCCAGAGGUCAUACAAUGCUUCACCUCUCUCACUGAACUAAAUUUAGUAUCAUUGAAUGAGCUGGAGACACUCCCGGAAUGGUUGGGCCACCUCGGCUCUCUAGAAGAAAUUGGAAUCAGUGGUUGCCCCAACCUGACAUCUUUGCCAGAAAGCAUGAAGAACCUCACAGCUCUUAGAAAACUAAAGUUGAUAGGGUGCAAAGGCCUGAAGAUAUUACCAGGAUCGUUGGGACAGUUGACUUCUCUAGAAGAAAUUGAAAUCGGCGAUUGCCCCAACCUGUCAUCUUUGCCUGAAAGCCUGAAGAACCUCAACGCUCUUAGAAAAUUGACGUUGACAGAGUGCAAAGGCCUGGAAACAUUACCGGGAUCCUUGGGACAGAUGACUUCUCUAGAAGAAAUUUCAAUUGGAGACUGCCGCAACCUGACAUAUUUACCUGAAAGCAUGAAGAACCUCACCGCCCUUAAAAAACUGAGGUUGGAAAUGUGCAAAGGCAUGGGGACAUUACCAGGAUGGUUGGGACAAUUGACUUCUCUAGAAGAAAUUUUAAUCAGCAUUUGCCCCAACCUGACAUGUUUGCCUGAAAGCAUACGGAGUCUCUCUGCUUUGAAGCUACUCAGAAUUGUUGAAUGUCCAGGUCUGAUUGCGAGCUGCCAAGGGGAGGAUGCCGGCAAGAUUUGUCACAUCCCAACCGUCGAAUACAGCUGAUUUGUUGUACAAAACUGUUGGUCUCAUGCAGAGCUCAAGGUCAUCGUCGCCCAACGAAAUUUGCACAAAAUUUGGCAUAUGUGCUCCUGGUGGUUACAUGCAUGGUGCUCUACUCCGUACUACAUAAUUGUGUUGGAGGUUGUCCUGUUGGUCCCAGGAGCUGCAGAGGAGGUAAGCGGCCUGGAUGGAUUAUAACAUGCAUUUGCGCUUUUAUGUUGUAUUUAUAUACAGUUUUUCAAGGGCAGAAACAUAUAUAGUUAUUUUCUUGUAAGGUGCAUCCUUGGUUGUAGCUAACCAUGUCAACAUUUCGAAAUUGAACUUGCAUUGAAGAAUUAAUUAAAGGGGCUUGCCCUUCAUGGUUGGUUGUACAACAGACUUGGAAUGACUGAAUACAACUUCACAUUACUUCUCUUCUCUGUUUCAUCAACUUAUCUUGAAAGUGUUCCUUUGCUAACAAAAGAAAUCUCUUCGAGCGGGCAAUUUUUCAUUGUGCCAUAACAUCCAGCUGGCAUUCACAUGACUUGGUCAAUCAUACGUGCAGGCUUACAUCACUGUUCUCGACUUGCUGAAUUUUGCACAAGAUCAAUUUCACAAUAAAAUGAGGAAGAGAGCUCAAGGAGCAUAUUUGGAUGGUGGAAGAGCUCUAAAGUGCCGACACUCCACUCGGACAGGCCAAGUGAGGUAGUGUGCUCGUGCUCGUAACUACUCAGUACGCAGCACACAAUUCGAAUGCCAUUAAUUUGUGUGAACUUCGAAUUUCUGCCUAGUUUUGUAUUGACCUUCAACAAAAAUUCAAAUGCUUGUCAAAUUCAUACGUUGUACCAUUUUAGUUUUACCGACCCAGGAUGAUGUGUGGCUGGCUAGCUACAUUGCCAGUAUAUGAAACUGUGAAUUACCAUUUGGUUGGACGAAAGCUGCAGAUGGCGAGUAACUGGUGCUGCUGCUUUGGAACUCGUACUUCUGAACUGCGACGGCCAUCCCCAAACCACAACCAAUAAUCUUGGCAACUCCUCGUCAGCGCCGACGUGCUUUUUUUGUAUGGGCCGCGCCGACGUGCUGCUAUAGCGCACAGGGGGGCGCCGCCUGGCCACGGCCCAGCUGCUCGCCCUUCGCUGGUUCGUCACUCGCAGUUGGCUGUUGUUUUUCGUGCUCGCUUUUUUUUUCUUCUGCUACAGGUCCUUGUCUCAGGGAAAAGAAUAUGUUGGCUUUUUUGUUAAUUUUAAAACAUUCGGUGAAAUCAAAAAAUGUUCAUGACUCGAAAUAUGUUACUAUUGAAUACGGAAAUGUUCACGAAUUAAGAAAAUAUUCAUAAAUUUUAAUAAAUGUUCAUGAAUUAAGAAAUAUUCAAGAAUUAAGAAAAUGUUCAUUAAUUUUAAAAAGAUCACCAAUUUUUCAAAUGUUUGCCAAUUCGAACAAAUAUUCACAUAUAAAAAAGUGGACAAAUUUAAAAAUGCUUGUGAACUUGAAAAUUUUCAUUUUUCAAAAACAUCAUGAAUUUUGAAAAAUUAAAAUAAAGAAUAGUUAAAAUUAGAAUUUAGUAAAAGACAGCAGAAAAAUUAUGAAUCCUGGUUCGCUGGCUCGGUUCGUAACAGCUUGCUUAAAAAAGAGUUUUGGUUCGCUCGAUUUUUUUAUGUCCUGGUUCACUCAGUUUGGUUGGUUCCCAGUGAUCUGCCGCUAUUGACUGUUGACCACUGACUUUUCAUAUAAAUUUCAGAAGAAUAUAAAAAAAAUAAAAAAAGUCCAUGAAUUUGACAAACUGUUCGUGCAAUAAAAAAAUUUAAUGAAAAGUUCAUAGUAUUUAAAAAGGUUCACAAAUUCGAAAAAAGUUUAGAAAAUUUGAACAAGAGUUCGUAGAUUUGAAAAAGUUUGUUAAUUCAAAAGAAAGUUCAUGAAAACUCUGAAGUAUUUCAUUAAAUUUGAAAAUGUUCAUCAAUUUGAAGAAAAAUGAUCACUGAUUUUCCAAAAAUCAUGAAUUCACAAGAAAUUAUGGAUUAAAAAAAAUUAGGUAUUUGAUAAGAAAAUUAAUGAAUUUAAGGGAAAACGUUUCCCAAAAUUCUAAAAAAUGCCAAUUUUAGAAAAAGUUCAGGGACAAAGUUCACGAACUUGAGGGGAGUUUUCAAAACUGAAAGAAGUGCACAUAUUUUUAUAAAUAAAAAGGAAAGAAAAGAAAACGAAUGAAAAUCUUCCCGAAAACCAUAAAAACAGAGAUAAAAGGUGUCCGGAAGCUUCCCAAAACCUGCCUAAAUGGUCGGCCAGCCUAUUCUACACGAUUUGAAGGAGGUGCGCCUUUCGCGAACCAAUCAAUGCUCGGAUGGUUAGGUGAACAGUGGUAUCCCCAGCACACCAGGGUUCAAAUCCUGGUGCUCGCAUUUAUCCUGUAUUUAUUUCAGUAUUCCAGCGAUGUGCGUUCAAUGGGAGUAGACGUUUCCGUCGACUACGAGGCGCCUACGAAGACUUCGCAAAAUCUCAGAUCAUAUGUUGGCUCUGUCUCUCGGAGGUGCUCAUAGGAAUAGGGUGUACGUGUGUGCGUUCAUAAGAAUGAGUUUAUGCACGUAUAUAUAAACGCUUGUGUAUGUACUGAUGUUCAACCUUUCAAGAGAUAAGGCUGUGACAGCCCCUAGAGAUAUGCCAGCACACGUCUGUCUCGCCAUGGGAGUAGUCCGCUCGUUAUAUGUUCGUCAUGUUUCUUUCAUUUAUUUUUUUCCUAUUUUCCUUUCUAUUACAUUUGUUUGUAUUACGAAAAUAAAUGAAUAUACAUAUUUUAAAAUUACUUUAACUAAAUUUUUAAAAAGUGCAUAUUGCUUAAAAAUGAUUUAAGCAGUCAAAAAUUUAUGUUUGCGCAAUAUUUGUAAAAUGUUCAUAGCACUCAAAAGAAUAUUCAGGACACUUAAAAAAGUUCAUAUGUUUCAAAAAUAUGUUCGUGAUAUUAAAAAAAUGUUAAUACAAUGUAAACGGAAUGUUCACGCAAUAUAGAAAAAAAUGUUUCAUACAACUAAAAGAAUGUUCGUGACAUAUAAAAAAGAUAAUGUGCUUCAAGAAAUGUUUGUGAUAUUUAAAUAAAUUGUUUAUAUGAUGUAAUAAAUGUGUCAUGCCAUUAAGAAAAGUUUAAUCUUUGUUUGGUUUUAAAAAAAGUAUUCUAAAAGGCGUUCAAACAUGUAUUUGAAAAUUGUUUACACAAUUUAAAAAACUGUUCACAUAAUUUAGAAAAAAUGUUUCAUACCACACAAAAUAAUUAGUCUUGUAUAUUGAACAAUGUUUAACAUGUAUUUAAAAACCAUGUUCAAACCCGAAAAGGCUAAAGAAAAUACAGAAAAAGAAAGAAAGAAAAAAUACAAAUGAAAACUAGGGCAUCUUGCCGUCACUGGUCCUCGUGAUGGAGCGGUUGAGGAUGAAGACGGUCGUGAGCACAACCUCUCUCCGGUACGUGCUCGACACCUGCUUUGCCUUUGAGCAUGCAGCGUGCCAUCCCGAGCACCAUCUACUAUUCUAAUUCCUUCGUUCGACGACAUUGUUCCGCUGCGAGGAGUAUGGGGUCGUGAGAUGGCGUUGUACCCUUUGUUGUGGACGUGCUUGUAAAAGGUGGCUGGCGUGAACUCGCUGCCACGAUUAGUAUGCAACAUCCUCAGCUUUUGGCCGUGCUCAAGCUCCGCUGCAGCUUGAUGCUUCACGAUGGCUCGCACCGCCUCCUCCUUAGAGACGAGGAGCAUUACCAACAUGAACCUGCUGUAGUCGUUGACAAGCAGCAGGAUGUAGAGACACUCGCCUGAUUGGACGACAGAGGUCCCUGUGAACCACCUUUAGGGGCUUGCUCGCCCUAUACUUUGCCUUGUAGGGGAAGGGCAGACACUGCUGCUUCCCAGCAAGGCAAACAUCACACAUCUCAUCAGCCUGUGUGAUAUGGGGGACCCCGCGAACGAGCUCUCCCCGAGCCAUCUUUUGCAGCUCCUCAAAGUGUUGGUGCCCGAGACGGGCAUGCUAGUGCCACGCGUCGGAGAUGUGUCCCGUGGCUAGGCACAUGGGAUGGACAGGGAGAAGAAGUUGUACAGAUGUUUCGCUCCUCACGUUACUUCGAUGAGCUGCCGCAUGCGCUGUUCGUGCACGACGAUCACCCCACGUUGAAAGGCAAUGUCGUAACAGCUCUUGUCGACCUGGCCAACGCUCACGAUGCUACCCUUGGGCAUCAGGAUGAAGAAGACAUCCGUGAACAACCUGUGAUCACACACAUUGUUUACGAAUAUGAUGGUCCCACUGAAACGAAUCGAGAAGGGGUGUCUAGAGGGGGGGUGAUUAGACACUAAGUACCAAAAGUUGCAGUUUUUAACUUCUUUAAGUUGGAGUGGAGUUUAGGCACAAGUUUAACACUCACAAUACAUAUCAAGCAAGCAUGCAAAGAGUAUAUGAGCAGCGGAAAGUAAAGCAUGCAACUUGCAAGAAUGUAAAGGGAAGGGUUUGGAGGAUUCAAACACAAUUUGGAGACACAGUGAUUUUUGAGCCGUGGUUCCAAUAGGUGGUGCUAUCGUACAUCCACGUUGAUGGAGACUUCAACCCACGAAGGGUAACGAUUGCGCGAGUCCACGGAGGGCUCCACCCACGAAGGGUCCACGAAGAAGCAACCUUGUCUAUCCCACCAUGGCCGUCGCCCAUGAAGGACUUGCCUCACUAGCGGUAGAUCUUCACGAAGUAGGCGAUCUCCUUAUCCUUACAAACUCCUUGGUUCAACUCCACAAUCUUGUCGGGAGGCUCCCAAGUGACACCUAUCCAAUCUAGGAGACACCACUCUCCAAGAAGUAACAAAUGGUGUGUUGAUGAUGAACUCCUUGCUCUUGUGCUUUAAAUGAUAGUCUCCCCAACACUCAACUCUCUCUCACAGGAUUUGGAUUUGGUGGAAAGAAGAUUUGAGUGGAAAGCAACUUGGGGAAGGCUAGAGAUCAAGAUUCAUAUGGUAAGAAUGGAAUAUCUUGGCCUCAACACAUGAGUAGGUGGUUCUCUCUCAGAAAAUAGAUGCUGGAAGUGUAGGUUCGUACUGAUGGCUCUCUCCACGAAUGAAGAGUGGGUGGAGGGGUAUAUAUAGCCUCCACACAAAAUCUAACCGUUACACACAACUUGCCAAACUCGGUGGGACCGAAUUGGUAAACUCGGUCAGACCGACUCAGCAAAUCUAGUGACCGUUAGGAUUUUCGGUGGGACUGACAUGCAACUCGGUAGGACCGAUAUGGUUAGGGUUAGGGCUUAACGUAAUCUCGGUGAGACCGAUUACACAAACUCGGUGGGACCAAUUUUGGUAAUAAGCUAACCAGAGAGUUUGUCAGGCAAAAUCGGUUUGAUCGAUUACACAAACUCAGUAGGACCGAUUUUAGUAAUAAGUUAACCAGAGAGUUUGCAUUGUAAUCUCGGUAGUACCGAUUGCUCAAACUCGGUGAUAUCGAUUUUGGUAAUGGACAUACACAGAGAGAUUACAAUCCCAUCUCGGUGAGACCGAGAUCCCUAUCGGUGAGACCAAUUUGCCUAGGAUUUGUGGCCAUGGCUAAGAUAUCUGAACUCGGUGGCGCCGGAUAGAAAGAAUCGGUAGGGCCGAGUUUAGACUUUUGGUUUAGGACAUAUGUGGAUGUGAGAAAGUAGUUGAGGCCUUUGUAUCAUAUCACUAAGCACUUGAGCAAGCAAGCCAUUAAGCAACACCUCAUCCCCUCUUGAUAGUAUUGGCUGUUCCUAUAGACUCAAUGUGAUCUUGGAUCACUAAAAUAGAAAAUGUAGAGUCUUGAUCUUUGAGCUUGAGCCCAUCCUUUGUCCUUAGCAUCUUGACGGGGUUCCACAUCCUUUAGUCCAUGCCACUCCAUUGUUGAACUUGUCUGAAACAUACUAGGUAAAAGUGUUAGUCCAACAAGAGAUAUGUUGACAUUAAUUACCAAAAUCACCCAGGGAGCACUUGUGCUUUCAAUCUCCCCCUUUUUGGUAAUUGAUGACAACAUACAUGAAAGCUUUCAGAUAAAGAUAUAGAGAAUAGCAAGUAAAGCUUUGGAAAGACAUGUAACAAGCAUAGGCUCCCCCUACAUGUAUGCAAUUAUGUGAAUAUGGAAUAUAGAAGCUUGUGAAUGCAUAAACAUGACAGAGUAGGCAAUGUGUUACAUGUAUCUUGGCUAUAUGCAUCAGAGCAAAUGAUGUGAAUAUGGGAAAUGUACCUUCAUGCUCAUGAGUCCUUCUUGCAAACAAUAUGUACAUCAGCAAGAAUUCCUCAUACACAUGACUGUGAUGCAUAUACUUACCUUGCGAUCUUGAGUUGACUUAGGAUGGAAUGAACCUGCGUAAACAAGGUUAGAUAACACAGAUACACCUACUAGCCAGAGCAAACAGAAGAAACCACAAGAGUACCAAGACUGGGAUGACAUGUUGAGAGUGAGUACUAAGUACCACAUUGAAUAUAGACAUGUUCCCAAAGGUAAAGGUGUGCAAUGAAUUCAAAAAAUUUCUUUCCCUUAGAUGUCUUGCUCCCCCUGAAUCUAGCAUGGGAUACUGGGAGAAGAUAGGGAACAGAAAAUCAGAGAAAAAUGCAAAAUCAGAGCUCAAGGAAACAAAUGAACAGAGCUAAUGCAAAUAAGCACAUAUGAACAUGUCUUUCCCCUCAAGAAGACAUGUGGCAUCUCUCCUCCUGAACACCAAGCAUCUGGGAUCCUUGAGUAUUACUCUCUUCUUGAGUAUUCUCUCCCCCUGUUGAAGUAUAUCUCUCUCCCUCUAUUGAAGUGAUUUAAGCUUUGAUGUGAUCUCUAUCUCCCCCUUUGACAUCAAUUUCCAAGAAGGACAUUCUGGAAUUUGUCGUGAAUGGGUUUGGUCCUUGAGUCACAGCACAAAGCAAUGAUUAAAAUGUGAUGCUUGUAGAGGACAAGAUUCAUUGAGUGGAGCUGGAUCAAAAGAAUGCAGGAAUAAGUGGCAAAAUGUUUUUCCUGUUGUGAAAUCGGUGGCACCGAGUUGGAUGCUUUGGUUGCUCCGAAUGAUUUCGGUUAGACCGAGAACAACAAACCGGUGAGAUCGAGUUCAUCGCAGAGAAAACACUUGUCACCUCAGCUCACUAGACGAGUAAGAUAUCACAAGGAUUUGCAAUGAGUUAUCUGAAAGAUUUGCAAUGAAUUGGAUGCAGGGAAUGCAGAACAAAUAGAAAGAAAAGAAAUCUAGAUGAAGUUUUUUUGAAAGGGGAAAUAAAUAUGCAUGAGACAAAUGCAAGAGCACAGAGAAGAAUACAAGAGAACUUCAUCUAGAAAUGGUCGGCGACAAAGUCACCUAUGCUAGAGUAAAGCUUGAAAUGUUACCAUCAACCUUGACGCACAGAUCGGGAUCCCCUACCCGAGAUCCGCCGGUUUUGACACCGACACCUAGGACUGCCGACGGUGCCACCAAGCCGAGCUUGCAUGACACCAAAUAUGAGGUCACUGGUGUCGCACGGCAUGACGGGGAAGAAAUGUCAGGACCACCACCACAACUCUCCGCACCCACGAGGACAAUGCACACGGGUACAUCCCAAGCAGAGCCCAAGCCUCACCUACCUGGAGAAACCACCCUGAUGCACCUCGGGCCCAAAUUCGGCCUGCCCGAGCACAAACACUAGGUCAGGGGAGCCGUCGUCGUGCGUGCAACCGACUAGCCCCGCAUGCCACCAGCUCCAAUCUGGGAGAAGAUAGUGAAGGAAAUAUGCCCUAGAGGCAAUAAUAAAGUUAUUAUUUAUUUCCUCAUAUCAUGAUAAAUGUUUAUUAUUCAUGCUAGAAUUGUAUUAAACGGAAACAUGAUACAUGUGUGAAUACAUAGACAAACAUAACGUCACUAGUAUGCCUCUACUUGACUAGCUCAUUAAUCAAAGAUGGUUAUGUUUCCUAACCAUAGACAUGUGUUGUCAUUUGAUUAACGGGAUCACAUCAUUAGAAGAAUGAUGUGAUUGACAUGACCCACUCCGUUAGCCUAGCACUUGAUCGUUUAGUAUAUUGCUAUUGCUUUCUUCAUGACUUAUACAUGUUCCUGUAACUAUGAGAUUAUGCAACUCCCGUUUACCGGAGGAACACUUCGGGUGCUACCAAACGUCACAACGUAACUGGGUGAUUAUAAAGGAGUACUGCAGGUGUCUCCGAAGGUACAUGUUGGGUUGGCGUAUUUCGAGAUUAGGUUUUGUCACUCCGAUUGUCGGAGAGGUAUCUCUGGGCCCUCUCGGUAAUGCACAUCACUAUAAGCCUUGCAAGCAAUGUAGCUAAUGAGUUAGUUACGGAAUGAUGCAUUACGUAACGAGUAAAAAGACUUGCCGGUAACGAGAUUGAACUAGGUAUUGGAUACCGACGAUCAAAUCUCGGACAAGUAACAUACCGAUGACAAAGGGAACAACGUAUGUUGUUAUGCGAUUUGACCGAUAAAGAUCUUCGUAGAAUAUGUAGGAGCCAAUAUGAGCAUCCAGGUUCCGCUAUUGGUUAUUGACCGAGAAUAGUUCUAGGUCAUGUCUACAUAGUUCUCGAACCCGUAGGGUCCGCACGGUUAACGUUACGAUGACAGUUUUAUUAUGAGUUUAUAAGUUUUGAUGUACUGAAGUUUAUUCGGAGUCCCGGAUGUAAUCACGGACAUGACGAGGAGUCUCAAAAUGGUCGAGACAUAAAGAUUGAUAUAUUGGACGACUAUAUUCGGACACCGAAAGUGUUUCGGGUGUUUUCAGAGAAAACCGGAGUGCCGGAGGGUUACCGAAACCCCCCGGGAGAAGUAAUGGGCCUUAUGGGCUUUAGUGGAGAGAGAGAGAGGCAGCCAGCAUGGGCCGCGCGCCCCCUCCCCCUCUGGUCCGAAUUGGACUAGGAGAGGGGAGGCGGCGCCCCCCUCUUUCCCUCUCCCUCUCCCCCUUCCUUUCCCCCUCCUAGUAGGAGUAGGAAAGAGGGAGUCCUACUCCUACUAGGAGGAGGACUCCUCCUCCUUGGCGCGCCCACAAGGGCCGGCCGACCUCCCCCCUUGCUCCUUUAUAUACGGGGGUAGGGGGCACCCUAGGACACACAAGUUGAUCUUCAAGAUCGUUCCUUAGCCGUGUGCGGUGCCCCCCUCCACCAUAUUCCACCUCGGUCAUAUCGUCGUGGAGUUUAGGCGAAGCCCUGCGCCGGUAGAACAUCAUCAUCGUCACCACGCCAUCGUGCUGACGAAACUCAUCCCCGACACUUUGCUGGAUCAGAGUCCGGGGAUCGUCAUCGAGCUGAACGUGUGCUGAACUCGGAGGUGCCGUACGUUCGAUACUUGGAUUGGUCGGAUCGUGAAGACGUACGACUACAUCAACCGCGUUGUCAUAACGCUUCCGCUUAGAGCCUACGAGGGUACAGGGACAACACUCUCCCCUCUCGUUGCUAUGCAUCACCAUGAUCUUGCGUGUGUGUAGGAAUUUUUUUGAAAUUACUACGUUCCCCAACAGUGGCAUCAGAGCCAGGUUUUAUGCGUAGAUGUCAUAUGCACGAGUAGAACACAAGUGAGUUGUGGGCGAUACAAGUCAUACUGCUUACCAGCAUGUCAUACUUUGGUUGGUGGUAUUGUGAGAUGAAGCUGCUCGGACCGACAUUACGCGUAUGCUUACGCGAGACUGGUUUCACCGUUACGAGCACUCGUGCUUAAAGGUGGCUGGCGGGUGUCUGUCUCUCUUACUUUAGCUGAAUCGAGUGUGGCUACGCCCGGUCCUUGCAAAGGUUAAAACAACACUAACUUGACAAACUAUCGUUGUGGUUUUGAUGCGUAGGUAAGAACGGUUCUUGCUAAGCCCGUAGCAGCCACGUAAAAUUUGCAACAACAAAGUAGAGGACGUCUAACUUGUUUUUGCAGGGCAUGUUGUGAUGUGAUAUGGUCAAGACGUGAUGCUAUAUUUUAUUGUAUGAGAUGACCAUGUUUUGUAAACGAAGUUAUCGGCAACUGGCAGGAGCCAUAUGGUUGUCGCUUUAUUGUAUGAAAUGCAAACGCCCUGUAAUUGCUUUACUUUAUCACUAAGCGGUAGCGAUAGUCGUAGAAGCAAUAGAUGGCGUAACGACAACGAUGCUACGAUGGAGAUCAAGGUGUCGCGCCGGUGACGAUGGUGAUCACGACGGUGCUUCGAAGAUGGAGAUCACAAGCACAAGAUGAUGAUGGCCAUAUCAUAUCACUUAUAUUGAUUGCAUGUGAUGUUUAUCCUUUAUGCAUCUUAUCUUGCUUUGAUUGACGGUGGCAUUUUAAGAUGAUCUCUCACUAAAUUAUCAAGAAGUGUUCUCCCUAAGUAUGCACCGUUGAGAAAGUUCUUCGUGCUGAGACACCACGUGAUGAUCGGGUGUGAUAGGCUCUACGUUCAAAUACAACGGGUGCAAAACAGUUGCACACGCGGAAUACUCAGGUUAAACUUGACGAGCCUAGCAUAUAACAGAUAUGGCCUCGGAACACGGAGACCGAAAGGUCGAGCGUGAAUCAUAUAGUAAAUAUGAUCAACAUAUUGAUGUUCACCAUUGAAACUACUCCAUCUCACGUGAAGAUCGGACAUGGUGUAGUUGAUAUGGAUCACGUAAUCACUUAGAGGAUUAGAGGGAUGUCUAUCUAAGUGGGAGUUCUUAAGUAAUAUGAUUAAUUGAACUUAAAUUUAUCAUGAACUUAGUACCUGAUAGUAUUUUGCUUGUCUAUGUUUGUUGUAGAUAGAUGGCUCGUGCUGUUGUUCCGUUGAAUUUUAAUGUGUUCCUUGAGAAAGCAAAGUUAAAAGAUGAUGGUAGCAAUUACACGGACUGGGUCCGUAACCUGAGGAUUAUCCUCAUUGCUGCACAGAAGAAUUACGUCCUGGAAGCACCGCUGAGUGCCAGGCCUGCUGCUGAUGCAACUGACGAUGUUAAGAAUGUAUGGCAGAGCAAAGCUGAUGACUACUCGAUAGUUCAGUGUGCCAUGCUUUACGGCUUAGAACCGGGUCUUCAACGACGUUUUGAACGUCAUGGAGCAUAUGAGGUGUUCCAGGAGUUAAAGUUAAUAUUUCAAGCAAAUGCCCGGAUUGAGAGAUAUGAAGUCUCCAAUAAGUUCUAUAGCUACAAGAUGGAGGAGAAUAGUUCUGUCAGUGAACACAUAUUCAAAAUGUCCGGGUAUAAUAAUCACUUGAUUCAACUGGGAGUUAAUCUUCCUGAUGAUAGUGUCAUUGACAGAAUUUUUCAAUCACUACCACCAAGCUACAAGAGCUUCGUGAUGAUCUAUAAUAUGCAAGGGAUGGACAAGACUAUUCCCGAGCUCUUCGCAAUGCUAAAAGCCGCGGAGGUAGAAAUCAAGAAGGAGCAUCAAGUGUUGAUGGUUAACAAGACCACCAGUUUCAAGAAAAAGGGCAAAGGGAAGAAGAAGGGGAACUUCAAGAAGAAGAACAAACAAGUUGCUGCUCAAGAGAAGAAACCCAAGUCUGGACCUAAGCCUGAGACUGAGUGCUUCUACUGCAAGCAGACUGGACACUGGAAGCGGAACUGCCCCAAGUAUUUGGCGGAUAAGAAGGAUGGCAAAGUGAACAAAGGUAUAUGUGAUAUACAUGUUAUUGAUGUGUACCUUACAAAUGCUCGCAGUAGUACGUGGGUAUUUGAUACUGGUUCUGUUGCUAAUAUUUGCAACUCGAAACAGGGACUACGGAUUAAGCGAAGAUUGGCUAAGGAUGAGGUGACGAUGCGCGUGGGAAAUGGUUCCAAAGUCGAUGUGAUCGCGGUUGGCACGCUACCUCAACAUCUACCAUCGGGAUUAGUUUUACAUCUAAAUAAUUGUUAUUUGGUGCCAACGUUGAGCAUGAACAUUAUAUCUGGAUCUUGUUUGAUGCGAGACGGAUAUUCAUUUAAGUCAGAGAAUAAUGGUUGUUCUAUUUAUAUGAGUAAUAUCUUUUAUGGUCAUGUACCCUUGAAGAGUGGUCUAUUUUUAUUGAAUCUCGAUAGUAGUGAUACACAUAUUCAUAGUGUUGAAACCAAAAGAUGCAGAGUUGAUAAUGAUAGUGCAACUUAUUUGUGGCACUGCCGUUUGGGUCAUAUCGGUGUAAAGUGCAUGAAGAAACUCCAUAUCGAUGGGCUUUUGGAAUCACUUGAUUAUGAAUCACUUGGUACUUGCGAACCGUGCCUCAUGGGCAAGAUGACUAAAACGCCGUUCUCCGGAACUACGGAGCGAGCAACUGAUUUUUUGGAAAUCAUACAUACUGAUGUUUUUGGUCCAAUGAAUGUUGAGGCUCGCGGCGGAUAUCGUUAUUUUCUCACCUUCACAGAUGAUUUGAGCAGAUAUGGGUAUAUCUACUUAAUGAAACACAAGUCUGAAACUUUUGAAAAGUUCAAAGAAUUUCAGAGUGAAGUGGAAAAUCAUCGUAACAAGAAAAUUAAAUUUCUACGAUUUGAUCAUGGAGGAGAAUAUUUGAGUUACGAGUUUGGUUUACAUUUGAAACAAUGCGGAAUAGUUCCGCAACUCACGCCACCCGGAACACCACAACGAAAUGGUGUGUCCGAACGUCGUAAUCGUACUUUACUAGAUAUGGUGCGAUCUAUGAUGUCUCUUACUGAUGUACCGCUAUCGUUUUGGGGUUAUGCUUUAGAGACGGCCGCAUUCACGUUAAAUAGGGCACCAUCAAAAUCCGUUGAGACGACGCCUCAUGAACUGUGGUUUGGCAAGAAACCAAAGUUGUCGUUUCUUAAAGUUUGGGGCUGCGAUGCUUAUGUGAAGAAACUUCAACCAGAUAAGCUCGAACCCGAAUCGGAGAAAUGUGUCUUCAUAGGAUACCCAAAAGAAACUGUUGGGUACACCUUUUAUCACAGAUGUGAGGGCAAGAUUUUCGUUGCUAAAUUUGGAUCCUUUCUAGAGAAGGAGUUUCUCUCGAAAGAAGUGAGUGGGAGGAAAGUAGAACUUGAUGAGGUAACUAUACCUGCUCCCUUAUUGGAAAGUAGUUCAUCACAAGAACCGGUUCUUGUGACAACUACACCAAUUAGUGAGGAAGCUAAUGAUAUUGAUCAUGAAACUUCAGAUCAAGUUUAUACUGAACCUCGUAGGUCUACCAGAGUAAGAUCCACACCAGAGUGGUAUGGUAAUACUAUUCUGGAAGUCAUGUUACUUGACCAUGAUGAACCUACAAAUUAUGAGGAAGCGAUGAUGAGCCCAGAUUCCGCAAAAUGGCUAGAGGCCAUGAAAUCUGAGAUGGGAUCCAUGUAUGAGAACAAAGUAUGGACUUUGGUUGACUUGCCCGAUGAUCGGCAAGCCAUUGAGAAUAAAUGGAUCUUUAAGAAGAAGACUGACGCUGAUGGUAAUGUAACUGUCUAUAAAGCUCGACUUGUUGCAAAAGGUUUUCAACAAGUUCAAGGGGUUGACUACGAUGAGACUUUCUCACCCGUAGCGAUGCUUAAGUCUGUCCGAAUCAUGUUAGCAAUUGCUGCAUUUUAUGAUUAUGAAAUUUGGCAAAUGGAUGUCAAAACUUCAUUCUUGAAUGGAUUUCUGGAAGAAGAGUUGUAUAUGAUGCAGCCAGAAGGUUUUGUUGAAGCAAAAGGUGCUAACAAAGCGUGCAAGCUCCAGCGAUCCAUUUAUGGACUGGUGCAAGCAUCUUGGAGUUGGAAUAAACGCUUUGAUAGUGUGAUCAAAGCAUAUGGUUUUAUACAGACUUUUGGAGAAGCCUGUAUUUACAAGAAAGUGAGUGGGAGCUCUGUAGCAUUUCUGAUAUUAUAUGUAGAUGACAUAUUAUUAAUUGGAAAUGAUAUAGAAUUUCUGGAUAGCAUAAAGGGAUACUUGAAUAAAAGUUUUUCAAUAAAAGACCUUGGUGAAGCUGCUUACAUAUUGGGCAUUAAGAUUUAUAGAGAUAGAUCAAGACGCUUAAUAGGACUUUCACAAAGCACAUACCUUGAUAAAGUUUUGAAAAAUUUCAAAAUGGAUCAGGCAAAGAAAGGGUUCUUGCCCGUGCUACAAGGUGUGAAGUUGAGUCAGACUCAAUGCCCGACCACAACAGAAGAUAGAGAGAAAAUGAAAGAUGUUCGCUAUGUUUCAGCCAUAGGCUCUAUCAUGUAUGCAAUGCUGUGUACCAGACCGUACGUGUGCUUAGCAAUAAGCUUGGCAGGAAGGUACCAAAGUAAUUCAGGAGUGGAUCACUGGACAGCGGUCAAGAACAUCCUGAAAUACCUGAAAAGGACUAAGGAUAUGUUUCUCGUAUAUGGAGGUGACAAAGAGCUAGUCGUAAAUGGUUACGUCGAUGCAAGCUUUGACACUGAUCCGGACGAUUCUAAAUCGCAAACCGGAUACGUAUUUUUAUUAAACGGUGGAGCUGUAAGUUGGUGCAGUUCUAAACAAAGCGUCGUGGCGGGAUCUACAUGUGAAGCGGAGUACAUAGCUGCUUAGGAAGCAGCAAAUGAAGGAGUCUUGAUGAAGGAGUUCAUUUCCGAUCUAGGUGUUAUACCUAGUGCAUCGGGACCAAUGAAGAUCUUCUGUGACAAUACUGGUGCAAUUGCCUUGGCAAAGGAAUCCAGAUUUCACAAGAGGACCAAGCACAUCAAGAGACGCUUCAAUUCCAUCCGGGACCAAGUCCAGGUGGGAGACAUAGAGAUUUGCAAAAUAGAUACGGAUCUGAAUGUUGCAGACCCAUUGACUAAGCCUCUUCCACGAGCAAAACAUGAUCAACACCAAGACUCCAUGGGUGUUAGAAUCAUUACUGUGUAAUCUAGAUUAUUGACUCUAGUGCAAGUGGGAGACUGAAGGAAAUAUGCCCUAGAGGCAAUAAUAAAGUUAUUAUUUAUUUCCUCAUAUCAUGAUAAAUGUUUAUUAUUCAUGCUAGAAUUGUAUUAAACGGAAACAUGAUACAUGUGUGAAUAUAUAGACAAACAUAACGUCACUAGUAUGCCUCUACUUGACUAGCUCAUUAAUCAAAGAUGGUUAUGUUUCCUAACCAUAGACAUGUGUUGUCAUUUGAUUAACGGGAUCACAUCAUUAGAAGAAUGAUGUGAUUGACAUGACCCAUUCCGUUAGCCUAGCACUUGAUCGUUUAGUAUAUUGCUAUUACUUUCUUCAUGACUUAUACAUGUUCCUGUAACUAUGAGAUUAUGCAACUCCCGUUUACCGGAGGAACACUUUGGGUGCUACCAAAUAUCACAACGUAACUGGGUGAUUAUAAAGGAGUACUACAGGUGUCUCCGAAGGUACAUGUUGGGUUAGCGUAUUUCAAGAUUAGGUUUUGUCACUCCGAUUGUCGGAGAGGUAUCUCUGGGCCCUCUCGGUAAUGCACAUCACUAUAAGCCUUGAAAGCAAUGUAGCUAAUGAGUUAGUUACGGAAUGAUGCAUUACGUAACGGGUAAAGAGACUUGCCGGUAACGAGAUUGAACUAGGUAUUGGAUACCGACGAUCAAAUCUCGGGCAAGUAACAUACCGAUGACAAAGGGAACAACGUAUGUUGUUAUGCGGUUUGACCGAUAAAGAUCUUCGUAGAAUAUGUAGGAGCCAAUAUGAGAAUCCAGGUUCCGCUAUUGGUUAUUGACCGAGAAUAGUUCUAGGUCAUGUCUACAUAGUUCUCGAACCCAUAGGGUCCGCACGGUUAACGUUACGAUGACAGUUUUAUUAUGAGUUUAUAAGUUUUGAUGUACCAAAGUUUGUUCGGAGUCCCGGAUGUGAUCACGGACAUGACGAGGAGUCUCGAAAUGGUCGAGACAUAAAGAUUGAUAUAUUGGACGACUAUAUUCGGACACCGAAAGUGUUUCGGGUGUUUUCCGAGAAAACCGGAGUGCCGGAGGGUUACCGGAACCCCCCCCCCCCGGGAGAAGUAAUGGGCCUUAUGGGCUUUAGUGGAGAGAGAGAGAGGGGCAGCCAGCAUGGGCCGCGCGCCCCCUCCCCCUCUGGUCCGAAUUGGACUAGGAGAGGGGAGGCGGCGCCCCCCUCUUUCCCUCUCCCUCUCCCCCUUCCUUUCCCCCUCCUAGUAGGAGUAGGAAAGAGGGAGUCCUACUCCUACUAGGAGGAGGACUCCUCCUCCUUGGCGCGCCCACAAGGGCCGGCCGACCUCCCCCCUUGCUCCUUUAUAUACGGGGGCAGGGGGCACCCUAGGACACACAAGUUGAUCUUCAAGAUCGUUCCUUACCCGUGUGCGGUGCCCCCCUCCACCAUAUUCCACCUCGGUCAUAUCGUCGCGGAGUUUAGGCGAAGGCCUGCGCCGGUAGAACGUCAUCAUCGUCACCACGCCAUCAUGCUGACGGAACUCAUCCCCGACAGUUUGCUGGAUCGGAGUCCGGGGAUCGUCAUCGAGCUGAACAUGUGCUGAACUCGGAGGUGCCGUACGUUCGGUACUUGGAUCGGUCGGAUCGUGAAGACUAUGACUACAUCAACCGCGUUGUCAUAACGCUUCCGCUUACAGUCUACGAGGGUACGUGGACAACACUCUCCCCUCUCGUUGCUAUGCAUCACCAUGAUCUUGCGUGUGCGUAGGAAUUUUUUUGAAAUUACUACGUUCCCCAACAGGUAGACCACAACGCUGCCGCCUCAAGCCACAAGCCAAACAAUGGCCAACCAUCGCACCGCCGAAGUCUGCACCACCGUCCUAGCCCACUGCAGCCACAAGGAUGACCACCCGUGAGCAGGAACCGCCGCCACCUUCAGCCGCUGACACUAGCCGGCAGGGCGACACCUCCAACCCGCGCGGCCGCAGCGCAGGCACGCCCCGCGUCCGUCGAUGUCCACCAUGUAGCUCGCACCAGCGCACCACCGUCCUGCCCGCCUGAUGCCACGUCGUCGCGCCCACCGCCAACCCAUGCUCAGGCCCUGGGGAGCGCGCCCGUGAUGCCAUCGUCGUGCGGGAGGAUGUCGGGGCCCCGCUGCCGCUGACACCGGUCAAGCUUUGCCCAACUGUUCCCACUGGAAGCGGUGAAUCAGGGGAAAUGAGGAGGGGUGUGGGGUGUGGGUGGCGAGAUCUAGGUCGCCCUCCCUGUUGCCUUGUGGGGGUGACGCGGGAGGGUUCGGGGGCGGAGUCCGAGAUCAUUAGGCUGAUACAUAUCUUUACCUAAUAAUAAAGCAAAUUGGGUUUUCUUUCGUCCGUCAUGGAAUUUUUCAGAAAAGUCCUUCCAUUUCAGAGAAUUCAACGCGCAGUCCUGUUUUAAGUUAAAACGAAUCGUUAUUUCCGUAUUUUACGCAAAAGUCCCUGUCUUUUCUUUAAAUCAACCCGCCGUCCGUAUUUAAGUCACACCCGAACCGUUAUUUUACAUUUUUCGAAACCUCCCCCCCCCCCUGAUGGUUUAGGUAAUUAAUCCGCGGAUCAUAUUUAAGUCAAACAAAUGCUUUUUAAAAUCAUCCAUAUCUUUUAAACCGUAACUCCGAUUUGAACAUGUUAUAUAUGAAAUUUGAUUAAAAGAUAUGUAGAAUAUGAAUAUGAGAUUAUUUUUAUCUGUUAAGUAUUUUUAAAUAUUAUUUUGGAAUAUAUUUGAGUCAAACCAAAUGAUUUUCUAAAUUAUCUGUUAAACCGUAACUUUGAUUUUAACAUAUUAUAUAUAAAAUUUUAUUAGAAAAAUGUGUGGAAUCUAAAUAUAAUGUUAAUUUUACCUGUUAAAUAUUUUUAAAAUAUUGUUAUGGAAGCAAACUUAUAAUUUAUAGCGCAAGAUCCUUUUUUUCAUACCGACGGCGAUCAGGAUUGCAAAUAAACACCCCACUAUAACCAUAUACGGAGAAGAAAACAUCAAUAACUACACAUGCAUACCUCUGAAAAAUGUCGCAGGGGAAAACAACAGAUUUCUCAUUGCGAGAGUGAGAGAAAGCGAGCGAGAGAGAGAGAGAGAGAGAAGGAGAGAGAGGGAGGAGAGAGGGAGGAGAGAGGGAGAGAGAGACGCCUUAGGAUUAACCAUAUUCAACACACGUUUUUUGUUGUUUUGUAUGAACACCGAGGCCAUCGCCGGCGAGGGUGAGAAGGAGGAUAAGCGGCAACACAAAUAUGAUGCCUCGCAAAAAUAAAGGAGAUGGACCUAUUGUGGUCUUGAGUAAUGGUUGUUGAGUUAAGAGCGUGUGUUAUGUUUUCUCUCCCGUUGCAACGCACGAGCUCUUUUGCUAGUAAAUCCUAUAGGUGCUUUGUCGGUAAUAAAGUUCAAGCGUUGCAAAACAUGUUUAUUUUAUCUUAUCUUUUCGUUUUUGCUUCCUAUUUUUUUCUUGUUCUUUUGGUCCUUUUACUUAUUUAAUUUUUGGCCUUUUACAUUACCCAUUUCUUUUUUUCUGGUUAACAUUUUUCCAUCGUGCCUGUACAAAGAAGUUCAUAUUGUAUUUCUAAUAUAUCCAUGGUGCAAUUGAAAAAUGUUCAUCAUCCAUGAGAAAGGAUCACUGGGGGCAGCUGGACUGAGCCGGCCCGUUGGCAACAUUGUUACUGUAGGCUGUAGCUGCGGUUCAAAUAAAAAUGUGAACUCUUCUGAAAAAUGGGAACACAUUCUCGAAAAAUCAAAACUUCCUUAAAACUAUAAAAUAUUUGAAUUUUGUGAAUAUUUUUGUAAAAGGUGAACAAAUUUUGAAAUUUGUAAACAUUUUCUCAAAACUUAUGAACAAUUUUUGAACUACAAUUUGUUAUUCGAUUCUUAAAGUAUUUAUUAAAAAAAUCCCAAAAAUCUGGAUGUUUUCUAGAAACACGAACGAAUUGGGAAACAUUUAAAAUAUUUUUAAAAUGUCAAUUUUUUUAGAAAAUGUCAAAAACAAAUUGAAAGUCUGAACAAUAUUUGAAUAUUUGAAUAUUUUUUGAAAAAGUGAUUUUUUAAAUUUGGAACUUUCUUUCAAAAUGCGAACUUUUAUUUAAAAAGCUGAACAAAAUUUUGAAUUUUUGAGCAUUUAAUGGAAAUGCAAUUUUUUUUUGAAGAUUUUGUUUUUUAAUUUUUGAUUAUAUGGAAAAAUUAAGACGAAAACAGGAAAGACUAAAAGAAAGGAAAAAAAUGAACAAUAAAAUCCCAAAGUAAACCAGAAAACCAGUAAAGAAAAUGGCAGAAAAAACCGACUGAGGCACCUUCUCGAAGUUCUCCAAAACCGGUAGAAAAAUCAUUAUACUUGCUAGCUAAAAUGGGUCGGUCACAGAUCGAUCGCCUCGCUCGCCUGUUCGAUCGGGGUACUAUUGGACGUAGUGAGUGCACAAUAAGGAAUUUGUGGUGAAAGAUAGCCGCGGCCUUGAUGUACCGUUAGCGGUGUCUGUAGUGUUCACUGCGGCCGUAACAAACCGCCAACCAAUUCCAUGACAAUUCAAAAAAAAAAAAUAUUCAAUGCCGCUACGGGCGACUUGGGUGCUGGUGCGGGUGCCGCAGCCGGCGGCAGACAUCCCAGCAUUCUUGCUGCAGUAUCUAUGUAGGCGAGAGCAGGCGGCUGGGGGUAACAAAUGGAAACAUACAGGUUUCUAUUGCGCUCACGGCUCCCCUAUUUUUUUUCUGUGUUCUUUUUUUCUUGUUCUUUUUUCUUUUUUCUUAUUCCUUUCCAAUUUUGAUUUUUCCUUUUGCAUUUCUUGAACAUCUUUUGUAAUGAUGAAUAAUUUUUGAAAUAAUUAACAUUUUCUGGGAUCAUGAUUUUUUUUUGAAAUUCAUGUUUUUUUAAUUAUGAAUUCACGAACAUUUUUUAUUUUUUAAGCUUUUGAAAUUUUGGAAAAAAUUGAAAUUCAAGAAUGGGUUAUCUAAUCAAGAACAAUUUUAAAAUUCUAGAACAUUUUUAAAUUUGUGAAUAGUUUUUCAAAUCCAGAAACAAUUUUUCAAACUUGUGAACAUAUUUUAAAUUUGAUUUUUUUUCAAAUCCAUGAACAUUUUUGAAAAUCCAGGAAAUUUGCAAACCAUGAACAUUUGUUGAAACUUGGGCUAUAUUUUUUUCAUAUUCAUGAACAUUUUUGCAAAUCUAGGAAUGUUCUCAAAUCCCUGGAAUAUUUGAAAUACAUGAACAUUUUUUCAAGUUCAAGAAUUUUUUUAAAAUCGGGGAACAAUUUUUAAAUUAUGAACAAUUUUGAAUACAUGAUUUUUUUUGCAAUUCAAAAUAUUUUUGAAAGUUCAAAGUUUGUUAAAAGCCAAAGGAGAAAAAACAAAAAUCGAAAGGCAAAAUAAAGAUCUCCUUGUCCCCCAAUGGACCGGCCCAAACCAUGUUAGUGAUGAUCUAGGCUGAGUACUCUGCUGCUCCUGCAUGUAUGGCCUUCGGGUCUACCUCUGUACUUAAAACUGAUGCUUAAAAAAAACCCUCUAUACUUAAAACUUGUUUCUCUCUGCAAAUAGAAUGGGCAGCGCUCCUGUCUUCCAUUAAAAAUAUGUAAUAUCUACAAGGGCACGGGAUGAUAACUCCUGCAGCUAAUCAUACAUAGAUACAAUUUUAAUUCACAAAUGGAAAGGGUGAGGAACAGAGAAGCCUUGUGCCUCUCUUUGGUCUUGUUCAGAUUUGAGAAAGGGUGCGGCUGUUAGUAAAUGGAAAGGGAACAAGAAUGCUGAGUACUCUCACCGUCGGAGAGACGAAAAACAUGAUUAAAUGGGUAUAAAAGCCAGAUAUAUAAUCUAGAUUGACCAUUGAGGGCAUUAUCAAUUUAAUGCUUGGCGAAAAAGGAUGUAUAAUAGUACAUCCCAAUACAAUUUUAAUUCUGUCAUACACAUUAACACAUCCGAGGAGUUAUGUGGCUAUUCUAAGUGCAGAAGAAAAAUGAUAUAGAUGAGACGUAAGAAAGGAUAUGCGAUCGAUCAUUGUGUUGCACUACGUGGCAUAGUAGUAGCUAUCAGUUUGGUGUACUCGACUUUCAUCUUCUUCAGCAUCACUACCACAUCAUGCAUCGUCAUCCUCUGGUCAGGCAAGUCACUAGAGCAGAUCAAUCCCAACUCGAAGACCGAAGCAAGAAAACCACCAUCCUGAUUGCAGCUAGAAAGAGAGGAACCCUGUAGAAGCUGGACAUCGACAACUUGGACAAGCUCUGCAGGAAAUGCCUGAUGAACCCACUGCCUAAGAGUUAGUUGUGCGCCAAACAUAGCAUCGGUGGGUCUUCUUCCGGUGAAGACUUCAAGGAGCAUGAUUCCAUAACUAAAAACAUCGCUCUUCCGCGAUGCUUUUCCAAGAGAUCCGUACUCUGCUCAAUAGAAACAUAAAUAUAAAUUGAAGCACAAUUGUUCAACCAUAUUGCUUCAGGUAGGGACUCAAUUUAUAAAAGGUUUAACAAGUAUUCAAUUGAACAAGAUAACGAGAGAUAGCUAACUGCAUACCAGGUGCCAUGUACCCAACUGUUCCAGGCAUGCUCACACAUGUCAUGCUGUUGUCAUCUAGAAUCAACCUUGCAAUGCCAAAGUCCGCCACAUGCGCCGUCAUCUCCUCAUCGAACAACACGUUGCUAGGCUUCAAGUCACAGUGCAAGAUCAAAUUGCAGUACUCAUGGUGUAGAUAAUCCAUUGCCAUCGACACGUCUAGCAUGAUGCAUAAUCUCUCAAGGAAUCCCAAGCGCACUGUACUCUUGGUCUGAUGUAGGAGCAUCUCCAAGCUGCCAUUUGGCAUGUAUUGAAGCACUAGCGCUUUGAAAUCAAGAUUGGAACAUGUGUUGAGUAUCUUUAUGAGGUUGCGGUGUCGCGCCAUACGAAGCACUUGACACUCGGCAUCAAAAGUUCGAAUGGCAUGCUCUAGCUGCACGUCAAUAACUUUUAUAGCGACUACCAAACCAGUGCUUAGUUGGCCUUUGAAUACUUUUCCAAAGCUUCCGCAUCCCAAGAUGUUACCUUCACUGAAAUUAUUGGUGGCAUGAAUGAGCUCAUGAUAGGAGACUAUCUGAUGGCCUAUGACAUCAUUUGCAUUGACAAAAUGUUUGUCCUCUCCCCCCUUAGGUUUCUUUCCGAACAAUAGGUAUACGGAAAUGGCAAAGGCGCCAAAAGCUAGUGUAAGUGUUGGGAGUAGAAUUUGUAGCACAUGUUUGUUACUUGAGUGAGGUAUGUCAAGGCAUGGCGAAAGAUCUAGGUGCGGAGCGCCACACAGCCCAACAUUUCCAAUCAAAGAUUGCAAUGUGAGAUUUGAGAAAACACCUCCCUCGGGUAUUUGGCCUUCUAGACUAUUGAAUGAGAGGUUCAAGGUAGUCAAGUAUGUAAAGUUGGCAAGGAAUGUGGGAAUGCUACCAGAGAGAUUGUUAAAGGAUAGGUCUAAUGAUGCUAAGCUUCUUAACUUUUUGAGUGGGCCUGGAAUUGAUCCUUUGAAGGAGUUAUGCGAUAGAUUUAGGUAGAUUAGCAUACUAAGUUGUCCCAAUGAGUCUGGGAUGCUUCCUAUCAAGAAGUUGGAAGAAAUGUCCAUUUGGUAUAUUUGUCUUAGACCUGAAACAUCGACUGGUAGUGCACCAACAAAGUAAUUGUGAGAAAUAUCUAGUGUGAUAAGUUUAUCUAGGUGGAAAAGGCUUGCAGGUAUCAUUGAACUUAACUGGUUAUUAGACAAGUCGAUGUUUUCUAACAAACUAAGAUUUCCAAAGCUACUUGGUAUAGAUCCUGAUAAUUUGUUUGCAUGGAAAGAAAGCCGCUCUAGACUUCCGAGCAAACCCAUUUGUGCUGGGAUAGGGCCUAACAUGUCAUUACCUGACAGAUCAAGCCAUCCAAGAUUUUCCAACAUAGCUAUGGAUUCUGGGAUUGGCCCGGUUAACAGGUUGUUUUCUACACCUAGUCUUUCAAGGCUGCUUAUGUUUGAGAUUUCUACCGGGAGCCCACCUAUUAACUUGUUGUCACCUACAUUAAAAAAUAUUAAUCGUGAACUGAGGUUUCCCACAUGGCCGGAGAGGACGCCUGUGAAAGAAUUAGCGCCUAACCAAAGGAAUUGGAGCUUUCUGCACUUGGACAGAGCUGAUAAGAAGUCUAGAUUCCCCUCUAAGUUGUUAUAUCUCAAAUCGAGAUUGUUCAAAGCUGCAUUUUUUCCAAGUGCAGUUGGUACUUGGCCGGACAAUUGAUUCAUUUCCAAAGCUAGGUAAGAUAAUUUGGAUAAGUUGCCGAGGGAAGCUGGAAUUUUCCCUGUCAACUGAUUGGUUCCAAGAUACAAAUGUGAGAGUUCCUGUAUAAGACCUAAUUCUGGCGGAAUCUCCCCUGUGAGGUUGUUGUAGGGCAUGUCUAUUAUAGAAAGACUGGUGAGAUUGCUUAGACUAGCUGGGAUUGAGCCAAUAAGCUUAUUAGAACCCAACUCAAGCACUUCAAGGCGUGGCAAUUUGGCCAACCAUGUUGGUACAACAUCCACAAAAGAAUUUGCAGAAAAAUCAAGUACUUGUAGGUAUUGACAUGAUGCAAGCCCUGAUGGAAACCGACCAGUAAAUUUGUUACUUGAUAAUGAAAUAAAUUGCAACAUUGGGAGGUUGAAACUUUGAUUGUUCGGAAAAAUUCCAGUUAGGUUAUCAUUUUUUUCGAGCCAUAUGGCUUGCAGUCUAGACUUAUUGUACAUGGCUUGUGGCACUAGACCGGAGAGUUGAUUAAACUCAAGGCUAAAGAACUCGAGCAUAAAUAGGGAUGCAACAGAAUGUGGUAUAGGACCUGACAGACUGUUAUUUGCAAAAUGGAUGUACGUCAAUGAUAGAGUGUUGUUGAACAAAUAUGGUGGUAUUUGGCCACUCAAGUCAUUUCCAAGCAGAUUAAUUUUUUUAAGGUUGUACAUAUACAAUAACAUCUUAGGAGGGAUCUGCCCUGAGAGUUGGUUGGAACCUAGACUAAGGAUCUCGAGCCUUGUGAGGUUGCCUAGGGUAGUAGGUAUGGCAUUUGAUAGACUAUUCCCUCUAAGUCCGAGAUAUGUAAGACGAUGUAGCCUACCAAGUUCAGCUGGAAUCGGUCCAGUAAGAUUGGUGAGGGUGAGGUUGAGGACGGAGAGGAAAGAGAGGUUACCCACAUGAGGUGCCAUGGGCCCAGCAAGUUGGAUGCCCUGCAACGAUAGAGCAGUGACAUGUUGCCUACGCCGGCUGCAUGAGACGCCGACCCAAUGGCAAAAAAACGUGCCGGUGGUCCAGUUGCCGGCAAGGAUGCGGUGAGGGUCGGUGAGCUGGGCUUUGAAAGCGAGCAGUGCGGCGAGAUCGAUGUCACUACGAUUGCCAUUGGUGGGAGUGGGAGAAGAAGCCGAGAUGGACGAGAAUAGGACAAGCAAGAAGAUGGGAAUACGGGCAGCCAUGCAUCGAGAGGCCAUUGAGCUGGGGUGCAUACCUAUGUGCGGUGAACAGCCUGUGGGAGUAGUUACGAAUUUAUAGGCACUUUCCGUAGGAUCUCAUGCAUCCUUCUCGAGGCCACAAGCAGCGCAUCGAUCUUUCCAUGGAAGUGGUCGCACCUUGCGCUAGCUUGCCGCUCUUGCCGGCGGUCACACGGCGCUGCAAGCACAUAUAGAGACACGCGCACAGCUGUCCAUCGUACUAUGAUGAUGGAAUCUCAGGAAGCUCACCGUGGCGGCAAGCAAGACGACACGGCGCUGAGCUAUCGAUCCAACCUUGAGUCGCCCAAGCAGACACGCCCAGCUUUGCAAUGCACACCAGACUUGUCAAUUCCGUAUACUAGUCAAUAUUUGGUGUUGUCACUACGUACUAUAAAUUUAAAAGUAAGACUAGAUAGCCUCCAGGUUCCGGUUCGUAAGAUGGUGUCGUUUUGUUGACCGCCGAGCUGACUCUCUGCACGUGCCAACGUAGCUCUGAACUUUAUUUUGUAAGUACUUGGGUGUGGCACUUACUUCUUUUUUAGGGAAAAUUAAUCAAACACCGUGGCAGUAUAAAGAACAUCAUAAGUAACAAAAUUUACAUCCAUAUUCGUUGACUAUCUAGCGAUGACUAUAUGCGCUACAGUGAGCCGAAGGCGCGCCGCCUCCCAUAGUUCUUAUAUGGGCUAGCCCACUGAGUUGCUGAUUUUCUCGUUGCGCUUGUCUGCCUCGGCGUGGAGCUAGCUUGCAUUUCUUCUUCCUUUUUGUUUUCCUUUUUCUUAGUUUUAUAUAUGUUCAGACGCGGAUCAUACCCCUUUAUAUUGAUCAAAUAGCAGGAGUGUUUGGGGUACAAACAUCUUCAGGCGCAGAUCGUAUCCUUUUAUAAGUUUAUAGCGGUCAAAUAGCAAGUGUUUGGGGUACAAACGUCUUGAGACAGAUCGCACCCCUUUAUAAGUUUAUAUUGGUCAAAUAGCAAGUGUUUGGGGGUACAAACGUCUUGACGCAGAUCGUACUCCUUUAUAAGUUUAUAUUGGUCAAAUAGCAAGUGUUUGGGGUACAAACGUCCUCAGGCGGAUCGUACUCCUUUAUAAGUUUAUAUUGGUCAAAUAGCAAGAGUGUUAUCCCCAAACUAUGUUUAGAUGGUUAGAGGGACAGUGGUAUCCCUAGCCCACCAGGGUUUAAGUCUUGGUGCUUGCAUUAUUUUUGGAUUUAUUUCAGGAUUUUCAUCGAUGCGCAUUCAGUGGGAGGAGACGUUCUCAUCGACGACGAGACGUCUACGGUGACUUCGUAAAUCUCAAGAUGAUAUGCCAUGUGUUUCUUUGUUGGAAUUUCUUCCUUCCUGACAAAAGGUGAUACCUUCAAGCUCGUCUCCUCUGGCCCAUAUUUCUUCAACAACAUGUGUAUAUGGGUGUGCUAGACCGGAUAACGGCAUCUCCAAAUCGGACUCUUAAAUCGCCCGCAACUCUCCAUACUGCAUGGUCCGGACAUGUUUAGCCAUCCAAUGCGGAUCCGUAUCGGUUCGCCAACAGAUCCAGACACACUUUUUCCCAUAAACCAGAAACAANNNNNNNNNNNNNNNNNNNNNNNNNNNNNNNNNNNNNNNNNNNNNNNNNNNNNNNNNNNNNNNNNNNNNNNNNNNNNNNNNNNNNNNNNNNNNNNNNNNNNNNNNNNNNNNNNNNNNNNNNNNNNNNNNNNNNNNNNNNNNNNNNNNNNNNNNNNNNNNNNNNNNNNNNNNNNNNNNNNNNNNNNNNNNNNNNNNNNNNNNNNNNNNNNNNNNNNNNNNNNNNNNNNNNNNNNNNNNNNNNNNNNNNNNNNNNNNNNNNNNNNNNNNNNNNNNNNNNNNNNNNNNNNNNNNNNNNNNNNNNNNNNNNNNNNNNNNNNNNNNNNNNNNNNNNNNNNNNUUCCCUUUACGGCAGUCAUGACAUGUAAAUAAUAUGUGGUCCUGAAAUUGUAAAAAAAUACUCGCGAAAUGUAAACAAAGUUACAUAAUUUGUAAAAAUCCGCACCAUUCAUAACUUGUUUAUGAAAUUUGGAAAAUGUUCGCACAUUUAAAUAUAUGUUCAUGGAAUGUAAAAAUUGCCCAUGCAACUUCUUAAAAUGUUCACAACAUAUAAAAAAUAAUCUUCGGGCCAUUAAACAAAUGUUCACACGUCUAAAAAAAGUUCAUGAAAACAUAAAAAUGUAUUGAUGGAAAUUUUAGGAAAAUGUUCAUGACAUGUAAAAAAUUGUUCCUGCACUAAACCAAGACAAUUAAAAAAGUUCAAGGAUUUGAAAAAAAGGAAACGGCGAGAUAUAAGAAGAAAAACGGAAAAUGAAAAACCCCAAAAGAAAACCAUAAAGCCAAUAAAGAAAAACAUGAAGUUAUUUGCUUGCAUCUUCAGGCAACCACAUGAAAUACUGAAGCUGAAACAGAGACACCUCCUAGAAAGCAAAGUGAUCUUGAGCGUCCCUCAACUGAAGUUGCUUUUACUUGCUACAUACACUGUGUUUGAUUGCCUCUAUUACUUACUUUGAUAUUUCAGAUUUAAGCUUUGUUACUGCUAGUAAUUAGGGUUACCCCUCUCGGAACUCAGAGUCCGGAUACAUGCUCUGUUCUUAAUUCGUUUAUACAGUAGCUUUAUGCAUUGGGGAAUAUUUUGUGUGGACAAAUGCACUGUGUUUGAUUACACUUGUUGCAGAAAAAGUUGUGUCAGAAUUGUUGUGCCGUGAUUAGAUCGACCGUGGAACUCAAUCAUACGUGUGUUUUGUGUUAUUGUUUAUCAUUUUGUAUAUAUUCACGCUUAGUUAGUACUCUCUUUGUCUUAUAAUAUAAGAACGUUUUUGACACUACCGAGGGAGUAAAUGAGAUCUAUGUCCAUUCAUGGAACACAUAUCUGCAGGAUGCUUGCUGCGACACUACAUCCAAGUGUUCAGGCUGGCAGUGUAGUCCUCAUCCCAUGGGUCACUUGGUAGAGCAGAAAUCACCGUGUGUUUGUUGGCGCCACCUCCUCGCAGCGCCGCUCUUCUUCUACCUCGAGCUGCCUCACACAAGUCUUCAUCUCUCUCAAGCUACUCUUCUCCUCAGUGGCUUCUCACAAGAAGACUCACACACACACAACACACGCAUGUACCAAGGAAGAGGAACGGCUUUGCCAAAGGCACUCCUUUGGUGAACUACAGUGGCUACAUGUUUUUCUACAAGCCCUCACGGCCUCGCUCACUUUCUCACUAACUCAAUGCAACACUUAUAUACACAAAGGGUUGGCUGACUUGCCAAGCUAGCCGCCACACCCGGCCGCACUAACCCACUAUGCACUCAUGCACUAACUUCCGGCACACUCGGCCACUUAUCAACUCACGCAUGGGCAGCAACAAACUGCUGAACCACUCAUGCCACUACAUGCAUGCUUUCUAUUCCCUCCGUUCUUAAAUAUAACUCUUUCUAGAUAUUCCAACAAAUGACUACAUACAGAACAAAAUGAGUGAAUCUACACUUUAAAAUAUGUCUACAUACAUUCAUAUGUUAUAGUCCAUUUGAAAUGUCAAAAAAACUUAUAUUUAAAAACGGAGGGAGUACUAACUACAUCCCUACACUCGGCUAACAAACUCAUGCAGGCUAAUCACUACCACAUCCACGCCUAUGCCCGGCACUUGCUCAACCUCUUCUUAACGGCCAAAGGACUAGGCCAACUCAACAUGCACGUAGAGCCCCACGCUCCAGCCUUCGUCGCACUUGCCGUAUCACACGGCCACGCUGCCUUGUGAAGCACUGCAGCCUCACGCUGCCAUCGGCAUCUAGGCAUCGUCGUUGUAUCGCACGAUGUCUUGGCAUCUCGCCUUCUCCACACGCCUCCGCUUAAGCUUCACCGGACAAGCUACUCUCUAACCUAUCCAACAUGCAUAACAAAAGCAAACUAAAUAUGCAGAUACAUGAAUCAAGAUUAAAGCUAACAGUGUUCGCAUUGGGGUGGCAAGAUAUCAAGUAAUAGUUCUGCCGUCAUCCCAGGGGUUCUCUUCCCUGGACAUAGUUUGAGAAUAGGUUUAGGGUUUUCCGUGGGGCAAUGCCUCUCCACGUCUUUUUAUAUAUAAUGAUCAGCAUACACAAGUUACCUACGUACAUAAUACGUGUACAUGACACGCUAGACCUAUUUAAACAUACCCCCUCAAUCUGAACUUCUACUCUGUACAAGGUUUAGAUUGGUACUAAACGGUCUAGCAUCUGUCGAGUGGCUGGUUUGGUAAACACGUCAGCCAGCUGAUCAUUAGAAGAAAUGAACCUGACAUCAAGAGCUCCAGAAGCAACACGCUCACGCACAAAGUGGAAGUCAAUCUCGAUGUGCUUGGUGCGUGCAUGAAAAACUGGGUUGGCAGUCAGAUAUGUGGCUCCUAAAUUAUCACACCAUAGAACAGGAACACGCUGCUGGGAAACACCAAGCUCCUUGAGUAGUGAUUCUACCCAAAUGGCCUCAGCAGCUCCAUUUGCCAAGGCUUUGUACUCAGCCUCCGUACUAGAUCUCGACACCGUCGGUUGCUUCUUCGAACUCCAGGAGAUGAGAUUUGGGCCAACAAAGAUGGCAAAGCCUCCAGUGGAUCGUCGAUCAUCAGGACACCCGGCCCAGUCUGCGUCAGUGAAAAUACUAAUGCUGGUGGAGACAACCUUCCGAAACUUCAGGCCAGUUUGCAAUGUUCCCUUUACAUAGAGCAGGAUGCGCUUAACAGCUUCCCAAUGAACAUCAGUGGGCUAUGAGAGAAACUGGCAUACCUUGUUCACUGCAAAUGAAAUGUCUGGGCGAGUGAGAGUCAAAUACUGCAAUCCACCAACGACAUUGCGAUACCGGAAAGAAUCAUCGGCACCGAGAGGCUGUCCAGACACCCGUGCAAGCUGGUCGGAGGUAGACAACGGUGUGGAAGUGGACUUACAAUUCUCCAUGUUCACACGAUGUAAAAGAUCCAUGGCAUACUUCUGUUGUGUCAAGGUCAUACCCCCUGAAUUGUAUGACGCUUCCAAGCCAAGAAAGUACUCCAACAGCCCAAGAUCCUUAAUAGGAAAGGUGGCCGCAAGCGAAUCGACAAGACCGUCAACUGCACGUGGAGAAGAGCCAGCGAUAACAAUAUCAUCCACAUAGACAAGCAUGUAUAUCUGAACAUCCUGAUGGCGGAAGAAAAACAGAGAGGCGUCGGCGCGAGAGGGAAGAAACCCCAACUGGAGGAGACGAGAGCUGAGCCGAGCAUACCAUGCGCGGGGGGACUGUUUGAGUCCAUAGAGAGCCCGCUGCAACUUGCACACAUGAGAGGGAUACCGAGCGUCCUCAAAACCUGGUGGUUGCUGCAUGUAGACAUCCUCAGACAAGUAACCAUGAAGGAAGGCAUUGCUGACAUCAAUCUGACGGAGAAUCCAUCCGCGAGACACAGCUAGAGCAAGAACCAGUCGAACGGUGGCUGGCUUGACAACCGGACUGGACGUAUCACCAUAGUCAAUGCCAAGCUGUUGGGUGAAAUCACGCGCGACCAGACGAGCUUUAUGCUUGUCAAUGGAGCCAUCCGGACGAUGCUUGGUCUUGAAGAUCCACUUGCUCCCAACGACAUUAACACCACGCGGACGAGGCACAAGAACCCAAGUCCUGUUGCGACGCAGAGCGUCCAGCUCAUCCAUCAUGGUGGUGCGCCAAGCAUGCUCACGGAGGGCAUCGCGAUGAGAUACAGGCAUAGCGUGGAAAGCACGGCGGCGAGGAUCAUAGGGGGCAAUUCCAUCAGUGGGAACAAGCGCACGACGAGUAUGAUCGCGGGUGCGCGUGACCAUGGUGUGGCCCGGAGCAGCUGGAGGCGUCGCGGUUGAGGGGACAGGGCUGCCCUCAACAGAAGGCGACGCGAGCUGGUCGGACGGCGAGGAGGGAGCAGCAGCCUCCUGCGUGGCAGCAGGCGAUGAAGUAGCCGGUGCUGGCGCUGAUGAUGGGCCAGGGGAGGCUGGCGCGGUCGCUGGGCUGGGGGACGUGCAUGUGCCAUGCACGUCGAUCGCCGGGGAGGUCGGCGCGUCCGCAGCGGGCUGACCAGCCGAGCGGCCCGCAAAGGGCGGGGACGUCGCGGACGAUGAGCCGGGCGACGAGGCAGCCGACGAGGCAGCCGACGAGCCGGGCGACGUGCAUGCGCCAUGCACGUCGAUCACCAAGGAGGGAGGAGCGGCAUCCUGGUUUGCCUGCACAGAAGCAAUAUGGCCUGGAAUAGGCGGAUCAGUAGAUAGGUAGGAUAAGUCGUAUUUACGCAUAUGGUCACCCGUAACCGGCUCAUUGGAAGGAAACGAGAGAACAUCAGCCAAGGAGGAGAUAUCGAUGGUGACCCCAGGUGUGGCAUAUGGAAACACAGACUCAUCAAACACAACAUCACGGGAGAUGUAGAUACGACCCGUGGAACGGUCGAGACAUUUGUACCCCUUAUGCAGCUGGCUAUAACCUAAGAACACACACAUAGUGGACCGGAAAGCAAGCUUGUGAGCGUUAUAUUUGUGCAAGCUAGGCAGCAGGCGCACCCAAAGGUGCGGAGAAAGGUGUAAUUGGGUUUGACUUUAAGGAGGCGGUACAGGGGUGUAUCUUGUUGGAGAACAGGUGUAGGCAUGCGAUUAAUCAAGUAACAUGCAGCAAGGAAAGCUUCGUCCCAAUACCGUAAAGGGGGAGACGAAUGAGCCAAUAAGGCCAGACCUGUUUCCACAAGAUGACAGUGUUUGCAUUCAGCAAUCCCGUUUUGCUGAGAGGUGUGUGGGCAGGACACACGAUGAGAGAUCCCAGUGCGUUGGAAAUAGCGGUGUAAUUUGUGGUACUCACCACCCCAGUCUGACUGAGCGGAUAUGAUUUUAGUGCGGAGAAGACGCUCAACAUGAGCCUGAAAAGCAUAAAAUACUUGCUCAACGUCAGACUUGUGCUUAAGAAGAUACAUCCAAGUGAAACGGGAAUAAUCAUCGACAAAGCUCACACAAUACUUAUAGCCUCCUGAAGAGGCAAGAGCAGGCCCCCAAACAUCAGAUGAAUUAACUCAAGAGGCAUAGUAGAAACAUGAGUGGAUAAAGUAUAUGGUAAUUGUCGACUCUUAGCACGCUGACAAGCAUCACACACUGAAAAAUGACUUUCAGAAGAACACACUAAAUCAUUGCUCUUAACAAUGUCUUGAACAAUUUUAUUUGAGGGAUGACCGAGACGCUGAUGCCACUGGGAUGAGGUGGUCUUGACACUGAGAGACACGUGGCGAGUGGAGGAAGACGACGCGCGACCAAACGGGAUGGGGUAGAGGCCGCCACGACUUCUACCGCGAAGAAGAAUUUUCUUCGUGGCUAUGUCCUUAACAAGGAAAAAGAAACGGUGAAAUUCUACAAAAACAUCAUUAUCAAGAACAAGUCGAUAAACGGACAAUAGAUGUUGAUGUAUAUGUGGAAGACGAAGAAUAUUGCGUAAACGCAGAGAUGAACUGGGUAUAGUGGAAUGACCAAUAUGCGAAAUAGACAAACCUGCACCGUUCGCCACUUGCACUUGAUCCUUCCCGCCAUAGCGCUCAUGGAAGUGAAGACGGUCAAGAUCACUCGUCAGGUGAUCCGUCGCACCGGUGUCCAGGAUCCAGUGCGGUGGUUCAUGCGUGGAGGUGGAGUUGGAGGCAGAGUUGGCGGCGCGGUGGUCGCGGUCAUAGCGGCCGCGACAGUCCGUCGCCUCAUGCCCCCAGUUCUUGCAUAUCUGGCACCUAGGGCGCCAGCGACGGCGGCCACCCCAUUGCCUCCUCCAUUGCGGCCGUUGCCGCCGGUGUUGCCGUUGUUACGGCCAGGGGCACCGCCCUGGGCGGAGCCGUAGCUCACCGAUCCAGGCGGAAGAGAGGCGGCGGAGGAGCGGCCGCCACUUGGGCGUCCGAAAUCGGGCACACGACCGGCGUGAUCGUGGUAGGCCGACCGAGAGGCGGCGUUUGCGGAGGACUGCCAGUCCUCAACUUCCGAUUGCUGCUGCUGUAGGGCCUCGUAGUGGAGGACGUUGGAGUAGAACGCCGGAAACGUGAUCGGCACGCCGGCGAAGUUCAUCGAAGCAGCGAUGGGGUUGAACGCCGAGCCGAGCCCGGUCAGCAUGUAGUCGAUGAUCUCGUCAUCACGAAGAGGAGAACCGGCGGCGGCCAUCGAGUCGGCGAGAGAUUUAACCUUCUGCAUGUACUCGCCGGCGGGUCUAUCUCCUUUGCGUAGCGCCUGGAUCUGGCGCCGAAGGUUGCGCACGCCGGCGCUGUUCUCGGCGGUGAACAUGGUGUGCACAGCAGCCCAUGCAGCAGCCACCGUCCUGCAGCCGAUCAACUGCGCGGAUAUCUCCAUGCUCAUGGAGCCAAGGAGAUGCCCGAGGACCUUUUGAUCAAGAGUCCACCACUGCUCGUAUUCGGGGUUGGUGAUGGUACGAGCGGUGUCACCGGUGCCUGUCGUCACGGUCGGCUCCGGCGCCUUGGCCGAGCCAUCGAGGAACCCGUGGAGGCGUACGCCGGCGAAGUUGGGGAGAGCGAGAGCCCUCCACAGCAUGAAAUUACUGCGGUCGAGAGAGACCGCGAUGGGCGGAAGGAUGGGAGCGGGAGCCGAUGCCGAUGGUGGCGCGAUGACGGGGGCGGACACGGUGAGGGCGAGGGCAGAGGACGUGGUCAUCGCGGCGGCCGAUGAGGAGGACUGAUCGGCGGCGGGCGACUUGGACAUCGCGGCGGCCGCGAGGAGGGCUGGCGGUGGCGGCAGAGGGAGGAGAGGCGGCGGCGGCUAGGUAGGCUCUAAUACCAAGUUUAAGAAUAGGUUUAGGGUUUUCCGUGGGGCAAUGUCUCUCCACGUCUUUCUAUAUAUAAUGAUCAGUAUACAUAAGUUACAUACGUACAUAAUACGUGUACAUGACACGCUAGACCUAUUUAAACAGACAUCCCCCUCGGUGAUACUCCGGCUGCACGGCGAUCCGCACCUGCCCUGUCAGAACGGAUUCAGGAUGCACUAGCACCUGUACCGAAGCGUAAAAACAUAAAGUAGUUAAUCGCAAAAGCCGCACAUGCAGUUUUACUACUCAGUUUUCACCCCCUGCUUUACUACUCAGUUUUCACUACUCUGUUUUUUCUGUUCCACCGGUGAGCCCAACCCUCCCAGCCGGCGUCAGUAAUCUGCACCUCCAGUGUACCCGCGUGGGUUCAGACUGCUUUUGGCCAUUCUGGGACAAAAAAUGGUUUUGGCCAACCACACAAGGAUCAUAGUUCGUUUGUGCCAUAUUUAAAUGACAUUAAUUUGCAUGCUGUUUUCUAAUCUUACAUCUUACAUUCUUAAGAAGUUGGUCCCAAUUCUCUCAACAUACAAAGUGUCCAUCUCAACAUCCUACUAAGCAACGUAUAUGUUUUCUCUCCCACUAACCCAUGCAAAAUCAGCCACAUAUGCACUUCAACAUCCCACUAAGCAAUGUAUUAAAGUCUUUUCUCCAACUAAGCCAUGUAAAAUCCGCCACAUAAACGAGUCAUGCAUUUAACUUAUAAAUUAUAGUUAUUUUGCAAUAGUCUAUGCAUAUAACUACCACCUCAUCUAUUCAUGUUAGUCAUCAUUCACAUUUUUGUUCGAAAUGACUCUUUUUAACUAUAAUUCAAAAGUUUUUAUUCUAUUUUUAGACACUUUCUUGUAUCGAUUUCAAGCUUAUAAUUUCUUUUCACUAGAUCUAAUUAUUUUUAGCAACUACUUACGCAAACAAAGUUACCACAACAACGUGCGGGGAGAGAGUCAUCCUCACUACUCUAUUUAUCUUGACAUACACACAUGCCAACUCAGCUAUCAUGGUCAUGCCAUAUCAACAAACAUGCAAUAAACUAACAAAUUUCCCUGCUCUACCGUGAUGCCAUGGCAUUACUUAUGUUUUCAUUUUUUCUUCUUUGCUUCAGUUUACUAACGUGAUUCCACUAUCUCCUCCACGCAAAAAGAGGCAACUGAAAUGGUUGGCUGUUCACAUCCCAAUUAUCUCAGUAAUAUUCAACUUCUCCACGAAACAAAUCUAGGAGUAGCAGCUGAAGGCAUCGCUUCAUUGCCUCAUAACUGAAGGAAAUAUGCCCUAGAGGCAAUAAUAAAGUUAUUAUUUAUUUCCUUAUAUCAUGAUAAAUGUUUAUUAUUCAUGCUAGAAUUGUAUUACCCGGAAACAUGAUACAUGUGUGAAUACAUAGACAAACAUAAUGUCACUAGUAUGCCUCUACUAGACUAGCUCAUUAAUCAAAGAUGGUUAUGUUUCCUAACCAUAGACAUGUGUUGUUAUUUGAUUAACGGGAUCACAUCAUUAGGAGAAUGAUGUGAUUGACUUGACCCAUUCCGUUAGCCUAGCACUUGAUCGUUUAGUAUGUUGCUAUUGCUUUCUUCAUGACUUAUACAAAAGUUCCUACAACUAUGAGAUUAUGCAACUCACGUUUACCGGAGGAACACUUUGUGUGCUACCAAACGUCACAACAUAACUGGGUGAUUAUAAAGGAGCUCUACAGGUGUCUCCGAAGGUACAUGUUGAGUUGGCGUAUUUCGAGAUUAGGUUUUGUCACUCCGAUUGUCGGAGAGGUAUCUCUGGGCCCUCUCGGUAAUGCACAUCACUAUAAGCCUUGCAAGCAAUGUAGCUAAUGAGUUAGUUACAAAAUGAUGCAUUACCUAACGAGUAAAGAGACUUGCCGGUAACGAGAUUCAACUAGGUAUUGGAUACCGACGAUCGAAUCUCGGGCAAGUAACAUACCGAUGACAAAGGGAACAACGUAUGUUGUUAUGCGGUUUGACCGAUAAAGAUCUUCGUAGAAUAUGUAGGAGCCAAUAUGAGCAUCCAGGUCCCGCUAUUGGUUAUUGACCGGAAACAGUUCUAGGUCAUGUCUACAAAGUUCUCGAACCCGUAGGGUCCGCACGCUUAACAUUACGAUGACAGUUUUAUUAUGAGUUUAUAAGUUUUGAUGUACCAAAGGUUGUUCGGAGGCCCGGAUGUGAUCACGGACAUGACGUGGAGUCUCGAAAUGGUCGAGACAUAAAGAUUGAUAUAUUGGACUACUAUAUUCGAACACCGGAAGUGUUCCGGGUGAUUUCGGAAAAAACCGGAGUGCCGGAGGGGUUACCGGAACCCCCCGGGGAAGUAUUGGGCCUUAGUGGGCCUGAGGGGAGAGAGAGGGCAGCAUCCCAGGAGGUGGCGCGCCCCCUCCCAUGAGGAGUCCGAAUUGGACUAGGGGAGGGGGGCGCGGCCUCUCUUUCCCUCUCCCUCUCCCUCUCUUUCCUUCCCCCUUCCCCCUUCCUAGUUGGACUAGGAAAGGGGAGUCCUACUCCCACUAGGAGGAGGACUCCCCCCUCCUUGGCGCGCCCCUAGGGCCGGCCGUCCUCCCCCCUUGCUCCUUUAUAUACGGGGGCAGGGGGCACCUCUAGACACACAAGUUGAUCUUCGUGAUCGUUCCUUAGUCGUGUGCGGUGCCCCCCUCCACCUUAUUCCACCUCGGUCAUAUCGUAGCGGUGCUUAGGCGAAGCCCUGCGUCGGUAGAACAUCAUCAUCGUCACCACGCCGUCGUGCUGACGGAACUCAUCCCUGACACCCUGCUGGAUCGGAGUCCAGGGAUCGUCAUCGAGCUAAACGUGUGCUGAACUCGAAGGUGCCGUGCGUUCGGUACUUGGAUCGAUCGGAUCGUGAAGACGUACGACUACAUAAACCGCGUUGUCAUAACGCUUCCGCUUUCGGUCUACGAGGGUACGUGGACAACACUCUCCCCUCUCAUUGCUAUGCAUCACCGUGAUCUUGCGUGUGCGUAGGAAUUUUUUUGAAAUUACUACGUUCCCCAACAGUGGCAUCCGAGCCUGGUUUUAUGCAUAGAUGUCAUAUGCACGAGUAGAACACAAGUGAGUUGUGGGCGAUACAAGUCAUACUGCUUACCAGCAUGUCAUACUUUGGUUCAGCGGUAUUGUGAGAUGAAGCGGCCCGGACCGACAUUACGCGUAUGCUUACGCGAGACUGGUUUCACCGUUACGAGCACUCGUUGCUUAAAGGUGACCGGCGGGUGUCUGUCUCUCUCACUUUAGUUGAACCGAGUGUGGCUACGCCCGGCCCUUGCGAAGGUUAAAACAGCACUAACUUGACGAACUAUCAUUGUGGUUUUGAUUCGUAGGUAAGAACGGUUCUUGCUCAGCCCGUAGCAGCCACGUAAAAUUUGCAACAACAAAGUAGAGGAUGUCUAACUUGUUUUUGCAGGGCAUGUUGUGAUGUGAGAUGGUCAAGACGUGAUGCUAUAUUUUAUUGUAUGAGAUGAUCAUGUUUUUUAACCGAAGUUAUCGGCAACUGGCAGGAGCCAUAUGGUUGUCGCUUUAUUGUAUGAAAUGCAAACGCCCUGUAAUUGCUUUACUUUAUCACUAAGCGGUAGCGAUAGUCGUAGAAGCAAUAGAUGGUGUAACGACAACGAUGCUACGAUGGAGAUCAAGGUGUCGCGCCGGUGACGAUGGUCACGACGGUGCUUUGGAGAUGGAGAUCACAAGCACAAGAUGAUGAUGACCAUAUCAUAUCACUUAUAUUGAUUGCAUGUGAUGUUUAUCCUUUAUGCAUCUUAUCUUGCUUUGAUUGACGGUAGAAUUUUAAGAUGAUCUCUCACUAAAUUAUCAAGAAUUGUUCUCCCUGAGUAUACACCGUUGCGAAAGUUCUUCUUGCUGAGACACCACGUGAUGAUCGGGUGUGAUAGGCUCUAUGUUCAAAUACAACGGGUGCAAAACAGUUGCACACGCGGAAUAUUCAGGUUAAACUUGACGAGCCUAGCAUAUACAAAUAUGGCCUCGAAACACGGAGACCGAAAGGUCGAACGUGAAUCAUAUAGUUGAUAUGAUCAACAUAGUGAUGUUCACCAUUGAAACUACUCCAUCUCACGUGAUGAUCGGACAUGGUUUAGUUAAUUUGGAUCACGUGAUCACUUAGAUGGCUAGAGAGAUGUCUGUCUAAGUGGGAGUUCUUAAGUAAUAUGAUUAAUUGAACUUAAAUUUAUCAUGAACUUAGUACCUGAUAGUAUUUUGCUUGUCUAUGUUUGUUGUAGAUAGAUGGCUCGUGAUGUUGUUCCGUUGAAUUUUAAUGCGUUCCUUGAGAAAGCUAAGUUGAAAGAUGAUGGUAGCAAUUACACGGGCUGGGUCCGUAACCUGAGGAUUAUCCUCAUUGCUGCACAGAAGAAUAACGUCCUGGAUGCAUCGCUGGGUGCCAGGCCUGCUGCAGAUGCAACUAACAAUGUUAAGUACGUCUGACAGAGCAAAGCUGAUGACUACUCGAUAUUUUAGUGUGCCAUGCUUUACGACUUGGAACCGGGUCUUCAACGACGUUUUGAACGUCAUGGAGCAUAUGAGAUGUUCCAGGAGUUGAAGUUAAUAUUUUAAGCAAAUGCCCGGUUUGAGAGAUAUGAAGUCUCCAAUAAGUUCUAUAGCUGUAAGAUGGAGGAGAAUAGUUCUGUCAGUGAACACAUACUCAAAAUGUCUGGGUAUAAUAAUCACUUGAUUCAACUGGCAGUUAAUCUUCCUGAUGAUAGUGUCAUUGACAGAAUUCUUCAAUCACUGCCACCAAGCUACAAGAGCUUCGUGAUGAACUAUAAUAUGCAAGGGAUGGACAAGACUAUUCCCGAGCUCUUCGCGAUGCUAAAAGAUGCGGAGGUAGAAAUCAAGAAGGAGCAUCAAGUGUUGAUGGUCAACAAGACCACCAGUUUCAAGAAAAAGGGCAAAGGGAAGAAGAAGGGGAACUUCAAGAAGAACAACAAACAAGUUGCUGCUCAAGAGAAGAAACCCAAGUCUGGACCUAAGCCUGAGACUGAGUGCUUCUACUGCAAGCAGACUGGACACUGGAAGCGGAACUGCCCCAAGUAUUUGGCGGAUAAGAAGGAUGGCAAAAUGAACAAAGGUAUAUGUGAUAUACAUGUUAUUGAUAUGUACCUUACUAAUGCUCGCAUUAGUACCUGGGUAUUUGAUACUGGUUCUGUUGCUAAUAUUUGCAACUCGAAAUAGGGACUACGGAUUAAGCGAAGAUUGGCUAAGGACGAGGUGACGAUGCGCGUGGGAAAUGGUUCCAAAGUCGAUGUGAUCGCGGUCGGCACACUACCUCUACAUCUACCAUCGGGAUUAGUUUUAGAUCUAAAUAAUUGUUAUUUGGUGCCAGCGUUGAGCAUGAACAUUUUAUCUGGAUCUUGUUUGAUGCGAUACGAUUAUUCAUUUAAAUCAGAGAAUAAUGGUUGUUCUAUUUGUAUGAGUAAUAUCUUUUAUGCUCAUGCUCCUUGAAGAGUGGUCUAUUUUUAUCGAAUCUCGAUAGUAGUGAUACACAUAUUCAUAAUGUUGAAGCCAAAAGAUGCAGAGUUGAUAAUGAUAGUGCAACUUAUUUGUGGCACUGUCAUUUAGGUCAUAUCGGUGUAAAGCGCAUGAAGAAACUCCAUACUGAUGGACUUUUGGAAUCACUUGAUUAUUAAUCACUUGGUACUUGCGAACCGUGCCUCAUGGGCAAGAUGACUAAACCGCCGUUCUCCGGAACUAUGGAGCGAGCAACUGAUUUAUUGGACAUCAUACAUACUGAUGUAUGUGGUCCAAUGAAUAUUGAGGCUCGCGGCGGGUAUCGUUAUUUUCUCACCUUCACAGAUGAUUUGAGCAGAUAUGGGUAUACCUACUUGAUGAAACACAAGUUUGAAACAUUUGAAAAGUUCAAAGAAUUUUAGAGUGAAGUGGAAAAUCAUCGUAACAAGAAAAUAAAAUUUCUACGAUCUGAUCGUGGAGGAGAAUAUUUGAGUUACGAGUUUGGUUUACAUUUGAAGCAAUGCAGAAUAGUUUCGCAACUCACGCCACCCGGAACACCACAGCGAAAUGGUGUGUCCGAAUGUCGUAAUCGUACUUUACUAGAUAUGGUGCGAUCUAUGAUGUCUCUUACUGAUUUACCGCUAUUGUUUUGGGGUUAUGCUUUAGAGACGGUUGCAUUCAUGUUAAAUAGGGCACCAUCAAAAUCCGUUGAGACGACGCCUUAUGAAUUGUGGUUUGGCAAGAAACCAAAGUUAUCAUUUCUUAAAGUUUGGGGCUGCGAUGCUUAUGUGAAGGAACUUCAACCAGAUAAGCUCGAACCCAAAUCGGAGAAAUGUGUCUUCAUAGGAUACCCAAAAGAGACUAUUGGGUACACCUUCUAUCACAGAUUUGAGGGCAAGAUAUUCGUUGCUAAAUUCGGAUCCUUUCUAGAGAAGGAGUUUCUCUCGAAAGAAGUGAGUGGGAGGAAAGUAGAACUUGAUGAGGUAACUGUACCUGCUCCCUUAUUGGAAAGUAGUUCAUCACAAGAACUAGUUUCUGUGACAACUACACCAAUUAGUGAGGAAGCUAAUGAUAUUGAUCAUGAAACUUCAGAUCAAGUUUCUACUGAACCUCGUAGGUCUACCAGAGUAAGAUCCGCACUAGAGUGGUACGGUAAUCCUAUUCUGGAAGUCAUGUUACUUGACCAUGGAGAACCUACGAAUUAUGAGGAAGCGAUGAUGAGCCCAGAUUCCGCAAAAUGGCUUGAAGCCAUGAAAUCUGAGAUGGGAUCCAUGUAUGAGAACAAAGUAUGGACUUCGGUUGACUUGUCCGAUGAUCGACAAGCCAUUGAGAAUAAAUGGAUCUUCAAGAAGAAGACUGACGCUGAUGGUAAUGUAACUGUCUACAAAGCUCGACUUGUUGUGAAAGGUUUUUGACAAGUUCAAGGGGGUGACUAUGAUGAGACUUUCUCACCCGUAGCGAUGCUUAAGUCUGUCCGAAUCAUGUUAGCAAUUGCCGCAUUUUAUGAUUAUGAAAUUUGGCAAAUGGAUGUCAAAACUGCAUUCCUGAAUGGAUUUCUGGAAGAAGAGUUGUAUAUGAUGCAACCAGAAGGUUGUCUAUCCAAAAGGUGCUAACAAAGUGUGCAAGUUCCAGCGAUCUAUUUAUGGACUGGUGCAAGCAUCUCGGAGUUGGAAUAAACGCUUUGAUAGUGUGAUCAAAGCAUAUGGUUUUAUACAGACUUUUGGAGAAGCCUGUAUUUACAAGAAAGUGAGUGGGAGCUCUGUAGCAUUUCUGAUAUUAUAUGUAGAUGACAUAUUGUUAAUUGGAAAUGAUAUAGAAUUUCUGGAUAGCAUAAAGGGAUACUUGAAUAAAAGUUUUUCGAUGAUAGACCUCGGUGAAGCUGCUUACAUAUUGGGCAUCAAGAUCUAUAGAGAUAGAUCAAGACGCUUAAUUGGACUUUCACAAAGCACAUACCUUGAUAAAGUUUUGAAAAAGUUCAAAAUGGAUCAGGCAAAGAAAGGGUUCUUGCCUGUAGUACAAGGUGUGAAGUUGAGUCAGACUCAAUGCCCGACCACAGCAGAAGAUAGAGAGAAAAUGAAAGAUGUUCCCUAUGCUUCAGCCAUAGGCUCUAUCAUGUAUGCAAUACUGUGUAGCAGACCUGACGUAUGCUUAGCAAUAAGCUUGGCAGGUAGGUACCAAAGUAAUCCAGGAGUGGAUCACUGGACAACGGUCAAGAACAUCCUGAAAUACCUGAAAAGGACUAAGGAUACGUUUCUCGUUUAUGGAGGUGACAAAGAGCUAGUCGUAAAUGGUUACGUCGAUGCAAGCUUUGACACUGAUCCGGAUGAUUCUAAAUCGCAAACCGGAUACGUGUUUUUAUUAAACGGUGGAGCUGUAAGUUGGUGCAGUUCUAAACAAAGCGUCGUGGCGGGAUCUACAUGCGAAGCGGAGUACAUAGCUGCUUCGGAAGCAGCAAAUGAAGGAGUCUGGAUGAAGGAGUUCAUUUCCGAUCUAGGUGUCAUACCUAGUGCAUCGGGACCAAUGAAUCCAGAUUGCCUUGGCAAAGGAAUCCAGAUUUCACAAGAGGACCAAGCACAUCAAGAGACGCUUUAAUUCCAUCCGGGACCAAGUCCAGGUGGGAGACAUAGAGAUUUGCAAGAUACAUACGGAUCUGAAUGUUGCAGACCCAUUGACUAAGCCUCUUCCAGGAGCAAAACAUGAUCAACACCAAGACUCCAUGGGUGUUAGAAUCAUUAUUGUGUAAUCUAGAUUAUUGACUCUAGUGCAAGUGGGAGACUGAAGGAAAUAUGCCCUAGAGGCAAUAAUAAAGUUAUUAUUUAUUUCCUCAUGUCAUGGUAAAUGUUUAUUAUUCAUGCUAGAAUUGUAUUACCCAGAAACAUGAUACAUGUGUGAAUACAUAGAGAAACAUAAUGUCACUAGUAUGCCUCUACUAGACUAGCUCAUUAAUCAAAGAUGGUUAUGUUUCCUAACCAUAGACAUGUGUUUUCAUUUGAUUAACGGGAUCACAUCACUAGGAGAAUUAUGUGAUUGACUUGACCCAUUCCGUUAGCCUAGCACUUGAUCGUUUAGUAUGUUGCUAUUGCUUUCUUCAUGACUUAUACAAAAGUUCCUACAACUAUGAGAUUAUGCAACUCCCGUUUACCGGAGGAACACUUUGUGUGCUACCAAACGUCACAACAUAACUGGGUGAUUAUAAAGGAGCUCUACAGGUGUCUCCGAAGGUACAUGUUGAGUUGGUGUAUUUCGAGAUUAGGUUUUGUCACUCCGAUUGUCGGAGAGGUAUCUCUGGGCCCUCUCGGUAAUGCACAUCACUAUAAGCCUUGCAAGCAAUGUAGCUAAUGAGUUAGUUACAAAAUGAUGCAUUACCUAACGAGUAAAGAGACUUGCCGGUAACGAGAUUCAACUAGGUAUUGGAUACCGACGAUCGAAUCUCGGGCAAGUAACAUACCGAUGACAAAGGGAACAACAUAUGUUGUUAUGCGGUUUGACAGAUAAAGAUCUUCGUAGAAUAUGUAGGAGCCAAUAUGAGCAUCCAGGUUCCGCUAUUGGUUAUUGACCGGAAACAGUUCUAGGUCAUGUCUACAAAGUUCUCGAACCCGUAGGGUCCGCACGCUUAACAUUACGAUGACAGUUUUAUUAUGAGUUUAUAAGUUUUGAUGUACCAAAGGUUGUUCGGAGUCCCGGAUGUGAUCACGGACAUGACGUGGAGUCUCGAAAUGGUCGAGACAUAAAGAUUGAUAUAUUGGACGAUUAUAUUCGGACACCGGAAGUGUUCCGGGUGAUUUCGGAGAAAACCGGAGUGCGGGAGGGGUUACCGGAACCCCCCGGGGAAGUAUUGGGCCUUAGUGGGCCUGAGGGGAGAGAGAGGGCAGCAGCCCAGGAGGUGGCACUCCCCCUCCCAUGAGGAGUCCGAAUUGGACUAGGGGAGGGGGCGCCGCCCCUCUUUCCCUCUCCCUCUCCCUCUCUUUCCUUCCCCCUUCCCCCUUCCUAAUUGGACUAGGAAAGGGGAGUCCUACUCCCACUAGGAGGAGGACUCCCCCCUCCUUGGCGCGCCCCUAGGGCCGGCCGUCCUCCCCCCUUGCUCCUUUAUAUACGGGGGCAGGGGGACACCUCUAGACACACAAGUUGAUCUUCGUGAUCGUUCCUUAGCCGUGUGCGGUGCCCCCCUCCACCAUAUUCCUCCUCGGUCAUAUCGUAGCGGUGCUUAGGCGAAGCCCUGCAUCGGUAGAACAUCAUCAUCGUCACCACACCGUCGUGCUGACGGAACUCAUCCCCGACACCAUGCUGGAUCGGAGUCCGGGGAUCGUCAUCGAGCUGAACGUGUGCUGAACUCGGAGGUGCGGUGCAUUCGGUACUUGGAUCGGUCGGAUCGUGAAGACGUACGACUACAUCAACCGCGUUGUCAUAACGAUUCCGCGUCUACGAGGGUACGUGGACAACACUCUCCCCUCUCGGUUCUAUGCAUCACCAUGAUCUUGCGUGUGCGUAGAAUUUUUUUUUGAAAUUACUACGUUCCCCAACAAUAACAUGUCCUUCUCGCAUAAGUUCUUGUAAUAAAUAGCAACGACUUCAUCACCUCACGAGGAUUCAUGAUUUUUUCCCUUCCCUGUUCUAUCUCUUCCACAGAACCUAGACCAACGUGGGUACUGUACGUCUAUACAUACCUAGAUGUUCAGAGGUUGACGUUGGUACAGAAAUAUGAUGACACCGAUUUUGUUGUGGCCAUGGACAGCAUCGGUGCCGAGAUAGGGACAAUAACCAGGCGGGACGAGAGGGCGAAGCACUACAUGUCAUCAACCAUGCCGGCCAAAUCGGACGAGGGUGCCACAGUCGCGGGGCGCACUACCGCUGAUGAUAUUACCGCGAGCAACACCAUGAAGCCGCCUUGAUCAAGCCAUCUGGCCUGCCUUCUCCCGCAAUGUCAUGCAGCCCAGCAGGGUGAGGCAUGCGCACGUCCCACAUUUCUUACAGUUUCUCCAUCACUAUCAUCAGUCUGAUUUCGAUCCGCUAAACGAGUAGGUCACUGCAUUGCGUCACCGUCACUAGGAUAUGUGGUUGGCCUCCGCCUGCAUGCUCCACCUAUCCUCGCAACAUCUGUUGAUUCAACUGCAACACAUUCAAUCGUUGUAAAGGGGAGAAACAACCUUCAGGUAUGGCUCUUAAAUUCCGGUGCUUCCUUUGUACCAUUUCUCGCAUAAGCUGCCACAACGUCUAUUUUAUAACACUAUAUGCUAUACAUACAUAUAACACUAUGUAAGUUCAGCGAAGUCACAUACCCAAAAAAGAUUAGCAUUGGGGGUUCAUUCAAGGUGCAGACAUGUAAUUUGCAUCCCGGUAUUAAUUGCUACUUUUUUGUUAGCAGCACAUCAAAUGUAUUGUCUUCUUUCCAUUGAGAUGAUCUAAGGUAAGAUCCUCUGAAAGUUUGGUUAGAGAACUGAUCAUACUAAGUAAGUUAAUUUCAGAGUUACACACUUAUGAGAGCAAGAUAGAUUCACAUGACUACCGAGCCAACUCUAUCGUAGAGAACACAUAUAAAAACUGGUUUGCCGUCAAGUGAUGAAUAAUGCUGAUCGAGAGACCAUCAGCUGCUUCAAGAGUUUUUUUUUCUUUUAUUUUUGAGAGCGUUCCAGCUACAUCUUUUUUUUCAGCUACAGAGUUGACUGACUUGGGGAAGACCCGGGUCGCUCGGUUGGGUCAAGCCCGGCUGUGUGAGGCCCAAACCCACCAAGCCAGCCAACACCCUAGCUCGUCCUCCUCGCUCCUCACUCCUCUUCUCCCCGGCCGCCACCUUCUCCUGCUCACCCACUUCCUCCUCCGCCGCCGUCUCACCCAAAUGCGCAUCACUGGACCACGAGAUCUAGCGAUUCGUGCCGCCCACCACACCCAUUGAUCGAUCUUCUUGCUCAUAGAUGCAGUAGUGAGCUGCUAAGGGGGGCUUCACCCUUCAUCCAUGGCGGUGGUGGGCGCCGCGCAUGGUAUGCUGGGUCCGCUGCUGGGGAAGCUCGCCGAGCUGCUCGCCGGCCAAUUCGGCCGCCUGCGAGGCAUCCGCAAGGACAUCCUCUCCCUCCAGGCCGAGCUGACCAGCAUGCACGCGGCGCUCCAGGAGUACACAAUGCUCGAAGAUCCGGGCGUCCAGGUGAAGGCCUGGAUAUCGCUGCUCAGGGAGCUGGCCUAUGAUACCGAGGAUUGCAUCGACAAGUUCAUCCGCCACCUCAGCAAACAUGGGCGUCGCGGCGGCUUCAAGGAGCUCUUCCGCAGGGCCGUUCACUCACUCAAGACGCUCGAUUCUCGCUGCGGGAUCGCCGACCAGAUCGAGGAGCUCAAGGCCCGCAUCAAGCAUGUGAAGGAGCUCAAGGUAGUUACAAGCUGAGUGGGACUGCUUGUCGCAAGACUGAGCAUGCGGCCGUGGAUCCUCGGCUGUGUGCUCUGUUUGCCGAGGAGGCAGGUGUGGAGGGUCCAAGAGAUGAUCUUGUCAAGUGGAUGUUGAAAGAAGAAACAAACAGCUCCACCAAGGAUCGUAAGGUGUUGUCAAUUGUUGGAUUUGGUGGAUUGGGGAAGACAACACUGGCAAAUGAGGUCUAUUGCAAGAUUAAAGGGCAUUUCGAUUGCCGGGCUUUUGUAUCAGUCUCACAAAAGCCAGUUAUAAAGAAUAUUAUCAAGGAUUUGAUCUACAAAGUGCCUUGCCCUGAUGAAUUCAGAAAAGAUAUUGAAAUUUGGGACGAAGCGGCAUCCAUUGCAAAGCUAAGGGAUCAAUAGCUCAUGUGCGACGUUUUUCAUGCGAAUUGGAAGGAGUGCAACGUUGUUGGAAUGAAUGGUUGUGAUGCGACGUUUUAGAAGCAAACAAUAGCUCCAAUGCGACAUGGCUCCUUUUAACCAUGAAAUGAAAAACACGAGGGGUUAGCUAUUUGAGUUAUGACACGCGGGACCUAGCAGUUACUCGCAUGCGGGUGGGACCCACAACUUAUCCACGCAAGCAUGCCCGUGCUCAUCUGCGUGCCCCGACCCGAGCCAGCCCCCCCCCCGCCCUCCAUUGCUUGCCCUGCCCCUUUCCUUUCCCACCUUCUUCUUCCUUUGCUCCGGCAACGAAGCGCGCCGCCGGCGAGUGAUGUCUAGCUCGACUUCGGCCUCCCGCCAAUCAUGGACGCAGUACGAUCCACUGCUGUUGACAAGAUGCCCCGAUUGCCCGUGCAUGGAGCCUCUGAAGCGUUUGACUNNNNNNNNNNNNNNNNNNNNNNNNNNNNNNNNNNNNNNNNNNNNNNNNNNNNNNNNNNNNNNNNNNNNNNNNNNNNNNNNNNNNNNNNNNNNNNNNNNNNNNNNNNNNNNNNNNNNNNNNNNNNNNNNNNNNNNNNNNNNNNNNNNNNNNNNNNNNNNNNNNNNNNNNNNNNNNNNNNNNNNNNNNNNNNNNNNNNNNNNNNNNNNNNNNNNNNNNNNNNNNNNNNNNNNNNNNNNNNNNNNNNNNNNNNNNNNNNNNNNNNNNNNNNNNNNNNNNNNNNNNNNNNNNNNNNNNNNNNNNNNNNNNNNNNNNNNNNNNNNNNNNNNNNNNNNNNNNNNNNNNNNNNNNNNNNNNNNNNNNNNNNNNNNNNNNNNNNNNNNNNNNNNNNNNNNNNNNNAGCGUUUGACUUGUGUGAGGAAAGAAAAUGGCAACCGUGGGCGCGAGUUUGUGAAAUGCUUGAGCAAGCCAUAGCCGGGGCAGGUUAGAUCUGUGUUCUUGACCAAUCCUAUGGUCUAAUUUCUCCCAAUUUCUUUCUUUCUUCCUCGAAUUAGGGCGGUAGAUCUAGGAUUCAUGCGCCGUCGGCCCCCUGUUUUUCAGGUUCUGAAGAAAUGUGGGCAUUUUGAGUGGCUCGAUGACUAUGUUGAAAGGUUGAAAUUGGAGGGAUCAACCAGAACCCAAGAGCUCAAUUUUGGGGGGUGGCUUGCCGUGGAACAAGCCCCCAAUUUGGCCGGACAGAGCCGAUCCGAUGAUGCACAGUGCAGAAUUGAAGUGUGAAUUGAAGAAAAUUGUCAAGCAACUAAAGCAUCUGAUCGAUUUGAAGCAGCAAGCAAAUAUGAUGGCUGGAGCAUUUUAUGGUUGUGUCAUUGCUAUGGGUUUAUUUUACUUGAUGUUCAUCAAUCGCUAGAAUUUGUUAGAGUUUCAGUUAGCGUGUCAACUAGUUUCAGGGGUGCCCAGUAGUUUGAGUUAGCCAGGGAUCAUUUGUUAGAUUUGAAUUAGUGUGAAGCAAAACUUGCUUGAAUUAUUGUAAUAAUAUUCUCAGGGGCCCUAUUCAGUGUUCAUGCUCUGUUUCCUCUGUUUUUGUUUUUCAGCUAACAGAGUACACACCCAAAUUCAGUUUCUAGUAAAAAAACCUGGGCUGCCGAAUAGAUGUUGGGCCGUGAGAAAAUGGACCCUGAGAAAAUAACCAUGCCCAAGACCAGCAUCGACCACCAUGUUAAACAAGAAAGGGAAGAAGGGGUCACCCUACCUCACCCCACAGAAGGUGGGGAAGUAAGGACCGAUCUUGCCAUUGAUGUUCACCGCGGUUCAUCCGGAAGAGACCAUCUGCAUGACCCUGGUAACCCAGCGUUCAUCGAACCCUUUCUGGAGUAACACCUCCCGAAGGAAGGACCAACUGACCGUGUUGUAGGCUUUGUGGAAGUCUAACUUCAGGAAGACGGCCUUGAUGUGCUUGGAGCGGACCUCAUGGAGGACUUCAUGGAGACUAGGACGCCGUCUAGAAUAUAUUGGCCUUUGAUGAAGGCCGACUGGUCAGGGUGGGUAAUGUGGUCGGCCAAGGGGGUUACCGUAUUGGCAUACCUCUUUGGUAGAAUGCGGAAGAUCACAUUGAUGACUGUGAUUGUGUGGUUCCUUAUGUCCGAGGCUCCAGGAACCUUGGGGAACAAUGUGAUGACCCCAAAGCUAAGGCGGGGGAGGUCCAUGGUACCUACAUAAAAUCCUCGAAGAGGGCCAUCACCUCCUGCGUAAUAAUGCUCAAGAAGGUCUGGAAGAUCUUCACCGAAAGGCCGUCCGGGCCUAGAGUGGACAUCAGGUUCAUUCCUUUAAUGGCAGUCCAGACCUCUUCCUUAGAGAACGGGUCUUGAGGGCGGCAUUCUCUGCUAUCGAGAUGUGUUGGUGUGCGUUCCAGAAGUCGUCCGCCAAAGCUACGCCACCCCUAGGGAGCCCGAAGAUACCAAUCACCAUACAACCGGAGGACCCACUUCUAGGUACCGUGGAUACGCCAAUAGGCCUCCUCUUCGGUGUAGAUGACAAUGAGCUGAUCUUCAAGAUCGUACCGAAGCAUCCAUUCGGUAGGAGAAAGGCCCACCGAGUCAGUCCGGAGGUCCAGAACCUGGAUAGAAUCAAGGAGGGAUUUCUUGUGUUUCCGAAGGUCCCACCCUAGGUUCGCACCCUAGCCCUUCAUAAAUUGCCAUAAGCGCUUGGCACAAAAGUGCCAAUUAUCGACGGCCGAAAGGGCAUGGCGGGGAGAGAGACACGCCUCCACCCAACGGUCACGAACGACUUCGACAGAACCAUUCUGGUUAAGCUAGAAAGUUUUGAAAGGAGCAGAGGGACGAAGUAUACUAUUCCUGGAAAAGAAGUAUACUAUUCAAGAUAGAUAAUUCGAAGCGUCGCGUGGAAUUCCAAUUGGAAGUUGGAUGAUGCAGACAUGCGUGCGGUCCAAUACGACCCACCAGCAGAAUUAUACAUGUGCUCUACCAUCAAACCAAAAUGAUAGGAAAGUUCAACAUGUUUGCUGUUUCUCCUAGCACAAGCAGGACAUGAAUUGUACAUGGAGAGAUGGCAAGGCCAAAACAAGGAACAUGCGUGCGGUUCUGGUUGAUCCCUCCGUAUGUAUCUUGCAAAUCUCUAUGUCUCCCACCUGGACUUGGUCCCGCCUGCCUGGUAUGAGGCACCUACCAGUCCGGCGCACUCCUCAACCAGGACGCCUGCCGGGUAUGGGACCGCCGCAGCCACCUGCCACUGAUCCAUCUUCAGAGCUGUACUAUUGCAUUUACCGUGCUAGGUCUCUCUGCCAUCGAUGCCACCACGACGCCCGACAGUGUCGUCCUCCUGCGCGAGUCCAUCCUCCCACAGCGAACUCCGAAUCUGCAUUGUGCCACACCAUCAAGAUCCGUUGCCAUCAGUGUGUAGGAUGAAUCACCGCUCCACCAAAGAAUCCGUCCUCUGGUCCCUCGAUCACGUGUGUACCUCCAAGAAUGACGCCCCCGAGGGAGGAACGACACCAGAGCGCUGCCGUCAUCCGAUCAUCUGAUCUAGGGUUUCCCCCAGAGGUAGCAGAGAGUGGCCUUGAGCUUCUCCAUGUAGAUGCCUUCAAGAAGGGAAACGACACAGAUAGAGCCGCCACCGCCGGCCUUAGCGGACGCCGAAAGCAAGUUUUCACCCAGAUCAGUUCGAAGGGAUCCAACUCUUGUGCACAGGCCGCCGUUACCACCAGCACCACCAGGCAGAACCAUGAAGCACUGGCAGAUCAGCGAGCCGCCGGCAUCACCGCAUCCAGAUCGCCGGCCACGCCGGGCCGCCGCCAUCCCCCGCGCCGUCCGGGUCAAAGACAGAGCCGCCGACCGCGCACAGGGACCACCGCCGGCUGCACACGCCGGAGCGCCGCCGAGAGCCCAGCGCCUGCCACCGCUUGCCGAGGGCCGCCGCCCGCCCCCCGAGCGGACUCCCACGCACACCAAGGGAAACCGUGAGCGUGAGCCCUGCCGUCGCCUCCAAGCCCCCGCCGCCAACAACCGCCGCGAUCCGCCCACGCCAGAUCCAGCGAGUCGUGGGAGAAGAGAUCCCGCUGCCGCCGACGCCAACCGGGCUUUGCCCGGCGGCGGCGAGGAGGAGAGAUCGGGGGAGGGACGAGGACGGGGCGGCGCUAGGGUUCCCCCCGGUCGCCGCGCAGGGGCGACACGUAGGAGUCGGGAGUCGGGCGGCGCUAGAGUGUACACGUUUGCUGAUCCAAUGCAACAAAAGCAGCGAUAAGAGCACGUCUAACAGAACCCUCAAAAACUCAACCUUCAAAACCAGUUUGAGGGUUGAGAAAUUGUGGUUUUGAAGGCUGAAAAUCGCUGGCGCACAUCAGUGCCCUCAAACCAACCCUCAAAACAGAAUAUUCUAUUUUGAGGGUUGGUUUGAGGGCACUAAUCUGAGCCCCGGCCUUCAAACUGUCAAAACUGGACAGCAAGUAUUUCAACCAAAUUUCAUACAACAAACAUAACAAUAAUCAACAACAAAUAAUUAUUCUAGUUAUGAUUACAACAUCAAAUAAUUGUUUAAAGCUCACAACAAUCAUUCUACUUAGUACAACAAUGUUUGAAUCAAAUAGUACAUAGAAAAAUAAAACAAAUAUCCCUUACAACAAUGUUUGUAUCACAAAUAGGACAUGGAAUGAAAUAGGUCAUGUUUGAAUAAAAUAGGCCAUCAUUGGCGACGGCCAAGCAGCUGCCAGUGGUGCUCGACCAGAUCAUUGCGGAGCUGGGUAUGAGUGUUGGCAUUUUCAAUAUCCCGAUGUGUUUGAAGAAAAGCUUGAAUGCGAUCGGGGUUUCUCUCCGGUUGCACUCGAGUACCAACAUUAUCAUAGAAACAUGGCAAGUUUAACCCCCUCUCAUCCUCGAGUAUCAUGUUGUGUAGAAUGACACAACACUUCAUGAUGUUCAUAAGGGUUUUCUUGUCCCAAAAACGAGCUGGACCCGAACAAUGGCAAAUCUUGCUUGCAAAACACUGAAAGCUCUCUCAAUGUAUUUGCGGGCUGAUUCUUGCGCCCUCGUGAAAUUAGCUUCUUUUUGGGAUAAGGACAUCCCUCUCUUCUCUUUAAUGGACUUCACAAGUGUUGCACACUCAGGAUAAAUGCCAUUGGUGAGAUAGUAUCCCAUUGUGUACUCAUUGUCCAUGACCUUGUAAUUGCAAGUUGGAGCAUCACCUGAAGCUAGUCUUGCAAAUAAAGGGGACCUUUGAAGCACAUUGAUGUCAUUGAGUGUUCCCGGCAAACCAAAAUAUGCAUGCCAAAUCCAUAAGUCUUGCGAUGCCACGGCCUCAAGCACAAUGGUAGGAUCAUGACUUUUACCGCAAUACAUUCCAUGCCAUGCCUUUGGGCAAUUUUUCCAUUUCCAGUGCAUGCAAUCUAGACUACCAAGCAUGCCCGGCCAUCCCCUUUUUUCAUUUGUCUCCAUCAACCUCUUUGUAUCUUCCUCAUUGGGAGCCCGAAGAUACCAAUCACCAUACAACCGGAUGACCAUCUUGGCAAACCUACGCACAGACUCGGUGGUAGUAUCUUGGCCAAUGCGAAGAUACUCGUCACAGUAGUCCGCGGGUAUGCCAUACGCGAGCACCCGCAUUGUAGCCGAUAUCUUCUGGUAUGCACUAAAUCCCAUGGCACCGGCAACAUUUCUAUGACGCGUGAAAUAAUGCGAGUUGGCCUCGCAAUCUUUGACGAUUCUCUCAAACAAAGUACGGCGCAUGCGGUACCUUCUACGGAAGAGGCGAGGUGGGUAUGUUGGUACCUCUGCAAAGUAGUCUUGCAUGAGUUGCUCGUGGCCGAGUGUGCGGUUCCUCUCGAUGCAAAGGCGCCCUAUCUGCGACCCCUUCCUAUGAUCCAGUAGCUUGUUGCGAUCCUCAACAUCUUUCACAGCGAGAAUGGCGACCAUCAUCUCCGUGUCAUCGUCUUCUAGCAGCUCCUCGAUGUCUGAAUCAUCCGAAGACGACCAAUCGGAAAAAUCUGACAUCUCCAUCUAUGGUCAACAAAUUAAACAAGCAAUUAGACAACAAUUAAACAACGGAAAAGAAACAAAAAAAGGAAAAGAGACUUACCGAGUGGUUCGGGCGGAGUCGGAGUCGAGGGGGCGUGGAGGCAGGGAAGCGGACGGCGGCGCAGCGGGGCAGCGGUAGGUGGGGGCGGACGGCGAUGCGGCGGGGCUGCGGGAGGCGGGGGGCGGACAGCGACGCGGGCUCGGNNNNNNNNNNNNNNNNNNNNNNNNNNNNNNNNNNNNNNNNNNNNNNNNNNNNNNNNNNNNNNNNNNNNNNNNNNNNNNNNNNNNNNNNNNNNNNNNNNNNNNNNNNNNNNNNNNNNNNNNNNNNNNNNNNNNNNNNNNNNNNNNNNNNNNNNNNNNNNNNNNNNNNNNNNNNNNNNNNNNNNNNNNNNNNNNNNNNNNNNNNNNNNNNNNNNNNNNNNNNNNNNNNNNNNNNNNNNNNNNNNNNNNNNNNNNNNNNNNNNNNNNNNNNNNNNNNNNNNNNNNNNNNNNNNNNNNNNNNNNNNNNNNNNNNNNNNNNNNNNNNNNNNNNNNNNNNNNNNNNNNNNNNNNNNNNNNNNNNNNNNNNNNNNNNNNNNNNNNNNNNNNNNNNNNNNNNNNNNNNNNNNNNNNNNNNNNNNNNNNNNNNNNNNNNNNNNNNNNNNNNNNNNNNNNNNNNNNNNNNNNNNNNNNNNNNNNNNNNNNNNAUCGGGUGGCGGGGCAGCGGCCAAAACGGGGCGCGGUGGGACGGCGGGGGGCGGUGGCGACGCGGCGGGGAGGCGGCGGUGGCGGACGAAUCAGCGAUGCCGGCAUCGGCCGGUCGAGGUUGGGUGGUGGAGGAGGGAGGAAGGUGGGGGAAAUUUCCCUGCCGCGCAGACGUUGACCGAGUGAGGGUUCGGCCUGGGAAAUUGGCACAAACCCUCACUGCUGCAGGUUGGCCUCGAACUUGAGGGUUCGACCUGGAAUUUUUUUGAGGGUUUAAAGAUUUGAGGGUUCUGAUCUGCGUCCUUUUUUCAGCUCAACCCUUAAACUGGCAGUUUGUUAGGACUAGGGUUCCUACCGGUGCGGCUACGCAGGUUAUAGGGACAAGGUGGAGGAGGGCGAGGACUGGAGCGGGCGCGCCGACGAGUGGGCGCCGUCGCGGCUAGGGUUUAGGUGCGGCGGCGGUUGGCUGGUGGCGGCUAGGGUUUCGGCUCCUCAGGGAGCCGGGCAACAGAAGAUGAUAAUAUCUUUAUUGCUUAAUUCCAAAAUAGUCUUACAACCUAUAUUUAUAACCUAGAUAACUUGCAGAAGAAUUAACCUAAGAUAACUUGUGGGCUAAGAUUGUCCCGUGAGCCUAGCUAAACCGGGCCUAGCUAAACCGGCCAGAACACUUCUCCCCGCCUGCACAAACAGCUCGUCCUAGAGCUAUAAUGUGCGGAAGCGCUUGCGGAACUCCUGGAGGCGAUCAACCAGUGUCAAACAACUUUUCGACAGCUGGGGCGGCCAGGUCGGCGGCGACGACGUCCUCCGGAAUGUAGUCUGCAACCUCCAGGUAGAAGAGUCGCGGGCAGGCAUGGCCGGGCGUGUAGGGCUCGUCGCAGUUGAAGCACAACCCUUGGCGGCGACGCUCGAGUAGCUCAGCUGAGGUGAGCCGGCGGAACGGCCGUUCCGCGGUCGCGGCGUGGGGUGCCGCUGAAGCCUGCGCAGGCCGACCCUGCACGGAAUCCGGCCCGGGAAGCAACCCAGCGGUCCGGGACAGUGAUUCCUGCUGGAUGGCCACCGCGCGGCGCGCGAACGCGCGGGCGUAGUACAUGGCCGACUGGAGAUCCUGGGGUCCCCUAAGCUCCACGUCCACGCGGAUGUGAUCCGGAAGUCCACCGAUGAAGAGGUCGGCCCGCUGCUGUGCCGUCACGCCCGACGCAUGGCACGCCAGGGCCUGGAAACGGUCGGCGAAGUCCUGCACCGUGGAGGUGAAGGGAAGGCGGCCGAGCUCCGCCAAUUGGCUCCCGCGCACCGGAGGCCCAAAUCGAAGGAGGCAGAGUUCGCGGAAGCACUCCCAAGUGUGCAUGGCGCCCUUGUCCUGCUCGAGGGCGUAAUACCAGGUCUGUGCCAGGCCACGGAGGUGGUACGAGGCGAGCCAGGUACGCUCCGAUGCGAGGGUGCGCUGCCCGCGAAAGAACUGGUCACACUGGUUGAGCCAGUUGAGGGGGUCCUCCGUGCCGUCAUAGGUGGCGAAGUCGAGCUUGGCAAACCGGGGCGGUGUCUAUGCCGGAGCGCCAUGUUGAACUGGCUCAGAGGAGCGGAGCAGCGAGGCGGGUGGCGCCUGGUCGAAGUACUCCGGGUAGGGACCAGCAGAACCAGAUGGCCCCCCGAACUGCGGGAACAGAGCUGGCUGUUCGGGGGCUGUGGUGUAGACCGGCAAAGGUGAAGACCCGGCCGCCCACGCUAGAAGUGGCGACAGGGAGGGCGGGAACCGGACCUGAUGAAUCGAGAGGCCGGUCGGCGAGGGUGCCCCCGAGCUAGGCAGGGGCGGCGCCGGUGGUUGUAGCGUCGGCGGCGGGGGGUGGGCGAGGGCAGCAGUGACCGAAGGGGAGGGUGGCUGCAAGUACCAUAGAGGGGCCGCGGCCAGCGUGGUCCCGCCGGGGUGUCCCUCCUGGAACGGCAGCAGCGGCAGCCCGGUGCAAGCCGGCACAAAGAACGGCUGCAGCGGUCCAGUGGCCACCGCCUGCGGCAUCUGCUGUAGCGGCCAGGGGGCCGCGAACGGCGUCGGCCACUGCGGCCAAGGCGGCGUCGACGCUGCCGGUGGGGGAAGCGUCGGGUAGCCGCCGGUGAUGGCCGCCGGUACCGAGUACCACGACAGCGCCUGUUGGCCCGCGGGCGCGGCCGAAUGAAGCGGCGGAGGCGGCCCGUACGGGCUCGCCAAGUAGAGGUGGAUGCCCUGGACCGUGACGACCAGGUCGUUGAGCACGCCGGCCAUGGCCUCCGGUGUGAACUGCGACGGCGCUGGGGAAGGCGACGGCGGUGGUUGCUGGAUGGGGAUUUGCGGCUGGCCCUGGCCCGGCGUGGUGCCGAGUGCGGGGGAGAUCGGCGCCGAGAGGGAGGCCGUGGCGCCCGACGACGCAGCGGCUGCGUUGGUGGAAUCGGUGGCAGCGGCGGUGGGGGAGGCGUUGGGCAGCGGCGGCUGCGGUGGUGGCGGGUUUGGAGGCGGUGAAGACAUGGUCGAAACCCGGGCACCUGAUACCAAGGUGUUAGGACUAGGGUUCCUACCAGUGCGGCUACGCAGGUUAUAGGGACAAGGUGGAGGAGGGUGAAGGCUGGAGCGGGCGCGCCGGCGAGUGGGCGCCGUCGCGGCUAGGGUUUAGGUGCGGCGGCGGUUGGCUGGUGGCGGCUAGGGUUCCGGCUCCUCAGGGAGUCGGGCAACAGAAGGUGAUAAUAUCUUUAUUGCUUAAUUCCAAAAAAAGUCUUACAACCUAUAUUUAUAACCUAGAUAACUUGCAGAAGAAUUAACCUAAGAUAACUUGUGGGCUAAGAUUGUCCCGUGGGCCUAGCUAAACCGGGCCUAGCUAAACCGGCCAUAACACAGUUAUUUUAAGGGUUUAAUCAGUUUGAGGGCUCUGUUAGACAUGCUCUAACAACAUGUACACUUCAUACUUGCAUGCAAGCUCCUGCAGGCUGCAGCAUUAUCCCGCAAGCAUUGUACAGAAGAUGGACAUGCAUGGUGCAGCUACGAUACGGCAUCAAACUUUUCCACACAUUAAAAAGAAGGUCCGAAACUACAAAGACGGACCAAAAUGAAAGAGUGGGCACACAGGUAAUGGCCAUAAUCAGUCUCAUAAUUCCGAGCCUGCGAGUGAUCCACCACUUGUAUUAGCUUAAACCUGCUGUUGGUGAGAGCUAACGGCGCACAUUACCUGUGUGCUGGAGUACGAAUGUGUUUUGUGCUGAAGCAAGUGUAGAGUAAGGUUGCAGUUUGCUUGCAGCCGUUGCCAAGCUAAGCCGUGUACUCUGACCAAAUUCAGUGGAGCUUGUGUGUCUCCUCUGCUUUGCUACUCUGUUUCCUCUGCUCUGCUUUUGCAAACCGCUUUACUACUCUGUUUCCUCUGCUCUGCCUCCUCUUGCUAAUUUCUUUCAGUUCAGGUUGUGUGGCUGUACUGUUUCCACACACACACACAUAGGAUGAGUGAGGUGGUGUGUUGAUGCGCUCAGCUACUCAGCAUGCAGCCCACAACUGCUCUUCCGACAACUGUGUGAGGCGUGUGAAUAAUGUCGACACGCUCCUCCAAAGAAGGCACGAUUUACAGUUUGUUGUACUAGAUGACUCGUUGCGCCAAUGGCGCAAAGGCCAAGAGGUAUCCAAGUAUUGUGAGAAUGUUUAGACAUCUAAGUCAAAAAUCAAAUGUGGCCAACACUCCCGCAUCCUCUGCUUGGAAGCCGUUUUUUCUCACCGGAUCUAACAUAGAUACAUGAAUUUUCAAGAGCAAAUUUCAGAGAAAAUAUAAAGCAUGAAAGGCUUUAAUUUGUACUAUUGAGAUUAUACCACCAAAUCUUCAUUUAGUUUCUUUGGAAAUCUAAAUGUCUAAGAGGAUGGUAGAUGUGAGAAGCUGUGAAUCCACAACAAAAAACUAAACUAACUUCCAAACAAACAUUUCAGGUUUGGAAGCCACAAAGAAGCAGCCCAGAUCUCUCGUUGUAGUGCAGGUACAUGUCCUUAAUCCUGCAUCCACAGCCCAUAAUUUUUCAACACCUAAAUCCACAAAAUCCAACCGAAGGAAAUCAUGGCAGAAACAAGUGUCGUGGCUUACGUCUCCGAGAAGGACUUCUUGGCAUUCUUGUGCAGGUUGGACACAACAAUCCUCGCCGCGAGCUGCAGAAGAACCACACAAGCACCUUCCUUCAUCUUGCCCUUGGGGAGGAGGGGGGAAACACUUGCAGCGCCGUGACAAGGCUUUGCAAACGCCGCCGGCGAGAGCGCGCAGUGGAGGGCGUCGAGAGUGGCAGCGGCCUCUACCUCGGCGCAAGCGUAGUGGCCGCACGACUCGAGGCAGCACACGAAGCGGUCGCGCUAGAGCAGCACGCUAUGCACAGAUAUGCGUAGUGGCCUGUUGCUGAUCACUUGCUAAACGAUGAAACAUUCAUACAGACAUUAUCACUCACCAACUGGUAAACUGGCACACAAAAUACACAUGCACGAGGUAAUGGCUCUAUGGGCGUAAAAAACAUCACCGAUCCAUACCUGCACACGAAUUGAUGAACAAAGGUGAGGACACGCAUGGCUGGCAAGGCAGGAGGAAGCAUUGGCAGGUAAGGAGAGAACUGCAACCAAGGGAACCGUAGAGACAUCAGUGGCAGGCACAACAAUGGAAGAUAUUGAAUAAGCUAAUUCUUUUAGUGUUCAGAAUUUAUCACCUCAAAUUUGUUAGAACCGUACAGGCCAAAAACAUUUUCUGCAAAUACAAUAUAUGCAGAACUUGGUUCUGUUUACAGUACACAUGCCUGCAAGCUUAGCUGCUUCAGUUCGCUGGGAAUUACCUAGUCAGUCAGGCACAAUUAAAGCCCGUAAAAGCAACAAAUAAUGAAAAGAGUCAGAUAAGUAAAUCACAAGCCACAACAGAGUUGUAAAUGUUUACUUCAUUAAAAGGUUGGCCAGUAGAUGUAAGGUUAGAUCCACAUGGAUAAAACGCAGAAAAAUAAUACUCCACCGGCAGCAUCAUGGCCAUGGCCUCGAGCGGUGGUAGGAGUGACGCAUAGGGGGGUGGAGUGGAGGCGCUAUGGGCAGGCCGACGCCGACCUGGUCACUUGAAUCUCAAGCAAGAUGACUACUUUGUAUGGUUAAUGAAAAAUUUAAAUACUGAAAUGUAUCGAGAAUUAGAGGAUGUACUGCAUGAAUCAAGCUUUUGACCCAGAAAAUAAAACCAUACAAUUCUGUGCUAACCUUUAGUUCUACAAAAUUAACAUAUACUGAGAUCUGUUCUAGCUCCUUCUUAAAAAAUAGCUAUAUUAGACGGUCCCCAAAUUCAACAAAAGGUGGGUUCAGCCAUGCGUACUAUCAAAGACUUGACCACUUGAAUUUCAAGCAAGAUGACAAUUUUAUGUACGACCAAACAAGGGCGCAGGUGACAAGAUCUCUGCAAAAAUCAAGCCAUUCAAAUGCAUUUGAGAUCAAAAUACAUCAUGCACGGACAAAUGGUAUUAGCUACGCUGUCGUUAUUUUAUUUUGUUUCUUGAGCAGCGACUCAAUUACUAUUCUCACUGAUCCAGUUUACUCAAGAACUUCUGAACCAGUUCCAUGACUCCUAUGGACUAAGGUACUCUAGCUGCUUGCAUCUUUCAGAGGAUCUAAUUAGAACCAAUUCUAUGGGUGGUUUAUCUUUUUAGAACUAUUAGUAUUCACUCAGUGGAGAAGUGCAAGCAGGAGCUGACUUCAGUUGGAAUAAGUGUGCUAGAAAAUGUGGUCAAUAGAUGGUACGUCGGCAAAGUACGAACUGAAACACUUGAGGAUCCCAGUGUUAAAAGUGGAUGUCAAAUUCAGACCUUAUCAAUGCAGGGUGUGAAUCCCAAACACUAAACGCGAUCUGCAGCCAUAAAAAGAAACAAAUAAUCUUUAGAUUCUCCCCUGCAGAAUAGUAAAAUAUGGAAAUGUUAACGCCCACACGUGUGGGUGUUCACCAUCCCGACCACACGCAAGCAUCUCCGUUGGCAGCUUUGUGCACGAAUCUUGGAACAAACCUGCCGGUUUUCUGCGCCACGUAGGACGAGGCUCGUGUGCGGUGUGCGACUCGGGUCGCCCGCACGUUGGUUGCCAUCCCGCGGUCAGCGGUUGCCACUCGGAGACGUGCUGUGGAACGCAAUGCGCCCACACGCCAUGCUCCGACCGCGGUUGACGUCAAACACGUCGCACACCGCAGUCCCCUCUCCCUCACGGUUCCAUUUACCCUGCCGCACGCAUUUACUGGCACAAGCCACUCGCAUUUCAAUCCACUGGAGGAGAAGGCGAGGGGAGAAGGCGACAGCGGAGGCGGAGGAAUCGACGGCGUUCGCGGCCGUCGGUGGUGCUCGCCGGAACGGAGCGGCUGCGCCGGAGCGCCUGCGUCUUGAAGGUAAUGGUCGCUACAACUCUCACAACCCCUUCCUGCAUUUUCCCCUCUUCCCUCCCUGCUUGAUUCCUCGGUCGAAUUCGUAGAGAUUCAGGCGAUUCUGUGAUGCGUCGGCGUUCCCGCCGGCGCCGAAGUCGUCUGCUAGCCGUUUUUGGUUGCACUGGGCAGUUUCGUCGCCGCCGCGGCGGCGCCAUCGUCGGUGUGGUUAUGCUUGUUCGGAGGCACGCACUAGUCUUGCCUAUGUAUUGGGCAGGUGUCUCCCGGGAUGUUUGAUGCACAUUUGUUGGAAUUUGUGUUUGCAGUCAGUUCGGGGGUGAACUUUGAGGGUGAAUUUGAGGUCGCGGUAGUUGCCAUUGAACCCUAGAUCUAGUUAGUUGGGUUUUGAAACUGUAGUAUGAGGCGAACUUGGUGGUUUGAUUAACUAUCAUGAUUGUGUGGCAACUAACUCCCUGAACAAAUGUGAUAGUUGCCACAAACGUGUUUUCCUUUGCGUGGCAACAAAUUACUGAAAUGACUGUGAUGGUUGCCACAUAUAAGCUUUCGCAUGGGGAAACUUUUUUUAUUGAAUCACUCUAAUAGUUGCCACAUAUAACUGAAAUGACUGUGAUAGUUGCCACAUAUAAGCUUUCGCAUGGUGAUAGUUGCCACACACACGCUCUUCCAUGUGCAACUGAAUUUGCUGAAUUACUGUGACAGUAGCCACUAACAUGCUUUUUCAUUGUGGCACCAAAUUUUUCUGAAUGAUUUGUGGUAGUUACCACUUUGUGAUAGUCGCCACAAUCUGUAGUCAAUGCAGUUUCAGCAGCCAACUACAGUGGACGGCAACUAAUGUGCACUUCAAGUGUGCCUGUUGCCACUCGGAUAGUAUAUUCAUGUGGCAAACAGAAUGUGAACACACUGUCUGUUGCCAUUCUGCAGAUACGACGGUGUGGCAAAUUGGCUACAUAAUGUGGCAACCAAUUUUGCAUAUCAAUUCUGCCGGAUGUCAUACAUAUGUUAUUUUUCCUGCAUUCACUAGUUGACAUUUUCUGUAAGGCGGCAACUGCUUACCUCUUGCAUUCACAUUUCAUCCAUGACAAUUUGGUCCGUCCCUAUCUCAGCAGAAUGGCUCGUGGUGAUCAUCAAAACAAUGAUGAUGAUUUCAUGGAUCCACCACAGCGUAAUCGGGCAGCUGGCCGGAUAAAAGAGGGUGAUGAGGUAAAUGUUCACACAUCCCCCCCUCAAUCCUGCUUUAUGUUACUGGUUCACACCUCGAACUUGCAGUCGUCUAACAUGGACUAAAAUUUCAUGACAUUGGAAAACAUGGCAACAACUGACCACUUACUGUCUGUUUUUUGCAGAAGAAGAAACGUAUUCGCAAUAGAGCCUCCCAAGAAUGACUGACUGUGUUGAUUGACAAAUUCACCGAUGAUCAGAAGGGGGCUGCUGGUGAGAUGGGUAUGCAGUCUAUGAUGGUUGUCCGGUUCACGAACCUUGUCAACCCUGUAUGCGACUGGCUUGCUGAGAUCUACGAGCCCACCUCCAGGGAGUUCGUGAUUCCGGGACGUGGAAGUCUCCCGUUGAACGAGGAUUCUGUGUUCUGCACUCUGGGCGUGCCUCGUGGACAUAUCAAAUUCCCGUACGAGGUCAACAAUGAGAUCGAGCAAGAGCUGUUCCCCCGUUUGUUUCCUGGGUCGGAAUCCAUGCCGAACACGUCUGCAGUGGCAGAUUCGCUGCAGGCCAUGACGACGCAUGGAGAUGUUUUCAAGAUGAAGCUACUCAUGUACCUCAUCUCAGCUGUUUUCGCGCCGACCACAUCCCUUCGCCCAAGCAACAAAUGCUUCCCCAUCCUGGUGAAUGAUCAAUCUUUACUUCUUUAUUUUCCUUCAAUUUUUCGGCUCCGAUGUCAUGUGUAAAGUUAGUGACUGCCAGUGUUUUCGAUGUUUUUUUUCAUUCUUAGAUUUCUGAUGUGGCAACCUUUCUGUCCUGAAAUUUUGUGUGGUGCAGGCGGAUCUGAAAAAUGUGAAGAACAUGAAUUGGUGCAAGUUUAUUGCCGACUUCCUCCAUGAUGCAUUCUCAAACAAGAUGUACCAAAAGGGUUGUCGAGUGCAUUUAAUGGUAUUUUUUUUACCAGUUCUUUCUGUGAACACUGUCUUAUAACACACGUUUAUUGAUGCAUGUCAACCUGAUCAUAACAAGAUGGCAACUGCCAUAAUGACUACAUGGCAACUGUUAUAAUGACAAUAUGGCAACUGCCAUCAUAUCAGUAUGGCAACUGUUACCAGACUAUGAUGGCAACUGUCAUCUUAGCAAUAUGGCAGUUGCCAUCACACCAUGAUGGCAACUAGCACAUACAGAAGGAAACUUCUUUUUUUAUUCCAUUCUUUUACAUGCACAUCAACUUGAUUAUCAGGGGAACAUACAUUAUCUUGUUUUUUUAACUACACAGUACACAUGACGGCAACUGAUAUUUCUUUCUUUGUAAAAUUGUCUUAAAUCAGCUCAUGUAUGUCGACUGUCUUGAUCUGUCCAUUGUGGAUUUCACUGGGGUAGGAGGCCCGCCGCCUACGCACAAGUUUGCUAUUUCUGCGUGGACUAUCAUCGCUGUCAAGGUUGUGCUUGCCGCAGACAGGGCAACUAAUACCAAAUAUGGAAAACUACAGGUUAGUUUUGGUUUCUCUCUCCACAUGGCAUGCUUACAAAUUUGACAUGAGGGAACCAUCCGUGGUUCAUAAGGGAUGACCACCUUUUUGUGUAUCCAUGGCUGUAUGCGUAUUGUAUCCAUGUUUCACCUCACAAGGGAACUCUUUUCAUUCGUGUUGAAACUUACCUUCUAUCUCUUACAUCCUUGCUAUUUUUUUUGUUUUUUCUAGCUGAUGGCCAAGCAUGCUAUAGACUACAGCGUGUUUGGGGGGCCUCAAAACUUUGGAAAGUGGAUGGACGUGCACUCAGCUCCGUCUUGCCCUACUGAGGUAAUCAAAAUAUGUACAUCUAUGUUUUGCCGUGGAUUAUUUGUUUGAUGCUGCGCAAGUGACUGCAAUAUGGGUGGUUGUUGAUGUUUCUUGUUUCGUGCACAGGCGAGGGCACCUAUUGAGCAUCUAAUUGGACAGUUUGCAUCCGGAAUGACCGGCUUGCUCGGGAAGUUGGUUGAGGGGUGGACGUCUCUUAGUGGCUCUGACAGUGAUGCGGUUGCGAGGCAGUUCACUUCAUUUGUCCCAGAACGUACACAUCGGCCAACCGGUUGCUGUGGCCGGUAUGACUACAACAGUUCCCAAGAGCCCGGUGACACACAAGAUGAUCUAGAUGGAGACGCUGGCCUCAGCAAGGAUGACAACGAUGACAUGGAGAACGUGCAACAGGACACCGAUGAUGAUGAGCAUGCUGAAGUUCGCGUAGGUGGUAAAAAGGACAAGGAUGCAAUAGAUGUCCCCCCACUGGAGAAAGUCAAAGAACAUACGGCUGCGAGAGGCGAGGGGGUGUUGCCAUCAAGGAGGGGGAGGGCUCCAGGAGAUGUUGGGCAGGGUUCUCAUGGCAAGAGGUCUAGGACCGAUCCCGUAGCUGCCAGGAGGAGGUUCGACUUUAAUUUUAGUUUUUUGCUGUGUCUAUUUUCUUGGAACAGUCUCAUCCAUUUCUUGCACUUGUUUUUUUUUCAAGCGCGGUAAUGAGUUUGUUGUCUGACAGUUGCCACCUUUUUUUACCUCCAACACAUACAUGCAGCGAGCCGACCGCUGGUGGACGAGCAGCUACGAAGAAACAGGCGCCAACGCCAAACCGUGUUUCUGCUCGCUUGAACAAAGGUGCCCCCAUUGCCGGUGACACCCCUUCCACUAGGUCUUCUCCUCGUACGACGACGACCAACACCGGGGAUCCUGUCGUGUUGCCAGACCUGAGGAAGCCAGUCAAGAAGUAGGUUUCUCCAUGUGCUUUCAUUGACAUAGCACUAUAUUUUCUUGAUUUUCCAAUGCAUCCGUUUAGCUUGUCACAUGGCCUUUUGUCAUUGUCCCCCACGCGGCGACUGCUGUUUUUUCCAAAUGAUUGCCUCCUUCAUUUUAAAGUGAAUGGCAACGCAUAUUGGUUUUUACAUGGCAACUGGCAUCUAAGCCAAAUGGCAACUCUUACUGUACCUAAUGGUAACUGCCAUUUGUUUCCCGUUGGCUUGUGAGCUCAUCCCACACCCAGGUUCGAAAUUGCAUUCAUGGUAGAUCAGACAUUCUUAUCAUUCUUCAAGUUGGCUAACAUCGCAACUGCUGCUGGAUGGCAACUGCUAAUUAUGACACAUGGCCACUCACGUCCCCCUUACAUGGCAACUACCAGCUUUUCCACUUGUUUAUCACUUUUUUAAAGAUUUUUACCAUGCCAAACAUAUUUUUGUUCAUUUUUCAAUAUCUUUUUCAUGUGCUUUUUUUGCAGGGUGAAGAAGACCACUAUGCACGGGGCCAAGCAUACCAGUAAGGACCCGCUCGAACGCCUACAUUUAAAGUUGUCAACAGGGGGCAACUCAGAUGUACAUGAGGCACCAGGCGACAAUACUGCUGCUGCACCAUUGACCGCUCCCACCAACUCUGAUGCAAGCGGCCGACCAUCUCCGCCGGCUGCAGAUGUGCAGGCUAGAACAACAGGCAUCCGUACAUCGGGGAGUGACGAGUCGGUAUCUGCCAGGACAGCUAAAAUAUUGCCAACUCUACUGGCAAUGAAGGAUGCUGCUGUGAGCCAUGCCACCCCAUCAGCAAGCGUUGAAGUGGACGCUCCCGAGACGAACCUAAGCAAGGAAGAUUCCUGCUCAUCUGACACUGAUUCCAAGCGCGUGCAUGGUCGCACUCCUGUGUCCACGACAGAAGCGGCUGAGGCAGCAGUUCACAAGGAUAUGCCAUCUACAGGUGAGAGUCCUGGGACAACAGCUUCAGCUCCUGCCGGUGCAGAUACUGCUAAGGCGAGUGUUCCGCGUGCUGGUCUUCCACCUAGGUGUCGUAGCCCCCGCAAGCAACCAGACAUACCCAACGCAUCGGCUGCAGCUAGGAGCAGGAGAGACGAGCCUGGUUAUGUUCCUGCGUCCACACUGUUCCCGCCACCUGCCAAAAGCAAUGUGAUGGAGAAACCGGAAGACCGGAGCACAACUGAUGCAGGUGUCAAGCCGGGCACGAGUGACGCAGGUGAACACCCGGAGCAGACUGCGCCUUUACCCGCAUUGGAAAUCCCCAGCAUAAAUCUGCGCACUUCCAGGCUCCCAGUCAAUGUCGGUGUCCCCUACAGCCAAAACAAGAAGAUUGUCCAGAAAUCUGUGGCUGAUACCGCUGACAACACGCCCCGCCCUGUAAAUAAGCCCGAUCAUUCUGUAGCGGCCGAUCCAGAUAUGUUUGUCGAUCUUUCACCCUUGGAUUCUGCCCCGCAAAUUGUUCAUGGUCCGGCCAGUAGGAAUGAGAGGCACCCAAUGGCCUUUACCCCCACCGAGCUUCAACCUUGGCAUCAGUCAAGAUCAACCGGUGGUGCAAGAUCCUAUGCCAGUUGCCUUUGCUUUCCCAGGAGGCAUGCCCGCAAUGAUGGCGCAACCAAUGGUCGAGGGCAGGAAGGCUGUCAAGUUCGCAGAGCCGAUUGUGCAAGGUACACUUGUCAUGUCCUUAUGAUUUUCUUGCAUACAUCUCUGUAGUUUGACUUUUGUCCCAAUCAUAUUUUUUUGGGUGGUUCUCACUUAUGAUGGCAACUGACAUGUGCUGACAUGGCAACUGGAUUUGAUGCACCAUGUCACAUACAUUUUGUUUGCUGCCGUGCUGCAUUUAACAUUUGGGCAACCACGUGGCAACUGAAGUUGAUUCAACAUGGCAACUGUAGUUGCUGUCACAUGGCAAAUACAGUGCAUUACACAUGGCAACUGGAUUUGCCACACCAUGCCAACUGCAUUUUUUGUUUUCAUGCUGCAUUUUUUCAUACGGCAAUCACAUGGCAAGUGCAGCUGACACAACAUGGAAACUGUAGUUACUGUGAUAUGGCAACUAUAACCCAACUAGAUGGUAACUACAGUGCAACUACAUGGCAACUGUAGUUGCUAUGACAUGGCCACUGUAGUUGGACCACGCAUGGCAACUGCCCCACUUUUCUUGCACACAAUCUCACAUCAUGCACCCUACCUCCUCACAAUCCAUCUGUUUUUGAUUUUCUAGGUAUCCUAACACACUUUUUUUUAUCAUUGCAGCCACCCCUGAGGAGAUUUCACCGUCACUUGACGAAGCUUACCGCAUGAUCGAGGAGGCAACAUUGCAUAGGAGGUCCUCACAAGGGCAAGGGCAAUCAAGUUCCAACGUGCCUGCAGAUACGGUAUCUGAGGAUACCAUUAGCAGUGCCACUCCUGGUUCUGUGAGGCAGCAGAGGGUAGUUCACCCACCUCCCGCGAAAGACUAUGAGCCCGAAUUCAAGGCCACUAAGGAACAGACCCAGCUGUACGAUAUCGUCAAGCGGUUUGGAAAUGCGAGGGCCAGCAGCAAGCACAUGAAGGAGCUGAAAGCGUAAAUGACCACACCCCACAAUCUCUCAUUUUUGCUUUGCUCCUUUUUCACCAUUCACCUUCUUCGUACUUCCUAUACACGAUCCGCUUACGUUUUAGUUCUUUCAUAUAUUUUUUACUUAGCGGGCAUGAUCCUUCCAUGUUAUAUCAUUUUCAUACAGCUCAUGUUUGGACAGAACCAAAGUCAUUCAAUGCGGAGCGACGUACGUCGACCUGGGUGAUCUUGCUGAGUCCGUGAGGCCAAACGGUAAAAUGUCGACGAAUGUAGUUGCAUGCGGGAUCGACUACAUCAACAAUCAUAUGGAUGUGUGUGCCGACAAGAUAAUCAUGCAUUAUAGUGUGACCUACAAAAUAUGGGAUGGUGACUUCCACCACAAGAUCCUGAGGAAGAAUUUUGCUCAACACGGUGAUUUCAAGCUCACACUGAAGAAAUAUGUGAGUACUCCUCCCCUUUCUGCACUGUUUUGUCACAUGGUGUGGUUUUUUGCCAUCAUCUGCACUUGUGUUUAUGUGGCAGAUGUUUUCAUGUGGCAACAGCUGCCGUGCACACUGUCAUCUUGAUUUUUGCAUCCCGUGCAAACUAUGUGACAACUUGAUAGUAAAAUACACGGCUCAUUUUGUUCAUACAUGGGCGGCAACUUUCUGUCAACUACCCCCACCCAUAACCAAAACAUUCUACGUGAUUCUAAAUUUUUUGUCCAUUUGUUGUUCUUUUAUCUGAACUCUGCUUCUCAUUUCUUCACUUUUAAAUGCAGGUCAUGUUCCCCAUGUUCCAGGAGCUUGCACCACAUGACCAGGAAGACAAGUGUGGUCAGCACUAUGCCAUCUGUCUUGACCUGAAGAACCAAUGUUUUGAGGUGCUUGAUUCAAUCCGUUCAGAAGCUGAUGCAGAUCUUAUUACGCAUGCCGAAUUCUUCACCAACAACCUCAAAAAGACAUGGAACCGUCACUACGAACAUUCAAAAGUCCAGAUAAGGCAUUUCCCGACUGAGUAUGUCGCGACUGCGAAGCAAGGGAACACGUAAUUUCUUAACCCCCUCCUUCAUGUGCCAUUUACAUCCAUCCAACCCCUCUUUUGUUGCCACAUCUGAAUUGAAGUCUAUCUUUUGCUACGUCUGCCCUUUUUGUGUGUUCACCUGACUCUUUUCCUCGUGCAGGACGGACUGUGGCUUUCACGCGUUGGAAUACUUUGCAAAGUGGGAAGGCAGAAUUGUCCCCGCUAUCACAGCUGCAAUGGUCGUUGAGCUCCGGAAAAUACACACAUGGAACUGGUUGACGAAUAAAGAUUUCAACAAGCGGUCCGGAGCAAGCGAGUUUGUGGAGGAAGCUGUCAAGAAAGUCAUCAAGAGGUACAAGUGAUCAUGCGGCGAUACACACCGGACGCACACCUUACAUUCUGUUGCCGAAUGUAAGGUACUAUCUCUUUUGUUCUCGUCAAAAACUAUGUUCGUGUGCUAUGUUAUGACUGCAACCCCAUGUAGGUUACUAUGUAGUGGUGGUGUGUGAGCGACAUUUGAAUAGUUUCUGUAAUAUAUGUGUGGAUGUGAACCUACUUAGGCGUGACAGCAGAUAUGUUUUUAAUGUUUAUCAUUAUUACUAUGGUUUCGUCGUUUGCAUCACCCGUUUGCUGUUUCGAAUGUGUCAUGAUGUUUUAAAACAUGGCAAAUGUAGUUCAUCAGACAUGUUUAGCGAACGUCAUUGUCGUUGUUAAUUUGGACGUCUUGCUUCUUCUAUUUCAUCACUAACUUCACCGGCUAGCAUGAUAGGUUUGAUCAUGUAGCCACAACCUUUGCUGCGGUUUAUGCAUGUUACGCCUUUUCCAACUUGUUUCCUAUACAUUGCACACAAUACUCUAUGUGUCUCUAAACCGCGUCGUAUUGUCAUGGAAAUAUAUGCCAUGCAGAGUCGUUACAAGUACCAUGGCAUGUUUUCAGUACAGCUAACAUGGCAGAUACAGUACAAACAACAUUGCAGAUCCAGCAUAAUUAACACGGCAGAUACAGUACAACUAACAUGGCAGAUCUAGUACAACUGAAAUGGCAGAUGCAGUACAACUAGCAUGGUAUAUUUGGUACAAAAUAGCAUGGCAUAUUUAGUACAAAAUAGCAUGGCAUAUUUAGUAUUAAAAUAGCAUGGCAGACUAACUACACAUAACAUGGCAGAUUAACUACACAUAACAUGGCAGAUUAAGUACCCAUAACAUGGCAACUGCAUUUAUCCACUCAAUGAAUUUUCCUUCCACUUCCGAUACCCCUCAAGAGUCAAUCUCGCAAUCUCAAAAAAAAAUCUCAUCAUCUAGGGUACAAAAGAAAAUGUCCACAAGGACCAUGUCACGUCGCCCCAAUUUUUGCUCAUGGAUUGCCCGCCCCUUUCUUCGUUUUCUUGUGUUUUGCUUGAAUCUCCAAUCCCCACUUGUACCUUGUCUCUCUUGGACGACCUUUUGUGAUGGAACGGGGUGGGUUCCUGACCUGGGUCUGUGUGCUUGCUGUUCCAGAUCCUAUCUUCGAGUUUUCAGAUGAUGGCCCCAUGGACGAAGGCACACUUGAUGUGCGGGGGAACCGGUGUAAGGCUUCCUCGGCUUUCCUCUUCUUGAUCUCAUCAAGCUCUCUUUUGAGUGCCUUCCUGUGUUUUUCCGUGACUCUCACUGUCUCAUCACUCUUGCACGCUUCAUCAAUUAGCUCAUCAUAGUUCUUUGUCAGCACAAUGUGCCUCACGGCUUCCAUGGUUGACUCAAGUCUCUCAUCAUGCACAGCCAGAACUGCGUGUGUUGUCUGUGGCGCCAACGUGUCGUCAGCGUCCCAAGUCCAUCGCCGCCUUAUGAAAUGGCGGGGCAUUCGUGUCACAGCAUUCAUGUCCAUUACUUUUAGUAUGUGACAACACACAAUGUCGUCCCGUUCGAACUUGCAGCAUUGGCAGUAGUACUCGCCUUCGCCUAUCGAGGCUUUGACGAAGUAGUUCCUUCCUUUGUCCGGGUCUUCAGGUUCUGAAUCUGACAUGCCCAAAAUAGAACACACCUUGAACGUAUCUUCGUCCACCUGGAAAGCCGUGAACAUGCUGGCAUGCUUUAUUUCUUCCUGGAAUCUGCAAGUUUUGUGUGUUUUCUGUUAAACUAUCGCGCUUUUUUCUUGUACCAACUUAUGUUGUCAUGUAAGUAGAAAUACAUUUUUGAUUGAACAUGGCAAACAUAGUUCAUUCAACAUGGAAAAUAUAGUAUGUUGAACAUGGCAAAUGCAGUACACUGGACAUGGCAAAUGCAGCACACUAGACAUGGCAAAUGCAGCGCACUAGACAUGGCAAAUGUAGUACAUUUUCAACUGGCCAACGUCAUUUCCCACACGAACAUUCCCCAACGGAAGCACAUUGCAUAUAACAUGGCAACUGCCUUUUUAGUUAAACAUGGCAUCUACAGUUGGCUAAACAUGGCAAUUGCAUUUCAACAAACAUGGCAGAUUCACUUUAUUAAACAUGGCAACUGCAUUUCAGCAUAUGUGCCGCCAACAUAACAUUUUUCCAGUUAACAUUGGCACUUGCAUGCCAACAUGCCCCAAUGGAAGCACAGUGCACUAAACAUGGCAACUUCACUUCAUUUAACAAGGAAAUUGCACCCGCGUAAGCAUGGCAAAACAGAAUUUUCAUUGAACAUGGCAACUGCAGCUGAGUAAGCAUGGCAAAACAGUAUUUCAUUAAACAUGGGAAUUGCAUAUCAUGGCAACUGCAUUGCACCCUUUAAGGUACCUACUGCCUAUGUGCUUUUUUCUGCAAAUAAGACUGUAACACAACUGACUUACUUGUUAAAGAUCUUGUUCGUGUAUAUCUUGCUCAUUUGCCUCUCCAUCGGUAAAUACGUUAGCAAUUUUGGCUGCUUUAGUGCUGUGGUCGCUUCUUGCUGUAGCUCAGAUUUGUUGCAAAGCUGUGUACUGCUUGGAAAAUUGUAGCAAUGAGUUGCCAGGGCUGACGUACCGCUUCAAAACAGCAUUGAACCCCUCGCUGCGCUGCGUAGUCUGCAGAAAUGGGAAGAAGCACUGCAUGAAGUAGGCCGGCACCUAGUACAUUCGCUUCUCCCACAGGUUAGCAAGUGUCUCAUUGUCUUGGACUUGAUGUGUUUCAAUCAUGGCCAUCCAGCUCCUUUCAAACUCCUCCACUGUCAAGCUGUGGUCCACGCACAGCUCGAAUGCCUUGUGCAGCUCUGGACGGUUAGCAAAGAAUGGUCCUAGUGUCUCCUCAGCCUUCUUUAUAAUGUGCCACCUGCAGUGCCUGUGCACUGCCAACGGAAAGACCUCCUCUAUGCCUGCACGCAUGCUGAAAUCUUGGUCUGUUAUUAUGUUCAUCGGAGCAAGUCCAUCCAUGCACUCCAAGAAGGUCUUGAAUAGCCAAACGUACCCAUCCGUGUCUUCAUUCCGGACAAGCCCGCAGCCGAACUGCAACGACUGAUUAUGGUUAUUUAUUCCUAUGAACGGAGCGCAUGGCAUCUUGUACAUAUUGGUUAGGUACGUCACGUCUAAUGAAAUGCAAUCUCAGAAAUGUUUGUAGGCUCUCCUUACAGCACCAUCCACCCAAUACAUGUUCCUGACACGGUCCUCAUCGUCCAACCUUAUCCUGUAGAAGAAAUCUGGAUCUUCCUUCGCUUUCUCAUCGAAGUAGGCAAUUGUGGCCUAUAUGUCUGCCAACUUGCUCUCUCUACGGUACUUGGUCUGUAGGUUUGUGACGUCAGCUGGUAUGUACGGCAUGCUACUCAGUUUCCCCUUUUUGCUGUGGAUGAGAGAUAGUAUCUGUAUCAUUCUUGAUGGACCGACAUUACAAUCAUGUAGCAGCUUUACGAAUUGCCUUUCGACGGGGGUGAACCCUCUGUGGGCGGUCAGAAAUUUUACCAGGUCGAACUUCUUUAUGAGUUGGUGGUUGUGCUCGUUAAAAUACUCAUUGACCACCCACUGUCCUCCAUCUACGUUUAGCUUACACCGGACGAGACACUCUGUCUUGAGAAUGACACCUCUCUUUCGUUCCGGAAUGACAGGCGCAACACCUUUCCCCUUCUUGUUCCUCCGUGCCUUGUGGCACCUCAUCUAACCUCUGCUGUACUCGUUAGUUGUCUUAAUUUUUCUGUGGUACUCGGUGUUGACCGCAAAUCCAUGAAACUUUGCAUAUGUUUGGUAGUAUUCCUUUGCUUCUUCGAACGAUUCAAAUCUCUGUCCAAUGUACGGUGGCUUAGGUACCAUGAUCUCUGAUUGCCCUCCAUCUUCAUCCCCUUGUGCGUCGUCGUCAGUUUCAUCAUUCACUUCAGUAUCGACGGCAGUUCCAUCUUCUUGAGUGUUGGCAGUGCUUGUGUUCAAAGGGGUGCUUGUCGGCAUUGCUGGAAUGAUUGCCAUUCCCGACUCUGACUCGAAAUUGUUUGCGGCAUGAUUGUCUGCUGGCUGGUGGAACACGUCUUCCGUGCGCUCAGAGAUCCCCGCAGUAGAUGUUCCCGCGCCACUGUUCACUAUAGUUGUAGGCCCUGUAAUAGAAAAAACAGGUACGAGAGUAAGAUUUUUGUUUGAAUAACAUGUGUAUCGCAACGGAUCACAUCAUCUUCGAGUGAUUUGGCAUGACAUCAUUUCAAAACAGCAAGCCGUGAGGCUGCGCUUGGACAUGUAUGGCAGCUGUAUCUGUCCAGCCAUGGCAGCUACUGUUCAACAAACAUGGCAACUACUAUUUUGCCUACCAAUAACUACAAAUAACAAAUGUAGUGCUGUUUCUGUGGUUCAGUUUUUCUCCUUACCUUGCUGUGCUGCAUUUGACCAUCUUGUGUGGUCUGUGACACCAAAAUGACGUGCUCCACCUGCAGUUUGUGAAGCUUUCCACGAGACGUUUGUCGGGUUACCACCAGCGUAAUAACCUGUAAUCAUAGUAGUGGUUGGUCAAUUCAUGGCAAAUGCAGUUUGUGCUAGCACGACAUCUGCAGUUGCCCCUGAUGUGGCAACUGCAGUUUUACUGGCAUGGCAACUGUAGUUGCAUCUGUAUGGCAACCGCAGUUGUUCCUUCAUGGCAGCUGCAGUUGCCAUGGCAUGUCAAAUGUAGUUGUUCCUCCAUGGCAACUACAGGUGUCUAUGGAUGGCAACUGCAGGUGUCCAUGGAUGGCAACUGCAGGUGUCUAUGGAUGACAAGUGUAGUUUUUAAAUCAUGUCAAUUGUAGAUGUCUAGUCAUGGCAAUUGUAGAUGUCAACUAUGCUCCUUCUGCUAAUUUGAGCAUCCGCAACUUCACUUUUUUUGUGGACUCACCUGUGUAUGACGUCGAUGGCAGGUACAUGGGUGCUGCCUGAUGCCACGUGCUGCAUGAACGCUCUGCAUUUUCACCCGUGAAAACUCAUGAGUCCUUUUGCCAGUUUUUUUGCAUGUUCGUUUUUUCACGUGCACAGCAGCAUGUGCUCUUUUUUCAUUUUGCAUUACCUCGAUAAGCCGUACUAGCUAGUUGAAGUUGGCUGCCCGCACAUUUGUCAGUGUUAGCGCCUUGUGACUAAACUUGCAACGGGGGCCCCCUAAGAGUGUUUUGGUCAUAAGAACCUGCGAAAAAAUGAGAGUGUACGACAUAAAUAGAAUGUCAUCUUCAUCGUUGCGAAGAUGGCAACUGUUCUCUUCUUUUGUUAUCACACAUCAUACCUACGCCUGCAUACUGUUCUAGUAGUGGCAGCAACGGCCCUGCAGAGAUGAGUUGACUGUACUCUAAUGCAUCCCAAGGGGGCGUUUCUGGCUUUUGAGAACCCCAAGCAUCAGCGCCAUCUUCGUGAUUCAUUCUUUUCGUGUCUCGCUUCUUUCUGAUGUGCUCUGAAUCACUGGAUGAACAAGAAGGCAUCAACAAUCCACAAGAAUUGCAUUCUUCUGCUGCUUGCCCAUAGAAGAUGGGGAUGGCAAGCAAAAGGUCAAAAAAGGUGGCAGCUACUGACAACGAAAGGUGGCAACUGCCGUUACACACAAGUGGCAAUUAAUUCCCCCCCCACCCCUUCAUUCCAAAAAUUGUCCUUCCUGUCCUUUUUUAGGGAUUCCUACUCAUCCAUUUCAUACGCAACUACCUGCGUCAAUUAUACUAGAAACUUAAGUUAAGCUCAACACGUAGAUCACAAAACUACUGGAUCUCAGAACUACUGGUGUUGCCACCCCCGUAUAGCAUGGAUCCAGUACAAGAUCGGGGAGAUUUUCCAGCCUGAAUGAUGAGAAGGAUGAGAUAGGGAGAUCUUCACCUGAUUUUAGCUGAUCAUCUCUGAAGGGCUGGUUGGAGUGGGGGGCUGGGGUGGGGAGGGUUGGGGUGUGGUUUGCGGUGGGUUUGCCCUACGGACCUGCUCUGGUUGCCAUGGCAACUAGAGAAGGCCGGCGACGGAGGUAGGGGUCGAGAGGUUGGGUACGAUGGCGGCAGUCGAGAGAGGCGAUCGAGCAGAGGACGGGAACGGCUGGGUCGUGCGGGCAGCGGGUCAUGUGGCCCGGACGGGGCAGUGCGGGCGGGUUGCCACGCACCGGACGUGCGGGCCGUGGUUUUGUGCGCGCGGAUGUGGUCGUGCGGGCCGGUUCCCGUCCAUGCCACACGAGGCGUGCGGGCGGGUUCCCGUCCAUGCCACACGUGUGGCAGUUAUUCGGACCCGUAAAAUAAUGAUAUUUUGGUUCCUGGAUAACUCCUUCCUCCAAAUCGCAUUCAGGUGACCCUUCUCCACUCUCAAAUCCUCCUUCUGGGACCGAAGAUUUGGAGGGCCGCAUCUCAAGUUCUCAAACAAAUAAUAGGGCAUGUAGAAACCAAUCCAAUCCUCCUGCAGCAGAGAGGGAGCUGCAUGAGCGCGACCACGAACAGAGCACAACAACCAUCCGCUUGUGUGAGAAAGCUGAAUCAGAGGACCAAAUCAAAUAGAGACAGACGCAUGGAGGAGGUGAAGAGGGACGAGAAGGCACCUUGACGAGCUCCGUGGCAUCGGCGUCCCGAGAAGAAGCACACGGACGGGGGACGGCUGGUGGGCGGAGCGACCGCUCACGGACGGGAAGCUCGGGCGCGGGCUCAGCAGCCUCGCGGUGCCGGCGGGGGGAGGAAGUGGCAGCUGACGCCGGCCAUCGUCGUGGCUCUCCCUGCCGGCUGCCGCUUGCUUCUCCCCACCGCUUCCAGCUGUCCACCCCGUCGUGGCUCUCCCUGCCGGCUGCCGCUCGCUUCUCCACACCGCUUCCCGCUGUCCGCCCCUGCUCUCUAUGGAGACGAUCUGAGCCCAAUCUGGACCAGGCGACAACCUAAGCCCGAUCUGGACCAGGCGCCGUCGACGGAGGAGGGAGGUGGAGGGGCUACGCCGAGGGAGAGGAAGAGGAAAAGGAAGAGAAGGAGGCGGCGGGAGGAAGCAAGCGCUCGGGACCUUAUCCCUUCCCUCAUCGCUACAGUAACGCGCGCACGACGAAUAAAAGGAGACGUGGCCACGGGCGCUAGUUGGGCGCACUGGCGCGCACUGGCUCAUCCUUUAUAUGUUCAAUAUUCGUAUGGCAUUGAUUCACAUAAUAUUUUGUUGUAUAUUCCCCGGCAUCCAUGUCCCAAGGCCUGCCACCCAUCCACCACACGACACACCGACCCCCAAUGGUAGGGUAAAAUGUCGUCUUUCCACACCUAGCCCAUCGUCAGUCCCCGGAUCUAGGUCAAAACCUCCACCGUAGGUGGCGUCAACGCCUACAUCCCCAACCAGUCUCGGUGGACCUGGGGCAUGACCCAAGACUGCCGACGGCCACCACCAAGCCGGGCUUGCACGACAUGACCGGACAGCAUUGUCAGGACCACCACUACAACUCACCACACCCGCGAGGACAAUGCUCAUGGGUACAUCCAAGGCCGAGCCCAAGCCUCACCUAUCCGAAAAAACCGCCCCGAUCUACCUCGGGUCCAAAUCCGGCCUGCCCGAGCACAAACCCUAGGCCAGGGGAGCCGCCGUCGUGCGGGCAACUGACCAGCCCCACACGCCACCGGCUCCAACCAGGAUAAGAGGGACCGCAACACCGUCGCCGCACACCACCAGCCAAACCAGGGCCCUCACGUCGCCGGUGUUCGCACCAGCCCGCACUGACGUCCCAACCCAUUGUAGCCGGAUCACCGCCAGCGAGUAGGAACCAUCGCCGCCACCAGCCGACAGGGCGACAACCUCCAACCCGCGCCGCAGCAGCCCAAGCACGUCCCUCCUCCGUCGAUGUCCGCCACGUGGCUCGCACCAGCGCACUGCCGCUACGCCUUCCCGACGCCGUGCCGUCGCGCACCACCGCCGUGCCUCGCUCUAGCCCAGGUGUGACACCCGGAUAAUUAAGUUACAGUAAACCUCUGUUAAUGAUGCCACGUCACCACGGUUACUGUUCCUAAACCCGCAUCAGUUCGAAACCCGGUUCAAAUUUCAAAUUUAGAAUAAAGGCAAACAAUAAAAGUUUUCAAAUAUUAAAAACUAAAUGUUCUGGUGGAGCCGAAUAAUGCAUAGGUAAUUAUGGUGGAGAAACCACACUUUUAUAAAAUGCUUAAAUAAUCUAAAAUGAAUAAAACAGUAGCAAAACCAAUAUUUAAAUGCUUUUAUAAUUAAUAAAAUACUAAAUUAAAUUGUUUUGGGAUAAAGCCUUUUGUGGCAGUGGGUUUCAUGGUAUUACUAAUUUAGGGAUCAUUUUAAUAUUAAGUAAAAAAGUAAGCUUAAAAAAAGUAAAGUAAAAACAAAAAGGAAAUAAAUAAGAAAAAGGAAAAAAUAUAAAGGUAAGAAAAAGAAAGAAAAGAAACAACCCCCCCACUGGACCACCCAGCCCAGUUGGCCAACCGGCCGGCCCGGCCACCCCCUGGCCUAUAUGGCCUCCCCAGCCCACUACCAAACCCUAACUCCUCCCGUCCCUAUCCCCAUCUCUCCCUCAUUCCCACCUCGCGCCGCCAACGACGAGCGAGAGCGCUCCCGCUCGACCCCGUAGCUCCUCCCGCCAGCCACGCCCUGCUCCUCCCCUGAGCUUGCCUCUCCCUCCCCUGCACCCACCUCUGUCGCCACUCCCGCGCCAGUACCCUCCCCCGCCGACGCCUCGCCAAGCCCGACGCCGCCCGUUGUCAUCGCCGGUGCCAGGCGCUGCCUCGCCUGCGCUGCCCCACCGCCGCCGCCCUGCGCCAGAUCGACCUCGCCGUGGCCUCCUCAUCUCCUCCCCACGGGUCGUCCCCGAGCCUCGCCGCCCCGCUUCUCUUCAACGCUGGUUAGGCCAUCGGCCUCUCCCCCUCGAUCUCUGUCGUCGGCUCCAUUCACUGCCCGCGCGCGCAUGACCCCGCGCCCGCUNNNNNNNNNNNNNNNNNNNNNNNNNNNNNNNNNNNNNNNNNNNNNNNNNNNNNNNNNNNNNNNNNNNNNNNNNNNNNNNNNNNNNNNNNNNNNNNNNNNNNNNNNNNNNNNNNNNNNNNNNNNNNNNNNNNNNNNNNNNNNNNNNNNNNNNNNNNNNNNNNNNNNNNNNNNNNNNNNNNNNNNNNNNNNNNNNNNNNNNNNNNNNNNNNNNNNNNNNNNNNNNNNNNNNNNNNNNNNNNNNNNNNNNNNNNNNNNNNNNNNNNNNNNNNNNNNNNNNNNNNNNNNNNNNNNNNNNNNNNNNNNNNNNNNNNNNNNNNNNNNNNNNNNNNNNNNNNNNNNNNNNNNNNNNNNNNNNNNNNNNNNNNNNNNNNNNNNNNNNNNNNNNNNNNNNNNNNNNNNNNNNNNNNNNNNNNNNNNNNNNNNNNNNNNNNNNNNNNNNNNNNNNNNNNUGCCCUGCUCGCCAGCCGGACCUCGCCGUCCCGCAGCUGCGCACUGUGCCCAGGGCGCCCUCGUUGCUCGCCUACCUCGUCGGCCCCGCGCAGCUUGCCGCCAGUGCCCGCCGCUCCCUCUAGCCGCUACUGCCGCGCUGCCGCCUCCCUGCCACCGGCCCCACCCGACUGGCCGAGCUCCGCCGCCUGGCCGCGCCUGGGGCCAGCACCGUGUGCCUAUGUCGUUCGGGCGAUGCCCGAAACCCGCAUGCCCAACGCCCGUGAGCCUCCCCCAGAGCCACUAACUAGGAGGCCCCACCCGAGAACAAAUUUUAAAAAAAGAGUUAAAAUAAAUAAAUUAGUAAUUAAUUAAUUAAUUAGUUAAUUAAGUUAAUCAAUCCUAUUUCCCUAAUCUAAUCAAAAUUAAUUAACCUAAUCAUUUAGUUAACUAUUUAACCAUGUUUAAUUAACCUGAGACUAUGACGAACGGCCCCCACGUGCCAGGGUUGACCUAGUCAACCUGUAGACCUGCUGACAUCAUGCUGAUGUCAUGCUGAACCAAUAAUUACCUUUUCUAAUUAAUUAAAAUCUGUUAAUUCCAAAAUUGAAUUAAAACUUUAAAAAUUAAUAUAAAAUAAUCCAUAACUCGGAUGAAAAUACUUUAUACAUGAAAGUUGCUCAGAACGACGAGGCGAAUCCGGAUACGCAACCUGUUCACCCGCCACACAUCCCUAGCAUAGAAAACACACAACUUUCCCCCUCCGGUUCAUCUGUCCGAAAAUGCGAAACACCGGGAAUACUUUCCCGGAUGUUUCCCCCCUUCGCCGGUACCACCUCCUACCGCGUUAGGGCACACCUAGCACCGCGCAUUGUCAUGUCUUCCAUCGUCAUGCUUAUGUUUGUAUUAUAUUUAUUGUUUCUUUCCCCUCUUCUGUCGUUAGACACCGAGACCGACGCCGCUGCUACCCAGUACGACUAUGGUGUUGACGACCCCUCCUUCUUGCAAAGCAACCAGGCAAGCCCCCCCCCCUCCUUAAUCACCAGAUAUCGCCUAUUCCUUCUCUCUAUUGCUUGCAUUAGAGUAGUGUAGCAUGUUACUUCUUUCGGUUAAUCCUAUUCUGAUGCAUAGCCUGUCAUUGUUGCUACAGUUGUUACUCUUACCUGCAAUCCUAAAUGCUUAGUAUAGGAUGUUAGUAUUCCAUCAGUGGUCCUACAUUCUUGUCCGUCUGCCAUGCUAUACUACUGGGCCGUGAUCACUUCGGGAGGUGAUCACGGGCAUAUGCUAUAUAAUGUAUACUGUUACAUUACUUAUGAUACUGUUCGGAGAUGGGGGCUGAAGGGGCAGGUGGCUCCAUCCCGGUAGAGAUGGGCCUGGGUUCCCGACGGCCCCCGACUGUUACUUUGUGGCGGAGCGACAGGGAAGGUUGAGACCACCUGGGAGAGAGGUGGGCCGGGCCCUGGUCGGCAUUCGCGGUUACUUCAAAAUAACACGCUUAACGAGAUCUUGAUAUUUGAUCUGAGUCUGGCCACUGGCCUAUACGCACUAACCAACUACGCGGGAACGGUUAUGGGCACUCGACGUCGUGAUAUCACCCGAAGCCUUCUUGAUGUCAGCGACUGAGCGGCGCGCGCCGGAUUGGACUGGAACGCCUGCUAGGCUAGGUAUGCUUCUGGCCGCGUACGAAACGUGUAGGUGUGCAAUGGGUGAUGGGCCCAGACCCCUGCGCGCAUAGGAUUUAGACCGGCAUGCUGACCUCUCUGUUGUGCCUAGGUGGGGCUGCGACGUGUUUAUCUUCCGCGGCCGGGCAUGACCCAGGAAAGUGUGUCCGGCCAAAUAAGAUCGAGCGUGUUGGGUUACGUGGUGCACCCCUGCAGGGAAGUUUAUCUAUUCGAAUAGUCAUGUCCCUCGGUAAAAGGAUCACCCGGAGUUGUACCUUGACCUUAUGACAACUAGAACGGGAUACUUAAUAAAACAAACCCUUCCAAGUGCUAGAUACAACCCGGUGAUCGCUCUCUAACAGGGCAACGAGGGGAGGAUCGCCGUGUAGGAUUAUGCUAUGCGAUGAUACUUGGUGAACUUACCAUCUACUCUCUUCUACAUGCUGCAAGAUGGAGGCUACCAGAAGCGUAGUCUUCGAUAGGAUUAGCUAUCCGCCUCUUAUUCUGGCAUUUUGCAGUUCAGUCCACCGAUAUGGCCCUUUACACAUAUACCCAUGCAUAUGUAGUGUAGCUCCUUGCUUGUGAGUACUUUGGAUGAGUACUCACGGUUGCUUUUCUUCCUCUUUCCCCCCUUUCCCUUCUACCUGGUUUUCGCAACCAGAUGCCGGAGCCCAGGAGCCAGACGCCACCGUCGACGACAACUCCUACUACACCGGAGGUGCCUACUACUACGUGCAGCCCGUUGACGACGACCAGGAGUAGUUUAGGAGGAUCCCAGGCAGGAGGCAUACGCCUCUUUCAAUUUGUAUCCCAGUUUGUGCUAGCCAUCUUAUGGCAACUUGUUUAACUUAUGUCUGUACUCAGAUAUUGUUACUUCGGCUGACUUGUCUAUGAUCGAGCACUUGUAUUCGAGCCCUCGAGGCCCCUGGCUUGUAUUAUGAUGCUUGUAUGACUUAUUUAUGUUUUUAGAGUUGUGUUGUGAUAUCUUCCCUUGAGUCCCUGAUCUUGAUCGUACACGUUUGCGUGCAUGAUUAGUGUACGAUUGAAUCGGGGGCGUCACAUCCGGGAACAUGCCCGCGAUGCCCCCUCGCGCGGGAGGACGCCAGGGCCCUGCUGGCACCGGCACCGGUCAAGCUUUGCACGGCGGUUCCCACUGGCAGCGGUGAAGCAGGGGGGAGAGGAGGAGGGGGAGGGGUGUGACGUGAUCUUGGUCGCCCUUCCUGUCGCAUCGCGGGGGUGACGCAGGACGGGUCAGGGGACCGUGGAGUUCAGGAUCAUCAGGCUAAUACAUAUAAUUAUUAUAGGUGCUUCGUCUUUAAUAAAGUUCAUCCGUUCCAAAACAUGUUCAUUUUAUCUUAUUUUUCCUUUUUGCUUCUUUUUUGUUCUUUUGGUUCUUUUAUUUGCAUGUACUUAUUUAAUUUUUGGCCCUUUACAUUAUCCAUUUCUAUUUAUUUUCCAUCGUGUUUUUAGAAAAAAGUUCAUAUGGUAUUUAUGUUAGAAUAAAACGCUAAUGCAAGAUCAUAGACGACAAACCGAGGCACGAUAUGGCUACAUCCCCGGGGCAUGACUACGGGCGCUCCUCCCCAAGAUACCGCAACACCGGCCGCCCGGGCGCCGGCACAAGCCGUCGGCUCCCCGCGUACCUGUUGCUAUGAAGUCGUCAUGGGUUAUAACGUGUGGUGCCCCUUCGUAUAUAAGAGGCCUAGGAUACAAGUGUCCGACUCCUACACAACUCGUACCUAACCACACCAAUUACAACUCCAAGUCCACGUAACCCCUUGCGUACAUAGUAUAUUCGACAUAAAUAUAACAAACUCCACCUUGGCGAAUAUUCUCCACCACUUAGAAGUCGUCCAUGCUCGAACCUCCAUGUACUCCGGACUUGGGUUGUCUCCUUCAUAGCUUACUGAGAGCUACCCGACGGGCCAGACCUGCCGCCACAGUGGGACUCCACUGCUACUCCUGCAACUCCACUCUCCAUGGCUCCACCUGCACUAGUGCUCCCUUGCAACUUGUAAAGAUGCAAAGCUGUCCUCUCUCCUAUCAUCACAGUCACCCCAUCUUCCAUGAUUUCCAUGGUCUUCGUAUCCCGAUCACAACGGAAUUCCAUACCACCAUCAUGAAGAACACCAAGCGAAAUUAGAUUCCUCCUUAGCCCUGGCACAUGCCUGACUCCCCGAAGCAUCCGCUCAACUCCGUCAAACAUCUUGAUUUUGAUGUCACCUACUCCAGCAACACGAUAACCUGUAUCAUCGCCCACAUAGGCUAAACUAAACUCACCAGACUUGUACGAAGAGAACCACUCCUUGUUGGGCGUCGCAUGAAAAGAGCAAGCUGAAUCCAACAUCCACGCUUCAGCUUUUGUUGACCGCAAGUUUGAUACUACGAGAACAUCACUACUGCUGUCUGAGUCAUCACCAUGAGUAGCCGCAUUAGCACUUGCCCCACCCUUCAGUUCUGGGCAUUCCCUCUUUAUAUGUCCCCAGUCAUUGCACCUGUAGCACUGCACCUUUUUCUUCUUUUUCUUCUCCGCCUCUUGUCCCUUCCUGAGCUGAUAACCUUUAACUGCCAACCCCAAACCUUGAGUACUCUCCCUUUCUGCAGCAUUCUUUUGCUUCAUCAACUCAUGUCCAAGUAACGCCGCAAUGACUUCCUCAUUAUUGAUGGUUGUCUUUCCAUGUGUCAAUGUAAUGACCAAAUGCUCAUAGGGCGGUGGCAACGAAACAAGAAGAAGUAGUGCCUUAUCCUCAUCCUCAAUCUUCACAUCCAGACGCACUAGAUCCAUGACCAAUUGAUUAAAGGCGUUCACAUGCUCCACAAGAUCCGACCCCUCCUGCAUCUUCAGCCCAUAGAACUUUUGCUUCAAAUACAGCUUAUUGGUCGCUGACUUGGACAUAUAACGAUUUGCCAACUUGUCCCAAAUUCCCUUAGGAGUAUCUUCGUCCAUGACAUGAUACAUGACCUGAUCCACAAGACAAAGCCGUAUGGUAGCGGCCGCCUGCACUUGCAUAUCCUCCCACACAUCGUUGUCAACCUUGGCCGGCUUCAUCUCCUGCAAACCCUUCAAGAUUCCCUGCUGUGCUAGAAUAUCCUUGACUCUUGUCUGCCAUAGACCGAAGUUACCCGUGCCAUCGAAUUUCUCCAAAUCAAACCUGGUGAAUCCCGGCGCCAUGCCGAGCCACGAUCUAACCGACCUGUUGUCGCCGGUCUGACCACCCUUGUUUUCCUCUGCAACUUCCUCAUGAAAAAGAACACUGAUCCCGUAUUCCUCGUCUGAAGCCACGACGCAGUCCACGAUCUACCAAGAAAUCUGACCCGCACAAGCCACAAACCUCUGUGUCCGCCCUCCAGAAAAUCACUGUGAAACCUGUCGCCGUAACGCAGAUCAACUUGCUCUCUGCCAAAACUCGACUGUUCCACCUUUUCCUGAAACUGCAGACUGUUUUAUGUGCGUCCGCUGCCUCGUCGCACUAGCCUUUUAUUACAGCUGGAUACCCGGCCCUUAUUUUCCUUUCUCCACACGGAAACUGAUUCAAGUCUGUCAUGAUUUGUCCGGUCUUGCCAAACCAAGUCUCCCACGGACCUAUGCAUGCACACGUCUCUUCUUUUCCUUUUCUUUAAGGGUCGCGCUAACUGCCACACGUGUGGCAGGAAAUGAGACGCACCACACGUCUCUAAUGUAAACAGAUUGCCACGUCAUCGCAUGCAUGCAUGCAGGAAUCUUUUUGGAUUUUCAGUUUUUAAAAUGUUUUAUCUCUUAAACGAAAAAUCCGAUUGAAAAUCCGUUUUCACCAUUAAAUCCCUCGCGAUGAGAUCUUCGAAACUAGAUCCCAUGUUGAUAUGUUUUGAUGAAUUUUUUUUUGGAUUAAAAGUUGCCAUGUCUAUUGGAUAUGAAUUGCCAUGAUGUUUACACUGAAGUUGCCGUGAUAUGUUUCAGCUAUUUUCUUCUACUUUUAAAAGUAAAUUUUGACAUUUAUAAAACGGGAAUUAAGAAACUAGACUUGCCAUGAACCAUAAACUAAAAUUGUCAUGAUACAAGCACAUAAAAUUGUCAUGGUUCAUACAAAAAAUAAUUUUCAUGGUCAAAGUACAGGAGUUGCCAUCAUCAAAAUACUAAAAUUGCCAUGAACUACAAACUAAAAUUGCCACAUGGCAACUUUAGUUUAAGCCCUAUGGCAACUGCAGUGUAAACAUCGUGGCAACUUCUGGCAAAAAAAAAAAAAUCGUCGAAAUAUAUCAACAUGGGGUCUAGUUUUGAAGAUCUCGUCGAGACGGAUUUAAUGGUGAAAACGGAUUUUUAGUUCGCUUUUUUAUUUAGGAGAUACAACAUUUUUAAGCCGAAAACCAAAAAAAAUUCUGCUGAUGUCAUCUAUUCAUGCGUGGCAAAAUGAGUGGUGAUGGAGGCGUGUGGGCGAUGUACAAACGCCCACAUGUGUGGGUGUUAACAUUUCCGUUCUUUAAUCAUCAUGACUAGCAGCAGGCUUGUCCCCUGACGAACAUGCACACCCAUCGCACGUAUCACCUUGUAAAUUUGAUCCGCUGACUGCAUGCAAGUUAACUCCCUAGACUCCUGCCUCAUCACGAUUUUAUCUUUCCUUGAGUACGUUGCACCCUAUCCGAUGAAACCUGCACCCUUGACCUUCCUUUGCCGCUGCUACUGACACCAGUUGCCACACGCCUCCUGGGAGGCUCCAGCGGCCGUCUCGCGUACGAACGCCAGCAAUUGAAUCCUGACUUUCCUUCUCUCGACUCCGUGUUCAUCGAAAAACACCCGCCGCUAGUUCCGACGACAGCUUCUGUCUCUGAUCUUAGUUCUUCGCCAGCGAUCUAUAACUUGCCCUGUCGCGCACACACCGUACGCCAACCCUGCUGAAACAGACGCCACCUCGCGCAUCGUCCGUGCACGAGCCGUCCCGUACCCUGGCCACCCGCGUCGCCGACACAAUCCGUCCGCAGUGCCGCGUCGCCGCCCUUGUACAACACCGAGCGCAUCAUCUCGAUGCUCUCCCACUCCGAUCUAUCCGGCCGUCCCCCACAUCUGGUCGCCGGUCUGAUCGCGAGCCGAAACCGUCGCCUCCGCAACGUCUUCAACAGCCACUACGUCGGUCCGAUCGUCACGUCUAGCCGAUCCUUACCGACUGCAGCCCAUCGAACGGUCUAGGCCUCCUGCCCGAAGUGUCCGACACCCCCGACCGCCUCCGCGAUCGCCGCCAUGCUCCACCUUGCACCAAUCGGACAUUCCUUGGCACCCGUCGAGCAUGAUCCUCGUACCUCCGGAUGAUCUUCCGCAUAGCCUUCUCGCAACCUUGCUCUGAUACCACUUGUUAGAAUAAAACGCUAAUGCAAGAUCAUAGACGACACACCGAGGCACGAUAUUUGUUAACGAGGUUCACCGGGAGCCAUAUCGGUGAACCUCGUUAACAAAUAUCGUGCCUCGGUGUGUCGUCUAUGAUCUUGCAUUAGCGUUUUAUUCUAACAAGUUAUAAUAUAUCCAUGGUGUAUUUAAAAAAUAUUCAUUAUCCGUGAAACAGGAUCUCCUACUAAUUUCCUUUUUGAGAUCUCCUUUUUUUUAGAAUCAUUGAGAUCUCUCCUAGUGGACGCUCCCUGCGUCCAAUAGCGGAGCGAGGCAAACAGGGCGCAGCUGGACCGAGCCGGCCCGUUGGCGACAAUAUUACUGUAAGCUGUAGCUGCGGUUCAAAUAAAAAAAGAAACACAUGUUCAUAAAAUGGACACUUUCUGGAAACGUGAAAUUAUUUAAAUUUUGUGAUUUUUUUAAAAGGCAAUUCUUUUUGAAUUUUGUGAAAAUUUCUCAAAAGUUAUGAUAUUUUUUUGAACUACAAACACUGUUUUUAAUUCUUUAAAUUUUCAUUUCAAUUUCAAUUUUUUAUUUUCGAAAUUCCAAGUUACCUGAGAAAAUCCGAAUGUUUUUAGAAACACGAACGAGUUGGGAAACAUGAAAAAGCAAGUUAAAUUCUGAACAUUUUACAAAAUGUCAAACAAAAAAUUGAAGUCUGAACAGUUUUUGAAGGUUUUGAUAAUUUUUAAAAAGGAGAUUUGUUUAAAUUCAGAAGGUUCUUUGAAAAUGCGAACAGUUUUUGAAAAAUAUGAACAACAAAUUUAAAUUUCAAGAAUUUUAUGGAAAAGCGAACAAUUUUUGAAGAUUUUGUUUUUCUAAUUUGUGAAUUUAUGGAAAAAUAAAUAAAAUGGAAACAGGAAAAGCUAAGAAAAAGGAAAAAAACUGAACAAUAAAAAUAGGAAAAACUAUGAAUCUACACUUGUAUGCAAGCGAGCCAUCUACAUGAGCUAGCACGGAAUAGCAAGGCAAGCACGGAAUAACAAUCCGUUCUAGCUGGUAGGAGAUUCGCGCAGCUUUGGCGCUAAUUAAUAUAUGCGCCUCCUUGCUUUAGUCUUUUUCAUUCAUAUUAGAGUAAACUCAAAGGGGAGGAGAAUUGCACUCUCCUCUCACAACUGGAGAGAAGAAAAAGUUUGAUUAAAUUGCUAUACAAGCCAGAUGUGUGAUACGGCCAAACACACCUUAAUUCAGUCAUGCCCAUCCUAGAAGUUCUGUGGGUGUUUAAAGUGAAAAGGUAUGAUAGAUAGAUCUACUAUUACUGUGUUGCACUACUACUUGGCAUAGUUUCUAUCAGUUUGGUGUACUCGGCUUUGAUCUUCUCCAGCGUCACAACAACAUCUCGCAUCGUCAUCCUCUGAUCAGGCAAGUCGCUUGAGCAAAGCAAACCCAACUCAAAGACCGGCGCAAGAAAACCACUGUGAAAGGUGUUGUUAGCGGAGCCUUGUAGUAGCUGACCGUCGACAACUUGAACAAGCUCUGCAGGAAAUGCAUGGUAGACCCACUGCCUAAGGGUUAGGUUUGAGCUGAACAUAGCGUCCGUAGGUUUCCUUCUAGUGAAGACUUCAAGGAGCAUGAUUCCGUAGCUGAAUACGUCGCUAUUCCGCGAUGCUUUUCCAUGCAACCCAUACUCUGCUCAACAAAAACGUAAACGGAAAUUAGACAUAGUUUCUUAUUCAUGAUUCUAGAGUGGAUCCAUGAUUUCUCAAUGGUUUAACAAACACUUGAUUGAGCAGUAUAGAAAGAGCUAGUGAAUUAAGCAACUGGUGCCAUGUACCCAACUGUUCCAUGCAUGUUCGCACUUAUCAUGGAGUUGCCAUCUAAAAUCAACCUUGCAAUGCCAAAGUCCGCCACAUGCACUGUCAUGUCAUUGUCAAACAACACGUUGCUAGGCUUCAAGUCACAAUGCAAGAUCAGUGCGGAAUGCUCAUGGUGCAGAUAAUCCAUUGCCUUCGAUACAUCGAGCAUGAUAACCAGUCUCUCAAUGAAUCCCAAGCUAAAUGCACUCUGAGACUGGUGUAGGAGCUUGUCUAAGCUUCCAUUUGGCAUAUACGGAAGCACUAGUGCUCUAAUGUCAAGGUUAGAACAUGUGUUGAGUAUCCUUAUCAAGUUGCGGUGUCGCACCAUGCGAAGCACUCCACACUCCACAUCAAAACUUCGAAUGGCUGGCUCAAGUUGCAUGUCAAGAACUUUUACCGCAACCACCAAACCACAACUCAAUUGACCCUUGAAGACCUUUCCAAAGCUUCCAGAUCCCAAGAUGUUAUCUUCACUGAAACUAUUGGUUGCAUGAACAAGCUCGUGAUAGGAGACUAUUUGAUGGCCUAUGACAUUGGUUGGAUCAAUAGAAAGUUUGUCAUCUCCCUUUUUAAGUUUCUUUCUGAUCUGUAGGUAUAUGCAAAAGGAAAUGGCGCCAAAUAUUAAUGCGAGUGUUGGGAGUAUAAAUUGUAGGAAGUGUCUUUUACUUGAGUGAGAUCUAUCAAGGCAUGGUGAAAAUUGUAGGCGUGGAGCGCCACAGAGCCCAGUAUUCCCAACCAAAGAUUGCAAGGUGAGGUUUGAGAAAACACCUCCCUGGGGUAUUUGGCCUUCUAACCUAUUGAAUGAGAGGUUCAAAGUAGUCAAGUAGAUAAGGUUGGAAAGGAACAUGGGAAUGUUACCAGAUAGAUUGUUAGAUGAGAGGUCUAAUGAUGCUAAGCUUUUUAGCUUAUCAAGUUGACCUGGGAUCGAUCCUUCAAAGGAGUUAUAUGACAGAUUUAGGUAGGUUAGCAUGUUAAGUUGUCCGAAUGAUUCUGGGAUGCUUCCUAUCAAGAUGUUAGAAGAAAGAUCCAUUUUAUAUGUUUGUUUUAGAUUAGAAACAUCAAUUGGUAGUGCACCCGUAAAAGAAUUGUGGGAAAAAUUUAGUUGGAUAAGUUUAUCUAGGUGGAAAAGACUUGCGGGUAUUGUCAAGUUUAGCUGGUUAUUAGACAAGUCGAUGUAUUCUAACAAAGUAAGAUUACUCAACAUGUUUGGUAUAGAGCCCAAGAACUUGUUUGCUUGGAGAAACAACCGUUCUAGACACCCAAGCACACCCAUUUGUGUUGGGAUAGGGCCUAACAUGUUAUUGUAGGAGAGGUCAAGCCAUGCAAGAUUUUCCAACAUAGCGAUGGAUUUUGGGAUUGGACCAGUGAAUAGGUUGUUACUAAGAUCUAUCAAUUGAAGGCUGCUUAUGUUAGAAAUUGCUCAUACGCUCCAUGGACAGAGCAAAAACUACCAUGCGCUACUCGGAAAGUACUGACUAGAGGGGGGGGCGUGUGGAUCCACAGUCCUAGCCAUUCUCACAACGGGAUAAUAAAGCGAACAAAGACCAUGAGAAGAGAUUACAACAUCCAGAACGAAGCCUGUCAAGCCAACCUUCCCUCACUGCGAAAAUGCAACAUCCGGCGUACUCAUUGGCUUUGACCUCAGAUUCAUUACUUGCUAGAGAAGUAGUUUACAUAACUGUCACAGCUCCAAUGCGAUAAGCUUGUUAAUCAGCAAAGUCGCUAGCCUAAAUAAGGAGUUUACAAUCGCUUGACUAUAAAGUAAAGAGCGGCUAAUGGGAGAUUGCUUGAGUAGGCUCAGUAAGGGAUUACCCGCGGGCAGGGUGAAAGAGCUUUCAUUAAUAGUAUGAACUGGUGGAUCAGCAAGAUAGCUAGAGCUCCUUAAAGGAAAGCAAAAUCCAAUUCUAUAUUAUAUCAAACUAUAAAGCAAAGAUGAGGAAGCUGCGCCUUUACUCGCUCGAAUUAGAGGAAAAAGGGGAUAUGCAGCAGUAACAGCUUUUCUUUCAAUAGAAAGCAGGAAAUGCGAAUAAGAGAAGGGUAGAAGAAGCGAUCCGCGCAUUUCCUUAUUUCACAACGGAUUUGACUCGUUAGAGAAAUCAUUUCUUAGGUAUGCUACAUUCUUUGAAGAAAGAGUAGGUUCUGCUAUUUAAGACUUAGAGGAAGUGAUUUCCGGGAACUAGCAGACCAAGCCAAUCAACAAGGAAAGCCUGUCAAGCAAGGAAGCCACCAAGCAAACCUUUAAUAAGCAUCUCUAGCGCAGUCACUUCUCUAUAGAAAGAAAAAACCUGCAGCCAAGACUAGUCACAUUAGUGAAACAAGUGAUUCGCUGACAUUCAAUUCAAAUAGAAAGAGUAGUCACAGCUGCGACAAGUUGCUCUAAGAGGAAGGAGUUGACUUACUUUCAAUUCCUAAUACAGCAAGAGCGGAUUUUUUUCAUGUAGCAUUUCUACCCCUAUAGGAUUUCCCAUCUUAACCGAGAAUGGGUGCCCACCUUGUACGUACCGAGAAUGGGUGCAGCCCACCCCAUCUAAAGUAGCCUGAAAUUCGUUCCUCUACAAUCCAGAGCAGUCCGAACAUGUACCGCGAUCUGGACGGACAAAGAAUGCCGUACACUUGAGUGACCCCCUUUUCUGUGACCACCACCAAAUUCAAAAGAAGAGGUGAGAUCACCCUGCAAAAAUCCUUUGUAGCUCUUAAAAUAUGGGCCAACCUCUCCAUUAAUAUUGAUACUCACUGCACCUCCUUCUACCACUUGUUUAAUCCAACCUCUCCACUUCUCACUAAAGAAAACCCUUUUUAAGCAAAACCUCUUGUAGAAAAUCCCAAUUCACCCUGUCAUAUGCUUUUUCAAAGUCUAGCUUUAGUAUGACCCCCUCUUGUUUAGUCCUCCUAAGCUCAUGAAACACCUCAUGGAUAGUGACCACCCCAUCUAAAAUAUUUCCGUUUUUCAUAAAUGCCGUCUGACUCUUACUCACCACCUUAUCUGCAACUCUCUCAAGCCUAUUUGUCAGUACUUUAGUCACAAUUUUAUAACAAACAUAAUAUAAACAUAUUGGCCGAUAUUGCUUGAUAGUUGCAGCAUCUUUCGUUUUAGGAAUCAGAGUAACCACCCCAUAAUUAAGUCUUCUAAGUUGCAACUCCUCAGCAUGCGGGCUAUCAAGCAUUCUUUUGACCAUCUCUUUAACCAUCUCCCAAAAUUGUUUCUAAAAGAUUACUGGUAAGCCAUCUGGGCCAGGAGCUGUAUUGGUUUUCAUCUCUUUAACUACUAACUCUAAAACCUCCAUAGUGAAAGGCUUAGUCAACUCUUCAUUGUCUAGUUCUGAUAGCAUGUGCUCUGUUGACCAAGGGGCUUCCACCAAGAGAUAUGUCCCCCCUGUCCUCUGAACCAAAUAGUCUCUUAUAGUAACUAGAAAUGUGUUCUUGCAACUCUUUCUCAUCUUGUAUAACAUUUCCUUCAUGUUCCAAAGAAGCAAUAUUACAUUUUAUGUGUCUUCCAUUGGCAGCACUAUGGAAGAAUGAAGUAUUUGCAUCUCCCUCAAGUAACCACUGACAAACUGACUGACAAUGUGGACUGCAUGAGCAAUGUCAGGCCGGGUCACAGUGAGGUACACAAGGCUGCCUACAAGAUGACGAUAGCGAGUGGUAUCUCUCAAGAGGAGUACCAUCACUAGGGCGCAAUUGGAGAUGGAGCUCCAUGGGUGUAGCGGCAGUGUGUGUAUCAGUAAGACCUGAGCGUGAGAUCAAAUCCUGAGUAUAGCGAUGCUGAGAGAGAUAGUAACCAUCAUUAGUUUUAUCAACCUCAAUUCCCAGAAAAUAACGGAGAGAAAAUCAAUCUGACAUCUUGAAUUGCUCACUCAACUUUUUAUUAACAAAAGCAAUGUACUUCUGAUCAUCUCCAGUGAUCAACAUAUCAUCAACAUAGAGAAGAAGCAAGGUACGACCGCGGUCAGAUGUAUGAGUGAAAAGUGCAGGGUCAUGCUCACUAGAAGAGAAACCAGCAGCUUGAACCACAGAGCUGAACCGCUCAAACCAAGCACGAGGUGGUUGCUUUUUUCCCAUAGAGGGCCUUUCGAAGGUGACAAACAUGACCAUCAGGAACUUCAAUACCCAGAGGUGGCUGCAUAUAGAAAAAACUCAUGUAGAUCACCAUGAAGGAAAGCAUUUUUGACAUCCAUUUGAGAGAUUUGCCAAGAUCGAGCUGCAGCCACAGCAAUCAGAGUACGAACAGAAAUUGAAACAACGCAACCGUACUAUCUAUUUACGAUAAUUUGAUUGCUGACAACACGACAACAUCACGCUUCUCUUUCUUAUUCUUAUUUAUAUCACUGUCACUUUACCGGGCCGGAAAAGUGACACCGUCACGUCUCAGGGUCGUAUGCCUGGAACAAGAAGGGUCGUCGUACAAUUUCGGCGAUUACAAAAAAGAAGGAGGCGAGCUCCCUAUCCCUCUUUGUCUUUCCACUUCCCUCGUUCAGGAACAAACACUUCGCCAAAUUCUUUUGAGUCCCGGCCCGGUUUUUCCCCACUAACCAAUUACGUUACGACCACUGAACAAACUUGGUUGACGAACAUGGUUUAUGCGCCGCUAAUCUAGCGGCUUGUCGAGCAUUUGACAAACUCACACCAUCCAUUUCAAAUGGGAUUUGUCCCAUGGACACACGAGCAAUCCAACCCGUCGGAUUUCCUUUUCCUCUUCCCAUUCGAACUUCUGCGGGUUUCCCCGUAAUAGGAAGAUCUGCGAGAACUCUUACCCAUAUCUUACAAUUUCUUCGGAAUUGUCCGCUCAUAGCACGAUGGAAUUGUCCGAUUGUAGCCCGACGCGCUGCUUCAAUGGCUCGAUAUGAAAGACGACCAGCUCUACAACUUUUGGUGCCAUAUCUUCCAAAACCAAGUUGUGUACCAUCCGGUUCGCGACCCCUACUACAUCUGCAUUUAAAAUAUUUACUAUAUUUCGUACGUUUCGGAUAUAGCACGUCCCUUCUUAUUUUGACUAUAUGAGAUCCGCACUUUGACACCUGAAAUUCCAUUACGAGUAGAUACUUCCGCAGGAGCAUAAUCGAUUUUCUGGUUAAAUACAUUACAAGAUGUUUUUCCAUACUUUCCGCAUUCAGUUCUAGCUAUUUCCGCACCCCCUAAUCGACCAGAACAACAAAUACGUAUCCCCUCCACCCCUUUUGGCAUUAUUAAUGGAAUAUCCUUCACUAUUUUACUAAAAAUGGAACGAAAUGAGAUUGGAUUGUUCCUCAGUUGAAAAGAGAUGUCUUGAGCAAUCAGAGAAGCACUUUGAUAAACAGAUUUGAUCUUUACCGACUCAAUUAAGGUAUUAGUGUUUGUUCUAUUAGACAAAAAAGAUCGCAUUUUUUGCACUUCGUUCAAAUAAGAGUUGUACCCGUACGGAAUUAUCCUCUUUCUCAGUAUGAUCUCUAUCAUCAUCUCUAUUCCCUUUAUCAAUUUUCCUAUCCUACCUAGGUCUAUGAAUUUCUCUAUCAAUUCCAUUACCNNNNNNNNNNNNNNNNNNNNNNNNNNNNNNNNNNNNNNNNNNNNNNNNNNNNNNNNNNNNNNNNNNNNNNNNNNNNNNNNNNNNNNNNNNNNNNNNNNNNNNNNNNNNNNNNNNNNNNNNNNNNNNNNNNNNNNNNNNNNNNNNNNNNNNNNNNNNNNNNNNNNNNNNNNNNNNNNNNNNNNNNNNNNNNNNNNNNNNNNNNNNNNNNNNNNNNNNNNNNNNNNNNNNNNNNNNNNNNNNNNNNNNNNNNNNNNNNNNNNNNNNNNNNNNNNNNNNNNNNNNNNNNNNNNNNNNNNNNNNNNNNNNNNNNNNNNNNNNNNNNNNNNNNNNNNNNNNNNNNNNNNNNNNNNNNNNNNNNNNNNNNNNNNNNNNNNNNNNNNNNNNNNNNNNNNNNNNNNNNNNNNNNNNNNNNNNNNNNNNNNNNNNNNNNNNNNNNNNNNNNNNNNNNNNNNNNNNNNNNNNNNNNNNNNNNNNNNNNNNNNNNNNNNNNNNNNNNNNNNNNNNNNNNNNNNNNNNNNNNNNNNNNNNNNNNNNNNNNNNNNNNNNNNNNNNNNNNNNNNNNNNNNNNNNNNNNNNNNNNNNNNNNNNNNNNNNNNNNNNNNNNNNNNNNNNNNNNNNNNNNNNNNNNNNNNNNNNNNNNNNNNNNNNNNNNNNNNNNNNNNNNNNNNNNNNNNNNNNNNNNNNNNNNNNNNNNNNNNNNNNNNNNNNNNNNNNNNNNNNNNNNNNNNNNNNNNNNNNNNNNNNNNNNNNNNNNNNNNNNNNNNNNNNNNNNNNNNNNNNNNNNNNNNNNNNNNNNNNNNNNNNNNNNNNNNNNNNNNNNNNNNNNNNNNNNNNNNNNNNNNNNNNNNNNNNNNNNNNNNNNNNNNNNNNNNNNNNNNNNNNNNNNNNNNNNNNNNNNNNNNNNNNNNNNNNNNNNNNNNNNNNNNNNNNNNNNNNNNNNNNNNNNNNNNNNNNNNNNNNNNNNNNNNNNNNNNNNNNNNNNNNNNNNNNNNNNNNNNNNNNNNNNNNNNNNNNNNNNNNNNNNNNNNNNNNNNNNNNNNNNNNNNNNNNNNNNNNNNNNNNNNNNNNNNNNNNNNNNNNNNNNNNNNNNNNNNNNNNNNNNNNNNNNNNNNNNNNNNNNNNNNNNNNNNNNNNNNNNNNNNNNNNNNNNNNNNNNNNNNNNNNNNNNNNNNNNNNNNNNNNNNNNNNNNNNNNNNNNNNNNNNNNNNNNNNNNNNNNNNNNNNNNNNNNNNNNNNNNNNNNNNNNNNNNNNNNNNNNNNNNNNNNNNNNNNNNNNNNNNNNNNNNNNNNNNNNNNNNNNNNNNNNNNNNNNNNNNNNNNNNNNNNNNNNNNNNNNNNNNNNNNNNNNNNNNNNNNNNNNNNNNNNNNNNNNNNNNNNNNNNNNNNNNNNNNNNNNNNNNNNNNNNNNNNNNNNNNNNNNNNNNNNNNNNNNNNNNNNNNNNNNNNNNNNNNNNNNNNNNNNNNNNNNNNNNNNNNNNNNNNNNNNNNNNNNNNNNNNNNNNNNNNNNNNNNNNNNNNNNNNNNNNNNNNNNNNNNNNNNNNNNNNNNNNNNNNNNNNNNNNNNNNNNNNNNNNNNNNNNNNNNNNNNNNNNNNNNNNNNNNNNNNNNNNNNNNNNNNNNNNNNNNNNNNNNNNNNNNNNNNNNNNNNNNNNNNNNNNNNNNNNNNNNNNNNNNNNNNNNNNNNNNNNNNNNNNNNNNNNNNNNNNNNNNNNNNNNNNNNNNNNNNNNNNNNNNNNNNNNNNNNNNNNNNNNNNNNNNNNNNNNNNNNNNNNNNNNNNNNNNNNNNNNNNNNNNNNNNNNNNNNNNNNNNNNNNNNNNNNNNNNNNNNNNNNNNNNNNNNNNNNNNNNNNNNNNNNNNNNNNNNNNNNNNNNNNNNNNNNNNNNNNNNNNNNNNNNNNNNNNNNNNNNNNNNNNNNNNNNNNNNNNNNNNNNNNNNNNNNNNNNNNNNNNNNNNNNNNNNNNNNNNNNNNNNNNNNNNNNNNNNNNNNNNNNNNNNNNNNNNNNNNNNNNNNNNNNNNNNNNNNNNNNNNNNNNNNNNNNNNNNNNNNNNNNNNNNNNNNNNNNNNNNNNNNNNNNNNNNNNNNNNNNNNNNNNNNNNNNNNNNNNNNNNNNNNNNNNNNNNNNNNNNNNNNNNNNNNNNNNNNNNNNNNNNNNNNNNNNNNNNNNNNNNNNNNNNNNNNNNNNNNNNNNNNNNNNNNNNNNNNNNNNNNNNNNNNNNNNNNNNNNNNNNNNNNNNNNNNNNNNNNNNNNNNNNNNNNNNNNNNNNNNNNNNNNNNNNNNNNNNNNNNNNNNNNNNNNNNNNNNNNNNNNNNNNNNNNNNNNNNNNNNNNNNNNNNNNNNNNNNNNNNNNNNNNNNNNNNNNNNNNNNNNNNNNNNNNNNNNNNNNNNNNNNNNNNNNNNNNNNNNNNNNNNNNNNNNNNNNNNNNNNNNNNNNNNNNNNNNNNNNNNNNNNNNNNNNNNNNNNNNNNNNNNNNNNNNNNNNNNNNNNNNNNNNNNNNNNNNNNNNNNNNNNNNNNNNNNNNNNNNNNNNNNNNNNNNNNNNNNNNNNNNNNNNNNNNNNNNNNNNNNNNNNNNNNNNNNNNNNNNNNNNNNNNNNNNNNNNNNNNNNNNNNNNNNNNNNNNNNNNNNNNNNNNNNNNNNNNNNNNNNNNNNNNNNNNNNNNNNNNNNNNNNNNNNNNNNNNNNNNNNNNNNNNNNNNNNNNNNNNNNNNNNNNNNNNNNNNNNNNNNNNNNNNNNNNNNNNNNNNNNNNNNNNNNNNNNNNNNNNNNNNNNNNNNNNNNNNNNNNNNNNNNNNNNNNNNNNNNNNNNNNNNNNNNNNNNNNNNNNNNNNNNNNNNNNNNNNNNNNNNNNNNNNNNNNNNNNNNNNNNNNNNNNNNNNNNNNNNNNNNNNNNNNNNNNNNNNNNNNNNNNNNNNNNNNNNNNNNNNNNNNNNNNNNNNNNNNNNNNNNNNNNNNNNNNNNNNNNNNNNNNNNNNNNNNNNNNNNNNNNNNNNNNNNNNNNNNNNNNNNNNNNNNNNNNNNNNNNNNNNNNNNNNNNNNNNNNNNNNNNNNNNNNNNNNNNNNNNNNNNNNNNNNNNNNNNNNNNNNNNNNNNNNNNNNNNNNNNNNNNNNNNNNNNNNNNNNNNNNNNNNNNNNNNNNNNNNNNNNNNNNNNNNNNNNNNNNNNNNNNNNNNNNNNNNNNNNNNNNNNNNNNNNNNNNNNNNNNNNNNNNNNNNNNNNNNNNNNNNNNNNNNNNNNNNNNNNNNNNNNNNNNNNNNNNNNNNNNNNNNNNNNNNNNNNNNNNNNNNNNNNNNNNNNNNNNNNNNNNNNNNNNNNNNNNNNNNNNNNNNNNNNNNNNNNNNNNNNNNNNNNNNNNNNNNNNNNNNNNNNNNNNNNNNNNNNNNNNNNNNNNNNNNNNNNNNNNNNNNNNNNNNNNNNNNNNNNNNNNNNNNNNNNNNNNNNNNNNNNNNNNNNNNNNNNNNNNNNNNNNNNNNNNNNNNNNNNNNNNNNNNNNNNNNNNNNNNNNNNNNNNNNNNNNNNNNNNNNNNNNNNNNNNNNNNNNNNNNNNNNNNNNNNNNNNNNNNNNNNNNNNNNNNNNNNNNNNNNNNNNNNNNNNNNNNNNNNNNNNNNNNNNNNNNNNNNNNNNNNNNNNNNNNNNNNNNNNNNNNNNNNNNNNNNNNNNNNNNNNNNNNNNNNNNNNNNNNNNNNNNNNNNNNNNNNNNNNNNNNNNNNNNNNNNNNNNNNNNNNNNNNNNNNNNNNNNNNNNNNNNNNNNNNNNNNNNNNNNNNNNNNNNNNNNNNNNNNNNNNNNNNNNNNNNNNNNNNNNNNNNNNNNNNNNNNNNNNNNNNNNNNNNNNNNNNNNNNNNNNNNNNNNNNNNNNNNNNNNNNNNNNNNNNNNNNNNNNNNNNNNNNNNNNNNNNNNNNNNNNNNNNNNNNNNNNNNNNNNNNNNNNNNNNNNNNNNNNNNNNNNNNNNNNNNNNNNNNNNNNNNNNNNNNNNNNNNNNNNNNNNNNNNNNNNNNNNNNNNNNNNNNNNNNNNNNNNNNNNNNNNNNNNNNNNNNNNNNNNNNNNNNNNNNNNNNNNNNNNNNNNNNNNNNNNNNNNNNNNNNNNNNNNNNNNNNNNNNNNNNNNNNNNNNNNNNNNNNNNNNNNNNNNNNNNNNNNNNNNNNNNNNNNNNNNNNNNNNNNNNNNNNNNNNNNNNNNNNNNNNNNNNNNNNNNNNNNNNNNNNNNNNNNNNNNNNNNNNNNNNNNNNNNNNNNNNNNNNNNNNNNNNNNNNNNNNNNNNNNNNNNNNNNNNNNNNNNNNNNNNNNNNNNNNNNNNNNNNNNNNNNNNNNNNNNNNNNNNNNNNNNNNNNNNNNNNNNNNNNNNNNNNNNNNNNNNNNNNNNNNNNNNNNNNNNNNNNNNNNNNNNNNNNNNNNNNNNNNNNNNNNNNNNNNNNNNNNNNNNNNNNNNNNNNNNNNNNNNNNNNNNNNNNNNNNNNNNNNNNNNNNNNNNNNNNNNNNNNNNNNNNNNNNNNNNNNNNNNNNNNNNNNNNNNNNNNNNNNNNNNNNNNNNNNNNNNNNNNNNNNNNNNNNNNNNNNNNNNNNNNNNNNNNNNNNNNNNNNNNNNNNNNNNNNNNNNNNNNNNNNNNNNNNNNNNNNNNNNNNNNNNNNNNNNNNNNNNNNNCUCUGUCCAUGGAGCGUAUGAAUUUCCUUAAAUGUAGAUAGACCAAAAAAGGGAAUAAAGGGAUAGGAAUAGGAAUUAUAGUACCAUUGGAAGAAGAGGCACCAGUGGGAACAUCUCUACUGACGAACCAUUUCAAUAGUACGGGUGCUGCCGUGCCACGGGGCACGACCAUGGAAGUAAUGAAAAAGAAGAAGUUCUGUAGUUGGACCAUCUGCUCUAUCCGUUCGAUUUGAGCUUCUCCAGAGAAGAUGAGACGCUAAAAAUGAAAGUGUUCGCAACGCAUACCGAAAAAGGGUACCUAUGUUGCCGACCAUUAAUGACUAGUUCGAAGACCAGGAGCAGGGGCACGUGCCAAGAAAGAUUUGUUACUUUCCCUAUGGUUUUCGAACGUUUUCAAUAAAACCUUCUCGUAGAAGUAUUUUCACAAAGUUUUCGGUAAUAUUAGUAGAUGCUAUUCGAACCCUUCCUUUUAUUAAGAUUUGAAUUCUUAUUCUUAUUAUUAUCUAAUUAUUCUUUUUUUUCAUGUAUAUGCGUCAGACACAAUCUACUAAUUGAUCUAUAUUCUGAUACCCUACUAUAUCAUAGUCUCUACUACUAGUAUUUUUAAUACCUCAGGAGCUCAUGAGACUCUUUUAGUGAAAUUCAUAAGUCUCAAUUCCCGAGCGAUCGCACCAAAAACUCGAGUUCCUUUUGGAUUUCCUUCUUGAUCAAUGACAACCGUCAUCAUAUCGUAUUAUCAUACCGUUGUCACGUUUGAGUUCUUUACAUGUACGUACAAUUACAACUCGUCUUACUUAUGUCUGAUCUUUCUAGAGGCAUUUUGGGCACUGCUUCUUUGAUUACAGCAACAAUAACGUCACCAAUAUGAGCAUAUCAGUGAUUACCAGCUCCUAAGAUUCGAAUACAUAUCAAUUCGAUAGCCCCACUCCGUUGUUAUCCGCUACAUUCAAAAGGGUCUGAGUGAGAUGGAUCUUGGAAGUCCGGUUUUUGAUUGGAUAGUGAUCUCGGGCACGAGUGGUUGAUCUUCGCGGGCCGUGAAUGGCCAUGGAAAGGAGUAUUGAUGUCAAUAUGUUCGAUCGAGAAGAUUGGACGAUGAAAGACGGAUCCUUUGUGGUUUGAAUAAUAGGCUGUGGUCUCGAUAUUGGGCUAUGGGCUGAUUGCUUUCUGUAUGAGCCUCUUGUGAUUGGGCUCUCGUGGGCGGAUUACCCGAUGUGUACUCAUCUUCCAACAAAGAGGAGAAGACAUAACCAGAAGAAUUGUGAGAAAUAAGUUAAUUUAUCAAGUUGAGGCAUUUCGAUUUGGAUUUCAAAUAAGAAAGAAAAGACUCCUGCGCCCUCGAGAGCAUUCUCUUUCACUUGCAUUUCUUCCUGAAGUUGGCUCGAAGACCUGUCCAGCCUUGAUUUUCCCAGUUAUUACUCGAGCGCGCUGAGGCAACUCUGAACUAAGCUCAGGGGAGGGGUAGUAGGUAUGCUUCAAACCCUCCGGCACCUUGAAGAACGAUGGCACUAGAUCGGGAAAGAUGAAUGACCAAUGAGGACAGGACAAUGGGGGAAGUUGGUAAUAGAGAAUCCUCCCUUCUUCUUUGCUUUCUUGCCUGAAAAAAUCCAAAACUAACCAUUGGAACCUCAUGGGCUACCGAGUUAGGAGAUUCAUUUUCUUUAUUACUUUUACUUUUUUUUACUAAGUUAUUCUAAAAGAUAAGAGCUAACCGACCAUCCUGAUUGAAUGUUUGAGUACUCGGAGUCUCUCGUAAGUAUGGAAAGAAAGUCUCUUCUUUCCACAACUCCUAAAUUUCCCAUCAGCCUAUCCAAUCUAAUUCCAGACAGAGUCAGUAGACCUUACUUUAGUGUAGGUAGUGUCAGAUAAUUAGGAAGUCUUGAUAGUCUUUCGUAUAAUCUCUUCUUCAAUCCUAGGAGCAAAAAAGGAAUGUCCUUUAGGGACCUUUGGAUAAAAAGAUUUCCGACCUCUUACUUUCGUAGUUAUGAAUUGCGGAAUAGAAUCAAUUAUGAAAUUCAUAAGUAUAUAUCCCUCAUCCCUAUUGGUAUCGGUUUGGGCCACUACCCAGAACCCUGCCAGAGCCCUAUUUUUAAGAAGAAAUUGACAGUCUUUUUUAGAACUAGAACUAUGGUAAAAUCCAGUAUCGACAGGCCUAGUUCUUUUCCUUUGCUUAUGCAGGGCAAGAAUUUGUCGAGUUCAAUCAGUACAAUAAGAAAUCCUAAGUAUUUUUUUGGUCAGGCGACACCCAGAUUUGAACUGGGGAUAAAGGAUUUGCAGUCCCCUGCCUUACCGCUUGGCCAUGCCGCCAAAUCCGAUCCAAAAUAGAGCAAAAUCUUAUUCAUCCACAUUAUUUUACUAAUUUUUAUUCGUAGGAGUGGAUUAUUAAACCCUUUUUGAUUUUUUUUAGAUCGUUGAAUCCCUUUGUACUUAUCCCUUUCCAAUCCCUUUUAAUAAAUUCAUUCCUGUUUUUUAUUGGACCCAGUUUUAUUCUCUUCGAUUGAUUGUAUCUCAAAACACACAUUGCUUAAAUACCUUCUCUUUCUAUUGAAAAGAGAAAGGAUUUCCAGUCACAGCAAAUUGAGGAAAAAUUGGAACCAUUAACUAUAUUAUUUGUUAUUAUUUGUUAUUUUUAUAAAUUCUAUUUGUUAGUAGUGAACGGUUCUAAAAUGUGUAUUGUAUCCCAAAUAGUGUUUCCUUAAUGGCAUAACAAAAUCAAAUUGAUUUACGGCUAAUCAGUAUCAAUUAAAAAAAAGAGAAUUAUGAUAUUGAUAUAGUGUGACCUGACCCCUGUUGCUCCAAGUGAAAUUCUUUCUAGGGUUCUUAAAGAUAUUCUCCAUUUUUUCCCUUUCCCUACAAUAAAGUAUAGUCUGAAGGCUAGCACGCACCAUUCCUCGCUUAUGAUAAUCUAAGGCCAAAAAGAAAGAAGGCUCACACAAUAAUAAUACAUACCCUUUUUCCUCGAUCGUCAAGGUCGUGGAUUUGGAUCGAUUUCGGUUUUACGGGCUUCAUACAUUGUUAAGAAAAGUACUCGGCAUUGGAAAGCAUCACGUUCUGGCCACACACAAAAGAAGUCGGUGGAAGGUAUGGAAUUUCUCGGCUGAAGGUCAGAAAGAAAGCAAUCGCCAGUGCUCUCGGUUCCAGCAACGAGUCUUUUCUCUGAGAAUUAAGGAAAACAAACUAACCUUGUCUGUCUAUGUUCACCUUGACAUGAAAGACUCUUUUCCUAACCUGACUGUUCUACCUUGCUAGUUCACUUCACUUUUCGAGGGAUCCUGGAUUGGAGUUCACUUGUCUAUGAGUGUCCGAACAGCUUCAGAUCCUUCCAAGGCGCAGGGGUUCUCUCUCCAUUCACUUUGAGCUGGGUUUCUUGUGAUCUUUUUAGUAGUUUUUCCGUCCCAUUUUUUGGUAAAUUAAGUCUUACACAGCUGUCCCCAAGGAUGUCCAUUCCAUUCGGCAGGGACUCCAUCUCGCAUUCGAUCUCCCUCCUUUCCCUGAAAGAGUCGAGGUCUCUCUGGACUUCUCUUUUGCCUCUCUACCAGAUUCAGAAAAAGGGAGGAAGAGGGCCUCUCGACGGGAGUGAUUCCCCGAAAAGAGAUCGUUCCCAACAUCCUCGAGUUCGUAGUCAAACUCACCUUCAUCCACCUUUCAUGGACUGGCGCGGGCAAGCGCCGAUGUCUGGAGCAGGAGAUGGAAGCUUGGGUUGAGGAGGCUGUCAACGAGUCAUCAAAGGCGAUAGAUUGGUUAUAUUCGGAUUCGUUUGAUUUUGAUUUUCUUUUUUUUGGUUGUGAGAGGUCUGAGUCCACAGCUGGGGUAGAGGCGUCAGAUGACAAUUGAAGUAGGGGUCUGCCUCUUUCAAAGGGAAGCAAGAGUCUCAUAGGGAAGGAGAUCCUGCACAGACCAAUCCCAAUCAGGAAGAGAGUCUUGUUGUCAAUGAAAGCAAUUUUUCUAUGUCACAUAUCUGCCUAUCUCGUGUUGUGAGCUAUAAAGUACCCACCAGGGGGGGGUGGACCAAGAAAGAGGCAGGCGAUUGGGUCCUUCCCAUCCUCUGUGAUGUCAGUCUCUUUGUCAUUCUUUCACCCUUGCUGAGUAGCGAAGUGAGCAUACUCAAGAUCCAAUUCAUCAAUCAUUUGAGUUGGUACGAACAUAGGAAUCCAGACUCCGCUUGAUUCGAUCUUCAGUUUCGACCUUCAUCAGUCAGGAAAAAGAAGAAGGACCCACUUAUUCCACUCGGAGAGACCGAACCAGGCAAAAAAAAAAAAGAAAAACUGAAGGAAGUUCUCUUUCCAUUCCAACUAAACUAAGUGAAAAAAGGGGGAGAGCAAAACAGAAACACAGGAACAAAGAAACUAUGUCCAAACCAACGAGUCCUUUGGUCGACUCUAAAGAAUGUAUCGGGAGUUGGGAGUUAGCCGUCUCAUAGGAGUGAUAGCUGGGUUUUUCACGGAGUUUCUUCGUACGAUUGAAAAAAAGAGUGCUCUAGGUCGGAGAAAACAAGAAGAAGAUUGUUCACCAGUCUGUCUCCCAACCUCUUUAAAGCAGCUACCUACCGUGAUCUGGUCUUGGGACAGCAUUGGCACCCCCGUUUGCUGGAUCUUCUAGGCACUCUAAAGCGCUUCCACGAGAGACAGAUGGACUUUGAGUUAUAGACGGAGAAGAGCCUUUAGAGGAUCAAGAGUGAUUCCUCAAUAAAACAAAUGGGAUUUUGAGGGAGGGCUGAACGCGAUGUACUGAAGGGUUCGCUUUCGCUGAUCGGCGCCAGUCUUUCCUGCUGUGAAUUUCCCAGGUCGGGAGGGGCCCUUUCCUUCUACCUUACUGAACCCAUUCACCAAUGAUUGGAUCACUCAAAGCUAAAGACCAAUUCCUUCCUUUUAGGUGGUCUAGGUGGCUGGGAUACUAUGCCCUUCUUUUUAGAGGCUCAAAGACGAGUUCUUUGAAGGAAGCAAAAGAACCCAUGUGUCUCGGAUGAAGUCUACCCUCUUUUUGUGCCGGGAAGAAGAAUGAGAUCCAACUCAAAGUCAAGGAAAGCGGCCUAGACCACUGACUUUUGAUGGAAGGCUUCUGAACAUGGGUUGGUCUGAUAAAGCCAAUUUUUCGGCGAAUCAAAUAUUUUCUGAGAGCACUAGACCUUCUCUCUUUCAGGAUUGAUUCCCACUCACUGCCUGAUAGCAGGCUUGGCCCAUGAGACCUAUUGUCUUAUUGUACUGGCUCACUUCACUACUUUGGAGGAUGGGUUUUUCCCCUUUUUGGUUCGCAAACGCUCUAACCCAUCGAGAAGCUCCAUCCAAAUUGGAGUUGAUGUGAGCACUUCCCCAGAGGCAGAGGCUUUUUCUACAAAAGGGUGGGAGCAUAAAAUGUAGGUGAGUCAAUUGCGUGUGGCCUUCAAGUAUUUCGUAUUGUAACAAUAUUAGAUCGGCAUCCAAACAAAGGUGCAUGUACGGUUCCUAAGGGAUACAAUUUUGUCCUAAUCAUCGAGAAAGAUGAAAUAAGUUGAUAGCGCGAUCUCGUACUAACACAUACUCUCUAAAUAUUUCAGAACUUCCAUGCGGCCUUCAAGCCACAACCGCGGUAUGAGUUUUGAUCUCAGACUUUGGUUUGGGGGCUGCUGGCCCCUUCGCGUCGACAAGGAAACUGUGGACGACAAUGGGUUUAGAAUUCGAAUAAAACGAAGACCCUAUCGAACAAAUAGAGGAAAGGGCGGAAAGGGGAAAAAGUAAAGUCUAAGCGACAUAUGGCACGAAAAGGAAAUCCAAUUUCGGUAAGACUUGAUCUGAAUCGUAGUUCAGAUCCAAGUCGGUUCAGUGAGGGCGACCGCGAAAGUCACCGAAUGGGUUCGGUCCGUCUUUUCCUGAUCUUUGUUUGUCCCCCCAAAAAAGGCGUGAGAGGACGUUGCAGAUGUCCGGGACGGACACGACUUCUUCUAACGCUAGAAUACCACAGGAAGAAACCCGAGACCAGAGCAUGUCGUGAAAGACGCACACGGGGCGGGCGUGCUUCGACCGUGUCUCCGGGGCACAGUUGAAUGUAGAUAUCAUGAACGCGAGGAUAAGGAUACCAGGCCGAGUAACCCGGGCAAGUACUCCCCUAAUGUGCCGAUCGCUAGCGCAUCCAGGGCCCCGGCGCCCAGCUCUGCUGGAGAGGCCGUCACUAAUCUGAAAAGUGCGUCUGCGGUUCGGAUAGACUGAUUCUGCGAACGCCUAGCCCCAGGAAUCAAUAAAAAAACAAGUGCUAAGUUUCAUUUCAGAUCAGUGAAUAAACCAAAAAAGAGACCUUUCUCGCUCGACGCCACACUAUGCUCCGCUUCAACAAAUGAGAGUUUUCGGUGGAACCGGUGAACCACGCGAGCUGGUUAGAUGCGUGGGGCAGAGGGCUCGUAGUACCUGAUAGCGCAGCUAUGCAGUGGAAGGGAAGGAGCCUAAAUCGACCCCCUUCUUUCUUUUUUAUUCAAAGACACAAAAGCAAGCACAAAAGAGAUUGGACUCUCGGAUGAGACUAAGCAGCUACCGUUCCGACGCGCCCCUGACCCUAUCUUGAUUCAAACCGAAAACCCUCUCUAAGGUGGAGCCUAGUUGAAGCUGUCAUUCAAAGAAUAAAUGGGAAUCCAAAUCCACUUUUAGGGAUAUAGAUGAAGUCUCGCUCAGUAAAGAGAGUUGUAGAUUCGUAGAAGAGGAUCAGAGUACGCGCGCUACAAAAGGCAGCUAGCCAAUGAAAGUAAGUGGAAAGAAUAUAGUACUUUUGUACUGACCCCUCCGGGGCCCCCGGUUGUUUUGGCGCGCCCUACCCCAACGUUAGACUAUUGCCUUUUUAGCCUACGCUUGCUGCUUGCAGCAUGGAUUCGAUAGAUCUAUCGAAUCCAUGCUUCCCCCGCCCCGAAGCGAGACUCUAUCCAGAUCUCAAAGAAUAACGAGCUAGGCGGCCGGCGGGCAAAGAAAGGGGGCGGGGCGUUUACUUGAAAAUGACAACCGCCUGUUCCAGCAGCGGGGGCCUUGCACGAAAGCAAACCUACGAUUAAGUAGCAGUUGCUUUCGCUGAUGGGCCCAGUGAGGGGGGGCAUUGUCCCUCAGUUCUUACCAACCUCAGGUGUGUACAUCUAACUUAUUAUCUUCUUUUUUCAUGCAAGCCUGACCUCAGCUGUCCAUUUCUUAUUCAUUCAGGGCGCCCCUAGUGGACUUGGCGGUGCUCCUUUCUCAAACCAGAACAACUCUGAACGUUAGGGAAAAUAAGGGAAGACCACCUGAGCGAACCGACCGAAGGGACUUUACUUAUCCGAACCGAACGUUAGCGGCUUAAGCUAAGCCUAUCACGAGCUGCGUUGCUGCUUGAUCGGCGGGGAGGAAGAUCUCAAAGUAUGGGGCAAAGGAUCAAGCGCUUUGACUUUGCUUUGUCCCCCGGGAUCCACCACGGGUUGGGUUUGAGAGCCGUGUGAUGGGUGACUAUCUAGCACGGUUCAGAGAGCACGUGUAUGUAGUCUGCGCUGGUGAAUGGAAGCCCCCGCCGCAAAAAAGAAGCGGCUCUUCCCACGGCUCUGUCACCAUUGACUCUAUUUAUUAUUAUGGUAAAUCAUUGUAUCAAGAUGUCAAUCUUAGAUCUUAUUUUAGUUCGAUACGUCCACCUACGAAACUCGCCCUUGGCUUUCGUCUCGGUAGGUGUAUUAUUCUACAUUUUCCCAAAAGGACAUUCAUUCAUUUCUUUCUUCCCGGGCGAUCACCACGACUAAAACGAAAAAAAGACAAGAAAUCAAGACCCGUACUACAGGAAAAGGGCUGGUGGCCGACAUUUGGGAAAGUCGGGCCGAUCGGGUGUCUUCAUUCAAGCGAGGGUACAGAGGAAGAACGAAACGAAGUGAGAGGCCGGGGGGCAGGGAAAAGAGUCGAGUCGAUCGACCGGGAGAAGCAAAACGAAAUCCGGAUUUGGCCGAAAAAGAUGCAACGUUAUGGAUACCAUGACCGAUCACCAUCGAGAAAGAAGAAUUUUGAUAAAUCACUUCGGGUGAGCGGGGCCUUCAAGCGGCCUCAAUACGCCGGGGUUGUAAAUGACAUACCUUUCCUUAUGGGAAAUGCCGCCUCCUUACUAAAAAGGAAUAGAAUCAAGUUAUUUUUACCAAAGAAGUCCCGCUCUGACGGCCCGACGAGUCAUCUACUAAAAAGGACCCUCCCCGCUGUGCGCCCCUCCUUGAAUUAUUCGGUCAUGCAAUACUUUUUUAAUACUAAGAAUAAAAUGCAUUUCGACCCCGUCCUAGUUCUCAAUCAUUUCGUGGUAGUCCACCUAUUAACUUGUUGUCAGAAGCAAGGAAAAUGGUUAGUUGUGAGGUGAGAUUUCCCACAAGGCUAGGGAGGACACCAGUGAAAGAAUUAACUUCUACCGCAAGGGCUCGGAGGUUUCCAUACUUGAAAAGAGGCGACAAGAAAUCUAAACUCCCCUCUAAAUUAUUCCCUGCCAAAUCAAGCUUUUUCAAAGCUAUACUUUUUUCAAAUAUUGUUGGUACUUUGCCAGAUAAUUGAUUCUUUGCCAAACCUAGGUAAGACAGUUUGGACAAAUUACCAAGGGAAGUUGGAAUUUGACCUAUCAACUGAUUGACUCCAAGAUAAAGAUAUGAGAGUUCCUUCAUAAGACCUAAGUCUGGUGGAAUAUUACCUGUUAGAUUACCGAAUUCGAGUCCUAGAGGGGUAAGACUGGUGAGAUUACUAAGAGCAUAUGGGAUCGAGCCAAUAAGGUUAUUAAAACCCAAAUUUAGCUUUCGGAGGUGCGGCAAUUUGGCUAACCAUGUUGGCACGCCAUCCACAAAAGAAUUUGCAGACAAAUCAAGUACUUGUAGGUAUCUACAUGAUGCAAGCUCCGAUGGAAACCGGCCAGAAAAUUUGUUACCACCUAGUCCAAAAAAUUGCAACAUUGGCAAGCUGAAAGUUUGAUUGCUUGGAAACAUUCCAUUUAGUUUAUUGAGUAUGAGUGAAAUGACUUGCAACCUAGACAUGUUGUACAUGGCCUGCGGUACUAUGCCAGAGAAUUGAUUAAGCUGUAAGUUUAAGAUUUCAAGCAUGGAUAGGGAUGCAACGGUGUGUGGUAUAGGACCUGACAGGCUGUUGUUUCCAAAACUUAUGUAUGCCAACGAAGGUGUGUUGUUGAACACAUAUGGUGAUAUAUGGCCACUCAAGUAAUUUGCAUUCAGAUUAAUUUUCCUAAGAUUUUGCAUAUGUAAUAGCAAUUCAAGAGGGAUCUGGCCUGAGAGAUGGUUCCUAGAUAGAUCAAGGAUCUCUAUCCUCGUGAGGUUCCCUAGGGCAGCAGGUAUGGCACUUGACAAACUAUUGCUGCUAAGAUUCAGAUAUCUUAGACGAUGUAGCCUACCAAGUUCGAUCGGAAUUGAGCCUGUGAGACUGGUGUGUGCGAAGCUAAGGGCAGAGAGAAAAGAGAGGUUACCGACAUGAGGUGCCAAAGUCCCAAAGAGAGGCAUGCCCUGCAACGAUAGAGAGGUGACCCGUUGCCGGCGCCUGCUGCACGAGAUACCGAUCCAGUGGCAAAAAGAUGUGCCAAUGGUCCAGUUAUCGGCAAGGAUUCGGUGAGGGUCGGCAAGCUGGGCUUUGAAAGCUAGCAGCGCGGCCAGAUCAGUGUCACUGCCAUUGCCGUUGGUCGGAGUGGAAGAAGAAACCGAGACGGCCGAGAGUAGGGCUAGUAGGAAGAUGGGAAUACAGAAAGACAUAGGUAGAUCGGCCAUUAUAUUGAGCUGGGUUGUUUACUUUACC